RNAcentral lists this long non-coding RNA (399158 nucleotides) under Triticum aestivum (bread wheat). RNAcentral's name for it is "long non-coding RNA (TAES_LNC017156)". The stretch from base 193937 to 194071 matches the Rfam family "MIR1120/MIR1122 microRNA precursor family". The record is from RNAcentral. Lineage: Eukaryota; Viridiplantae; Streptophyta; Magnoliopsida; Poales; Poaceae.
CGCUCGCGCCCCCACCCGGCAUGCAAACGUUGUCUCCGACGACAAGAUGGUGAGCCGCGCUCGCGCCCCCACCCUGCAUGCAAACCGUGUCUCCGAUGACAAGAUGGUGAGCCGCACUUGCUUCCCCCUCUCCUACUAGUGAUUUGAAAUUAACCGGUGCCUAAUGAUUUGAAGUUACUGACAAUCUUUAAUCUAGUCAUGUGAAUUGUAGUAGUGCUUACUGAAUUACCUGAUGUGUAUGUGCAAUUAUGCAUGAACUACGUGGUGUGUGUAUGUCAUUGGAUUUUCUAAUCGCUGCGUCUCAUCUGGCAGAUGGACGAGGACGAGAUGACGCCGGUCCAGGGGGUGUCGUGCAUGCGGGGGAGCAUCGCGUCGUCAAGUGCGGUUGGUAAGUAUACUUUAUGCUCCUUUAUACUGAAGAUUGUUAGCUCUGUCCAUGCUGGGCCUUAUUGUCAUCAUUAGUAUUGUUAUAUAUUGGAAUCCAAUAACUCCCGAACGUUCGGAUUUUGAGCAUUUCGUCCCGAACGUUUUUACAUGGCAACUUUAGUUGAUAGGGGAUGGCAACUUUGUCCUUUUUCGUUUUUGUCAGAAAAUUGCCAUGUUUCCCUAAAUUCACGCAAACUAAACUUGCUGUUAGAAUUAGAGAUAAACAUCUAUUGUAAUCUCAACGGUCUCUCCUUUGUAUCCCUCUCGUAUCUAUCUCCUCUCCCAGCGACAGCCUGUAUCCUAGCGAUCAGGUUGCAAGUCUUGUACGCCACGGUAGAGGCUAUUCCUGCCUCAUAUCAAUAUAUACCACGCGGCUCCUCAUCGAGGAGUAGGAACGCUUCAAUCUUACAUGGUAUCAGAGCCAAUUCUCUUCCCAAUCUAGCUACGAGAACUCAUCUCCAUCGCCAUGUCGUCUUCCUCACCAGCCGUCCUCAACCUCGGAUCUCCACCAGCCGAGAAGCUCACCAAGGGGAAUUACCUCUUGUGGAAGGCCCAGGUUAUGCCCGGCUUGCGAGGAGCGCAGGUCACGGGGCUCCUGGAUGGAACCUACGUCGCGCCCCCUCCAAUGGUGGAGCAGCAGCAGUCGGACAAGACCACAACAAUGGUGCCAAACCCACUAUACGCACCAUGCCUAUCGAAGGAUCAACAAGUUCUUGGUUUCUUGCUGAACUCCCUCUCCAAAGAAGUCCUCGCCCAAUUUGUUGGUAAGGAACACACUUAUGAUUUAUGGACUGGCAUCACUACCCUCUUUGCAUCGCAAUCUCAAUCCAGGAUUACAAACCUGAGAAUAGCCAUCACCACAACAAAGAAGGGCAACAUGUCCAGUACCUCCUUUAUCUCCAAGGUGAAGAGUCUUGGGGAUGAACUUGCGGCUGCAGGGCGCCCUGUUUCAGAUCCUGAGAUGGUUGAUUACGUGCUCGCUGGACUGGAUCGGGACUAUGAUCCAGUUGUGGCGGCCAUCGGCGCUGUCAAGUCUGUCAUCACCGUCGACGAGUUGUUUGCUCAGAUCGCUGCCUUCGACCAGCGCCUGGAGAUGCUAGGUGAUGGUGGUGAAGGCGGUUUCCACACAUCCGCCAAUCUGGCCUACCGUGGGCGCGGCCAGUACAAGCCUCGGGGGCGUGCACGCGGCACCAGAGGCCAUGGAUGAGGGAGACGAUCUCCUUCUGCUCCAAGCGGCGGCAACAGAGGAGCACGCGGGGGUCGUCCACAACGCCAACAGCAGCAACAUCGUGGGGGCGCCCGCGAGUGUUGGGAUCACUAUGAAGACGACGAGUACGAGGAGAAGGAGGCCAAUGCUGUCACCGACUCCUACGGUAUCGACACAAACUGGUACGCGGAUACCAGAGCUACAAAUCACAUCAUGGGGGAGCUCGACAAGCUGACGAUUAGAGACAAAUACCGUGGGGGCGAUCAAGUACACACUGCGAGUGGUUCUGGUAUGGAAAUUACUCAUGUUGGUAGUUCAAUUGUCAAAACCCCCAUGAAAAAUUUGCAUCUAAAACGAGUCUUAUACGUGCCUGAAACAUCAAAGAAUCUUCUUUCUGUUCAUCGUUUUACCCGUGAUAAUCGUGUUCUCAUUGAAUUCUAUCCUUAUUUCUUUUUGGUAAAGGAUUUGGACACGAGGAGGGUACUUCUUAGGGGCAAGUGCGUGGGUGGCCUCUACCCACUCAUAUCUUCAUCAUCGUCAUCGUCAAAUAAACAAGCUUUUGUUGCUAUCAAGCCUUCUUCAGCAAAGUGGCAUAGCCGAUUAGGUCAUCCCUCGUCAGUCAUUGUUAAGUUUGUUCUUAGUAAAAAUAAACUUCCCCAUAGUCAUGAGUCUAGCAUUGAGUCUGUGUGUGAUCCAUGUCAGCAAGCUAAAAGUCAUCAACUACCAUACCCUAUAUCUACCAGUAUUUCCACUGCACCCUUACAACUUGUAUUCUCAGAUGUUUGGGGGCCAGCUCCUAGUUCUGUUGGUAGACAUUCAUACUAUGUAAGCUUCAUUGAUGAUUAUAGCAAAUUUACUUGGAUCUAUCUUCUCAAGAAACGAUAUGAAGUGUUUUAAGUUUUCAAGAACUUUCAAAAUCUUGUUGAACGAAAACUUAACACUAAGAUCAUUGCCAUGCAAACCGACUGGGGAGGUGAAUACAAGAAACUGAACCUAUUUUUUCAGCAACUUGGUAUUUCAAACCAUGUUUCAUGUCCUCACGCACACCAACAGAAUGGUUCUUCCGAGAGAAAACAUCGCCAUGUUGUUGAAGUUGGAUUAGCUCUACUAGCAAAUGCAUCCAUGCCACUCAAAUUCUGGGAUGAGGCAUUCUUGACUGCCACAUAUCUCAUAAAUUUGCUUCCUAGCAAAGUCAUUGAUUUUGAUACUCCCAUCAUACGUCUUUUUGGCACUACUCCUGAUUAUAAAUCGCUUCGUGUUUUUGGUUGUGCUUGCUGGCCCAACCUUCAUCCAUACAAUACACGCAAACUUGCUUUUCGUUCAAAGAAAUGUGUAUUUCUUGGUUAUAGUCCCAUUCAUAAAGGAGUCAAGUGUCUGGAUGUGUCCACAGGAAGGGUUUAUAUAUCUCGAGAUGUUGUAUUCGAUGAGUCAGUAUAUCCUUUUGAAUCUUUGCAUCCAAAUGCCGGAGCUCUCCUUAGGAAAGAAAUUCUCCUCCUUCCAUCAAAUCCCAAAAAACUUGAUCAUGGGGGCGACGAUUGUACUAACUCAACUGAUAAUCCUACUAGUACUCGUACUGUGCUUCCUCAUGUGCAGGGACAUGCAGAAAAUGCAGAGGAAAAUGAUGCAGAAAAUGAUCAAUUUUUUGAAGAAAAUGACCCUAUAUUUCAUGCGCCAGAACUGGACGAAGCUGGCGCGGAGCACGAGGAAGAUCAGCUGUCUCCUGGAACUCGUGUGCGUCAGUCCUCCUUGGAUCGCGUGCACAGAUCCGCUCGGGAUCACGCGCCGGGCAGAGCUGAGCCGCCCCAAUCAGCGGGCGCCACGCCCCUGCAUGCAGGCACCGCGCGUGCGUGCACAGCGACCAGCCCGGCAGCGACUGCGGGAUCUGGCUCGGGAUCGGAGCCCCACAUGCAUGUGCAGGGCGGCUCUCCAGGAUCUUCUGCGGGCGGCUCCAGGCUGGAUGCGGUUACUCCCUUAGCCACACCACAGGUUACGGGAUCUGCUGUGGAAAGCGGAUCCAGAGGCUCUCCAGCAUCGUCUGUGGCUGGGUUCUCUACACCACCUCCUGUACAACGGGCUGCACUCCAUGUUCCACCGCAACUAGCGUCACGUGUUACAACUCGACUGCAAAAAGGUAUACGAAAUCCAAAAAUUCGAACUGAUGGCACUUUACGAUAUGGUAUGUUGUGCGUUACAGGAGAACCCACAAAAUUAGAAGAUGCACUUGAAGAUCCAAAGUGGAAAAAUGCAAUGGAUGAAGAAUACAUGGCACUCAUGAGGAAUAAGACGUGGCAUCUUGUACCUGAGCCAAGAGGUAAAAAUAUUAUUGAUUGUAAGUUGGUCUACAGAAUUAAAAAGAAGGCAGAUGGCUCGAUUGACAGGUAUAAGGCACGGUUAGUUGCAAAGGGCUUCAAGCAACGUUAUGGUUUAGACUAUGAAGAUACCUUUAGUCCUGUUGUUAAAGCUGCAACUAUUAGGCUUGUGUUAGCUAUUGUUGUUUCCAGGGGAUGGAGCUUAAGACAGCUAGAUGUUCAGAACGCAUUUUUACAUGGUGUUCUGGAAGAGGAGGUUUACAUGAGACAACCACCUGGGUAUGCAGAAAAACGGACACCUCGUUAUGUUUGCAAACUUGACAAGGCACUUUAUGGUUUGAAACAAGCAUCGAGAGCUUGGUACUCAAGGUUAAGCUCUCAGUUAAGGCGUUUGGGUUUUGCUGCAUCCAAAACUGAUACUUCACUUUUCAUUUAUAACAAGGCAAAUACAGCUAUAUUUGUAUUGAUAUAUGUUGAUGACAUUAUAGUUGCGAGUUCUUCACAAAGUGCUACUAAUGCUCUCUUGCAUGAUCUAAGUUCAGAGUUUGCUUUGAAAGAUCUGGGUGAUCUACACUUCUUUCUAGGUAUUGAAGUCAAGAAGAUUCAAGAUGGCAUAGUACUUAAUCAAGAGAAAUAUGCUACUGAACUUCUUGUUCGCAUGGGGAUGAAGGAUUGUAAGCCUUCACCCACACCAUUAUCUUCUUCAGAAGAACUUUUAGCCUUUGAAGGAGAACCGCUCAAGGAAGAAGAAAGUACAAAGUAUAGGAGUGCUGUAGGGGCUCUACAGUAUCUGACACUGACAAGACCGGAUAUAUCCUUUGCUGUUAAUAAGGUUUGUCAGUAUCUACAUGCACCUACUACUGUACAUUGGACAGCUGUUAAAAGAAUUGUACGGUAUAUAAAACACACUGUGAGCUUGGGCCUUCAGUUCAGACGUUCUAAUUCCACCCUUGUCAGUGCUUUCUCUGAUGCUGACUGUGCAGGAUGCAGUGAUGACAGAAAGUCAACUGGAGGAUUUGCAAUAUUCUUUGGCUCUAAUCUUAUUUCUUGGAGUGCCAGAAAACAAGCUACAGUGUCAAAUCAAGUACUGAGGCUGAAUACAAAUCACUAGCCAAUGCAACUGCUGAGAUCAUUUGGUUAGAAUCAUUGCUUCGUGAAUUGGGAAUCAAGCAGCAUCGUGUGUCAUGCUUGUGGUGUGACAACUUGGGAGCCAGUUAUCUCUCUGCAAAUCCAGUGUUUCAUGGAAGAACAAAACAUAUUGAGAUUGACUUUCAUUUUGUACGAGAAAGGGUUGCAGAGAAGAAGUUGGACAUACGGUUCAUUCCUUCCAAGGAUCAAGUUGCAGAUGGUUUUACUAAAGCUCUACCAAGCAAACCUUUUGAGGAGUUCAAGAAGAAUCUUAAUAUAGGAUAGUUGAGAUUAAGGGAGGGUGUUAGAAUUAGAGAUAAACAUCUAUUGUAAUCUCAACGGUCUCUCCUUUGUAUCCCUCUCGUAUCUAUCUCCUCUCCCAGCGACAGCCUGUAUCCUAGCGAUCAGGUUGCAAGUCUUGUACGCCACGGCAGAGGCUAUUCCUGCCUCAUAUCAAUAUAUACCACGCGGCUCCUCAUCGAGGAGUAGGAACGCUUCAAUCUUACACCAUCUAAAACCAUUCGGGUUGCCAUGCUUAACUCCAGAACAUUCGGGAAUUAUAAUUACCGUAUAUAUUAGCUGAAGUUGCACAUGUUUUCUUCAUUGACGUUGGUCGAGCGGUGCUACGCGUGAGUCGGCCGACUCACUCACCUGAUUUUAAUCAUGUCCCACCUAGACCUAGGAGUAGUUUGUUUUCUCACUAGCUGUGUAUACAUAGGCGAGCUCCAGCACUGUGUUGAGCGUGGAAGACAUAUGAACUGUAGUAAGAAACCUGCAAUGGCUAGAAACAUCUCCGUACAUAUUUUUGGGCACGUUUUAGGUGUCAACGAAACUAGUCGGAUCGCCAGCCAUCGGAUUGACACAUGGAGCAUUGGAUCACAGUACACGACAGACUCAGAGAGAGAAUGGAACCCGUCUUCCUCCAUAGCCUCCACAAUACAUGUGUAUCCCCCACCCGCCCCCACCCCCCAUCGUCGCGACAGACUAUUACGUCAGCCCCUCGCAGCACCUGGCAUCGGUGCCCUGAAGAUCCCUGAUGUCAUUUGCAUAUCCUGCAAGUAUUAUUACAGUGCGCCAACAAGGCGUUGUCCUUGCAACAUUGUCUUACAGCCAAUGUAGUUGAUGCCACCACCACCCUCACCCCUUGAUGCAUGGGUCGUGGCUUGUGGCACUGGUCAUAGGAUAAAACACACCCCGCGGGAUCAUGCGGUUGCACCACUGUGAUCUAUGCAACUUAGGAAUUGUUGUGACAGCCCCGGCAAAACUAGCGAUGAUGUGACCAUCGCCUUGCAACAUCAGUCGUAGUUGUAGCACAUAUGAGAAGAUGGUUGUAGCACCUAACAACAGUAUGUGUUUGUAGCACCAUAAGCGAGCACUGCCUUGCAACAUCGGCUAUCAGGAUGCAGCACCGACAAACACGUUCACGGCCUUGAAACGUCGUGCUCCUCUUUCAGCAUAUAGAGAUGGUUAUAUGCUACGCGUCAGCCGGCCGAUGGAUGGACGCCUUACUCAGCCGAUUUUAAUCAAGUCCCACCUAGGUGUAGUUUGUUUUGUCACUACCUGUGUAUACAUAGGCGAGCUCCAGCACUGUGUUGCAGCGUGGAAAACAUAUGAACUGUAAUAAGAAACAUGCAAUGGCUAGAAACAUCUCCACAUACUUCUUUGGGCAUGUUUUAGGUGUCAACGAAAUUAGUCGGAUCGCCGGCCAUCGAAUUGACACAUGGAGCAUUGGAUCACACUACACGGCAGCAGAGAGAAUGGAAACCAUGUUCCUCCAUAGCCUCCACAAUACAUGUGUAUACACCACCACUCCCCCAUCGUCGCAAUAGACAAUUACGUCGGCCCCUCGCAACACCUGGCUUCGGUACCCUAGAGAUCCCUGACAUCACUUGGAUAUCCUGCAAGUAUUAUUAUAGUGCACCAACGAGGCGUCAUCCUUGCAACAUUGUCUUACAGACAAUGUAGUUGAUGCCACCACCACCCUCACCCAUUUACACAUGGGCCAGUGCAUGUGGCACUGUCCGUGGGACAAAACACACCCCGCGAGAAUAUGCGGUUGCACCACUGCGAUGUAUGCAACUUAGGAAUUGUUGUGACUGCCCCUGCAAAACUAGCGAUGAUACGACCAUCGCCCUGCAACAUCGGCCAUACUUGUAGCACAUAUGAGCAGAUGGAUGCCGCACCUAACAACACAGUAUGUGUUUUUUGCACCAUAAGAAAGCACUGCCUUGCAACAUCGGCUAACGGGGUAUGCACAGACAAACACACUCCCGACCUUGAAACGUUGUAUGCCUUGGCCGAUGUAGCAUAGUGCUCCUCUUUCAGCAUAUAGCGAUGGCUUGUAGCAGUGAUGGUCGGAGAGUCGCGGCAUCAUUGAGUGGCAGUGCUAGCCCAACUCAUUGUCAUAGAGAAAGGGGAAUAAAGGAUGGGUGUGCACGUGGUGGAAAUAAAGCGAAUGGAUAUGGUGAAGAGAGAGGAAGACUAACAAGGGCAUCUGGCACUAGAGCGAGCUGAGUCAUUUCCCCCUGAAACCAGCCUAUUUAAUAUAAUUCAAUUUUCUUUUGAGAGACCUCAUAAAGACGUUGCAACAUGUCAGCAUGUCUAUACAAAAGAUUGUAGAUAUACACCACGUACUCAUUAGUUGCAACAAAUCAGUGAAAAAACACAAUGUAUAUAGGCCUGAACAGAUGAAUCAUUAGCAUGCAUCUACCAGCUCUUCCUAGGUUACGCCCAACCGUGAGUCGUUCAAUUCGGUCACACGUCACAACCCAAUCAACCACCAACUUAGUUGUUCCUCUCGUCUCCUCUCCCCACCCUUCGCAACAUACACCCAUGAUUCUCAACAAUAGACCAACAUGGAGUCGACAAUGGUGGCCAUGAUAGGCUAGUGAAAAGCACACUGGUGAUCAACCUUAAAACACUAAACAGAACAUUGCAACAUGAGGUAACCCCAACUUUCUAGCACUGGUGCACCAUUUUCAACCACCUUGUAGCAAUGAAAAGUUCACUCGCCAAUAGCAUUGCUGCAUCAAGUGACCGGCUUCUAGCACUGAAAACCCGGCUUGCAGCACCACGAUGAUCGAUGGUCGGCCUUUCAACAGUAUUAGUUAACAUUGCACACCUCGUCUCCAUUUUUAUGUACAUACACAUGAGAGAGCUUGGAACAUCAGUAACGUAUCAACAUUACCAAACAUGAAGACGAUAAAUUUGUUUCUCCAAGCAUCGAUAUUGCUGAAUAAGCGAGCAACUGCACAUCCACCACACGAGCCAUAAUUUUUUAGCUCUGCGACAACAGCUUAUAGUUGCAAAAGAGCUGACGAUGAUGGUUUAGAAUGUAUGUGAUCAAAAUAGAUUAAAUGGAGGGCAGGGUGGACUACCUAUGUUGAAUCAGACUAGCUGCAAGGUCACAAGUGCCUUGUCUAAAUAGCCAAAAAGACAAAAGGAGGCCUCCUGGAUUCUCCAUCCUGAAGCUAAGCAUAAGUCCAACCCCAGACACGCUCGGGGGCUACUAAAGGUGCAAUACGCUAGGGGUGUCUUCUGGGUGGGAAGCCCGGUAGCAGGCCUGCCUUAGGGCCCAAGAGGCCAAGUGGAGGAUCGGUGCAGUACGGCAGCUCAGGAGCCCAGAUAAGGACUGUGAGAGCAUCUUGGCAGGCAAGCUAAGAUGGCAGGGGUAUGAGAUCUGAUGGAUUCCUUGUAAACCUAGCCUUUGCCACCUAUAUAAGGAGGGGCUCGGGGUUUUCAUUCACAUAUACUCUCAUAGAUUGUACUCUCUAUAGCAUUAUACUUCAUCUCCACUCUAAACCCCUCGCACAAGGUGCUACACCAUGAACAAAAAUCAGAUACAUGAUGUUGGGCAUUACCUCUCACCAAGGGCUCGAACCUGGGUAAAAACCUUUGUGCAAACUCCCUUCUCGUGUAUCCGUACAAGUUCAGCACCCUACUAUGGGUACUCGCGAUUUUAUAUACUGCCACAUAUUUAAGUUCUGACACAUUUUCUCUGGGGAGUUGAAGCAACUCAUGCUGUAAGUAGGUGUUGCUUGAAGCACUGAUUCUACUAGCACCUCCUUUCCCGCCUUCGAGAUACCUUGUCCUUCCUAUCCAACCACUUUGCCAUUUGAGCUUUCUUUAAGAUGUUUAAAAUUUCCUUUCUUUGACCUACCCACUAUGGUCGGGAGCCCCAAAUAAUGCUUGCUCAAUGCCUUAGGAUCAAUGCAAAGAUAUUUACAACAACUUUGUCCUCCUAUUUGCCUCACUUCCCAAAGAACAUUGAGGCUUUUUGAAAUUUUCACAUUUGUCCCGAGCCCCACUCAUAGUCAAAGAGGAUAUAUUUAAGGUUACAAAGUUGCCAUUUGACGGUUGAAGAAAUAUUAUACUAUCAUCUGCAAAAAUAAGAUGGGCUACAUGGGGGUUAGUGCUCCCAAAGAUAUACCAUUGAUCUCUUUAUCUUUGAGCACUCAUGAGAAAGGCCAAAAAACUCGCAACAUAGAAAAUAAAAAAUAGGGAGACUGUGGGUCUCCUUGCCAGAGCCCUCUUCAUAGUGUAAAAAAUACAUAACACACUCCAUUCAAUUUGAUAGAAAACUUGGCCGGGGUACCACACAUCAUAAUCAUCAAGAUCAACCCAUCUGAGAAACGAAGUGCCCUCAUCAUUAGCUCGAGGAAAAUCCAAACCACCCUCUUAUAGGACUUCAUCAUGUAUAGUUUCAUUGCGAACAUUGGAUUUUUCUAUUUCUUGAACGAACGUACUUUGCCCUUGCGUGAUCAUUAUGGAUAGAACAACCUUGAAUCUCUUUGCUAGGCCUUUGAGGCAAUCUGACUGAGCGUGUUCAAUAAGUUGUUUGAUCCCAUUUGAGGAAGUAUCUCCAUUGAGGUAAUUUUGGGGAUCGGGACUAGAACCGUAUCACUAAAGUUUGGUGAAAUAACUCCAUUAAAAGAAUCACCUAUUACUAUGUGUACAUCAUUUUUUUAGAAAUAACUAGUGAAAUUGGUAAACAUAACUGAGAGGUUGUCUAGCCCCAUCGCUCUUUCCAGUCAAAUUUAGAAUAGUGCAUUCUCAAUUUCUUCAUCCAGCACGUCUGUGUUAACCCUCUCCUCCAUAUCACUAGUCACAUAGGGUCGGAUGUGAGCUAAGAUGUUGUCAACAUCAGUAGAGGCUUCUGAAGAAAACAACUAAGCAUAGAAAUCGGCCGAAAUCUUCCUCAUUUCAUUGUCAAUGUACAACUCGUGCCAUCCACCCUCAUGUUUUGAUCGUCUUCCUUGAGAAAUUCCAGUCGGGAACAUUGCAUACACAUUAUUUGUUCCUGUGCAUGAACCACAUGAAGCUACGCUUCAAUCUCGCUGGUCUUCAGUGAGGAUGAACGGAUCCCAAUGCUCUACCCUUUCCAUCGAAGCUGGACCUAGUGCCUAGUAAUCUCACAACAUACAAGACAAAAUACAGAGCAACUUCAAUGUUUCAUAUCAUUGGUGACAUUGUUACGCUUCCUAUAGAGCUCACUCUGGCUGGAAUUGUUAUCACAUGCACACUAUCAUGCCUCCAUGGGCAUGCACCUCUCCUCAAAUGUUAAUGCCCUCUUCUUACUUUUGGUAAUGACUAGGUUUUCUAGCGCUCUAUUAACGAGCGAACCAUGGUCUGGUCCUCCAUGACAACAUAUUCAAUGGGUGUAUCCUACAAUGAAUGCAUGAAUUCAUCAUUGCAUGGACCCCUAUCUACAUGUACAUAAAUGAUCUCAUCCCGCUCCCUCUUAUUGUCCCAAGUGUACAGGUUGGUACUAAACAAAGGUUUGAAAUGCAAUUAUUGGCUACACUCUCCCUAAUGCGCUCCAUUUGUGUGAAACUCCUCAACUAAUCUCCUAGUUGUCGUAAUUAAAAGAAUUAUUUGCUGAGGUAUCAGUGUAACAGAUAAAUGUAUUAUUAGGAUCCAGUCUCUCGAAGCCUCCCUUAGCUACACAAAUUUUCUUCAAUCUCUCUUCCUAUCCAGUAGCUUUAGGUGAUAAUCCUUGUGACGCCUUUGGUGGUCACCAUCACCUUGCCUUGUCUUAUGAACAAAAGUUCCUCAUCUACGUUGCUUGGUGGUAGAUGGGUCAUCUUUCCCAAUGGCCUUGCACCCUUUCCCAUAUAGAUUUUUUUCUGUCUUGCUUCCUUUCAUGCUCCUUUCUCAGGUCCCACUUCCUUUCUAGAUUUAAAUCAUCCCUUAGUUCACAAUCAUGUCAAAGAUAUUGCCUGCAUUGGUCCUCCCUGCACUUCAUCUUAGAUAGUUACCUUCUACAAGACCAUCUCAAGGAUCCUCGCUAGAUAGAGAGUCCACAGAGGGUGUAUAAUCAUUGUAUGACCUGCACCUAAAUGGACGGACAUGCAAUGCUACAUGACCCCUGCGCCCAUAGACGCCCUUGCUUGACCUAGUGCUCCCAAAACUAAAGAUCCUGCUUUCUGUCACUGUCCUCUACUUUGUUUUUGUCUGUGAGGAGCCAUGUCCAAGUGAUGCCCUCAACCAUUCACCCAACUGGGGUGAGGAAUCAACUUGUGGUUCAAGUCAUCUAUCAACAUGUGCUAGUAUGUCAUAGUCAAUCCAAAAGAGAGGUAUCUUCUCAAAUUGAAAAUCAAACAAGGUCCCCUCAUCUUUUGCUGAAGAGUGGAGAAAGAAGCAUCAGACUAGUGAAACAAAGAUGAAAAUUCUAGUUCUAAAUCUGAGAUGGUUCCCCCAUAAAUCCAUGCUUCUUAACAUCACUCUUUACCACGCCACCAAGACAAUUCCCAAGAGCAUUCCCAAAAGUAUAUGAUCAUUUAUAUAGGGGAGGAUCUGUAAUUAUCACCCAUGGCUCUGUCGUACAAAACAUUAUCUUCAAUGACCUAGUUUUGUCAUCAUAAUCCUUCAAAACUGUCACAAUAAAACCAAAUUGCCAUAUUUAAUUAUAUAGAGCGUGCUUUUAGACUCCUUUUUUCUUGAAUCUCAAGAAGAAUAUAUUAUUUCUAAUGUGACUUAUUUGGGCUUCCUAGUAGAGUCGCAUGUGUGUUGCAUAGCCCUAGCAAACACGUUGAUGUUGAUUUGCUGGAGUGAGCAUGCCUUUCCAACCACUGACCACCAAGUAGGCCGCUGUCGGUCUGGAACCCUGAUCCUCAAACAUGAGAUCUAUUAGUUCCUUUUUUUGUCAAUUUCUGGGCUCCUUGUUAAUUUGGUUGAGAGAUUAGUUGCCUUCCCUGAAGCAUUUCCGUCUGUUAGGGACUUUGAAGGUUCUCAUCUUAACGAUCCUUGGUCGCCCUGUCCACUUGAGCUGUUGACCUAUGCCACACCUUCUCUCCCAUCGUCGCACAAAGGAGUGGAAGCACCAAGACCAUUCAAUGUAGGAGUUUAUGGCGUCAUCGCCCCAUAGAAGAAAAAAACCCUAACCCUAGCACAACUUAUUGGUCGCCUAUAGUCGCCCUUAGCAUUUCUUUUCAUACUGGGCCCGCCACUAGGUAUUUAUAUGUGUCCUUCCAUUGUUACUUUUUUUGUGCUGCAGCCUUUCUGCUACAUUUGCCUUUCUACAAAGGCGGUCUUAUCCAAAUCAUAUAGUCUCCUCUAUCUAUAGGAAGCCAGGACAUUAGCUCUUCUUUUUUUCAAGGCAAAUAAACUUGCUAGUGUUCAAGCGACAUCGAAAGAAGUCUUGUCUCAUGUAAAGACGACGCUAAGAGUGUGACACAUAUAGGUGCCAACUUUAUGGAUAAUGCAAAUUUCAGCAAAUAUGAAUAGCUCCAGGGGAACGAGCGCACAAAGGAAUCAGCCACCAUAAAUGGAUCAUUUCCGAAGAAACGAAAUCACAAAGAGAGAGACAAGACAUUAGCUUCUUUAUGGGGAACACAAAUAUCUAAAUGUUGCCUUGCUCUCUGAUUAUUAACAAGAAAUAAUUCUUACUAAUAUACUAUGUGUAAAUCUUGAUAGAUAUGGAAUGUAUUUUGGUCAGUAUGUUUUAAGGAAUCAUAUCAGUUUUUGGUAUGUGGAAAUUAGAAGAAGUUCAUGUGCCUUCAAGGCAUGUUAAGGUGUGUUGUUCCACCUCAAAUUGGGACAUACUAAAUGGUUAUUCUCCCUACAUAUAGCCCCAAUUCUCAUGCUCUUGCUCUCUCUCUCUCUCUCUCUAUCUAUCUAUCUAUCUCUCUCUCUCCAUCUAUCUAUCUAUCUAUCUCUAUCUCUCUCCACAUUUUAUAUUCUAGACUACUCCAUAAAGCCUAACUGGUGAAGGUCCAGAAACACCCAGUAGUGACCGGUUCAACUCCCAUUAGUAGUCUAUACUUAGUGGAGGAGAAACAAGCCACUUACAGGCACGUGCCCGCCAAUGGUGAAUAAAUCAGAAAAGAAAAUCAGGCCGUGGCUGGUCCAAAUCUGGCACCUGCCAACAAUGUGUAGUCUCUAGUCUCCACUACUCGAACCCACUUUUCCUCGGUGUGUUACAUCAUGUUAUGUUUGGAGAAGCCAUAGAGUUGGGGAUCUAAAUAUAGAAAACAAUGAUGGGGAGUGGCUUGAAGAAUAGGAGCCAAGAAGCCGGACGGAGGAGGCCUACACCAUGCUGCACCAUUGGCCGAUACUGACCCGUAUGGUGCAAGGACCGAGGCAGAACUAACCACCAUCAUCAUCUGGGUUGCAAAGGAAGUUGGACCAGUGUGUUGCUCCUCUCGAACAAACUCAAUGAUUUCAUGCAGUUGGCACCCAUGCCACAUUCCACAGAGAUAACAACAUUGAGGAGGAGGAUGGGCAACACAAGGUUUCUUCCUCAUAGGAAUUACUUUCGAGGAAGUGGGGGGACGGUAUGGCAUGAUCAGCAGUUAACAAGGGAAGUUUGCAUGACUGUGGAGGACAAAUCGUGAAGACAAGUGUGUUAGUGGCUAGAUAAGGGAUGAAUGAUGGCAGGAAGCAAUAAUGAGCUUACUGGGUGAGGCUACUAUUUUUUAAGUUGCGACCUACUGACGUAACAACAAUUGAUCGUAACAACGUACCAUUGAUGAUACAGGGUAUUGAUUUAGUAACUGUCAAGAUGUGACUAGGGCUUGUAAGUGGUGGGUUGUAUAUUACUAACAAGUAGCAUGUUUUGCCUCAAUAUUGUCCUCUGUCACUCGUAACAACGUACCAUUGAUGGACCACAUAUUGGGAACAUCACUACUACCUUUUCCCAACAAAAAUAGAAUUUUAGUUAUAGUCAGAUUCACAACAAUCCUGCCGUCCAUUAGUGCUAAGUAGCACUGCUGACCAGUUUUGUGACUCACCACUUUUGAUCGAUAACUAGGCGAGAAUUCUAGUGUAGUGCCCAUUUGUUUUAUUAAGAACUUUUAGUGUUUUUAUGUGCACAAAGACAUGUCUUUCAACCCUAACAGGUGUUCUCUUUAGGUGGGGUCGAGAGUGAAGGACUGGGGAGCUUGGGAGCACGGGAAAUGGCACCUAGAGAGGUUCAGGUCUCCAUGAUCAAUAACCACAAUUUUGAUCUGAAUGAGCUGCCGACUGAGCAUGAUUAGCUCAAGAAGGAGUAGUCACCCAUGGAGCAAGAGUAGCCGCCUAUGGCACAACAUGAGAUUUAAUAUUCACAAUGGUUGGAGGCUACUCAAAUCCGCUUGUGUGAGCAAAAAUAACUCUUGGCCAAAAGUGUAGCCCUGUCAGAAAUUAUCGAAACAAUAUCCUUAUCCCAAGGACGAUUCUAAAGCUUAUGUGGUUUGAAUUUCUCGCUUCCUAUUUUUUGGUGAUUGACUGGCGCUAUUGCUAAACUUGAGGGAAGGAGUUGGUAUACUGCCUCAUGAUCAAUGUGUCAACUGGAAAUGGCUUUUCUAUUCAUUUCCUGUGAUGGUUUUGAUAUGUGGAUUGUUUGAACAAGCAGUUGUUCAUUCGGUAAAGCUUUGUGAAACAUCAACGUGUCAACUUCUUGACCUACUGUCAUUUCACAUGACAUGAGACCUAGCUCCACCGUUGAUAUUUCACAAAGCUUUACCGAAUGAACAAUUGCUUUUUCAAACAACCCACAUAUCAAAACCAUCACGGGAAAUGAAUAGAAAAUCCAUUUCCAGUUGACACGUUGAUCAUGUGGCACUAUACCAACUCAUUCCCUCAAGUUUAGCAAUAGCGUAAGUCAAUCACCAAAAAAUAGGAAGCAAGAAAUUCAAAAGUUCCACAUAAGCUUUACAACCGUCCUCGGGAUAAGGAUACUGUUUUGAUAAUUUCUGACAGGGCUACACUUUUGGCCAAGAGUUACUUUUGCUCACACAAGCGAAUUUGAGUAGCCUCCAACCAUUGUGAAUAAUAAAGCUCAUGUUGUGCCAUAGGCGGAUACUCUUGCUCCACGGGUGACUACUCCUUCUUGAGCUACUCAUGAUCAGUCGGCAGCUCAUUCAGAUCAAAAUUGUGGUUAUUGAUCAUGGAGAUCUAAACCCCUCUAGGUGCCAUUUCCCCUGCUUCCAAGCUCCCCAGUCCUUCACUCUCGACCCCACCUAAGGAGAACACCUAUUAGGGUUGAAAGAUAUGUCUUUGUGCACAUAAAACCACUAAAAGUUUGCAACAAAACAAAUGUGCACUACACUAGAGUUCUUGCCUAGUUAUCGAUCAAAACUGGUGGGUCACAAAACCGGUCAACGGUGCUACUUAGCACUAUUGGUUGGCAGGAUUGUUAUGAAUCUGACUAUAACUAAAAUUCUAUUUUUGUUGGAAAAAGGUAGUAGUGACGGGCCCAAUAUGUAGUCCAGCAAUGGUACGUUGUUACGAGUGACAGAGGACAAUAUUGAGGCUAAACAUGCUACUUGUUAGUAAUAUACAACCCACCACUAACAAGCCCUAGUCACAUCCUAACAGUUACUAAAUCAAUAUCCUGUAUCAUCAAUGGUACGUUGUUACAAUCAAUUGUUGUUACGAUCAGUAGGUCGCAACUUAAAAAAUAGUAGCCUCACCCAGUAAGCUCAUUAUUCCUUCUUGCUAUCAUUCAUCCCUUGUCUAGCUACUAGCACAUUUGUCUUCAGGAUUUGUUAUCCACGGUCAUGCAAACUUCCCUUGUUAACUGCUCAUCAUGCCAUACCCUCACCUCACAUCCUCGAAAGUAAUUCCUAUGAGGAAGAAACCUUGCGUUGCCCCUCAUCCUCCUCAAUGUAGUUAUCUUUGUGGAAUGUGGCAUGGGUGCCAACUACAUGAAAUCAAUGAGUUUUUCCGACAGGAGCAACACACUAGUCCAACUUCCUUUGCAACCCAGAUGAUGAAGGUGUUCAGUUCUACCUCGGUCCUUGCACCAUACGGGUCAGUAUCGGCCAAUGGUGCAGCAUGGUGGAGGCCUUCUCUGUCCGGCUUCUUGGCUCCUAUUCUUCAAGCCACUCCCCAUCGUUGUUUUUUAUAUUCGGAUCCCCGACACUAUGGCUUCUCCAAACAUCACAUGAUGUAACACAUUGAGGAAAAGUAGGUUAGAGUAGUGGAGACUACACAUUGUUAACAGGUGCCGGAUUUGGACCGGCCAUGGCCUAUUUUUUUCUCAUUUAUUCACCAUUGGCGGGCAUGUGCCUGUAAGUGCCUUGUUUCUCCUCCACUAAGUAUAGACUAUUAAUGGGAGUUGAACCUGUCACUGUUGGGUGUUUCUGGACCUUCACGGGUUAGGCUUUAUGGAGUAGUCUGGAAUAUAAAAUGUAGAGAGAGAGAGAGAGAGAGAGAGAACACCCAACAUAUAAACAGUGCUAACUGGGUGAGGCUACUAUUUUUUAAGUUGCGACCUACUGAUCGUAACAACAAUUGAUCAUAACAACGUACCAUUGAUGAUACAGGGUAUUGAUUUAGUAACUGUCAGGAUGUGACUAGGGCUUGUAAGUGGUGGGUUGUAUAUUACUAACAAGUAGCAUGUUUGGCCUCAAUAUUGUCGUCUGUAACUCGUAACAACAUACCAUUGAUGGCCUACAUAUUGGGCCCGUCACUACUACUUUUUUCCAACAAAAAUAGAAUUUUCUUAUAGUCAGAUUCACGACAAUCCCGCUGGCCAUUAGUGCUUAGUAGCACUGUUGACUGGUUUUGUGACCCACCACUUUUGAUCAAUAACUAGGAGAGAACUCUAGUGUAGUGCACAUUUGUUUUAUUGCGAACUUUUAGUGUUCUUAUGUGCACAAAUACAUAUCUUUCAACCCUAAUAGGUGUUCUCUUUAGGUGGGGUCGAGAGUGAAGGACUAGAACUAGUAGAAAAGGGGGCAUUGGUCCAGGUCGGGUCAGCCCAUUAUUCCCGGUUCAAUCCAGAACCGGGACCAAUGGUGGCAUUGGACCCGGUUCGUGAGCCCUGGGGGCUGGCCUGGCCACGUGGGCCAUUGGUCCCUGUUCAUCUGGACCUUUUGGUCCCGGUUGGUGGGACGAACCGGGACCAAUGGGCAUCGCUCCUGGCCCACCACCAUUUGUCCCGGUUGGUGGCUUGAACCGGGACCAAAGGCUUCCCUUUAGUCCCGGUUCAUGCCACCAACCGGGACCAAUGAGGUGCCUAUAUAUACCCCCUCUCGUAAGAGUAGAGCACACUGCUCUGUUUUUUCUGGCUGCCGAGGGGGAGAGGGCUUGGUGGUGCUCUAGCUCACCUCCUAUGCACAUAAGGUAUUCGAUGGAAUGCCCGAGCCACACUACUUAAACUUUCUCCUCUCCAAGCUUGACCUCCAAGCUCCAUUUUCUUCAAUAUUUGUCUAAGUUUAGCGGUCGGUCAUGCCCCGUCCCCGUCUUCACCGCCGUCGAUCACCCGCGCCGAUCUCAUCGCCGGCACCACCGUGAUGAGCCUCUUGUUCUUAUCUUCUUUCUGAAAGGAAAAAUAUUCUUACUUGUAUGUUUAGAUAGAUACUUGUAUUAUUUUCUUACUUUUAUUAUUGCAUCUUAUAUAGUGCGAUGGUUUUGGUAUCCGCCCCUGUCGGCCCUCAUCCUGUCUAUGAUUCGGAUGUGGUAUAUAUUAUCUUUUCAUAACUAUUGGUUCAUUUAUUGUUUAUGAAAAUUAUGCCGACCAACGUGACAUAGAUUUUAUUUAUCUAGGAGGUUGUUGAACCGGAAAUUACAACCGACCCUAUUGUCGAGAGGUUAAAUUUAGUUGAACAAUAAAACAAUUUCUUGAAGGAAAAAAUAAGAAAAAUUGAGGAGGAGAAGAUGAUAUUGGAGUUGCAUGUUGCGGAUGUCGUCGAUGAUCACAAGAUCUAUUAGGGUUUAAUUAAUUUAGAUGCUCUGCAGACCUUUAUGUUGUUCUGUAAUGAUUUUCGCUUGAAGAUGAGAACUAUGUAUGUACUUUGGUUUUAAUGUGAUGAUGAACUUCUAUUAAUUUGGUCACUUAGUUAUCUAUUCAUGAUGUUCUGUAAUGAUUUUUGACACACUUAAUUAUAUAUAAUGCAUGCAGAUGAACCGGCAAUGGAUGUACGGUGACAGACGCACCUCCGAGUACAUUAAGGGCGUGCAUGAUUUUCUUGAAGUGGCUGAGGCAAACAAGCAGAAUGGUUUUAUGUGUUGUCCAUGCCCUAUAUGUGGGAAUAUGAAGUCUUACUUUGACCGGAAAAUCCUUCACACCCACCUGCUUUACAAGGGUUUCAUGCCACACUAUAAUGUUUGGAUGAGGCACGGAGAAAUAGGGGUUAUGAUGGAAGACGGCGAAGAAGAAGAGUACGAUGACAACUAUGUGCCCCCUGAAUACGGUGAUGCUACUGAACAUCAAGAGGAACCAGACGAUGUGCACGAUGAUGCUGCAACGAGCGAAGCUGCUGAAGAUCAAGAGGAACCAGACGAUGUGCCCGAUGAUGAUGAUCUCCGCCUGGUCAUUGUCGAUGCAAGGACGCAAUGCGAAAGUCAAAAGGAGAAGCUGAAGUUCGAUCGCAUGUUAGAGGAUCACAAAAAAGGGUUGCACCCCAAUUGCGAAGAUGGCAACACAAAUCUCGGUACCGUACUGGAAUUGCUGCAGCCGAAGGCAGAGAAUGUUGUGCCAGACAAAGGAUUUGAGAAUCUACUGAAAAUAUUGAAGAAGAAGCUUCCAAAGGAUAAAGAAUUGCCCGACAGUACAUACGCAGCAAAGAAGGUCGUAUGCCCUCUAGGAUUGGAGGUGCAGAAAAUACAUGCAUGCCCUAAUGACUGCAUCCUCUACCAUGGUGCGUACAAGGAUCUGAACGCAUGCCCGGUAUGCGGUCCAUUACGGUAUAAGAUCAGACGAGAUGACCCUGGUGAUGUUGACGGCGACCCCCCCAGGAAGAGGGUUCCUGCGAAGGUGAUGUGGUAUGCUCCUAUAAUACCAUGGUUGAAACAUCUGUUCAGAAACGGAGAGCAUGCCAAGUUGAUGCGACGGCACAGUGAGGACCGUAAGAAAGACGGGAAGUUGAGAGCACCCGCUGACAGGUCACAGUGGAGAAAAUCGAGAGAAAGUACUGGGCUGAGUUUGCACGUGACCCAAGGAACGUAUGCUUUGCUUUAAGCGCGGAUGGCAUUAAUCCUUUCGGGGAGCAGAGCAGCAAUCACAACACCUGGCCAAUGACUCUAUGUAUGUAUAACCUUCCUCCUCGGAUGUGCAUGAAACGGAAGUUCAUUAUGAUGCCAGUUCUCAUCCAAGGACCUAAGCAACCCGGCAACGACAUUGAUGUGUACCUAAGGCCAUUAGUUGAAGAACUUUUACAGCUGUGGACUGGAAACGGUGUACGUACAUGGGAUGAGCACAAACAGGAGGAAUUUGACCUAAAGGCAUUGCUAUUCGUUACCAUCAAUGAUUGGCCCGCUCUCAGUAACCUUUCAGGAGAGACAAACAAGGGAUACCACGCAUGCACGCACUAUUUACUUGACACCGAAAGUAUAUACCUGGGAAGCUGCAGGAAGAAUGUGUACCUGGGCCAUCGUCGAUUUCUUCCGACCAACCAUCAAUGUCGAAAGAAAGGCAAGCAUUUCAAAGGCGAGGCAGAUCACCGGAAGAAGCCUGCCAUGCGUACCGGUGAUCACGUACUUGCUAUGGUCAAUGAUUUACACGUAAUCUUUGGAAAGGGUCCCGGCGCACUAGCUGUUCCGAAUCACGCUAGGGGACACGAACCCAUGUGGAAGAAGAAAUCUAUAUUUUGGGACCUACCCUACUGUAAAGACCUAGAGGUCCGCUCUUCAAUUGACGUGAUGCACGUGACGAAGAACCUUUGCGUGAACUUGCUAGGCUUCUUGGGCGUGUAUGGAAAGACAAAAGAUACAGCUGAGGCACGGGAGGACCUGCAACGUUUGCACGAAAAAGACAACAUGCCUCCAAAGUAGUAUGAAGGUCCUUGUCGGUGUCAAAACCGGCGGAUCUCGGGUAGGGGGUCCCGAACUGUGCGGCUAGGUGGAUGGUAACAGGAGACAAGGGACACGAUGUUUUACCCAGGUUCGGGCCCACUUGAUGGAGGUAAAACCCUACGUCCUGCUUGAUUGAUAUUGAUGAUGUGGGUAUUACAAGAGUAGAUCUACCACGAGAUCAAGGAGGCUAAACCCUAGAAGCUAGCCUAUGGUAUGAUUGUUGUUCGUCCUACGGACUAAAGCCAUCCAAUUUAUAUAGACACCGGAGAGGGCUAGGGUUACAUAGAGUCGGUUACAAUGGUAGGAGAUCUACAUAUUCGUAUUGCCAAGCUUGCCUUCCACGCCAAGGAAAGUCCCAUCCGGACACGGGAAGAAGUCUUCAAUCUUGUAUCUUCAUAGUCUUGGAGUCCGGCCGAUGAUGAUAGUUCGGCUAUCCGGACACCCCCUAUUCCAGGACUCCCUCAGUAGCCCCUGAACCAGGCUUCAAUGACGAUGAGUCCGGCGCGCAUGUUGUCUUCGGCAUUGCAAGGCGGGUUCCUUCUCCGAAUAAUUUAUAGAAGAUUGUGAACACCAGGAUAGUGUCCGGCUCUGCAAAAUAAAUUCCACAUACCACCGUAGAGAGAAUAAUAUUUACACAAGUUCAAUCUGGUGACGUUUUUGGCGGCAUGAUGUCACACCACUACCAAGCCUUUACUCGAAUCGUUUUUAUUGUACCACCUCAGCGUGUUUAGCGAAGCGGUUUCCUUGGCACGUAUUGUCGAAGCAGAGAUCGUGUUCCCCUUAUUCCGGGAUUCCCAUCAAUACGGACGUGGGUAACCCAACCGCGCCAUUGAUUGCGGCGCUUGGGAGAUAAGUGAGUUUUAUCAGGCCGGUGGGGACGCAUGUCUCAGUCCGCCCAUAUAAGGGGAUAAAGAUCCAACCCUUUUACCUAUACCUUCUUCCUCCUUGGCUUAUCCAUCUCCGCGAACUCGAGCUCCAGCGCCCAAGUCCGCACAUCUCACCUCAACCUUCUCCAACUAUGUCUGGAGCGGGAGGCAAGUGGAUGGCCUCCUCCAUUACGGAGGGGCACAUCCAGAAGCUGCGCAGCGCCAGAUAUCUGUCCAGCGACAUCACGCACUGGCUCCCCGACGAGGGAGAGCUCAACCCCACCCCCAGGCCCCACGAGAGGGUAGUAUUUCUUCCCCGUUUCCUCCGCGGACUGGGCUUCCCACUCCAUCCCUUUGUCCGGGGGUCAUGUUCUACUACGGCCUGGAUUUCCAUGAUCUGGCCCCGAAUUUUAUCCUCAAUAUCUCGGCAUUUAUCGUCGUGUGUGAGGCCUUCCUCUGGAUCCAGCCCCACUUCGGCUUGUGGCUCAAGACCUUCAGUAUCAAGCCGAAGGUGGUAAAGGGAAGCCAAGCGGAGUGCGGAGGCGCCAUGGUGGGCAAGAUGCCCAAAGUUACUUGGCUUGAGGGCACUUUCGUGGAAACCAUUAAGGGGUGGCAAUCAGGGUGGUUCUACAUCACCGAGCCGCGUGACCCUGAAUGGGCAGCGGCCCCCGAAUUCAGAUUUGGCAUCCCCACACGGCUCACCUCCUGGAAAGAGAGCGGCCGGACAUGGGGUGAUUCAGAGGAGCUGACCGGACUCCAAGCCUGCAUCAAAAAGCUAGUGAAAAGGAAGCUCAAGCUUGUCAACGUAGUCCAGGUCGUGCUUAUCCGCCGGAUUCUCCUGUGCCAACGACGGGGCUCCGGUAUGUGGGAGUUCGAUUCGGCGCAGCACCAGACUUUGAGCGGGCUCUUCGACACUACGUACGAAGAUGUCUGGAGGGUGCUGUUUAAAGGUGCCGAGGCCCUCGCAUCCGCUACCGAAGAUCGCGGAUUCAGCUCGCAGCGUCCGGCUAGCGAGGUAAGCGAUUUUUUCCUUUACGGGACAGUUGUUUUCCAUAGUUUGACUCUAUGCAGGAUCUAAACUCCCUCUCCUUUGACAGGACUGGCUGGAGAAGGCUGAACAGACUAUCUGUCCGGCCCCAUUGCCAGAGGACCCAGCGGACGCCCGCUUAACGGGCUUGCUGGCUCCGGCACCCCACGUGGUGCCGGAGAAGAAGGCCAAGAAGAAGGCCACGGGCACUCGGAAGAGUUCCCGUUUUCAGGUGUCAUCGGACGAUGACUCCGAGGCAAACUCCUCCCACGAAGGCGAGGAGGAGAAGAAGAAGGCCUCUCCCCCAGCGGGGGGAGGAAAGAAAAGGAAGGCUUCCCCAACGAGGGAGGCCGAAGGGUCCAAGAAGGGAAAGACUCUUCCCCCGGACUGCUCUGCCAAUGCCAGUGAUGACGACGAGGAUUGGCCUCCAAGGGCCAAGCCCCUGGUGAGAUCGUAAGUAUCCAGACUCACGAAUAACUUCAUGGUUUUUCUUUUCGCCACAUAGUGUCUUUCUAAUGCCGCAUACAACCCUGUAGUCCGCCCAAGGAUGAUUUUCCCGCUUCGUCGAGCGGGUCCUUGGGUGCGUCGGAUAUGGAUUCCCUUCCGACCGCCUCCACCCCCCGUGAUGCGGAUGAUGCCGAGGUGGGAUCCCGGGAAGGGACCCGCUAGGAGGAGGAGGCCCCGGAGGUGCCGCAGGGCAACCUCCUGGACUUUGCGCCGGACUCCGCACCGGAACCUGAAGUGGCUCUGGAGUCCGAUGGGUGCCCCCUUCGUAAGAAGGGCAAGACCGCGACGCCAGUGGCCUCCGUCCAACCGGAGGCGCCGGAUAGCUUGCUGGAGGCGCUCAACGGCGCCUCCAUCGAAGGGGAGCACCGCACCUUCAUGAGUGCGGUGAUUCAGAAGGUUCAGCUCGCCAAGAGCGGGCUGACCGAAGCCUGCAGCAGCCUUCUAACAGGCUUUUAGGUAAGAAUUUUGAUAUAUGUAGAAUAGUACCGCAUAGACAGUAGCCCCUGAUGCUCGGUUCGGUAUUCGGACAGAAAAGACGGACUGAGGAUCUAAAAAGAUAUACGCAGGAGUCAUAUAUAAAAAAUAUGUCAAUAUGGGAUUGCAGGCUAUGCUGCUGACCUCUGCCGCACUGACUGCGGAGGUCAAUACUUUGAAGCAAAGCCUCGAGCGGUCCGAGAACGAGCUCGGCCGUGCCAAGAAGCAGCUCGAGGACAAGGAAGGUGAAUAACACCGUAUUAAGAUUGUACCUUACAGAAAAGGAUUUGGUUGCAAAAAAUUGACAAGGAUAACAUGGGUAUUGCAGGUGCCACGACCGAGGUGGCGACCCUGAAGGAGGCGGUGUCCGUGGGUAAUGCGGCCGCGGAGCGCACCGAGUGAGAGAAACAGGAGGCGCGGGUGGCGGAGGUACAACAAGAGCUACAUGAUCUCGUGGAAAAACAUGAGAGCCUGGAGCGUGACUCGAAGACUCGAGAGUCCGAGCUUGCAUCGGCUCUUGAGAGUGCCAAAGCUGCUAAGGCCGAAGCCUACAAGGCCCUCCACGAAAUCGAGGCGUUGAAGAAAAUAGCAGCGGGUAAGGCAUUUUUCAUUCAAAGUAAGCAUGUGAGUGUGAUUUACCUAUCACUUACCCGAAUUCGGAGCUCUCCAGGAGCAUUCGCAGAUCUUCCUUGCAGCGUGUCCGAUGCUGCCGCUUUCUACCGGGCCGAGGAGGGGAGCUCGACGGAGAAGGUCUUCUAGUCUCAGUAUGCUGAGGCCGGACAUCCGGUGCCCCUUAGCGACCAGCUGAAGCAGCUGGUCGAGCUCCACAAGGUGGCCGAACAGGCCAUGAGGGGCCUCAUAGUUCGGCUGUGGCCUAAGGAGGCCGUGCCUGGGAGCUACUUUGGCCUGGUGCGGCGGCUGGUGGAUGUGUGUCCAUGGGUUGAAGUCAUCAAGCACUUCGCCUGUAUUGAAGGUGCCCGUCGGGCCCUUGCCCGUGCAAAGGUGCUCUGGGGCAAGAUGGAUGCUGAGAAGCUUGUGACGGACGCACCACCGCUGGCAAGGAGUAUCGUACGCCCGAGAUGUAUUAUAAGAAUUUUUUGAAGGGUGCCCGCACUAUUGCGGGUGAGUGCUCCAAAGAUGUAAUAUUUGAGUAGACUCGCAUUUUGUUAUCCUGUGCGCUGAAAACUUUGUUCAUAUGCGCAAAGCAACGCUUGUUAAUUUAAAAUAUUACCUUCUAUGCGGCCGUUUAUCAAAUAUGAGAGAUGGCAAGUCGUCGGCUUCGGCCCCCAUGCCACGAGUGCUGGGGUGUUCGCGAUAAAUUUGAGCACUCUUAUUCCCAUUUUUGGGACCAUCUAGGGAGGCGCUCAACACAACGAACAAGGCAACCAGACUUAUAAUGCUUGAACACUCUCACUUAGCCAUAGAAUUCUAUAAUUUUAAAUUUCGGCGAAGCCCCUAGUGUUCGGAAGGCCGAAUUUGGGGCGCUAUCCAUGCCUGGGCCGGACAAAGCCGGUUCCUCGCUCUAAGCGGCGUAAGUCUUUAGGGACUCGAAAAAACCUCUCGAACAGCGACCGGCUCUCGCCUCAUCAUGACGGUCAGUUUUAGCUUUCUCCACUGAGGCGCUCGCCCAGCUCAACUGGGGCGUAAUCGCAGUGGUUCUCCCAGUGCUACCUUUGCCGAUACAACGGAACAUAAGGUACCAAAACAUGGGAGCCGGGCAAACCCAACUAUUGACCCAAGACAUGAUUCGGAGCCGAUGCAUAUAAUGCUAUAAGUUCGGGGUGCCGCACUUGUGAAAGUGUUCGGACUUAUCGCACCAUGAUGCAGGAAACAUAAGCCCCUGGUGUAUUUAGCCGUACCAAAGUGUACGGAUGCAACAUGUCAUAAAUGAACAUAUGUAUAAGAAAGGAAUGCAAUUGUAAGAAAAAAGGUGCAUUGUUUAUUCACGAAAUACUGCUGUGAAUGCAGAACGAUACAAAUGGUGCGAUAAGCAAGGGAUGGGACUAUUAAACAUGUCCCCCUCCAGGGGUAGGCUGCGGAAUGGUGUAUAAAACAGAUUUAAUGCUCGUAAUGGAGAACACCUGGAUAUUCGUCGUAGCCUUUCUCCUUCCCUGGCUGUUGCAUCGUGAGUUCGGCAGGUGUACUGCCGGACAGGGCCUCUGAUGAACAGGGUCCUGUGGGUAAAAAAAGAAAAGAAAAAAGAACGACACACUUGAGAGCCCCUGGUGUGGUUAAGCCGCAUUCUGGGCCUAUUGUGGUCGUGCCCUUCCCCCUAUGCCCAUGGUAUCUUCAGAGCGUAAUGAUGUACGCGAAGGACCCAUCUUGAAAUUUUGUAGGGGCUAGGGUUGGGGCCGCAUUGCUACGCGUGAGUAGAACGUGCCAGGUGGUCUUGUUGUAGGUUACUCCGGGCACGUUUAGCCGUGUCCGGUCGCUUAACGGCCGGACUCGAGAAUUGCCUUAAGAGGCUGCACUGUACUUCUGCUGCGAGAGCCGCUGUAUGUUCCUCCGUUCGGAGAGAGCGUUCAGUGUUUCCGUUGACCGUGAUGACUCCUCGAGGGCCUGGCAUCUUGAGCUUAAGGUAUGCGUAGUGCGGUACCGUGUUGAACUUUGCAAACGCGGUGCGUCCGAGCAGAGCAUGAUAGCCGCUGCGGAACGGAACUAUGUCGAAGAUUAACUCUUCGCUUCGAAAGUUAUCCGGGGAUCCGAAUACCACUUCCAGUGUAACUGAGCCUGUACAAUUGGCCUCUACACCUGGUAUGACGCCUUUAAAGGUCGUCUUUGUAGAUUUAAUCCUUGAGGGGUCUAUACUCAUUUUGCACACUGUAUCCUGAUAAAGCAGGUUCAGGCUGCUGCCGCCGUCCAUCAGGACUCUGGUGAGGUGAAAUCCAUCAAUGAUUGGGUCUAAAAACAAUGCGGCGAAUCCGCCAUGGUGGAUGCUGGUGGGGUGGUCCCUUCGGUCAAAAGUGAUUGGGCAGGAGGACCAUGGAUUGAACUUCGGGGCAACUGGCUCCAUCGCGUAUACAUCCCUGAGUGCUCGCUUCCGCUCCCUUUUGGGUAUGUGGGUUGCGUAUAUCAUGUUCACCAUCCGCACUUGUGGGGCGAAACCCUUCUGUCCUCUAUUGUUCGGCGGUCGGGUUUCUUCCUCGUCAUCGCUAUGCAGCCCCUUGUCGUUGUUUUCGGCAAUUACCUUGCCUGCCUGCUUGAAUACCCAACAGUCCCUAUUGGUGCGGUUAGCUGGCUUUUUGGGGGUGCCGUGUAUCUGGCACGAGCGGUCGAGUAUUCGGUCCAAAUUGGACGGACUCGGAGUAGUUCUUUUGAAUGGCUUUUUCCGUUGAUCGGGUUUAGAGCCUCUGAAUCCGGCAUUGACUGCCGUAUCCUCACUAUUGUCGCUGUUAAUGCGGCGUUUGUUUUUGUUGCGACGCGGCCUACCAUUGCGGUCCUUGAUAUCCGGACUGCCAGAAUUUUUACUGAGGUUGUUGCUGCGUGCUAGCCAGCUGUCCUCACCCGCGCAGAAGCGGGUCAUGAGUGAUGUGAGGGCUGCCAUGGAUUUCGGCUUUUCCUGUCCCAGGUGCCGGGCAAGCCACUCGUCGCGGAUGUUAUGUUUGAAUGCCGCGAGGGCCUCCGCAUCCGGACAAUCGACGAUUUGAUUUUUCUUGGUUAAGAACCGUGUCUAGAAUUGUCUGGCCGAUUCGUCUGGCUGCUGAAUUAUAUGGCUUAGGUCGUCAGCGUCUGGUGGUCGCACGUACGUGCCUUGGAAGUUAUCGAGGAAUGCGGCUUCCAGGUCUUCCCAACUCCCAAUUGACUCUGCUGGCAAGCUGUUAAGCCAAUGCCGGGCUGGUCCUUUAAGCUUGAGUGGGAGAUAUUUGAUGGCGUGGAGAUCAUCACCGCGGGCCAUGUGGAUAUGAAGGAGAUAGUCCUCGAUCCAAACCGCGGGGUCUGUUGUGCCAUCAUAAGAUUCAAUGUUCACGGGUUUAAACCCUUCGGGGAUUUGAUGAUCCAUUACUUCAUAUGUGAAGCAUAGUGGGUGUGCGGCACCUCUGUACUGGGCGAUAUCACGACGGAGUUCAAAAGAGCUUCGUAUAUUUUGUUCGGCCCGGCCGGACUUACUGUGUCCGGCGCGACGAUUGUCCUCGGGUAUCAUGGGGCGCCCACGCGAUCCAUAGAUCGAUCUUGAUUGUCUUGCCUUAUCCUCCAAUAUAUCUCGCAAGUCCGGAGCAUUCCCCUGUGGCCUUGUGCUUUUCGAGCGAUGCCGGGGUACGGUUCUGGUGGAGGGCCUAGAGGCCUCUCUGUCGCGGCCACGGGGUGGUCGGUCAGCCGUAUUGUCUGCUGGUGAUCCAGGUUCAUAUGCCUCCUCCUCUAAUCGGGGGAGCAGCUUGCGUUUAGGGUAGCUUUUGGAGGGGCAGUCGAGCUCAUGCUCUUCGGCCGCAAGGACUUCAGUCCAUCUGUCGGCUAGCAGAUCUUGAUCAGCUCUAAGCUGUUGCUGCUUUUUCUUGUGGCUGUUUGCCGUGGCCAUAAGCCUGCGUUUAAAACGCUCUUGUUCGACGGGAUCCUCAGGCACGACGAAUUCGUCGUUGUCGAGGCUUGCCUCGUCUCCGGAGGGAGGCAUGUAAUCCUCUACUUCUUCGUCUGCUGCUUUCUCAUGAGGGCUGGCGUCGCCGUCCUCCUGUGCUGAAUCUUGCUGGAGGGGGUUGUCUUCGGCACUGUCUGGGGUGUUAUUAUCUCCGAUGUCGGAAUCUCCGUUCUUGCUGUGGCGGGAUUUAGAGCGGCGCCGCUGACGCCGGCGCUUGGGCUGUUUCUUGGAGGGGUCAUCCUCCGCUGUUCCUUCGCCAUUCCCAUCCUUUGGGAUAUCCACCAUUUAUAUGUCAUAUGAUGAGGUGGCUUUCCAGUGCCCAGUAGGCGCUGGUUCUUGGUCGUCUCCGGCAUCUUCGUCCAUACCGUCGAUGUCUUCGGAGUCGAAGUCUAGCAUGUCGGUUAGAUCGUCGACAGUGGCUACUAAGUGGGUGAUGGGUGGGCUUUGAAUAUCUUCGUCGUCCGCAUCCCAACCGUCCUGACCGCAGUCCGGCCAGGGCUCUCCUGAUAACGAGAGAUAUUUUAGCGAACUUAAGAUGUCGCCAAAAGGUGAGUGUUGAAAGAUGUCCGCAACGGUGAACUCCAUGACCGGUGCCCAAUCGGAGUCGAUUGGAGGGGGCGCGGGAGGUUCGGAGUCCGGCGAGGAGUCCGGCACCUCGGAGUCACGAGCUUCAUGAGGGACAAGGUCAGUGUUCGGCUCUAUCGCCGUAGAGGUUGCAGCCCCCGAGGCGGUGUCUAGCCACCCAUCCUCGAUCUGCGCAGCCGGCUCCGAGUUGGAGGUCAGAGCGGACUCGUGUGCGGCCUCCAGGUUACUAUCCGGCUGCAGAGCUAAGUCAUGCCCGUCGUGACAGUGCGGCGCGCUCGGCUGUGGCUCGAAUCCUUCGAAGAUCAAGUCCCCGCGGAUGUCAGCCGUGAAGUUCAAACUUCCAAAUCUGACCUGAUGGCCAGGGGUGUAGCUUUCGAUCUGCUCCAGAUGGCCAAGCGACUUGGCCCGCAGUGCAAAGCCGCCGAAUACGAAGAUCUGUCCGGGGAGGAAGGUCUCACCCUGGACUGCAUCGUUGUUGAUGAUUGGAGAAGCCAUCGAUCCUAUCGGUGACGACACAGAGGAACUCCUAAUGAAAGCAUCAAUUUCGGUGUCAAAACCGGCGGAUCUCGGGUAGGGGGUCCUGAACUGUGCGUCUAGGCGGAUGGUAACAGGAGACAAGGGACACGAUGUUUUACCCAGGUUCGGGCCCUCUUGAUGGAGGUAAAACCCUACGUCCUGCUUGAUUGAUAUUGAUGAUGUGGGUAUUACAAGAGUAGAUCUACCACGAGAGCAAGGAGGCUAAACCCUAGAAGCUAGCCUAUGGUAUGAUUGUUGUUUGUCCUACGGACUAAAACCCUCCGGUUUAUAUAGACACCGGAUAGGUUAGGGUUACACAGAGUCGGUUAAAAUGGUAGGAGAUCUACAUAUCUAUAUCGCGCCAAGCUUGCCUUCCACGCCAAGGAAAGUCCCAUCCGGACACGGGACGAAGUCUUCAAUCUUGUAUCUUCAUAGUCUUGGAGUCCGGCCGAUAAUGAUAGUUCGGCUAUCCGGACACCCCCUAUUCCAGGACUCCCUCAGUCCUGCCAGCUAUGCUCUUACCAAAGAAGAGAUGGAAGUCUUCUUUGAAUGCCUGCUUAGUAUGAAGGUUCCGACUGGCUUCUCAUCGAAUAUAAAGGGAAUAAUAAAUAUGCCAGAGAAAAAGUUCCAGAACCUAAAGUCUCAUGACUGCCACGUGAUUAUGACGCAACUGCUUCCGGUUGCAUUGAGGGGGCUUCUACCGGAAAACGUCCGAUUAGCCAUUGUGAAGCUAUGUGCAUUCCUCAAUGCAAUCUCUCAGAAGGUGACCGAUCCAGAAAUCAUGCCAAGGCUAAGGAGUGAUGUGGUGGAAUGUCUUGUCAGUUUCGAGCUUGUGUUCCCACCAUCCUUCGUCAAUAUCAUGAUGCACGUCCUAGUUCAUCUGGUCGACGAGAUUGUCAUUCUGGGCCCCGUAUUUCUACACAAUAUGUACCCCUUUGAGAGGUUCAUGGGACUCCUAAAGAAAUAUGUCCAUAACCGCGCUAGGCCAGAAGGAAGCAUCUCCAUGGGCCAUCAAACAGAGGAUGUCAUCGGGUUUUGUGUUGACUUCAUUCCUGGCCUUAAGAAGAUAGGUCUCCCUAAAUCGCGGUAUGAGGGGAGACUGACUGGAAAAGGCACGCUUGGAAGGGACUCAAUAAUAUGCAGGGACGGAUAUUCUUGGUCUCAAGCGCGCUACAUAGUUCUACAAAACCCUACCUUGGUGACCCCGUAUGUCAAUGAACAGAAGAACAGUCUGCGCUCCAAACACCCGGAGCAGUGCGACGACUGGAUUACAUGUGAACACAUCAGGACUUUCAGCAGUUGGUUGGAAACAUGUCUCAGAGGUGACAACACUGUUUGUGAUGAGCUGUACUUGUUGUCCAGGGGACCAUCCUCGACUGUUACGAUUUUGAAAGGAUACGAGAUAAAUGGGAAUACAUUUUACACGAUUGACCAAGAUAAAAAGAGAACCAACCAAAAUAGCGGUGUCCGCUUUGAUGAAACAACUGAGAGGGGAAAGGACACGUAUUAUGGUUACAUAGUGGACAUAUGGGAACUUGACUACGAACAUGAUUUUAAGGUUCCUUUGUUGAAGUGCAAAUGGGUCAAUCUGUCAGGAGGCGGGGUACAGGUAGACCCACAGUACUGAAUGACAACAGUGGAUCUGAAAAAUCUUGGGUAUACUGACAAACCGUUCGUCCUAGCCAAUGAUGUGGCACAGGUUAUCUAUGUGAAGGACAUGUCUACAGACCGAGAAAAAGAAAAGAUAAGGAAGUGAAUACAUCAUACGAUGAGCCAAAGCGCCACAUAGUUCUUUCAGGGAAAAGGGACAUCGUCGGAGUGGAGGGCAAGACAGACAUGUCUGAAGAUUAUGAAAAGUUUGAUGAAAUUCCUCCCUUCAAAGUCAAGGCUGAUCCCAGCAUCCUGAUAAACGAUGAAGAUUAUCCAUGGUUACGGCGCAAUAAGCAAAUGACACGAGUGAAGAAAAAGUGAAGACUUUCUCCCGCAACUAUUAUGAUGAUACCAUGCCAACUUUGUAACAGACGAGUAUGAUACCAUUGUCCGUUUUGUACAUGCACAUGCUAUGUGCGUGAAAUUAUGAUACCAUGCCAACUUUCAACUUUUUCAGAGUUCAUUUGAAAUGCUUUAAUGUCUUAUGGUUCGGCCCUCGUAAUACCAUUAAUCCCGGUUCGCUCCUUGUCAACUAUGUUCUCACCAAGAACACUCUCAAGAGGGCAGACACAUGGGCCAUUGGUCCCGGUUCGUCUGGACGUUUUUCUCUACUCAAAUUUGAAAACUAAUGGCACUAACAGAAAGUUUAUAAUUUUUCUAAAACUAAUGGCACUAACAGAAAGUUUAUAAUUUUGCUGACCUAAAAGCAAAAAGAAUUAAAAAAUAAAGCAAAAAACAAAAGAAAAUAAAUAAUGCAGAAAACAAAACAAAAAACUGGAAAGAAAAUAAAAAUAGCAACAAUAAUUAUUUUGUUGUAAGUAGAAACAAAAUAAAAUAAAUAAAGCAAAAAAGAAAAAAAAGUGUUUUCAAAUUUGAAAACUAAUGNNNNNNNNNNNNNNNNNNNNNNNNNNNNNNNNNNNNNNNNNNNNNNNNNNNNNNNNNNNNNNNNNNNNNNNNNNNNNNNNNNNNNNNNNNNNNNNNNNNNNNNNNNNNNNNNNNNNNNNNNNNNNNNNNNNNNNNNNNNNNNNNNNNNNNNNNNNNNNNNNNNNNNNNNNNNNNNNNNNNNNNNNNNNNNNNNNNNNNNNNNNNNNNNNNNNNNNNNNNNNNNNNNNNNNNNNNNNNNNNNNNNNNNNNNNNNNNNNNNNNNNNNNNNNNNNNNNNNNNNNNNNNNNNNNNNNNNNNNNNNNNNNNNNNNNNNNNNNNNNNNNNNNNNNNNNNNNNNNNNNNNNNNNNNNNNNNNNNNNNNNNNNNNNNNNNNNNNNNNNNNNNNNNNNNNNNNNNNNNNNNNNNNNNNNNNNNNNNNNNNNNNNNNNNNNNNNNNNNNNNNNNNNNNNNNNNNNNNNNNNNNNNNNNNNNNNNNNNNNNNNNNNNNNNNNNNNNNNNNNNNNNNNNNNNNNNNNNNNNNNNNNNNNNNNNNNNNCUUUACGCCCUUUGGGCUGCUGAAAAGAGGCCUUUGGUCCCGGUUGGUGGCACGAACCGAGACUAAACGGUGUAUUAGUCCUGGUUGGUGCCACGAACCGGGACCAAUGCUCUUGAUAUAUGUACAACACUUAGCAGUUUUGGACCAAAUCCCCCACUUCUCCCUGCUCCUCCUCGUCGCCGUCGCCGCCCGACGCCCCUGCUCCACCUUGCCAUCGCCGCCGCCACCGACGCCGUCAGGCUGCUCGCCUUCGCCGUCGCCGCCGCCACCGACGCCGUCACGCUGCUCGCCUUCGCCGUCGCCGCCGCCCCCUGUGAGCAGUCCCGUGCCCCACCCGUCCCGCGCACCUGCGCGGCCGACGCGCCGCCGCCCCUGCCCUGCAUUUUUUUUGUGUAUAUGUGUAUAUAUGCAUUUUUUGUGUAUAUGUGUAUAUAUGUGUAUAUAUGUGUUUGUAUGUGUAUAUAUGUGUAUUUUUUGUGUAUAUAUGUGUAUACAUAUAUGUGUUUGUAUGUGUAUAUAUGUGCAUUUUUUCAUAUAUAUAAUGUAUAUAUGUAUGUGGUAGCUAUAUGAUGAAUGGAUGUGGCUAUCUAUGUAUGAAUAUAAUGUUCAUAGCAUUUUUUUUGUUUAUAUAUGUUUUUUAAUAUGUGUAUUAAUUUUUUAUUUAGGUUGUUAGUAGAUAUCGAUUUUAGGUUAGUGCAUUUUAGGUUAGUGUAGAGGAAAAAGUAAAAUAAGGAAAAGGAUGAAAAGAAGAAGAAGGAAGAAGGAAGAAGAAGAAAAAGAAGAGGGGAAGAAGAAAGGAAUAGAGGAGAAGAAGAAAAAAUAGAAAAUAUUCCAUUUUUUCUUCUUCUUCUCCUCUUUUUUUCUUUUUUUUUCUUCGAUCUUCUCCUCUGUCGUCGUCGAUAUACCCCCCCUCGGCCCUCUCGCUCGACCAAAACUCUCGAGGACACCCAAACCCUAGAGAAAAAACGAUGUUGGUCUCCUACCCCCUCCCGCUGCACCCCUACCCGACGAACUCUCUUGAGGCCACCCAAAUUUACCAAGUUAAAAGAGUGUUGUCGUCGAGGCCACCCCAAACCCUUGAAGCGUUGUGUCAAGGCUACCCCAAACCCUUGAAGCGUUGUCUAGGCCACCCCAAACCCUAGAGAAGCAGCGUCGAGGCCACUAACAUGAUUCCUUAUUGUGAUUAGCUAGCUAGUUCUACGUUUGCCACUAAUAUAUAUCCAUCUGUACCAUGUUUGAAUAAUAAUUGACAUGUUGUAAAUAUUUGCAGAAACUAUGGAGCACUACCGAGACGAAGCAACAGAAGCGAUGUUGGGGGAGAUAAUCGCAGAAGGAACUGAUGUCAUUGCGUCAUUUUUCAACGACAUCGUUGGUCAGGAAGGACUGGGUGAAGAAGAGGGCUAUGUUCAUGAUGGCUCCGGCCCAUUAAUGCCGGUACAAGAAGAGGGCUAUGUUCAUGAUGGCUCCGGUGAUGACCCAAUGGAGGUACAAGAAGGAGACCAUGCUGACUGCUCCGGUGACCGAACCGAGUCCGGCCAGGUGUAUAUAUAUUAGUUAAGCCCGUGCUAACUAGUUAAUUGAUGCAUUCAUUGUUUUGGCAUAUGUACACAUAUUAGUUAACUUUCUUCCUUUUUCUACCCCUCCGGAUCGAGCACAACUUCGGUAAGGAGACGAGGACCGAAGAAAAAGUUGAGCUCGGAUGAAAGGUUUGAGAUCACAGCAAUCGCGCGCGACGGCGAACCGAUUGAACCCAUCCGGACAAAGAACACAUUUGUUGCUCAGUGCGGGGUUCUUGUUAGGGACAAGAUCCCGAUCAGCAUCCACCAAUGGUAUAAGCCUAAGGAGGAAGACCCUCAGGUGUCUUAUGUCAAUGAUAUGCAGAAGAAUGAUCUUUGGACUGAGCUGAAGGCAAAUUUCACCCUACCGCCAUAGGAGGAUCCGGAAAAGCCAGUUAAAGAGCAAUUAAUCAAGUCUUGUGCUCUUAAGAAGAUGGCAGACCUAUUCAGGAGGUGGAGGAAAGAGAUGAAAAAGUUUGUCGACAAAGAAGAGACACCAGAAUUCAUCGGUAAAUAUGAGAAGAUGAGAGAUCACUGGCCCGCAUUUGUGGCCUACACGACAUCGGAAAAGAGUAAGAAGAUGUCAGUGACAAACAAGCUAAAUGCUGCAAAGAAGAAGUUUCACCAUCGCACGGGGUCAGGUAGCUACCUGCAAGCCCGGCCUAAGUGGUCCAAGGCUGAGAAUGAUCUGCUUGAUAAAGGGAUCGAACCGGAGACAAUGAGAUGGCUAGACCGUUGCCGGACUUGGUUCUUCGGGGCUGGCGGAACCUUGGACCCUAUAUCAGGGAAGUGUCGUUGGACGGACGAGCAACUGAAAACACCAGUCACAAGGCUUCGGAAGUAUAUCCAUACAACGCAGCAAGGGACGUUCGUUCCAGACAGGGAGAAGGACGAGCUCACAAUGGCCCUCGAGAAUCCUGAGCACCCUGGACGGACAUGAGGCACGCCAGGCUCCAUUCCGUGGAAGGUUAGUUUUCCGGACGCACGGGUUUACAAAACCCACGAGACGAGGAAGAAACUGGAGCAGAGUCAACAGCACGCGCUGCACGAAAGGGUAAUGGGGCUAGAGGAGCGAGAAGAGGAACGAGAAGCAGCUGAUCGCAGCAAACAACCUACCGAAGCUUCCCCUGAAGCUACCCCGCCAUCUCAGCGGAGAAGUAGCAUGGAUUCCACCGAGCUGCUUCAGCCGGAGCAUGUCUUGACGGCUCCUGCCAGCUAUCCCGUCGAUGCUAUCACUGGGGCUCAAAAUUGCCACAUUAUGACAUGAUGGAUGAAUUUGAAGGUCAAGGCGGUUGUUGGCUAUGUUUAUCCUACUGAACAAGGCGCAACUUAUCACUGCCGGCCGAUUCCAGAAGGAUAUGUCAGGGUGAUGGUGGAUGAAAUAACGGAGGGAUUUGAGGACCUCCAGCUUGACUACCCUACCGGUGAAGGGGAGACUAGGCUGGGUUCUGCUCUAAAGACUCCAUGCCCAUGGCGGAAGGAGCUCAUCAACCUUCCGAACUGGACGCCUCCGCCUCCUCCUCCUCCUCCGGCAAGUCAGGGCACUCUGCCUCCUCCACCGCCUCCUCCUCCGGCGAGUGUCGAUCAGGGCACUGGGCCUCCUUCUCCGGCGCGUGGCGGCACUCCGCCUCCUUCUCCGCCUGCGCCGGCACGCCCGAGCAUCUAGCAUUCUCCUCCUUCUCCGGCGUGUGGUGGCACUCCGCCUCCUUCUCCGCCUGCGCUGGCGUGCCUGAGCAACCAGCAGCCUCCUCCUUCUCCGGCGCGUGAUGGCACUCCGCCUCCUUCUCCGCCUGCACCGGCGCGCCCGAGCAGCCAACACCUUCCUCCUUCUCUGCCUCGCCAGCAAGGGCGGAAGAGACCCGCCGCCGCCCCGGCUGCUCCGGCGCGUCGUAGUCCGUCUCCUCCGCCUCGUAAGUAAGCACGAAAGAAGACAGGCGCCACAGCCCCUCCGUCUGCUCCGGCGUCUAGCAGUACAGCCAACAGAGGCGGGAGGCAAUACAUAUACGGUCCACCUCUCAAGCCUCUAGAGAAGUUACCAUAUGAGAGGACCGAGGAGGAAAACGCGACGAUCAUGCGGGCCCACGUGAAGGACUUCUUUGAAGGGGUGAAAGCAAAGAGACAUCCACCUCCGGAGGAGAAGGUAGAUCCGGUGAAAGCAAAGCGCACUAUCGAUGCCCUGAGGAAACCACCAAAGUCUCCGCCGAGAGCCAACUAUGAGCGCAUUACUGAACAGACAUAUCUCGAAGCCUAGCGGUAGGGAAGUACUGUCAAUGAUAAAAGGUUAAAAGAACGAGCAGCUGGGAAAAAAAAUGCCCAGCUCGGUGAACAAGCAUAGCAAUCGUGCCCCCCGCUCAAUGUGUCUAAUGCUGCGGGGACGAUGGCCGGUUAUGGCAAUCUUGAAGAUUACCUACCUGACGAUCAACUUCCUGAUUUCUUGGAGGUGGACGAACACAAAUACGAGUACGGGAAGCCUCUCGUCAAAGAUAAAAAAUCUCUGACAACUAUGAUGCGAAGAUUCCAUAAUUGGUACAUGAAAACCUACAAAGAGUCUGGGGGGACGAAUGCUUUGUAUCUGAAUAUUAAAGAGGAGCACGACCUCGUUGCAACUGAUCUGUUGACUGUUCCAUUUGAUGAGUUCUUCGCGUUCUUCAAUCAAAAGGCCCUCGAUAAACUAAUGGUCUUUUGCUACUGUCUGUAAGUACUAUUUCUGUCAUUAAUUCUCUAUAUAUAGCUCGGCUCUUUCAUUGCAUGUAUUUAUAAUUAAUUAUCCUCACAAUAUUAUGCAGAUUGAAGAUCGUCGAGUGCAAAAAACAAGAAAUGUAUGAUAUUGGGUUCAUUAACACAAAUAUCAUAGAUGAAUUUUUGGUUAAAAAGCACCCCGCUGAGGCCGAGGAGAACUUGCUACAAUCGUUGAUCAAAAAUCAAAACAAAGAUUUAAUACUCUUUCCUUACAACUCCCAGUGAGUGUUACUGUCGUGUGCAUAUUCGGUUUCGCUUAUUACUCGAGCGAGGUUAUAGUAAUGUAAUUGAUGAGUUAUGCAUGCGUGCGCAGAUUCCACUAUGUUCUUCUGGAGAUUGAGCUUGAGCGGGGAGUAGUAAACGUCUUAGACUCGAGAAGAAAAGAUCCCCAAACCUAUGCGGACAUGACUGAAAUACUCAACAAGUAAGUUCAAUCGAUCAUUUAUCGCACCAUAUCGACAACUUUUUGUUCAUUUCCUGAUAUCUCAAGUGAUAAUAUUUAUUUUCUUUGUCUUGCGGGGUUUGGAAACAGUUCACCGCAGAAGUUCCGGGACUGCCGAAGGAGCUGAGAUAUACAUACCCGAAAGUAAGUACUACUAGCUAGCUAGUUGCGCGCAUCUCCCGUUGAUUCACUAGUAGAAAAAGGGUCAAACGUGAAGCACAUUAGUGCCAGUUUGUAUUAGAGCCGGCACAAAUGUAUACAUUAGUGCCGGUUCCAACGGCUAGCCUGGCCGCUCUCAUUAGUACCGGUUCGUGGCUAACCUUUAGCACCGGUUCGUGCCACGAACCGGUACUAAUGAGGGUGGUGGUAGGAUGUUGUCAGUCUGGGCCCCCUCCAGCACCUUUAGUACCGGUUCGUGCCACGAACCGGUACUAUAGGUCCUCCUGCAUAUAAACCCUUCGUCCAGCUCGCUCUGUUCUUCCCCCUUUCCCCUCUCCUCUCCUCUCUGUUCUUCCUCUUCCCCUCGAGCUCAUCACACAUUUUGCCCAAAAUUUGUCAAGAUUUGAAGGCCCCCAUCCAUUCAAGUGAUGACAAAGGUUAGCAACUUUGUCCUUUCAUCUCUCAUUGCUAGAUUAGCUCUUGCAAUGCUUUAUAUAGUUAUUAAUUUGUGAGUUUAGUAAUUUGGGAGGAAAUAUAUAUAUGUGCUAGUAUUUGAUUUAUAUGCAAAAAUAACACUUAGUUUGCAUAUGUAGGUGUGGUUUACUUAGUGCCUUCUAAAUCUCCAUCGUAACCACCAUCGAUCGCCCGCACCGUCCCGUCGCCGGCACCACCUUGUGGUGAGCCUCUUGUUCAUGAAUUUUUAUAUAAAAAUUUGAUGUUUGUGUGAUUUGGAUAUAUAGUUAAUCAUGUAAUAAUUAUCUUACCCGUACGUUGUUUGUUAUACAUAGUGCCAUGGUUUUGAUAUCCGUCCCCGUCAGCCCUCGUCCUUGUUAUGAUUCGGAUGUGGUAUAUUCUCUUUUAAAACUAUUUGUUGCAUUUCGUGUUUAUGACAAAUUAUGCCCAUCAAGUUGACAUAGAUAUUUUUAUCUAGGAGGUAUGUGAACCGGAAAUUCCAACCGACCCUAUUGUCGAGAGGUUAAAUUUAGUUGAAAGAGAAAACGAGUACUUGAAAGAAAAAUUGAAAAGAAUUGAGGGGGAGAAGAUGGAAUUGGAGUUGCAUGUUGCCGAUGUCGUCGAUGAUCACAAGAUCAAGAUGGAGAAAAUGCACUUGAAGAUUAGAAAGAUUAGAAAAUAUGCCAUCGAUGGUGAGGCUUGGUAUCAUUAUGCUGUUGGAUCAAUUGUUACCUUAGUUGCAAUCUUGAUCGCAUUUGUUGUUGCAUUUAAAUGCUUUAGCUAGAGAGUUAUUUGUUUGUUGCAUUUAAGUGUUGUAUGAACUUUAUGUAUGAACUUGUAAUAAUUUGGUCUAUUCGCUGUUGUGUAAUGAAGAUGAGCCGGCAAUGGAUGUACGAUGACCGAUGCUCUCCCUAGUUCAUUGAGCGCGUGCAUACUUUUCUGCUUGCGGCUGAGGCAAACAAGCGGGCGGAUGGUUUUAUGCCUUGUCCAUGUGCUGGCUGUAAGAAUGGUCACAAUUACUCUACGUCAAGAACCAUUCAUGUCCACCUGUUUGAGUCCGGUUUCAUGCCCCACUAUAAUGUUUGGACCAAGCACGGAGAAAGAAGGGUUAUGAUGGAAGACAAUGAAGAAGAAGAGGACGACGACAGCUAUCCUGGCCAUGGGUUCCCUGAAUACGAUGAUACAACAAUGGGGGAAGAAGCUGAGCCGGUAAUGCGGGAAGAAGCUGAGCCGGAAAUGCGGGAAGAAGCUGAAGAAGAGGCAUCAGAUGAGCCCGUUGAUGAUCUAGGUCGGGCCAUUGCCGAUGCAAAGAGAAACUGCGCAAGUGAUUUGGAGAAGAAGAAGUUGCAGCGCAUGUUAGAGGAUCACAAAAAAUUGUUGUACCCGAAUUGCAUAGGUGACAAAGAAAAAGCUGGGCACCACACUGGAAUUGUUGCAAUGGAAGGCAGAGAAUGGUGUAUCUGACAAGGGAUUUGGAAAGUUGCUGGUAAUGAUAAAGGAUAUGCUUCCAAAGGACAACGAAUUGCCCGAGAGUACGUACGAAGCAAAGAAGGCUGUCUGCCCUGUAGGGUUAGGGGUGCAGAAGAUACAUGCAUGCCCUAAUGAUUGCAUCCUCUACCACGGUGAGUACGAGGAUUUGAACGCUUGCCCAGUAUGUGGUGCAUUGCGCUAUAAGAUCAGCCGCGAUGAGCCUGGUGAUGUCGAGGGCGAGCGCCCCAGGAAGAAGAUUCCUGCCAAGGUGAUGUGGUAUUCUCCUAUAAUACCACGGUUGAAACGUUUGUUCCAAAACAAAGAGCAUGCCAAGGCGAUGCGAUGGCACAGAGAAGACCGUAAGAAAGACGGAAAGUUGAGAGUACCCGCUGACGGGUCGCAGUGGAGAAAAAUCGAAAGAAAGUACGGGAAGGAGUUUGUAGAUGACGCAAGGAGCGUAUGGUUUGGUCUAAGCGCAGAUGGCAUUAAUCCUUUUGGGGAGCGGAGCAGCAACCAUAGCACCUGGCCUGUGACUCUAUGUUUGUAUAACCUUCCUCCUUGGUUGUGCAUGAAGGGGAAGUUCAUUAUGAUGCCAGUGCUCAUCCAAGGCCCUAAGCAACCCGGCAACGACAUUGAUGUGUACCUAAGGCCAUUAGUUGAAGAACUCUUACAACUGUGGAAUGGAACAGGUGUACGUGCGUGGGAUGAGCAGAUGGGGGAAGAAUUUGACCUAAAGGCGUUGCUGUUCGUGACCAUCAAUGAUUGGCCUGCUCUCAGUAACCUUUCAGGACAGACAAACAAGGGAUACCGCGGAUGCAUGCACUAUUUGGAUGAUACCGACAGUAUAUAUUUGAAUAGUUGUAAGAAGAAUGUGUACCUGGGACAUCGUCGAUUUCUUCCGAGCAGGCAUCCCGUAAGAAAGAAAGGCAAGCAUUUCAAAGGUGAGGCAGAUCACCGGACGAAGCCUCGCCACCGUACUGGUGCUGAUGUACAUGAUAUGGUCAAGGAUUUGAAGGUGAUAUUUUGAAAGGGUCCUGGCGGACAACCUGUUCCGAAGGACGCGGACGGACGCGCACCCAUGUGGAAGAAGAAAUCUAUAUUUUGGGACCUGCCAUAUUGGAAAGACCUAGAGGUCCGCUCCGCAAUCGACGUGAUGCACGUGACGAAGAAUCUUUGCAUGACCCUGCUUGGCUUCUUGGGCGUGUAUGGGAAGACAAAAGAUACACCUGAGGCACGGGAGGACCAGCAACGUAUGCACGGAGAAGACGGCAUACAUCAGGGUCAUGCAAGCUACGCUCUUACCAAAGAGGAGAAGGAAAUCUUCUUUGAAUGCCUGCUCAGUAUUAAGGUACCGUCUGGCUUCUCGUCGAAUAUAAAGGGAAUAAUAAACAUGGCAGAGAAAAAGUUCCAGAACCUAAAGUCUCAUGACUGCCACGUGAUUAUGACGCAACUGCUUCCGGUUGCAUUGAGGGGGCUUCUACCGGAAAACGUUCGAUUAGCCAUUGUGAAGCUAUGUGCAUUUCUCAAUGCAAUCUCUCAGAAGGUAAUCGAUCCAGAAAUCAUACCAAGGUUACAGAAUGAUUUGGUGCAAUGUCUUGUCAGUUUCGAGUUGGUGUUCCCACCAUCCUUCUUCAACAUCAUGAUGCACGUCCUAGUUCACCUAUGCGAAGAGAUUAAUGUUUUGGGUCCUGUAUUUCUACACAAUAUGUUCCCCUUUGAGAGGUUCAUGGGAGUCUUAAAGAAAUAUGUUCAUAACCGUGCUAGGCCAGAAGGAAGCAUCUCCAAGGGCCAUCAAAAUGAGGAGGUCAUUGAGUUUUGUAUUGACUUUAUUCCUGACCUUAAGCCGAUUGGUGUUCCUGAAUCGCGGCAUAAGGGCAGACUGGAUGGAAAAGGCACGCUAGGAGGGGAACAAAUAAUAUGUAUGGACGGACAUUCUCUCACUGAAACACACUACAUAGUUCUACAGAAUUCCACCUUGGUGGCUCCGUAUAUGGAUGAACACAAGAAUUUGCUAUGCUCCAAACACCCGGAGCGGUCUGAUGACUGGAUUACACGUGAACAAACCAGGAGUUUCGCCAACUGGUUGCAGACACGUACCAUGCAUGACACCUCUAUUGAAGAUGACCUGUACUUGCUGUCCUAGUUACCAUCUUGGAAUAUAAUGACUUUCAAAGGGUACGAGAUAAAUGGUAAUACAUUUUACACGAUCGCAAAAGAUAAGAAGAGCACCAACCAAAACAGUGGUGUCCGCUUUGAUGCAGAAACCAAGACGGGAAAGGAAACAUAUUAUGGUUUUAUACAGGAUAUAUGGGAACUUGACUAUCGACGUGGUUUAAAGGCCCCUUUGUUUCGGUGCAAAUGGGUCAAUAUGACACGAGGCGGGGUAACGGAAGACCCGCAGUACGGAAUCACAACAGUGGAUCUCAACAAUCUUGCGUAUGCAGACGAACCAUUCGUCCUAGCCAAUGAUGUGGCAUAGGUUUUCUAUAUGAAGGACAUGUCUACCAAGCCAAGAAAAAGAAAAGAUAAGGAAGAGAAUGCAUCGUACGAUGAGCCAAAGCGGCACAUAGUUCUUUCUGGGAAGAGAAACAUCGUGGGAGUGGAUGACAAGACAGACAAGUCAGAAGAUUAUGAAAAGUUUGAUGAAAUUGCUCCAUUCACAGUGAAUAUUGACCCGAGCAUCCCGUUAAAUGAUGAAGAUUUUCCAUGGUUACGGCGCAAAGGGACACACGCGAAGAAAAAGUUUCACACCCAAAGAUCUGGGAUGUGAUCGGCUUCACUAUCAUCACUUUCUUCUGUGUUUCACACCCAGGAGGGAAUGUCUGUAAUAGUUAGGGUAGUUAUGUAUUUUGGCAUUUGAAACGCGAAGAAAUUUUAUGUGCAAACAAAUUCUUUUCAUGCAUUUACUGAUUUUUUUCCAGCUAAAUGACCCUGAAAUUGAAAAGCAAUAUAAAUGAACUCAGAAUAGGUUGAAAGUUGGCAUGGUAUCAUAAUUUCAUACAAAUAGCAUGUGCAAGAAAGUAGAGAGGGUUAAGGCAAAAACUGGAUGCACUUCGUGUACAAAAUGGAUAAUCUCUUUCGAAGUAUCAGGGUUUCCGACGAAAACUGAACUGUUACAAAGGCAUUUCAUUUUUUAAAUAACCUAAGCAUUACUAAAUUGAAUAUAAUGAUAAAACACACUAAUAUUAAACAUAAGAAAAAAGAAUCACUGAAAAAACCUUUUUCAAAGUUAAGUUAUUCACAAACUAGUGAUUCACACAAAUUUCAAAUAAUUCAAAAUUUAAACUAUUCAAAUUUGAAAUCUACCGGCACUAACAGAAAGUUUGCAAUUUUUUGUACCUAAAGCAAAAAUAUUCACAAAGAAACUCUAAAUACAGCAAAAAACAACUCAAAAAUAAAUAAAACAAAAAAAAUAAAGCAAAAAAAUAAAGCAAAAAAAAUUAAGAAAAAAAAGCCCGCCUACUGGGCCAAAGCGGCCUGCAUACGACUAGCGACACAACCUAUCGUUGGGCCAGGAUGCAGGCCCGUGAAGGCCCAGUAGGCCCACUAGGCGAAGAGGACAGGUAGGCCCAGUAGGCCUGGUUAGGAGAGGAGCUCGAGAGAGCUACCGCACUGGGGCUUAUAAACCAGUGUGGUAGCCCCUCGACUAGCGAGGUGGGACUAAACUUGCCGCACCGCACCUGCGCCAGCGCACCCCCUUUAGUACCGGGUCGUGGCACAAACCGGUACUAAAGGGGGGGCCUUUAGUACCGGUUUGUGCCACCACCCGGUACUAAAGGGGGUCGCUUCCCGCCGCUUGGCCUGGCCAAAACAGGCCUUUAGUACCGGUUGGUGGCUCCAACUGGUACUAAAGGUGCCCUCUAUAUAUGCUAGAGUGCGAAAAUUUCGUUUUCCCUCUCUGUUCGUUCCUCUGUUUCCGUCUUCGUCGCCGUCGCCGCCGCCCUCAAUCGUCUCCGUCGCCGCCCCCAUCCCCGUCGCCGCCCUCGUCUCCGUCGCUGCCCCGGGCCCGUCCUCGUCGCGUCGUCCCCGUCCCCGUCGCGCCGUCCCCGCCGUCGCCGCCCCGGCCGUCGCCUCGCCNNNNNNNNNNNNNNNNNNNNNNNNNNNNNNNNNNNNNNNNNNNNNNNNNNNNNNNNNNNNNNNNNNNNNNNNNNNNNNNNNNNNNNNNNNNNNNNNNNNNNNNNNNNNNNNNNNNNNNNNNNNNNNNNNNNNNNNNNNNNNNNNNNNNNNNNNNNNNNNNNNNNNNNNNNNNNNNNNNNNNNNNNNNNNNNNNNNNNNNNNNNNNNNNNNNNNNNNNNUUUAGAUAAUUAGUCUUUAAUUAGUUUAGAUUAUUUAGAUUAUUAUUUUGUAUGUUUAAUUAGUUUAGAUAAUUAGUGUUUAAUUAGUACACACACACACACGUAUUUUGUAUGUUUAAUUAGUUUAGAUUAUUUAGAUUAUUAUUUUUUCACUAUUAUAUAUGUAUGAAUGCAUGUUAGAUGGAUAUAAUUAGUGUUUAAUCAGUUAGAAAUUAGUGUUAUAUAGAAAUGUUAGAAAUUAGUGUUAUAUAGAAAUGUUAGAAAUGUUAGAAAUUUUAGUGUUAUUUAGAUUAUUUAGAUUAGCAUAAUUAGUGUUAUAUAGAAAUGUUAGAAAUUUUAGUUAUCAAAAUCCAAUCAUUAAAAAAAUGUUACUUUUUGCGGGCAUAUAGCUAGUAUUUGUUCUCGACGAUGCCCGGCCCGCAUCCUCGCCGUCGACCCGUCCGCGACGACGUCCAGCCGACCCAUGUCCGGGACUGGGCUCCGCCGGGCUGGCACUGGGAGGUGCUGCCUGGAGGGGCGCACCGCUUGAUGAGGAACCCGGCCCCGGGUCCCGUCAUCGACCCUGAUCUCGUUUGGUGGCGUUUGCGUGGGCCAGUUUCGGUGCGGAGGGACUCGGCCCCGCCGGAGGUGGUACGUCGCCGUGUUAGGGAGGAGGACGAGCACGUCCAUCGCUACAUGGUUGCGUUAGAGGGCGGCAGGUUCUCCAAUACGUGGCAGUUUUUUCAGGGAUCUCACUUCAGCUAUGAUCCUGUGAGGGUUCCUUCUCUUUGGGUGUCCACCGCCCGCGCCGGAGGAACGGCGAGUGUCCUAGAUUCUUCUGUAGUAUUCGAUCUUUAUUAGCUAAUAGCCAGUGAUGUACUAUUCAAUAUUAUAUAUUAUUCGAGACGAUGUAUUCGAGAUUAUAUCUAUUAUUCUAGAUGAUGUAUUCGAGAUUAUAUCUAUUAUUCGAGACGAUGUAAUUUGAAUACUAAAUUGUUUUAUAUUUCUUUUGGAUUAGUUAAACAAAAGCUAUGGCGGACAAUACCGACAGAGAGGGAGAACAGACCAUGUUCGAUAUGAUACGCGGGCGAGAUGAUAAUCAGAAUGAAGAAGAUUAUGAUGGCUCCGAAUUUCUAAACAACACCGGAGAGGGUGAUAUGAUAUUCGAUCGCGACGACCAAAUUGAUGAAGUCAUGAACUAUGAUUAUGACGAUGACGAAGAACAUGUUGAUCCUGAAACAACAAAGACCGACGAGGUAUAUAUAUUUAUAUAAGCAGGCAUCUGGUGAUCAUCACAUGUUUUAAAUGACUUGAAGAUAUAUUAACGAAUCGAUCUUUGUUCUUUCAGCCAUCCGGAUCGAGCAAAUCUUCAGGCAAAAUGACGAAACGAGGCCCGAACAAAAAGUUGAAGCCGGGCGUAAAGUACAAUAUCGAGGCAUCCAGCCCUACUGGCAAACCAUUAGCACCUAAGAAGAUUGUGGACAAGUUCGUUCCUCAGUGCGGAGUUCUUGUGAAGGACCAACUCCCAAUCAAACUUCAAGAAUGGAGAGAGCCAUCAAAGCCACGUCCAGAUGUUACUUUUGUUGACAAGAAUCAAAAAGAUCUGCUUUGGGAUACUCUCAUGGAACAUUUCACCCUACCAGAUCAUUUCACAGAAGCAGAUGUGCAGAAAGUCAAGGAGGCUGCUCUUAGGAUGAUGGCGAUUGCAUUCAAGAAUCACAAGAAUCGUGAAUGGAAGAAGUACGUCAAGGGAGGAAGGCAGACUCCAGUAUUCAAGGGAACACUAGAGAACCAACGUUAUCAUUGGGACAAUUUCGUGAAAUUCAAGGAUUCGGAAUUAGCUAAGGAACGGUCGAGAAUAAACAAGAAGAAUGCCGAAAAAAAGGAUAAGUUCCAUAAGCUGGGGCCAGGUGGCUAUGCGGUGGCAAUGCCUAAGUGGGAUAAGUCUGAGAAAGAGAUGGAGGAUGCAGGUGUCACUCCGGCUACUAAGAGCUGGCCCCCCAGGGUCAGGACUUGGUUCUAUGCGCAUGGGGGGAGUUGGACCCGGAGACAGGCAAUGUUUCGACGAGGGCAAGUCUGAAGGGAGCCGGCGAUGUGAUACUUAUUGCAAUAGAAGAGGCACGAUCGGGGGUGUUCCAGCCCAACACAGAGAACGACGAGCUUACGCGUGCCCUGGGAAAUCCUGAACACCCGAGAAGAACACGAGGCAAGGGCGCUAUUCCGUGGUAUGAGGGGUUUUCAGAAUGGAACACCGACUACAGAACCCGUGCGAGAAAGAAGAUUGCGGAGGAGAAGAAGAGGAAGAUGGAGGAGGAGCAGAGGAAGCGGGACUAUGAACGCCUUCAAGGCCUAGAAGCAAGUCAAGCGGAAUUGGCAGUCAAAUUCCAGCGGCAGCAGGAGCAGAUCGACUCACUUACCCAUCAAAGGGGGUCUCAGCAGCUGCAGCAGCUAGCGGAUGAUCCAACAUUGGAUAGCACCGGCCCAUCCAUGCCGAGAAGCAGCGUGGGUUCCGUCCCUGAAGACGCAAUGCUGGGUAGAUACCCCGUGGAUGACAUCACAGAGAACACUAACUGCGAGCUACAUGUCAAAAUGAAGAACAUAUCCAUGAAGGUGGCGGACGGCUUUGCUUUUACAAAUCCCCCCGAGGCAACCUUCCAUUGCAACCCGAUUCCAGCGGGCUAUGCUCGUGUCUUGGUUGAUGAGGUGGUGGACCCACCAUAUUCGGAGCUACGGCUUGACAUUGCUGGAGGUGACGGCGAGCGCUUUCUCGGAGAGGCCAAACAUCGUAUCAUCCUAUGGAAAAAGGAUUGCAUCAUCUUUUGAAGGCCACCGACACCGAGUCAGCCGAGUCCUCGUCGAAGUCCGCCACCGAGUCAGCAGACUCCCGCUCCUGCAAGUCCACCAAGUCCGGCAAAGUGUCAGGCCACUCCUCCUCCUCCAAGUCCGGCAAAGUGUCAGGACAAUCCUCCUCCUCCAAGUCCGCCACAACGUCAGACGUCCACUCCUCCUCCAAGUCUGGCACAACCUCAGGCCACUCCUCCUUGUCCAACUUAGCCCCGUCAGCCGUCUCCGCCGCCUCAGCAAUCACAGAAGAGAGACCCCGCAGCUAUGGUGCGUAGCGGUACGAGUCGAGGUAGUACAGGAAGUACAGGCGGAGGCAAGCGAUAUAAAUAUGGUCCAAGCCUCAAGCCUCUUCCGCAGAGGUCUUAUGACAGGUCCGAGGAGGAAAUCACAGCCAUAUCGAAGGCUGAGGUGGAAGACCAUUUUGCACCGAAACCGCCACCGCCGCCAAGGGAGAAAGUGCCUGAGGAAACGAUUGAUCACUUCAUUCGUAUGGCUCAACCACCAGAUCCCAAGCCUGUUGACACAGACUAUGAGCGCCACAUCAGGAAGUUAAAUCGAGCACGUCUACAAAGGGAGGCGAGCACAUCUACAUCGGGAUCGAGCAAACAAGAAGCAGUUGCCAAAAAAUGCGGGAAAACCAUUCCCCAGCUGGGAGAACAGGCGGCGCAAUCGAUCCCCUCGCUUGUUGUGCCAACAACAGGUGACAGUACGCGCGCCCAAUAUUAUUGUGGGCAAACAGUGCACGUUCCCGAGGUGGGCAAUGUGGUAAUAACGGAGAAGCAUAUAAUGCAGGCUGAAGUUCUCAACAUCACUGUUGGACAAAUCCUCGAGAUCGAGCCCAUGCCUUUGCUUAGAGAGGAUGAAAUAAAACGGAAAUAUGUCCGGGGCCAACCUUUGGUCGCGCCAGACAAGGUCAAGAACCUCCCAACGAGAAUGUAUGAAUUGCAUCAAUGGUACAUGAACAUUACCAAGAUUUCAGAUUGAUUGUCCCUCAUGGUGAAUGUCAAGCAGGACCAUUACUUCCAUGAGAAAGCUGUGUCCGUUGAGUAUUUAGAAAUGUUUCAGUUAUACAAUCAAGACGCACUCGACAAAUCUAUCGUCAGUUGCUAUUGUCUGUAAGUGAUUUCUUUCUAUAAUUUAAGUCUCAAGCUAGCUGUAGUGAUCCUUUUGAUCAAUCAUUACCUGUAAUUAUCCUCACUAUAUUCUUUUUUGUGGUAUUAUGCAGGAUGAAGAUAUAUGAAAUGAGAAAAGGUGGACGCUUUGGCAUUGGAUUCAUUGACCCAAACACCGUUAAUGAAUACACAUGGAAGAUAAAUCAACGUCAGCAAAAGAACAUAGAGGACAACAUGCUAGAGUUCUUGAAGUGCCUCAAAUACAAUGAAGAUAUACUACUUCCUUACAACUUCCAGUGAGUCACACUGUCUUGUACUACAAAUUCUCUGUUUUUGCCUACUAGCUAGCUACAUGUUUUUGCUUACAUAUGCCGCUUAAUUAAGACAUGCAAACGUCUAUGCAUGCAGAUUUCACUGGGUCUUGUGUAUCAUUAAAGUUGACGCCGGAACAGUUGAAGUACUGGACUCACUAAUCUCAGAAAAAAAUGACUAUAACAUCUUGUAUGGGAUAGUCAACAGGUAAUUUCAAUCAUUAUUAACUAUAUAUCUCGGCCUAUUUAGUUCGUCAUUUCAUGAUAUGAACUAUUUAAUAACCCCUUUAUUCAUUUUCUUUGUCGGCGGGCAGGGCUUGGGCAAGGUUCAUCGCCGUCACGCCCGGCGAAUGGAAACAAAAGCUUCAAUGGUUUCGACCCAAGGUAAGCAAUUAAGUAGUACUAGCUAGCUAGCUAGCUGCCAUCUCUUUAAUUAUCAUGCUUGAUUAAUUUUUAUCUAAUCAAAUUCCAUUCUUGUAAAGGCCCUGAAGCAGGCGCAGGGGACUGAUCUGUGUGCAUUCUGCGUUUGCGAGAGCAUUCGCAUGAUGGCGUCCGAAAGGAGCAGAUCUCAAAGACAGGAAUGGGUACGCUUGUCAGAACACUAUUCACAAUUUUUACACCAUUAUCGAUAUCUAGUCACACAACUAAUACACAUGCAUAUUGAUCUCCUUCUUAAUAGUUCAAAGAGGUGCGGGAGAAGCUCAUAGAAACGGAGUGCGUAGAAGCACUUCAAGAGAAAAUAGCGGGAUUUUUGCUCGACCAGGUCAUAAAUCCGAAGGGAGAAUUCUAUUACCCGCUACCGCCCCCAUGAAAACCACUUCCAAUUGUCAUCGUGCUCCGAAGGCACCAAUUAGGCUAAUGCCACUGGCUCCGAAGGCAACAUGCAUAUGUAGGAGAAAUUGUAUAUAGCUAUACAUGUGUGUAUUUGUGAAUUAAUUAAUAUGGUGGUUUGUGAGACAUUGAUGAUAUAUAUAUGCAUGAUNNNNNNNNNNNNNNNNNNNNNNNNNNNNNNNNNNNNNNNNNNNNNNNNNNNNNNNNNNNNNNNNNNNNNNNNNNNNNNNNNNNNNNNNNNNNNNNNNNNNNNNNNNNNNNNNNNNNNNNNNNNNNNNNNNNNNNNNNNNNNNNNNNNNNNNNNNNNNNNNNNNNNNNNNNNNNNNNNNNNNNNNNNNNNNNNNNNNNNNNNNNNNNNNNNNNNNNNNNNNNNNNNNNNNNNNNNNNNNNNNNNNNNNNNNNNNNNNNNNNNNNNNNNNNNNNNNNNNNNNNNNNNNNNNNNNNNNNNNNNNNNNNNNNNNNNNNNNNNNNNNNNNNNNNNNNNNNAUGCAUAACGUGUACAAUGUGUAGUAUCGUAAAAUACCAGCAAACAAAAAGAAUUAAAAUGGAAACACAAAAUUAAAUGAAAAAGAAAUCAUAAAACUAAAAACCCCCCAAACCUUAUAGUACCGGUUGGUCUUUCCAACCGGUACUAAAGGGCUCCAGGCCCCCGGAGCUGGCUCGUGCCACGUGGUUGCCCUUUAGCACCGGUUCGUGCUGAACCGGUACUAAGGGGGGGCCUUUAGUGACCACAAUUUAGUGCCGGUUAUGUAACCGGCACUACAGGGCCUUACGAACCGGUGCUAUUGCCCGGUUCUGCACUAGUGAUUCUAUAGCUGUACUUUCAUCAAUGCCAUUUAUAAUGCUUCAUUAUCAGUUUGAUUGACCUCUAUUCCUCGUAAAGUGCUUGUGGCAGGAACAAGGGAAUGAUUUCUGUGGAUUCUAGGUGUGCGAGUUCAUCUACAGCGCGACUUUGAAGAAUAAGCGGGGCUACUCUAAAAGACAAUAUGAAGUGCGUAAGCAAUAAUAUUCACAAUUUCAUUUUAUUACACCAUCAUUUUUGUUGAGUUUCAUUCAUAUAUGUAUUAACCCCCUUCUUCAAAUUAGACGUGGCAGAUGCGGGAUGAACUCCUAGAACAAGAUCGCAUGAAAGCAAUUCAAGAGGAAUUGGCGGGAUUCUUUCUUGACCACGUCAUCAAUAAAGCCGGCGAAUAUCAUGUGGAAAUUGAUUUCAAUUGCUAGGGGAUUGUAAGAGAUUUUACAUAUUGUAUAUGUAUGUAGCCAGUAGCGUCGGAUAGAUAAUACGAAAACUUGUUGUUUGACCAAUCUCUCGGAGAAGGAGAGGUCGAUCGAUCACUUCUCUCGGUAUGCAUGACCAAUUUCUGUACUAAUGGUUCCCUUCAUUUUCUUACUAGCUAGCGUGUCGAGGGCCUCUCUGUGUACAGUAUGUAGCGUCGACCAAGCACGGACAUAAGAGAGGACACUUCUCUCUAUUAAUUAGCUAGCUAACACAAUAUAUGAAACACCUAAAUUAACCCCCCAAAACCCCCAAACCGCCCCCCUUUCAAAAAAAAACAAAAACCACGGCCACUCAAAUGCUGACGCGUGCAUGCCUUUUGGUCCCGGUUGGUUCUACCAACCGGGACCAAAGGCCCUCCUGCCUGGGCUCGGCGCACCGGCCACGUGGAGGCACAUCUGUCCUAGUUCGUGAUAGAACCGGGACUAAAGGGGGGAGGCAUUAGUCACGACCCUUUAGUCCCGGUUCAAGAACCGGGACUAAAGGCCCUUACGAACCGGGACUGAUGCCCCCUUUUCUACUAGUGUGGGGAGCUUGGAAGCAGGGGAAAUGGCACCUAGAGGGGUUCAGAUCUCCAUGAUCAAUAACCACAAUUUUGAUCUGAAUGAGCUGCCGACUGAGCAUUAGUAGCUCAAGAAGGAGUAGUCACCCGUGGAGCAAGAGUAGCCGCCUAUGGCACAACAUGCGCUUUAAUAUUCACAAUGGUUGGAGGCUACUCAAAUCCGCUUGUGUGAGCAAAAGUAACUCUUUGCCAAAAGUGUAGCCCUGUCAGAAAUUAUCAAAACAAUAUCCUUAUCCCGAGGACGGUUGUAAAGCUUAUGUGGAACUUUUGAAUUUCUUGCUUCCUAUUUUUUGGUGAUUGACUUACGCUAUUGCUAAACUUGAGGGAAGGAGUUGGUAUACUGCCUCAUGAUCAACGUGUGAACUGGAAAUGGAUUUUCUAUUCAUUUCCCGUGAUGGUUUUGAUAUGUGGAUUGUUUGAACAAGCAGUUGUUCAUUCGGUAAAGCUUUGUGAAACAUCAACGGUGGAGCUAGGUCUCAGGUCAUGUGAAAUGACAGUAGGUCAAGAAGUGUGUUGGAUCAUGAGAUAACAUAUUUUCUAAGUUGUUAAUCAUGUGUGUUAACACCAUGGGUAGUAUGAGAGAAGGUCAGCAUGCAUGUUUGGGUCUAAAAUGACCUCAUGACCAAAAAAAUGGAGAAAAACAUGGCUAAUAGGAAUACGAACGAUAUGGAAGUUACUUGUUGCAUGGAUGUUAACUGUGGUUAUGCAACCACACAAGAUGUCAGAGGACCCGCAUCCUUACAUAUCAAGGUUGACUUCAUGUGCCAACUGGAAUUCGUCUAAAUUAUUGUAUAUGUAUGUAUUUUAUAUCUUGACAUCUUACCAAACAAAAAACACCAAAAAAUACACUAUUUACUUCUCUUUGAUGCAUAUUCUAGUUGAAGGGUAAUCAUAACCUUAUGUGGAUAUUUUUUCCAUAAUAGAAUCUAUAAUGGUCUAGUGAGGCAAGGUGUAAAUGGAGAGGACAAUAGUCGAACAUGAAAACAACCAACAUUAUGUCACACUUGCAUCUAGUUGUCUAGUGAGUCAAUAUGGAAAUGGAGGAGGCUCAUAGGGCAACACGAGAACACCCAACAUGUUGCUCUACUUACUUCCUAUUGGUAUGAAGAGACCGAGACUAGUGAACGGUUAAUCAAAACACAUGGACAAGAUCUCUCAUACAAGAUGAAAAUGGAGUUAGUCUUGUAUGAAAAUGCUAACAAAGUAUGAGUGUGCAUAGCAUGCCAUCCCCUCCCUUUCUUGUUCGAGUUUCCUUCACCAACCCCAUAGUACCCUGAUCAACACUAUUAUUUGAAUAUGCUUCUCACAUGAGAAAGAAUAGUUAUUGAGAGAUAGUUAUAUCGUUGUCUAGAUAGACUUGUUCAAGGGGCAACAAUGAAGGUGUCUUAUCUAUUAUAGCCACAUUUCGGAGAAGAAUAAAAAAAGUAGACACAACCUGAUAAUUUAUUGAGAUUUGAAUUAAGGAUUCAACAUACAUAAACUAUCCUACAUGUGAAUCAAAUCCACGUCCUAGAUGGGCAUUGGGCUUUAGUUGGACGACCACUUUAUGGACAAGCCAUGUGCUCCAUGUAGUCUAUGUUGCAAAGGCGGGAGGACAAGGAGCAAAUAGUUUUGAUGGCUGGACAUUGAAGUUAUUUGUCAAGAAAUUUCUUUCCCGACAUGGUUUUUUAUUUCAUUGUUUAGUAUUUCAUAUCGGUUCAAUGCUCUACUGUGCAUCCUUCUUCUCAAAUUUUGGGUCUAGCUCUUGGUGUUGAUGAGUUCAUUACUUAUGUUAACUAUUAUUGUUGUGCCCACUUGUUCGACAAGAGACUAUAAAGUUAACUUAGAUACUCCAGUAUUUAUAUUAAUAUAGUAAGCACUGAGGUAGUCAUCAACCUUGAAUAUUACUCAUAUUUGUCAAAUAGGAGGUCAAGUUGGAUCUGUCUGGCGCAUCAUCUGAGGUCACAUAUGGUGUAUUGUCUAUUCUAAACCCAAUGAGUAUCGUAGAAUGACAUGUGCCUACGAGGAGGAAUGAGUCACUCUUUUGUGUCAAGGGGUGAUGCCAUGCCUAAUAAUUUGCAAUAAAAAAUUAACCACCUACAUCAAAAGUCUAACCCAAGACAGGGAAUAUGCGCCAUUGCAAUUUUACCUCACAAAGUCAUCGGUAUUUUGCAAUUGAAUGUUCCUCAUGUUGUGACUGAGAACACAAAACACAAAACACCCCACAAAACCCUAUUUACGUCUCUUUGAUGCAUAUUCUAGUGGAAGGGUAGUCAUAGCCAUAUGAGAAUAUUUUUCCACAAUAGAAUCUAUAAUGGUCUAGUGAGGCAAGGUGUAAAUGGAGAGUAUAAUAGGCGAACAUGGAAACAACCAACAUUGUGUUGUACUUGCAUCUAGUUGUAUAGUGAGAUAACAUGGAAACGAAGGAGGCUCAUAGGGCAACAUGAGAACACCCAACAUGUUGCUCUACUUACUUCCUAUUGGUACCAAGGGACUGAGACUCGACCAUGGUUAAUCAUAACACAUGGACAAGAUCUCUCAUACUAGUUGAAAAUAGAACGAAUCUUGUAUGAAAAUGCUAACCAAGUAUGAGUGUCCGUAACAUGCCAUCUCCUCCCUUUCUUGUUGUAUUUUCCUUCACCACCCCCCAUAGUACCCUGAUCAGCAGUAUUAAUUCGAUGUGCUUCACAUCUGAGUUAGAAUUGUGAUUGGGAAUAGUUGUAUCAUUAUUUAGGUAGACUUCUUCAAGGGGAAAUAAUGGACGUGUCUUAUCUAUUAUAGCCACAUUCCGGCUAGGAAUAAAAAAGUAGACAUAACAAGAUGAUUUGUUGAGAUUUGAGUCAACAAUUCAACAUACAUCAACUAUUCUACAUGUAAAUCAAAUCCUCAUCCUACAUCGGCAUUCGGCUUUAGUUGGACUACCACUUUAUGGACAAGCCGUGUGGUCCAUGUGGUCUACGUCGCAAAGGCCAGAGGACAAGGAGAAAAUAGUUGUCGAUGAUUGGUCAUUGAAGUUAUUUGUCAAGAAAUUUGUUUCCCGACAUGGUUCAUUUAAUUCAUUAUUUAGCAUUUGAUAUGUGUUCUAUGCUCUAAUGUGUAACCACCCGUAUCUAUUAUAUACAUAUAACAGAAGUCAAACAAGCCACCACGUUGAUCGACACAGAUUAAAUUAUCUCGGCCGUAAAUUAUAGAUAUUAACAGCCAAGAUUUAAAAGAUGUAGCGUUACAUAUAAAUAUUAUGACAUAUAUACAACCUGGCACAUCACGUUGUCACCAUGAGUAUGAGAUAAUAACUUGCGUUGGUGUUACCAUGUACGGCAAGCAAAAAAAAUGAACAAGCCGGCACCAACUAAAAAAGUUCCAAUUCAGAAAAACAAAACAGUUUGGACACUUUCUUUUUCCGCGUAAAGAAAAGAGUCCAGAUAGGAAAAGUUACAUCCAAAUAAACAAUUAGUGAGCACAUACACCUAGGAAUAGUUAUGUACAAAUAAAAAAUUGAUGAGCACAUACACCUAUCUAUCCUGCUUAGUUUUGCGCGUGUAAAAAAAACAUUAGCUAGCACGUACGAACAGCUUGAUCCAUAACCAAACAUGUAUAUUGCCGAGCGCUUAAAUACCAGUCCUACUAGGACAUGUGCAUGCAAGCUAAUGUUUUUUCUUAAAUCCGAUUAGGAGACAGACGUUCAUUGUCAAGCCCUAUUUUUAAAUGCCAAUCCUACUAGGACACCAUACGUAUGUUGUCACGUAUAGAAAAAUAAAAUAAGGUACAAAUUCUAUCAUUCAUGUAUAUCACCUGAUGGACUAUGGACGUACGCUACCCCAACAUUCUAUUAAAAAUGGCUAGCAUUUUUCUAAAAGGAGAAUAUGCAACCACCGUUGAGGAAAAUCAAGUAGCCAAACUAUCCCACAAAAAGUUCAUCUCAUAAUUUGGACGAAAAUAGAACGGUGGCAACUAAGCGACUGCAUCAACUAAAUCCCCAUGGUAAGUUCAUUAGGCCUCCAAGUGAUAAAGAAACGUGCAAUUAGCACUAUAUAGCAGUAAACGUUGCAAGCAAUAAAUCAUAUUAUCUAUUAUCAAAUGAGUCUUUUUUUUUGUUCUCUGCAACAAUAAGUGUCGUUUCGAUCCUGCCAAAAAUUAAAUAAGCCAAUUAAUACAACAACGGCAUGAUAAGAAGUGAUAAAGUAUGACAAAAAAAUCAGAGAAAAUAUUUUCUGAUAAUUUCAAACUAUUAGAAAAUACCUACAAAUGAUUGAAUAAUAUACAAAUUCCUUAGAGAUAACAUUUAUUUAUAGAUCUUCUCAAAUAUAAUCAGUGCUAAUGCAAGUAGAACAUAACACAUGAUUUACAUACAAGUCGUCAACUUUUACGUGGAAAAUCGUACAAAAUAUUUUUGAUCAUUAGUCUUUAAAUCCCCGUGUCGAUAAAAAAUAAGAAAAAACAUAUUAUGAAAAUAAAUCCAACUUGGUUACAAAAUUAGCGGUUGGAAUUAUAUUUCUAAAGCAAGCAAUAGUACUAUACGAUAUAUGAAGAAAAUAAAUUAGAGGGUAUAUUUCCAAUUGAUAGUAUGCAACAUGCAAUGAAACAUGAUGAAUGCCAAUAUAGCAUGUCUCAAUUGUAUCUAUAUUUUUGGUUGAAUGCACAAAUAUACGUGCAUGAUUUUCUCAUUCAUGAAAAAGAAAGAUAUGUAUAGAACAAAUACAAAAAAAGUGGCAUAUGGAACAUAACUCUGCAAGCAUUGAUAGGUUAACAUUAGCCGAAAUUGAUGGACAAGUGGUUGUCUGGGAAUAAAUGAAGUUUUUUAUGGUUCGAUUACAUGGCUUGCAUGGCACUAAGUGAGGAGAUUAUGCAAAUUUUGCCAGUGGACUACUUGAAAAUUCAAGAAUACCACAUGAAAGAAGCAAAACGAUGUUGCUGGUUCGAAAGUGAAGGUUGUAAGCAAAAACUCAUGCCAACUCCAUUACGUUAUUUUAAUGUGUAGAACAAUAUUUAAUAAUAUGGAAGAACAAGAGACUAAGGAUAGUGAGCGAAUGAGGAUGUUAGAAAUUUUAGACCAAGAUACAUCAGUGGUGACAUUUUCUUGCAUGGCCAAACUGUUUGUUGACCAACAGAUAAAGAAAAGUGAAAGAGAUAAAAUGAGAACCACGAAGGAUAAUAUACUGAUCACCAUGUCUUACUCAUCUAAUUAGACCAAGUUAUAACCAAGAACUUGCACUGGAUGACAAUAUUCUCCACUGAAGUCCAAUAGAGUUUUAUUUACAUAUACAUUACACUAGAAGAUGCUUUUAUAUUAUUAUAAGUACGCAGCUUAUGUAAGAAAAAUCUAAACUUAUAAAGUAUAAAUAAUAAAUAAAAUAUCUUAACAAAUCUACCCGCGCAAAUGCGCGGGUCACCCCACUAGUUUAUAUUAAUAUAGUUGGCGGUGAGGUAAUCCUUGACCUUGAAUAUUACAUACAUUUGUCAAAUAGGAGGCCAAGCUGGAACUGUCUGCAUCAUCUAUGGUCACAUAUGGUGUAUUGCCUAUUCUAAAUCCAAUGAGUAUUACAUUAUGGCAUGUGCCUGCGAGGAGGAACGAGUUACUCUUUUAUUUCAAGGGGAGACGGCAUGCCUAAUAAUUGUCAAUGAAAAAUUAAUAGCCUACAUCAGAAGUCUAACCCAAGAAAGUGAAUAUGUGCCAUUGUAAUUUUACGACACUAAGGUCAUGUUCUGAUCUCUUCCCGCUCCACGCUUCACAAAUUCCUGGAGCAGAUACGAGCCGAACGAAAUAGCAGCGAGAAGCUCGCUCCAGGAAGCUAGGAUCGACCGCAGUGCAAAAUCAUGAAGCAGACUCGGCCAGCUCCACCGAUCCGGAAAGCUGAAGUUGGACAAUAUUAAAAGUGAACUGCCACCACCAAGUCAUACGAGCCAAACCGGUAUGCUUGAUCUGUUUGAUCGCUCCUCGUUCCCUCGCUCGUGCUCCCUCACUGCUCCUCUACAGGGCCGAUUUGGGCUGCCUCCAAUCGGCCCAACUAGCCCGAACAAGCCACGACCCUUCUAGCUGGGCUGUAGUGCAGCGAGAAGUUGCAAACCGAGCCGAACAAAUUUUUCAUCGCUGCUUGGAGUGAGAAGCUACUCUGAAAAGGUUAAUUUCUGAAGUUAUGGGAAGCUAGAUGAGAUCAGAAUAGGACCUAAGUCAUCGGUAUUUCAUAAUUGAAUGUUCUGCAUGUCGUGACUUUUGAUGGUGUAAACCCAAAUAAUCGCCAUUGUGAAAUUAAAUUCCUCCCGUGAGUCGAACCCACAUCCGUAAAGAUGUGCCACUACAAUCCACCUCAUGGCUAUCUUGGAGUCCUUAAUAUAAUCAACUGUGCCCAAUAUGGUGACUUAAUAUGUACUUAUUGACCCUAGGAUGCUAAUCGCCUCCAUCAAGACACAUUCCUGGUUCUCCUAUAACUAGAUUCCCCGAAACCACGAGAAUACUUAGAAUUGGAUUACAACUUAGCACCUUUUGUUUUCACAUAGUAAGAAGAGUUGCUCCUUGGAUAGCAAGGUACGAUCAAAGUUGUAACCUGUGUUCCGGAGGGAGUUAUUUUCUCGAAUCUUUGUUCUCAACUAUUCCAAUUCCAGCAAACAGAGGCCAUUGGGUCAAAGCUGUAGCGCACGCCCUGUAGUUUUCAAGUGGGGCGAGACAACUUUAGCUAAGGAACCUAUUUUCAUUCUGACCAGCUCCCUGAAAACAAUGUUCGACUACAUGUGCAGUCGGUGUAGAUGUGUCAUUGCAAUUCCACCACUAGGAUAUCACCAAGUCCUAUGUAUUACAUGACAACAUAUGCCACCAUAUGGUGACUUGAUAAAUUAAAUGGAUUUCACCAAGCUUUUGUGUUACAGUUAUAGUGAAGAUAGUGACUCACAUGUUAGCCUCCCCGACGGGAAGCAAAAUCACUCUGACUUUGGCAACCUAAUUUUUGGUGGAUUCAAGCAAACAUGUUGGAUUUGUAUUUUAUUUAUUUCAACAUAUAUAAUUAAAAUAAAUAAAUCAACUCAUAAUCGGAUUCUUGGAGACAUCCAUGUCAAUAAUGUGAAAUUAUGGGAAAUCUUAUUAUGUGCAUCAACAUAAGCCUAAACUCGUGGCUUAAGAGAUAUGUGUACAAUCUUCCAAUGGUUAUGCCCCCCUACUAGAUUCAUGAUGUUAACCAGUUCCCAUAAGUUGAGAAAGAACUUUAGUCAUGGGAUCAAUGUCCAGUGCAUCAUAUUUCCAGUUCCCAAAAAAAAUUAUUAUGGAAGUUGAGAAAGAAGAUUGGGCAACAUAUUUCUAGACACCUAUCAUGUCUAGGAUCGUAUCAAGCCUAGGUAAGCUUAGUCAUAGGAUCAAUGCAGGCUAUUAGUACACUGACCCGGUUCUUUUUUUUGCGAGAAAAUUUCCGAUCUAUUCAUCUUCAAUCAUGGCAGUACAACGAAUACCAGAAAUAAUAGAAGUUACAUCCAGAUCCGUAGACCACCUAGCGACAACUAUCAGCACUGAAGCGAGCCAAAGGCGCGCCGUCGUCAUCGCCCCUCCAUAGCCGGAGUCGGGCACAAGUUGUUGUAGUAGACAGUUGGGAAGUCGUCGUGCUAAGGCCCCAUAGGACCAGCGCACCAAAACAGCAACCGCCGCAGAUGAAGAAUAAUGUAGAUCACAACAAUCCAAUCCGAAGACACACGAAUGUAGAUGAACAACGACGAAAUCCGAGCAAAUCCACCAAAAAUAGAUCCGCCGGAGACACACCUCCACACACCCGCCAACGAUACUAGACGCAUCACCGGAAGGGGGGCUAGGCGGGGAGACCUUUAUUCCAUCUUCAGGGAGCCGCUGUCGUCUCGUCUUCCUCAGCAGGACACAAACCCUAGCAAAACUGAAAGAAACGAUUAAAAACGGAGUCCUUCCGCCGACCCUUGCCGAGACCCACUGGGCCACCAUGGCCCUAAGGCCAUCGGAGAGGAGGCGGACCUGCGACGGCGGCGGCGGGAGGCAAAAACCCUAGCUUUUUGUGGAGGAGAAGGAGGAGGCGGCGGCUACAAAGGAUCCACUGACCCGGUUCUUAACUCAAGUCCUCCUUGCUUGAUACAAUAUUGAAUGGAAAGUAUAUAAUCCAUUUACUUAAGUGGGUGAACAAUGUUGGCUAGUAUAUUUCAACACUCACCUCACAUGCAUCUUUUAGGGGCAUAUAAUGCAUCGUUAUGGAAACAUUUUUUUCUAGACUAAAUUCCAAUGGAAAAUUUUAAUUAAUUUAAUUAGUAGCAAUCUCGUAUGGCAAGGAUAUAUGGCAAAUGAAAAUGAGGGCCCAAAUGCUACUUGUUGGCACACAAAAAUCAAGUUGUAUUUUUCCUCCCAUGUUGAUCCUCCGUGGUUCGACAUUGGGCAUUACAAAGAGAUCAAGUUAUCUUUACACACUGCUAGUGCUACCAGACCCUGGAUGUUCCACAAUGAAUGUCCAUAUGGUGCAAUGAAUGAUAGCAAGGUAUAUUAGAACAUAUAGUUUACACCUUUAAAGUAAUUAAAUGGGCUAUUUUGCCUACUAUGAAAAAUAGUAUUUUAAGAGAAAACUAUGUAAGAGUUUUUGAUCUUUGUAUGUAAAAGCAUUAUUUGCCUUUGCUUGGUGUUAAUGCAGUUUGAUUUAUGGUAAAAAUGGAAAAUCAUGGGACAAUAAUUGUUGAUAUUCUUUGCGGUAAAGCGAGAUAUUUUCACUUUUCAGAUCACCCAAAAUAUUGUUUUUCUUAUAGGGGUGAUAUACAGUGUUCUAAAUCUGCACUUGUGAUGCGUUGUCCAUUUAAAUUUGGUUUCUUCCAUAGAUUAUGUUGGUUUGUUGCUGUAUUUAUAUCAGCACUGAAGUAUACUGAUGUUGCUAAGUCCAAUCAAAGGCCCAUGUUUUUAUCAUGUUAUACAAAUUAGUAAGCUAAGAUCUUACCAAACUCAAGUUACAUAAGCCCAGACUACGUGAAAUACACAUCAUGCAGUACACAUGUUCAUCUUAGUGUUAUGUUAUACUUGGCUCCGAGAUAACAAAUGGUAUCAAUUAUUACUAUCUUUUGCAGCUUGUUUCUGCCUGUUCAUCCUAGAAUUAUGUUAUGUGGUCUCCCAAGGUUCAUGCAACUUGGAUUUUCAUACUUUGGUAGUAUUAGUGUUCACUAGGACUAGGUGCCACUCUGUAGAAGCUGAGGAUACAGAUGGAGAAAGCAGUCAUGGUUUUUUUUUUCAAAAUGUUGGUUUAUAUGUAUAAGAGGUUUAUGAAUUUUCAGUGUAUAGUGUUGUGAAACGUAGAGUGUUUUAUCUCAUUUAACAUUGAACUACGCUUGCAAGGAAAAACCUUCAUUUGGCAUCGAACUAUGCAUGCAGGGCAAACACUCCGUGCAUCGGUGCCACCGCGCCGCGAACCCUGGGAGCUUGAACCUGGAUGGGUGUGAACUUAUGAUUGAUGUCAAGGUUAGGGGUCAGUCAUGGAUAGAGAAUAAAGGCGACUUUGCGAAACUGUUAUUAAUAAUAUGGAUGAACAUUGCCUUGUGGAGAGAAUAAGAUAUUUCCAGAGAUAUUUAUAAAUGGAUGCAUACUUGCAAUAGCAGUACAAAAUAUGAUGCUGACAUUUUAUUUUCAUUGUUGUUCCCAUUAAACUUCUGGUGGUGGCUCCAUUAUUCACAGCCUCGCACAUGAAAUGUUAUUUCGUUCGAGUAAAUGUUGCGUGUCGUUGCUCCUGUAGUUUUGCGGUUUGCAUCUCCUUGUAACUUGUGAGUUGGAUUUUGGGAAGUUGCAAUGCAAAUUUGGGAUGCAGGGAAGAUAAUAAACAAUGCUUUUUAAGAGCAUUGGAUAUUGGAGACGACUCAGAAAGAACGCAUGCAAAUGCAAGAUGCAAGACGUAGUAGCCACAUGUCCAGGUUUAUUAAGAGCAUCUACACCGGACGCCUCGUAUCUGCCACAAUCGCCAGGGCGUGCUGCCCGGUCAGUACUAGGAUGCAAAAUUGCCACCCAACAGGACCUGUCAAAUCCGGCCCAAACAUCUAGACACGACCGCACUCCCCAUACUCAGCCCAUAUCUCGGACGGAUAUGUGGAAGCCCAGAGGUGCCCGGAGACACCCGCCUGGUAGGAUCCGGCCGACUGCGGCCCACCCGACCCCACAUAAAUUGGACCCUAUCCGCACUCCGAGCGAAACCCAAGCCACAUUCGACUCCACUCUACUCCUCGCCAGGCCACUCCCCUCCACCCACAAGCUCCAUUUGCGGAUCUCCCACCAUUUCGAGCCGUUGAACCGUAGAUCGUCCCACGCGGCCUCAAGGAGGAAAUGGUCGACUGCCUUGCGCUUCUCCACUACCUGAGGAGUCCGCCCGGCAGCGGUCGAAAUCCAUCUGGCGGUAAUCCAUUGCGCCUUCCACAAUGGCGCAUGGAUCCCGCCCAAGGGCAGUCGCCGCUGCCUCAGCAGAGGCAGUGCAGUCCGUCUGGUGUCCGAACGCCAUGGAGGAUACGCAACCACUUUGUUGGUGCAACAGAAAGAGAUGCACACCCGCUUAACGUCUGAUACAAAUAUGGUGUGGUGCAUCCAUCGUGUUAGGCAAUGGGCACGGGAGCCCAUGGCUUCCCUCGUGCUAGACGCCAGUGGGGCAGACUCGCACUCUUCGGUGCCUCGUAUCGUGCCCGGCAGCCCUUGGCACCGAAAUCAUGUCGUGUUGGACGCAGCCGGCUCCACCAUGAUGGAUCAAUCAUCGACCUGGCAUCCACUGACGACAGGCAGGGCACGGGCUCCGACGAGAAAGAGUAGGCCAUGGGAGAUGGCGCCGACUCGAGUUUCUUUUGUCGGGUCAUGUCCCAUGUCCUACUCUACCUCACCGGAGAACGACCCUCCACUUCGACAGGCUAAGAAAGCCAACGGACAUGGACAGGGUCGGAACAACAAGGAUAAUCGCUGGCGCAAAUUUAGACUACAGCCGUCGAUGCGAGGUGAGCGCGGCACGAGUUAAUCGCUGAAGAGGUUGGGCCAUUCUGUCGCUCCUGGUCGUGUAGUUGCCGACAUAUUCCUCCAUGACCACUAGAUCGACGCCGCCGCCACUACAUGUCUAGGCGUCUCUGUUGUGGCUGAUGUCAUUUAAGUGUAUUUUCUUUGUAUUGUGAUGAUUGCAGACUGUGUUGCGUAUUGUGGCAUAUUUUCUUUGUAUUGUGAUGAUUGCAUACUGUACAAUGUAUUGUGGCAUAUUUUUUGUGGUCUAUUUUUAAAAAGGAAACUAUAAAUAGCUAAAAGUGAUGUGCAGAAUAAAUUUGUAUCCGCCACUACAAAACAAAUGCCAGUACUGGCACAUAUUUUUGCCCGCCAUUAAUAGCAAUGCCCGCCACUGCUAGAAGAUUGAGGUCGAUGGCGGGCUGUUUGUAACGCCCGCCACUAUUAUAGUCAUCUGUGGCAGGUGGAGCGCCCGCCACUAAUGCCAUGUUGCUAGGCUUUUGAUGCCGCCACUGCUACGCAUUCCUGUGGUAGUGUGCAAUUGCGUAUCUAGUAGAAUAUAUACAACGAUCCUCCCAACAAGCAGUUUCGUCCUACGAUGAAGUUAUAUCGCGCUGAAGACAUUCAUUUAUAAUCAAAAGGGACGUUGCAGUUGCAUAUCAAGUAGGACAUAUUUAACUGCCUAAUGACAAAACACUUUGUUUCCUAAGUUACUGUCGCCUUGGAGACAUGUAUUAGCGAGACGACACCACCUGUAGUUGCAUGUUUGGAGUUAUACAUGCAACUAGCUCCACAAUAAUAAUCUGAAUUUUAAGUUUUAAUGAAUUUUAAAUUAAAGAAAAAAGGAAAAGAUGAAGAUAUAAAAACAGAAAUAGAGAAAACAAACAAAAGGAAAAAUCCUAAAAAAGGCAAAAACAAAGAAAGGAAAAACCUGUUUGAAGUUUCUAGAAGCUACAUAAAACAAGUAGAAAGAGUCCAACAUGGGCCAGCCCACUCAGCAUGUAAAAAGAGCCAGGCGAGGCAUAUGUCGACUAGAUCAGAGUUGGGGAAUCCUAUUCCGCGCAUAGGUCGCUACGUAGCGACCUAUCACGUACCCCUCGGGUUUGUGGUCCUCUUCGAGUCGGUCCAUUCCAGGUUCUUCCCCAUACCGGGUUUUAGGAAGGUCUAGACCUUUUUUCUAUUUUCCUUGUUUUCUUCUAGUUUUUUCUUUCUUUUAUAUUUUAUAUAUUACUUCUUAUUUUCUUUUAUUUGAACUUUUCCUUUUUGGUGUUGCCGACAUAUUUUCAAAUUCGUAAACAUUUAUUGAAAUCAAGAACAGGUUUUGAGUUGACAAACAUAUAUCUGAAAUAAUGAAUAUUUUCUAAUUUGACAAUACAUUUUGGAUUCACAAAAUAAAAAAAAACUUUUGAGAACAUUUUUUUGAAAAUUCUGAACAUUUUUGUCAAUCGGCCGACAUUUUUUGAAUCGAUGAACAUUUCUAUGAAUUGACAUAAGUUUUUUGAAUUGGCAAACAUUUUUUGAAUCGAUGACCAUUUUUUGAAUCAAUGAAUAUUUUUUACAUGAAUGAACAUUUUUUGAAAUUCACAAUAAAAAAUUUAUGAACAUUUUAAAAACUUGUUGAAUAGUGCUUGUAUCCCAACUUCCGUCCUGAUUAAUUAAAUACAGUGGUGAUACCCAUCAAAAGAAAAUAGCUACGGUUGGCACAAAAAUUACUGCAAAUUAAUCAUGUGAUGAAAGACUUAGACGUGACAUAGUUUUUUUAUGGACCCUGAUAAGUGCCACACGUCAGGGACGUUCUCAUGACAACUUUGAACAUUUUUUAUGACAAGUUUAGUUGCACGAUGAUGGCAAAUUUAAUUGAAAAGCCUGAAAACUUUCGUGCGUUAUUUUAUUUUCAUAUAAACUUGUCGUGUGUCACUGAAAUUUGCCAUCCUUGGAUGACAAUAAUUGCCAUCAAAAAAGUCAGACCCAAAGUGCCAAGCACCUAAGACCUAUCAUUUGGAUACAUUAUACCUAAGAUAUUAUUUACCAAAACCAUAGCUGAGACAUUUUCCCCAAUGCAGGCGGGGCCGAUGAAAAGUCGAACCCCUUGCCAACCUACUCAAAAGGUGUACACGGUCUCCCUCCGUCCCGAAAUACUUGUCGGAGAAAUGGAUAUAUCUAGAUGUACUUUAGUUUUAGAUACAUCCAUUUUUAUGCAUUUCUACGACAAGUAUUUCCGGACGGAAGGAGUAGUAAGUAUAUAUUUGUUUCUAAAUAUAAGAAAAAUUACUAUUAAAUACUACUAUACCAAAGAUAUAAGAACAUUAAAUACUAGUAUACCAAAGAUAUNNNNNNNNNNNNNNNNNNNNNNNNNNNNNNNNNNNNNNNNNNNNNNNNNNNNNNNNNNNNNNNNNNNNNNNNNNNNNNNNNNNNNNNNNNNNNNNNNNNNNNNNNNNNNNNNNNNNNNNNNNNNNNNNNNNNNNNNNNNNNNNNNNNNNNNNNNNNNNNNNNNNNNNNNNNNNNNNNNNNNNNNNNNNNNNNNNNNNNNNNNNNNNNNNNNNNNNNNNNNNNNNNNNNNNNNNNNNNNNNNNNNNNNNNNNNNNNNNNNNNNNNNNNNNNNNNNNNNNNNNNNNNNNNNNNNNNNNNNNNNNNNNNNNNNNNNNCAAAAUGAAUAAAAGAGGAUGUAUCUAGAUGUAUUUUAGUUCUAGAUACAUCCCUUCCUAUCUGUUUUGAUCACAAGUAUUUUUGGAUGAAGGGAGUAUUAAAUACUAUCACAGCUAUUCUUAUAUUUAGUAACAGAGAUAAUAGUAUUUAAUAGUAGUAUAUCACUGCUCCUAAAUACUCCCUCCGUCCCAAAAUUCUUGUCUUACAUUUGUCUAGAUACGGAUGUAUCUAACAAUAAAAUGUAACUAGAUACAUUUGUAUUUAGAAAAAUCGAAGACAAGAAUUUGGGCACGGUGGGAGUAUAAGAAUAUUACUAGUAAAUACUAGUAUGCCAAAUAUAUAUAUAAUACUAUACAAAAAUAUAAGAAUAUUUAAUAGAAAUAUACCAAAGAUAUGCUACUAUUAAAUGUUGGUAUUAAAUAAAUAAAUCUGUAGUUCAACACGCGGUCCCCACCUUGGCCCGUGCCUUCCGUUUCAGUUCAUAAAGGGCAACACAUGCUUCUGCUCCUCGCUUACAUUCUUCUCAUCCCGCUCUCAUCGACCAACUCUGCGUGUCUGCUCGACCGAUCCACCGCAAUGUCUAGCUUCGGCGUCAAUGCCAUACCCGCAACCAACCAUGAGGACCAGAGCCUGGCAGCCCCCGCUCCGCCCCCUGCGGCCGCGAUCGCCCAGGGGAAAGGGAAGGUGCUUGCGCAACAGGUGCUUGCGCCAGUGGUUCACAAGCGCAAGCCCGGGAGACCCCAGGAGAAAAGCCCGCCCCCAGCGGCCACCAGAGAGGAGCUGGAAUCCCGGGAGUCCCGGGAAGGCCCCUUGAAGGUGCUUGCGCUCCCGGCGCCAGGGGCCCCGUGUACUCACGCUGUCUCUGGCGACAAGAUGAUGAGACGCGCUCGCGCCCCCACCCGGCAUGCCAACGUUGUCUCCGACGACAAGAUCCGCGUUCGCGCCCCCACCCUGCAUGCAAACCGUGUCUCCGAUGACAAGAUGGUGAGCCGCACUUGCUUUCCCCUGUCCUACUAGUGAUUUGAAGUUAACCGGUGCCUAAUGAUUUGAAGUUACUGGCAAUCUUUAAUUUAGUCAUGUGAAUUGUACUAGUGCUUACUGAAUUACCUGAUGUGUAUGUGCAUGAACUACGUGGUGUGUAUAUGUCCUUGGAUUUUCUAAUCACUGCGGUCUAUCUGGCAUAUGGACAAGAACGAGAUGGCGAGCCGCGCUCGCGCCCCCACACGGCAUGCAAGCGCUGUAUCCGACGACAAGAUGGUGAGCCGCGCUCGCUGCUCCCCUUCUGCUACUAGUGAUUUGAAGUUAACCAGUGCCUAAUGACCUGGAGUUAUUGAUAAUCUUUAAUCUAGUCAUUUGAAUUACUAGUACUAGUGCUUAAUUUACUACCUGAUGUGUAUGUUCAAGAAUUACGUGAUGGGUAUAUGUCCUUGGACUUUCUAAUCGCUACGGUCUCAUCUGGCAGAUGGACAGGGACGAGAUGGCGCCGGACCAGGGGGUGCCACGCAUGCGGGGGAGCAUCGCGUCGUCAAGUGCGGUUGGUAAGUAUACUUUAUGCUGCUUUUUUUGUCAGUAUCGUCUCCAUGCAGGCUACACUGGCAAACAAGCAGCUUAGCUCUUGUGCAUGCUGUUUUUUUGUCAUCACUAGGGGCGUGUUUUGUUGCCGUGUGCUAUAGUACCUGCGUUGCAUACCAAUGGCGGAGCUAGCAUUUGACAUCAGGGUGGUCUGACCCCCGAAAAAAAAUUAACAAGAAAUAUGACAUCUGGGCAUUCUAAAUACUUACCAAUAUGACACAAGUUCUCCAGCUUGCUCUUCGGCCACAUCUCACAUAUUCAUUGCCUUCUUCUUCUUCCCUAUCUUCAUAGCUUCUCUUUGAAAAGAGAAACAAUGUCUCCGGUCCUCUUCACUCUUCAAAAAUUCUGCAAUAAAAUUUAGUUUCUAUCAAUAAAGCUAAUUGAGGCAGAAAUGAUAUGCAAAAUUAUGUAUGUGUUCAUCAAUUCAUGAUAGUGUAGUGCAAAAAAGCAAACCCUAAGUCAAAAAAUAUGGGGUUUCAGUACCUUAAAUUUGAUUUGCACAUUUGCUGCGAAUCUGUGAUGCUACCGCUGGACGGCUGGAGACUUGCUGGUGAGCGGCACCUUCAACGGUCGUCGGCUUUGCAGGGAGGGCCGAGGGGGCGCAGGCAGUGGGCGGGCGGGCGGCAGGGCCAGGCGGCCACGGCUCCUGCUGGUCAAGGGGCGCGGGCGAGCGGUGGAGCCAGAGACGUCCAUGAGCGCCGGGGGGGGGGAGGGGAGGCGGCCGGCGAGGAACGGCAGCGCAGCGGCGGUGAGGCGUGAGGCGAGGGCUUCGGGGCGUCCUCUCCUCUGCCUCGAUGUGGAAUGAGCAAAGUUUCAAAUCGCGGGCGAAAUUGGCGCUAUUGCUGCUCUAUCGCGGCUGGAGAGGCUUCCUGCUAUGCUAUGUCAAAUUUUCCGCAAUUUGCCGCUACCGCCGCGAUCGCCGCGUGAAACAGCAAUAAGUGGCUUAGCUGUCACUGCAGUUUCGCUGGAAUGGCUGAGAUCGAUUUUAACAGGCUGAAACAGAGGCCCAGAACAAAUCGUAGCCCAAAUUUCCUCUGAUAGAGCAGCCUGUCCAGAAACCUUAUCUUCAUUAAAUCCUCUCGCUCCCAUCUAAAAAACUUGCGGCGGCUGCGGCUAGGCGGGCCGGCGUCUGCUUCGCAGCAAGCCGGAGUCAGCGACGAGCGAGGCGGCGACCAGGACUCCGACAGGAGGCUGCAUACUCCGUAGCUCUAGUACUCUGUCUGUUUGCUGUUAUUGAUCCAUCCUAGUCCGUUUGCUGAUUUAGUACGGAUGUUGUCUUUUUAUUUGCGGGGAGGAUAUUGACUUAUUUAUGACUGAAUUUAUACUGCCAAUCCUCUGUUUUCUGCUGAAAAUCCUCUGUUUUUUAGACAAAAAACAUGCAUAUGUACUUUUGCCGCUAAAUACCUUAGCGGCCGCUAUCGCCCGCUAUAGCGGCCCUAGCGUUUUGAUGAGCCAGCCGCGAAAUGCUUUUGCCCGUGAUCUUAAAGUUUGGGAACGAGGGGUCGUGGCCUCGUGGGCUAUGGCUGAACGACAGAAUGAGGGCUGGCAGUGUAUAUUGGGCCAUCUGUUUUUUUGGCCCAGUUAAAUACCCAUGGUAGGCUGCUCCAAAAUCCCAGGGUGGGCCGCGGCCCACCCUGGCCACCCUGUAGCUCCGUCCAUGUUGCAUACCCUUCUCCACUCAGUCUGGCUCUGAAAAAACAGCCUCAUAUGCAACAUCUGCGAGUUGUUUGGUUGCCUGCAUGUCCUCUUACCUGCAUGGGCUGAACCACACUGCCUGAUGUUUGAUUGCCCGCAUGUUAGUGGACAAACCCAAGGCAAGGUGUUUGGUUGUAUGCAACGCCUGGUGCGUGGUAACCUCUUUGGCUAGUUGGUGCGGUUACCAGCACACUUCGGCACAACCAUGUAUAGCACACAUCAUAAGCAGAGCAGAGUAUAAACAGAGCAUCAACUACUUAACAGCAUAAUUCAGAUAAGCAGUACCACACUUCAUAACAGUUCAACGCCUAAACCCUAAACAGUUCAAAGCAGACUCCUUGGCGGCGAAGGCUUCAUCGUGCUUCCCGCAAUUGCUGACGACCACAAUGCGAUCCUCGUUGAAGAUGGUGACCUUGAGGGUGUAGGGAGUGAGGAGCUUGAACGUCACCAUGUAGUCGAUCUUGAUCUGAUGAACGGCUGCGUGGGUGUCCCAACCCUGAUCCAGGGUCACCCUGUCGUUCACCAGCUUCACCGUCACCUUCAAGGACCAGCCGGUGUUUUUCCUGAGCUUAAACUCUGUCGGCACCGCAACGAAGUGCAUGGUGAAGUCCAGGGGCAUGGGGAUGCACUCAAGCUUCGGUGCAAGGAUGACGUUGCAGAAGUGAGUCGGGCCAUCCUCCUGAUGGUAGUGGUCGUAGUUGCGGCGCUUGUUGCUGGGGGGCACCUCCAUGCCCUCGUCGUCGCCACCCUCAAGCGUCUUCGGGUCUUCCUCGGCAGUGGGCGGCAGCACAACCUCGUCGGGCAUUGGGUGAAGGGGCUGCUUGCCCCUGUUCUCAACAGCCGGGAGCACCUCAUUGCUCUCCUCGAUCUGCACACAAUUCAUGGAUUCAGGCACAACACAGAGUUCAUGGCUUAUUGAAGAGCAUGCAGUUAAAACGGCAUGACUGUCACUCUUCUCCUCCUCUCCAUCGCCCCUAUAUUUACUCACCCUGCCCAACACUACUUACCCACCCCCUCUCUUCUCUCACUGUCACCUUCCUCCUCCCCAUCGCCAUGAGCUCUAGCUCCAGCUCGGAUGCCAACCCCUUCCCUUGGGGUAUUGGCGGGACAGCCUUCUUCCUAGGGUGGUCGAUUGGUGACCGCACCAAGUUCGAGAACACCAUGGAGGUGUGCUCGAACUUCGGCUCCAUGCCUGACAUGCAGAAGGAAUCUAAUGCAGUGCUCAUGAAGGCCACUGCAGAAGAGCUGAAGACGCCGAUUCCUGACCCAGCGAAGGGCGCGAUGGAAGUUGAUAUCAUUCGCGGGGCCAUGAAUUUGGCCGUCUCCGACGACGCUAAACAGAGAAAGAAGUGGUGCAGGUACAAGAACUAUUGGGCCCCUAAUGACCGCCAUGCCGCAGUGUACUGGGAGACGGCUAUCGCGCCUCCGGCGGUCAUCGGUGGGGAGCCUAAGAAGGAGGACAAGGAGGAAGAACCGGUGCAGAUGCCGGCAAGGGAGCCGGAGCCAGGUUGUCGUACCUGGAAGAUCGACCUCGACUCCUCCUAGGACGCCGACGACGACGACGUGCCACCCCGCACGACGAUGAAGAAGAAGAUGAAGGCCAGCCAGUCCACCCGCCGCUCCGCACGCCGGUGAUGGCGGCCGCGGUUAUGUACCCCCAAUCCCCCAAUCCCCCUUCUACUAUGUGCUACUAUUCGGAUCUACCUCUAUUCCGAUCCUGGAGGAACUACUAUGAACUCCUAGGUACUUGUAUGAACUAGUAUGCUUAUCUACCUCUAUUCCCCAUUCCCCUCUGCGCCGUGGAUCGAAUCUACCACCGGAUCAAACGCGAAAAAUUAGUGUGUGAUGAACAGAGAAGUUCUUACCGCCAUUGUCGCUGCCCAGGCGAUCCGCUCGCCUGUGAUGGAGUCCGGUGGUCUUCUUACUUUGCUCCGAUCCGCCGCCACCGAUGAGAGUUGCGAGAGUAGGGAGAGUGGGGAGAGGGAGCGGUGAGGGGCAGUGAGGCUAAUAACAGUCGGCGCUUCGGGAAGCAACGCAGCUUCUCGAGCAUGGCCGCGCGCGUGCAACCACCGCCGCCCACAUGCACCGCUCGGGCCUGGCCCUAGAGAAACUGCCGAUUCGGGCGUUUCCAGCGAGCCAGGCCUAGGACUGUUUUAAGGUCCGUGCCAUGCGGGCCGAAUAGUGAAAGCAGGCAACCAAACAGGCCGGAUUCUUCCCGCGCGGGCCUGGUUGGGCCUCAUGCAGGCAACCAAACACGCCCUAGUAUACUGAUAUUGGACUGAAGCUUGUUAGCUCUGUCCAUGCUGGGCCUUUUUGUCAUCAUUAGUAUUGUUAUAUAUUAGCUGAAGCUGCACAUGUUUUCUUUCCGUUGACGUUGGUGCGGGCGGUGCUACGCGUCAGUCGGCCGAUGGAUGGCCGCCUUACUCACCUGAUUUUAAUCAAGUCCGACCUAGCUGUAGUUUGUUUUGUCACUAGCUGCGUAUACAUAGGCGAGCUCCAGCACUGUGUUGCAGCGUGGAAAACAUAUGAACUCUAAUAAGAAACAUACAAUGGUUAGAAACAUAUCCACAUCUUUUUUUGGGCACGUUUUAGGUGUCAACGAAAUUAGUCGGAUCGCCAGCAGUCGAAUUGACACAUGGAGCAUUGGAUCACACUACACGGCAGCAGAGAGAAUGCAAACUGUGUUUCUCCAUAGCCUCCACAAUACAUGUGUAUCCGCCACACCUUCCCCAUCGUCGCAACAGACAAUUACGUCGGCCCCUCGCAACACCUUGCUUCGGUACCCUGGAGAUCCCUGAUGUUGCUUAGCUAUCCUGCAAGUACCCUAGAGACCCAAAGUGCCAAGCACCUGAGACCUAUCAUUUGGAUACUUUAUACCUAAGAUAUUAUUUACCAAAACCAUACCUGAGACAUUUUCCCCAAUGCAGGCGGGGCCGAUGAAAAGUCGAACCCCUUGCCAACCUACUCAAAAGGUGUACACGGUCUCCCUCCGUCCCGAAAUACUUGUCGGAGAAAUGGAUAUAUCUAGAUGUAUUUUAGUUUUAGAUACAUCCAUUUUUAUGCAUUUGUACGGCAAGUAUUUCCGGACGGAAGGAGUAGUAACUAUAUAUUUGUUUCUAAAUAUAAGAAAAAUUACUAUUAAAUACUACUAUACCAAAGAUAUAAGAUCAUUAAAUACUAGUAUAUCAAAGAUAUACCUAAAUAUAAGAAUAUUUAAUAGUAGUAUACCGAAGAUAUUCUACAGUUAAAUUCUAUUAACUCUGUUCCAAAAUAUAAGAAUAUUACUAUAAAAUACUAUUAGCUGUAUUCAAAUAAUUAGUAAUAGAAAUAAUAUUCUUUAGUAGUGAUAUAUCUUUAUUCAUCAUUAAAUAUAAGAAUAUUACUAGUAUUAAAUACUAGAAUCCCAAAGAUAUAUCUACUAGUAUACCAAAGAUAUACAACAAUCAAUAUUACCUCUGUUCCAAAAUAUAAGACUGUUACUGCUACCUCCGUCUGAAAAUAUUUGUAGUCAAAAUGAAUAAAAGAGGAUGUAUCUAGAUGUAUUUUAGUUCUAGAUACAUCCCUUUCUAUCUGUUUUGAUCACAAGUAUUUUUGGAUGAAGGGAGUAUUAAAUACUAUCACAGCUAUUCUUAUAUUUAGUAACAGAGAUAAUAGUAUUUAAUAGUAGUAUAUCAUUGUUCCUAAAUACUCCCUCCGUCCCAAAAUUCUUGUCUUACAUUUGUCUAGAUACGGAUGUAUCUAACACUGAAAUGUAACUAGAUACAUUUGCAUUUAGAAAAAUCGAAGAAAAGAAUUUGGGGACCGUGGGAGUAUAAGAAUAUUACUAUUAAAUACUAGUAUGCCAAAUAUAUAUUUAAUACUAUACCAAAAUAUAAGAAUAUUUAAUAGAAAUAUACCAAAAAUAUGCUACUAUUAAAUGCUGGUAUUAAAUAAAUAAAUCUGUAGUUCAACACGCGGUCCCCACCUUGGCCCGUGCCUUUUGUUUCAGUUCAUAAAGGACGACACAUGCUUCUGCUCCUCGCUCACAUUCUACUCAUCCCGCUCUCAUUGACCAACUCUGCGUGUCUGCUCGACCGAUCCACCGCAAUGUCUAGCUCCGGCGUCAAUGCCAUACCCGCAACCAACCAUGAGGAGCAGAGCCUGGCGGCCCCCGCUCCGCCCCCUGCGGCCGCGAUCGCCCAGGGGAAAGGGAAGGUGCUUGUGCAACAGGUGCCUGCGCCAGUGGUUCACAGGCGCAAGCCCGGGAGACCCCAGGAGACAAGCCCGCCCCCAGCGGCCACCAGAGAGGAGCUGGAAUCCCGGGAGUCCCGGGAAGGCCCCUUGAAGGUGCUUGCGCUCCCGGCGCCAGGGGCCCCGCGUACUCACGCUGUCUCUGGCGACAAGAUGAUGAGACGCGCUCGCGCCCCCACCCGGCAUGCCAACGUUGUCUCCGACGACAAGAUGGUGAGCCGCGUUCGCGCCUCCACCCUGCAUGCAAACCGUGUCUCCGAUGACAAGAUGGUGAGCCGCACUUGCUUUCCCCUCUCCUACAAGUGAUUUGAAGUUAACCGGUGCCUAAUGAUUUGAAGUUACUGGCAAUCUUUAAUUUAGUCAUGUGAAUUGUACUAGUGCUUACUGAAUUACCUGAUGUGUAUGUGCAUGAACUACGUGGUGUGUAUAUGUCCUUGGAUUUUCUAAUCGCUGUGGUCUAUCUGGCAUAUGGACAAGAACGACAUGGCGAGCCGCGCUCGCGCCCCCACACGGCGUGCAAGCGCUGUAUCCGACAACAAGAUGGUGAGCCGCGCUCGCUGCUCCCACUCUGCUACUAGUGAUUUGAAGUUAACCAGUGCCUAAUGACCUGGAGUUAUUGAUAAUCUUUAAUCUAGUCAUUUGAAUUACUAGUACUAGUGCUUAAUUUACUACCUGAUGUGUAUGUUCAAGAAUUACGUGAUGGGUAUAUGUCCUUGGACUUUCUAAUCGCUACGGUCUCAUCUGGCAGAUCGACAGGGACGAGAUGGCGCCGGACCAGGGGGUGCCACGCAUGCGGGGGAGCAUCGCGUCGUCAAGUGCGGUUGGUAAGUAUACUUUAUGCUGCUUUUUUUGUCAGCAUCGUCUCCAUGCAGGCUACACUGGCAAACAAGCAGCUUAGCUCUUGUGCAUGCUGUUUUUUUGUCAUCACUAGGGGCGUGUUUUGUUGCCGUGUGCUAUAGUACCUGCGUUGCAUACCAGUGGCGGAGCUAGCAUUUGACAUCAGGGUGGUCCGACCCCCGAAAAAAAAUUAACAAGAAAUAUGACAUCUGGGCAUUCUAAAUACUUACCAAUAUGACACAAGUUCUCCAGCUUGCUCUUCGGCCACAUCUCACAUAUUCAUUGCCUUCUUCUUCUUCCCUAUCUUCAUAGCUUCUCUUUGAAAAGAGAAACAAUGUCUCCGGUCCUCUUCAUUCUUCAAAAAUUCUGCAAUAAAAUUUAGUUUCUAUCAAUAAAGCUAAUUGAGGCAGAAAUGAUAUGCAAAAUUAUGUAUGUGUUCAUCAAUUCAUGAUAGUGUAGUGCAAAAAAGCAAACCCUAAGUCAAAAAAUAUGGGGUUUCAGUACCUUAAAUUUGAUUUGCACAUUUGCUGCGAAUCUGUGAUGCUACCGCUGGACGGCUGGAGACUUGCUGGUGAGCGGCACCUUCAACGGUCGUCGGCUUUGCAGGGAGGGCCGAGGGGGCGCAGGCAGUGGGCGGGCGGGCGGCAGGGCCAGGCGGCCACGGCUCCUGCUGGUCAAGGGGCGCGGGCGAGCGGUGGAGCNNNNNNNNNNGGCGUGAGGCGAGGGCUUCGGGGCAUCCUCUCCUCUGCCUCGAUGUGGAAUGAGCAAAGUUUCAAAUCGCGGGCGAAAUUGGCGCUAUUGCUGCUCUAUCGCGGCUGGAGAGGCUUCCUGCUAUGCUAUGUCAAAUUUUCCGCAAUUUGCCGCUACCGCCGCGAUCGCCGCGUGAAACAGCAAUAAGUGGCUUAGCUGUCGCUGCAGUUUCGCUGGAAUGGCUGAGAUCGAUUUUAACAGGCUGAAACAGAGGGCCAGAACAAAUCGUAGCCCAAAUUUCCUCUGAUAGAGCAGCCUGUCCAGAAACCUUAUCUUCAUUAAAUCCUCUCGCUCCCAUCUAAAAAACUUGCGGCGGCUGCGGCUAGGCGGGCCGGCGGCUGCUUCGCAGCAAGCCGGAGUCAGCGACGAGCGAGGCGGCGACCAGGACUCCGACAGGAGGCUGCAUACUCCGUAGCUCUAGUACUCUGUCUGUUUGCUGUUAUUGAUCCAUCCUAGUCCGUUUGCUGAUUCAGUACGGAUGUUGUCUUUUUAUUUGCGGGGAGGAUAUUGACUUAUUUAUGACUGAAUUUAUACUGCCAAUCCUCUGUUUUCUGCUGAAAAUCCUCUGUUUUUUAGACAAAAAACAUGCAUAUGUACUUUUGCCGCUAAAUACCUUAGCGGCCGCUAUCGCCCGCUAUAGCGGCCCUAGCGUUUUGAUGAGCCAGCCGCGAAAUGCUUUUGCCCGUGAUCUUAAAGUUUGGGAACGAGGGGUCGUGGCCUCGUGGGCUAUGGCUGAACGACAGAACAAGGGCUGGCAGUGUAUAUUGGGCCAUCUGUUUUUUUGGCCCAGUUAAAUACCCAUGGUAGGCUGCUCCAAAAUCCCAGGGUGGGCCGCGGCCCACCCUGGCCACCCUGUAGCUCCGUCCAUGUUGUAUACCCUUCUCCACUCAGUCUGGCUCUGAAAAAACAGCCUCAUAUGCAACAUCUGCGAGUUGUUUGGUUGCCUGCAUGUCCUCUUACCUGCAUGGGCUGAACCACACUGCCUGAUGUUUGAUUGCCUGCAUGUUAGUGGACAAACCCAAGGCAUGGUGUUUGGUUGUAUGCAACGCCUGGUGCGUGGUAACCUCUUUGGCUAGUUGGUGAGGUUACUAGCACACUUCGGCACAACCAUGUAUAGCACACAUCAUAAGCAGAGCAGACUAUAAACAGAGCAUCAACUACUUAACAGCAUAAUUCAGAUAAGCAGUACCACACUUCAUAACAGUUCAACGCCUAAACCCUAAACAGUUCAAAGCAGACUCCUUGCCGGCGAAGGCUUCAUCGUGCUUCCCGCACUUGCUGACGACCACAAUGCGAUCCUCGUUGAAGAUGGUGACCUUGAGGGUGUAGGGAGUGAGGAGCUUGAACGUCACCAUGUAGUCGAUCUUGAUCUGAUGAACGUUCACCAGCUUCACCGUCACCUUCAAGGACCAGCCGGUGUUUUUCCUGAGCUUAAACUCUGUCGGCACCGCAACGAAGUGCGUGGUGAAGUCCAGGGGCAUUGGGAUGCACUCAAGCUUCGGUGCAAGGAUGACGUUGCAGAAGUGAGUCGGGCCAUCCUCCUGAUGGUAGUGGUCGUAGUUGCGGUGCUUGUUGCUGGGGGGCACCUCCAUGCCCUCGUCGUCGCCACCCUCAAGCGUCUUUGGGUCUUCCUCGGCGGUGUGCGGCAGCACAACCUCGUCGGGCAUUGGGUGAAGGGGCUGCUUGCCCCUGUUCUCAACAGCCGGGAGCACCUCAUUGCUCUCCUCGAUCUGCACACAAUUCAUGGAUUCAGGCACAACACAGAGUUCAUGGCUUAUUGAAGAGCAUGCAGUUAAAACGGCAUGACUGUCACUCUUCUCCUCCUCUCCAUCGCCCCUAUAUUUACUCACCCUGCCCAACACUACUUACCCACCCCCUCUCUUCUCUCACUGUCAACCUUCCUCCUCCCCAUCGCCAUGAGCUCUAGCUCCAGCUCGGAUGCCAACCCCUUCCCUUGGGGUAUUGGCGGGACAGCCUUCUUCCUAGGGUGGUCGGUUGGUGACCGCACCAAGUUCGAGAACACCAUGGAGGUGUGCUCGAACUUUGGCUCCAUGCCUGACAUGCAGAAGGAAUCUAAUGCAGUGCUCAUGAAGGCCACUGCAGAAGAGCUGAAGACGCCGAUUCCUGACCCAGCGAAGGGCGCGAUGGCAGUUGACAUCAUUCGCGGGGCCAUGAAUUUGGCCGUCUCCGACGACGCUAAACAGAGAAAGAAGUGGUGCAGGUACAAGAACUAUUGGGCCCCUAAUGACCGCCAUGCCGCAGUGUACUGGGAGACGGCUAUCGCGCCUCCGGCGGUCAUCGGUGGGGAGCCUAAGAAGGAGGACAAGGAGGAAGAACCGGUGCAGAUGCCGGCAAGGGUGCAGAUGCCGGCAACAUACAACCAUGAUUCUCAGAAAUAGACCAUCAUGGAGCCGACAAUGGUGGCCAUGAUAGGCUAGUGAAAAGCACACUGGUGAUCAACCUUACAACACUAAACAAAAUAUUGCAACAUGAGGUAACCCCAACUUUGUAGCACUGGUCCACCAUUUUCAACCACCUUGUAGCAAUGAACAGUUCACUGACCAAUAGCAUUGCUGCAUCAAGUGACCGGCUUCCAGCACUGAACACCCGCGCUUGCAGCACCACGAUGAUCGAUGGUCGGCCUUUCUACAUUAUUAGUUAACAUUGCACACCUCGUCUCCAUUUUUAUGUACAUACACAUGAGUGAGCUUGGAACAUUAGUAACGUAUCAACAUUACCAAACAUGAAGAUGAUAAAUUUGUUUCUCCAAUCAUCGACAUUACUGAAUAAGCGAGCAACUGCACAUCCACCACACGAGCCAUAAUUUUUUAGCUCUGCGACAACAUCUUAUAGUUGCAAAAGAGCUGACGAUAAUGGUUUAGAAUGUAUGUGAUCAAAAUAGAUUCAAUGGAGGGGAGGGUGGACUACCUAUGUUGAAUCAGACUAGCUGCAAGGUCACAAGUGCCUUGUCUAAAUAGCCAAAAAGACAAAACGAGGCCCCCUGGAUUCUCCAUCCUGAAGCUAAGCAUAACUCCAACUCCACACACGCUCGGGGGCUACUAAAGGUGCAAUACGCUAGGGGUAUCUUCUGGGUGGGAAGCCUGGUAGCAGGCCUGCCUUAGGGCACAAGAGGCCAAGUGGAGGAUCAGUACAAUAGGGUAGCUCAGGAGCCCAGAUAAGGACCGUGAGAGCAUCUUGGCAGGCAAGCUAAGAUGGUAGUGGUAUGAGAUCUGAUGGAUUCCUUUUAAACCUAGCCCUUGCCACCUAUAUAAGGAGGGGCUCGGGGUUGUCAUUCACAUAUACUCUCAUAGACUGUACUCUCUGUAGCAUUAUACUUCAUCACCACUCUAAACCCCUCGCAUAAGGUGCUCCACCAAGAAUAAAAAUCAGAUACAUGAUGUUGGGCAUUACCUCUCACCGAGGGCCCGAACCUGGGUAAAAACCUUUGUGUGAACUCCUUUGUCGUGUAUCCGUACAAGUUCACCACCCUACUAUGGGUAUUCACGGUUUUACAUAUUGUCACAUAGUUAAGUUCUGACACAUUUUCUCUGGGGGGUUGAAGCAACUCAUGGUGUAAAUAGGUGUUUCUUGAAGCACUGAUUCUACUAGCACCUCCUUUCCCGGCUUCGAGAUAUCUUGUCCUUCCUAUCCAACCACUUUGCCAUUUGAGCUUUCUUUAAGAUGUUUAAAAUUUCCUUCAUUUGACCUGCCCACCAUGGUUGGGAGCCAAAAUAAUGCUCGCUCAAUGCCUUAGGAUCUGUGCAAAGAUAUUUACAACAACUUUGUCCUCCUAUUUGCCUCAGUUCCCAAAGAAUGUUGAGGCUUUUUGAAAAUUGCCCAUUUUUUCCGAGGCCCACUCAUAGUCAAAGAGGAUAUAUUUAAGGUUAAAAGUUGUCAUUUGACGGUUGAAGAAAUACUAUACUAUCAUCUGCAGAAAUAAGAUGGGCUACAUGGGGGUUAGUGCUCCCAAAAGAUAUACCAUUGAUCUCUUUAUCUUUCAGCAUUCAUGAGAAAGGUCGAAAAACUCGCAAGAUAGAAAAUAAAAAAAUAGGGAGACCAUGGGUCUCCUUGCCAGAGCCCUCUUCAUAGUGUACAAAAUACAUAACACACUCCAUUCAAUUUGAUAGAAAACCUGGCAGGGGUACCACACAUCAUAAUCAUCAAGAUCAACCUAUCUGAGAAACCAAGUGCCCUCAUCACCGGGUCGAGGAAAAUCCAAACCACCCUCUUAUAUGCCUUCAUCAUGUAUAGUUUAACUGCGAACAUUGGAUUUUUCUAUUUGUUGAAUGAACAUACUUUGCUCCUGCGUGAACAUUAUGGAUAGGACAACCAUCAAUCUCUUUGCUAGGCCUUUGAAGCAAUCUGACUGAGUGUGUUCAAUAAGUUGAUUGAUGCCAUUUGAGGAAGUAUCUCCAUUGAGGUAAUUUUGGGGAUCAGGACUAGAACCAUAUCACUAAAGUUUGUUGAAAUAACUCCAUUAAAAGAAUCACCUAUUACUAUGUGUACAUCAUAUUUUUAGAAGUAACUCGUGAAAUUAGUAAACAUAAGUGAGAGGUUGUCUAGCCCCUGCGCUCUUGCCAGUCAAAUUUAGAAUAGUGCAUUCUCAAUUUAUACAUCCAUCACGUCCGUGUUCACCCUCUCCUCCAUAUCACUAGUCACAGAGGGUCGGAUGUGAGCUAAGAUGUUGUCAGUAUCAGCAGAGGCUUCUGAACAGAACAACUAAGCAUAGAAAUCGGCCGAAAUCUUUCCCAUCUCAUUGUCAAUAGUACAACUCAUGCCAUCCGCCCUCAUGUUUUGAUCGUCUUCCUUGAGAAAUUCCAGUCGGGAACAUUGCAUACACAUUAUUUGUUCAUGUGCAUGAACCACAUGAAGCUACCCUUCAAUCUUGCUGGUCUUCAUCGAGGAUGUCUGGAUCCCAAUGCUCUACCCUUUCCAUCGAAGUUGGACCUUGUGCCUAGUAAUCUCACAACAUACAAGACAAAAUACAGAGCCAUUUCAAUGUAUCAUAUCAUUGGUGAAAUUGUUACGCUUCCUGUAGAGCUCACUCUGGCCGGAAUUGUUAUCACAUGCAUACUAUCAUGCCUCCAUGUGCAUCCACCUCUCCUCAAACGUUAAUGCCCUCUUCUUACUUUUGGUAAUGACUAGGUUUUCUAGCACUCUACUAACGAGUGAACCAUGGUCUGGUCCUCCAUGACAACAUGUUCAAUGGGUGUAUCCUACAAUGAAUGAACAAAUUCAUCAUUGCAUGGACCCGUGUCCACAUGUAUGUAAAUGAUCUCAUCCCACUCCCUCUUAUUGUCCCAAGUGAACACGUUGCUACUAAAACAAAGGUUUGAAAUGCUAUUAUUGUCUACACUCUCCCUAAUGCGCUCCAUUUGUGUGAAACUUCUAAAGUAAUCUCCUAGUUGUUGGGAUUAAAAGAAUUCUUUGUUGAGGUAUCAUUGUAACAGAUAAAUGUAUUAUUAGGAUCUAGUCUCUCAGAGCCUCCCUUAGCUAUACAAAUUUUCUUCAAUCUCUCUUCCUAUCCAGUAGCUUUAGGUGAUAAUCCUUGUGAUGCCUUUCGUGGUCACCAUCACCUUGGCUCGUCAUAUGAAUAAAAGUGCCUGGUCUGUGUAGCUUAGAGGUAGAUGGGUCAUAUUUCCCAAUGGCCUUGACCCUUUCCCUUAUAGAUUUUUUUAUGUCUUGCUCCCUUUCAUGCUCCUCUCUCAGGUCCCACUUCCUUUUUAGAUUGAAAUCAUCCCUUAGUUCACAAUCAUGUCACAGAUCUUGCCUACAUGGGUCCUCCCUGCACUUCAUGUUAGACAAUUACCCUCUACAAGACCAUCUCGAGGAUCCUCACCAGAGAGAGAGUCCAUAGAGGGUGUAUAAUCAUUGUAUGACCUGCACCUAAAUGGACGGACAUGCAACGCUACAUGACCCCUGCACCCAUAGACGCCCUUGCUUGACCUAGUGAUCCCAAAACUAAAUUUCAUGUUUUUUGUCACCGGCCUCUACUUUGUUUUUGUCUGUGAGGAGCCAUGUCCAAGUGAUGCCCUGUAACGCCCAAUAUGCGAUACUAUCCUAAAGAGACUCGAAGGUCCCACCAAGGAUAGAAUCGCAGAUUGAAACGCUUUUGCAAGGUGGAUAUCAUUACCUCAACAUUACAUAAUAGAUGGGGAUACAAACAAAAGGCAUACAAUGCCACACGAAUACAACAUCAUCUUACAUAAGAACACCAUCCGACUACGGAUGAAACACAAACAGAAACUCAAACGACAUCCACCCUGCUAGCCCAGGCUGCCGACCUGGAACCUAUCCCCUGAUCGAAGAAGAAGCAGAAGAAGAACUCCAAAACCAUCAAACAUCGCUCUCGCAUCAUGACCAUCACAAAACCUGUACCUGCAACUGUUGUUGUAGUAAUCUGUGAGCCACGAGGACUCAGCAAUCCCAUUACCAUGGGUAUCAAGACUAGCAAAGCUUAAAGGGAAAGGAAGGGGUAAAGUGGUGACUGGUGAGGUUGCAGCAGCGACUAAGCAUAUAUGAUGGCUAACAUACGCAAAUAAGAGCGAGAAGAGAAGCAACGGAAUGGUCGUGAAGCUAGCAAUGAUCAAGAAGUGAUCCUGAACUCCUACUUACGUCAAACAUGACCCAAAACCGUGUUCACUUCCCGGACUCCGCCGAAAAGAGACCAUCACGGCUACACACACGGUUGAUGCGUUUUAAUUCGGAUCUGGUGUCAAGUUAUCUACAACCGAACAUUAACAAAUUCCCAUGUGCCACAUAACCGCGGGCACGACUUUCGAAAGUUUAUACCCUGCAGGGGUGUCCCAACUUAGCCCAUCACAAGCUCCCAUGGUCAACGAAGGAUAUACCUUCUCCCAGGAAGACCCGAUCAGACUCGGAAUCGCGGUUUACAAGACAUUUCGACAAUGGUAAAACAAAACCAGCAAAACCUCUCGAUGUGUCGAUAAAUCCAGAUAGGAGCUGCAAAUAUCUCGUUCUCAGGGCACACCGGAUGAGCCAGACGUCGGGUUGGCAUAGACCCUGGUUGCCCAGGGGGUGCCGGACAUCGCUCGGUUUAGACCAGCACUUGGAGAAGCACUGGCCCGGGGGGGGGCUAAAAUAAAGAUGACCCUCGGGCUCCGGAAACCCAAGGGAAAAAGGGCUAGGUGAGGCAAAUGGUAAAACCAAGGUUGGGCCUUGCUGGAGGAGUUUUAUUCAAAGCGAACUGUCAAGGGGGUCCCAUAAAUCACCCAACCGCGUAAGGAACGCAAAAUCCGGGAACAUAACACCGGAAUGACGGAAACUAGGGCGGCAAGAGUGGAACAAAACACCAGGCAUAAGGCCGAGUUUUCCACCCUUUACCAAGUAUAUAGAUGCAUUAAUUAAAAUAAGAGAUAUUGUGAUAUCCCAACAUUAUCAUGUCCACCAUGGAGCAAUCUUCAACUUCACCUGCAACUAGCAACGCUAUAAGAGGGGUUGAGCAAAGCGGUAACAUAGCCAAGCAACGGUUUGCUAGGAAGGGUGGAAAUGUUAGAGGCUGACAUGGCAAUUUGGGAGGCUUGAAGAGCAAUUGGUAGGUAGCGCUGCAAAGCGAUAAAACGAAGCAACUAGCAUAGCAAUGAUAGUAGUGAGAUCCAGGGUAGCGGUCAUCUUGCCCGAAAUCCCGCAAGGAAGAAGAACGAUUCCAUGAAGAAGGUGAAGCCACGAAGACGAACCAAGCGUAGACGAACGAAUCCUCAUGAUCGCAAUGAAACGGGAACUAUCGAGAAGAAGCACACAACAUAGUAAACACACGACACAUGAACAAGGCAUGAUGCUCAACCAAGUAUGAUGCAUGACAGGGCUACAUGAAGCUACUCAUGGCAAGAGAUGAUGCAAACACGAGCAACACAUCAAGGCAAGUUUAAAUGAGGCCGGGAACAACAUAUAACAAUUCCGGUAAGUCCUCAUAUGCAAAUUUCGAAAUAGGUCCAGAUCUGAAUAAACCUUAUGUUCAAGUUGUUAAAUAGCAAGAUAAGAUACACCAAGAUGAUCUACACAAGAUUCUAGUCAAGUUACGUAUAAAGUUCAUUUAGUUCGGAGCUACGGCCUAGAAGAUAUGAGCAAAAAAAGUUAAACAUGGCAUUGAUGCAAAAUGCAUACAAACAUCUAGCAAACACAUCUAAACAAGGAUGCAACAUGUUAAUAUGAAACUACAUCCAAUUCUAAGCAAGUUUCAUAUAGAGCACACUCAAAACGGAGCAACGGUGCAACACAUACACUCCAAACAAGACAUAACAACAAUCUGCCCAAAACAGCAACUAGGCAUCUAGCAAGCAUCAAAACAAUAUGCUACAACACCCCAACGUAAGAACAAAAGGUAUGGGCAUGAUGUACAUGUAAAUCAUGACAAAACAUGAACACUGACCUAUCUCCAGAAAACACUAGAACAUGCUCAAAAAGGCAUGGCAACAUUGCAAGUAAUAACAGUUUACAGGCUUAGCAGAAAUAACAUCAGGUUGCAAUGUUUAGAGCUAUCAAACAACAUGUUACAUGAACAUAUCAUAGAAACUUAAGGCAUGACAUGAUUCUAAUGAAUGCAUAGAACAAAAGUACUUUACUGACCAUGAGCCAAAAGGGCACAGAAAAUAUGAUGGCAGCCAUGUAAACAUGGCAAGUUAUAUGACAGAUUCAAACAUGGCAGGAACAACUAUAAGUAGGCAUGUUGGUGAGCUUGUACCACUUACCACAGAGCAUUACAUGGCAUGAUAAGGCAACCAACAGUAAUAAUACAUGUUUAUGAAGCUAAGCAUGGCAAGAGCAAGUUCAUAGGGUGCAUGAAUCACUCACAAAACACAUGGCAAAAGUGCACUUAAUGUUAACAGGCUGACAGCAACAUUAUUUAGCAAUUUGAGAGCAAGAUUACAACAAGCUACAGCAGGCUAUAAAUGCAACCAGCGGCACGGGUGGAUAUAGCAUGACAUGUAGAACAAAACAUCCUUAGUGAGCAUCUCCAGAUUAUGCAUAGAAUGACUUGUAGCAGCAGGUUUACAUAGCAUCACGAAAUAACAGAUUCAGCCUAGCAAAAUAGCAACAGCAAGUAUUCUACUUCACGAGCUCGAUGCACUCACUAAAAGACUCACAAAAAUACAUGGAUUGCACCUCUGUAAAGAUGGAAUGAUGUAGAUCAAAAUACAUGUAGAGCUCAUGCUCAUAGGAUGCACACAUCAACUGCAACAAAAAUGACAAAUCGCCAAGUUAUAACAGUUUCAGCAGAUUAACAUCAUAUAGCACUCUUGCAACGAUGAUUCAGGUAUCAAGAUGAACUCAAAUGAACAUCGCACAAUGUAAUGAAAUGAAGAGAAUCUCCUGAUGAACAUUUUGAUAUAUUAUACACGCAAAACGGAGCAGUAUACAACAAGUUAUGGCAUAUCAAAGUAUGCACCAAAACGCAAACUAAUUCGGGACUUAGAGAAAAUCUGGGGUCAACCUUAGGUCUGCACGGAUUUCAAGGCGAGGCGGAUGUCGUCGGAGAGCUCACCGGAGAAGAGGAGGGAGAUGGGGCCGGCGAGGUCUUGCAGGGGCGGGACGAGGCGGAUCCGACCGGAUCUCGCCGGAUCCGGCCGAGCUCCGGCGAAGGCGACGCGGGGCCGGGCACGGGCGGCGGCCGGGGCGGCGCCGGCNNNNNNNNNNNNNNNNNNNNNNNNNNNNNNNNNNNNNNNNNNNNNNNNNNNNNNNNNNNNNNNNNNNNNNNNNNNNNNNNNNNNNNNNNNNNNNNNNNNNNNNNNNNNNNNNNNNNNNNNNNNNNNNNNNNNNNNNNNNNNNNNNNNNNNNNNNNNNNNNNNNNNNNNNNNNNNNNNNNNNNNNNNNNNNNNNNNNNNNNNNNNNNNNNNNNNNNNNNNNNNNNNNNNNNNNNNNNNNNNNNNNNNNNNNNNNNNNNNNNNNNNNNNNNNNNNNNNNNNUGGGCUCCGCGGGCCGCACGGUGGCGGGAGGCGGCGGCGACAGGUGUCCGGCCCUGAUUGGCGCAGGGAGGGUGCGCUGCUGAGGUGGCGCGCUCCUAUUGGCCGGAGCGACGUGGAGGCGGCGGUGGACGUGUCCGGCCGCCGGGCGGACAUGUCCGGCGGCGCGAGGAGGGAGAGGGCUAGGGUUCAUUUGCGCGAAAAAAUCGAAGGGGAUCACAUAUUUAUAGGUAGAGGGAGCUAAGAGACUCCAAAUGAGGUGCGGUUUUCGGCCACGCGAUCGUGAUCGAACGGCGGAGAGCAUGGAGGGGGUUAGGAUGGGUUUGGGGCCAGUUUGGAGGGGUUGUUGGGCAGCAACACAAAGAGGGCUUUACGGUUCCCAGUUAACCGUUGGAGUAUCAAACGGACUCCAAAUGGCACGAAACUUGACAGGCGGUCUACCGGUGCUAUACCAAGGCCACUUGGCAAACCUCGGUCCAUUCCGAGAAUGUUUAACACCCGCUCACAACAAGAGACAAAAAGGGGACGCCGGAGGACAUAGGAGUGUCGGAUUGCAAAACGAACAACGGGGAAAAUGCUCAAAUGCAUGAGACGAACACGUAUGCAAUGCAAUGCACAUGAUGACAUGAUAAAAUGCAACACGCAAGCACAUGACAUGGCAACAACAACGAAUAACUGGCAGACACCUGGCACAUCGAAUCCGGGGCGUUACAACACUCCUCCACUAACAAGAGAUCUCGUCCCGAGAUCUUAGGAACGAGACGGAAGAGAAAGAGGAAGAGGUGAAGCAAGAACUGAACAGAGAGGGUGAACAAAGUCGAGAGCACUCGCGUAGAAAAGAUGAGCGGUGAAUAUGACGAGAAUCAAAUGCUCAAGAAACAAAAUAGACUCUGAAAACACUCCGGUUAAAACGAGAUAAGAAACGAAUAAGACUGAAAAGGAUUUAGCAGAACUCUGACUGAACAUGGAAAGAAUAGAACAUGAACUUGAGAGGAUGGAAUGAUACUUGAUGAACUCUUGAAGAAUGAAAUAAAUCAUGAAGAACCACCAUGAAGAACUCCGGUGACAAAAGGAUGAUGAGAUAGACAUGAAGGAUGAAAGAAUAAGAUGAUCCUUGCGGUGACUUAGAUGGAGGUUCCGACGAAAUGACCGAGGAAAUUGAACUCCGGAAAAGAAAAGAUGAAAACACUUGGAACUAGAAUUUAUUCACCAAGAACAAACUCCGAAGAAAAGGAUUAAUCACUUGGAUGAAAUAAGAAUAAGAUUUAUUGUAUGCUUAUCCUUCAUCAAAUUUAAUUGAUGACAAGCCACGGAUUUGGCAUGCAACUUAUUCUUGUUGAAAAGAAUUGAGAAAUGAUGCAUCGCAAACUUGAGAAGGUCUUCAUGAACCACCGGUAGGAUUUGGAAGAACGAAUGAAUUAAAAUGAUAAUCAAGGAAAAGAAUCUUGAACGAACCACCGUAAGAAUUCGAAAAUGACUGAUGAAAGAGAAUGAAUCACCGGGAAGAAUUAUAAGAACAACUAUGCUAGAUGGAAUUUAAAUACAAGGGAAGGGGAAGAACUCGAGCUGAUUAAAGAAUAUUUGAAGGAAGCACCGGGAUAAAUAGAGAACGAUAGCUGAAAUGUGGGGAUGAAGAAUUCUUCUGGAACGAUGGCCUCCGGUGAAAAGAAAUGGAAAAAACAACUCAUGACAUAGUCCGGAUGGGUAAGAAAGAAUAUCCGGCCAAUGGAAUAAUUCGAGAGGGUAAUAAGAAGCUAGAACCACGAAUCUUCGGGAGAACGGGCAAGAUUGAGAGGAAAAACUCUUCUUCGGUCUUCAAAAGACGACGAGAAACACCACCAAAAUUACUGAGGUACUCCGGUUGAAUGAAAAACGAAGAGGUUGAGGCAACAAUGAAAAUUAUUUGAAAUCGAUCUCAAAGAAGGCAUGUGGCUGAUGGAAUCCAUUCUUACGCCACACUUUGAAAAUAAUUGAGAAUAACUCCAGGGAAUUAGAAGAGUCAGGUAAGAUCCUGGGAAAGGACCUGUGGGUUAGGGCCCACUGAAGAGAAAAACACCGUUGGAAAGGAUUGAUGAAAAGAUAGAUGAUUCACCGGAACAAUUGAAAUAUUUGAAUGAGGUAACAACCUCGAAUUAAUUGGAACACAGAUGAAUCUCCUGAGAUGUCUUGAGCACUCCGGAAGGAUAAACUGGCGAGAGGCGAGUGAGCAGGGAAAACACUUGAUCCAAGGAAAGGAAUGUGAUCAACCCGAAAAACUUGAAUUGAGUGCACCAGAAAAGAGAUGAAGACUGCCAAACAAAAGAGAAUUCACCGGUUGAAACAAUUGAUGGAAGACUGAAGAGGCUCCGCACGAAUGAAAUUGAUACUCGAAAUAGACUCGGGCUUCGGGAAGAAGAGGGUGGGAGGGCAGGAAAAAACAAAGGCAACUUUAAAGGGGGAACCGACGAAUAACUUGAAGAAAAAAACACCAGUUGAAAUAAUUGAGGAGAGAGAGCAAAAACUUCGCACGAGUAGGAUGGAUACUCGAUUACGGACUCCGGAUCCAAGAAGAAAAAGGGGGGGUGGGAAAAGAAAACAACUUAGGAUUGAACUCAAAGAUGAAGAGGCUCGAGUCGACUUGACGAGAAAUGCACCGGAUGCAAAGAGAGGAGAACCAACGACCGAAAAAACAUAUGCGUGGUCCUAAAGAAAACUUUGAAGGGGAAGAGGAGUAAUUCAAAACACCUACAUCAAGAUUCCUGACCAGAGCGACGAAGGGGGCUGAGGAGUAAAAAGAAGUCCUACUCUCCGAUAUAACUAGACUCCGAAAAGUUUUCUUCUAGACUCAACAAAGGCCAAACUACACGAUCAAUCAAGGGGGCUCCUAAGGUCAGUCGAGGCUCUGAUACCAACUUGUCACGCCCAAUAUGUGAUACUAUCCUAAAGAGACUCGAAGGUCCCACCAAGGAUAGAAUCGCAUAUUGAAAUGCUUUUGCAAGGUGGAUAUCGUUACCUCAAAAUUACAUAAUAGAUGGGGAUACAUACAAAAGGCAUACAAUGCCACACGAAUACAACAUCAGCUUACAUAGGAACACCAUCCGACUACGGAUGAAACACAAAUAGAAACUCAAACGACAUCCACCCUGCUAGCCCAGGAUGCCGACCUGGAACAUAUCCCCUGAUGGAAGAAGAAGUAGAAGAAGAACUCCAAAACAAUCAAACAUCGCUCUCGCGUCAUGAUCAUCGCAAAACCUAUACCUGCAACUGUUAUUGUAGUAAUCUGUGAGCCACGAGGACUCAGCAAUCCCAUUACCAUGGGUGUCAAGACUAGCAAAGCUUAAAGGGAAAGGAAGGGGUAAAGUGGUGAGGUUGCAGCAGCGACUAAGCAUAUAUGGUGGCUAACAUACGCAAAUAAGAGUGAGAAGAGAAGCAACGGAACGGUCAUGAAGCUAGCAAUGAUCAAGAAGUGAUCCUGAACUCCUACUUACGUCAAACAUAACCCAAAACUGUGUUCACUUCCCAGACUCCGCCGAAAAGAGACCAUCACGGCUACACACGCGGUUGAUGCGUUUUAAUUCGGAUCUGGUGUCAAGUUAUCUACAACCGGACAUUAACAAAUUCCCAUCUGCCACAUAACUGCGGGCACGGCUUUCGAAAGUUUAUACCCUGCAGGGGUGUCCCAACUUAGCCCAUCACAAGAUCUCACGGUCAACGAAGGAUAUACCUUCUCCCAGGAAGACCCGAUCUGACUUGGAAUCCCGGUUUACAAGACAUUUCAACAAUGGUAAAACAAGGCCAGCAAAACCUCCCGUUGUGCCGACAAAUCCCGAUAGGAGCUGCACAUAUCUCGUUCUCAGGGCACAUCGGAUGAACCAGACGUCGGGUUGGCAUAGACCCUGGUUGCCCAGGGAGCGCCGGACAUCGCUCAGUUUGGACCAGCACUUGGAGAAGCACUGCCCCAGGGGGGCUAAAAUAAAGAUGACCCUCGGGCUCCGGAAACCCAAGGGAAAAAGGGCUAGGUGAGGCAAAUGGUAAAACCAAGGUUGGGCCAUGCUGGAGGAGUAUUAUUCAAAGCGACCUGUCAAGGGGGUCCCAUAAAUCACCCAACCGCGUAAGGAACGCAAAAUUCGAGAACAUAACACUGGUAUGAAGGAAACUAGGGCGGCAAGAGUGGAACAAAACACCAGGCAUAAGGCCGAGUCUUCCACCAUUUACCAAGUAUAUAGAUGCAUUAAUUAAAAUAAGAGGUAUUGUGAUAUCCCAACAUAAUCCUGUCCACCAUGGAGCAAUCUUCAACUUCACCUGCAACUAGCAACACUAUAAGAGGGGUUGAGCAAAGCGGUAACAUAGCCAAGCAACGGUUUUCUAGGAAGGGUGGAAAUGUUAGAGGCUGACAUGGCAAUUUGGGAGGCUUGAAGAGCAAUUGGUAGGUAGCGCAGCAAAGUGAUAGAAUGAAGCAACUAGCAUAGCAAUGAUAGUAGUGAGAUCCAGGGUAGCGGUCAUCUUGGCUGAAAUCCCACAAGGAAGAAGAACGAGUCCAAGAAGAAGAUGAAGCCACGAAGACAAACCAAGCAUAGACGAACGAAUCCUCACGAUCGCAAUGAAACAGGAACUAUCGAGAAGAAGCACACAACAUAGUAAACACAUCACACAUGAACAAGGCAUGAUGCUCAACCAAGUAUGAUGCAUGACAAGGCUACAUGAAGCUACUCAUGGCAAGAGAUGAUGCAAACACGAGCAACACAUCAAGGCAAGUUUAAAUGAGGCCGGGAACAACAUAUAACAAUUCCGGUAAGUCCUCAUAUGCAAAUUUCGAAAUAGGUCCAGAUCUGAAUAAACCUUAUGUUCAAGUUGCUAAAUAGCAAGUUAAGAUACACCAAGUUGAUCUACAUGAGAUUCUAGUCAAGUUACAUAUAAAGUUCAUUUAGUUCGGAGCUACGGCCUAGAAGAUAUGAGCAAAACAAGUUAAACAUGACAUUGAUGCAAAAUGCAUACAAACAUCUAGCAAACACCUCAAAACAAGGAUGCAACAUGUUAAUAUGAAACUACAUGCAAUUCUAAGCAAGUUUCAUAUAGAGCACACUCAAAACAGAGCAACGGUGCAACACAUACACUCCAAACAAGACAUAACAACAAUCUGUCCAAAACAGUAACUAGGCAUCUAGCAAGCAUCAAAAAAAUAUGCUACAGCACCCCAACAUAAGAACAAAAGGCAUGGGCAUGAUGUACAGGUAAAGCAUGACAAAAUAUGAACACUGAACUAUCUCCAGAAAACACUAGAACAUGCUCAAAAAGACAUGGCAACAUUGCAAGUAAUAACAGUUUACAGGCUUAGCAGAAAUAACAUCAGGUUGCAAUGUUUAGAGCUAUCAAACAACAUGUUACAGGAACAUAUCAUAGAAACUUAAGGCAUGGCAUGAUACUACUGAAUGCAUAGAACAAAAGUCCUUUACUUACCAUGAGCCAAAAGGGCACAGAAAAUAUGAUGGCACCCAUAUAAACAUGGCAAGUUAUAUGACAGAUUCAAACAUGGCAGGAACAACGAUAAGUAGGCAUGUUGGUGAGCUUGUACCACUCACCACAGAGCAUUACAUGGCAUGACAAGGCAACCAACAGUAAGAAUACAUGUUUAUGAAGCUAAGCAUGGCAAGAUAAAGUUCAUAGGGUGCAUGGAUCACUCACAAAACACAUGGCAAAACUGCACUCAAUGUUAACAGGCUGACAGCAACAUUAUUUAGCAAUUUGAGAGCAAGAUUACAACAAGCUACAGCAAGCUAUAUAUGCAACCAGGGGCAUGGAUGGAUAGGGCAUGACAUGUAGAACAAAACAUCCUUAGUGAACAUCUACAGAUUAUGCAUAGAAUGACUUGUAGCAGCAGGUUUACAUAGCAUCACGAAAUAACAGAUUCAGCCUAGCAAAACAGCAACAACAAGUACUCUAUUUCACGAGCUCGAUGCACUCGCUACAAGAUUCACAAAAAUACAUGUAUUGCACCUCUGUAAAGAUGGCAUGAUAUAGAUCAAAACACAUGUAGAGCUCAUGCUCAUAGGAUGCACACAUCAAAUGCAACAAACAUGACAAAUCGCCAAGUUAUAACAGUUUCAGCAGAUUAACAUCAUAUAACACUCUUGCAACGAUGAUUCAGGCAUCAAGAUGAACUCAAAUAAACAUGGCACAUUUUGAUAUAUUAUACAUGCAAAACGGAGCAGUAUACAACAAGUUAUGGCAUAUCAAAGUAUGCACCAGAAUGCAAACUAAUUCGGGACUUAGAGAAAAACUGGGGUCAACCUUAGGUCUGCACGGAUUUCAAGGCGAGGCGGAUCUCGUUGGAGAGCUCACCGGAGAAGAGGAGGGAGAUGGGGCCGCCGGGGUCUUGCAGGGGCGGGACGAAGCGGAUCCGGCCGAGCUCCGGCGAAGGCGACGCGUGGCCGGGCGCGGGCGNNNNNNNNNNNNNNNNNNNNNNNNNNNNNNNNNNNNNNNNNNNNNNNNNNNNNNNNNNNNNNNNNNNNNNNNNNNNNNNNNNNNNNNNNNNNNNNNNNNNNNNNNNNNNNNNNNNNNNNNNNNNNNNNNNNNNNNNNNNNNNNNNNNNNNNNNNNNNNNNNNNNNNNNNNNNNNNNNNNNNNNNNNNNNNNNNNNNNNNNNNNNNNNNNNNNNNNNNNNNNNNNNNNNNNNNNNNNNNNNNNNNNNNNNNNNNNNNNNNNNNNNNNNNNNNNNNNNNNNNNNNNNNNNNNNNNNNNNNNNNNNNNNNNNNNNNNNNNNNNNNNNNNNNNNNNNNNNNNNNNNNNNNNNNNNNNNNNNNNNNNNNNNNNNNNNNNNNNNNNNNNNNNNNNNNNNNNNNNNNNNNNNNNNNNNNNNNNNNNNNNNNNNNNNNNNNNNNNNNNNNNNNNNNNNNNNNNNNNNNNNNNNNNNNNNNNNNNNNNNNNNNNNNNNNNNNNNNNNNNNNNNNNNNNNNNNNCAGGCGGCCAGCGGCGAGGCGCACGAGGAGGCGGGCGGAUGGGCCAGGCGGCGGCGGCGCGAGGGCCCGCCCGGGCCCACGAUGGGCUCCGCGGGCCGCACGGUGGCGGGAGGCGACGGUGACAGGUGUCCGGCCCUGAUUGGUGCGGGGAGGCUGCGCUGCUGAGGUGGCGCUCUCCUAUUGGCCGGAGCGAUGUGGAGGCGGCGGUGGAUGUGUCCGGCCGCCGGGCGGACAUGUCCUGCGGCGCGAGGAGGGAGAGGGCUAGGGUUCAUCUGCGCGAAAAAAUCGGAGGGGAUCACAUAUUUAUAGGUAGAGAGAGCUAGGAGACUCCAAAUGAGGUGCGGUUUUCGGCCACGCGAUCGUGAUCGAACGGCGGAGAUUAUGGAGGGGGUUACGAUGGGUUUUGGGCCAGUUUGGAGGGGGUGUUGGGCUGCAACACAAAGAGAGCUUUACGGUUCCCCGGUUAACCGUUGGAGUAUCAAACGGAUUCCAAAUGGCACGAAACUUGAUAGGCGGUCUACCGGUGCUAUACCAAGGCCGCUUGGCAAACCUCGGUCCAUUCCGAGAAUAUUUAACACCCGCUCACAACAAGAGACAAAAAGGGAACGCCGGAGGACAUAGGAGUGUUGGAUUACAAAACGGACAACGGGGAAAAUGCUCGGAUGCAUGAGAUGAACACGUAUGAAAUGCAAUGCACGUGAUGACAUGAUAAAAUGCAACACGCAAGCACAUGACAUGGCAACAAUGACGAAUAACUGGCAGAUACCUGGCGCAUCGAAUCCGGGGCGUUACAUGCCCUCAACCAUUCACCCUACUCGGGUGAGGAAUCAACUUGUGGUUCAAAUGAUCCGCCAACAUGUGCUAGUCUGUCGUAGUCAAUCCAAAAGAGAGGUAUCUUCUCAAAUUGAAAAUCAAACAAGGUCCCCUCAUCUUUUGCUGGAGAGUGAUGAAAGAAGCCUCGGACUAGUGAAACAAAUAUGAAAAUUCUAGCUCUAAAUCUGAGAUGGUUCCCUCAUAAAUCCAUCCUUCUUAACAUCGCUCUUUACCACGCCACCAAUUCAAUUCCCAAGAGAAUUCCCAAAAGUAUAUGAUCACUUAUAUAUGGAAGGAUCUGUAAUUAUCACCCAUGGCUCCAACAUACAAAACAUUAUCUUCGAUGACCUAGUUUUUUCAUCAUAAUCCUUCAAAACUAUCACAUUGAAACCAAAUUGCCACAUUAAAUUAUAUAGAGCGUGCUUCUAGACUCCUUUGUUCUUGAAUCUCAAGAAGAAGAUAUUAUUUCUAAUGUGACUUAUUUGGGCUUCCUAGUAGAGUCCCAUGUGUGUUGCAUAGCCCUAGCAAACACGUUGAUGUUGAUUUGUUGGAGUGAGCAUGCCUUUCCAACCACUGACCACCGAGUAGGCCUCGGUCGGUCUGGUAUCCUGAUCCUCAAACAUGAGAUCUAUUAGUUCCUUUUUUCCCAAGUUUAGGGCUCCUUGUUAAUUUGAUUGAGCGAUUAGCUGCCUCCCCUGAAGCAUUUCCGUCUGUCAGGGACUUUGAAGGUUCUCGUAUUAACGGUCCUUGGUUGCCCUGUUCACUUGAGCUGUCGAUUUAUGCCACGCCUUCUCUCCCAUCGUCACGCAAAGGAGUGGAAGCACCAAGACCAAUCAAUGUAGGAGUUUACAGCGUCAUCGCCCCAUAGAUAAAUAAAACUCUAACCCUAUAGUCGCCCUUAGCAUUUCUUUUCAUGCUGGGCCCGCCGCUAUGUAUUUAUACGUGUCCUUCCAUUGGUACUUUUUUUUGCUCUGGAGCCUUUCUGCUACAUUUGUCUUUCUACAAAGGUGGUCUUAUCCAAAUCAUAUAGUCUCCUCUAUCUAUAUUAAGCCAGGACAUUAGUUCUUCUUUUUUUCAAGGCAAAUACACUUGCUAGUGUUCAAGCGACAUCGAAAGAAGUCUUGUCACAUGUGUAGACGACGCUAAGAGUGUGACACAUAUAGGUGCCAACUUUAUGGAUAAUGCAAAUUUCAGCAAAUAUGAAUAGCUCCCGGGGGAACGAGCGCACAAAGGAAUCAGCCACCAUAAAUCGAUCAUUUCCAAUGAAACAGAGUCACAAAGAGAGAGACAAGACAUUAGCUUCUUUAUGGGGAACACAUACAUUUAAAUGUUGCCUUGCUAUCUGAUUAUUAACAAGAAAUAAUUUUUACUAAUAUAUUAUGUGUAAAUCUUGAUAGAUAUGGAAUGUAUUUUGGUCAGUAUGUUUUAAGGAAUCAUGUCAGUUUUUGGUAUGUUGAAAUUAGAAGAAGUUCAUGUGCCUUCAAGGCAUGUCAAGGUGUGUUGUUCCACCUCAAAUUGGGACAUACUAAAUGGUUAUUCUCCCUACAUAUAGCCCCAAUUCUCAUGCUCUUGCUCUCUCUCUCUCUCUCUCUCCAUUUUAUAUUCCAGACUACUCCAUAAAGCCUAACCGGUGAAGGUCCAGAAACACCCAGCAGUGACGGGUUCAACUCCCAUUAGUAGUCUAUACUUAGUGGAGGAGAAACAAGCCACUUACAGGCACAUGCCCGCCAAUGGUGAAUAAAUUAGAAAAGAAAAUCAGGCCAUGGCCGGUCCAUAUCCGGCAGCUGCCAACAAUGUGUAGUCUCCACUACUCUAACCUAAUUUUCCUCAAUGUGUUACAUCAUGUGAUGUUUGGAGAAGCCAUAGAGUCGGGGACCUGAAUAUAGAAAACAACGAUGGGGAGUGGCUUGAAGAAUAGGAGCCAAGAAGCCGGAAGGAGAAGGCCUCCACCAUGUUGCACCAUUGGCCGAUACUGACCCGUAUGGUGCAAGGACCAAGGUAGAACUAAACACCUUCAUCAUCUGGGUCGCAAAGGAAGUUGGACUAGUGUGUUGCUCCUCUCGGACAAACUCAAUGAUUUCAUGCAGUUGGCACCCAUGCAACAUUCCACAGAGAUAACAACACUGAGGACGAGGAGGGGCAACGCAAGGUUUCUUCCUCAUAGGAAUUACUUUCGAGGAUGUGGGGGGAGGGUAUGGCAUGAUGAGCAGUUAACAAGGGAAGUUUGCAUGACUGUGGAGGAGAAAUCAUGAAGACAAGUGUGCUAGUAGCUAGACAAGGGAUGAAUGAUAGCAGGAAGGAAUAAUGAGCUUACUGGGUGAGGCUACUAUUUUUUUAGUUGCGACCUACUGAUCAUAACAACAAUUGAUCGUAACAAUGUAGCAUUGAUGAUACAGGGUAUUGAUUUAGUAACUGUCAGGAUGUGACUAGGGCUUGUAAGUGGUGGGUUGUAUAUUACUAACAAGUAGCAUGUUUAGCCUCCAUCUUGUCCUCUGUCACUCGUAACAACAUACCAUUGAUGGACUACAUAUUGGGCCCGUCACUACUAUCUUUUUCCAACAAAAAUAGAAUUUUAGUUAUAGUCAGAUUCACAACAAUCCCGCCAGCCAUUAGUGCUAGGUAGCACUGUUGACCAGUUUUGUGAGCCACCACUUUUGAUCGAUAACGAGGCGAGAACUCUAGUGUAGUGCACAUUUGUUUUGUUGCGAACUUUUAGUGUUUUUAUGUGCACAAAGACAUAUCUUUCAACCCUAACAGGUGUUCUCUUUAGGUGGGGUCGAGAGUGAAGGACUGGGGAGCUUGGAAGCAGGGGAAAUGGCACCUAGAGGGGUUCAGAUCUCCAUGAUCAAUAACCACAAUUUUGAUCUGAAUGAGCUGUCGACUGAGCAUGAGUAGCUCAAGAAGGAGUAGUCACCCAUGGAGAAAGAGUAGCCGCCUAUGGCACAACAUGAGCUUUAAUAUUCACAAUGGUUGGAGGCUACUCAAAUCCGCUUGUGUGAGCAAAAGUAACUCUUGGGAAAAAGUGUAGCCUUGUCAGAAAUUAUCAAAACAAUAUCCUUAUCCUGAGGACGGUUGUAAAGCUUAUGUGGAACUUUUGAAUUUCUUGCUUCCUAUUUUUUGGUGAUUGACUUACGCUAUUGCUAAACUUGAGGGAAGGAGUUGGUAUACUGCCUCAUGAUCAACGUGUCAACUGGAAAUGGAUUUUCUAUUCGUUUCCUGUGAUGGUUUUGAUAUGUGGAUUUUUUGAACAAGUAGUUGUUCAUUCGGUAAAGCUUUGUGAAACAUCAACGGUGGAGCUAGGUAUCAGGUCAUGUGAAAAGACAGUAGGUCAAGAAGUGUGUUGGAUCAUGAGAUAACAUAUUUUCUAAGUUGUGAAUCAUGUGUGUUAACACCAUGGGUAGUAUGAGAGAAGGUCAGCAUGCAUGUUUGGGUCUAAAAUGACCUCACGACCAAGAAAAGGAGAAAAACAUGGCUAAUAUGAAUACAAACGAUAUGGAAGUUACUUGAUGCGUGGAUGUUAACUAUGGUUAUGCAACCACACAAGAUGUCAGAGGACCCGCAUCCAUACAUAUCAAGGUUGACUUCAUGUGCCAACUGGAUUUCGUCUAAAUUAUUGUAUAUGUAUGUAUGUUAUAUCUUGACAUCUUACCAAACAAAAAACACCAAAAAAAUACACUAUUUACUUCACUUUGAUGCAUAUUCUAGUUGAAGGGUAAUCAUAACCUUAUGUGGAUAUAUUUUCCAUAAUAGAAUCUAUAAUGGUCUAGUGAGGCAAGGUGUAAAUGGAGAGGACAAUAGUCGAACAUGAAAACAUCCAACAUUGUGUCAUACUUGCAUCUAGUUGUCUAGUGAGUAAAUAUGGAAAUGGAGGAGGCUCAUAGGGCAACACGAGAACACCACACAUGUUGAGACCGAGACUAGUUAAAGGUUAAUCAUAACACAUGGACAAGUUCUCUCAUACAAGAUGAAAAUGGAGUGAGUCUUGUAUGAAAAUGCUAACAAAGUAUGAGUGUGCAUAGCAUGCCAUCCCCUCCCUUUCUUGUUUGAGUUUCCUUCACCAACCCCAUAGUACCCUGAUCAACACUAUUAUUUGAAUAUGCUUCUCAUCUGAGAAAGAAUAGUUAUUGAGAGAUAGUUAUAUCAUUGUCUAGGUAGAAUUGUUAAAGGGGCAAUAAUGGAGGUGUCUUAUCUAUUAUAGCCACAUUCCGGAGAAGAAUAAAAAAAGUAGACACAACCUGAUAAUUUAUUGAGAUUUGAAUUGAGGAUUCAACAUACAUCAACUAUCCUACAUGUGAAUCAAAUCCACAUCCUACAUGGGCAUUGGGAUUUAGUUGGACUACCACUUUAUGGACAAGCCAUGUGCUCCAUGUAGUCUAUGUUGCAAAGGCGGGAGGACAAGGAGCAAAUAGUUUUCAAUGGCUGGACAUUGAAGUUAUUUGUCAAAAAUUUCUUUCCCGACAUGGUUUGUUUAUUUCAUUGUUUAGUAUUUGAUAUCGGUUCAAUGCUCUAGUGUGGAACCUUCUUCUCAAAUUUUGGGUCUAGCUCUUGGUGUUCAUGAGUUCAUUAAUUAUGUUAACUAUUAUUGGUGUGCCCACUUAUUCGACAAGAGACUAUAAAGGUAACUAAGAUACUCCAGUAUUUAUAUUAAUAUAGCUAGCAUUGAGGUAAUCAUCAACCUUGAAUAUUACUCAUAUUUGUCAAAUAGGAGGUCAAGCUGGAUCUUUCUGGCGCAUCAUCUGUGGUCACAUAUGGUGUAUUGUAUAUUCUAAACCCAAUGAGUAUCGUAGAAUGACAUGUCCCUACGAGGAGGAAUGAGUCACUCUUUUGUGUAAAGGGGUGAUGCCAUGCCUAAUAAUUGAUAAUCAAAAAUUAACCACCUACAUCAAAAGUCUAACCCAAGACAGGGAAUAUGUGCCAUUGCAAUUUUAUCGCACAAAGUCAUCUGUAUUUUGCAAUUGAAUGUUCCCCAUGUUGUGACUGAGAACACAAAAAACAAAACACCCCACAAAACCCUAUUUACUUCUCAUCGAUGUAUAUUCUAGUGGAAGGGUAGUCAUAACCAUAUGGGAAUAUUUUUCCACAAUAGAAUCUAUAAUGGUCUAGUGAGGCAAGGUGUAAAUGGAGAGUAUAAUAGGCGAACAUGGAAACAACCAACAUUGUGUUGUACUUGCAUCUAGUUGUAUAGUGAGAUAAUAUGGAAACGAAGGAGGCUCAUAGGGCAACAUGAGAACAGCCAACAUGUUGCUCUACUUACUUCCUAUUGGUACCAAGGGACUGAGACUCGACCAUGGUUAAUCAUAGCACAUGGACAAGAUCUCUCAUACUAGUUGAAAAUAGAACGAAUCUUGUAUGAAAAUGCUAACCAAGUAUGAGUGUGCGUAACAUGCCAUCUCCUCCCUUUCUUGUUGUAGUUUCCUUCACCAACCCUCAUAGUACCCUGAUCAGCACUAUUAAUUUGAUGUGCUUCACGUCUGCGUUAGAAUUGUGAUUGGGAAUAGUUGUAUCAUUAUCUAGGUAGACUUCUUCAAGGGGAAAUAAUGGACAUGUCUUAUCUAUUAUAGCCAGAUUCCGGCUAGGAAUAAAAAAGUAGACAUAACAAGAUAAUUUGUUGAGAUUUGAAUCGGCAAUUCAACAUACAUCAACUAUUCUACAUGUAAAUCAAAUCCCCAUCCUACAUCGGCAUUCGGAUUUAGUUGGACUACCACUUAAUGGACAAGCCGUGUGGUCCAUGUGGUCUACGUCGCAAAGGCCAGAGGACAAGGAGAAAAUAGUUGUCGAUGAUUGGUCAUUGAAGUUAUUUGUCAAGAAAUUUGUUUCCCGGCAUCAGUGGCUGAGCUAGCAUUUGACAUCAGGGUGGUCCGACCCCCUAAAAAUUUAACAAGAAAUAUGACAUCUGGGCAUUCUAACUACUUACCAAUAUGACACAAGUUCUCCCAGCUUGCUCUUCGGCCACAUUUCACAUAUUCAUUGCCUUCUUCUUCCCUAUCUUCAUAGCUUCUCUUUGAAAAGAGAAACAAUGUCUCCGGUCCUCUUCAUUCUUCAAAAAUUCUGCAAUAAAAUUUAGUUUCUAUCAAUAAAGCUAAUUGAGGCAGAAAUGAUAUGCAAAACACUACAGGAAACAGGUAAUAUGCCGUCUGGAGAUCACAGACGGCAAAGACCGAAAUCCAGACGGCAAAGAUUUUGCCGUCAGGAAGCAGACGGCAAAAUCAGACGGCAAAGAUAAGUCGACAAAGAAUAUUUUGCCGUCAGCUUUUCAUUUGCCAGACGGCAAACACUUUGCUGUCAGCCGAACCUUCUUUGCCAUCAGCCUUAUAAAUCAUAGACGGCAAAGAAAUGCAGUUUUGCCGUCAGUCAGAGUACAUGUUUGCCGUCAGCUAUUCACGUCUUUGCCGUUAGCCUCGUAUACCACAGACAGCAAAGAAGUUAAUUAAAAAAACACAACAGCAUUGCUCCCGAGCGAUGCGGUCAACUCAUGCGAGUGCAAAUCUUUCUUCUUCUUUUUUAACAGGGAAAGGCCAUCCGUGUGUAGUGCCAUUCAUUUAACGUUAUUGGAGUACAAAAUGCAAAUAUGAGCCCGAACCAAAACUAAAGUUACAGAGUAGUUCAGGAAAUUAACACAAAGGACCCUAACAAGUUAAACUGAAAAGCAAUCGGGUCCUUCUCCACUCCGGUGCUCUGCCCGCCCCGCUAUCCAGCCCGACGCUCGCCUUUCCUCUCUGCCAUGCUCUGCUCGCCGCUCCGCCGCCCGGCCCUGCUCAGCCGUGCAGCUCCGGCCCAGCCGCGCUCGGGAGCUGACUUGCUCCGGCGCCGCGGAGAGGCACGCGAGGGAGGUCGGGGAUGGCCGGUGCUCAACCGGCGGAGCGCCCGGCUGCUCUAGCGACGGAGCUUGCGAGGCGGAGCGCAGGACCGGCAGGUGAGGAGGAGCUCGGGGUGUGGACGGGUUCGGGUGCGCGGCUGGAGGAGCUGGGGUGGGCAAGGCCGACCGGUGAAGUCGAGCUGGCGAGGUAGAGCUUCACGCGGCGCUGGCGGUGUGGCGGACGGAUGGGCGGGAGGGCGCUGGGCGUGGCAGCGGACGGAAGGGGCUCGCCGUUGCUGGCCACGGCACGCGGCUGCUCGGGGACAAGAGGCGCUGGACGGGGGCGCCGGACGGGGGCGCUGGACGGGGGCGCCGGACGGGCAGGCGGCGCUGAACGGGGGCGCCGGACGGGCGGGCGGCGUUGGCCGGCGGCGUGUGGCUGCUCAGGGGAGAAGGAGGGAGGAGGGUGCUGGCACGGGGGAGAAGGAGGGAUGGCACGGCGGCGUGCUAAUGCUCGUGGAGAUGGAGAGAAUGAGAGAUGAGGGAGCACGGGGGAGAAGGAGGGAAUCGUGGGUGGGGCAGCCGGGCAGGUACGGGGUGGGGGCGCGUGCGUCGUGGGGUGGGUUGGGAUGGGAUGGGCGCGCACGACGGUCCUGAGUGGGCUGAGAUGUGUGUCUAAGAUGAUGCCAAGUCAUCAAUCCGUGUGCUCGAUCCGUGUGGUGUGCUUCUUCUUUGCCGUCUGCGGAAACAAAUACAGACAGCAAAGAGCUCAAUUUGCCAUCUGCGAAAAAACACAGACGGCGAAGAUUCUUUGCUGUCUACCAAAACAAACACAAACGGCAUAGAUGCUUUGCCGUCUGUGAUUUUUGUUGCAGACGGCAAAGUGAGCUAUUUGCCGUCUGUAUUUUGUUUCACAGACGGCAAAGUUUAUUCUGCCGUCAGUUUUUCUUUGCCGUCUGCCGAUGACGGCAAACACUUUCUUUGCCGUUUGCCCAACGAAAAGCUGACGGCAAAGACGACUCCUGACGGCAAAUUAGCUGUUUCCCGUAGUGAAAUUAUGUAUGUGUUCAUCAAUUCAUGAUAGUGCAGUGCAAAAAAGCAAACCCUAAGUCAAAAAAUAGGGGGUUUCAGUACCUUAAAUUUGAUUUGCACAUUUGCUAUGAAUCUGUGAUGCUACCGCUGGACGGCUGGAGACUUGCUGGUGAGCGGCACCUUCGACGGUCGUCGGUUUUGCAGGGAGGGCUGAGGGGGCGCAGGCAGUGGGCGGGCGGGCGGCAGGGCCAGGCGGCCACGGCUCCUGCUCGUCAAGGGGCGCGGGCGAGCGGUGGAGGCAGCGACGUCCUGGAGGGCAGCGAGGGGGAGGGGAGGCGGCCGGCGAGGAACAACGGCGCCGCGGCGGUGAGGGCGUGAGGCGAGGGCUUCGGGGCGUCCUCUCCUCUGCCUCGAUGUGGAAUGAGCAAAGUUUCAAAUCGCGGGCGAAAUUGGCGCUAUUGCUGCGCUAUCGCGGCUGGAGAGCCUUCCCGUACGCUAUGCCUAAUUUUCUGCGAUUUGCCGCUACCGCCGCGAUCGCUGCGCGAAACAACAAUAAGUGGCUUAGCUGUCGCUACAGUUUCGCUGGAGUGGCUGAGAUUCAUUUUUAACGGGCUGAAACAUAGGCCCGAAACAAAUCGUAGCCCAAAUUUCCUCUGAUAGAGCAGCAUGUCCAGAAACCUUAUCUUCAUUAAAUCCUCUCACUCCCAUCUAAAAAACUUGCGGUGGGUGCGGCUAGGUGGGCCGGUGUUUGCUUCGCCGCAAGCCGGAGUCAGCGACGAGCGAGGCGGCGACCAGGGCUCCGACAGGAGGCUGCAUACUCAGUAGCUCUAGUACUUUGUCUUUUUGCUGUUAUUGAUCCAUCCCAGUCGGUUUUCUGAUUCAGUAGGGAUGUUGUCUUUUUAUUUGCGGGGAGGAUAUUGACUCAUUUAUGACUGAAUUUAUACUGCCAAUCCUCUGUUUUCUGCUGAAAAUCCUCUGUUUUUUAGACAAAAACAUGCAUAUGUACUUUUGCCGCUAAAUGCCUUAGCGGCCGCUAUCGCCCGCUAUAGCGGCCCUAGCGUUUUGAUGAGCCAGCCGCGAAAUGCUUUUUCCUGCGAUCUUAAAGUUUGGGAACAAGAGCUCGUGGCCUCCUGGGCUAUGGCUGAACGACAGAACGAGGGCUGGCAAUGAUAUUGGGUCAUCUGUUUUUUUUGGCCCAGUUAAAUACCCAUGGUAGGCUGCUCCAAAAUCCCCUCAGCCCGUGCCCGACAUGGUUCAUUUAAUUCAUUAUUUAGCAUUUGAUAUGUGUUCUAUGCUCUAAUGUGUAGCCUUCUUCUCACGAUUUGGGUCUAGCUGUCGGUGGUCAUGAGUUCAUUACUUAUGUUAACUACUAUUGUUGUGUCCACUGGUUUGCCAAGAGACUAUAAAGUUAACUUAUAUCCUCCCGAAUUUAUAUUAAUAUAGUUGGCGGUGAGGUAAUCCUUGACCUUGAAUAUUACUCACAUUUGUCAAAUAGGAGGCCAAGCUGGAACUGUCUGGUGCAUCCUCUAUGGUCACAUAUGGUGUAUUGCCUAUUCUAAACCCAAUGAGUAUUACAUUAUGGCAUGUGCCUGCGAGGAGGAACGAGUUACUCUUUUAUGGCAUGUGCCUAUUCUAAACCCAAUGAGUAUCACAUUAUGGCAUGCCUAAUAAUUGUCAGUGAAAAAUUAAUAGCCUACAUCAGAAGUCUAACCCAAGAAAGUGAAUAUGUGCCAUUGUAACUUUCCAACACUAAGGGCCUGUUCUGAUCUCCUCCCGCUCCACGCUUCACUAAUUCCUGGAGCAGAUACGAGUCGAUCGAAAUAGCAGCGAGAAGCUAUCUCGAGGAAGCUAGGAUCGACCGCAGUGCAAAAUCGUGAAGCAGACUCGGCCCAGCUCCACCGAUCCGGAAAGCUGAAGUUAGCCAAUAUUAAAAGUGAACUGCCACCACCAAGUCAAACGAGCCGAACCGGUACGCUUGAUCUGUUUGAUCGCUCUUCGUUCCCUCACUCGUGCUCCCUCACUGCUCCUCUACAAGGCCGAUUUGGGCUGCCUCCAAUCGGACAAACUAGCCCGAACAAGCCACGACCCUUCUAGCUGGGUUGUAGUGCAGCGAGAAGUUGCAAACCGAGCCGAACAGAUUUUUCAUCGCUGCUUGGAGUGAGAAGCUACUCGGAAAAGUUGAAUUUCUGAAGUUUUGGGAAGCUAAAGGAGAUCAGAACAGGCCCUAAGUCAUCGGUAUUUCAUAAUUGAAUGUUCUCCAUGUCGUGACUUUUGAUGGUGUAAACCCAAAUAAUCGCCAUUGUGAAAUUAAAUUCCUCCCGUGAGUCGAACCCACAUCCGUAAAGAUGUGCCACUACAAUCCACCUCAUGGCUAUCUUGGAGUGCUCAGUAUAAUCAAGUGUGCCCAAUAUGGUGACUUAAUAUGUACUUAUUGACCCUAGGAAGCUAAUCGCCUCCAUCAAGACACCUUCCUGUUUCUCCUAUAACUAGAUUCCCCGAAACCACGAGAAUGCCUAGAAUGGGAUUACAACUUAGCACCUUUUGUUUUCAAAUGUUAAGAAGAGUUGCUCCUUGGAGAGCACGGUACGAUCAAAGUUGUAACCUGUGUUUCGGAGGGAGUUAUUGUCUUGAAACUUUGUUCUCAACUAUUCUGAUUCCAGCAAACAAAGGCCAUUGGGUCAAAGCUGUAGCGCACGCCCUGUAGUUUUCAAGUGGGGCGAGACAACUUUUGCUAGGAACCUAUUUUCAUUCUGACCAGCUCCCUGAAAACAAUGUUCGACUUCAUGUGUAGUCGGUGUAGAUGUGUCAUUGCAAUUCCACCACUAGGAUAUCACCAAUUCCUAUGUAUUACAUGACAACAUAUGCCACCAUAUGGUGACUUGAUAAAUUAAAUGGAUUUCACCAAGCUUUCCUGUUACAGUUAUAGUGAAGAUAGUGACUCACCUGUCAGCCUCCCCGGCGGGAAGCAAAAUCACUCUGACUUUGGCAACCUAAUUUUUGGUGGAUUCAAGCAAACAUGUUGGAUUUGUAUUUUAUUUAUUUCAACAUAUAUAAUUCAAAUAAAUGAAUCAAUUCAUACUAGGAGUCUUGGAGGCACCCAUGUCAAUAAUGUGAAAUUAUGGGAAAUCUUAUUAUGUGCAUCAACAUAAGCCAAAACUCGUGGCUUAAGAGAUAUGUGUACAAUCUUCCAAUGGUUAUGCCCCCCUACUAAAUUCAUGAUGUUAACCAGUUCCCAGAAGUUGAGAAAGAACUUUAGUCAUGGGAUCAAUGUCCAGUGCAUCAUAUUUCCAGUUCCCAAAAAAAUUUAUUAUGGAACGUUGAGAAAGAAGUUUGGGCAACAUAUUUCCAGACACCUGUCAUGUCUAGGAUCGUAUCAAGCCUAGGUAAGCUUAGUCAUGGGAUCAAUGCAGGCUAUUUGUACGCUGACCCGGUUCUUAACUCAAGUCCUCCUUGCUUGAUACAAUAUUGAAUGGAAAGUAUAUAAUCAAUUUACUUAAGUGGGUGAACAAUGUUGGCUAGUAUAUUUCAACACUCACCUCACAUGCAUCUUUUAGGGGCAUAUAAUGCAUCGUUAUGGAAACAUUUUUUCUAUAGACUAAAUUCCAAUGGAAAAUUUUAAUUAAUUUAAUUAGUAGCAAUCUCGUAUGGCAAGGAUAUAUGGCAAAUGAAAAUGAGGGCCCAAAUGCUACUUGUUGGCACACAAAAAUAAAGUUAUCUUUUUCCUCUCAUGUUGAUCCUCCGUGGUUCGACAUUGGGCAUUACAAAGAGAUCAAGUUAUCUUUACACACCGCUAGAGCUACCAGACCCCGGAUGUUCCACCAUGAAUGUCCAUAUGGUGCAAUGAGUGAUAGCGAGCUAUAUUAGAACAUAUAGUUUACACAGUUAAAGUAAUUAAAUGGGCUAUUUUGCCUACUAUGAAAAAUAUUAUUUCAAGAGAAAACUAUGUAAGAGUUUGUGAUCUUUGUAUGUAAAAGCAUUAUUUGCCUUUGCUUGGUGUUCAAGCAGUUUGAUUUAUGGCAAAAAUGGAAAAUCAUGGGACAAUAAUUGUUGAUAUUCUUUGCGGGAAAGCGAGAUGUUUUCACUUUUCAGCUCAAACAAAGUAUUGUUUUUCUUAUAGGGGUGAUAUACAGUGUUCGUGGACUUGUGAUUCGUUGUCCAUUUAAAUUUGGUUUCUUCCAUAGAUUAUGUUGGUUUGUUUCUGUAUUUAUAUCAGCACUAAAGUAUACUGAUGUUAGCUAAGUCCACUCAAAGGCCCAUGUUUUUAUCAUGUUAUGCAAAUUAGUAAGCUAAGAUCUUACCAAACUCAAGUUACAUAAGCCCAGACUACGUGAAAUACACAUCAUGCAGUACACAUGUUCAUCUUAGUGUUAUGUCAUACUUGGCUCCGAGAUAACAAAUGGUAUCAAUUAUUACUAUCUUUUGCAGCUUGUUUCUGCCUGUUCAUCCUAGAAUUAUGUUAUGUGGUCUCCCAAGGUUCAUGCAACUUGGAUUUUCAUACUUUGGUAGUAUUAGUGUUCACUAGGACUAGGUGCCACUCUAUAGAAGUUGAGGAUACAGAUGGAGAAAGUAGUCAUGGUUUUUAUUUUUCAAAUUGUUGGUUUAUAUCUAUAAGAGGUUUAUGAAUUUUCAGUUUAUGGUGUUGUGAAACCUAGAGUGUUUUAUCUCAUUUAACAUUGAACUACGCUUGCACGGAAAAACCUUAAUUUGACAUCGAACUAUGCAUGCAGGGCAAACACUCCGUGCAUCGGUGCCACCGCGCCGCGAACCCUGGGAGCUUGAACCUGGAUGGGUGUGAACUUAUGAUUGAUGUCAAGGUUAGGGGUCAGUCAUGGAUAGAGAAUAAAGGCGACUUUGCGAAACUGUUAUUAAUAAUAUGGAUGAACAUUGCCUUGUGCAGAGAAUAAGAUAUUUCCAGAGAUAUUUAUAAAUGGAUGCAUACUUGCAAUAGCAGUACAAAAUAUGAUGCUGACAUUUUAUUUUCAUUGUUGUUCCCAUUAAACUUCUGGUGAUGGCUCCAUUAUUCAAAGCCUCACACAUGAAAAUGUUAUUUCGUUCGAGUAAAUGUUGCGUGUCGUUGCUCCUGUAGUUUUGCGGUUUGCAUCUCCUUGUAACUUGUGAGUUGGAUUUUGGGAAGUUGCAAUGCAAAUUUGGGAUGCAGGGAAGAUAAUAAACAAUGCUUUCUAAGAACAUUGGAUAUUGGAUGCGACUCAGAAAGAACGCAUGCAAAUGCAAGAUGCAAGACGUAGUAGCCAAUGUCCAGGUUUAUUAAGAGCAUCUACACCGGACGCCUCAUAUCUGCCACAAUCGCCACGGCGUGCUGCCCGAUCUGUACUAGGAUGCAAAAUUGCCACCCAACAGGACCUGUAAAAUCCGGCCCAAAUGUAUAGACAUGACCGCACUCCCCAUACCCAGCCCAUAUCUCGGACGGAUAUGUGGAAGCCCAGAGGUGCCCGGACACACCCGCCAGGUAGGAUCCGGCCGACUGCGGCACACCCAACCCCACAUAAAUUGGACCCUAUCCGCACUCCGAGCGAAACCCAAGCCGCAUUCGACUCCACUCUACUCCUCGCCAGGCCACUCCCCUCCACCCACAAGCCCCAUUUGCGGAUCUCCCACCAUUUCGAGCCGUUGAACUGCUGAUCGUCCCACGCGGCCCCAAGGAGGAGAUGGUCGACUGCCUGGCGCUUCUCCACUACCGGAGGAGUCUGCCCGGCAGCGGUCGAAAUCCAUCUUGCGGGAAUCCAUUGCUUCUGCCACAAUGGUGCAUGGAUCCCGCCCGAGGGCAGUCGCCGCUGCCUCAGCAGAGGCAGUGCAGUCCGUCUGGUGUCCGAACGCCGUGGAGGAUAUGCAACCACUUUGUUGGCGCACUGAGAAAGAGAUGCACACCAGCUUAACGUCUGAUACAAAUAUGGUGUGGCGCAUCCAUCGUGUUAGGCAAUGGGCACGGGAGCACGUGGCUGCCCUCGUGCCAGACACCAGAGGGGUAGACUCGCACUCUUCGGUGCCUCGUAUCGUACCCGGCAGCCCUUGGCACCGAAAUCAUGUCGUGUUGGACGCGGCUGGCUCCACCAUGAUGGAUCAAUUAUCGACCUGGCAUCCACCGAUGACAGGCAGGGCACGGGCUCCAACGAGAAAGAGUAGGCCAUGGGAGAUGGCGCCGACUCGAGUUUCUUUUGCCGGGUCGUGUCCCAUGUCCUACUCUACCUCACCGGAGAACGACCCUCCACUUCGACAGGCUAAGACAGCCAACGGACAUGGACAGGGUUGGAACAACAAGGACAGUCGCUGGCGCAAAUUUAGACUACAGCCGUCGACGCGAGGUGAGCGCGGCACGAGUUAAUCGCUGAAGAGGUUGGGCCCUUCUGUCGCUCCUGGUCGUGCAGUAGCCGACGUAGUCCUCCAUGACCACUAGAUCGACGCCGCCACCACUGCAUGUCUAGGCGUCUCUGUAGUGGCUGAUGUCAUUAAAGUGUAUUUUCUUUGUAUUGUGAUGAUUGCAGACUGUGUUGCGUAUUGUGGCGUAUUUUCUUUGUAUUGUCAUGAUUGCAUACUGUACAAUUUAUUGUGGCAUAUUUUUUGUGGUCUAUCUUUAAAAAGAAAACUAUAAAUAGCUAAAAGUGAUGUGCAGAAUAAAUGUAUACCCGCCACUACAAAACAAAUGCCAGUACUGGCACAUAUUUUUGCCCGCCAUUAAUAGCAAUGCCUGCCACUACUACAAGAUUGAGGUCGAUGGCGGGCUGUUUGUAACGCCCGCCACUGUUAUAGUCAUCUGUGGGAGGUGGAGCGCCCGUCACUAAUGCCAUGUUGCUAGUGGCAGGCGCCUCUGAAAGCCUCACCCAUCAUUGCUAGGCUUUUGAUGCCGCCACUCCUACGCAUUCCUGUGGUAGUGUGCAAUUGCGUAUCUAGUAGAACAUAUACAACUAUCCUCCCAACAAGCAGUUUCGUCCUACCAUGAAGUUAUAGUCGCGUUGAAGACAUUCAUUUAUAAUCGAAAGUGACGUUGCAGUUGCAUAUCAAGUAGGAGAUAUUUAACUGCCUAAUGAAAAAACACUUUGUUCCCUAAGUUACAGUCGCGUUGGAGACAUGCAUUAGCGAAACGACACCACCUGUAGUUGCGUGUUUGGAGUUAGACAUGCAACUAGCUCCACAGUAAUAAUCUGAAUUUUAAGUUUUAAUGAAUUUUAAAUUAAAGAAAAAAAAUAAAAGAUGAAGAUAUAAAAACAGAAAUAGAGCAAACAAACAAUAGGAAAAAUCCUAAAAAAGGCAAAAACAAAGAAAGGAAAAACUUGUUUGAAGUUUCUAGAAGCUUCAUAAAACCAGUAGAAAGAGUCCUACAUGGGCCGGCCCACUCACACAUGUAAAAAGAGGCGGGCGAGGCAUAUGUCGACUAGCUCAGAGUUGGGGAAUCCUAUUCCGCGCAUAGGUCGCUACGUAGCGACCUAGCACGUACCCCUCGGGUUUGUGGUCCUCUUCGAGUCGGUCCAUUCCAGGUUCUUCCCCAUACCGGUUUUUAGGAAGGUUCCAGACCUUUUUUCUAUUUUCUUUGUUUUCUUCUAGUUUUUUCUUUCUUUUAUAUUUUAUAUAUUACUUCUUAUUUUCUUUUAUCUUAACUUUUCCUUUUUGGUGUUGCCAACAUAUUUUCAAAUUCAUAAACUUUUAUUGAAAUCAAGAACAGGUUUUGAGUUGACAAACAUAUAUCUGAAAUAAUAAACAUUUUCUAAUUUGACAAUACAUUUUGGAUUCACAAAAUAACAAAAAAAUUAAUUUUGAGAACAUUUUUUAAAAAAUUCUGAACAUUUUUGUCAAUCGGCCGACAUUUUUUGAAUCGAUGAACAUUUCUAUGAAUUGACAUAUGUUUUUUGAAUUGGCAAACAUUUUUUGAAUCGAUGACCAUUUUUUGAAUCAAUGAAUAUUUUUACAUGAAUGAACAUUUUUUGAAAUUCACAAUAAAAAAAUUUAUGAACAUUUAAAAAACUUGUUGAAUAGUGCUUGUAUCUCAAAUUCCGUCCUGAUUAAUUAAAGUGGUGAUACCUAUCAAAAGAAAAUAGCUACGGUUGGCACAAAAUUUACUGCAAAUUAAUCAUGUGAUGAAAGACUUAGACGUGACAUAGGUUUUUUAUGGACCCUGAUAAGUGCCACACGUCAGGGACGUUCUCAUGACAACAUUGAACAUUUUUAUGACAAGUUUAGUUGCACGAUGAUGGCAAAUUUAAUUGAAAAUCAUGAAAACUUUCGUUAUUUAUCUUAUUUUGAUAGAAACUUGUCGUGUGUCACUGGAAUUUGCGAUCCUUGGAUGACAAUAAUAUCCAUCAAAAAAGUCAGACCCAAAGUGCCAAGCACCUGACGUGUAAGACCUAUCAUUUGGAUACUUUAUACCUAAGAUAUUAUUUACCAAAACCAUAGCUGAGACAUUUUCCCCAAUGCAGGCGGGGCCGAUGAAAAGUCGAACCCCUUGCCAACCUACUCAAAAUGUGUACACGGUCUCCCUUCGUCCCGAAAUACUUGUCGGAGAAAUGGAUAUAUCUAGAUGUAUUUUAGUUCUAGAUAGAUCCAUUUUUAUGCAUUUCUACGACAAUUAUUUCCAGACGGAAGGAGUAGUAAGUAUAUAUUUGUUUCUAAAUAUAAAUAAAUUACUAUUAAAUACUACUAUACCAAAGAUAUAAGAACAUUAAAUACAAGUAUACCAAAGAUAUACCUAAAUAUAAGAAUAUUUAAUACUAGUAUACCGAAGAUAUUCUACAGUUAAAUUCUAUUAACUCUGUUCCAAAAUAUAAGAAUAUUACUAUAAAAUACUAUUAGUUGUGUUCAAAUAAUUAGUAAUAGAGAUAAUAUUCUUUAGUAGUGAUAUAUCUUUAUUGCUCAUUAAAUAUAAGAAUAUUACUAGUAUUAAAUACUAGAAUCCUAAAGAUAUAUCUAAUAGUAUACCAAAGAUAUACAACAAUUAAAUAAUAUUACCUCUGUUCCAAAAUAUAAGAUUGUUACUAUUACCUCCGCCUGGAAAUAUUUGUAAUCAAAAUGAAUAAAAAAGGAUCUAUCUAGAUGUAUUUUAGUUCUAGAUACAUCCCUUACUAUGUGUUUUGAUCACAAGUAUUUUCGGAUGGAGAGAGUAUUAAAUACUGUCACAGCUAUUCUUAAAUUUAGUAACAGAGAUAAUAGUAUUUAAUAGUAGUAUAUCAUUGUUCCAAAAUACUCCCUCCGUCGCAAAAUUCUUGUCUUACAUUUGUCUAGAUACGGAUGUAUUUAACACUAAAAUGUAACUAGAUACAUUUGUAUUUAGACAAAUCGAAGACAAGAAUUUUGGGACGGUGGGAGUAUUUGAAUAUUACUAUUAAAUACUAGUAUACCAAAUAUAUAUUUAAUACUAUACCAAAAUAUAAGAAUAUUUAAUAGAAAUAUACCAAAGAUAUGCUACUAUUAAAUGCUGGUAUUAAAUAAAUAAAUUUGUAGUUCAACGUGCGGUCCCCACCUUGGCCCGUGCCUUCCGUUUCAGUUCAUAAAGGGCAACACAUGCUUCUGCUCCUCGCUCUCAUCGACCAACUCCGCGUGUCUGCUCAACCGAUCCACCGCGAUGUCUAGCUCCGACGUCAGUGCCAUACCCGCAGCCAACCACGAGGAGCACAGCCUGGUGGCCCCCGCCCCGUCCCCUGCAGACGCUGUCGCCCAGGGGAAAGGGAAGGUGCUUGCGCAACAGGCGCCUGCGCCGGUGGUUCGCAAGCGCAAGCCCGGGAGACCCCAGGAAAAAAGCCCGCCCCCAACGGCCACCAGAGAGGAGCUGGAAUCCCGGGAGUCCCGGGAAGGCCCCUUGAAGGUGCUUGUGCUCCUGGCGCCAGGGGCCCCGCGUACUCACGCUGUCUUCGGCGACAAGAUGAUGAGACACGCUCGCGCCCUCGCCCGGCAUGCAAAGGCUGUCUCCGACGACAAGAUGGUGAGCCGUGCUCGCGCCCCCACCCUGCAUGCAAACCGUGUCUCCGAUGACAAGAUGGUGAGCCGCACUCGCUUCCCCCUCUCCAACUAGUAAUUUGAAGUUAACUCGGUGCCUAAUGAUUUGAAGUUACUGACAAUCUUUAAUCCAGUCAUGUGAAUUGUACUAGUGCUUACUGAAUUACCUGAUGUGUAUGUGCAUGAACUACGUGGUGUGUACAUGUCCUUGGAUUUUCUAAGCACUGCGGUCUCAUCUGGCAGAUGGACAAGAACGAGAUGGUGCCGGUCCAGGGGGUGCCGCGCAUGCGGGGGAGCAUCGCGUCGUCAAGUGCAGUUGGUAAGUAUACUUUAUGCUGCUUUUUAUUGUCAACAUCGUCUCCAUGCAGGCUACACUGGCAAACAAGCUGCUUAACUCUUGUGCAUGCUGGUUUUUUGUCAUCACUAGUAUACUGGUAUUGGACUGAAGCUUGUUAGCUCUGUCCAUGCUGGGCCUUUUUGUCAUCAUUAGUAUUGUUAUAUAUUAGCUGAAGCUGCACAUGUUUUCUUUCCAUUGACGUUGGUGUGGGCGGUGCUACGCGUCAGUCGGCCGAUGGAUGGACGCCUUACUCACCUGAUUUUAAUCAAGUGCCACCUAGGUGUAGUUUGUUUUGUCACUAGCUGUGUAUACAUAGGCGAGCUCCAGCACUGUGUUGCAGCGUGGAAAACAUAUGAACUGUAAUAAGAAACAUGCAAUGGCUAGAAACAUGUCCACAUAUUUUUUCAGCACGUUUUAGGUGUCAACGAAAUUAGUCGGAUCGCCAGCCGUCAAAUUGACACAUGGAGCAUUGGAUCACACUACACGGCAGCAGAGAGAAUGGAAACCGUGUUCCUCCAUAGCCUCCACAAUACAUGUGUAUCCACCAUCCCUCCCACAUCGUCGCAACAGACAAUUACAUCGGCCCCUUGCAACACCUGGCUUUGGUACCCAAGAGAUCCCUGAUGUCGCUUGGAUAUCAUGCAAGUAUUAUUACAGUGCGCCAACGAGGCGUCGUCCUUGCAAGGGCCGUGGCAUGUGGCACUAUUCGUGGGAUAAAACACACACCGCGAGAAUAUGCGGUUGCACCACUGCGAUCUGUGCAACUUAGGAAUUGUUGUGACUGCCCCUGCAAAACUAGCGAUGAUACGACCAUCGCCCUGCAACAUCGGCCAUAGUUGUAGCACAUAUGAGAAGACGGAUGCCCCACCUAACAACACAUUAUGUGUUUUUUUCACCAUAAGAAAGCACUGCCUUGCAACAUCGGCUAUCAGGGUGCUGCACCGACAAACACACUCACGACCUUGAGACGUCGUAUGCCUUGGCCGAUGUAGCAUAGUGGUCCUCUUUCAGCAUAUAGCGAUGGCUUGUAGCAAUGAUGGUCGGAGAGUCGCAGCAUCGUGGAGUGGCAGUGCUAGCCCAACUCAUUGUCAUAGAGAAAGGGGAAUAAAGGAUGGGUGUGCACGUGGUGGAAAUAAAGCGAAUGGAUAUGGUCAAGAGAGAAGAAGAUUAACAAGGGGCAUCUCGCGCUAGAGCGAUCUGACUGAUUACCCCCCAAAACCAGCUUGUUGAAUAUAAUUCAAUUUUCUUUUGAGAGACAUCAUAAAAACGUCGCAACAUGCGAGCAUGUCUAUACAAAAAAUUGUAGAUAUACGACACAUACUCAUUAGCUGCACCAAAUCAGUGAACACUAGUAGAAAAAGGGAUUUUAGUCCCGGUUCAUAAGGGCCUUUAGUCCCGGUUCUGGAACCGGGACUAAAGGGUCGUUACUAAAGCCUCCCCCUUUAGUCCCGGUUCUUACACGAACCGGGACUAAAGGCUCUCCACGUGGCCGCUGCCUGGAGGUCCACCUUUAGUCCCGGUUGGUAACACCAACCGGUACUAAAGAAAAUGAUAUGCUUUUUUUUAAAAAAAAUUUAAAAAAAAUUGGAAUAUUUUUUUUAUUUUCAAAUUUUUUAACCUCUCAUCUCUAAUCACCCCUCAUCAUCUAACUUCCCAGACGGUCACCCAUCCUCACACUACUCCAGCCUGAGUACGCUUAACUUCCGGGUUCGAUUCUCCCUCGUUUCCAAGUCCGCACUUGUAGUUUUCUUGACAAUAGUAAGAUGUCAAUCCUAUUAACCUCAGGAAUUUAGCUUGAGCAUGAAGUCACACAUUUCACUGUUUGAGUUUGAAACUAUUGUUCUAAAAAAUAACACUAAUAUUUAGUAACACUAAUACUUCUUGAAUAAUUAGUUUGACCAUUGUUUGACCAGAUUUGACCAAAAUUCAAAAAAAAUGAAAUAAUUAUUUAGUAACACUAAUAUUCUUGAAUAAUUAUUUAGUAACACUAAUACUUCUUGAAUAAGUAGUUUGACCAUAGUUUGACCAGAUUUAAAAAAAAAUAAAAAAAACUGAAAUUUGAGCAUAACUUUUUUUCCUUUUUCAUAUUACGCAUCAUAUUUUGAAAAACAAUUCCCGAAAAAAAAUUCGAAACUAAUUUUUUUUUCUGUUACUAGUAAGUUUGAAAUUUUUUGACUCCAGAUCUUAAAAGCCCCGUAACUUUUUUCUGUUAGGUUUGUGAGGAUUUUGAACAUUUUUAACGGAUGUAACUUUUUGAGUAGAUGCUUUUUCAUAUAAAAAACUUUUUCAUCCGAGUUAGUAUGCAAAAGUUAUGCCCAUUUUACAAAUUCCACAGAGAUUUUGCAAAUAAAGUCGAAAUUCAUAUUUGCAAAUUUUCCCAACAACUAGACCACAAAUCACAUGGGAAACUUAUUUUCUUUUAUUUUUUGACAUUUCCGUCAUUUUCUUUUAUUUUUUAAAACUGAAAAGGCGAUCCACCGGGGGGGGGGGGGUGUUAGAGUUUGAAAAUGGGACCUUUUAGUACCGGUUCGUGCCAUGAACCGGUACGAAUGCCUCAAACGCCAUUAGUCCCGGUUGGUGGCUCGAACCGGGACUAAAGGUCUAACCUUUAGUACCGGUUGGUGCCACGAACCGGUAGUAAUGGGCAUCGAACCCUUUAGUCCCGGUUUGCGGCACCAACUGGAACUAAAAGGUCCAGACGAACCGGGACAAAUGGCCCACGUGGCCCGGCCGGCCCCCUGGGCUCACGAACCGGGACCAAUGCCCCCAUGGGUCCCGGUUCUGGACUGAACCGGGACUAAUGGGCUAACCCGGCCUGGACCAAAGCCCUCUUUUCUACUAGUGGAAAAAACACAAUGUAUAUAGGCCUGAACCGAUGGAUCAUCAGCAUGCAUCUACCAGGUCUUCCUAGGUUACGCCCAAUCGUGACUCGUUCAAUUGGGUCACACAUCACUACCCAAUCAACCACCAACUUAGUUGUUCCUCUCGUCUCCUCUACCCACCCUUCGCAACAUACACCCAUGAUUCUCAGCAAUAGACCAACAUGGAGGCGACAAUGGUGGCCAUGAUAGGCUAGUGAAAAGCACACUGGUGAUCAACCUUACAACACUAAACAGAACAUUGGAACAUGAGGUAACCCCAACUUUGUAGCACUGGUGCACCAUUUUCAUCUACCUUGUAGAAAUGAAAAGUUCAAUGACCAAUAGCAUUGCUGCACCAAGUUACUGGCUUCCAGCACUGAACACACGGGCUUGCAGCACCGCGAUGAUCGAUGGUCGGCCUUUCAACAGUAUUAGUUAACAUUCCACGGCUCGUCUCCAUUUUUAUGUACAUACACAUGAGUGAUAUUGGAACAUCAGUAACGUAUCAACCUUACCAAACAUGAAGACGAUAAAUUUGUUUCUCCAAGCAUAGACGUUACUGAAUAAGCGUGCAACUGCACAUCCACCACAUGAGCCAUAAUUUUUUAGCUCUGCGACAACAGCUUAUAGUUUCAAAAGAGUUUUGAUGAUGGUUUAGAAUGUAUAUGAUCAAAAUAGAUUAAAUGGAGGGGAGGGUGGACUACCUAUGUUGAAUCAGACUAGCCGCAAGGUCACAAGUGCCUUGUCUAAAUAGCCAAAAAGACAAAAGGAGGCCUCCUGGAUUCUCCAUCCUGAAGCUAAGCAUAACUCCAACUCCGGACACGCUAGGGGGCUAAUAAAGGUGCAAUACGCUAGGGGUGUCUUCUGGGUGGGAAGCCCGGUAGCAAGCCUGACUUAGGGCCCAAGAGGCCAAGUGGAGGACCGGUGCAAUAGGGAAGCUCAGGAGCCCAGAUAAGGACUGUUAGAGCAUCUUGGCAGGCAAGCUAAGAUGGCAGUGGUAUGAGAUCUGAUGGAUUCCUUGUAAACCUAGCCAUCGCCACCUAUAUAAGGAGGGGCUCGGGGUUGUCAUUCACAUAUACUCUCGUAGACUAUACUCUCUGUAGCAUUAUACUUCAUCUCCACUCUAAACCCCUCGCACAAGGUGCUCCACCAUGAAUAAAAAUCAGAUACAGAAUGUUGGGCAUUACCUCUCACCGAGGGCCCGAACCUAGGUAAAAACCUUUGUGCGAACUCCCUUGUCGUGUAUCCCUACAAGUUCACCACCCUACUAUGGGUACUCACGGUUUUACAUAAUGUCACAUAGUUAAGUUCUGACACAUUUUCUCUGGGGAGUUGAAGCAACUCAUGGUGUAAGUAGGUGUUGCUUGAAGCACUGAUUCUACUAGCACCUCCUUUCCCGCCUUCUAGAUACCUUGUCCUUCCUAUCCGACCACUUUGCCAUUUGAGCUUUCUUUAAGAUGUUUAAAAUUUCCUUCCUUUGACCUACCCACCACGGUUGGGAGCCCCAAAUAAUGCUCGCUCAAUGCCUUAGGAUCUGUGCAAAGAUAUUUACAACAACUUAGUCCUCCUAUUUUUCUCACUUCCCAAAGAAUGUUGAGGCUUUUUUAAAAUUUCCUAUUUGUCCCGAGGCCCACUCGUAGUCAAAGAGGAUAUAUUUAAGGUUACAAAGUUGCCAUUUGAUGGUUGAAGAAAUACUAUACUAUCAUCUGCAGAAAUAAGAUGGGCUACAUGGGGGUUAGUGCUCCCAAAAGAUAUACCAUUGAUCUCUUUAUCUUUGAGCACUCAUGAGAAAGGCCAAGAAACUCGCAACAUAGAAAAUAAAAAAAUAGGGAGACCGUGGGUCUCCUUGCCAGAGCCCUCUUCAUUGUAUAAAAAAUACAUAACACACUCCUUUCAAUUUGAUAGAAAACUUGGCCAGGGUACCACACAUCAUAAUCAUCAAGAUCAACCUAUGCGAGAAACCAAGUGCCCUCAUCAUUAGAUCAAGGAAAAUCCAAACCACCCUCUUAUAGGCCUUCAUCAUGUAUAGUUUAAUUGCGAACAUUGGAUUUUUCUAUUUCUUGAACGAACAUACUUUGCUCCUGAGUGAUCAUUAUGGAUAGGACAACCUUCAAUCUCUUUGCUAGGCCUUUGAAGCAAUCUGACUGAGUGUGUUCAAUAAGUUGAUUGAUCCAAUUUAAGGAAGUAUCUCCACAGGUAAUUUUGGGGAUUAGGACUGGAACCAUAUCAAUAAAGUUUGUGAAAUAACUCCAUUAAAAGAAUCACCUAUUACUAUGCGUACAUCAUUUUUUAGAAAUAACUAGUGAAAUUGGUAAAAAUAAGUGAGAGGUUUGUCUAGCCCCUGCGCUCUUGCCAGUCAAAUUUAGAAUAGUGCAUUCUAAAUUUCUUCAUCCAUCACGUCCGUGUUCACCCUCUCCUCCAUAUGACUAGUCACACAGGGUCGGAUGUGAGCUAAGAUGUUGUCAGCAUCAGCAGAGGCUUCUGAAGAAAACAACUAAGCAUAGAAAUUGGCCGAAAUCUUCCCCAUCUCAUUGUCAAUAGUACAACUCGUGCCAUCCGCCCUCAUGUUUUGAUCGUCUUCCUUGAGAAAUUCCAGUCGGGAACAUUGCAUACACAUUAUUUGUUCCUGUGCACGAACCACAUGAAGCUACGCUUCAAUCUCGCUGGUCUUCAGCGAGGAUGUCUGGAUCCCAAUGCUCUACCCUUUCCAUCGAAGCUGGAACUUGUGCCUAGUAAUCUCACAACAUACAAGACAAAAUACAGAGCCACUUCAAUGUUUCAUAUCAUUUGUAACAUUGUUACGCUUCCUGUAGAGCUCACUCUGUCUGGAAUUGUUAUCACAUGCACACUAUCAUGCUUCCAUGGGCAUCCACCUCUCCUCAAACGUUAAUGCCCUAUUCUUACAUUUGGUAAUGACUAGGUUUUCUAGCGCUCUAUUAACGAGCAAACCAUGGUCUGAUCCUCCAUGACAACAUGUUCAAUGGGUGUAUCCUACAAUGAAUGCACAAAUUCAUCAUUGCAUGGACCCCUGUCCACAUGUACAUAAACGAUCUCAUCCCGCUUCCUCUUAUUGUCCCAAGUGUACAGGUUGCUACUAAAACAAAGUUUUGAAACACUAUUUUUGGCUACACUCUCCCUAAUGCGCUCCAUUUGUGUGAAACUCCUCAAGUAGUAUCCUAGUUGUUGUGAUUAAAAGAAUUCUUGGUUGAGGUAUCGUUGUAACAGAUAAAUGUAUUAUUAGGAUCCAUUCUCUCGGAGCCUCCCUUAGCUACACAAAUUUUCUUCAAUCUCUCUUCCUAUCCAGUAGCUUUAGGUGAUAAUCAUUGUGACGCCUUUGGUGGUCACCAUCACCUUGCCUCGUCUUAUGAACAAAAGUGCCUCGUCUGCGUUGCUCUAAGGUAGAUGGGUCAUCUUUGCCAAUGGCCUUGCACCCUUUCCCAUAUACAUUUUUUAUGUCUUGCUUCCUUUCAUGCUCCUUUCUCAGGUCCCACUUCCUUUUUAGAUUUAAAUCAUCCCUUAGUUCACAAUCAUGUCACAGAUCUUGCCUGCAUUGGUCCUCCCUUCACUUCAUCUUAGACAGUUACCCUCUACAAGACCAUCUCGAGAAUCCUCGCCAGAGAGAGAGAGUCCAUAGAGGGCGUAUAGUCAUUGUAUGACCUGCACGUAAAUGGACAGACAUGCAACGCUACAUGACCCAUGCGCCCAUACACGCCCUUGCUUGACCUGGUGCUCCCAAAACUAAAGUUCAUGCUUUCUUUCACCGGCCUCUACUUUGUUUUUGUCUGUGAGGAGCCAUGUCCAAGUGAUGCCCUCAACCAUUCACCCAACUGGGGGUGAGGAAUCAUUUUGUGGUUCAAAUCAUCCAUCAACAUGUGCUAGUCUAUCGUAGUCAAUCCAAAAGAGAGGUAUCUUGUCAAAUUGAAAAUCAAACAAGGUCCCCUCAUCUUUUGCUGAAGAGUGGAGAAAGAAGCCUCAGACUAGUGAAAGAAAUAUGAAAAUUCUAUCUCUAAAUCUGAGAUGGUUCCCCCAUAAAUCCAUCCUUCUUAACAUCACUCUUUACCACGCCACCAGGACAAUUCCCAAGAGCAUUCCCAAAAGUAUAUGAUCAUUUAUAUAGGGGAGGAUCGGUAAUUAUCACCCAUGGCUCUGUCAUACAAAACAUUAUCUUCGAUGACCUAGUUUUUUCAUCAUAAUCCUUCAAAACUAUCAAAUUAAAACCAAAUUGCCACAUUCAAUUAUAUAUAGCGUGCUUCUAGACUCCUUUGUUAUGGAAUCUAAAGAAGAAGAUAUUAUUUCUAAUGUGACUUAUUUGGGCUUCCUAGUAGAGUCCCAUGUAUGUUGCAUAGUGCUAGCAAACACGUUGAUGUUGAUUUGCUGGAGUGAGCAUGCCUUUCCAACCACUGACCACCGAGUAGGCCUCGGUUGGUCUUGAAUCCUGAUCCUCAAACAUGAGAUCUAUUAGUUCCUUUUGGUGUCAAGUUCAGGGCUCCUUGUUAAUUUGGUUGUGAGAUUAGCUGCCUCCCAUAAAGCAUUUCCUUUUGUCAGGGACUUUGAAGGUUCUCAUCUUAACGAUCCUUGGUCGCCCUAUUCACUUGAGCUGUCAAUUUACGCCACGCCUUCUCUCCCGUCGUUGUGCAAAGGAGUGGAAGCACCAAGACCAAUCAAUGUAGGAGUUUACAAUGUCAUCACCACAUAGAUGAAUAGAACCCUAACCCUAGCACACUUGUCGGUCCCCUAUAAUCGCCCUUAGCAUUUCUUUUCAUGCUGGGCCUGCCACUAGGUAUUUAUACGUGUGCUUCCAUUGGUACCUUUUUUGCGCUGGAGCCUUUCUGCUACAUUUUCCUUUAUACACAGGUGGUCUUAUCCAAAUCAUAUAGUCUCCUCUAUCUAUAGGAAGCGAGGACAUUAGCUCUUCUUUUUUUCAAGGCAAAUACACUUGCUAGUGUUCAAGCGACAUCGAAAAAAGUCUUGUCACAUGUGAAGACGACUCUAAGAGUGUGACACAUAUAGGUGCCAACUUGAAGAAUAAUGCAAAUUUCAGUAAAUAUUAAUAGCUCCAGGGGGAACGAGCGCACAAAGGAAUCAGCCACCAUAAAUGGAUCAUUUCCAAAGAAACAAAGUCACAAAGAGAGAGACAAGACAUUAGCUUCUUUAUGGGGAACACAUAUAUUUAAAUGUUUCCUUGCUCUCUGAUUAUUAACAAGAAAUAUUUUUUACUAAUAUAUUAUGUGUAAAUCUUGGUAGAUAUGGAAUGUAUUUUGGUCGGUAUAUUUUAAGCAAUCAUAUUAGUUUUUGGUAUGUUGAAAUUAGAAGAAGUUCAUGUGCCUUCAAGGUGUGUGGUUCCACCUCAAAAUUGGUACAUACGAAAUGGUUAUUCUCCCUACAUAUAGCCCCAAUUCUCAUGCUCUCUCUCUCUCUCUCUCUACAUUUUAUAUUCCAGACUACUCCAUAAAGCCUAACUGGUGAAGGUCCAGAAACACCCAGCAGUGACGGGUUCAACUCCCAUUAGUAGUCUAUACUUAGUGGAGGAGAAACAAGCCACUUAUAGGCACGAGCCUGCCAAUGGUGAAUAAAUCAGAAAAGAAAAUCAGGCCAUGGCUAGUCCAAAUCCGGCACCUGCCAACAAUGUGUAGUCUACAGUACUCGAACCUACUUUUCAUCAGUGUGUUACAUCAUGUGAUGUUUGGAGAAGCCAUAGAGUUGGGGUUCCGAAUAUUGAAAACAACAAUGGGGAGUGGCUUGAAGAAUCGGACACUAGUAGAAAAAGGGCCUACAGUCCCAGUUGGUGAGGGCCUUUAGUCCCGGUUCAUGAACCGGGACUAAAGGGUCGGUACUAAUGCCCUGACCCUUUAGUCCCGGUUCAAUCCAGAACCGGCAUUGGUAGAAAAAGAGGCUUCCGUCCAGCCCCAUUAGUCGCGAAACUGUAGGAACCGCGACUAAUGAAGUCUUUAGUCGCGGUUCGGCAGAUGAACCGCGACCAAAGGCCUGGGCCCAGGGCGCUCGGUGGCCAGCUGGUGCACGUGAGGGGCUUUAGUCGCGGUUGGCCAGGCCAACCGCGACUAAAGGUGCCCAAAGGCCUUUAGUCGCGGUUNNNNNNNNNNNNNNNNNNNNNNNNNNNNNNNNNNNNNNNNNNNNNNNNNNNNNNNNNNNNNNNNNNNNNNNNNNNNNNNNNNNNNNNNNNNNNNNNNNNNNNNNNNNNNNNNNNNNNNNNNNNNNNNNNNNNNNNNNNNNNNNNNNNNNNNNNNNNNNNNNNNNNNNNNNNNNNNNNNNNNNNNNNNNNNNNNNNNNNNNNNNNNNNNNNNNNNNNNNNNNNNNNNNNNNNNNNNNNNNNNNNNNNNNNNNNNNNNNNNNNNNNNNNNNNNNNNNNNNNNNNNNNNNNNNNNNNNNNNNNNNNNNNNNNNNNNNNNNNNNNNNNNNNNNNNNNNNNNNNNNNNNNNNNNNNNNNUGUAAGAAUCAGAAGGGUUACUCUUCCUCAAGAGAAGUUCACCUGCACCUGCUUCGGCACGGUUUCAUGCCAAGCUAUAAUUGUUGGACCAAGCAUGGAGAAAGAGGGGUUAUAAUGGAAGAAGAUGAAGAAGGGGAUGAUUUCAUCGAUGAAAGCUAUCUUGCUCAUUUCGGUGAUACUUUCAUGGAGGAUGCUGAAGGUGAAGGGGAAGGUGAAGGGGAAGGUGAAGGUGAAGAAGAGGCACGUGAUGAGACCGUUGAUGAUCUUGGUCGGACCAUUGCUGAUGCACGGAGACGCUGCGAAACUGAAAAGAAGAGGGAGAAUUUGGAUCGCAUGUUAGAGGAUCACAGAAAGUCGUUGUACCCCGGAUGCGAUGAUGGUCUGAAAAAGCUGGGCUGCACACUGGAUUUGCUGAAAUGGAAGGCACAGGCAGGUGUAGCUGACUCGGCAUUUGAAAACUUGCUGAAAAUGUUGAAGAAUAUGUUUCCAAAGAAUAACGAGUUGCCCGCCAGUACGUACGAAGCAAAGAAGGUUGUCUGCCCUCUAGGUUUAGAGGUUCUGAAGAUACAUGCAUGCAUCAACGACUGCAUCCUCUACCGCGGUGAAUACGAGAAUUUGAAUGAAUGCCCGGUAUGCACUGCAUUGCGUUAUAAGAUCAGAGGCGAUGACCCUGGUGACGAUGUUGAUGGCGAGAAACCCAGGAAGAGGGUUCCUGCCAAGGUGAUGUGGUAUGCUCCUAUAAUACCAUGGUUGAAACGUCUAUUCAGGAACAAAGAGCAUGCCAAGUUGUUGCGAUGGCACAAAGAGGACCGUAAGUCGGACGGGGAGUUGAGACACACCGCAGAUGGAACGCAAUGGAGAAAGAUCGACAGAGAGUUCAAAGAUUUUGCAGCUGACGCAAGGAACAUAAGAUUUGGUCUAAGUACAGAUGGCAUGAAUCCUUUUGGCGAGCAGAGCUCCAGCCAUAGCACCUGGCCCGUGACUCUAUGCAUCUACAACCUUCCUCCUUGGUUGUGCAUGAAGCGGAAGUUCAUUAUGAUGCCAGUGCUCAUCCAAGGUCCGAAGCAACCCGGCAACGACAUCGAUGUGUACCUAAGGCCAUUAGUUGAUGAACUUUUACAGCUGUGGGGCAGACCUGGUGUCCGUGUGUGGGAUGAGCACAAAAAAGAGGAAUUUAACCUACCAGGGUUGCUUUUCGUAACCAUCAACGAUUGGCCUGCUCUUAGUAACCUUUCGGGACUGUCAAAUAAGGGAUACAAUGCAUGCACGCACUGCUUACAUGAGACUGAAAGUGUACAUUUGCCAAAUUGUAAGAAGAACGUGUACCUUGGGCAUCGUCGAUUUCUUCCGAAAAUUCAUCCAGUAAGAAAGAAAGGCAAGCAUUACAACGGCAAGGCAGAUCACUGGCCGAAGCCUGCGGAACGCACUGGUGCUGAGGUAUUUGAUAUGGUCAAGGAUUUGAAAGUCAUCUUUGGAAAGGGUCCUGGCGGACAAUCAGUUCCGAAGGGAGCUGACGGGCACGCAGCCAUGUGGAAGAAGAAAUCUAUAUUCUGGGAGCUAGAAUAUUGGAAAGUCCUAGAAGUCCGCUCUGCAAUCGACGUGAUGCACGUUACGAAGAAUAUUUGCGUGAACCUCCUAAGCUUCUUGGGCGUGUAUGGGAAGACAAAUGAUACAAAGGAAGCACGACAGGACCAGCAACGUUUGAAAGACCCUGAUGACCGGCAUCCGGAAUGGUUUCAAGGUCGUGCCAGCUACGCUCUGACCAAAGAAGAGAAGGUCAUCUUUUUUGAAUGCCUGAGCAGUAUGAAGGUCCCGUCUGGAUUCUCGUCCAAUAUAAAGGGAAUAAUAAACAUGGCGGAGAAAAAGUUCCAAAAUCUGAAGUCUCACGACUGCCACGUGAUUAUGACGCAAUUGCUUCCGAUUGCUUUGAGGGGGCUCCUGCCGGAAAAUGUUCGAGUAGCCAUUGUGAAGCUAUGUGCAUUCCUCAAUGCAACCUCUCAAAAGGUAAUCAAUCCAGAAGAUCUACCACGGUUACAGAACGAUGUGAUCCAAUGUCUUGUCAGUUUCGAGUUGGUGUUCCCGCCAUCCUUCUUCAAUAUUAUGACGCACCUCUUGGUUCACCUAGUCGAAGAGAUUUUCAUUCUCGGUCCUGUAUUUCUACACAAUAUGUUCCCCUUCGAGAGGUUCAUGGGAGUAUUAAAGAAAUAUGUUCGUAACCGUGCUAGGCCAGAAGGAAGCAUCGCCAAGGGCUAUGGAAAUGAGGAGGUAAUUGAGUUUUGUGUUGACUUUGUUCCUGACCUUAAGCCGAUUGGUCUUCCUCGAUCGCGGCACGAGGGGAGACUAAGUGGAAAAGGCACGAUCGGAAGGAAAUCAACGAUAUGUAUGGACGGCCAUUCUCUGACUGAAGCACACCACACUGUACUGACCAAUUCCAGCUUGGUGGCUCCGUACUUUGAGAAACACAAGAAUAUUUUAUGCUCGGACAACCCGGGGAAGCCUAAAUCCUGGAUUAGGAAGGCCCACAUGGAGACUUUCGGCAGUUGGUUGAGGAAACAUUUAAUGAAUGACAAUGAUGUUGUAGAUCAGUUGUACAUGUUGGCCAAGACACCAUCUUCGACUAUAACGACUUUCCAAGGGUACGAGAUAAAUGGGAAUACAUUUUACAUGAUCGCCCAAGAUAAAAAGAGCACCAACCAAAACAGUGGUGUCCGCUUUGAUGCAGCAACCGAGAAUGGGCAAAAGGUCACAUAUUAUGGUUACAUAGAGGAGAUAUGGGAACUUGACUAUGGACCCUCCUUUAAGGUCCCUUUGUUCCGGUGCAAAUGGUUCAAGCUAACAGGAGGUGGGGUAAAGGUGGACCAGCAAUACGGAAUGACAAUGGUGGAUUUCAACAAUCUUGGUUACCUUGACGAACCAUGUUUACCUGGAGCACUCCACCACAACAACCCCAUUCAAGAUGGCUAUGCUCGUGUCAUGGUGGAGGACAUAGUCCAAGGGUUUGAGGACCUGGAGAUUGACAUUGCUACACCUGAAGGGGAGAAAAGACUUGGAGAUGUCAAGCGCCAUUUCAUUCUAUGGCAAAAGAAGUUUAUCAAGUUUCCAGGCGAGGCGCCAAGGACAACAAGUCCACCCCCCUACGGUGGUGGCGGUUCACCUACACCUCCAUCACGUCAGCUGACGCCCCCCAGUCCACAACGUCCGGCGGGUGAUCAGACGCCGCCCCCCAGUCCUCGUCCGGCGGGUGAUCAGACGCCGCCCCCCACCUCCGGCAAAGAAGCAGAAGCAGUCCUGGAUUAUUAACCCGGACCCUUAUGUACCUAAGACCACAAAGGUACCAGAGCCAUCACUGAAGCCUCUCCCCACAAGGCCUUGGGAACGUAGUGCCGAGGAAACUGCCGCGGCCGCGGCUGCUGAUCAUGAGAAAUGGAAGGCAGACUGCAAGAAGAAAAGAGAGCCCGAGCCCAAGCCAGUAUUUUCUGAUGAGCAAAAGAAGUGGGCUAAGUCAUUUUUGAGCACACCGUCCCAAGCCGCGAAGAAUCUGCCUGACGACUAUGCACGUGAACUUCGUAGGCAGGCACUCAUGUUGAAGGAGAAGAAAGAGCAGGCGGAGAACCAGGAGAACAAAGCCUUGGAGGAGGCCGAGAAAAUGGAAUUAGAAAGUAAAAAAAGCGGGAAACAAGUUGCCCAGCUCGGGGAACAAAGUAAACAAUCGAUUGCCCCGCUUAUAGUGAAAGCCGCCGGUCCGGAUGACCCCGAUAUCAUAGCAGCUGCGGCAGCACAUGGAUUGACUAUAACGAGUGCCAGAGAACAAGCAGCCAACUUAGGUAUUACUCUUCGUGAACUGUUAGGCCUUGAUGAGGCGCCAGUGAAGGAGGUAGUAAUUACAUAUGUGAAGAAUGGGCCUCUCGUCGAGCCUGCGCAGGAAGAGGAUCUACCUCCACAAAUGAAAGGUCUGCUGAAAUGGUACAAGGGUUACAUAAAAAAUAAAAACGCCAAAGAAUAUAUUUAUGCGGAAGUUAGAUAUGAGCAUCACAUCAAACAUUACUAUGUACAAAUUCAUCUGAGUGAAUUGUUCCAGCUUUUCAAUCUGCGCGAGCUCGACAAAUCUAUCAUCAGUUGCUACGUUCUGUAAGUGAUUUAUUUCUACCCCAUCUCGUUCAUAUUGCCUGCACUAUAUAUAUGUCCUAACUAUAUUGUUGUGUCCGCUAUUAUACAUGCAGAAUGAAGAUUAAGGAAUGCAGAGUAAGGAACAUCCAUGAUGUUGGGUUCAUUGACCCACACAUCAUUAAUGGAUAUGUGUUGGAGCAUCACCCCGCCGACAUGGAGGCAGACCUGUGGCAGUUUCUUACAAAGCAGGAACUCAAAAGUAAUAUUCUAUUUCCUUACCAUUUUGGGUGAGUGUUUCUGUCUUGAGCACAUUCUCUUUUGUUUACUCCAUGCAUGGUAUGUGGCCGGCUAAUCGAUGAGUUAUGCAUGACGUACUGUGCAUGUAUCGUGUCCGCAGGUUCCACUGGAUUCUGCUAGUAAUUAAAGUUGACACCUCAGAAUGUCUCGUCCACGACUCUCUGAAUAAGGAUCCAAAGCUUUGGGGCGGCAUGAGAAGAAUGCUGCAGAAGUAAUUAUUUUCAUUCAUUUGCGCUCUAUAUCGAUCGGCCUAUUUCGUUCAUUUCCUAAUAUCAUGUAACUAAUAACUCUCUUGUUCAUUUAAUUUUCUUUGCCUCGUAGGGUUUGGAGACGGUUCGUAGAUACAAAGGUCGGUGAAUUCAAAAAAGAGCUAGAAUUCAAAAGGUCAAAGGCUAAGAAUGGUGAGGAUAUUCAGCCAGCGGGGACCAAUCUAUGUGCAUACUAUGUCUGUGAGAUGAUCCGGAGAUACACCUCUGAGCGGCGGGUUCCGAGUGAUACCAAUGCUCAGAGGAAUAACCUCCGGAUGAUGCUUAGUCCAGAAGCUCGCUUCCGACCACUUCAAGAGGAACUAACUGGAUGGUUCAGGAGGGAAGUCCUCCAUCCUAAAGGAGAACACCAUUACGAGGACGUAGAACUUUAUAUGCAUUAAAUUAUGUAUGGAAACUUGUUCAAAAUUGUAUAUGAUCAUCCGAUGAUAUUGAAUAUAUAUUGUAUAUUCCUCUUGAAUUCUUUUUGGUUCUAAUUUCAAAUUUGUUUGAAAUUGUACAUUCAUAUGCAUGUAUGUAGUACCGUAGAAUAUGUGAAACUCCUUCAAAAUUAAAAUAAAGCACAAAAGAAAUAAAACAAUACAAAUUAAACAGAAAACAGGUUUAGGGGGGGGGGCUAAAACCCUAAACCUGCGGCGGCCUUUAGUCGCGGUUGGCCAGAAGAACCGCGACUAAAGGUCCUCCGCCCCGACGGCCGCCUGGCGCCCACGUGGACGGGCCUUUAGUCGCGGUUCUUAAGCAACCGCGACUAANNNNNNNNNNNNNNNNNNNNNNNNNNNNNNNNNNNNNNNNNNNNNNNNNNNNNNNNNNNNNNNNNNNNNNNNNNNNNNNNNNNNNNNNNNNNNNNNNNNNNNNNNNNNNNNNNNNNNNNNNNNNNNNNNNNNNNNNNNNNNNNNNNNNNNNNNNNNNNNNNNNNNNNNNNNNNNNNNNNNNNNNNNNNNNNNNNNNNCCAAUACCACUAAUAGAAAAAGGGCCUACAGUCCCGGUUGGUGAGGGCCUUUAGUCCCGGUUCAAUCCAGAACCGGGACAGAUGGGCCUCCACGUGGCCUGUCCGCUGAGCCCAGGCAGGAGGGCCUCUUGUCCCGGUUGGUGGCACCAACUGGGACCAAUAGGCAUCCACGCGUCAGCAUUUCUGUGGCUGGGGUUUUUGUUUUUUUUUUGAAAGGGGGGGGGGUUUGGGGGGUUUUGGGGGGUUAAUUUAGGUGUUUCAUAUAUUGUGCUAUAGCUAGCUAAUUAAUAGAGAGAAGUGUCCUCUCUUUUGUCCGUGCUUGGUCGACGCUACGUACCAUACAUACGUAUAGAGAGGACUAGCUAGACACGCUAGCUAGCUAGUAAGCAAACAGAAGAUCGUCAUGAACAUAUAUGCAUACAAAGAGAAGUGAUAUCGACCACCUCUCCUUCUUCGGGAGAUUGGUCGAACAACAAGUUCUCGUAUAUCUAUCCGACACUACCGGCUACAUAUAUACAAUAAUUAUCUUUUACAAAUAUAUAAUCUCCUAAAAUACGGAUGCGUGGUCCACAUAGUAUUCUCCGUCUUCAGCGAUCACGUGGUCAAGAAAGAAUGCCGCCAAUUCCUCUUGAAUUGCUCGCAUGCGAUCUGGUGCUAGGAGUUCAUCCCGCAUCCGAAACAUCUAAUUUUAAGAAGGGGGUCAAUACAUAUAUAUAUAUGAAUGAAUGAAACUCAACACAAAUGAUGGUAAUAAAAUAAAAUUGUGACUAUUGUUAUUUACGCACUUCAUAUUGUUUGUCGGAGUAGCCCCACUCACAGGUCGUGUGGCGGAUGGACUCGCAAAUGUAGUAUCCACAGAAAUCAUUUCCUUGUUCCUGCCACAACCACUUUACAAGAAAUAGAGGUCAAUCAAACUGAUAAUUAGCAAGCAUGCUAAAUGGUAUUGAUGAAACUAGCGCUUGAAUCACUAGGAGAUUCCUGGAAUAUGCUACUAUAUAGUACUUACUUUCGGGUGCCUAAAUUGCAGCUUCUUCGGUAGUCCCGGAGCUUUUUUGGUGAAUUUUCUCCCAGCCCUGCCAUACAAAGAAAACAAUUACUUGAUAUCAGAAAUGAACAAAGUUGCUGAUAUGGUGGAUAAUGAUCGAUUUAACUUACUUCUCGAGCAUUUCAGUCAUGUCCGCAUACUCCUUGGGAUUUUUUCGCUUGGAGUCUAAGACAGUUACUACUCCCUUCUCAAGCUUAAUCUCUAGGAGAAUAUAGUGGUAGCUGCGCACACAUGCAUAACUCAUCAAUAUUACAUUACUAUAACCUGGACUAAUAAGGAAACCGAAUAUGCCUUUGUGUUCAUUCACUUGAAGGGCUGAGUUGUAAGGAAAGAGUAUUAUAUCUUUGUGUUCAUUUAUUUCCAACGAUCGUAGCAAGUUGGCCUCGGUUUCUUGGGCACGAUAUUGAACCUCAGUUGCAUCUAUGAGAUACGUGUUAAUGAACCCAAUAUCUUCCACUUGUCUUUUCUUCAAUUCGGUGAUCUUCAAUCUGCAUAAUAUAGUGAGGAUAAUUAUAAAUACAUGCAAUGAAAGGGCUGAGUUAUAUAGAGAGACUUAAUGACAGAAGUAGUACUACUUACAGACAGUAGGAGGUGACCGUUGCUUUAUCGAUGGCCAAUUGAUUGAAAAACUGAUAGAACUCCUCAAAUGGAAUAGGCAACAGUUCAAUUCCAAGGAGGUCAUGCUCCUUUUUAACUCUCACAUACAAAGUACUCCUCCCCUCAGACUCUUUGCAGGUUUUCAUGUACCAAUCACGCAAUCUUCGCAUCAUCGUUGAUAGAGAAUUUUCAUCUUUGACGAGAGGCUUCCCGUACUCGUAUCUUUGUAUCUGCACCUCCAAGAUAUCAUAAUGUACAUCGUCGGGCAGGUAAUCUGCAGGAUUGCCAUAACCGGGCACCAUCCUUGGAUCGACGAUGUCGCUAGCAGGCACCUUGAGCGGGGGGCACGAUUGCUUCGCUUGUUCGCCGAGCUGGGCAAUUUGUUUCCCAGCUCGUCGUUCUUUCAUCCUUUGAUCACUUUUAGUACUUCCCGACCUCUCCGCUUCGGCAAAUGCCUUUCCAAUAAUGCGAUCAUAGUUGCCUUUCGGCGGAGACUUGGGUGGUUUUGUCAGGGCAGCCAAAGUGCGCUUCGCUUUCACCGGAUCUACCUUCUCCUCCGGAGGUGGAUGUCUCUUUGCUUUCAACCCUUGAAACCAGUCAUCCACUUCGGUCUACGCGAUCUUUGCGUUUUCCUCCUCGCUCCUCUCGUACGGUAACUUCUCUAGAGUCUUCAGAGAAGGACCGAAUCUGUAUCUUCUCCCGCCUUUGGCUGUACUGCUAGACGCCGGUAGAGUAGACAGAGCGGAUGUCUUCUUUCCUUGAUUACGAGGCGGAGGAGAAGGACUACGACGCGCUAGAGCAGCCGGAGCGGCGGCGGGUCUCUUCCGCCCUUGCUGAGAGGCGGAGAAGGAGGAGGCUGGCUGCUCGGGCGCGCCGGCGCAGGCGGAGAAGGAGGCGGAGUGCCGCCACGCGCCGGAGAAGGAGCCGGCCGAGUGCCCUGAUCGUCACUCGCCGGAGGAGGAGGCGGUGAAGGAGGCGGAGUGCCCUGACUCGUCAGAGGAGGAGGAGGAGGCGGAGGCGUCCAGUUCGGAAGGUUGAUGAGAUCCUUCCGCCAUAGGCAUGGAGUCUUCAGAGCAGAACCCAGCCGAUACUCCCCUUCACCAGUAGGGUGGUCAAGCCGGAGGUCCUCAAAUCCCUCCGUUAUUUCAUCGACCAUCACCUUAGCAUAUCCUUCUGGAAUCGGCCGGCAGUGAAAAGUUGAGUCGGGUUUAGUAGGAUAAACAGAGCCAACAGCCGCCUUGACCUUCAAAUUGCUCCAUUGCGCCAUAAGGUGGCAAUUUUCAGCAUCCGUGAUAGCAUCCACGGGAUAGCUGGCAGGAGCCGUCAAGGCAUGCUCUGGCUGAAGCAGCUCGGUGGAAGCCACGCUGCUUCUCCGCUGAGAUGGCGGGGUAGCUUCGGGGGAAGCUUCGGCAGGUCGUUUGCUGUGAUCUGCUUCUCGUUCCUCUAGCCCCAUUACCCUUUCGUGCAGCGCCUGCAGUUGGCUCUGCUCCAGUUUCUUCCUCCUCUCCUGGGUUUUGUAACCCCCUACGUCCGGAAAUUCAGCCUUCCACGAAAUGGAGCCUGGCAUGCCUCGUGUCCGUCCAGGGUGCUCAGGAUUGCCGAGGGCCAUUGUGAGCUCGUCCUUCUCCCUGUCUGGAACGAACGUCCCUUGCUGCGCUGCUUUGAUAUAUUGCUGAAGCCUCUUGACUGGUAUGUCCAAUUGUUCAUCUGUCCAAAUGCACUUCCCUGUUAUAGGGUCCAAGGAUUCGCUGGCCCCAAAGAACCAAGUCCGGCAACGUUCUGGCCAGUUCAUUGUCUCUGGUUCGAUCCCUUUAUCAAGCAGAUCAUUCUCAGCCUUGGCCCACUUAGGCCGGGCUACGAGGUGCCACCUGACCCCAUGCGAUGGUGAAGCUUCUUCUUCUCAGCAUUUCUCUUGUUUGUCACCGACAUCUUUUUACUCUUUUCCGAUGUCUUGUGGGCCACAAAUGCGGGCCAGUCAUCUCUGAUAUUCUCAUAUUUGCCCUUGAAUUCUGGUGUCUCAUUUUUUUCGACAUACCUAUUGAGGUCUUUCUUCCAAUUCUUGAAUAGGUCUGCCAUCUUCCUCAGAGCAAAAGACUUGAUUAAGGGCUCUAUAACUGGCUUCUCCGGAUCAUCCUCCGGCGGUAGGGUGAAAUUUGACUUCAGCUCAGUCCAAAGAUUCUUUUUCUGCAUAUCAUUGACAUAAGACACCUUAGGUUCUUCGUUCUUAGGCUUAUACCAUUGUUGGAUGCUGAUCGGGAUCUUGUCCCUAACCAGAACCCCGCACUGAGCAACAAAUGCCUUCUUUGUCUGGUAGGGUUCAAUCGGUUGGCCAUCGCACGCGAUUUGUAUGAUAUCAAACUUUUCAUCCGAGCUCAACUUUUUCUUCGGGCCUCGUCUCUUUACCGAAGUUGUGCUUGAUCCGGAGGGCUAGAAAAAAGAACAAAGACGAGAGUUAAUUAAUAUGUGUACAUACCAAAACAAUGAAUGCAUCAAUUAGCUAGUCAGCACAGGCUUAACUAAUAUAUAUACCUGGCCGGACUCGGUUUGGUGAUCACCGGAGCCGUCCUCACGGUCUACUUCUUCACCCUCUCCUUCUUGCACCGACAUUGGGUCAUCGGAGCCAUGUAAAUCAUAGCCAGCUGCUUCUUCACCCUCUCCUUCCAGACCAUCGUUGUCGUUGAGAAACAUCAACGAGGAGAGGGCAUCACUUCCUUGUGCGAUUAUGUCCCUCAACAAUGCUUCUUAUGCUUCGUCUCGGGGGGUGUCCAUAGUUUCUACAAAUAUUUACAACAUGGCAAUUAUUAUUCAAACAUGACAGAUAUGGAUAUAUUAGUGGCAAACGUAGAACUAGCUAGCUAAUCACAAUAAGGAAUCAUAUUAGUGGCCUCGACGCUGCUUCUCUAGGGUUUGGGGUGGCCUCAACAACGCUUCAAGGGUUAGGGGGUGGCCUCGAGAACGCUUCAAGGAGGGGGUAAUAUCGGCCCCCCCACGUGUUGAAGCUAUCGGGAGGGGGUCGGUGUUGAACACUACUUCUAUGUCCCACAAGUGACGUGGGCAUCGACGCCCGCGGUAGGGUAGAGGGUCGUGGAUUGCCGCGCGGUCGAGGGUCAAGGGGUCGAGGAUCGCCGAGGGGUCAGGAGGUUGCCUAGUGUCAAAGGAUUCAACAAAACCAUGUCUUCAUCAUUUGGCGAAAGUAACAGGUGCAUGAUGGUACGAAGCUCUCCAAAGUUAUUUUGGAACGGAGUCCCAGAUAGGAUAAUUCGCUUUUUGGUACAAAGUUCAGCAAGAACCUUCCGAAUAUUGUUAUUUGAAAGGCCUUUACUGAGAUUCGUACAAAAAGGCAAAUUAUCCUAUCCGGGACUCCAUUCCAGAAUAACUUUGGAGGACUUCGUACCAUCAUGCCACGGUUACUUCCGGCUAAUGAUGAAGCCAUGGAUUUCUUCAAUACUUUGACACUAUAGGAACCCUCGACCCUGAAACCUUCGACCCUUGACCCCUUAACGACCCUCGAUCCUGAAACCUUCGACCCUUGACCCCUUAACGACCCUCGACCCUCUACCCUAGUUCCCGACCCUCGACCCCUUGGUGAUCCUCGACACCCUCGUUAUAUCGACAACGACGCAACAUACAUAUACAUGGGAAAAUAAUGUUAUCGGGGAGGGGGUAUCGGUACCCCCCCUCGUGUCAAAGUUUCUUCUUUCUCCUCUAUUCCUUUCUUUCUUCUUCUCCUCUUCUUUUUCUUCUUAUCCCUCGAGAAAGGAAAAUAAGGAAAAAGGAAGAAAAGAGGAAGAAGGAAGAAGGAAGAAGGAGAAGAAAANNNNNNNNNNNNNNNNNNNNNNNNNNNNNNNNNNNNNNNNNNNNNNNNNNNNNNNNNNNNNNNNNNNNNNNNNNNNNNNNNNNNNNNNNNNNNNNNNNNNNNNNNNNNNNNNNNNNNNNNNNNNNNNNNNNNNNNNNNNNNNNNNNNNNCUCGAGAAAGGAAAAUAAGGAAAAAGGAAGAAAAGAGGAAGAAGGAAGAAGGAAGAAGAAGAAGAAAAAGAAGAAGAAAAAAAAGAGGAGAAGAAGAAAAGAAUAGAGGAGAAGAAGAAAAAAUAGAAUUUUUUUUCUAUUUUUUCUUCUUCUCCUCUAUUCCUUUCUUCUUCUCCUCGUCUUUUUCUUCUUUUUUCUUCUUCUUAUUUAUUUCUCCUCCUCUCCCCUCUUCUUCUCCUUUCUUCCUCUUCUUAUUUCCUUUUUCCUCUCAUUCUUUUUCUUCUUCUUCCUUCUUAAAAAUACAUGAAGUAGUAUUGCCUAAUUCAUUGUUCAUAUGAAUAUACAAACAUUUGCAUAUUUACACUAAUUAAUAUCACCAAAAAAAUCUAUGAACAGAAAAAAAAUCCUAAUUUUUCUAAAAAACUAUCUUUUGCAUUGUUCACAUACACAUAUACAUUAUAGCCACAUACACAUAUACAUCACAUAUGAACAAAAAAAUUAAAACAUAAAAAAACAGAGCAUAAAAAUAAAAAAAAGAGCUUAAACAUUAAAAGAGCCGGGCGGCGGCUCACAGCGCGGGGGCAGGCAAGGGCGCCGGCGCGCGGGGCGGGACGGGGCAGGGGGGCAGGGCGACGGCGACGAGGAGCGGGCNNNNNNNNNNNNNNNNNNNNNNNNNNNNNNNNNNNNNNNNNNNNNNNNNNNNNNNNNNNNNNNNNNNNNNNNNNNNNNNNNNNNNNNNNNNNNNNNNNNNNNNNNNNNNNNNNNNNNNNNNNNNNNNNNNNNNNNNNNNNNNNNNNNNNNNNNNNNNNNNNNNNNNNNNNNNNNNNNNNNNNNNNNNNNNNNNNNNNNNNNNNNNNNNNNNNNNNNNNNNNNNNNNNNNNNNNNNNNNNNNNNNNNNNNNNNNNNNNNNNNNNNNNNNNNNNNNNNNNNNNNNNNNNNNNNNNNNNNNNNNNNNNNNNNNNNNNNNNNNNNNNNNNNNNNNNNNNNNNNNNNNNNNNNNNNNNNNNNNNNNNNNNNNNNNNNNNNNNNNNNNNNNNNNNNNNNNNNNNNNNNNNNNNNNNNNNNNNNNNNNNNNNNNNNNNNNNNNNNNNNNNNNNNNNNNNNNNNNNNNNNNNNNNNNNNNNNNNNNNNNNNNNNNNNNNNNNNNNNNNNNNNNNNNNNNNNNNNNNNNNNNNNNGAGCACGGGCAGCCUGACGGCGUCGUCGCGUCGAGCUCGGGCAGCCUGGCGGCGUCGUCGGGGCGGGGAACUGGCGAUGAAAUCUGAAAAAACGCCAAGUCUUUGCUUAUAUAGAAAAGGCUUUGGUCCCGGUUCGUGCCACGACCCGGGACUAAUGCCCCCCUUUAGUCCCGGUUGGUGGGCAUUAGUCCCGGGUCGUAGCACCAACCGGGACUAAUGCACCCCUUUAGCCCCGGUUGGUGCCACCAACCGGGACCAAAGGCCUGUGCUGCCCCGAACCUAAUAUUUAGUCCCACCUCGGUAGUUGAGAGGGAGGCGCACCUGUUUAUAAGGUGCGGUGCGCCUUCCCUCUCGAGCUCCUCUCUUAAGCAGGCUUUCGGGCCUAACCCUGCAAUCUGUGCCUGUGGGCCUACUGGGCCUCCUGCGGGCCUGAAUCCUGGCCCAUGGUAGGGUUUCUAGUCGUAUUCAGGCCGUGGGGGCCCAGUAGGUGGCACUUUUUUUUUGUUUUCUUUGUUGCUUUAUUUAGUUUAUUUUGUUUCUAUUUACAACAAAAUACUUAUUGUUGCUAUAUUUAUUUUUUUCCAGUUUUUUGUUUUGUUUUCUGCAUUAUUUAUUUUCUUUUGUUUUCUUNNNNNNNNNNUAUUUUUUGUUGUUUUUUGCUUUAUUUUUUAAUUCUUUUUGCUUUUAGUUUUAGAAAAAUUAUAAACUUUCUGUUAGUGCCAUUAGUUUUCAAAUUUGAAAACACUUUUUUGCUUUAUUUAUUUAUUUUAUUUUGUUUCUACUUACAACAAAAUACUUAUUGUUGCUAUUUUUAUUUUUUUUCAAGUUUUUUUGUUUUGUUUUCUGCAUUAUUUAUUUUCUUUUGGUUUUUUGCUUUAUUUUUUAAUUCUUUUUGCUUUUAGGUCAGCAAAAUUAUAAACUUUCUGUUUGUGCCAUUAGUUUUCUUUGAAAUUUGUGUGAAUCACAAGUUUGUGAGCUCAACAAGGCGUGUAGAGGGACGGGAUUAUAAACCGGUGUGAGCGCCCUUCGGUUAGCGAGGUUUUCAAAUUCAUAGUUUUCAAAUGAACUCUGAAAAAGUUGGCAUAGCAUGUGCAUGUACAAAACGGACAAUGGUAUCAUACUCGUCUGUUACAAAGUUGGCAUGGUAUCAUCAUAAUAGUUGCGGGAGAAAGUCAUUACUUUUUCUUCGCUUGUGUCGUUUGCUUAUUGCGCCGUAACCAUGGAUAAUCUUCAUCGUUUAUCAGGAUGCUUGGGUCGGCCUUGACUUUGAAGGGGGGAAUUUCAUGAAACUUUUCAUACUCUUCAGACAUGUCUGUCUUGCCCUCCACUCCCAGGAUGUUCCUUUUUCCUGAAAGAACUAUGUGGCGCUUUGGCUUAUUGUAUGAUGUAUUCGCUUCCUUAUCUUUUCUUUUCCUCGGUCUGGUAGACAUGUCCUUCACAUAGAUAACCUGUGCCACAUCAUUGGCUAGGACGAACGGUUCGUCAGUGUACCCAAGAUUUUUCAGAUCCACUGUUGUCAUUCCGUACUGUGGGUCUACCUGUACCCCGCCUCCUGACAGAUUGACCCACUUGCACUUAAACAAAGGGACCUUAAAAUCUACUCCGUAGUCAAGUUCCCAUAUGUCUACUAUGUAACCAUAAUAUGUGUCAUUUCCAUUAUCGGUUGCUGCAUCAAAGCGGACACCGCUGUUUUGGUUGGUUCUCUUUUCAUCUUGGUCAAUCGUGUAAAAUGUAUUCCCAUUUAUCUCGUAUCCUUUCCAAAUCAUUACAGUCGAAGAUGGUCCCCUGGACAACAAGUACAGCUCAUCACAAACAGUGCUGUCACCUCUGAGACGUGUUUCCAACCAACUGCUGAAAGUCCUGAUGUGUUCACAUGUAAUCCAGUCGUCGCACUGCUUCGGGUGUUUGGAGCGCAGACUGUUCUUGUGUUCAUCGACAUACGAGGUAACCAAGGUAGAGUUCUGUAGAACUGUGUAGUGUGCUUGAGACCAAGAAUAUCCGUCCCUGCAUAUUAUUGAGUCCCUUCCAAGCGUGCCUUUUCCAGUCAGUCUCCCCUCAUACCGCGAUUUAGGGAGACCUAUCUUCUUAAGGCCAGGAAUGAAGUCAACACAAAACCCGAUGACAUCCUCUAUUUGAUGGCCCAUGGAGAUGCUUCCUUCUGGCCUAGCGCGGUUACGAACAUAUUUCUUUAGGACUCCCAUGAACCUCUCAAAGGGGUACAUAUUGUGUAGAAAUACGGGCCCCAGAAUGACAAUCUCGUCGCUAGAUGAACUAGGACGUGCGUCAUGAUAUUGAAGAAGGAUGGUGGGAACACCAGCUCGAAACUGACAAGACAUUGCGCCACAUCACUCCUUAGCGUUGGUAUGAUUUCUGGAUCGAUCACCUUCUGAGAUAUUCCAUUGAGGAAUGCACAUAGCUUCACAAUGGCUAAUCGGACGUUUUCCGGUAGAAGCCCUCUCAAUGCAACCGGAAGCAGUUGCGUCAUAAUCACGUGGCAGUCAUGAGACUUUAGGUUCUGGAACUUUUCUCUGGCAUAUUUAUUAUUCCCUUUAUAUUCGACGAGAAGCCAGUCGGGACCUUCAUACUGAGCAGGCAUUGAAAGAAUAUUUCUUUCUCUUCUUUCGUAAGAGCGUAGCUGGCAGGACCUUCAUACUGCUUCGGAGGCAUGCCCUCUUUUUCGUGCAAGCGUUGCAGGUCCUCUCGUGCCUCAGGUGUAUCUUUUGUCUUCCCAUACACGCCCAAGAAGCCUAGCAGGUUCACGCAAUGGUUCUUUGUCACGUGCAUCAUGUUGAUCGAAGAGCAGACCUCUAGGUAUUUCCAGUAGGGUAGGUCCCAAAAUAUAGAUUUCUUCUUCCACAUGGGUGCGUGAUUCUCAGCGUCAUUCGGAACAGCUAGUCCGCCGAGACCCUUUCCAAAGAUCACGUGUAAAUCAUUGACCAUAGCAAGUACGUGAUCACCGGUACGCAUGGCGGGCUUCUUCCGGUGAUCUGCCUCGCCUUUGAAAUGCUUGCCUUUCUUUCGACAUUGAUGGUUGGUCGAAAGAAAUCAACGAUGGCCCAGGUACACAUUCUUCCUACAGCUUCCCAGGUAUAUACUAUCGGUGUCAAGUAAACAAUGCAUGCAUGCGUGGUAUCCCUUGUUUGUCUGUCCUGAAAGGUUACUGAGAGCGGGCCAAUCGUUGAUGGUCACAAACAGCAACGCCUUUAGGUCAAAUUCCUCCUUUUUGUGCACAUCCCACGUACGUACACCGUUUCCAUUCCACAGCUGUAAAAGUUCUUCAACUAAUGGCCUUAGGUACACAUCAAUGUCGUUGCCGGGUUGCUUAGGGCCUUGGAUGAGAACUGGCAUCAUAAUGAACUUCCGCUUCAUGCACAUCCAAGGAGGAAGGUUAUACAUACAUAGAGUCACGGGCCAGGUGCUGUGAUUGCUGCUCUGCUCCCCAAAACGAUUAAGGCCAUCCGCGCUUAAAGCAAAGCAUACGUUCCUUGGGUCCUUUGCAAACUCAUCCCAGUACUUUCUCUCAAUUUUUCUCCACUGCGACCCGUCAGCGGGUGCUCUCAACUUCUCGUCUUUCUUAUGGUCCUCACUGUGCCAUCGCAUCAACUUGGCAUGCUCUCCGUUUCUGAACAGACGUUUCAACCGUGGUAUUAUAGGAGCAUACCACAUCACCUUCGCAGGAACCCUCUUCCUGGGAGGCUCGCCGUUAACAUCACCAGGGUCAUCUCGUCUGAUCUUAUACCGAAAUGCACCGCAUACCGGGCAUGCGUUCAGAUCCUUGUAGGCACCGCGGUAGAGGAUGCAGUCAUUAGGGCAUGCAUGUAUCUUCUCCACCUCCAAUCCUAGAGGGCAUAUGACCUUCUUUGCUGCGUAUGUACUGUCAGGCAAUUCGUUAUCCUUUGGAAGCUUCUUCUUCAUUAUUUUCAGUAGCUUCUCAAAUCCUUUAUCAGGCACAUCAUUCUCUGCCUUCCACUGCAGCAAUUCGAGUACGGUACCGAGCUUUGUGUUGCCAUCUUCGCAAUUGGGGUACAACCCCUUUUUGUGAUCCUCUAACAUGCGAUCGAACUUCAGCUUCUCCUUUUGACUUUCGCAUUGUGUCCUUGCAUCGACAAUGACCCGGCGGAGAUCAUCAUCAUCGGGCACAUCGUCUGGUUCCUCUUGAUCUUCAGCAGCUUCGCCCGUUGCAGCACCAUCGUGCACAUCGUCUGGUGCAUCUUGAUGUUCAGUAGCAUCACCGUAUUCAGGGGGCACAUAGUUGUCAUCGUACUCUUCUUCCUCGCCGUCUUCCAUCAUAACCCCUAUUUCCCCGUGCCUCGUCCAAACAUUAUAGUGUGGCAUGAAACCCUUGUAAAGCAGGUGGGUGUGAAGGAUUUUCCGGUCAGAGUAAGACUUCGUAUUCCCACAUAUAGGGCAUGGACAACACAUAAAACCAUUCUGCUUGUUUGCCUCAGCCACUUCGAGAAAAUCAUGCACGCCCUUAAUGUACUCGGAGGUGUGUCUAUCACCGUACAUCCAUUGCCGGUUCAUCUGCGUGCAUUAUAUAUAAUUAAGUGUGUCAAAAAUCAUUACAGAACAUCAUGAAUAGAUAAUUAAGUGACCAAAUUAAUAGAAGUUCAUCAUCACAUAAAAAUCAAAGUACAUACAUAGUUCUCAUCUAACAACAUAAAGCUCUGCAGAGCAUCUAAAUUAAUUAAACCAUAUAUUGAAACUAUGUAAAACAUUUCAAUGCGAAAACAAAUGCGAUCAUAAUCGCAACCAAGGUAACAACUGAUCCAACGGCAUAAUGAUACCAAGCCUCUGUAUGAAUGGCAUAUUUUCUAAUCUUUCUCAUCUUCAAGCGCAUUGCAUCCAUCUUGAUCUUGUGAUCAUCGACGACAUCCGCAACAUGCAACUCCAAUAUCGUCUUCUCCUCCUCAAGUUUUUUUAUUUUUUCCUUCAAGAAAUUGUUUUCUUCUUCAACUAAAUUUAACCUCUCGACAAUAGGGUCGGUUGGAAUUUCUGGUUCAACAACCUCCUAGAUAAAUAAAAUCUAUCGUUGGUCGGCAUAAUUUUCAUAAACAAUAAAUGAACCAAUAGUUAUGAAAAGAUAAUAUAUACCACAUCCGAAUCGUAGAUAGGACGAGGGCCGACGGGGGCGGAUACCAAAACCAUCGCACUAUAUAAGAUGCAAUAAUAAAAGAAAAUAAUACAAGUAAGAAUAUUUUUCCUUUCAGAAAGAAGAUAAGAACAAGAGGCUCACCACGGUGGUGCUGGCGAUGAGAUUGGCGCGGGUGAUCGACGGCGGUGAAGACGGGGACGGGGCGUGAUGGACCGCUAAACCUAGACAAAUAUUGAGGAAAAUAGAGGUUGGAGGUCGAGUUUGGAGAGGAGAAAGCUUAAGUAGUGUGGCUCGGGCAUUUCAUCGAACACCUCAUGUGCUAUGGAGGUGAGCUAGAGCACCACAAAGCCCCCCCUCGCCGGCAAGAGAAAAACAGAGCACUGGAGUGCUCUGCUCGCGAGCGAGGGGGUAUAUGUAGGUAGCACUAUUGGUCCCGGUUCGUGGCAUGAACCGGGACUAACGGGUAGCCAUUGGUCCCGGUUCAUGCCACCAACCGGGACCAAUAGUGGUGGGCCAGGAGCCAGGCCCAUUGGUCCCAGUUCGUCCCACCAACUGGGACCAAAAGGUCCGGACGAACCGGGACCAAUGGCCCACGUGGCCCGGCCGGCCCCCUGGGCUCACGAACCGGGGCAAAUAGCUCCAUUGGUCCCGGUUCUGGAUUGAACCGGGACUAAUGGGCUGAACUGGCCUGGGCCAUUGCCCCCUUUUCUACUAGUGGGAGCCAAGAAGCCGGACGGAGAAGGCAUCCACCAUGCUGCACCAUUGGCCGAUACUGACCCGUAUGGUGCAAGGACCGAGGUAGAACUGAACACCGUCAUCACCGAGCCGAACAGAUUUUUGAUCGCUGCUUGGAGUGAGAAGCUACUCUAAAAAGUUGAAUUUCUGAAGCUUUGGGAAGCUAGAGGAGAUCAGAACAGGCCCUAAGUCAUCGGUAUUUCAUAAUUGAAUGUUCUCCAUGUCGUGACUUUUGAUGGUGUAAACCCAAAUAAUCGCCGUUGUGAAAUUAAAUUCCUCCCUGAGUCAAACCCACAUCCGUAAAGAUGUGCCACGACAAUCCACCUCAUGGCUAUCUUGGAGUCCUUAAUAUAAUCAAGUGUGCCCAAUAUGGUGACUUAAUAUGUACUUAUUGACCCUACGAAGCUAAUCACCUGUAUCAAGACCCCUUCCUGGUUCUCCUAUAACUAGAUUCCCCGAAACCACGAGAAUCCUUAGAAUGGCAUUACAACUUAGCACCUUUCGUUUUCACAUAGUAAGAAGAGUUGCUCCUUGGAUAGCAUGGUACGAUCAAAGGUGUAACCUGUGUUUCGGAGGGAGUUAUUGUCUCGAAACUUUGUUCUCAACUAUUCCGAUUCCAGCAAGCGGAGGCCAUUGGGUCAUAGCCGUAGCGCACACCCUGUAGUUUUCAAGUGGGGUGAGAUAACUUUGGCUAGGAACCUAUUUUCAUUCUGACGAGCUCCCUGAAAACAAUGUUCGACUUCAUGUGUAGUUGGUGUAGAUGUGUCAUUGCAAUUACACCCCUAGGAUAUCACCAAGUCCUAUGUAUUACGUGACAACAUAUGCCACCAUAUAUUGACUUGAUAAAUUAAAUGGAUUUCACCAAGCUUUCGUGUUACAAUUAUAGUGAAGAUAGUGACUCACAUGUCAGCCUCCCUGACGGGAAGCAAAAUCACUCUGACUUUGGCAACCUAAUUUUUGGUGGGUUCAAGCAAACAUGUUGGAUUUGUAUUUUAUUUAUUUCAACAUAUAUAAUUCAUAUAAAUAAAUCAAUUCAUAAUAGGAGUCUUGGAGACACCCAUGUCAAUAAUGUGAAAUUAUGGGAAAUCUUAUUAUGUGCAUCAACAUAAGCAAAAACUCGUGGCUUAAGAGAUAUGUGUACAAUCUUCCAAUGGUUAUUCCCCCUACUAAAUUCAUGAUGUUAACUAGUUCCCAAAGGUUGAGAAAGAAGUUUAGUCAUGGGAUCAAUGUCCAAUGCAUCAUAUUUCCAGUUCCGAAUUUUUUUUAUUAUGGAAGUUGAGAAAGAAGUUUGGGCAACAUAUUUCCAGACACCUGUCAUGUCUAGGAUCUUCUCAAGCCUAGGUAAGCUAAGUCAUGGGAUCAAUGCAGGCUAUUAGUACAUUGACCCGGUUCUUAAUUCAAGUCCUCCUUGCUUGAUACAAUAUUGAAUUGAAAGUACAUAAUCAAUUUACUUAAGUUGGUGAACAAUAUUGGCUAGUAUAUUUCAACACUCACCUCACAUGCAUCUUUUAGAGGCAUAUAAUGCAUCGUGAUGGAAACAUUUUUUCUAUAGACUAAAUUCCAAUGGAAAAUUUUAAUUAAUUUAACUAGUAGCAAUCUCGUAUGGCAAGGAUAUAUGGCAAAUGAAAAUGAGGGCUCAAAUGCUAAUUGUUGGCACACAAAAGUCAAGUUGUCUUUUUCCUCCCAUGUUGAUCCUCCGUGGUUUGACAUUGGGCAUUACAAAGAGAUCAAGUUAUCUUUACACACCGCUAGAGCUACCAGACCCUGGAUGUUCCAUAUGGUGCAAUGAGUGAUAGCGAGGUAUAUUAGAACAUAUAGUUUACACCGUUAAAAUAAUUAAAUGGGCUUUUUUGCCUACUACGAAAAAUAGUAUUUUAAGAGAAAACUAUGUAAGAGUUUGUGAUCUUUGUAUGUAAAAGUAUUAUUUUCCUUUGCUUGGUGUUCACGCGGUUUCAUUUAUGGCAAAAAUGGAAAAUCAUCGUACAAUAAUUGUUGAUAUUCUUUGCGGGAAAGAGAGAUCUUUUCACUUUUCAGAUCACACAAAGUAUUGUAUUUCUUAUAGGGGUGAUAUACAGUGUUCUAAAUCUGCACUUGUGAUUCGUUGUCCAUUUAAAUUUGGUUUCUUCCACAGAUUAUGUUGGUUUGGUGCUGUAUUUAUCUCAGCACUAAAGUAUACUGAUGUUAGCUAAGUCCAAUCAAAGGCCCAUGUUUUUAUCAUGUUAUACAAAUUAGUAAGCUAAGAUCUUACCAAACUCAAGUUACAUAAGCCCACACUACGUUAAAUACACAUCAUGCAGUACACAUGUUCAUCUUAGUGUUACGUUAUACUUGGCUCCGAGAUAAAUAAUUGUAUCAAUUAUUACUAUCUUUUGCAGCUUGUUUCUGCCUGUUCAUUGUAGAAUUAUCUUAUGUAGUCUCCCAAGGUUCAUGCAACUUGAAUUUUCAUACUUUGUUAGUAUUAGUGUUCACUAGGACUAGGUGCCACUCUGUAGAAGCUGAGGAUACAGAUGGAGAAAGUAGUCAUGGUUUUUUUUUUAAAAGUUUGUUCAUAUCUAUAAGAGGUUUAUGAAUUUUCAGUGUAUAGUGUUGUGAAACCUAGAGUGUUUUAUCUCAUUUAACAUUGAACUACGCUUUCAAGGAAAAACCUUCAUUUGACAUCGAACUAUGCAUGCAGGGCAAACACCCCGUGCUUCGGUGCCACCGCGCCGCGAACCCUGGGAGCUUGACCCUGGAUGGGUGUGAACUUAAGAUUGAUGUCAAGGUUAGGGGUCAGUUAUGGAUAGUGAAUAAAGGGGACGCUGCGAAACUGUUAUUAAUAAUAUGGAUGAAACAUUGCCUUGUGGAGAGAAUAAGAUAUUUCCAGAGAUAUUUAUAAAUGGAUCCAUCCUUGCAAUAGCAGUACAAAAUAUGAUGCUAACAUUUUAUUUUCAUUGUUGUUCCCAUUAAACUUCUGGUGGUGGCCCCAUUAUUCACAGCCUCGCACAUGAAAAUGUUAUUUCGUUCGGGUAAAUGUUGCGUGUCGUUGCUCCUGUAGUUUUGCGGUUUGCAUCUCCUUAAACUUUUGAGUUGGAUUUUGCGAAGUUGCAAUGCAAAUUUGGGAUGCAGGGAAGAUAAUAAACAAUGCUUUCUAAGAGCAUUUGAUAUUGGAUGCGACUCAGAAAGAACGCAUGCAAAUGCAAGAUGCACGAAGUAGUAGGCACAUGUCCAGGUUUAUUAAGAGCAUCUGCACCGGACGCCUCAUAUCUGCCACAAACGCUAGGGCAAACUUCCCGGUCAGUACUAGGACGCAAAAUUGCCACCCAACAGGAUCUGUAAAACCCGGCCCAAACGUCUAGACAUGACCGCACUCCCCAUAUCCAGCCCAUAUCUCGGACGGAUAUGUGGAAGCCCAGAGGCGCCCGGACACACCCGCCAGGUAGGAUCCGGCGAGUGCGGCCCACCCGACCCCACAUAAAUUGGACCCUAUCCGCACUCCGAGCGAAACCCAAGCGACAUUCAACUCCACUCUACUCCUCGCCAGGCCACUCCCCUCCACCCACAAGCCCCAUUUGCGGAUCUCCCACCAUUUCGAGCCGUUGAACCGGAGAUCGUCCCACGCGGCCCCAAGGAGGAGAUGGUCGACUGCCUUGCGCUUCUCCACUACCGGAGGAGUCCGCCCAGCAGGGGUCGAAAUCCAUCUGGCGGGAAUCCAUUGCGUCUGCCACAAUGGCGCAUGGAUAUAGCCCGAGGGCAGUUGCGGCUGCCUUAGCAGAGGCAGUGCAGUCCAUCUGGAGUCGGAACGCCGUGGAGGGAUACGCAACCACUUUGUUGGCACACUGAGAAAGAUAUGCACACCCGCUUAACGUCUGCUACAAAUAUGGUGUGGCGCAUCCACCGUGUUAGGCAAUGGGCACGGGAGCCCGCGGCAGCCCUCGUGCCAGACGCCAGUGGGGCAGACUCGCACUCUUCGGUGCCUCGUAUCGUGCCCGGCAGUCCUUGGCGCUGAAAUCAUGUCGUGUUGGACGCGGCCGGCUCCACCAUCAUGGAUCAAUCAUCGACCUCACAUCCACGAACGACAGGAGGGCACGGGCUCCGACGAGAAAGAGUAGGCCAUGGGAGAUGGCGCCGACUCGAGUUUCUUUUGCCGGGUCGUGUCCCAUGUCCUACUCUACCUCACCGGAGACCGACCCUCCACUUCGACAGGCUCAGACAACCAUCGGACAUGGACAGGUUCGGAACAACAAGGACAGUCGCUGGCGCAAAUUUAGACUACAGCCGUCGACACGAGGUGAGCGCGGCACGAGUUAAUCGCUGAAGAGGUUGGGCCGUUCUGUCGCCCGUGGUCGUACAGUUGCCGACGUAGUCGUCCAUGACCACCAGAUCGACACCGCCGCCACUGCAAGUCUAGGGGUCUCUGUAGUGGCUGAAGUCAUUUUAGUGUAUUUUCUUUGUAUUGUGAUGAUUGCAUACUGUGUUGCGUAUUGUGGCGUAUUUUCUUUGUAUUGUGAUGAUUAUAUACUGUACAAUGUAUUGUGGCAUAUUUUUUGUGGUCUAUUUUUAAAAAGAAAACUACAAAUAGCUAAAAGUGGUGUGCAGAAUAAAUUUAUACCCGCCACUACAAAACAAAUGCCAGGACUGACACAUAUUUUUACCCACCAUUAAUAGUAAUGCCCGCCACUGCGACAAGAUCGAGGUCGAUGGCGGGCUGUUUGUAACGCCCGCCACUGUUAUAGUCAUUUGUGGCAGGUGGAGCGCCCGCCACUAAUGCCAUGUUGCCAGUGGCAGGCGCCUCUGAGAGCCUUACCCGUCAUUGCUAGGCUUUUGAUGCCGCCACUGCUACGCAUUCCUGCGAUAGUGUGCAAUUGCGUAUCUAGUAAAACAUAUACAACUAUCCUCCCAACAAACAGUUUCGUCCUACCAUGGAGUUAUAGUCGGGUUGAAGACAUUCAUUUAUAAUCGGAAGUGACGUUGCAGUUGCAUAUCAAGUAGGAGAUAUUUAACUGCCCUAGUGACAAAACACUUUUGUUCCCUAAGUUACAGUCGCAUUGGAGACAUGCAUUAUCGAAACGACACCACCUGUAGUUGCGUGUUUGGAGUUAGACAUGCAACUAGCUCCACAAUAAUAAUCUGAAUUUUAAGUUUUAUUUAAUUUUAAAUUAAAGAAAAAAGAAAAGCUGAAGAUAUAAAAACAGAAAUAGAGAAAACAAACAAUAGGAAAAAUCCUAAAAAAGGCAAAAACAAACAAAGGAAAAAAAUGUUUGAAGUUUCUAGAAGCUUCAUAAAACCAGUAGAAAGAGUCCUACAUGGGGCGGCCCACUCACACAUGUAAAAAGAGGUGGGCGAGGUGUAUGUCGACUAGCUCAGAGUUGGGGAAUCCUAUUCCGCACAUAGGUCGCUACGUAGCCACCUAGCGCGUACCCCUCGGGUUUGUGGUCCUCUUCGGGUCGGUCCAUUCCAGGUUCUUCCCCAUACCGGUUUUUAGGAAGGUUCUAGACCUUUUUUUCUAUUUUCUUUGUUUCCUUCUAGUUUUUUCUUUAUUUUAUAUUUUAUAUAUUACUUCUUAUUUUCUUUUAUUUUAAUUUUCCUUUCUGGUGUUGCAAACAUAUUUUCAAAUUCGUAAACGUUUAUUGAAAUCAAGAACAGUUUUUGAGUUGACAAACAUAUAUCCAAAAUAAUGAACAUUUUCUAAUUCGACAAUACAUUUUGAAAUCACAAAAUAACAAAAAAACUAACUUUUGAGGACAUUUUUUAUAAAUUCUGAAAAUGUUUGUCAAUCGGCCGACAUUUUUUGAAUCUGUGAACAUUUCUAUGAAUUGACAUGAUUUUUUUGAAUUGGCAAACAUUUUUUGAAUCGAUGACCAGUUUCUGAAUCAAUGAAUAUUUUUUACAUGAAUGAACAUUUUUUUAAAUUCACAAUAAAUUUUUUUGUGAACAUUUAAAAAACUUGUUGAAUAUUGCUUGUAUGUCAACUUCCGUCCUGAUUAAUUAAAUAAAGUGGUGAUACCCAUCAAAAGAAAAUAACUAUGGUUGGCACAAAAUUUACUGCAAAUUAAUCAUGUGAUGAAAGACUUAGACGUGACAUAGUUUUUAUGUAUCCUGAUAAGUGCCACACGUCAGGGACGUUCUCAUGACAACUUUGAACAUUUUUUAUGACAAGUUUAGUUGCACGAGGAUGGCAAAUUUAAUUGACAAGCAUGAAAACAUUCAUGCUUUAUUUUAUUUUAAUAGAAACUUGUCGUGUGUCACUGAAAUUUGCCAUCCUUGGAUGACAAGAAUUGCCAUAAAAAAAGUCAGGCCCAAAGUGCAAAGCACCUGACGUGUAAGACCUAUCAUUUGGAUACUUUAUAUCUAAGAUAUUAUUUACCAUAACCAUAGCUGAGACAUUUGCCCCAAUGCAGGCGGGGCCGAUGAAAAGUCGAACCCCUUGCCAACCUACUGAAAAGGUGUACACGGUCUCCUUGGCGCCUCUAGGGAAAUAGCGCUCGUGCAAACGGUAUCCAGCUGCGUUAGCGCCGGCCCUGUCUGCCUCGUCUUCUGUCAACUUAGGGCUAUGCAAGCAUGGUGAAUCCCGGCCUUUGCAGCGGGAGGGCUUUGUUUUUUAUAUUUUUAUAAUUUUUUUUAGGGUUUGUGUUCUGUUUAGAGACGAGGCGGUGACUGCUCUCGAAAAAUGGAAUAAGAUUCUUCACGCCUAGCAUCUCGUUUUGGUGGUGCUUCUAGCGUAGUUGGAGGGCGAGUGAAAGUUUGUCUACGGGGAUCUCGCGGGAGUCGGUCGGCGUUUGUCUUAGGUGGAUCCACGUGAAUCUGGUCUUUGUUCGUGUGUCGACAGGUUGGAUAUUCCUGUCGACGCAUCUUUUCCACAACGGCGGUUCCUGUUUUGGUGGGUUGACCCUACAGGGAUUUAGCAUGAUGACUUUCUGACUGUCUAUUAUAGAAGUUUUGCCCAGCAUCAAUGAAGGAGGGGCGAUGACGAUGACGCGCCAUCUGCUUGAUUCUGUUUUUGUAAUCAUCCUUGGAUGGUCUACUGACCUAAAUAUAAUUUUUAUUAUUUCUAAUACUCAUUGUACUGUUGUGAUCGAUGAUGAUGAAUAGAUUAGAAGGUUUUCUCAAGAAAAAGAAAAAAAGACAUUUGCCUCAAUAUGGGUGACAUCUCCUGGCUUCUCCCGUUUUCUAUAUUUGAAGCCUACAAGUUCCUGGAAUUCAGCUCGGCCCGCCAAAACCAUCCCUUCUUCGCCCUCCUCCUAUUCCCUCCGCACCCCUUGUCCGAUCCAUCGCCAUUUGCAACCUCGCCAAGCCAGCCUCCUUUGCUCCGUAUCUGCCUACCAAUGCUGUCGUCGAUGUUCGGGACGCGGCCGGCGGGGGAGCCGGACCCGCCGGAGCCCAAGCCGGAGCCGUCGGGGCGGCAGCUCUCGGACGGGGACCUGCUGGAGGAGCUGGUUGCCACCGUGGGAGCCGCACAGGCGUUCCAGGAGUUCCGACGGUCGCACCGCAAGGAGUGCUUCAACCUGCUCCGCUGGCUCCAGCUCGUGCUCCCGCUCAUCGAGGAGCUCCAAGAGGCGUCCCCACCCCGCCCGCUCACCGACGACGCCCACCGCCGCCUCGCGCUCCUCAGCCGCGCCUUCCAGGCCGCCCGCCGCCUCCUCCGCUGCUGCCAUGACGGCAGCAAGAUCUUUCUCGUGCCUAAUCGAUCGCCUCUUCGAUCGCGUCUCGUCUCCUGCCGUCAAGGGAUUGCCGGGAUUUCUGAUUCGUCUCUGGUUUUCAUGGUCGCAGUCGCUGGAGAGCGAGGCGGUGCAGGGGAGGUUCCGGGCCGUGUACGAGAAGCCUCAAGGGGUAUGUGGCGACCAUCGGCAUGCGACUGAUCAGGAGGAGGAGCAGGCAUGUGAGUGGCCCUGCGAGAACCGCGGGGGCAGGACGAAAAUGUCACUUGCACACCACGCUCCUCCUCCUCCAUCUCUUCUUCAUAGUCAGAGCCCUGGAAGAAGAGGACCCUGUGAUCACAGCCCAUUUUCCAGCAUGCUUGUGUGGACGCAACUCCUCCUGAGAGUCAUCAGAACCACCACGACGAGAGGCGCGGGCAGAGGUACCCCCGGCAUCCUUGUGAGCGGUGUGCUUGAUUUUCACCAUCAUGGGACGAACCUCACAAGAUCAGGAAGUGGGGCGACGGAGAGGAGGGGAGGCCGCGGCGAUGCAGCUCCCCCAGGCGACGGUGAGGGAACAAUCACCCUCCAGGCGACACGGCAGUGGACUCAAUUGUGGGGAGGGGGAAAAGAGGAUUGGGCAAACGCUCGGCCUGACCCCAAAGUAUUUAUGUGAACCACGGUCGGAUGUCCGGGCACUGGUGGACGUGCCAGGCGACGGACCGCCGGAGAACCUCGGUCAUCCGAGACCUGGGGAGUGAUUUGGGCGGUGCACGAUUUCUGGACAAGCAACCGGACAGCCCAGUGACUCCGGACGACCGGAACCUGCGAGUCAUCAGACUUCCGAGAAGCGUCAGACGACCAGUGGCAAAAUUUUGGCAGAUAGCACACAAAAUAUCUAGAGGAACCAAAAUACAAGAAUGGGUAUAAGACAAAAUAGUAUGGUUAAUCAGACAUGUAAGAUACCACAUGGUAAGCAACUAAACAGACAUGAUAAGAAUCCCCAAACAUGAUUGGACAUCCUCUCUUUUGAGGAGAGUCGGUGCCCACUAGGCCACAAUGUGUGAGUAUAAGUGUCGUGAUGGCGCGAAGAUAGUGUCCUUGGGCUCAAUAACUACUCCAUCACUUGAAGUGCCAUAGUUCGAAGAACAUGAUAACUUUGAGAGUGUUUGUUUUAUUUAUGCAUUAUAUAGGGUGAGAGUACUCAUGAGUUGAGUGUCUCCCCCUAAACGUAUGCCUACAUCUACACAAGACAUGAAUAAAAUGCAUGGAUGGGUACUAGGUUUCACAUAAUGUUGUCUAGCUCCAAGAUACCAAGUUCACGCCUAAGUUGACAAAACCUUGCUUCAUCCAAUGGCUUGGUGAAAAUGUCUACAAGUUGCAUAUCUGUGCCAACAUGAGCAACAUCAAUAUCACCCUUUCCCACAUGAUCUCUUAAGAAAUGAUACCUAAUAUCAAUGUGCUUGGUGCGGGUAUGAUCUUUGAAUUCUUAGCAAUAAUGAUGGCACUUUCAUUAUCACAUAGAAGAGGCACAUGUCUAUAGGUGAUACUGUAAUCCUUCAAAGUUUGCCUCAUCCAUAUUAAUUGAGUUGCACAACUGGCGGUUGCAAUGUAUUCGGCUUCGGCAGCGGAGAGGGCAACACAAGUUUGUUUCUUCGAGGACCAACUUACCAAGGAGCGUCCAACAAAUUGACAUGCACCGGAGGUGGACUUAUGAUCCACUUUGUCUCUAGCCCAAUCCGCAUCCGUGUACCCAAUGAGAUCAAACUUAGCAUCCUUGGGGUGCCAUAUAGACCCAACUUUGUGGUGUGAACAAGGUAUCUAAGAAUAUGCUUAACCGUCUUAUGAUGACUUUUCCUAGGGGAAGCUUGAAAGCUAGCACACAUGGAUACACUGAACAUGAUGUCUGGUAUAGAUGCACAAAGAUAAAGCAACGAACCAAUCAUAGAGCAGUAAGUAGAUGUGUCGAAGGGAUACCAUUUGUGACUUCAGUGAUUACAAUUUUGGUUGGCAUGAGCGUCUUACAUGGACUAGCAUCAGACAUGCCAAACUUCUCUAGAAUAUCCUUGAGGUACUUUGCUUGAGAAAAUAAUAUUCCUUCUUGAAAUUGUUGAAUUUGGAAUCCGAGAAAGAACUUAAAAUCCGCAUUGAGUGACAUCUCAAAGUUCUUGGUCAUGGAAACCACAAACUUCUUGCACAAAUGAAUGUUAGGACAAUCAAAAAUGAUAUCAUCUACAUACAUUUGGCAUAAGAUCAAAUCAGCCUUGUCCCUCUUAGUAAAAAGAGUGGGAUCGAUCACCACUCUCACAAAACCAUCAUCAAGUAAAAACUUAAGAUGAUCAUACCAAGCACGAGGUGCUUGUUUGAGGCCAUACAAAGCCUUAUGAUGUUUAUACACAUAGUAUUUGUGAUCGGGAUCAACGAACCCAGGUGGUUGUAAUACAUAUACUUCUUCCUGUAGAGGACCAUUAAGGAAAGAACUCUUCACAUCCAUUUGAUGUAAUGUAAAACCAUUGAAAGCAGCAUCAGAAAGUACGAUGCACAUAGAUUCAAGACGGGCAAUGGGAGCAAAGGUCUCACCAAAGUCCAAACCUUCAACUUGUGAGUACCCUUGUGCCACUAACCUUGCCUUAUUGCGUAUGAUUACACCAUUCCCAUCUUGCUUGUUCUUGAAAAUCCAUUUUGUUCCAAUGACAUUGUGUUCCGUAGUUGGCCUCUUGACUAAUGACCACACUUGGUUGCAUCCAAAGAUGUUCAACUCUUCUUGCAUAGCAAUGAGCCAAUCGUUGUCCAUCAAUGAUUCUUGUACCUUGAGAGGCUCAACACUAGACACAAACGAGAAGUGAGCACAAAAGUUUGUCAAUUGUUUACGAGUGACUCUACCUUCUGAUAUGCCGGUGAUAAUUUUAUCAACAUCAACACGACUGGGCACAUGGGGCAUGAUGGAGGUUAGGGUUUCAUGAGUUUAACUUCAUGUCCAUCAUCCACAUCCUCAACAUAUGGAUCAUUAAUGUGUGGUGGAAGAUCUUCCUCUUCAUAUUGCAUUUGUUGAGGUUCAUCAUCAAUGAUUGCACUUUCUUGUUCUUGCACUAGGUGAUGAUCUUGCUCAUGGAGAUAAUCAUGAUGAGGGACUUGAUCAUCUUCUUGUUCUGCAACUAUGGGCAUUGGUUGAACAAUAGGAGCUUGUGAUGCUAUGGGUGUUGAAGUGGUUUGAUGAUGUGCGAAACUUCCAUCUUCUUCUUCAUCAUCAUGAGGUUCUUGUUCCAUGGGAAUAAGAGCACCAACACCCAUGGAGAAAAUAUCUUGAGACGAAUCUUCUUCACCUACAUAACUUAGAUCAACUUGCUCCCCAUGGGAGUCAUUAAAUUCAUCAAACACCACAUCACAAGUUUCUACAACACAUCCAUUGGAUUUGUUAUAGACUCUAUAGGCGUGAGAGUUUGAUCCAUAACCAACAAAUAUGACCUCAGUUGUUUUGGAUUGAAAUUUUCCUAACCGUUCUCUUUUGUUGAGUAUGAAACAUGUGCACCAUAAUACACGAAAAUACUUGACAUUUGGCUAUUUACCGGUUAGGAGCUCAUAUGGAGUCUUUUCCAAUAUUUUGCGGAGAAAGAGCCGGUUUGAUGCAUGGCAUGCGGUGUUGACAGCCUCGGCCCAAAAACUAUGUGGCGACUUGUAUUCAUCCAACAUGGACCUUGCCAUCUCCACAAGUGUACGAUUCUUCCUUUCUGCAACACUAUUUUGUUGAAGCAUGUAUGGUGCAUAAUAUUGAUGCUCAAUCCCUUCAUCACUAAGAAAUCCUUCCAAGGUGUAGUUCUUCAACUCGGAGCCAUUAUCACUUCUUAUUGCCAAGAUUUCUUUGUCAAACUUGUGUUGUGCUUUCUUGGCAAAAUAAUGAAGGUGAUCUUCGUCUCGUCCUUGGAAAUGAGGAAAAACAGCCAAGUAUAUCUUGAGUAAUCAUCAACAAUGACAAAUCCAUACUUUUUCCCAUGAAGACUAUCCCAUGAAAGAGGCCCAAAAAGAUCCACAUGAAGGAGCUCCAAAGGCCUUGAAGUAGACACGAUAUUCUUGGGUGGGUGCUUUGAUUGAUGUAGCUUCCCGGCUAUGCAUGCACUACACACAUGAUCUUUCUCAAAAGAGACAUUGGUUAGUCCAAGGAUGCGAUUACCCUUUAAGAGAUCUUGAAGAUUUCUCAUGCCGACAUGGUCUAGCCGGUGAUGCCAUAGCCACCCCUUGUUGGCCUUGGCCAUUAGACAAGUUGCAUGGAAUGUUCUCUCUUUCGAGAAAUCAACCAUGUAAAGUUUGCCAUCCAACUCUCCAACAAAGGCCACUUCGAGAGUAUCUCUCUUAAAGACUUUCACAUCUGUUAGUCUAAAGAGUGUAUCAAAGCGAACAGAAGCCAGUUGGCGAACGAAAAGCGAAUGGUAUUUAAGGGAUUGGACAAGCAUGCCAUUUGCAAGAGACAUGUCAUUUGUGAUAGCCACCUUGCCCAAACCGAGUACCUCUCCUUUUGAUCCUCCACCAAACAUAAUGCUCAUAAAUGGUUGAAUAGCUUCCAUGAAAUCGCAAAGCAAUGUGCUAUCUCCGGUCAUAUGAUUUGUGCAUCCACUAUCGAUCACCCAUUUUACUCCACCAGAGAAAGCAACCUACACACAAUUAUGACUUGGUUAGAGGCACCCAUUUUUCAAUGGGACCUCUCAAGUUAGUCACAAGGGUCUUAGGACCCAAAUAGGAUAGAACCGGAAUGUAUUCUGAGGACCAACAAUUUUGCAUAAACUUCUCCAUCCUUAGUUUUACGGAGUACAUAGGAUGGAGGCAUGAACUCUUUUGGCUUGUUGAGAGUGGACAUGCCCCUAGUGGCCUUCCCACUCACAACCUUACCUCUCUCCUUAUGUCCUUUUUAUGCAAACAUUUCUUUUAGAGGAGUGGUGCACUUUUGAGAUGACGUCUUCUUCUUGCUUGUGCUUGGGUCAAACCCGAGCCCCUCUUUGGAAAACACCUCAUAGUGUUGGCUCAAUACCUCAUUAAAAUUCUUUUGUCUUGAGCACAUGUCAUGAGUCCUUUCUCGAUUUGCGCCUGGAGAAAGCGAUUUUCCUCAAGAGUAGAUGGUAGGUCACCACUAGAGUUAGUAGUACAAGCAUCAACAUUGAUAAUAGGAGAAGAGUAAGCCUUGGCUAGAGUUUCAAGAUAGGUAAGCUUGAGUGUCUCAAAAAUCUUUGUAAGAAGAGUGAGCUCUUCUUCCUUAGUCUUGAGGGACACGGAUAGAAGCUCACAAUCCUUGGAGAGAGAAGCAUCAGACUCCACAAGCUUACUUUCAUCAUUCAUCAACUCCUCGCAAGAAUCCUUUGCCUUUUUCAAGGAGGCACGCUCUUUAGCAUGAACAUCAAGGUUAGCACCAAUUUUCAUGCAUAGUUCAUCAUUUCGGGCUUCCUCAUAUUGGACUUUCCACUCAAGGAUUUCAUAUUUUUCCUUUCCUCGGUGACGAUGGUUUUGAGUUCCUUAAUGGUGAUAGUGUGCUUACUCUCCAUUUCCAUAAGCAUACGAAACAUAGUGAGCUUCUUUCCUUUGAGGGAGCACAUGAAGUUAUUUAGUUUAGCAAGCAUAGGAUCAUCUAUAUCGUCAUCAUCAUAACUAUCCUCCGCAUCAAGAUACUCAUCACUAGGAGUAGAAGGAGUGAAGAGAUGAGGGUUUGAUCGUGGGGUUACCUUGACCUUGUCAGGAGAGUUUUGGUCCUCUCCAUCUUCUACCACGGCCUUUGCCAUUAGACACUUGUGAGCGUUGACCUUGUAGUCUUUCAUAUAGUCGUAGGUGACAACAUCACUACUCUUGUUGACUAGCCUCAAAGUGUUUUGAGAAUCUUGAGCAACUCCGGCAACACCACUAACAUCAUCUGUAUCGGAUUCUUCAUGAGCAACCAUUACUUUCCCAUCUCUCUUCUUGAGCUUGGAGUUCAAAGGAUUUGGAAACUUUUUCUUGGGAAAGGUCUUAGGAGACCUUGGUUUAUCUUCUCUCUUCUCAUAAGGGCAAUCGUUUGAGAAGUGAUUGGUUUCUUCACAGUUGUAGCAUUUUCUCACUUUCUUCUUCUGGAAUCUUCCCUUAAAUUUUCCCGCGCUAAACUUCUUGACAAAGAGAGCAAUGUCUUCAUAUGAAGGGCUCUUGUCGGAGUCAAUCUCAUCACCAUCUUCUUCUUCACUUUGCUCUUCUUCACAUACAUACUUGGCCUUCAAUGCAAGAUUGAUCUUUGAUGUUGGGGUACCGUGCAUGACAAGAUGUUUUGUGGCAUUUGCCAUUGAUUCUUCAAAUAGUUUGAACAUGGAUAUGAUGUCAUCCAGGGUCAUUUCCUUGAAUCCAUGGUGUUGUCUUAUGUACCAUACCAUUUGGUGAUGAUAUGGAGCAAGAGCAUGAAGCAACUUGUCCACGAGAAAUCCCUUAGUCAAGUUGAAUCCAUCUUGUGUCUUGUCACAAUCACAAGACUCGAUGUCGGCGGUGAGAGUCAUGAGAUGUUCAAGGAGCUGCAUGGGGGAUUCACCAUUAUCCAUAAUUUUUUUUUGCAAUUUACCCUUGGCAAUUUCAUAUUGAGCAAGCCGGAGUGUGGAGGUGCCGGUCUUGGUACUCACAAUGCUAUCCCAUAAUUCCUUGGCACUUGUGAUGUGUAUGUAUGCUCUCCUUUGCUUGUCAGUCAUACCUCUCCUUGUGCACAUGAUUGCGGUCUCAUUGAGAUUCUUUUCAUAUACUUCUCUUGGUGUAAGAUUCUUCGGGUCUACAACUUGAUAACCAUACUUCAAGAUCUCCAACAUCUCGUCAUUUCCAUAUCGAAGAUGAUCCUGCAUAGCAACUCUCCACAAAGUAAAAUCGGUUGUGUCAUCAAGUAAAGGAGGUUUGCCUUGAGGUUUAUAUGUUGGUUUCUCUACUUGAGUCUUGCAUAAAGCCAAGGAACACUGGAGUGUUCAUUAGUAGGAGGUUGUUGGCCAAGUGAAGGAGUAGGCACAGUUGGCCUCGAGGGUGCACCACCAGAAAGUGGUGCAAGCAUCGUGGUCAAUGUGGCUAGUCUCAUUUGGACCAAGGACUCAAGAGAAGAAUCAUGCUCCUCCUUUUGCUUAGCAAGCGCCCGUUCCAGGUCCCCAGAAGUGAAGGACUUGUCUUCCGUGGAAGCCGCGCCCUUCUCCUGCGGAUCCGCAACAAGGGGAGUCCCAUCGGGGUUCAUCUCGCUCUAGAGCGGUUAAGCCACAAGAAUAGAGCACAAGGCUCCGAUACCAAUUGAAAGGAUCGAAAUGGACCUAGAGGGGGGUGAAUAGGUACAAUUACAAAUUUUAAUUAUUACUUAGCAAUUUUAGGCAAUAAAGCAGAAUCUAAAAGUGAUCCUAACAAGUGUAAGUAAGAUGCUAAGAGCUAAGCAAGGUAAACAAGUAACACAAGUAUGUGAGUAAGCAAACACAAUAUGAUAUAUGUAAGGCCUAAGAGACAAGUAACCACAAGUAGGAAGUUAGGGUUAGGGAUAACCGCAACUUCGAGAGACGAGGAUGUAUGCCGAUGUUCACUUCCUUGGAGGGAAGCUACGUCACUGUUAGAGAGGUGGAUGUUACCACGAAGGCACACCAACGCCAUGAAGGCUCACCCUAUUCUCCCUUGAGACAAAACCACGAAGGUGUUUCUCAAUGACUAGUGGUAUACCUUGGGGUGAUCUCCAAACCCUCACAAACUUUCCGGGGGUGAUCACAAUGAACAAUUCCUCUCCGAAUACUCCUACUGCCUAGGAGUCUCCAACCUCCAAGAGUAACAAGAACAAUGGGGAAAAUCUCAAGACUUGCUCAAAUCACGAAUUCCUUUGGUGCAAAGAGGGGGAAGGAGUGGAUCUAUCACUUGGGUAGACAACUUCUCUCAAUUGGCCUCAAUCCCUUGGGGAUCUAAGAUUUGGUAUUGGAGAUUGAGAGAGAGAGUGAAAUGUGUUCUGAGGAUGUUUGAAGUGAAUGGUCAACCCUCUCACGGGAUAGGAGAGAGAUAUUUAUAAGUGGCCGUUGGAGCCCAAAACAGCACAACAGCGUCAGACAUCCGAUGCACAAUGGAUGACCGAAGUCUCGGCAGACACCAGACGUCCGACAAGGAUCGGACGUCCGAUGUUUUGGCACGGUAUAGUUGGUACCAGAUGACCGGAGAAUCCCGGACAUCCGAUUUUUAGGCUCGGUGGAGAAGUUACUGGGCGAUUGAAGUAUAUCGAAUGACCGAUGUUUUGCCACUAUAUAGAAUAUACCGGAUGACCGAAGGGUUCCGGACAUCCGAUGUUUUGGUUCUGAUGGAAGAUUGUCGGACAUCCGUUGUGCACCGGAUGUCCAAUGUUUUGGUUUUGAUGAAAGAUUGCCAAACGUCCGGUGAAUGUUGGACGUUCGAUGUUUUGGCUUUGUAUAGGAGAAGUCGGACGUCUGGUGAGUACCGGUCGUCCAACAGAGAUGAAGACUAGAUAAUGAGCUUGAAGUAGAUAUUGAGCAAGACUCUCACAAGACCCCAUGUUCCCCUCUUAAUAGUGUGGGAUCCCUAUACUCAAGAAUAAACAUAAAUUUAGUCUUGUUUCUUCGUUCUUGAUGAAGUUAAAUAUUUCCUAACUCGUAGUCCACACACACAAUGGAUUCUGAGGGGAUUAAAACCUGAGAUAUACUUGACAAACUUUGUUAGUCCCCUAUGAGUAUAUUGUCAUCAACAUCAAAAUAAAAUUAAGGGCAUGAUUGCACUUUCACUUGGGCCGUCCAACCCCCCAUGUAUUAGCGCAUCGGGUCAGGGAUGCGGCAGGGACAGCGGUGGCACUCAGCGCGGUAGCGACUAUGACAGCGACAACGAUGACUACACCUGGUUCUACAGGCUCCUCGGCACGUAGAAGGCGGGAAGCGGCGGCGACAUAGUAGUGCUAGACGUAGUUCUCGUUCUUAAGUUACUUUAAUUUUUGUUUUCAAGUUUUUGUACAAAUGUCAAUGAAAUCGCCUAGUUUGGACGAAUUUGUGUCCUGUUUGGUCAAUUUUCUUUUUCAAAAAACAACGUCUGGGGCGACCUGGGGGCAGUGGCCGAGAACCCGAUCGGCCCCGUACCGAAAUUAUUGCCUGUUCACCUCUAGGCGGCGCUAUUUCUAGCCCAUGGGGGGUCAAAUGGCUGAAACAGGCUCCUCCUGCAUUGCAUGCUCGACUUGGCUCGGUUCUUUGACAUCUUGGAUUUGCUCCGUCCACUACUGACACACCUCUGUUCAUGUUCCAUCGUCCUGAGGUUACUAUGUACCUACUGGUUUAUGUUGAUGACAUUAUUCUUAUUAGCUCCUUAGUGACUGCCGCUGAUCAUCUGCUGUCUGCUCUAAGUGGUCGUUCUGCCGUCAAGGAUCUAGGUGCUCUCCAUUACUUCCUUGGUCUGGAAGUUUCACGGUCCCCUGCUAGCCCGACUCUCACUUAGCAUGAGUAUUCCUUGGACUUGUUGCGACAUGCUGGUACGUUGCAAUGCAAGCAUCCUACCACCCCUAUGUCUGCGACUGAUCGGUUAUCAACCUUGGAUAGUGCCUUGCUUCCUUCAGACAACCCUACAGAGUACCGCAGUAUUAUUAGUGGCUUGCAGUACUUGAAUAUCACACGACCGGAUAUCUCCAAUGCAGUCAACCGUGUGUGCCAGUAUCUUCAUGCUCCUCGUACUUCACACUACUCAUCUGUGAAGCAUAUACUACGUUAUCUCUCUCAUACCGUCUCCUAUGGCUUGCAUCUUUGGUCUACCUCCUCGAGUGUUCUCUCGGCAUUCUCUGAUGCAGAUUGGGUUGGGAGCCUAGAUGACCGGCGAUCAACGAGGGGCUAUCCUGUCUUUUUUUAUCGCAACCUGAUUGUCUAGAGUGCAAGGAAGAAGGCUACAGUAUCUUGGAGUGGCACUGAAGCAGAUUACAAGGCGGUUGCCAAUCCCACGACUGAGCUUAUUUGGGUACACAACCUCUCAAGAGUUGGGAGUCUCUCAAGAACAGCCACCGGUUCUUUGGUGUGAUAAUAUUGGUGUGACGUAUCUUUGAUCUAAUCUAGUUUUUCAUGCUCGUCCCAAGCACGGAGAAGUUUAAUAUCACUUCGUGAGGGAACGUGUUGCACAAAAGCUUCUUCAUAUCAAGUUCAUAUCCUCCAAAGAUCAACUUGCUGACAUCUUCAUGAAGCGACUUCCACAACCUCAGUUUGAAGGAUUUAGGCUCAAUCUUUACUUCCUUUGUACUUAAGGACACAGUUAAGCACUAGUGGAAAAAAGCCUAACUAUGGCGUGGCAAAUAGUACCUUGCUGGCGUAGACACCCAACCACUACUAGGGAAAACCUUAUACACAUAAUCUUACCAACAACGCGGUUUAAAAUAAGGCGCUACUGCUACUUAGCAGUAGCGUGUGGCAACAAACCACGCUACUGAUAUCUGCAUAGCAGUAGCGCGUUAGGAGGAAACAACGCUACUACUACAGUUGCCACGACUUUGCCGCGCUAGGUCCUAGGUAUUAAGAACAAUUAGUUAGUGUUGAUUAUAUAUGACUAUGAUGAUGAUGAGAAGUUUUUAUUAUGGCUACAAUGUGUUAGAGUUGAUGAUGAUGAGGAGGAGGAGGAGAUGUUAUUAUGAGUACUGUGAUCAUGAUGAGGAGGAUUUGUUAUUAUAACUAGUGACCAAGUUGUUAUAUGAUGUCUCAUGGAUGGAAAAGAUGAUGAGGAGUUGUUAUAUGAAAAUGAUGUAUUAUAAUGAUAAGUUGUUAAUGAUAUUAUGAUGAUGAUGAUGAUGAUGAGUUAUUACAUCAUUGGGUGAAAGAACCGUGGAUUAGUUUCAAGUUGAUGGAUCCAAUUUGACCAUUUGUCACUUUGGAUCAAUCCACUUGAAACUAAUUCGUGGUUCAUGGUCACUUUGGAUACAUUCACUUGAAACUAAUCCGCGGUUCUUUCACCCAAUGAUGUCAACUCAUUAUGAUGUAAAACCAAACUCUAAAUUGCUAUUGUAUGAAAACUUGUGUAAUGGUGUAUGAAUACGACAUAAAACAAAAAAGAAAUAGAAUACGUAAUAAUAGUAGUAGCGCAGUUAGAGAGCAGCGCUGCUAGUAACUUCCAGUAGCGCAUUGUACCAAAAGUGCUACUUCUAUGUAUGUAUAACAGUAGCGCGGGAAAACCCACGCAGCUGCUACACUUUAGUUGUAGUGCUGUAGAAGUACUGCUAGGAUUUUUACUAGUGUACGCCACAAACAUGGUGCCAUUGUUAAGAUAUAGUGGUGGUGUAGGUUGACACAUCAGUAGUAUCGUACAUCGUGCUCGCGUGUAACCAGUGCAGCGCCAGCACUAAGUUCAUCAUAACUCUAGCGACCCUACUUGUCCAAUACCAGCAAAUGAUUUUUUUGGUAAUAAUUUUUUCUCAACACUAUCUACUUACUUAAUAGAUACUAUUGAACACAAUAAACUCAUCAACACUAGGUACUUAAUUAAUAGACUGUCAUUACAGAAGAGGCUUGAGAACUCAACAAGUUGAUAUUAAUUAAACUUCACAAAAGUUGCUCACUCAAGUACUCUAGUUACUCGAUCAUCAUCAAAUAAUAAGAUGAACUAGUCUUCAUCAAGGAGUAUACCCAGAUGGAGAAGCUUCUUUCUAUCCCCCUCUCCUUCUCUUUCGAAAUGAUCUAUGUCCAUCUUGAGGUCAAUCCUCUCAUUCAUGAGGUGUCUCAUCUCCUCCUUCAGUUUAUCCCGAUCCUCGACGAGCUUAUCCCUCUUGUCCCUAAGCUGAUUAGUCUCCUGAAUGGGCCGAACAUUCUCCUUGUGUAGUUGUUUAAUCUCCCCCUUGAGCUCGUCAUUUGCCCCUUGCAUGCUCUUGAUGACAUACUCAUAAGUGUUUAAGAAUUCAUUGUUGGCCAUGUCCACAUCGCACACCGACUCGUUGUUACCUCCAGAAUUGGUCGUGACCUACAAACAGAAUGCGUAUACGAUCAAGAUAAUAUGCAACUUCAUAUCACUGAAUAAAUAUUGCAAUGUAUAGAACUAAUUAAACUAGAUAGCAGGUAUAGAACUAAUUAAACUAGAUAGCAAUGUAAUGUGUAGAACUAUUGGACUGUGACUACAUUUGCCACACUAUUUUGCCACACCUAACUUGGAACAUUACUUUCGAGUGGAAAUUUUCUUUGGACAAUCAACUAUUUUGCCACACCUAACUUGGAGCAUUACUUUCCAGUGGAAAUUUUCAUUGGUGAAAAAGUAGUACACAACAGAUUUUCCCCAAGGUAUUUAUGGAUUACAGUAGCAACUCAAACACUUUGUUUUAGAAUUUAAAAUGCUUCCAAAGAUGAUGACUCAAAAAAUAUAUCUACCUUACACUACACUAGGGAAAACCCUAGUAGUAUAGCGCUUGAAAUAUGCAUAGCAGUAGCGUUGGGUCCAGUGCUACUGCUAUCGCGCUACAUCUAAACCCUAGUAGUAGCGCUGGUAUGGGCAGCGCUACUGGUAAGUUGUAGCGACCAGACCUCAAACGGUCCGAUCUCUAUGCUUCAGUGUCAUCCCUGGAUUAGUAAUGCUGACACGCAUAGUACUUGAAGGAUUUAUAACAGAGUGGCAAUCACACACUUAUUACAACGAAUGUCUCAAAAGAGAACUUAUUACAAUAAAUAUGGCUUAAGGCCAUCUAAUAAAGAUAACAAUGGAAGGUUUGGAAGAUAAGUGAGUCCAUCAACUCCAAUGUCAUCACUGAGCAUAAGACCACGAUCCUAAGGCAUCUUACUUGUCGUCUGAAAAGUCUGCAACAUGAAUGUUGCAUCCCGGAAACGGGUCAGCACAUGGAAUGUGCUGGCAAUGUAACACAUAGAGAGUAAUGAACAUAAUAAUGCUAUCACUACAUGCAUAUAUGGCUGGUGGAGAACUCUAUGGUUACAGUUUUGCAUAAAUCUAAUUUUUCCCUACAACAAAGGAAUAAAUUUUAUUUAACUAUCAUGGUGAUUGUUAAACAUUGAGAAGGUAGACACCCUCUCAAUCCCAAUUAAGCAUCAUCGUUAAACCCAACAAAUUAAAUUAAAGUAACAUGAUGAGAUUCACAUGAUAAUCCAAGUACUAGAUACUCAAAACGUCUAUAAUCGGGGACACAACUAACCAUGAUUACUUUGUACACUCUGUAGAGGUCUGCGCACUUUUCCCCACAAGACUCGAUCUCCUCCGUUGGAUUUCUCGCACUACAAGGUGUUUGAGAAACGGAUGACCGAGACAUGGUCUUUCAGAAGCGUUUGCACCUUACGAUCGGGUAGAAAGUUACACCUACUUUCCCCUACAUCUGCUAGUCUACCACUGUAAGUGUUCACACGACUUAAUCAACUAUGCUAGAGCCCAUAGUAUCUUGUGGCUGCACAUGGAAGUUUCUAGCAUGAAUAAUCUCAUGAUCUGUUUGAGCCUGGGUGGCGGUCCAAAAAAACAGGCAAUCGCUGGAAUACCCAGGUGCCUCAAUCCACCCAGAUGUGUAUUAAAGUUGCCACCUUAAAUAAACCAUUUAAUAAUAAUCUCACAUCUAUCAUGGAUUCACUCACCCAACCCACGUCUACUAGCAUAUCAUAGCAAUAAAAGCAAAUGUAGAAGUAACUCCCAAAGGUUUGAUGAUAAAACAGGUAAUAGGUACUAUCUCAUCUACUUCUGAAAACCCACAUAUUAAUUAGAUCCUAAUCAUGCAACUUUUUGACGAUGGAUCUAAUGCAAUAAAACUGGGUAGUAAAGAGGUAUGAUCAAAGUGUUACUUGCCUUGAUGAUGAUCCGUGAAACCUAGAGAUUCGAAGUAGCAAGCGGCGCACUCCGGGUACUCUAUCGCAAACAAACAAACAAGCAUACAAUAAGUACUCAACUAAUGCAUAGGUAAAACUCAAAUAAGAGAUCUAACCAGAAAGUGCAACUUAAGAACUCCGGUUUGCAAAAAGAAUCAAAUCAAACGAACCAACGAAACUCAAACGGCGAAAGAACCAAGCUUCAUUUAAUAAUCUAGACCUAAGUCCAAAUUUUACAGUAGCCAAAACUUGUUUGAGUUGGUUAAACAGAAAGAGGGUUUCGAGACGAAACUCUAGGCGCUUGAAUCGCCUGAUUCCGAUAAACGAGCGAAAAGAUAAACUAAAAUGAAAAUCGGACCAGAAAUCACAAUCUAGAAUAAUCGCGGAAAAUCCGAGAAAAAUAAAAACUGACGAACAGUCUAACGGACAGACCUUCAUUGACUUCAACUAAACGACGAAACUCAUCUGUUAAAAUGAACGAUCGAGCGAACGCUCGCUAAAUAAAUAUACCGGAAGAAAAAUAAAAAAACCGAUCUAAAAAAAACGAACCAGUUUUCUCUAGAAAAACGGAGCGGCGGCGGGCGGCUACCUCGUCGGAACUCCGACGGGGUCCGGCGGCUUCCGCGGGUCCCGGUGGCGGCGGGGCUCCAGGCGGCGGCGGGAGGCGGUGGCGGCAGCGGCGAACGGCGGCGGCGGCGCGAACGUCGACGGCGGCGCGAACGGCGGAGGCGGGAGGCAAGGUGGAUUGGGUGGCGAGGUGGGGCUGGCGACGGUGGUAUUUAUAGGAGGGGGGCGACAGUGGCUUGGGGAAGAGGGCACCUGGGUCGGGGUCGGCCUCAGGAGGCGUGCUCCGGCCGGACUCGGCGGCGGCGGCGGGGAGGACUUCCCUCCCGCGAGGAAGGCGGCGGCGGCGCGGGCCUGGCCCGGCUCGGCUGGGCCUUCGCCCAGUCGGGCGCGCAGAACUUUUUUUUUAAAAUAAAUUCCGCAGAAACUAAGAAAAUUCUAGAAAAUAAAAUAAAAUUCUAAAAAUGCAAAAAAAAAUUUCACCGUCUAAAUAAAAUAUUUAGGACGAGAUGAACAUUUUCUUGGCCCUCAAAUGCAGUUUUGAAAAACGUGCAAUUUUUCCUAAAUUCAAAUAAAAUAGCGAAAAACUCCGAAAUAAAAUCUUAUUUGAUUUUUUUAUUAAAUCCUCAAUAUUUCUUUAUUUUUCGGAAGUCAUUUUUUCCCUCUCUCUUAUUUUUAUAAUCGAAAUAAUUGAAGAUAAAAUAAAUAAAAUCAAAUGAUCCUAUUUUCAAAAUUUGAGAAAAAUCAAAUAUGAAAAUAACGAAAUUCCCAACUCUCUCCAAGGGUCCUCGAGUUGCGUAAAAUUUCUAGGAUCAAGCCAAAAAGCAAUAAAAUAUGAUAUGCAAUGAUGAUCUAAUGUAUAACAUUCCAAAUUGAAAAUUUGGGAUGUUACAAAUCUACCCCCCUUAAGAUGAAUCUCGUCCUCGAGAUUCGGGUUGGCUAGCAAAUAGGUGAUGGUGGUCCUUCAGCAGAUCUUCCUCUCUCUCCCAUGUGGCUUCAUCCUCGAUGUGGUGGCUCCACUAAACUUUGCAAAACUUGAUAACCUUGUUGCGUGUGACUCGGUUGGCAAAUUCGAGAAUUUUGACUGGUUUCUCCUCAUAGGUCAAAUCAUUAUCCAACUGAAUCGCUUCCAGGGGCACUGUAUCUCUUAGCGGUAUAUCAGCCAUCUCUGAGUGCCAAUUCUUCAACUGGGAAACCUGGAACACAACAUGAACUCCUGACAAUCCUUCUGGCAAUUCCAACUUGUACGCAACUUCUCCCACGCGCUCCAAAACUUUUUAUGGUGCCACAAAAUGUGGCGCUAACUUCCCCUUAACUCCAAAGCGCUUAACUCCUCGAAGUGGAGAUACACGAAGAUAAACUCUGUCUCUGACUUCGUAAACUGCCUCCUUGCAUUUAGAAUCCACAUAGCUCUUUUGCCUGGACUGGGCUACCUUGAGCCUUUCGCGAAUCAACUUCACCUUCUGUUCAGACUCCUUAAUCAAAUCUGGUCCAAACAAUUGGCGAUCUCCAACUUCAUCCCACAACAAUGGGGUCCUGCACCUUCUUCCGUACAAGGCUUCGAAAGGGGCCAUCUUCAAACUGGAUUGAUAACUGUUGUUGGAAGAGAACUCUGCAUAAGGCAAAUUCUUGUCCCAACUAGACCCAUAAUCUAGCGCACAAGCUCUCAGCAUAUCCUCCAAAAUCUGAUUGAAUCUCUCGGUCUGUCCAUCUGUCUGCGGAUGAAAGGUUGUACUGAUCUCUAGCCUGGUACCCAAAGUUUCAUGCAACUGAUUCCAGAACUUUGAGGUAAACUGGGUUCCUCUAUCUGAUACGAUGCUCCUCGGAACUCCAUGCAUACAUACGAUCAUGGUCAUGUAUAUCUUUGCCAACUUAUCACUUGUAUAAGUGGUCUUCACUGGGAUGAAAUGACCUACCUUCGUCAAACAAUCGACUACAACCCAAAUCGAGUCAUAGCCUGAACGAGUCCUGGGCAAUCCUGUGAUAAAAUUCAUUCCUAGUUUAUCCCACUUCCAUUCGGGUAUCGGCAAUGGCUGUAGCAAUCCUGCUGGCUUAUGAUGUUCUGCCUUCACUCUCUGACAUACAUCACAAACUGCUACGUACUCCACAAUAUCCUUCUUCAUUCCGGUCCACCAGAAAGUGUCCUUCAAAUCCAGAUACAUCUUGGUAUUUCCUGGGUGAAUCGAGUAUGGCGAAUCAUGGGCCUCUUGUAGAAUCAACUUCCUGAUCUCCGGGUCAUUAGGCACAUAAACGCGGUCCUCAAACCAUAAGGUAUCGUGCUCAUCCUCACUAAAUCCUUUAGCUUUUCCUUUGCUCAUCCUCUCCUUUAUAGUGGCAAUCUCCUUGUCAGUCUUCUGAGCUUCUCUGAUCUUAUCCAUCAAAGUCGACUGAAUCUCCAAUGCUGCAACAUAGCCUCUCGGGACUAUCUCCAAAUAUAGCUCACGAAGAUCCUCAGCUAACUCCUUUGGUAACUCUCCAGUCAUGAGGGUGUUGACAUGGCUCUUGUGGCUCAACGCAUCGGCUACUACAUUAGCCUUUCCGGGGUGAUAAUGCAAUCUCAUAUCAUAAUCCUCGAUGAGCUCCAACCAUCUUCUUUGCCUGAGAUUCAACUCCUUUUGCGUGAAAAUGUACUUCAAACUCUUAUGAUCCGUGUACACCUCACAAUGGUUUGUAAUGAGAAAAUGUCUCCAUGCCUUCAAUGCAUGCACAACGGCUGCUAACUCCAAAGCAUGUGUAGCAUAAUUCAACUCAUGGGGCUUAAGCUGUCGUGAGGCAUACGAAACAACUCUUCCCUCUUGCAUAAGCACUGCUCCAAGUCCUCAACAUGAAGCGUUUCAAUACACUUCAUAAUCCUUGCGCUGAUCUGGCAGAAUCAACACGAGUGAUGUAACCAAAUGUUUCUUCUACUCCUGGAAACUGGCCACACAUUCCUCAGUCCACUUGAACUUGGUGUCCUUCUUCAACAACUCCGCCAUGGGCUUUGCAAUUUUUGAGAAAUUCUCAAUGAAUCUCCGGUAGUAUCCUGCAAGUCCAAGAAAACUUCCGAUCUCUCCAACUGUUGUUGGUGCUUUCCAAUUUGUCACUGUGACAACUUUGGUGGGAUCUACUGCUAUUCCUUCUCCAGAUAUAACAUGUCCGAAGAAUCCAACUUCCUUCAACCAAAACUCACAUUUGCUGAACUUGGUAUAUAACUGAUGUUCUCUGAGCUUCCCAAGUACCAAACGCAAAUGCUCCUUAUGCUCUUCUUCAUUCUUCGAGUAGACCAAGAUAUCAUCAAUGAACACUACGACGAACUUAUCCAGAAACUCCAUAAACACCUUGUUCAUCAUGUUCAUGAAAUAGGCAGGUGUGUUAGUCAGACCAAAUGACAUAACGGUAUACUCAUACAGCCCGUACCUGGUGGUAAAAGUUGUCUUAGGUAUAUCGUGCUCUCUAAUCUUCAACUGGUGGUAUCCUGAUCGCAGAUCGAUCUUGGAAAAUACCUUAACUAUUUGCAAUUGGUCAAACAAGUCAUUGAUCAUCGGCAGUGGGUACUUGUUCUUGAUUGUUACUUCAUUCAAUCCUCGAUAAUCAACAACCAUCCUCAAUGAUCCAUCCUUCUUCUCCACUAGAAGCACUGGCGAGCCCCAAGGUGAAGAACUUGGGCAAAUAUAACCUUUAUCCAAUAACUCCUUGAUUUGCUUCUUAAUUUCCUCCAAAUCUUUUGCGGGCAUCCUGUACGGUCUAUUAGCAAUUGGACCUGUGCCUGGAAAAAGCUCAAUCAAAAACUCACUGUCUCUAUCUGGUGGCAUGCCUGGCAAUUCUUCCGGAAAUACAUCGGGAAAAUCUUUCACCACUGGUACUUCCUCCUGUACAACUCCUGAUAAGGAAUUUACGUGCGUCCUCUUUGGCUCGUGCCGUGAUACAUACUUGAUCCUUCUCCCUUCUGGGGUGGUAAGCAAAAUCGACUUACUGGCGCAAUCGUUGUUUCCUCCAUUCAUCGAUAGCCAAUCCAUACCCAGAAUCACAUCCAAACCUUGCGAUUCUAAAAUGAUUAAAUCCGAGGGGAAGACAUGCCUACGUAUACUCAAUGGCACUUGAAAACAUCCUCGACUGGCCAUAUAGUCCGCUCAUGGUGAGCUUACUAACAUAGGUGUUCUAAGAACCUUGGUGGGAAGUUUAUACUUAUCCACAAAUCCCCUUGAUAUGUAUGAAUGCGAUGCACCAGUAUCAAAAAGAACGAGUGUAGUAAAUGACUUAACCAAAAACUUACCUAUUACUGCAUCUGGCUGAGCUUCAACCUCCACCACGUUUACGUGGUUCACCUGUCCCUUGUUGAAAGGGUUCGGCUUCUUCCCAGAGCUUCCAUUGCCAUUUCCAUUCUGGGCUUCAGGACAUUCAUUGGCAUAAUGUCCAGUCUUCUGACAAUUGUAGCAAGUGACUUGGCUCAGAUCUCUCUUGGCUAGGGUUGAUGGGUUGGUACGUUUAUGGCCGUUGCUUCCUCCAUUCUCAUUCCCAUUCUUGAGGCCAUUAUGAUUGUGCGAACUCCCUCCUCCAUGGGUAUGUUGAAAAUGUCCUCCCGAUUUCGGGGUAAAACAUGGCUUCUGCUAAGCUCCAGAAUUGUACUUCCCUUGUCCAUACUUCCUCUUGUGAUUGUCAAUCUGCUGCUGCUUCCCUUCAAUCAUAAGAGCUCUAUCUACCAACUCCUGGUAGUUGUUGAAGGUUGCUAUCAUUAACUGCAUGCUCAGCUCAUCAUUCAGUCCUUCCAGAAACUUCUCCUUCUUAGCUGCAUCUGUAGAAACGUCAUCUGGGGCAUAACGUGCUAGCUUACUAAAGUCAUCCACAUACUGGCCAACUGUACGUCCUCAUUGGCACAAGUUGCAAAACUCACGCUUCUUCAUGGCGAUAGCUCCUGCCGAAACAUGUGACAGUGUCGAUAGGGUAUGUGGCUGUAAAAUUCUCCCACCAUGAUUCUGCGGGUCCAUCAAGCUGAUGUGCGGCAAAACGCACCUUCUCCGCAUCUGUGCAUCCUGCAGUGGUUAACUCCCUUCCCAUCUUGCGGAUCCAAUCAUCUGCAACUAUCGGCUCGGUGCUACUGGAAAACACCGGUGGAUUAAGCCUCAAGAAAUGGGCUAAGUGAUCAACAGGUGGUGGUGGUGGUGGGUUGUUGUUGUUCCCCUGAUUCUGGUUCCGGAGUAGUAACUGCAUCAAUGCAUUCUGCUGCUGGAUCAACUGGGUGAGCUUCAGUGGGAAAGCAAAUCCAUUGUCACGUCUCGGAGGCAUCUAACGAUUUAGAAAAAAUGAUAAUAUAUAAUAGAAUGAGCCCUAGAAGGAAAACACUACCCAUAUGCACAUGAGACAAAUGCAAGCAGUAUCACUUCAAGCAAAAUCAAAAAAGGGCAUACAACGGUCUAGCUAAUCGUUUCAAAAGUGCUCAGACUAUACUAUAUACAUGGGGGAAUACUACUACUGUUUAUGGUGGUCGACGAGAAAAACUGCUCCGAUGAAGACUCCAUGAUAUCUGCUCCAGCUUCGUCAACAUAGUCAUCAUCGCUAUUGUCUGGGUCCGAAUUGGUGUCGUCGAUGAUGAUGUAGUUCUCCGGAAAAGUGCAAUCAUCGUCUUCUCCUCUAGUCGCGGAAAAUCUCAUGAAUACUUUUAGCUUCUUCUUCAGAUCAUCAUUCUUCUCCACAAGCGUUGCUAUUUCCUCCUCAUAUCCAUCGCGUGUAGACUUGAGUUCUUCCUCCAGUUCCAUGAUCUUGGUCAGAGCCUUCUUCAGAUCUACCAUGCUUGCGCACAUCUGGUUCUCCUGGCGACGAAUGUGCUGGUUUCACUCCUGGAUGAAAGCUGCAAUUGAUCUAUCCUUCCUGGUGCUGAUCAUCUCCCAUUGCUCAUCUCGGCGCCCAGAAAUCAGGUAGAUAGUAUCCUUGAGAUCCUUGUGGUAAACUUCUCCAAUGUGUCCCAUGGUGAUGUGAGCUGCCAUGCUCUUUCCUAAACUCUAGGUUUGUGCAUCAAAGGAAAACUCUAUGGGUUCAGUGACGUGCAUGAACGUCCUUCCUGGAAAUUGAACUUGAAUCAUCCAACGCUCCUCUUCUGGUAAAGUGGCGUUGUAGGUCCCGAUGAAGCUUGGUACUCCGAUGUUCACGACUUAGUGACUUCCUUCAAGUGGCGUCCAAAGGGUGUAUCUUCAUCCGGUUGCAUGAACUUGCUCCUUGCAUCCGCCAUCCUAAAAGAAUAUAAUAGAUGAGGAAUCAGAAAUGACAAGAGUGAGUAAUGAUCUAGGGCUUUUAGCUUAGUGGUCGUGUCCUACAGUCAGCAUGUGCUUUUAUACCAUCUUGUAGCGACCCGACCUCUGUGCUUCAGUGUCAUCCCUGGAUCAGUAAUGCUGACACGCAUCGUACUUGAAGGAUUUAUAACAGAGUGGCAAUCACACACUUAUUACAACGAAUGUCUCAAAAGAGAACUUACUACAAUAAAUAUGGCUUGAGGCCAUCUAAUAAAGAUAACAACGGAAGACUUGGAAGAUAAGUGAGUCCAUCAACUCCAACGGCAUCACUGAGUAUAAGACCACGAUCCUAAGGCAUUUUACUCAUCGUCUGAAAAUUCUGCAACAUGAAUGUUGCAGCCCGUAAACGGGUCAGCACAUGGUACAUGCUGGCAAUGUAACACAUAGAGAGUAAUGAACAUAAUAGUGCUAUCACUACAUGCAUAUAUGGCUAGUGGAAAACUCUAUGGUUACAGUUUUUCAUCAAACCAAUUUUUCCCUACAACAAAGGAAUAAAUUUUAUUUAACUAUCAUGGUGGUUGUUAAACAAUGAGAAGGUAGACACCCUCUCAAUCCCAAUUAAGCAUCAUCAUUAAACCCAACAAAUUAAAUUAAAGUAACAUGAUGAGAUUCACAUGAUAAUCCAAGUACUAGAUACUCAAAACGUCCAUAACCGGGGACACGGCUAACCAUGAUUUGUUUGUACACUCUGCAGAGGUUUGCGCACUUUUCCACACAAGACUCGAUCUCGUCCGUUGGAUUUCUCGCACUACAAGGUGUUUGAGAAACGGAUGACCGAGACAUAUUCUUUCAGAAGCGUUUGCACCUUACGAUCGGGUAGACAGUUACACCUACUUUCCCCCACAUCUGCUAGUCUACCACUGUAAGAGUUCACACGACUUAAUCAACUAUGCUAGAGCCCACAGUAGCUUGUGGCUGCACACGGAAGUUUCUAGCAUGAAUAAUCUCAUGAUCCCUUUGAGCCUGGGUGGCGGUCCAAAAAAACAGGCAAUCGCUGGAAUACCCAGGUGCCUCAAUCCACCCAGAUGUGUAUUAAAGUUGCCACCUUAAAUAAACCAUUUAAUAACAAUCUCACAUCUGUCAUGCAUUCACUCACCCAAUCCACGUCUAUUGGCAUAGCAUAGCAAUAAAAGCAAACGUAGAAGUAACUCUUGUAAUAAAACAGGUAAUAGGUACUAUCUCAUCUACUUCCCAAAACCCACAUAUUAAUCAGAUCCUAAUCAUGCAAUUUUUUGAGGAUUGAACUAAUGCAAUAAAACUGGGUAGUAAAGAGGUAUGAUCAAAGUGUUACUUGCCUUGUUGAUGAUCCGUGAAACCUAGAGAUUCGAAGUAGCAAGCGGCGCACUCUGGGUACUCUAACGCAAACAAACAAACAAGCAUACAAUAAGUACUCAACUAAUGCAUAUGUAAAACUCAAAUAAGAGAUCUAACCAAAAAGUGCAACUUAAGAACUCCGGUUUGCAAAAAGAAUCAAAUCAAACGAAGCAACGAAACUCAAAUGGCGAAAGAAACAAGCUUCAUUUACUAAUCUGGACCUAAGUCAAAAUUUUACAGUAGUAAAAACUUGUUGAGUUGGUUAAACGAAAAGAGGGUUUCAAGGCGAAACUCUAGGCGCUUGAAUCUCCUGAUUCUGAUAAAGGAGCGAAAAGAUAAACUAGAACGAAAAUUGGAUCAGAAACCACGAUCUGGAAUAAUCGCGGAAAAUCCGAGAAAAAGAAAAACUGACGAACUGUCUAACGGACAGACGUUCGUUGACUACAACUAAACGGCGAAACUCAUCCAUUAAAAUGAACGAUCGAGCGAACGCUCGCUAAAUAAAUAAACCAGAAGAAAUAUAAGAAAACUGAUCUAAAAAAUAAACCUAGGGUUUUCUAAAAAAAUGGAUUGGUUUUCUCUAGAAAACCGGGCGGCCACGGGCGGCUACCUCGUCGGAACUCCGGCGGGGUCCGGCGGCUUCCACGGGGUCCGGUGGCGGCGGGAGGCGGUGGCGGCAGUGGUGAACGGCGGCAGCAGCGGCGAACGGCGGCGGCGGGAGGCGAGCUGGACUGGAUGGAGGGUUGGGACUGGCAGCGGCGGUAUUUAUAGGAAGGGGGGCGACGGUGGCUUGGGGAAGGGGGCGACCGGGUCGGGAUUGGCAUCGGGAGGCAUGCCCCGGCCGGACUCGGUGGCGGCGUUGGGGAGGACUUCCCUCCCGCGGGGAAGGCGGAGGCGGCGCGGGCCUGGCCCGGCUCGGCUGGGCCUUCGGCCCAGUCCGGCGCGCGGAACUUUUUUUUAAAUAAAUUUCGCCGAAACUAAGAAAAAUACUAGAAAAUAAAAUAGAAUUCUAAAAAUGCCAAAACAAAUUUUCACCAUCUAAAUAAAAUAUUUAGGACAAGAUGAACAUUUUCUUGGCCCUAAAAUACAGUUUUGAAAAACGUGCAAGUUUUUCCUAAAUUCAAAUAAAAUAGCGAAAAACUCCGAAAUAAAAUCUUAUUUGAUUUUUAUUAAAUCCUCAAUAUUUCUUUAUUUUGGGAAAGUCAUUUUAUUCCCUCUCUCUUGUUUUUAUAAUCUAAAUAAUUGAAGAUAAAAUAAAUAAAAUCAAAUGAUCCUAUUUUCAAAAUUUGAUAAAACUCAAAUAUGAAAAUAACGAAAUUCCCAACUCUCUCCAAGGGUCAUCGAGUUGCGUAAAAUUUCUAGGAUCAAGCCAAAAAGCAAUAAAAUAUGAUAUGCAAUGAUGAUCUAAUGUAUAACAUUCCAAAUUUAAAAUAUGGGAUGUUACAUAAGUAUUGUUAGCAGUAGCGCUUCCCGGACCAGCGCUACUGAUAACUAUCUAUAGCGCUUGUUCAGAUGGUGCGCUGCUGCUAAGCCAGCGCUACUUAUAAGUAUUUUCCAGCACUACUGCUAAUAUUCCUGCUUUCACAUAUUUGCACCCUGUACAUAUUUGUGAUGUAUUUAUACAGGCUCUGUACAAUAGUUUCAUCACAUCAUACUAAACAUACACUAUUCUCACAUAUCAUAGACAUACAGUAGUCUCGUCAUAGCAUCAUCAUCAUCAUCAUUCAACACAAAUAUCAUCACAUCUCGAAAAUAGUGAUACACAAGUGCGAUCAUGUCAUGUCUUGAAUAAGUGCAACUGCAUGGUCAUGGCACACACACAAGUUUGAUCAUCUCUAUCUAAACCAUGAUGUAAAGGAGAAGAACAAUCAGCAUGAGCAAGAGCGCCACUAUGUAGUACCGGCGGUCCCGCUCCUGCUCAUGCUGGAGUGUCCACCUCAAGUAACUACGUUCCGCUUCGGCUCUGGUGUUGAACCCUCUGAGGCUAGCACCCGGGUACCUGUGCACCUGGGCCUGAGCGGCUGGCCAGUGGUUGUAGACUCCUGGAACCCGCCCAACGUACACGACGUAGUAGUCCUUCGCCAUCUCUGAUCUAUGUACCUGCAUCGUGAGUUGAUGAAUUGAAUGAUAAUAUGCAACAUAGUGUACUUAAGAAAACAAAGAGGCAUGAUUAGCAAAAUAAAAGCAACCAAUAGUAAACAUAAAUGACGAAGUUCCUCAUACCCAAACUAAUUAACUAGAGCGAUCUACGCUAGUUCAAGACCACGGUUUAGUUACAUCACAUAGUUUCGUCGUGCAUAAUUUCAAAAUUUUGCCAUAGAAAGACAGUAGUGAUAAGGCGAUUAGGACCACGGUUUAGUUACAUCACAUUGUCAUUGACAAUCAGUCCUCCAUGUCGGUGUUCCAAUCUUCAUAGUCAGGGAGGAAGCACCCGAGCUUCGUGAAAGGCUUCAGGUCCAGACAUUGAGCGACUAGCAGUGCUCGGACAUCAACCCGCGUGAUUGGACCAUGGUAGAACAUCCCCAUUGUUUUUUAGAACUUAUACAGUGGGAGAGGCUCCCACUGUGUUUGUAUUACUCAAAAGAUAUAGUACAAUGUACACCUCAUAUUUACAAGAUACUCAACCUCCACUUUGGGAGAGAGUGUAAUCAGACCAAGUUAUGGGCAAGCUAAUGGGGUGAUAGAGUGUUUACAAAAGAGAGAAUAAAGUCUCUCAAGUCUUCUCUAGUCAUGUGUUGAAGGAGGGUGAAGUCCUGCUUGAAUCUAUCAAGCCAAGAGUGGUAAAUAGGAGGGAUUCUUCUGAAGUGCUUGUUAUUCCUCUCUUUCCAUUUGCUCCAAGGUGCCUGUAAAAAGAUUUCCAUAAACAUGGGUUUGUCCCAAUUGUUGGAUGCCUGACUUAUCCAUUGUAACCUGGAGCCGGUGUCUUCCCACGUAAUCCCUAGUUUGGAGCAAUAGUUUUUACUGAAAGGGCAUUGGAAGAUCAUGUGUUCCACAUCCUCUUCUAUUUAUUGAUUACAUAGCAAGCAGUUGAAGUCAUCCCCUAUGUUAUAGUGCCACCUCUUGAGCAUGUUGCGAGUGUUUAGUCGAUCAGAGAGAAGCAACCACCCAAAUGUCUUGAUUUUCAGCAUGACCUUCGAUUUCCAGAGCCAUUGAUAUGAUUUGUGGGCCUUCACAUCCCUAAAGUAGAAUUUGUAGUAUAUGUUGGCCUUAAAAUCUCUCGAUCCCCAACAAUACUCACAAGUGUCAUGGGUAUGCAAGUCUUCAUGGUUACCUACGUGGAGCAUAUUUUGUUGUAGAUCGAGAACUUCUUCAUGUGCUUGCACCAAAAGGGGUCGGUGAAACCUUUCAUGGAGUGAGGUAGAUCCCAAGAAAUCUCUGACAGAAAUAUCAUCAUUUAUUGCGAAGGAGAAGGCCCGCGCGUAUUAUUCCGCCUCUGUAGUGUCUAACCAUAUAUCCUUCCACAUAAGUACCGUGUCUCCAACGUGCACAUUUUCUUUAGAUAUCCCUCUGUAGAUUGGGGUGAGCUUUAGCACAUCCUUCCACCAGAACUAUCCGCAUGGUUCCGACGCGUGCGGGAUCUUGUGCGUGUAAUAUGUUGUCUAGAUCAAAUCCACCCAGGGCAGGUCAUGGUGGUUCUCGGUGUCAAAACUGGCGGAUCUCGGGUAGGGGGUCCCGAUCUGUGCGUCUUAGGACCAAUGGUAACAUGAACACGGGAUUUUACCCAGCUUCGGGCUCUCUUGAUGAGAUAAUACCCUACAUGCUGCUUGAUUGACUAUAAUGAAUAUAGGGGUUACAAGAGUUGAUCUACCUCGAGAUCAUAUGUUGUGGUCUAAACCCUAGAGGUAUGAUGAGUAAUGUCAUAAUAAUCCUCUAUCGACUAGCCUAGCCUCGGUUUAUAUAAUGUACCAGAGGCCUAGGAUAACAAGAGUCCUAGCCGAAUAUGCCGGUGGGGGAGGAGUCCUUGUCUUGAUCACCAAGUCUUGUGGAAUCUUCCUUGUAUGCGGCAAUUGUCGAACUGGCCCAUGAGUAUACGGACAUGGGGGUGCUCGGCCCAAUCUAACUGAUCGGGGGAUGAUGUGGUGAGUACCCCCUAGUCCAGGACACCAUCAGUAGCCCCCUGAACCGGUCUUCAAGUUGGGGAGGCUCCUCGAUUCUUCCGAACUGUUCUUCAUCUUCGGUCGUCCGUCUUGAAAAUUGGUUCAACAAAUCUUCUCAUCUUCGAUCUUGAGGAUCGCAAAGUAAAUCCGAAGAGUUUAUACGUCGGGUAUCCGAGGAGCCCCUAUAAGUUUCCGGCAUUUAUCAAUGCCUUGUUAUUAUUAUGCCGCACUUCAGGUUUGAAGUUAUUCCCGGGCGGCAGCUUCCUCUUGCAUCCGAGCUCCAACGCCGGAUUUCAUUCGAGGUAUCUUUUGCAGCCAAGCACCAACGCCGGACUACUUCCGAGCUCCAAUGCCGAAAUAUAUCCAAGCUCUAACGCUGGACUAUGUCCAAGCUCCAACGCUGGACUGUAUCCGAGCUCCAAUGCCGGACUAUAUCCGAGAUGUCAUAGAUCAUCUGGGUUCAAAAAGUUGGAGGAGUUUAGCCGAGCUUAAUGCUGGAAAUGCCCUCUAUGGAGCCAGCCACUGGCGCCCGAGCUUAAUGCCGGAUUGCUUCCGAGGUGGUGCACCACCCCUAACUGUGGGCUGAUUUUUUGACUGGUGCAAUUUAUUAUCUUCCGAGAUAUAUAGCCAGUAGCCCUCGAGGUGUGUGCGUCGGUCUAAAACCCGAGAUGCACAUGAAGGAAAACAUGAAACCGCUAAUCCUAGUUGCCCCUGAGACUCAGGUCGGUGCACGAAAUCGGCAUGAGGAUCAACUCCUAGCUCGACAACAUACAUAGGAAUAGAAACGCGGUGUGCAAAGUCCUCGAGACUCAAGUUGGGUGCGGCCGACCAACCUGAGGAUAAUAAUCUCCUCGAAAACUAUAUUGCACUUUAAAUUUUCUGCAUUGGAUUGUCAAUGCAGUAGCCCCCGAGACACUGGUCGGGUGGCGACACUAGAUCAGGGGAUCAAUGUACCCCUUUAAUAUUUGUAAAUAAUAAGCACGAAGCCCAGUAGCCCCCGAGCCUUAAUGUGGGCACGGGUGGCCAAAUUAAGGAUCGAUAUCCAAAGUAAAAUCACAAAUUAUGUGUAAUGAUUCUAUGUAUCCAAGUACUUUGCAUCAUCAAUGCUCGCAUCCGCAUUGUACAAAACUUUGUCGACCUGCCAUCGGCUUCAACCUCCUUGGCCAGCAGCCAGGGAGUGUGUGUCCCACUUUAUAAAGCCUUUAUGGGGGCAAAGAUUUGUGGCAAACAAGGCAAUCCGGCCAUAUGGUUUUAUAAACAAAGGUACGCAGAGAGACAUGUUAUAUUAUUGUUUAACAUAAGAAACAUCAUCCAAAGAAAAUAGUCCCACUAUUGGUUCCUUUCUUUGGGUUGUCAUGCUAAGCAUGAUCAUGAAACCUCAGCUCUGAUCAAUGUGGGAGGGAAAUACUGAGGAUUUUAGUACGGGAAAAGCUUCCAAACUCUGUGGUCUAGGUGAACCCAAAUUUUUACUUCCGUUAUGACCGUUUAUAAUUUGAAAGUGGCCCAUCGUCGGCUUCUACCCCCUUGUAGAUGUUAUGCAGGGUGUUUCCGAAAUAACAAAUCAACCCUUAGCCGACGUCUCGGUACCCGAAGGCGGUUGUGUUGGCGGAAACAAGGCAAUCAGAUAUACGGGCUUUAUAACUUUCACUUAGUCAUAGGAACAUAUAGUUGGGAGGCCGGCAAGUAGCCCCCCGCUUAGUGUUCGGCGAAAGCCGAGGUCAAGCCGUAAACACUUAGGGCAAUGUUAUGAACGACCCGUCAUUUAACAUGCCGGUGGGGUCUGGGAUUCUGAUCCAAUCAUGCCGGUGGGGGAGGAGUCCUUGUCUUGAUCACCAAGUCUUGUGGAAUCUUCCUUGUAUGCGGCAAUUGUCGAACUGGCCCAUGAGUAUACGGACAUGGGGGUGCUCGGCCCAAUCUAACUGAUCGGGGGAUGAUGUGGUGAGUACCCCCUAGUCCAGGACACCAUCAGUAGCCCCCUGAACCGGUCUUCAAGUUGGGGAGGCUCCUCGAUUCUUCCGAACUGUUCUUCAUCUUCGGUCGUCCGUCUUGAAAAUUGGUUCAACAAAUCUUCUCAUCUUCGAUCUUGAGGAUCGCAAAGUAAAUCCGAAGAGUUUAUACGUCGGGUAUCCGAGGAGCCCCUAUAAGUUUCCGGCAUUUAUCAAUGCCUUGUUAUUAUUAUGCCGCACUUCAGGUUUGAAGUUAUUCCCGGGCGGCAGCUUCCUCUUGCAUCCGAGCUCCAACGCCGGAUUUCAUUCGAGGUAUCUUUUGCAGCCAAGCACCAACGCCGGACUACUUCCGAGCUCCAAUGCCGAAAUAUAUCCAAGCUCUAACGCUGGACUAUGUCCAAGCUCCAACGCUGGACUGUAUCCGAGCUCCAAUGCCGGACUAUAUCCGAGAUGUCAUAGAUCAUCUGGGUUCAAAAAGUUGGAGGAGUUUAGCCGAGCUUAAUGCUGGAAAUGCCCUCUAUGGAGCCAGCCACUGGCGCCCGAGCUUAAUGCCGGAUUGCUUCCGAGGUGGUGCACCACCCCUAACUGUGGGCUGAUUUUUUGACUGGUGCAAUUUAUUAUCUUCCGAGAUAUAUAGCCAGUAGCCCUCGAGGUGUGUGCGUCGGUCUAAAACCCGAGAUGCACAUGAAGGAAAACAUGAAACCGCUAAUCCUAGUUGCCCCUGAGACUCAGGUCGGUGCACGAAAUCGGCAUGAGGAUCAACUCCUAGCUCGACAACAUACAUAGGAAUAGAAACGCGGUGUGCAAAGUCCUCGAGACUCAAGUUGGGUGCGGCCGACCAACCUGAGGAUAAUAAUCUCCUCGAAAACUAUAUUGCACUUUAAAUUUUCUGCAUUGGAUUGUCAAUGCAGUAGCCCCCGAGACACUGGUCGGGUGGCGACACUAGAUCAGGGGAUCAAUGUACCCCUUUAAUAUUUGUAAAUAAUAAGCACGAAGCCCAGUAGCCCCCGAGCCUUAAUGUGGGCACGGGUGGCCAAAUUAAGGAUCGAUAUCCAAAGUAAAAUCACAAAUUAUGUGUAAUGAUUCUAUGUAUCCAAGUACUUUGCAUCAUCAAUGCUCGCAUCCGCAUUGUACAAAACUUUGUCGACCUGCCAUCGGCUUCAACCUCCUUGGCCAGCAGCCAGGGAGUGUGUGUCCCACUUUAUAAAGCCUUUAUGGGGGCAAAGAUUUGUGGCAAACAAGGCAAUCCGGCCAUAUGGUUUUAUAAACAAAGGUACGCAGAGAGACAUGUUAUAUUAUUGUUUAACAUAAGAAACAUCAUCCAAAGAAAAUAGUCCCACUAUUGGUUCCUUUCUUUGGGUUGUCAUGCUAAGCAUGAUCAUGAAACCUCAGCUCUGAUCAAUGUGGGAGGGAAAUACUGAGGAUUUUAGUACGGGAAAAGCUUCCAAACUCUGUGGUCUAGGUGAACCCAAAUUUUUACUUCCGUUAUGACCGUUUAUAAUUUGAAAGUGGCCCAUCGUCGGCUUCUACCCCCUUGUAGAUGUUAUGCAGGGUGUUUCCGAAAUAACAAAUCAACCCUUAGCCGACGUCUCGGUACCCGAAGGCGGUUGUGUUGGCGGAAACAAGGCAAUCAGAUAUACGGGCUUUAUAACUUUCACUUAGUCAUAGGAACAUAUAGUUGGGAGGCCGGCAAGUAGCCCCCCGCUUAGUGUUCGGCGAAAGCCGAGGUCAAGCCGUAAACACUUAGGGCAAUGUUAUGAACGACCCGUCAUUUAACAUAGUCAUCAGAUCGCUGACCGGUUUAUGCUUUAUUGUGACAGUCAGUUUUCGGCUUUCUCCAACGAGGUGCUUAACCAUACGAGUUGGAAGCACAAUCGCAGUGGCUCUCCUUUUGCACACCUAACCGAACAAAGCAGAAUGUAGGAGGCAAGCACCGGAGUCGGGCAACCCAACUAUCGACCGAAGACACAAUUUGAAACCGAUGCAUAUAUAGCAAUAUCCUAGAAUUUUUGCCAAAUCUCUAAAGGUGUCCAGCAUUGCACUGCGAGACUUAUGCGGAAAACACACAAAUAGUUGAAAAGGCCAUAGGUUUGGAAAACCAAAAAACGUCAGUGAAAACUCGACGUCCGAACUAUAUCAAGUGUUCGGUGCCAAUCCAAACAUUGAAAAAAUUGUGCUUCUGUCAUGCUUUAACAUGCCACAUCCUAUCUCAAGACUUCAAGCGGGUCAGCCUACGGCUUCAACCUCCUAUCCUAAAGGCGGAGUACUUUGGCGGCUUUGAGAGGGAAAUCCAGCUAUUGACCACACACUCGCGUCGAAAAAAGGAGUGAUAGAAAAAAACUUUGCAACGACUAGGAAGAAGAACACUUAUUAUAAAACAGCUCACAUAAAUUUAAGAGCCCCCGAGUGACUUGGGUAAAAGAAUUUUAUGUAUAAUGAUUGUAUGUACCAAAGUACUUGUAUCAUGUCUGUGUUCACCCGAACUUUAUACGCGUCUUAACCAAUUGUCGGCUUCUCCCUCUUCGGUCGAGGACCGAAAAGUGUUAUGUACUCCACCUGUCGAGAGUAUCGACGGUGUUUCCGAUAACCAGGCAACCAGGCCAUAAGGCUGUAACAGACAAAGCACGCUCAGGGAACUUAUGCUAUAUUACUAACAAAGUGUAAGAAGCAUCUUCGAAGAAAAUAGUACCCCCAUCGAUGCCUUUCUUCGGUGCUCAUUGUCAUUAUGAGACUUGUGCAAUAGAUUUUUUGUACUCAUGAGUUCCGUUGUGUGCCGACCAUGAUUGAAAACAAUAAGAGCGCUAGCUUUCGGCUUCACCCAGUCUGAGGUCUGAGCUCGGAAGAACCGGUCAUGACAAUCGCAGAGGUGCUCCCUUUACUCCCUAGCCGAACAAUCGGGAACAUAGGGGUAAGCACAGGAGCCAGCCAACCCAGCUUGCAAAUCACUUAGGUCAAUAUGGUGCAUAUUGUGGCGUAAUACAUGAACAACGAACGAAGCCGUACAAGUAUAAUCAUAUGCAAGAGGAAAAGCUUCAUAAAGGAAGCCCCAAGUAAACGGGGUAUUUGAAUUUGUGUGUCACAAACAAAGUUUGGACAUGGAAGUUCUUCACAAGCAACUUUUUGCCAAAAAGGUAUAAUGCUUGUUCAAACCGAACAAAAUUUAAGACUGAAAGUUUUUGAGCAUGAAAGAAACUUAGCUGGUUGAUAUGUUCGGCAUUGAUGACGCGGUCCGAGCUUGAUGUGGGACAGGGUUCCAGCCCCCAGGCUGGUCCCAAGGUGGCCGAGCAGAGAGUCCAGCACUCUGAGAAGAUGAAGCCCCUAGUCCGGCCACGGUAAUGGAGCAGGCCGGCGCGCCAAGGCGACAACACGGCUCAGUCCGAGUCCAUUGCCUGCACAGAUAAAAUAGUGCAAACCAAAAGAAAUGACAAAUAAAGAUAAUAAUGUAUAUAUAUAUAUAUAAUUCUUCUACUUAUUUAACACAAGUGAAGAAAAUAAUGAAAGAGAUGUGGCCUGAGCGUCGAGGUCAAUGUCGAUGCAGGGCGUGAUGCAGUGAAGGCGUGACAAAGCCCGAAUUCGCAGGUCAGUUCGAGUUCCGGAUACAGCGUUCGCCGAACUAUCCACCGAAACUGACCGAACCACCACACAAUCAUCGCUAAUGCGGCCACCAAUUGAUAGACCUAUGUACAGAUGAUGGAACAAAGCAGAGUAAUAAUUCCUUGGGAAAAAUGAACCCAAACGAGCAAAAUUUGCUAGGAUUAAUAGCACCUGGUUUAUCUGUUGUAACGGUUCGAAGAAAGGUUACUCCCAAAAUUGGGACUCGAUCCGCACACCCAUUUCCUGAUGGGUGAUGAAGCGAUGGCACGGCGAUCCUGGCAAAGGUUGGCUCGCCACAGCGAAGCCCGUGGUCCAGCUAAUGUGAUGAAGCUGGUCGGCUGGUGACGCCGAAGUCUCUGGAGUAAGUUGAUGAAGGGAUGAAGAAGCCCCCAGUCUAGGCGAGGAGACGGAGCAGGUCGGUGAGGAGAUGUGUCAGCCGAGGCGUUGAAGUAGUUCGGCGUGAUGGACAUCAGCUCGAUGAAGCAACAGUUCGGCCAUGCCGAUGCAGGUCGUAGCUUGUGACGUGAUCAAUGCUGGCUUGAUGAAGUGACCGUACGGCGAUGCCAUUGUGCCCGCUCCAUGUGAUCUGUGGGGCGGCGAUGUUGGUGACGAUUUAUCCUUCACGAUGCCGAACUAUUGUUCGGCUGGCCGAGAUGAUGGUCCGAAGAAGUUGAGCUCGGCUCAACAAAGCGACGACGUGUCUAGCACAGGUCGACCGCCAUGGAGUGAUGUUGUCAGGCCGGUUUGACACCGGCACGAUGGUGAAAAUCAUAUUGUAAAAAUACUUUUAAUAUUAAUGAGAUGUGUUUGAGAAUAAAACACAAUACCCCAUACGAUUACGUCCUUCAAAAAGGAUGUCCGAAAUCCCGUUCGUAAAGAAGAUGAACUUGGGUCGGAUUCGUUCUCGUGCAGAAAACAGAUUCGAAAAGUGAUGCACUAAUCAGAAGGUUCUCAGAGUUCGGACGGUCGGAUCGAGCUGAAUUGUUGGCAGGUGGUAGAUAUGGGAAUUCCACAGCCGAUCAACGGUUGGAUCUUCCAAAGGACGUCUGAGCUAGAUGCUGGACACCCCGCUCCAAACUCGUCCGGAUUCUCGUCCAGAUUCAACAGGGCUCCGCUAUAUCGGAGAUUGCCGGAGAUUCCUCCAUCGGAACUCGAAGAAAUCGUUUAGGCGACACUCGAGGAGGCAGUGGCGGCGGAUACAAGUUUGCUGUCUAGAAAAACAGCACGGUCGCCUGAGGGCAAUCUUGACGUUGAGCCCCCGAGCUCCAUGGAUGACUCCUCCAUGAUCUUGAUAGCGAUCGGAGUUGAUGUUGAUGAAGGCCCUCAUCCGAAAAUGACGAUCAGGGGUAGGGCGCAGUCCUCAGUCAAGCCAAGGUGACCAGUCGAGCUGGUGACGAAGAAGCCAAUGUCGCAGUUGACCUGCAGUCGAGCCAUUGAUCCUUUUGCCGAUCACACAGCGGAACUCUCAAUGAAAGCACCAAUGUCGGUGUCAAAACCGGCAGAUCUCGGGUAGGGGGUCCCGACCUGUGCGUCUUAGGAUCAAUGGCAACAUGAACACGAGAUUUUACCCAGCUUUUGGGAUCUCUUGAUGAGAUAAUACCCUACAUGCUGCUUGAUUGACUAUAAUGAAUAUAGGGGUUACAAGAGUUGAUCUACCUCAAGAUCAUAUGUUGUGGUCCAAACCCUAGAGGUAUGAUGAUUAAUGUCAUAAUAAUCCUCUAUCGACUAGCCUAGCCUCGGUUUAUAUAAUGUACCAGAGGCCUAGGAUAACAAGAGUCCUAACCGAAUACGCCGGUGGGGGAGGAGUCCUUGUCUUGAUCACCAAGUCUUGUGGAAUCUUUCUUGUAUGCGGGAACUGUCCGAACUGGCCCAUGAGUAUACGUACAUGGGGGUGCUCGGCCCAAUCUAACUGAUCGGGGGACGACGUGGUGAGUACCCCCUAGUCCAGGACACCGUCAGUGGUUGUAAAAUUUAUGCAUAUAUUUGAGAAGGAGGGCCUCACUUUGGAUACGGAGAUUGAUUAUGCCAAGUCCACCACUUUGUUUUGGUUGAAAAACCAUGUCCCAAGCUGCCAAUGAGUUACAUUUAUCCCCUUGCUCAGUCUUUUUUGUCCAAAGGCACUUUCUUCUUAUUUUAUCAAGUAGCUCUAAUAUCUUUGGUGGGAAUUUGAGAGUGUAGAGGGCGAAGAUGGUGAGAGAUGUAAUCAUCGUGUUGAGGAGUGACAGUUUUGCACCGUAUGGCAUCAAGGCUAAAGUGCUGGUCAUUCUUCGUUCCAUCAUGCAGACAAGAGGCAUGAGAUCUUGGACCAUAGACUUGGUUAUUCUGAGAGGCAGUCCCAAGUAAGUGAAGGGCAUAGAUCCUACCUUACAGCCAAAGAUAGAAGCGAUGUCGUUGUAACAAUCGGCAGCACAAUUAAUUGGGAUUGUUGUAGACUUGUGGAAGUUUAUCUUCAAUCCAAUAGAAGUAGCAUAGUCUGAGAGAAUAUCCUUGAUAGUCCUAGCUUGGUUGGGUCAAGCGGGGAGUAUAAUGAUCAUAUCAUCGGCAUAUUGGAUCACUGGAUAAUCAUGCUGGUUUUGUCUUUGGAACGGAAGCUGUAUUUUGCCUUGUCAGAAAGCGUCCGUAAUGGCAGCUUGAAUAAGGUCAGCUGCGAGCACAAAAAUGAGGGGUGAUAAAGGAUCACCUUGAUGAACACCACAUUUGCAGAUGAAUUGUCAGCCUGGUACACCAUUUAAGAGGACCGAUGAUUUUUCUGAGGAGAAGAUGCAUUUGAUCCAAUCAAGCCACAUGGCAUCAAACCCCGUGUGUUCCAUAAUUGUAAUCAUUGCAUCAUGCUCGAUCAUGUCAAAUGCUUUUCCAAAAUCUAGUUUUAGCACGACAAAAUUUUGUUUUGAGAUUUGACAGAGAUGGAUAUACACGAAAGCCCAGGCCAAACAGUCUUGUAUUGAUCUUCCUUUGAUGAAGCCAUAUUGAUUAGGAUGAAAUUUUUUAAGUACGAGCUUUUGGAGACGGUUUGCGAGCAGUUUAGUGAUAACCUUGAGGCAGCAGUUGAGCAAAGUAAUUGGUCUGAAAUCAGAAAUUGUCUCAGGUGACCGAACUAUGGGUAUGAGUGUGAUAAAUUCCUCAUUAAUGCUCUCAAGAUUAAGUCCGCCCUCGUAGAAUUGAUUGCAUAGCUAAUAAAAAUCCUCUUUAAUUAUGUGCCAACAUUUUUUCAGAAAUAAGCCAGUGAAUCCAUCCGGACCAGGUUCUCUGUCAGCCGGCAUUUCCUUGAUGACAUCAUCGAUUUCACCCUUGGUGAAAGGGACGGUCAAUUGAUCCAGACCCUCAACUUUAUCUUCGCCACCCAAUUUCACCCAUCGAAUGGUGCAUCUCUUUUGCCAGUAUUGUCUUUCGUAGUUCAAGAGGCGUAAAAUGUGUUUCUUCAGAAUUUUCCUAAAAUUAUGUUCUGGAGUAGAUUUCAGAGAUUUUUGAGGUCAUCUAGAUUGGCUAGGGUAAGAUUAGAGUUUUCAAUUGCCAUCUUAAGUUUAGAGAUACGUUUGCUCCACCUUUUCAACUCAUAUCUAAAUGCUUUGAACUUUCUGCACAGUAAAGUGGCCGCAUUUGUAUUGGCAUGUUUUAAUGGUCUUAUGCACACAGAUUGAACCAAAUCCAUAAAACUUGGGUGCUCCAUCCAAUAAGACUCAAAUCUAAAGAUUUUGCUGCGAGGGAUGGAGGUUUCAAUUUUGACAACACACGGAAUAUGAUCAGAAACAGGUUUCCUUACUGGCAUAACUAGAGUAUUAGGGUAACAUGAAUUCCAGUUGUUAGACAUGAGAAACCAGUCUAAUUGCUCAAGGAGGGGGUCUGUCUGCAUGUUCCUCCAAGUGUAAGCACGACCCUCAAUUGGCAGUUCAAUUAAUUGCUAAGAGCGGAUGAUGUCAUUAAAAGCAAUCGCGUCAUUAGGAUUACCUCCAGGUUUAUUUCUGUUAUCAGGGCUGCGAAUAUAGUUAAAGUCUCCUAGCAACAACCAAUCUUCAUUGGAGGGGAUAUUUAGAGUAUGAAGCCAAUCAGUGUAAGUCACUCUCGGGUCACCCUAACACGGGCCAUGUAUGUUCACCAGGGUCCACUCUUAGGUUGAUUGUGUGGAACGGAAUUUGAUGACAGAACCAUGCCAUGAGAACUGUUCCUGUGAAAAUGGCAUUGUUCCAAAUGGUGACAAUGCCUCCUGAAGCACCUUGGGAGGGGAUGUAUGCAAAUUUAUCAAAUCUUCUUGGGCAACAAGACUUCAGGAACAAGUUAUCAAUGACAUAUUUUCUUUCUUUCUUUCAGACAGAUGACUCCACAGCCACUGGAGGAGAUAGCAUUCGAGAACGCCAAAAGCUUAUGGUCAGAGUUUAAGCCUCUUAUAUUCCAUCACAAAAUAUUCUAGCUCGAUAAAAGUGCCAUGAUAAAAUAGAGCAAAUUAAAAAACAACUAAAAUAAAGCGAGGAAAUAGCUUAAGCAUUGGAGGGGUCGUCCUCAGCUUCAACCAUCAGAGCUUCAGAAGUAACUUCUUCUGGCGGAAUGGCGCACUUGAUGAUCCCAAUGUGUUGCAGCACUUGAACAGGAGAAGGUGGAGGGAUAUUGUCCUUGUUCAGUGAGUCAGGAACAACUUGACCUGCUUGGGCACCAGCACUAGGGACAAUUCUGGGCUUGACUUUAGAAGGUUUAGCCUUGCUGUCAAAAACUGAUGGUAUCUUGAAACCAUCAUACUUAUUAGAGUGGCUGCUGGGACGAACCUCAACCAUAGAUGCUGGUGCUUUCGCUUUGCCGCUCCUGAUUAUGGAUUUCCCCGAGCUCAUAACAUCACUUGCAAUAAAGCCAGUGGGGUCACUUGCAUCAGAACCAGAAGAGGUGGUCAUUGCAUCCAAUGAAAGUGUUGUUGCACCUUGAACAGGUAAGUCCAUCUCAUCCAAGAUUUCUGUGAUGACAACAUUGGAGUUGGAAGUCCUUGGUAUGAUAGCGAGAUCACUUGUUGGCUGAAGAGGGUUAUCCCCACAGGAUAGGGCCCAAGAACUACUGCCAGGGAUCAUCUCAGUGACAUAUACUGAAUCUGCAGUAUGUUGGACAGUUCUGGUGGAAGACAGAAUAGAGAACUAUCCCUCUUUCUCAGCAAUGCUAACAUUAAAUUGCACUGAAAUGUCACAAAAUCCAAACCCCGAGCUCCAGGGGCCAUAUGCAGCUAUAAUAGGCCUAAUAGCAGCUAGGAGGUAAGUGUUCAGCCUCAACAUUGGCACACAAUCAUUCAGAAGCAAAGAAGCAUUGGUGUUCUCAAGAGAAAGCAUAGAAAGAUGCAGACCAGCAUUUGAAAUAGACAGUGACAUUUCCAUGGGUGUUACCUCCUGGGUGGUCACAAGAUUGUAGGUGAUAAAACUCAGCUCGGAUUCGAUGAUCCGGUGUAUUUCCUAUGCCUGUGGCUCAGCUGACAAUCUCGACAUCUUCGGUAGUAGCUGACAUGCGAAGGCGUUGAUUGUCCCUUAUGUACUGCAUCAAGUGACGCAUGAGGUAGAAUCCAUCAGCCCUACUGGUGUGCGGUUGCUGGAUGCGGCAGAAGUCAAUCUUAUGGCAGAAAACCAGCCCGUUCUUCCUGUGCCAUUUCACCUUAAUAUAUCCACCAGACAGGCUGAAGGUUAACAUGGCACUAUUGAGAACAUCUUUACGUGCAUGUAAUCCUUUUUCUUGAGGUUCUUCGAUGAGUCCAAGUGCAUAGCAUGGGAGUAUUCUAGGUACAUAUUGACGAAGACGGCGCCGCCCCCACUGCGCGAAUUAAAUAGACCUCAAAUUAGACUCCAUGCUUGCAAAGGAAUGAUUAGCACGUACGAAAGGAUAUGCGUGGAUGACUUACUAGGGAUGAUAAGGCAGGAGAAUCGCUUCCUUGUCCUUUUUAGCGAUCAUGAAUUCGUCGAGGUGCUUGCUCGCAUAGUCACGGUGCUCUUUGCAAACUGCCAAGAAGCUCUCGUGCAUAUAGUACGCGUCCGCGAUGCAGAUAUAUUUUAUGGUCUCGAUCCUGAUGAAGUAGUUGAGAUACAACACAUACACGUGGAUGAACUGGAAAUCCAGCUUGGUUGUGUGUAACAUGUCGUAGAUGUAGUCAAAUCGCAGGAUGAACUGAUUCGCGGGCCAGGUAUCGACGUACAACUUCCACCUGAGCCACAUAAAGCGGGUAUCCUGGUUCUUUCGCGAUCAGAAGGAUUUUCUCUCUGGCUAGCACAUCCUCAUGGAGUCUCUUUAGAUCAUUGUUCAGUAUGUGAUCUAGCGCUUUGGUAGGUAGUAUCGGCUCACCGGCCACAUGGAAACGCGUCUUACCUUCGACAGGUAUUCUGUCUACCACCCGGGGCUUUAGAGGCGGCUGGCUUCUUGAAGCACCCAUGGAGCCUUUAGUGCCUUUCCUGGGCAGUCUCUUCCUUUGCUUCUUGGCGGGUGGCGGUAGUGAGCCCACCAUACCUUCCCUAACCACCACCCCCAGUGUCGUCGGCCUAAUCAGUGGACGGGCCUCGGGGGGUUGCUCGGUAGAGGCAGCAUCUGGAGGCGUCUCCUGUGAGGAUGGCUUGAAGAGAGACUUUUUUCAUUCCGCCUUAGAACGUUCCGGCUCCGGCAAAUUAGGCAGCAUCAAGUCAUCAUCUGCAUGCUCAUAGCAUGAGUCUUCGUCGUCCUGAGCCAUCAAUCCUCCAUCAUCAUAGGCGGUAUUUAAAUACUUGUCUGGGUCAUCAUCAUCAUCCUCCAUGUCAUCAUUAUCAUUUGCUUCUUCGACAACGGGGGUGACAUGAUCUGGCACUAAUGGAGGCUCUCCCUCGCGUCAUAAGCUACCAUCCGCCACGACAGCUGCAGGUAAUUUGGUAGGUGCGGUGGUGUUCAUACCUUCUUGAGAAUGUGGCGUUGGCGUGAUACUGGGCGCCUCGAGAUGAAGAAGAGACUUCGGCCAAGGCAAGAACCAGCUCUUGCAUGCGCCAAUCAUCUUAGGGGUCUCGUUGUCGUCGUCGACUAGUACCGGAGGAGGCAAAUCCUCGAAGCCCGCUAAGACACUGGCCACGUUAACCUUGAAGACACCAUCUGGCAUCUCUCGGUUGUGGAACAUUUGGUACUUUGGCUUCACGAUCGUUGCCUUUCCCGCAGCCACCUUCUGGCCCUUGAUGUCGUAGAAUAGGGUGCAUGGGGUAUCGUCGGCCUACGAAGGAGACAUGUCUACGACGUCAAACAUCUGAAAGGCAACAGAAACGAAAGACUAUAGACAUGCUGGUGAAAAGGGUAUGAUGCGUAAUUACCGUGAGGGCGUCGAGCUCAGCCAGCGACGAAUGCCCACCGAGCAUGCCAGAAACGGAGGUCGGGCUGCUAUGAAGAGGAACGGGACCUUUUGUGGUUGCUUGGGCAGGUGUUGGUGCUGUGGUGUUGGCCUAGUUGCUCCCGACAAAGCUAGGAAGGGGAAAGUCCUUCGGCCAUGCAUUUCGAUCACUCUUCGACCAAUCAAAAAUUGCCAGAAUCAAGCUGGCCAUCAUGUCAGUGACCAACCCACUGACUACCCCAAGCAACUCUUCUUUCGUCUCAGCUUUGGUCUUAUUAACCGCAAUCACAACCUUCUCUUCAAUGCUCUGUUGAGUGACGACCAACCGUCUCAUCCUUCUUUCCUCUAGCUCCUCGGGGUAGCACGUCCUCCAUGAGGCGCCAUCUCUGAUGUCAUGCACACGUCCAUAGGACGGCGGCUUGUCCACCGGGACCUUUUUCAGUAUGUUCAGGGCCCAGUUGAAUGGGGUGUCCCACUUGGGCCUCGCCGACGACUGUGACGACUCGUCGUUUUCGGCUGCCUUUUGGUGCUACUCUUUCUGCAAAAGGAACAUGGAUGGUUUACUAAUGUGACAAAACUUGAAGUAGAAUUGAUUGGAAGCUAAUAUGAUAAUGUGGUAAUAUAACAAUUACCACAAGUCUCAUGAACUCCCUCGUAUUCGGGUCUGUGUAAAAGAUCUUUUUGACUCUGUCCCACUUGUACCGGGCCCUGAUCCAAUCAUGCUCCAGAGGGUCUGUGAACUCUGCCAAGGGGUCUGGGAUUCCAAGACUUUCACGUUCGGCGUCCUCCUUGGCCCAUAUGUGCCUCUUCCCCUCAUAACAACGGCUUCUGAGGCGGUGGGGAGGCGUGUUCCUGUCCUGGAGCGCCUUCAUUUUCUCCGACUUUUCCUUGACUUCUUCUUUUCCGCAAUUCUCCUUGAAUUUUGCAAAGUCCUCUGCCGUUAUUGUUGGAUUAUCAACAUGAAUCUUGGGCCACGGUUCAUUCUUCGCAAUCGCUUUUUCACCCGAACUUUCCAGGAGGACAAGUCGUUGGUGAACAUCACCAUCGCAUUGUCGCUUAUCUUUGUCAUGCUGACGUCGUCCCAUGGCUCUUUAUAUUUGCCUUCAUCCUGGCAGGGGAACAGGAACCUAUUGUGCAACUUCUUUAGGAGCAUGUGCUCCAUAUGUGGUAUCUACUUCAACAUCUCGUCGUUGAUGUUGGCGGUUUCCCUGAGGAUGCAUCCAUAUUGGUUGCCCUAGCACGAGCGCGCUUCCUCCUGCGCCAUUGGUUCUAACUUCUUGGGGUGCAUCUCUGUGACCACAAUUUGUCUCAUGCCAAGCUCGUUUGGUCUUUGCGUCCUCUUCUUCUUCGGUGCUUUACCGGCUACGACAACAUCGUCGCCGGUCUCGGGGGUGGUGUCGGUGCCGGUGCCAGUGUCGGUGUCGGGGUUGGGGCCACUGCCGCCACCAUGCAGCCCCAUCUGGUGUUCGUCCAGGUAAUCGAAAUAGUUAUUUGCUUCCUCGAUGGGGUCUGCGGGACGAGCAGAACCACCCACGACUUCGACAUCGGUAGACAUGUUUCCUAUUCAACAAUUGUAAAUAAAACAUAUAAUGAAGAGAAAAAAAGGGACUAUAUUUUGUCGGAAUGUUCAUUCCCCUUCCGGCAAAUCCCGGGUACUCCAUAUGUCCUAGUUUCUAGCAUGAAAUUUUUGCCAUGACCUUUGCUAAAAGGUGGACAUAUGGAGUGCGUGAAAUUUGCCGGAACGGAAAUGAAUCAACAUUCCGGCAAAACAUAGGCCACUCGGAUAUUUUUCGGCAUUCAACCAACAUUGCAAAACCCACAUAUAACAUCAAUGACAUAUAUCAUUCAAGCAAAAGCAUGCUUGUACUUUAACACACAAAAAUGACAAAAAUAGCUACAAACUUGUCCUAGGGUUCAUACAUAGCUAACUUGCCCAAAAUUUUGCAAACUUUGCAAAAUUUGCUACUGUUUUUUUAAUGCGCUACUAUUUUUUUAUUUGCUACUGUUUUUAUACCUCAAUUUUUGCUACUAUUUUUCUAAAAUUACUGUUGUUUUUGUAAACUUUGCUACUGUUUUUUAAAUUCUUUUGCUACUGUUUUUUAAAUUCUUUUGCUAUAGUUUUUUAUACCUAAUUUUUUGCUAACUUGCCACAAAAAUUUGGUAACUUUCUAAUAUUUGCUACAAAAAUUUGAUAACUUGCUAAAAAACCAAAGAAACAAAAUUUGUUAAUUAGCUACUUCCCUAAUUAGCUACUGCCCUAAUUUGCUAACUUUGCUAACUUGCUAAAAAAUUGCUAACUUUGUUAACUUUACUAAAUUUGCCCUAAAAUUUGCAUACUUUGCUUCCGCAUUUGCUAACUUUGCUAAAAAAUUCCCCUAAUUUGAAAACCUAGAUGGGGACGAGGGGGAGGAGGAGGCCGGAGGGGGAGAGGGAGGUGGGGGCAGUACCUGAGGAGGAGGAGGUGGACGGAGGGGACGAGGAGGAGUAGGAGGCCAGAGCGGAUGAGGAGGAGGUCGGAGCGGCGGCGGCGCGGACGAGGAGGAGGUCGGAGUGGCGUGGACGAGGACGAGGAGGAGGCCGGCAUCGAGGUCGAGGGCGGGCAGGGCGACGGGUCAGCGUCAAGGUCCAGGUCGAGGGGCGACGGUCGGCGGGCAGGGGCGACAAUGGUGACGCGGGCGGCGCGUGCGACGACAAAAGAGGAGUGGGAGAGGUGGGAAGUAGGGGGAAUGGGGACUUUGCAAAAUUUUGCGCACGCGCGGGCGGUGGUUAACUCAAGAUAGCAGUAGCGCUGGUUUAGGAACCAACGCUAUAGCAGCUAUAGCAUUGGUUCAGCGCUACUGCUAAGUUUUCCAAUUUUACUUUUUUUAUUUCUAAAAUACAAGUAGAAGUAGCGUUGGGUUAGGAACAGCGCUAUAAUCAACUUAGCUAUAGCGUUGGUUCCCUAAACCAGCGCUACUGCUAAGUUUUCCACUUUUGUUUUUUUUAUUUCUAAAAUACAAGUAGCAGUAGCGCUAGGUUCGGAAAAAGCACUAUAGUUAACAUUUAUUUUCUUUUUAUUAUUUUCUGUUUACUUCUCUUUUUCUUUUGUAUUGCUUUAUCCCUUUUCUUUUCUGUUUACUUUAUUUUCUUUUGUAUUGCUUUAUCCCUUUUCUUUUCUGUUUACUUUUCUUUUCUUUUGUAUUUCUUUAUCCCUACGGCGUCUCCCUCCCACACUGCGCUAAUAUGACCGGAUGCAUGCAUGUAAUUGAAGGGAGAUGCAAUUACAUCAUUGACUGAUAACGGUUACCUAAGUGCAUACNNNNNNNNNNNNNNNNNNNNNNNNNNNNNNNNNNNNNNNNNNNNNNNNNNNNNNNNNNNNNNNNNNNNNNNNNNNNNNNNNNNNNNNNNNNNNNNNNNNNNNNNNNNNNNNNNNNNNNNNNNNNNNNNNNNNNNNNNNNNNNNNNNNNNNNNNNNNNNNNNNNNNNNNNNNNNNNNNNNNNNNNNNNNNNNNNNNNNNNNNNNNNNNNNNNNNNNNNNNNNNNNNNNNNNNNNNNNNNNNNNNNNNNNNNNNNNNNNNNNNNNNNNNNNNNNNNNNNNNNNNNNNNNNNNNNNNNNNNNNNNNNNNNNNNNNNNNNNNNNNNNNNNNNNNNNNNNNNNNNNNNNNNNNNNNNNNNNNNNNNNNNNNNNNNNNNNNNNNNNNNNNNNNNNNNNNNNNNNNNNNNNNNNNNNNNUAUAAAUUUAGGUUUCUGAUCAGCUGCGUCAACGACGUUUCACAUUAAGCUUCUUUCCUUUCUUGUUCGUUGCCGAGUAAUUGAGCCCCUCCUUGUGACUUUUCCGGGGCCAUGGAGUAUGAUCUUUCUUUGGUAAUGUAGUCUUGAUUCUUUGUUUCACGUAUGCUUCAUCAUCAUCGUCAUCUUCCCUCAUCGGGUUGCCGUAUUGGUCGUAGUCUUCCUCGUUGGCGACUCCAUCCAUUCCGACGAUGCUCCUUUUGGAUCUCCUCACGACAACCCGGCUGGGAUUAGCCGGGUCGGUUAUGAACAAGCAUUGUGUCACAUGCUUAGCGUAUACCCAUGGCUCAUUUUUGGCGAUACGUUAACGUUCGCGCGAGUGCUCUUCGCGCCGGGUAUAGACAUGGUGGUGAAAUACAUGUUUUCUCUAACAAUGUCCUUGGCCCAUUUGACACGGAACAUCUUCGCAUCGUGCAUUCCAGCAUAGUCCAGCUCCCAGAUCUGUUCGACCCUUCCGUAGAAUCUUUCAGUUGUGUCGUUGGCAUUGGUCAUGCAUUGAAUUGUCACCCCGGAGUUCUGGUAAUAACAGUCCAUGUCUUUGGCCUCCGUGUAGAACGUGUACCCAUUGAUACCGUAGGACUGAUUAGUCGCGAGCUUGGGCGCAGGGCCAUGUGCUAAGGCGUGUAUGAGCAAUCCCUCCGAACUGCCCUCUUCCGGGGUUCUUUUAAGAACUUGCUCUUUGAACCAACGCAAGAAAGUGGCGUUGUGCUCUACAAUAACUUCGCCGUCUGUCUUGAGCAUCCCCUUGUCAUGGUACUUCUUUGCAAUGCUUUCUUUGUGCCGUGCCACAUAAUCAUCUACCACAUCUAGGUGUUGUAGCACUACUAAGUUAGCCCUGUCAAAGUCAUUUCGUCGAUCCGAGUAGUCCACGUGCAAUUCCCUCCGGUCGUUGUUGUGACCAUCUCCUUCGAGCUUCCCAUUGUGCUUCUUGAUAGGCAAACCAACAACAGGUUCUCCGACCCUUAUGUAAUUCUCGAAGAAGGAGACGCACUCAAGCGUCAGAUACCCCUGGACGAUGCUCCCUUUGAGAUGGGACUUGUUACAAACGAAUCCUUUGAUGACCCCAUUCAUCCUCUUGAAAGACAUUAUGCUGUGAAGGAAUGUUGGCCCGAGGUCGACGAUGUUAAAGAAUGCGGACAAACAGAUGCACCAUGACAUUAAAGAACAUGGGCAGGAAGUACAUCUCAAGCUCACAUAGUAUGACAACGAUCUCUUGUUGUAGCCUUCGGAGCUGCUUCACACUUAUGGACUUUCGAGAGAUAACGUCGAAGAAGUUGCAGUGACCAGUAAGCGUGUCACGGACGUGCUUGUCUAUUAUCUCUCUAAUGGCAACCGGGAGUAUCUGCGUCAUCAUCACGUGACAGUCAUGAGACUUCAUCCCGCUGAACCUUUUCUUCUUGGGGUCUAGAAAUCUGCUUAUCUUCCCACAGUAACCGGAACGGACUUUGAUUCCCAUAAGGCACUUGAUGAAUUGAUCGAUCUCCUUCGCACUUAAGGUGAAGCAAGAAGGGGGGCAAUAAUUCUCCUCCUUCUUGUUGACUUUUCUGCCCCUUUCCCCCUCCCCUGUCUCCGUCUUUGUCUCCUCCAUCAACUUUUUAUGGUGGAGAUCUUUCUUGAUCUUCAAAUCUCCCAAGUCUUCCUUGGCUUCGGCCCAUCCUUUGUCUUCUCCGGCAUGUUCAUCAGUGUGCCAAGCAAGCCCUCGAGGACAUUCUUCGUGAUAUGCAUUUGAUCAAGGCAAUGAGGCGUGUCGUGAUUGGGCCAGUACUCUAAGUCCCAGAAAACAGACCUCGUUUUCCAUACCUUCAGCAGCGGCUCCGACGCCUUUUUGAUCUUUCCCGGUGCGGGGCAUUCUUCCCAGUUUCUCAACAGCUCAUCGAUUUUGGCGCUACUCCUCUUACGUGGAGGUCCUCGAAGCUAAGCCAACCCAUUGGAUAGAUCUCCACGCUUUCUCCACAGGUCAUCCUUCUUGAGCCAUCUAUGAUGCCCCAUGUACAUGAUUUUCCCGGAUACGCCAUCUUUUGUUGACAUAAGCUGCUGAGACAUUUUAUCAUCCAUGCACCUUGUGCAUCCACAGUAUCCGUGGCACACCUGGCCUGGGGUGUACCCGUAACCGAGAUAGUCGUGCACCAUCGUCAUCAGUGCGUCUCUCAUAUGGAAAUACUCUCCUUUGCUGGUGUCCCAUGUCCAUGCCGGUGAUUUCCAUAAUGUUUCUAGCUCCUCUUGCAGAAGCCCCAUAUACAAGUUAAUACUAUUUCUCGGUUGUUUCGACCCUUGAAUAAGCAUGCACAUGUGUUUGUACUUUUGUCUUCAUGCACCUCCAUGGGGGAGGUUGUACAUCCAUACAAACACAGGCCAUGUGUUGUGGUUGGUGCUCUGGUUUCCAAACCGAUUCAUGCCAUCGGUACUCGCACCAAGCACGAUGUUCCAUGGAUCUUAUGCAGCAAAUCCAUACUUGGUGUUGAAUGCUCUCCACUGGCUACCAUCUACGAGGUGUCUCAGCCUCGGAUCAUCUCCAUCUUUGGUCUUCCUCUCCGCGUGCCAGCGCAUGAGCUUUGCUUCCUUAGGAUCUACGAAAUACCGCUGCAGACGGGGAGUGAUCGGAAAGUACCAUACAAAUUUCUGAGGAGCUUUCUUUCCUUCCUUCUUGUAUCGAGAAGCAUUUGACACUGGACAGCUGGUUUUUCCACGUGCUCCCCCAAAUAAAUGAUGUAAUCGUUGAUGCAUGCGUGGUACCUAAUGUGCGGCAAAUCAAAAGGGAAAAUGAAUUUCUUGGCCUCCUCGACACUAGUAGGACACAUGUUCGCCGUAGGAAGAACUUUAUUAUGUAGAUACUUCAAAUUCUCAUCAAGGCUUUUGUCUGUCUAUUUGUUUUUGGCCUUCGUCUUUAGAAGUUCGAGCGUAAAACUCAAGCAGGUCAUCUUGGGAUCGCAACCGUCAUACAAUGGAGUCCUUGAGUCUACUUAAAGUUGCGCCAGCUUGGCCUCCUCUCUAGAGGAAGCUCUCUCACUAGUCGUACUCUUGCGAAGGAGGUCUUAAACAUGAGGGUCCUGCACGACUGCACUUAGUAGCAUCGAAGACUGCGGUGUGACCGCCGCCUCUUCUCCGCCAUGUCCGGACUGUUCUUCGCCGUGUCCGGAAUCUUCUCCGCCGCCAUCAUUUCCGGACACUUCCCCGCCGCCAUGUCCGGCGCCAUCGUCUUCGUGUCGAUCGGUCAUCUCUUCGUCUAGCCCCAUGUCGUUAUUCCCUACCAUCUGGACAUCCUCAUCAUCAUCAUCUUCUUCUUCACUUAUCCACUGAGUAUAGCCAUCCAUGAAACAAUUCAUCAGCAGGUGCGCCUUCAAAGUGCCACGAUCAAAAGGGUCCAAAAGGACUCCUUCCUUGCCCCUUGCAUCUUGCACACAGACAUCUAAUCCUAGUCCGAUUAUUUGCAUACAUGUCCAUCACCGCGGAUUGCAUGUACCGCUCCAGCUUCCAUCCACUCACCUUCAUGACCAAUUGCACGGUAUAACAAGCAAAAGGGUUAUAAAAUAAAUAAUGCAUGCAUGCUUCAAAGUCAUAUAAAAUUUUGGCAUGACCUUGCCUAAAAAUAGGAGAUAUUGGGUUUGCUCAAAAUUCACCGAAACGGAAAUAAAUCGAUAUUUCAGCAAAACAUAAGCAACUCGAGGGCAUGUCACACUCGCACAAAUCUCUCCAUGUAUAUAUCUCAAACACACGUAUUCUCAUUCACACACAUAUUCCCAUUCUUGAAAUGAAAAACUUUUUUACUCACCUAUAUAUCUCCCGAGAGAGACCGAUCGAGAGAGCACGCGGUUAAUUAGAUGAUGAGAGAGACCGAUCGAGAGAGCAUGCGUGGAUGGCUAAAUAGCUAGCUAGAUCUAGUUGUUUGGGAGGAGAGGUGAAUCUAGCUAGUUAACUAAUGGAGAUGGAGUUAUGGUGGAGGGGCAUUAAUGGGGAGAGGAAGAGAGGUAGGAGAAACAAAGAUGUGAGAGAGGCCAUUUAUGGAGAAGAGUUGUGGUGGAGGGGGACAUUAAUGAGGAGAGAAGAGAGGUACAAGGAAGAGAGAAGAAGAGCAAGAAUGGUGGAGAGUAGAGAGGGGAAAGGAGGGGGAGAGAGGGCAAAGUGGGGGAGAGGAGGGGGAGGGGUGAAAAGGUGGCACCAGCCGCAACUAGUAGUAGCGUUGCUUACCAAAAUGCGCUGCUGCUACCGUACUUAGUAGCAGUGCUUUCCUACAGAAGCGCUACUACUAAGUGGGGCCCAUUAGCAGUAGCGGCGCACUAAAAUACAACGCUACUACUAAACUGUUAGUAGUAAUGCUGGAUUCUGCACAGCGUUGGUACUACAGCUACCGUCGGUGGCCUCGUCUGGUCCACAUAGUAGUAGCGCGUUUUUGGUUUCCAGCGCUACUGCUAUACUGGAUCAGCGCUACUGCUAACUAGUAGCAGCGUUGACUAUUUUCCAGCGCUACUGCUAACUAGUAGCUGCUAACUUGUAUAAGCAUUUCCCUAGUAGUGUUAAUUUGAUUGACAGAUUGCACUUCUGGUUUCUACAGCUAGUUCUAACUAAUGAUUGAAAAAUAUAUCUACCUUAACUCUAGACAACCACAACACAUUGUCACUGCCUAACAGUGAUGAACCCUAGUGAUUCAAAUAAAAAAAUUACAAUGGCAGUGACCUAUAGCAGAAGAGGGAGGGAUGAUAUGUGCACCUGGGUUGGAGCUGAGGGUUUCCUACAGUCUACUUUGUCGCCGUCAUCAUCGCCUGGUUUCGUCGCUGAAACCCUAGCAGAUGAGAGUGGGAGGCACAGAUGCAAAACACACCUCUAAUUAAAAAAAUUCCAAAUGGACCAGAUGAGAGUGGGAAGCUCAGAUGUGUACCUCAAGACUGGAGAACGACGACAAUCGCCGGAAUCAGCCAAAAUCAAAGCGGCACGACCAGCAGCGAGAGAAGGAGAGAAAAGGGAAUGAAAUAGAGCAGCGGGUCAUAGAGAGGGAGUAGGUUGAGGGGGUCGUUGCCCCCGUUGGUUUUGACCCCCAUGGCAUUCUAAUACUAUUUGGGCUUGCCCAAUAAGAAAAAAGAUCACCACCUAAAUAUUGUCAACUCAAAACUAUAUAUUUCUAGUCUUAAACUAAAAAGGAAAAAAAGUAAAUUUAACAAAAGUACCUAUAAUAUACUAUUAAAAAGAUCACCAAAUAAAAAUCUUAAUUUUUUUUGGAAGUGUCUAAAUACAUAUUUGAAGGCUCAAAACUAUAUAUUUAUAGUCUUAAACUAAAGAGGAAAAACAAUUACAAGUCUCAAAGUACAUAUUAAUAAAAUGUCAUUAUUUCCAUUUAAAAUAAUAGAAAUUUCAUAAAAGUAAACUAUAAUAUACUAUAAAAAAGAUCACCACACAAAAAACUAAAAAGAAACAAAUUUUGAAGUGUCAAACUACAUAUUUGAAGGCUCAAUACUAUAUAUUUUAAGUCUUAAACUAAAAAGGAAAAAAUAUUAAAGCCUCAAAAUACAUAUUUAAAAACAUGUCAUUAUUUCCAUUUAAAACAAUAAAAUUUUAAUAGAAGUAAACUAUAAUAUAAUAUAAAAAAGUUCACCACAAAAAAAACUAAAAAGAAAAAAUAAAUUGGAAGUGUGAAACUACAUAUUUGAAUGCUCAAAACUAUAUAUUUCAAGUACUAACUGAAAAGGAAAAACGUAAAUUUAAAAUCUUAAGUACAUAUUUUUAAAAAUGUCAUUAUUUCUAUUUAAAAUAAUUGAAAAUUAAUAAAAGUAAACUAUAAUAUACUAUAAAAAAGUAUAUACCAAAAAAUAGUAAUAUAAGAAUGUUCGCAUUGACAAAAUAACAAUACCGGCGUCCGUUAUAACAGCACGCCACAACUAAAUAUAAUAGUGUUGGCGUUCCAUGCUAUUCCACGACAGCAAUAUAUUACGUCUGGUACAAAUUGUUGAUCUCAUGUAUUUCUGACACUGCCUUGUUUUCGAACGCCACCACUAUGCCCCUACUAAUGUCGUACCAAAUCAGCCAACGCCAUCACUACUUGAAAACAAAUAGUGGUGGCGUUGGUUGUAAUGGAGCGCCACCAACGAAAGUUGUGGCUAGCCCUUUUUCCACUAGUGAAGAUUGAGGGAGGCCGUUAGAUAAUGUUUAUGCAUAGCUAUCGUGUAGACACUUUAUAAUGGGAUAGCCACACCCGUAUUGGGUGUCGUGCAGUUUCCCACAAACAUAACGUUUUACAAUCCUGAGAGGCCAUCCAAGGGAGUCCGUCGUAGGUUGAUGCCGUUUUUACCCUCUCUAACUAAACCUAAAGUGGCGAAGUUACUAGCAUGUCGCCAUGUCCUUGCACUAGAGAAGGUAGUUGGGGACUAGACGAUCGUCUUGGAGAUGGACUGAAAGAUGGUUGUGAGCAAGCUCAACUCUGAAGGGAAGGACGGCUCACCCCAUGGACCGGCGGUUGAAGAUGUGAAGGGCAUGCUAGCUCCAAACUUUUAUUGAGUCCAAGAUCACUUGGGUUCAUGGAGUGAUGAAUUGUAUUACCUACGUCUUAACUAAUGAACAUUGUCGGAAUGAGUUGUGAAAAACAUCGCUUAGUGUGCCUCCGAAUUGUACUAGCGCCAUUUGAACUCUGGCAUUGCCGAGAACUCUGAAUACAAUGGCAACCAUUCUAUCUAAAAAAUGAUUCCUUACAGGUAUCUUUUACCUUAUCAAUAAAUCGAGUAUAAAAAAUUCAGUUUAAAUUAGAAGCAAGGUGAUUAUCAACAUACUUAUUUUAUUCCUUAUCUAUAUCUUAAUGCAUGGCUAUAAUAAGAUGAUAUACUUUUCGUCAAAAAGUUGCUAGUAUUACUUUUAAUUGACUAGGGAACUAAAUCAUGACUACGACUACCUCUGUCCUGAUUUAUUAGCGCUCCUUGUAGUUUGGGUCAAACUUUGAAAUUUAAUUUAACUAUUAGAAGAAUAAGUUAUAUACUCUAAGAAUAGUAUCACUGAAAUCCUCUUUCGAAUAUGAAUCCAACAAUAUAUGUUUUGUGACAUACAACUUAUAAUUUGUUAGUCAAAUCUACAGUCAAAGUUGGACACAAAAUAUGAAAGGGACCAAUAAACCCGGACGGAUAUAGUAGUAGUAGUAGUACUCCCUCCGAAACAAAUAAAUGCACUACCAAAUGCUCCCUCCGUCCCGAAAUACUAGUCGGAGAAAUGGAUAUAUCUAGAUGUAUUUUAGUUCUAGAUACAUCAAUUUUUAUGCAUUUCUACGACAAGUAUUUCCGGACGGAGGGAAUAAUAAGUGUAUAUUUGUUUCUAAAUAUGAAAAUAUUACUAUUAAAUACUACUAUACCAAAGAUAUAAGAAUAUUAAAUACUAGUAUACCAAAGAUACACAUAAAUAUAAGAAUAUUUAAUAGUAGUAUACCGAAGAUAUUCUACAGUUAAAUUCUAUUAACUCUGUUCCAAAAUAUAAUAAUAUUACUAUAAAAUACUAUUAGCUGUUUUCAAAUAAUUAGUAAUAGAGAUAAUAUUCUUUAGUAGUGAUAUAUCUUUAUUCCUCAUUAAAUAUAAGAAUAUUACUAGUAUUAAAUACUAGAAUCCCAAAGAUAUAUCUAAUAGUAUACCAAAAGAUAUACAACAAUUAAAUAAUAUUACCUCUGUUCCAAAAUAUAAGAAUGUUACUACUACCUCCGUCUGGAAAUAGUUGUCAUCAAAAUGAAUAAAGGAGGAUGUAUCUAGAUGUAUUUUAGUUCUAGAUACAUCUUUUUCUAUCUGUUUUGAUCACAAGUAUUUUCGGAUGGAGGAAGUAUUAAAUACUGUCACGGCUAUUCUUAUAUUUAGUAACAGAGAUAAUAGUAUUUAAUAGUAGUUUAUCAUUGUUCCUAAAUACUCCCUCCGUCCCAAAAUUCUUGUCUUAUAUUUGUCUAGAUACGGAUGUAUCUGAUACUAAAAUGUAACUAGAUACAUCCAUAUUUAGACAAAUCAAAGACAAGAAUUUUGGGACGGUGGGAGUAUAAGAAUAUUAUUAUUAAAUACUAGUAUAGAACUAUAUAUUUAGUACUAUACCAAAAUAUAAGAAUAUUUAAUGGAAAUAUACCAAAGAUAUGCUACUAUUAAAUGCUGGUAUUAAAUAAAUAAAUUUGUAGUUCAACACGCGGUCCCCACCUUGGCCCGUGCCUUCCGUUUCAGUUCAUAAAGGGCAACACAUGCUUCGCCUCCCCUCUCACAUUCUUCUCAUCCCGCUCACCUCAACCAACUCCGCGCGUCUGUUCGACCGAUCCUCCGUGAUGUCUAGCUCCGGCGUCAGUGCCAUACCCGCAGCCAACCACGAGGAGCACAGCUUGGCGGCCCCCGCCCCGCCCCCUGCGGUCGCGGUCGCCCAGGGGAAAGGGAAGAUGCUUGCGCAACAGGCGCCUGCGCCGGUGGUUCGCAAGCGCAAGCCUGGGAGACCCCGGGAGAAAAGCCCGCCCCCAAUGGCCACCAGAGAGGAGCUGGAAUUCAGGGAGUCCCGGGAAGGACCCUUGAACGUGCUUGCGCUCCCGGCGCCAGGGGCCCCGCCUGCUUAUGCUGUCUCAGACUACAAGAUGGUGAGUUGCACUCGCGCCCCCACACGGCGUGCAACCGCUGUAUCCGAAGACAAGAUGGUGAGCCGCGCUCGCUCCUCCCCCCUCUGCUACUAGUGAUUUGAAGUUAACUGGUGCCUAAUGAGCUAGAGUUAUUGACAAUCUUUAAUCUAGUCAUGUGAAUUAGUACUAGUGCUUAAUGAACUACCUGAUGUGUAUGUGCAAGAAUUACGUGCUGGGUAUAUGUCCUUGGACAUUCUAAUCGUUGCGAUCUCAUCUGGCAGAAGGACAGGAACCAGAUGGCGCUGGUGGUUCGCAGGCGCAAGCCCGGGAGACCCCGGGAGAAAAGCCCGCCCCCAGCGGCCACCAGAGAGGAGCUGGAAUCCCGGGAGUCCCGGGAAGGCCCCUUGAAGGUGCUUGCGCUCCCGGCGCCAGGGGCCCCGCGUACUCACGCUGUCUCCAGCGACAAGAUGAUGAGACGCGCUCGCGCCCCCACCCGGCAUGCAAACAUUGUCUCCGACGACAAGAAGGUGAGCCGUGAUCGCGCCCCCACCCUGCAUGCAAACCGUGUCUCCGAUGACAAGAUGGUGAGCCGCACUCGCUUCCCCCUCUCCUACUAGUGAUUUGGAGUUAACCGGUGCCUAAUGAUUUGAAGUUACUGACAAUCUUUAAUCCAGUCAUGUGAAUUGUACUAGUGCUUACUGAAUUACAUGAUGUGUAUGUGCAUGAACUACGUGGUGUGUACAUGUCCUUGGAUUUUCUAAGCAUUGCGGUCUCAUCUGGCAGAUGGACAAGAACGAGAUGGUGCCGGUCCAGGGGGUGUCGCGCAUGCGGGGGAGCAUCGCGUCGUCAAGUGUGGUUGGUAAGUAUACUUUAUGCUGCUUUUUAUUGUCAACAUCGUCUCCAUGCAGGCUACACUGGCAAACAAGCUGCUUAACUCUUGUGCAUGCUGGUUUUUUGUCAUCACUAGUAUACUGGUACUGGACUGGAGCUUGUUAGCUCUGUCCAUGCUGGGCCUUUUUGUCAUCAUUAGUAUUGUUAUAUAUUAGCUGAAGCUGCACAUGUUUUCUUUCCAUUGACGUUGGUGCGGGCGGUGCUACGCGUCAGUCGGCUGAUGGAUGGACGCCUUACUCACCUGAUUUUAAUCAAGUCCCACCUAGGUGUAGUUUGUUUUGUCACUAGCUGUGUAUACAUAGGCGAGCUCCAGCACUGCGUUGCAGCGUGGAAAACAUAUGAACUGUAAUAAGAAACAUGCAGUGGCUAGAAACAUCUCCACAUAUUUUUUCCAACACGUUUUAGGUGUCAACGAAAUUAGUCGGAUCGCCAGCCAUCGAAUUGACACAUGGAGCAUUGGAUCACAAUACACGGCAGCAGAGAGAAUGGAAACCGUGUUUGUCCAUUGCCUCCACAAUACAUAUGUAUCCACCACCCCUCCUACAUCGUCGCAACAGACAAUUACGUCGGCCCCUUCCGACACCUCGCUUUGGUACCCUAGAGACCCUGAUGUCGCUUGGAUAUCCUGCAAGUAUUAUUACAGUGCGCCAACAAGGCGUCGUCCUUGCAACAUUGUCUUACAGACAAUGUAGUUGAUGCCACCACCACCAUCACCCAUUUACACAUGGGCCGUCGCAUGUGGCACUGUUCGUGGGAUAAAACACACCCCGCGAGAAUACGUGGUUGCACCACUGCGAUCUAUGCACCUUAGGAAUUGUUUUGACUGCCCCUGCAAAACUAGCGAUGAUACGGCCAUCGCCCUGCAACAUUGGCCAUAGUUGUAGCACAUCUGAGAAGACGGAUGCCGCACCUAACAACACAGUAUGUGUUUUUUGCACCAUAAGAAAGCACUGCCUUGCAACGUCGGCUAUCAGGGUGCUGCACUGACAAACACACUCACGACCUUGAGACGUCGUAUGCCUUGGCCGAUGUAGCAUAGUGCUCCUCUUUCAGCACAUAGCGAUGGCUUGUAGCAUUGAUGGUCGGAGAGUCGCUGCAUCGUUGAGUGGCAGUGCUAGCCAAACUCAUUGUCAUAGAGAAGGGGGAAUAAAGGAUGGGUGUGCACGUGGUGGAAAUAAAGCGAAUGGAUAUGGUGAAGAGAGAGGAUGACUAACAAGGGGCAUCUGGCGCUAGAGCGAGCUGACUGAUUUCCCCCUAAAACCAGCCUGUUGAAUAUAAUUCAAUUUUCUUUUGAGAGACCUCAUAAAAACGUCGCAACAUGCGAGCAUGUCUAUACAAAAAAUUGUAGAUAUACAACACAUACUCAUUAGCUGCAACAAAUCAGUGAAAAACACAAUGUAUAUAGGCCUGAACCGAUGGAUCAUCAGCAUGCAUCUGCCAGCUCUUCCUAGGUUACGCCCAACCGUGAGUCGUUCAAUUGGGUCACACAUCACUACCCAAUCAACCACCAACUUAGUUGUUCCUCUCGUCUCCUCUACCCACCCUUGGCAACAUACACCCAUGAUUCUCAGCAAUAGACCAACAUGGAGGCGACAAUGGUGGCCAUGAUAGGCUAGUGAAAAGCACACUGGUUGGUCAACCUUACAACACUAAACAGAAACAUUGCAACAUGAGGUAACCCCAACUUUGUAGCACUGGUGCACCAUUUUCAACCACCUUGUAGCAAUGAAAAGUUCACUGACCAAUAGCAUUACUGCACCAAGUUACCGGCUUCCAGCACUGAACACCCGGGCUUGUAGCACCGCGAUGAUCGAUGGUCGGCCUUUCAACAGUAUUAGUUAACAUUGCACACCUCGUCUCCAUUUUUAUGUACAUACGCAUGAGUGACCUUGGAACAUCAGUAACGUGUCAACAUUAUCAAACUUGAAGACGAUAAAUUUGUUUCUCCAAGCAUCGACAUUACUGAAUAAGCGUGCAACUGCACAUCCACCACAUGAGCCAUAAUUUUUUAGCCCUGCGACAACAGCUUAUAGUUGCAAAAGAGCUGACGAUGAUGGUUUAGAAUGUAUAUGAUCAAAACAGAUUAAAUGGAGGGGAGGGUGGACUACCUAUGUUGAAUCAGACUAGCCGCAAGGUCACAAGUGCCUUGUCUAAAUAGCCAAAAAGACAAAAGGAGGCCUCCUGGAUUCUCCAUCCCGAAGCUAAGCAUAACUCCAACUCCAGACACGCUAGGGGGCUACUAAAGGUGCAAUACGGUAGGGGUGUCUUCUGGGUGGGAAGCCUGGUAGCAGGCCUACCUUAGGGCCCAAGAGGCCAAGUGGAGGAUCGGUGCAGUAGGGCAGCUCAGGAGCCCAGAUAAGGACUGUGAGAGCAUCUUGGCAUGCAAGCUAAGAUGGCAGUGGUAUGAGAUCUGAUGGAUUCCUUGUAAACCUAGCCCUUGCCACCUAUAUAAGGAGGGGCUCGGGGUUGUCAUUCACAUAUACUCUCAUAGACUAUACUCUUUGUAGCAUUAUACUUCAUCUCCACUCUAAACCCCUCGCACAAGGUGCUCCGCCAUGAAUAAAAAUCAGAUACAGGAAGUUGGGCAUUACCUCUCACCGAGGGCCCGAACCAAGGUAAAAACCUUUGUGUGAACUCCCUUGUCAUGGAUCCCUACAAGUUCACCACCCUACUAUGGGUACUCACAUUUUUACAUACUGUCACAUAGUUAAGUUCUGACACAUUUUCUCUGGGGAGUUGAAACAACUCAUGGUGUAAGUAGGUGUUGCUUGAAGCACUGAUUCUACUAGCACCUCCUUUCCAGCCUUCGAGAUACCUUGUCCUUCCUAUCCAACCACUUUGCCAUUUGAGCUUUCUUUAAGAUGUUUAAAAUUUCCCUCCUUUGACCUACCCACCACGGUUGGAAGCCCCAAAUAAUGCUCGCUCAAUGCCUUAGGAUCUGUGCAAAGAUAUUUACAACAACUUAGUCCUCCUAUUUGCCUCACUUCCCAAAGAAUGUUGAGGCUUUUUGAAAAUUUACCAUUUGUCCCGAGGCCCACUCGUAGUCAAUGAGGAUAUAUUUAAGGUUACAAAGUUGCCAUUUGACGGUUGAAGAAAUACUAUACUAUCAUCUGCAGAAAUAAGAUGGGCUACAUGGGGGUUAGUGCUCCCAAAAGAUAUACCAUUGAUCUCUUUAUCUUUGAGCACUCAUGAGAAAGGCCAAAAAACUCGCAACAUAGAAAAAAAAUAGGGAGACCUCUUCAUAGUAUAAAAAAAAUAGGGAGCCCUCUUCAUAGUAUAAAAAAAAUACAAAACACACUCCUUUCAAUUUGAUCGAAAACCUGGCCGGGGUACCACACAUCAUAAUCAUCAAGAUCAACCUAUCUGAGAAACCAAGUGCCCUCAUCAUCAGAUCGAGGAAAAUCUAAACCAACCUCUUAUAGGCCUUCAUCCUGUAUAGUUUAAUUGCCAACAUUGGAUUUUUUCUAUUUCUUGAAUGUACUUUGCUCCUUCGUGAUCAUAAUGGAUAGGACAACCUUCAAUCUCUUUGCUAGGCCUUUGAAGCAAUCUGACUAAGCGUGUUCAAUAAGUUGAUUGAUCCCAUUUGAGGAAGUAUCUCCAUUUAGGUAAUUUUGGGGAUUAGGACUAGAACCAUAUCACUAAAGUUUGGUGAAAUAACUCCAUUAAAAGAAUCAUCUAUUACUAUGCGUACAUCAUUUUUUAGAAAUAACUAGUGAAAUUGGUAAACAUGAGUGAGAGGUUGUCUAGCCCCUGCGCUCCAGUCAAAUUUAGAAUAGUGCAUUCUCAAUUUCUUCAUCCAUCACGUCUGUGUUCACCCUCUCCUCCAUAUCACUAGUCACACAGGGUCGGAAGUGAGCUAAGAUGUUGUCAGCAUCAGCAGAGGCUUCUGAAGAAAACAACUAAGCAUAGAAAUCGGCCGAAAUCUUCCACAUCUCAUUGUCAGUAGUACAACUCGUGCCAUCCGCCCUCAUGUUUUGAUCGUCUUUCUUGAGAAAUUCCACUCGAGAACAUUGCAUACACAUUAUUUGUUCCUGUGCACGAACCACAUGAAGCUAGGCUUCAAUCUCGCUGGUCUUCACCGAGGAUGUCUGGAUCCCAAUGAUCUACCCUUUCCAUCGAAGCUGGAACUUGUGCCUAGUUAUCUCACAACAUACAAGACAAAAUACAGAGCCACUUCAAUAUUUCAUAUCAUUGGUGACAUUGUUAUGCUUCAUGUAGAGCUCACUCUGGCCGGAAUUGUUAUCACAUGCACACCAUCAUGCCUCCAUGGGCAUCCACCUCUCCUCAAACGUUAAUGCCUUGUUCUUACUUUUGGUAAUGACUAGGUUUUCUAGCGCUCUAUUAACGAGCAAACCAUGGUCUCGUCCUCCAUGACAACAUGUUCAAUGGUUGUAUCCUACAAUGAAUGCACGACUUCAUCAUUGCAUGGACCCCUGUCCACAUGUACAUAAAGCAUCUCAUCUCGCUCCCUCUUAUUGUCCCAAGUGUACAGGUUGCUACUAAAACAAAGUUUUGAAACGCUAUUAUUGGCUACACUCUCCCUAAUGCGUUCCAUUUGUGUGAAACUCCUCAAGUAAUCUCCUAGUUGUUGUGAUUAAAAGAAUUCUUUGUUGAGCUAUCAUUGUAAUAGAUAAAUGUAUUAUUAGGAUCCAGUUUCUCGGAGCCUCCCUUAGCUACACAAAUUUUCUUCAAUCUCUCUUCCUAUCAAGUAGCUUUAGGUUAUAAUCAUUGUGAUGCCUUUGGUAGUCACCAUCACCUUGCCUCGUAUUAUGAACAAAAGUGCCUCAUCUGCGUUGCUCUGAGGUAGAUGGUCAUCUUUCCCAAUGGCCUUGCACCCUUUCCCAUAUAUAUUUUUUAUGUCUUGCUUCCUUUCAUGCUCCUUUCUCAUGUCCCACUUCCUUUUUAGAUUUAAAUCAUCCCUUAGUUCACAAUCAUGUCACAGAUCUUGCCUGCAUUGGUCCUCCCUGCACUUCAUCUUAGACAGUGACCCUCUACAAGACCAUCUCGAGGAUCCUCGUAGAGAGAGAGAGAGUCCACAGAGGGUGUAUAAUCAUUGUAUGACCUGCACGUAAAUGGACGCACAUGCAACGCUACAUGACCCAUCGCCCAUAGACGCCCUUGCUUGACCUAGUGCUCCCAAAACUAAAGUUCCUCCUUUCUUUCACCAGCCUCUACUUUGUUUUUGUCUGUGAGGAGCCACGUCCAAGUUAUGCCCUCAACCAUUCACCCAACUGGGGUGAGGAAUCAUUUUGUGGUUCAAAUCAUCCGUCAACAUGUGCUAGUCUGUCGUAGUCAAUCCAAAAGAGAGGUAUCUUCUCAAAUUGAAAAUCAAACAAGGUCCCCUCAUCUUUUGCUGAAGAGUGGAGAAAGAAGCCUUAGACUAGUGAAAGAAAUAUGAAAAUUCUAGCUCUUGAUCUGAGAUGGUUCCCCCAUAAAUCCAUCCUUCUUAACAUCACUCUUUACCACGCCACGAAGACAAUUCCCAAGAGCAUUCCCAAAAGUAUAUGAUCAUUUAUAUAGGGGAGGAUCUGUAAUUAUCACCCAUGGCUCCGUCAUACAAAACAUUAUCUUUGAUGACCUAGUUUUUUCAUCAUAAUCCUUCAAAAGUAUCACAUUAAAACCAAAUUGCCACAUUCAAUUAUAUAGAGCGUGCUUUUAGACUCCUUUGUUAUGGAAUCUAAAGAAGAAGAUAUUAUUUCUAAUGUGACUUAUUUGGGCUUCCUAGUAUAGUCCCAUGUAUGUUGCAUAGCCCUAGCAAACACGUUGAUGUUGAUUUGCUGGAGUGAGCAUGCCUUUCCAACCACUGACCACCAAGUAGGCCUCGGUCGGUCUGGAAUCCUGAUCCUCAAACAUGAGAUCUAUUAGUUCCUUUUGUUGUCAAGUUCAGGGCUCCUUGUUAAUUUGGUUGAGAGUUUAGCUGCCUCCCCUGAAGCAUUUCCAUCUGUCAGGGACUUUUGAAGGUUCUCAUCUUAACGAUCCUUGGUCGCCAUGUUCACUUGAGCUGUCGAUUUACGCCACGCCUUCUCUCCCAUCACCGCGAAAAGGAGUGGAAGCACCAAGACCAGUGAAUGUAGGAGUUUACAGUGUCAUCACCUCAUAGAUGAAUAAAAACCUAACCCUAGCACUACUUGUCGGUCGCCUAUAAUCACCCUUAGCAUUUCUUUUCAUGUUGGGCCUGCCACUAGGUAUUUAUACGUGUGCUUCCAUUGGUACUUUUUUUUCGCUGGAGCAUUUCUGCUACAUUUGCCUUUCUACAAAGGCGGUCUCAUCCAAAUCAUAUAGUCUCCUCUAUCUAUAGGAAGCGAGGACAUUAGCUCUUCUUUUUUUCAAGGCAAAUACACUUGCUACUGUUCAAGCGACAUCUAAAGAAGUCUUGUCACAUGUGAAGACGACGCUAAGAGUGUGACACAUAUAGGUGCCAACUUGAAGAAUAAUGCAAAUUUCAGUAAAUAUGAAUAGCUCCAGGGGAACGAGCGCACAAAGGAAUCAGCCACCAUAAAUGGAUCAUUUCCAAAGAAACAAAGUCACAAAGAGAGAGACAAGACAUUAGCUUCUUUAUGGGGAACACAUACAUUUAAAUGUUGCCUUGCUCUCUGAUUAUUAACAAGAAAUAAUUUUUACUAAUAUAUUAUGUGUAAAUCUUGAUAGAUAUGGAAUGUAUUUUGGUCAGUAUGUUUUAAGGAAUCAUAUUAGUUUUUGGUAUGUUGAAAUUAGAAGAAGUUCAUGUGCCUUCAAGGCAUGUCAAGGUGUGUUGUUCCACCUCAAAAUUGGUACAUACUAAAUGGUUAUUCUCCCUACAUAUAGUCCCAAUUCUCAUGCUCUCUCUCUCUAUCUAUCUAUCUAUCUAUCUAUCUAUCUAUCUCUCUACAUUUUAUAUUCCAGACUACUCCAUAAAGCCUAACUGGUGAAGGUCCAGAAACACCCAGCAGUGAUGGGUUCAACUCCCAUUAGUAGUCUAUACUUAGUGGAGGAGAAAAAAGCCAAGCCCGGCAAUGGUGAAUAAAUCAGAAAAGAAAAUAAGGCCAUGCCCAGUCCAAAUCCGGCACCUGCCAACAAUGUGUAGUCUCCACUACUCGAACCUACUUUUCCUCAGUGUGUUACAUCAUGUGAUGUUUGGAGAAGCCAUAGAGUUGGGGAUCCGAAUAUAGAAAACAACAAUGGGGAGUGGCUUGAAGAAUAGGAGCCAAGAAGCCGGACGGACAAGGCCUCCGCCAUGCUGUACCAUUGGCCGAUACUGACCCGUAUGGUGCAAGGACCGAGGCAGAACUGAACACCGUCAUCAUCUAGGUUGCAAAGGAAGUUGGACCACUGUGUUUCUUCUCUCGGACAAACUCAAUGAUUUCAUGCAGUUGGCACCCACGCCACAUUCCACAGAGAUAACAACAUUGAGGAGGAGGAGGAGGAGGGGCAACGCAAGGUUUCUUCCUCAUAGGAAUUACUUUCGAGGAAGUGGGGGACGGUAUGGCAUGAUGAGCAGUUAACAAGGGAAGUUUGCAUGACUGUGGAGGACAAAUCAUGAAGACAAGUGUGCUAGUAGCUAUAUAAGGGAUGAAUGAUAGCAGGAAGGAAUAAUGAGCUUACUGGGUGAGGCUACUAUUUUUUAAGUUGCGACCUACUGAUCAUAACAACAAUUGAUCGUAACAACGUACCAUUGAUGAUAUAGGGUAUUGAUUUAGUAACUGUCACGAUGUGACUAGGGCUUGUAAGCGGUGGGUUGUAUAUUACUAACAAGUAGCAUGUUUAGCCUCAAUAUUGUCCUCUGUCACUCGUAACAUCGUACCAUUGACGGACCCCGUCACUACUACCUUUUUCCAACAAAAAUAGAAUUUUAGUUAUAGUAAGAUUCACAACAAUCCCGCCGGCCAUUAGUGCUAAGUUGCACUGCUGACCGGUUUUUUGACCCACCACUUUUGAUCGAUAACUAGGCGAGACCUCUAGUCUGGUGCACAUUUCUUUUGUUCAGAAUUUUUAGUGUUUUUAUGUGUACAAAGACAUAUAUUUCAACCCUAACAGGUUCUCUUUAGGUGGGGUCGAGAGUGAAGGACUGGGGAGCUUGGAAGCAGGGGAAAUGGCACCUCAAGGGGUUCAGGUCUCUAUGAUCAAUAACCACAAUUUUGAUCUGAAUGAGCUGCCGACUGAGCAUGAGUAGCUCAAGAAGGAGUAGUCACCUCUGGAGCAAGAGUAUCCGCCUAUGGCACAACAUGAGAUUUAAUAUUCACAAUGGUUGGAGGCUACUCAAAUCCCUCUUGUGUGAGCAAAGUUAACUCUUGGCCCAAAGUGUAGCCCUGUCAGAAAUUAUCGAAACAAUAUCCUUAUCCCAAGGACGAUUGUAAAGCUUAUGUGGAACUUUUGAAUUUCUCACUUCCUAUUUUUUGUUGAUUGACUGACGCUAUUGCUAAACUUGAGGGAAGGACCUUGUAUACUGCUUCAUGAUCAACGUGUCAACUGGAAAUGGCUUUUCUAUUCAUUUCCCAUGAUGGUUUUGAUAUGUGGAUUGUUUGAACAAGCAGGUGUUCAUUCGGUAAAGCUUUGUGAAACAUCAACGGUGGAGCUAGGUCUCUGGUCAUGUGAAAUGAUAGUAGGUCAAGAAGUGUGUUGGAUCAUGAGAUAACAUAUUUUCUAAGUUGUUAAUCAUGUGUGUUAACACCAUGGGUAGUAUGAGAGAAGGUCAACAUGCAUGUUUGGGUCUGAAAUGACCUCAUGACCAAAAAAGGGAGAGAAACAUGGCUAAUAGGAAUACGAACGAUAUGGAAGUUACUUGUUGCAUGGAUGUUAACUGUGGUUAUGAAGCCACACAAGAUGUCAGAGGACCCGCAUCCUUACAUAUCAAGGUUGACUUCACAUGCCAACUGGAUUUCGUCUAAAUUAUUGUAUAUGUAUGUAUGUUAUAUCUUGAAAUCUUACCAAACAAAAAACACCAAAAAAUACACUAUUUACUUCUCUUUGAUGCAUACUCUAGUUGGAGGGUAAUCAAAAGCUUAUGUGGAUAUUUGUCCAUAAUAGAAUAUACAAUGGUCUAGUGAGGCAAGGUGUAAAUGGACAGGACAAUAGUCGAACAUGAAAACAUCCAACAUUGUGUUAUAGUUGCAUCAAGUUGUCUAGUGAGUUAAUAUGGAAAUGGAGGAGGCUCAUAGGGCAACACGAGAACACCCAACAUGUAGCUCUACUUACUUCCUAUUGGUACGAAGAGACCGAGACUAGUGAACGGUUAACCAUAACACAUGGACAAGAUAUCUCAUACAAGAUGAAAAUGGAGUGAGUCUUGUAUGAAAAUGAUAACAAAGUAUGAGUGUGCAUAGCAUGCCAUCCCACAUACAUCAACUAUCCUACAUGUGAAUCAAAUCCACAUCCUACAUGGGCAUUGGGCUUUAGUUGGACUACCACUUUAUGGACAAGCCAUGUGCUCCAUGUAGUCUAUAUUGCAAAGGCGGGAGGACAGGGAGCAAAUAGUUUUCGAUGGCUGGACAUUGAAGUUAUUUGUCAAGAAAUUUGUUUCCUGACAUGGUUUGUUUAUUUCAUUGUUUAGUAUUCGAUAUCGGUUCAAUGCUCUAGUAUGUAACCUUCUUCUCACAUUUUGGGUCUAGCUCUUGGUGUUCAUGAGUUCAUUACUUAUGUUAACUAUUAUUGUUGUGCCUACUUGUUCAUAAGAGACUAUAAAAAUAACUAAGAUACUCCCGUAUUUAUAUUAAUAUAGUUGGCACUAAGGUAAUCAUCAACAUUGAAUAUUGCUCAUAUUUGUCAAAUAGGAGGUCAAGCUGGAUCUGUCUGGCGCAUCAUCUAUGGUCACAUAUGGUGUAUUGUCUAUUCUAAACCCAAUGAGUAUUGCAGAAUGACAUGUGCCUGCGGGGAGGAAUGAGUCACUGUUUUGGGUCAAGGGGUGAUGCCAUGCCUCAUAAUUGACAAUAAAAAAUUAACCACCUACAUAAAAAGUCUAACCCAAGACAGGGAAUAUGCGCCAUUGCAAUUUUACUGCACAAAGUCAUCGGUAUUUUGCAAUUGAAUGUUCCCCAUGUUGUGACUGAGAACACAAAACACAAAACACCCCACAAAACACUAUUCACUUCUCCUCGAUGCAUAUUCUAGUGGAAGGGUAGUCAUAACCAUAUGGGAAUAUUUUACCACAAUAGAAUCUAUAAUGGUCUAGUGAGGCAAGGUGUAAAUGGAGAGGAUAAUAGGCGAACAUGGAAACAACCAACAUUGUGUUGUACUUUCAUCUAGUUGUAUAGUGAGAUAAUAUGGAAACGGAGGAGGCUCAUAGGGCAACAUGAGAACGCCCAACAUGUUGCUCUACUUACUUCCUAUUGUUACCAAGGGACUGAGACUCGAGCAUGGUUAAUCAUAACACAUGGAAAAGAUCUCUCAUACUAGUUGAUAAUAGAAUGAAUCUUGUAUGAUAAUGCUAACAAAGUAUGAGUGUAGAUAACAUGCCAUCUCCUCCCUUUCUUGUUGUAUUUUCCUUCACCAACCCCCAUAGUACCCUGAUCAACACUAUUAAUUCGAUAUGCUUCACAUCUGAGUUAGAAUUGUGAUUGGGAAUAGUUGUAUCAUUAUCUAAGUAGACUUAUUUAAGGGGAAAUAACGGACAUGUCUUAUCUAUUAUAGCCACAUUCCGGAUAGGAAUAAAAAAAGUUGACAUAACAAUAUAAUUUGUUGAGAUUUGAAUCGAAAAUUCAACAUACAUCAACUAUGCUACAUGUAAAUCAAAUCCUCAUCCUACAUCGGCAUUCGGCUUUAUUUGGACUACCACUUUAUGGACAAGCCGUGUGGUCCAUGUGGUCUACGUCACAACGGCCAGAGGACAAGGAGAAAAUAGUUGUCGAUGAUUGGUGAUUGAAGUUAUUUGUCAAGAAAUUUUUUCCCCAACAUGGUUCAUUUAAUUCAUUAUUUAGUAUUUGAUAUAGGUUCUAUGCUCUAAUGUGUAACCUUCUUCUCACGAUUUGGGUCUAGCUGACAGUGGUCAUGAGUUCAUUACUUAUGUUAACUACUAUUGUUGUGUCCACUUGUUCGCAAGAGACUAUAAAGUUAACUUAUAUCCUCCCGUAUUUAUAUUAAUAUAGUUGGUGGUUAGGUAAUCCUUGACCUGGAAUAUUACUCACAUUUUUCAAAUAGGAGGCCAAGCUGGAACUGUCUAGUGCAUCAUCUAUGGUCACAUAUGGUGUAUUGCCUAUUCUAAACCCAAUGAGUACUACAUUAUGGCAUGUGCCUGCAAGGAGGAAUGAGUUACUCUUUUAUGUCAAGGGGAGCGGCAUGCCUAAUAAUUGUCAAUGAAAAAUUAAUAGUCUACAUCAAAAGUCUAACCCAAGAAAGUGAAUAUGUGCCAUUGUAAUUUUACAACACUAAGGGCCUGUUCUGAUCUUGUCCAGCUCCACGCUUCACAAAUUCCUGGAGCAGAUACGAGCCGAAUGAAAUAGCAGCGAGAAGCUAGCUCCAGGAAGCUAGGAUCGACUGCAGUGCAAAAUCAUGAAGCAGACUCGGCCCAGCUCCACCGAUCUGGAAAGCUGAAGUUAGCCCAUAUUACAAGUGAACUGCCAUAGCCAAAUCAUACAAGCCGAACCGGUACGCUCGAUCAGUUUGAUUGCUCCUCGUUCCCUCGCUCGUGCUCCCUCACUGCUCCUCUACAAGGCCGAUUUGGGUUGCCUCCAGUCAGCCCAACUAGCUCGAACAAGCCACAACCCUUCUAGUUGGGUUGCAGUGCCGCGAGAAGCUACAAACCGAGCAUAACAGAUUUUUCAUCGCUGCUUGGAGUGAGAAGCUACUCUGAAAAGUUGAAUUUCUUAAGUUUUGGGAAGCUAGAGGAGAUCAUAACAGGCCCUAAGUCAUCGGUAUUUCAUAAUUGAAUAUUCUCCAUGUCGUGACUUUUGAUGGUGUAAACCCAAAUAAUCGCCAUUGUGAAAUUAAAUUCCUCUCGUGAGUCGAACCCACAUCCAUAAAGAUGUGCCACUAAAAUCCACCUCCAGGCUAUCUUGGAGUCCUUAAUAUAAUCAAGUGUGCCCAAUAUGGUGACUUAAUAUGUAUUUAUUGACCCUACGAAGCUAAUCACCUCCAUCAAGACCCAUUCCUGGUUCUCCUAUAACUAGAUUCCCCGAAACCACGAGAAUCCUUAGAAUGGGAUUACAACUUAGCACCUUUCGUUUUCACAUAGUAAGAAGAGUUGCUCCUUGGAUAGCACGGUACGAUCAAAGGUGCAACCUGUGUUUCGGAGGGAGUUAUUGUCUCGAAACUUUGUUCUCAGCUAUUCCGAUUCCAUCAAACGGAGGCCAUUGGGUCAAUGCUGUAGUGCACGCCCUGUAGUUUUCAAGUGGGGUGAGACAACUUUAGAUAGGAACCUAUUUUCAUUCUGACCAGCUCCCUGAAAACAAUGUUCGACUUCAUGUGUAGUCGGUGUAGAUGUGUCAUUGCAAUGCCACCACUAGGAUAUCAACAAGUCAUAUGUAUUACAUGACAACAUAUGCCACCAUAUGGUGACUUGAUAAAUUAAAUGGAUUUCACCAAGCUUUCGUGUUACAAUUAUAGUGAAGAUAGUGACUCACAUGUCAGCCUCCCUGAUGGGAAGCAAAAUCACUCUGACUUUGGCAACCUAAUUUUUGGUGGAUUCAAGCAAACAUGUUGGAUUUGUAUUUUAUUUAUUUCAACAUAUAUAAUUCAUAUAAAUAAAUCAAUUCAUAAUAGGUGUCUUAGAGACACCCAUGUCAAUAAUGUGAAAUUAUGGGAAAUCUUAUUGUGUGCAUCAACAUAAGCCAAAACUCGUGGCUUAAGAGAUAUGUGUACAAUCUUCCAAUGGUUAUUCCCCCUACUAAAUUCAUGAUGUUAACUAGUUCCCAGAAGUUGAGAAAGAAGUUUAGUCAUGGGAUCAAUGUCCAGUGCAUCAUAUUUCCAGUUCCCAAAAAAAUUUGUUAUGGAAGUUGAGAAAGAAGUUUGGGCAACAUAUUUCCAGACACCUGUCAUGUCUAGGAUCUUCUCAAGCCUAGGUAAGCUUAGUCAUGGGAUCAAUGCAGGCUAUUAGUACAUUGACCUGGUUCUUAAUUCAAGUCCUCCUUGCUUGAUACAAUAUUGAAUGGAAAGUACAUAAUCAAUUUACUUAAGUGGGUGAACAAUGUUGGCUAGUAUAUUUCAACACUCACCUCACAUGCAUCUUUUAGAGGCAUAUAAUGCAUCGUGAUGGAAACAUUUUUUCUAUAGACUAAAUUCCAAUGGAAAAUUUUAAUUAAUUUAAUUAGUAGCAAUCUCGUAUCGCAAGGAUAUAUGGCAAAUGAAAAUGAGGGCUCAAAUGCUACUUGUUGGCACACAAAAGUCAAGUUGUCUUUUUCCUCCCAUGUUGAUCCUCCGUGGUUCGACAUUGGGCAUUACAAAGAGAUCAAGUUAUCUUUACACACCGCUAGAGCUACCAGACCCUGGAUGUUCCAUCAUGAAUGUCCAUAUGGUGCAAUGAGUGAUAGCGAGGUAUAUUAGAACAUAUAGUUUACACCGUUAAAGUAAUUAAAUGGGCUAUUUUUCCUACUAUGAAAAAUAGUAUUUUAAGAGAAAACUAUAUAAGAGUUUGUGAUCUUUGUAUGUAAAAGCAUUAUUUGCCUUUGCUUGGUGUUCACGCAGUUUGAUUUAUGGCAAAAAUGGAAAAUCAUGGGACAAUAAUUGUUGAUAUUUUUUGCCGGAAAGCCAGAUCUUUUCACUUUUCAGAUCACACAAAGUAUUGUUUUUCUUAUAGGGGUGAUAUACAGUGUUCUAAAUCUGCACUUGUGAUUCGUUGUCCAUUUAAAUCUGGUUUCUUCCACAGAUUAUGUUGGUUUGUUGUUGUAUUUAUCUCAGCACUAAAGUAUACUGAUGUUAGCUAAGUCCAAUCAAAGGCCCGUGUUUUUAUCAUGUUAUACAAAUUAGUAAGCUAAGAUCUUACCAAACUCAAGUUACAUAAGCCCAGACUACGUGAAAUACACAUCAUGCAGUACACAUGUUCAUCUUAGUGUUAUGUUAUACUUGGCUCCGAGAUAACAAAUGGUAUCAAUUAUUACUAUCUUUUGCAGCUUGUUUCUGCCUGUUCAUCGUAGAAUUAUCUUAUGUGGUCUCCCAAGGUUCAUACAACUUGGAUUUUUCAUACUUUGGUAGUAUUAGUGUUCACUAGGACUAGGUGCCACUCUGCAGAACCUGAGGAUACAGAUGGAGAAAGUAGUCAUGGUUUUUUUUUCAAAAAGUUUGUUCAUAUCUAUAAGAGGUUUAUGAUUUUUCAGUGUAUAGUGUUGUGAAACCUAGAGUGUUUUAUCUCAUUUAACAUUGAACUACGCUUUCAAGGAAAAACCUUCAUUUGACAUCGAACUAUGCAUGCAGGGCAAACACCCCGUGCUUCGGUGCCACCGCGCCGCGAACCCUGGGAGCUUGAACCUGGAUGGGUGUGAACUUCAGAUUGAUGUCAAGGUUAGGGGUCAGUCAUGGAUAGAGAAUAAAGGGGACUUUGCAAAACUGUUAUUAAUAAUAUGGAUGAAACAUUGCCUUGUGGAGAGAAUAAGAUAUUUCCAGAGAUAUUUAUAAAUGGAUGCAUACUUGAAAUAGCAGUACAAAAUAUGAUGCUAACAUUUUAUUUUCAUUGUUGUUCCCAUUAAACUUCUGGUGGUGGCUCCAUUAUUCACAGCCUCGCACAUGAAAAUGUUAUUUCGUUCGGGUAAAUGUUGCGUGUCGUUGCUCCUGUAGUUUUGCGGUUUGCAUCUCCUUGAAACUUGUGAGUUGGAUUUUUCGAAGUUGCAAUGCAAAUUUGCGAUGCAGGGAAGAUAAUAAACAAUGCUUUCUAAGAGCAUUGGAUAUUGGAUGCGACUCAGAAAGAACGGAACGCAUGCAGAUGCAAGAUGCAAGACGUAGUAGGCAGUAGGCACAUGUCCAGGUUUAUUAAGAGCAUCUACACCGGACGCCUCAUAUCUGCCACAAACGCCAGGCCGAGCUUCCCGGUCAUUACUAGGACGCAAAAUUGCCACCCAACAGGAUCUGUCAAACCCGGCCCAAACGUCUAGACAUGACCGCAUUCCCCAUAUCCAGCCCAUAUCUCGGACGGAUAUGUGGAAGCCCAGAGGCGCUCGGACACACCUUCCAGGUAGGAUCCGGCCGAGUGCGGCCCACCCGAUCCCACAUAAAUUGGACCCUAUCCACACUCCGAGCGAAACCCAAGUGGCAUUCAACUCCACUUUACUCCUCGCCAGGCCACUCCCGUCCACCCACAAGCCCCAUUUGCGGAUCUCCCACCAUUUCGAGCCGUUGAACCGGAGAUCGUCCAACGCGGCCCCAAGGAGGAGAUGGUCGACUGCCUUGCGCUUCUCCACUACCGGAGGUGUCCGCCUGGCCGCGGUCGAAAUCCAUCUGGCGGGAAUCCAUUGCGUCUGCCACAAUGGAGCAUGGAUCCUGCCCGAGGGCAGUCGCCGCUGCCUUAGCAGAGGCAGUGCAGUCCGUCUGGCGUCCGAACGCCAUGGAGGAUACGCGACCACUUUGUUGGCGCACUGAGAAAGAGAUGCACACCUGCUUAACGUCUGAUACAAAUAUGGUGUGGCACAUCCACUGUGUUAGGCAGUGGGCACAGGAGCCUGCGGCAGCCCUCGUGCCAGAUGGCAGCGGGGCAGACUCACACUCUUCGAUGCCUCGUAUCGUGCCCGGCAGCCCUUGGCGCCGAAAUCAUGUCGUGUUGGACGCGGCCGGCUCCACCAUCAUGGAUCAACUAUCGACCUCACAUCCACCGAUGACAUGAGGGCAUGGGCUCCGACGAGAAAGAGUAGGCCAUGGGAGAUGGCGCCGACUCGAGUUUCUUUUGCAGGGUCGUGUCCCAUGUCCUACUCUACCUCACCGGAGACUGACCCUCCACUUCGACAGGCUCAGACAGCCAUCGGACAUGGACAGGUUCGGAACGACAAGGACAGUCGCUGGCGCAAAUUUAGACUACAGCCGUCGACGCGAGGUGAGCGCGCCACGAGUUAAUCGCUGAAGAGGUUGGGCCGUUCUGUCGCCGGUGGUCAUACAGUUGCCGACGUAGUCGUCCAUGACCACCAGAUCAACGCCGCCGCCACUGCAAGUCUAGGCAUCUCUAGUGGUUGAUGUCAUUUUAGUGUAUUUUCUUUGUAUUGUGAUGAUUGCAUACUGUGUUGCAUAUUGUGGCGUAUUUUCUUUGUAUUGUGAUGAUUGUAUACUGUACAAUGUAUUGUGGCAUAUUUUUUGUGGUCUAUUUUUGAAAAAGAAACUAUAAAUAGCUAAAAGUGGUGUGCAGAAUAAAUUUGUACCCGCCACUACAAAACAAAUGCCAGUACUGACAUAUAUUUUUGCCCACCAUUAAUAGUAAUGCCCGCCACUGCUACAAGAUCGAGGUCGAUGGCGGGCUGUUUGUAACGCCCGCCACUGUUAUAGUCAUUUGUGGCAGGUGGAGCGCCCACCACUAAUGCCAUGUUGCCAGUGGCAGGCGCCUCUAAGAGCCUUACCCGUCAUUGGUAGGCUUUUGAUGCCACCACUGCUACGCAUUCCUGCGAUAGUGUGCAAUUGCGUAUCUAGUAGAACAUAUAUAACUAUCGUCCCAACAAACAGUUUCGUCCUACCAUGAAGUUAUAGUCGGGUUGAAGACAUUCAUUUAUAAUCGGAAGUGACGUUGCAGUUGCAUAUCAAGUAGGAGAUAUUUAACUACCCUAAUGACAAAACACUUUUGUUCCCUAAAUUACAGUCGCAUUGGAGACAUGCAUUAGCGAAACGACACCACCUGUAGUUGUGUGUUUGGAGUUAGACAUGCAACUAGCUCCACAAUAAUAAUCUGAAUUUUAAGUUUUAAUGAAUUUUAAAUUAGAGAAAAAAGAAAAGAUGAAGAUAUAAAUGCAGAAAUAGAGAAAACAAACAAUAGGAAAAAUCCUAAAAAAGGCAAAAACAAAGAAAGGAAAAACCUGUUUGAAGUUUCUAGAAGCUUCAUAUAACCAGUAGAAAGAGUCCUACAUGGGGCGGCCCACUCACACAUGUAAAAAGAGGCGGGCGAGGCGUAUGUCGACUAGCUCAGAGUUGGGGAAUCCUAUUCCGUGCAUAGUCGCUACGUAGCGACCAAAGGCGUACCCCUCGGGUUUGUGGUCCUCUUCGGGUCGGUCCAUUCCAGGUUCUUCCGCAUACUGGUGCUUAGGAAGGUUCUAGACCUUUUUUUCUAUUUUCUUUGUUUUCUUCUAGUUUUUUCUUUCUUUUAUAUUUUAGUUAUUACUUCUUAUUUUCUUUUAUUUUAAAUUUUCCGUUUUGGUAUUGCAAACAUAUUUUCAAAUUCAUAAAUGUUUAUUGAAAUCGCUAACAGUUUUUGAGUUGACAAACAUAUAUCUGAAAUAAUGAACAUUUUCUAAUUCGACAAUACAUUUUGAAAUCACAAAAUAACAAAAAAAUAACUUUUGAGGACAUUUUCAAAAAAUUCUGAACAUGUUCGUCAAUCGGCCGACAUUUUUUGAAUCGAUGAACAUUUCUAUGAAUUGACAUGAUUUUUUUGAAUCGAUGACCAUUUUUUGAAUCAAUGAAUAUUUUUUACAUGAAUGAACAUUUUUUGAAAUUCACAAUAAAAAAAUUUGUGAACAUUUAAAAAACUUGUUGAAUAUUGCUUGUAUCUCAACUUCCGUCCUGAUUAAUUAAAUAAAGUGGUGAUACCCAUCAAAAGAAAAUAGCUACGGUUGGCACAAAAUUUACUGCAAAUUAAUCAUGUGAUGAAAGACUUAGACGUGACAUAGUUUUUAUGUACCCUGAUAAGUGCCACACGUCAGGGUCGUUCUCAUGACAACUUUGAACAUUUUUUAUGACAAGUUUAGUUGCACGAGGAUGGCAAAUUUAAUUGACAAGCAUGAAAACUUUCGUGCUUUAUUUUAUUUUAAUAGAAACUUGUCGUGUGUCAUUGAAAUUUGCCAUCCUUGGAUGACAAGAAUUGCCAUAAAAAAAGUCAGGCCCAAAGUGCAAAGCACCUGACGUGUAAGACCUAUCAUUUGGAUACUUUAUAUCUAAGAAUUACCAUAAAAAAAGUCAGUCCCAAAGUCUUCAUGGUUACCUACGUGGAGCACCUUUUGUUCUAGAUCGCGAACUUCUUCAUGUGCUUGCACCGAAAGGGGUAGGUGAAACGUUUCAUGGAGUGAGGUAGAUCCCAAGAAAUCUGUGACUGAAAUAUCCUCAUUUAUUGCAAAGGAGAAGGCCCACGCGUAUUAUUCCGCCAGUGUAGUGCCUAACCAUAUAUCCUUCCACAUAAGUACCGUGUCUCCAACGUGCACAUUUUCUUUAGAUAUCCCUCUGUAGAUUGGGGUGAGCUUUAGCACAUCCUUCCACCAAAAAUAUCUGCACGGUUCCGACACGUGCGGGAUCUUGUGCAUGUAAUAUGUUGUCCAGAUCAAAUCCACCCAGGGCAGGUCAUGGUGGUUGUAAAAUUUAUGCAGAUAUUUGAGAAAGAGGGCCUCACUUUGGAUAUGGAGAUUGAUUAUGCCAAGUCCACCACUUUGUUUUGGUUGACAAACCAUGUCCCAAGCUGCCAAUGAGUUACAUUUAUCCCCUUGCUCAGUCUUUUUUGUCCAAAGGCACUUCCUUCUUAUGUUAUCAAGUAGCUCUAAUAUCUUUGGUGGGAAUUUGAGAGUGCAGAGAGCAAAGAUGGUGAGAGAUGUAAUCAUCGUGUUGAGGAGUGACAGUUUUGCAUCGUAUGACGUCAAGGCUAAAGUGCUGGUCAUUCUUCGUUCCAUCGUGCAAACAAGAGGCAUGAGAUCUUGGACCGUAGGCUUGGUUAUUACGAGAGGCAGUCCCAAGUAAGUGAAGGGCAUAGAUCCUACCUUACAGCUAAAGAUAGAAGCGAUGUCGUUGUAACAAUCGGCAGCACAAUUAAUUGGGAUUGAUGUAGACUUGUGGAAGUUUAUCUUUAAUCCAAUAGAAGCAGCGUAGUCUGAGAGAAUAUCCUUGAUAGUCCUUGCUUGGUUGGGGCAAGCAGGGAGUAUAAUGAUCGUAUUGUCGGCAUAUUGGAUCACUGGAUAAUCAUGCUGGUUUUGUCUUUGGAACGGAAGCCGUUUUUUUCCUUGUCGGAAAGUGUCAUUAAUGGAACCUUGAAUAAGGUCAGCUGCGAGCACAAAAAUGAGGGGUGAUAAAGGAUCACCUUGACGAACACCACAUUUGCAGAUGAAUUGCCGGCCUGGUACACCAUUUAACAGGACCGAUGAUUUUCCCGAGGCGAAGAUGCAUUUGAUCCAAUCAAGCCACUUGGCAUCAAACCCCAUGUAUUCCAUAAUUGUAAUCAUUGCAUCAUGCUCGAUCAUGUCAAAGGCUUUUGCAAAAUUUAGUUUUAGCAGGACAAUAUUUUGUUUUGGGGUUUGACACUGAUGGAUGUACUCGAAAGCCCAGGCCAAACAGUCUUGUAUUGAUCUUCCUUUGAUGAAGCCAUAUUAAUUGCGAUGAACAAUUUUAAGUAUGAGCUUUUGGAGCCGCUUUGCGAGCAGUUUAGUGAUAACCUUGAGGCAGAAGUUGAGCAAAGUAAUUGGUUUGAAAUCAGAAAUUGUCUCAGGUGACCGAACUUUGGGUAUGAGUGUGAUAAAUCCCACAUUAAUGCUCUCAAGAUUAAGUCCGCCCUCAUAGAAUUGAUUGCAUAGCUCAUAAAAAUCCUCUUUAAUUAUGUUUCAACAUUUUUCGGAAAUAAGCCAGUGAAUCCAUCCGGACCAGGUCCUCUGUCAGCCAGCAUUUCCUUGAUGAAAGCAUCGAUUUCAUCCUUGGUGAAAGGGACAGUCAAUUGAUCCACACCCUCAACUUUCUUGAUGAUGCUUUGUAGGUUGAAUUUCAUUUGAAACUCUCCAGAUUUUCCAAGUCUUUCUUUGAACGGUUGGUAUAUGAUCGCCUCUUUACUAGCAUGAUCUUCUGCCACUGUGUCAUCAGAGAGUUUCAGUGUUGGAAUUGUGUUGCGUCUGUAUCUUUCUGAGGCCAUUGACUUUAAAAAUUUAGGGUCUUCAUCACCCAAUUUCACCCAUCGAAUGGUGCAUCUCUUUUGCCAGUAUUGUCUUUGGUAGUUCAAGAGGCGUAAAAUGUGUUUAUUCAGAAUUUUCCUAAAAUUAUGUUCUGGAGUAGAAAGGAUUCUAAGAUUUUUUAGGGCAUCUAGAUUGGCCAGGGCAAGAUUAGAGUUUUCAAUUGCCACCUUAAGUUUAGAGAUACGUUUGCUCCACCUUUUCAACUCAUAUCUAAAUGCUUUGAACUUUUUGCAUAGUAAAGUGGCGGCAUUUGUAUUGGCAUGUUUUAAUGGUCUUGUCCACACAGAUUGAACCAAAUCCAUAAAACCCGGGUGCUCCGUCCAAUAAGACUCAAAUCUAAAGAUAUUGCUGCGAGGGAUGGAGGUUUCAAUUUUGACAACACACGGAAUAUGAUCAGAAACUGGUUUCCCUAGUGGCAUAACUAGAGUGUUAGGGUAACACAAAGUCCAGUUGUUAGACGUGAGAAACCAGUCUAAUUGCUCAAGGAGGGGGGGGUCUGUCUGCAUGUUGCUCCAAGUGUAAUCACGACCCUCAAUUGGAAGUUCAAUUAAUUACUAAGAGCGGAUGAUGUCAUUAAAAGCAAUCAUGUCAUUAGGAUUACCUCUAGGUUUAUUUCUGUUAUCAGGGCUACGAAUAUAGUUGAAGUCUCCUAGCAACAACCAAUCUUCAUUGGAGGGGAUAUUUAGAGUAUGAAGCCAAUUAGUGUAAGUCACUCUCGGGUCACCCUGACACAGGCCAUGUAUAUUCACCAGGGUCCACUCUUAGGCCGAUUGUGUGGAACAGAAUUUGAUGAAAGAACCAUGCCAUGAGAACUGUUCCUGUGAAAAUGGCAUUGUUCCAAAUGGCGGCAAUGCCUCUUGAAGCACCCUGGGAGGGGAUGUAUGCAAAUUUAUAAAAUCUUCUUGGACAACAAGACUUCAGGAACAAGUUAUCAAUGACAGAUUUUUUUUGUUUCUUGCAGACAGAUGACUGCACAGCCACUGGAGGAGAUAGCAUUUGAGAACGCCAAAAGCUUAGGAUCAGAGUUUAAGCCUCUUACAUUCCAGCACAAAAUAUUCUAGCUCGAUAAAAGUGCCAUGAUAAAAUAGAGCAAAUUAAAAAACAACUAAAAUAAAGCGAGGAAAUAGCUUAAGCAUUGGAGGGGCCGUCCUCAGCUUCAGCCAUUAGAGCUUCAGAAGUAACUUCUUCUGGCGGAAUGGCGCACUUGAUGAUCCCAAUGUGUUGCAGCACUUGAACAGGAGUAGGUGGAGGGAUAUUGUCCUCGUUCAGUGAGUCAGGAACAACUUGACCUGCUUGGGCACCAGCACUAGGGACAAUUCUUGGCUUGACUUUGGAAGGUUUAGCCUUGCUGUCAGAAACUGAUGGUAUCUUGAAACCAUCAUACUUAUUAGAGCGGCUACUGUGACGAACCUCAACCACAGAUGCUGGUGCUUUAGCUUUGCCCCUCCUGAUUAUUGAUUUCCCUGAGCUCAUAGCGUCACUUGCAAUAAAGCCAGUGGAUUCACUUGCAUCAGAACUAGAAGAGGUGGUCAUUGCAUCCAAUGAAAGUGUUGUUGCACCUUGAACAGGUAAGUCCAUCUCAUCCAAGACUUCUGUGAUGACAACAUUGUAGUUGGAAGUCCUUGGUAUGACAGCGAGAUCAUUUGUUGGCUGAAGAGGGUUAUCCCCACAGGACAGGGCCCAAGAACUACUGCCAGGGAUCAUCUCAGUGACAUAUACUGAAUCUGCAGUAUGUUGGACGGUUCUGGUGGAAGACAGAAUAGAGAACUGUCCCUCUUUCUCAGCAAUGCUAACAUUAAAUUGCACUGAAAUGUCACAAAAUCCAAACCCCGAGCUCCACGGGCCAUAUGCAUCUAUAAUAGGCCUAAUAGAAGCUAGGAGGUAAGUGUUCAGCCUCAACAUUGGCACACAAUCAUUCAGAAGCAAAGAAGCAUUGGUGUUCUCAGGAGAAAGCAUAGAAAGUUGCAGACCAACAUAUGAAAUAGACAGUGACAUUUCCAUGGGUGUUACCUCCUAGGCGGUCACAAGAUUGUACGUGAUAAAACUCAGCUCGGAAUCGAUGAUCUGGUGUCUUUCCUAUGCUUGUGGCCCAGCUAACAAUCUCGACAUCUUCUGUACUGCAUCAGGUGAUGCAUGAGGUAGAAUCCAUCAGUCCUACUGGUGUGCGGUUGCUGGAUGCGGCAGAAGUCGGUCUUAUGGCGGAAAACCAGCCCGUUCUUCAUGUGCCUUUUCACCUUGAUAUAUCCACCAGAUAGGCUAAAGGUUAAUAGGGCACUAUCAAGAACACUCUUUAUGUGCAAGUAAUCCUUUUUCUGGAGGUUCUUCGAUGAGUCCAAGUACAUAGCAUGGGAGUAUUACGGGUACAGAACGAUGAGGACGGCGCCGCCCCCGCUGCGCGAAUUAAGUACACCUCAAAUUUGCCUCCAUGCUUGCAAAGGAACGAUUAACACGUACGAAAGCAUAUGCGCGGAUGACUUACUAGGGAUGAUAAGGCAGGAGAAUCGCUUCCUUGUGCUUAUUAGCGAUCAUGAAUUCACCGACAUAGUUGCUCGCAUAGUCACGGUGCUCUUUGCAAACUGCCAAGAAGCUCUCUGCAUAUAGUAUGGGUCCGCGACGCAGAUAUAUUUUAUGUUCUCGAUCUUGAUGAAGUAGUUGAGAUACAACACAUACACGCGGAUGAACUGGAAAUUCAGCUUGGUUGUGUGGAACAUGUCGUAGAUGUAGUCAAAUCGCAGGAUGAACUGAUUCGCGGGCCAGGUCUCGACGUACAACUUCCCACCCGGCACCUGAGCCAUGUAAAGCGGGUAUCCUGGUUCUUUCGCGAUCAGAAGGCUUUUCUCUCCAGCCAACACAUCUUCAUGGAGUCUCUUUAGAUCAUUAUUCAGUAAGAGAUCUAGCGCUUUGGUAGGUAGGAUCGGCUCGCCGGCGACAUGGAAACGCGUCUUACCUUCGCAGGUAUUCUGUCUACCACCCGGGCCUUCAGAGGCGGCUGGCUUCUUGAAGCACCUAUGGCGCCUUUAGGGCCUUUCCUGGGCGGUCUCUUCAUUUGCUUCUUGGCGGGUGGCUGUAGUGAGCCCACCAUACCUUCCCUAACCACCACCCCUAGUGUCAUCGGGCUAAUCAGUGGACGGGCCUCGGGGGGUUGCUGGGUAGAGGCGGCAUCUGAAGGCGUUUCCUGCGAGGAUGGCUUGAAGAGAGACUUUUUGCAUUCCGCCGUAGGACGUUCUGGCUCCGGCAAAUCAGGCAACAUCAAGUCAUCAUCUCCAUGCUCAUAGCCUGAGUCUUCAUCGUCCUGAGCCAUCAAUCCUCCAUCACCAUAGGCGGUAUUUAAAUACUUGUCUGCGUCAUCAUCAUCCUCCAUAUCAUCAUUAGCAUUUGCUUCUUUGACAGUGGGGGCGACAUGAUUUGGCACUAAUCGAGGCUCUCCCUCGCGUCAUACGCUACCAUCCGCCACGACAGGUGCAGGUAAUUUGAUAGGUGGGCUGGUGUUCAUACCUUCUUGAGAAGGUGGCGUUGGCGUGAUACUGGGCGCCUCAAGACGAAGAAGAGACUUCGGCCAAGGCAAGAACCAGCUCUUGCAUGCGCCAACCAUCUUAGGGUUCUCGUUGUCGUCAUCGACUGGUACCGGAGGAGGCAAAUCCUCGAAGCCCGCUAAGACACUGGCCACGUUAACCUUGAAGACUCCAUCGGGCAUCUCUCGGUUGUGGAACAUUCGGUACUUCGGCUUCACGAUCGUUGCCUUUCCCACAGCCACCUUCUGGCCCUUGAUGUCGUAGAGUAGGGUGCAUGGGGUAUCGUCGGCCUACGAAGGAGACAUGUCUGCGACGUCAAACAUCUGAAAGGCAACAGAAAUGAAAGACUAUAGACAUGCUGGUGAAAAGGGUAUGACGCGUAAAUACCGUGAGGUCAUCGAGCUCAGCCAGCGACGAAGGCCCGCCGAGCAUGCGAGAGACGGAGGUCGGGCUGCUAUGAACAGGAACGGGACCUUUUGCGGUUGCUUGGGCAGGUGUUGGUGCUGUGGUGUUUGCCGAAUUGCUGCCGAUAAAGCUAGGAAGGGGAAAGUCCUCCGGCCGUGCAUUUGGACUGCUCUUCGACGAAUCGAAAAUUGCCGGAAUCAAGCUGGCCACCGCGUCAGUGACCAACCCAGUGACCACCCCGAGCAACUCUUCUUUGAUCUCAGCUUUGGUCUUAUUAACCGCAAUCACGACCUUCUCAUCGAUGCUCUGCUGAGUGACGACCAACCCAUCCUUCUUUCCUCUGGCUCCUCGGGGUAGCACGUCCUCCAUGAGGCGCCAUCUCUGAUAUCGUGCACACGUCCAUAGGACGGCGGCUUGUCCACCGGGACCUUUUUCAGUAUGUUUAGGGCCCGGUUGAAUGGGGUGUCGCACUUGGGCCUCGCCGACGACUGUGACGACUCGUCGCUUUCGGCCGCCUUUUUGGUGCUGCUCUUUCUGCAAAAGGAACGUGGAUGGUUUACUAUUGUGAAAAAAGUUCAAGUCGAAUUGAUUGGAAGCUAAUAUGAUAAUGUGGUAAUAUAACAAUUAGCAGAAGUCUCAUGAACUCCCUCGUAUUCGGGCCUGUGUAAAAGAUCUUUCUGACUUUGUCCCACCCACUUGUACCGGGCCGUGAUCGAGUCAUGCUCCUGCAGGUCUGUGAACUCCGACAAGGGGUCUGGUAUUCCGAGACUUUCACGUUCGGCGUCCUCCUUGGCCCAUAUGUACCUCUUCCCCUCGUAACCAUGGCUUCCGAGGCGGUGGGGAGGCGUGUUCCUGGCCUGGAGCACCUUCAUUUUCUCUGACUUUGCCUUGACUUCUUCUUUUCCGCAAUUCUCCUUAAAUUUUACAAAGUCCUCUGCCGUUAUUGUUGGAUUAUCAGCACGAAUCUUGGGCCACGGUUCAUUCUUCGCAAUCGCUUUUUUCACCAGAACAUUCCAGGAGCACAAGUCGUUGGUGAACGUCACCAUCGCGUUGUCGCUUAUCUUUGUCAUGGUGACGUCGUCCCACAACUCUUUAUAUUUGCCUUCCUCCCGAUCGGGGAACAGGAACCUAUUGUGCAACUUCUUUAGGAGCAUGUGCUCCAUAUGUGGUAUCUACUUCAACCUCUCGUCGUUGAUAUUGGCGGUUUCCCUGAGGAUGCAUCCAUGUUGGCUGCCCUAGCACGAGCGCGCUUCCUCCAGCAUCGUUGGCUCUAACUUCUUGGGGUGCAUCUCUGUAACCACAAUUUGUCUGAUGCCAAGCUCGUUUGGUCUUCGCGUCCUCUUCUUCUUUGGUGCUUUACCGGCUACGACAACAUCGUUGCCGGUCUCGGGUGUGGUGUCGGUGCCGGUGCCAGUGCCGGUGUCAGGGUUGGGGCCACUCCCGCCACCAUGCAACCCUAUCUGGUGUUCGUCCAGGUAAUCGAAAUAGUUAUGUGCUGCCUCAAUGGGGUCUGCGAGGCGAGCAGACCACCCACGACUUCGGCGUUGGUGGACAUGUUUCCUAUUCAACAAUUGUAAAUAAAAGAUAUAAUGAAGAGAAAAAAGGGCCUAUAUUUGGUCGGUAUGUUCAUUCCCCUUCCGGGAAAUCCCGGGUACUCCAUAUGUCCUAGUUUCUAGCAUGAAAUUUUUGCCACGACAUUUGCUAAGAACUAGACAUAUGGAACGCCUGAAAUUUGCCAGAACAGAAAUGAAUCAACAUUCAGGCAAAACAUAGGCCAAUCGGAUAUUUUUUGGCAUUCAACCAACAUUGCAAAACCAACAUAUAACAUCAAUGACAUAUAUCAUUCAAGCAAAAGCAUGCUUGUACUUAAAUACACAAAAAUGACAAAAAUAGCACAAACUUGCUCAAACUUGCUCCUAGGGUUCAUACAUAGCUAACUUACCCAAAAUUUUGCUAAAUUUGCUACUGUUUUUUUUAUUUGGUACUGUUUUUAUACUUAAUUUUUUUGCUACUGUUUUUUUAAAUUACUAUUGUUUUUGUAAACUUUGCUACUGUUUUCUAAAUUCUUUUGCUAUUGUUUUUUAAAUUCUUUUGCUACUGUUUUUUAUACCUAAUUUUUUGCUAACUUUCUACAAAAAUUUGCUAACUAGCUAAUAUUUGCUACAAAAAUUUAGUAACUUGCUAAUAAAACAAAAAACAAAAAUUUGUUAAUUAGCUACUGCCCUAAUUUGCUACUUUUCUAACUUGCUAAAAAAUUCCUAACUUUGCUAACUUUACUAAAUUUGCCCUGAAAUUUGCUAACUUUGCUACUGCAUUUGCUAACUUUGCUCAAAAUUUCCCCUAAAUUGAAAACCUAGAUGGGGACGAGGGGGAGGAGGAGGUCGGAGGGGGAGAGGGAGGUGGGGGCAGUACCUGAGGAGGAGGACGGGGCCGGAGGGGACAAGGAGGAGUAGGAGGCCGGAGCGGACGAGGAGGAGGUCUGAGCGGCGGCGGCGCGGAAGAGAAGGAGGUCAGAGCGGCGCGGACGAGGACGAGGAGGAGGCCGGCGGCAAGGCCGAGUGCGGGCAGGGGCGACGGGUCGGCGUCAUGGUCCAGGUCGAGGGGGGACGGCCGGCGGGGCGGGCAGCGCGGGCGAUGACAGCAGAGGAGUGGGAGAGGUGGGAAGUAGGGCGAAUGGGGACUUUGCAAAAUUUUGAGUCCGUGCGGGCAAUGGUUAACUCAAAAUAGCAGUACCGCUGGUUUAGCUAUAGCGUUGGUUCAGCGCUACUGCUAAGUUUUUCAAUUUUACUUUUUUUAUUUCUAAAAUACAAGUAGCAGUAGCGCUGGGUUAGGAACAACGCUAUAGCUAACUUAGCUAUAGCGCUGGUUCCCUAAACCAGGGCUACUGCUAAGUUUUCCAAUUUUAUUUUUUUAUUUCUAAAAUACAAGUAGCAGUAGCGCUGGGUUAGGAAAAAGCACUAUAGCUAACAUUUCUUUUCUUUUUAUUAUUUUCUGUUUACUUCUUUUUUUUCUUUUGUAUUGCUUUAUCCCUUUUCUUUUCUGUUUACUUUCCUUUUCCUUUGUAUUGCUUUAUCGCUUUUCUUUUCUGUUUACUUUUCUUUUCUUUUGUAUCGCUUUAUCCCUACGGCGUCUCCCUCCCACACUGCACUGAUAUCACCGGAUGCAUGCAUGUAAUUGAAGGGAGAUGCGAUUACAUUAUUUGACCGAUAACGGUUACUUAAGUGCGUACACAAAAUAGAUAAAUAUAUAUAAAUGUAGGUUUGUGAUCAACUGCGUCGACAAUGUUUCACAUUAAGCUUCUUCCCUUUCUUGUUCGUUGCCGAGUAAUUGAGCCCCUCCUUGUGUCUUUUCCGGAGCCAUGGAGUAUGAUCUUUCUUAGGUAAUCUAGUCUUGAUUCUUCGUUUCACGUAUGCUUCAUCAUCAUCGUCAUCUUCCCUCAUCGGGUUGCCGUAUUGGUCGUAGUCUUCUUCAUUGGCGACUCCAUCCAUUCCAACGAUGCACCUUUUGGAUCUCCUCACGACAACACGGCUGGGAUUUCCUGGGUCGGUUAUGAAGAAGCAUUGUCUCACGUGCUUAGCGUAUACCCAUGGCUCAUUUUUGGCGAUGACGUUAAUGUUCACGGGAGAGCUCUUCGCGUCGGGUAUAGACAAGGUGGUGAAAUACAUGUUUUCUCUUACGAUUCCUUGGCCCAUCUGACACGGAACAUCGUCGCAUCGUGCAUUCCAGCAUAGUACAGCUCCAAGAUCUCUUCGACCCAUCCGUAGAAUCUUUUAGUUGUGUCGUUGGCGUUAGUCACGCAUUGAAUUAUCACCCUGGAGUUUUGGUAAUCACUGUCCAUGCCUUUGGCCUCCGUGUAGAACAUGUAUCCAUUGAUAUCGUAGGACUGAUAGGUCGCGAGCUUGGGCGCGGGGCCAUGUGCUAAGGCGUGUAUGAGCAAUCUGUCCGAACUGCCCUCUUCCGGGGGAUUUUUAAGAACUUGCUCUUCGAACCAACACAAGAAAGUGGCGUUGUGCUCUACAAUAAAUUCGUCGUCUGUCUUGAGCAUCCCCUUAUCACGGUACUUCUUUGCGAUGCUUUCUUUGUGCCGUGCCACAUAAUCAUCUACCACAUCUAGGUGUUGUAGCACUACUAAGUUAGCCCUGUCAAAGUCGUUCCAUAGAUCCAAGUAGUCCACAUGCAAUUCCCUCGGGCCGUUGUUGUGACCAUCUCCUUCGAGCUUCCCAUUGUGCUUCUUGACAAGCAAACCAACAACAGGGUCUCCGACCCUUAUAUAAUUCUCGAAGAAGGAGACGCACUCAUGCAUCAGAUACCCCUGGACGAUGCUCCCUUCGGGACGGGACUUGUUACGAACGAAUCCUUUGAUGACCCCAUUCAUCCUCUUCAACGGUAUUAUGAUGUGAAGGAAUGUCGGCCCGAGGUCGACGAUGUCAUCCACGAUGUGGACACAGAGAUGCACCAUGAUGUCAAAGAACGCGGGCGGGAAGUACAUCUGAAGCUCACAUAGUAUGACAACAAUCUCUUCCUGUAGCCUUUGGAGCUGCUUCACACUUAUGGGCUUUCGAGAGAUAAUGUCGAAGAAGUUGCAGUGACCAGUAAGCGUGUCACGGACGUGCUUGUCCAUUAUCUCUCUAAUGGCAACUGGGAGUAUCUGCGUCAUCAUCACGUGACAGUCAUGAGACUUCAUCCCGCUGAACCUUUUCUUCUUGGGGUCUAGAAAUCUGCUUAUCUUCCCAGAGUAACUGGAACUGACUUUGAUUCCCAUAAGGCACUUGAUGAAUUGAUCGAUCUCCUUCGCACUUAAGGUGAAGCAAGAAGGGGGGCAAUAAUUCUCCUCCUUCUUGUUAACUUUUCUGCCCCUUUUCCCCUCCUCCAUCUCCGUCUUUGUCUCCUCCAUGAACUUUUUACGGUGGAGAUCUUUCCUGAUCUUCAAAUCUUCCAAGUCUUUCCUUGCCUCCGGGCCAUCUUUUGUCUUCUCCGGCAUCUUCAUCAGUGUGCCAAGCAAGCCCUCGAGGACAUUCUUCGUGAUAUGCAUUUGAUCAAGGCAAUGAGGCGUGUCGUGAUUGGGCCAGUACUCCAAGUCCCAGAAAAUAGACCUCGUUUUCCAUACCUUCAGCAGCGGCUCUGACGCCUUUCUGAUCUUUCCAGGGGCGGGGCAUUCUUCCCAGUUUCUCAAUAGCUCAUCGAUUUUGGCGCCGCUCCUCUUACGUGGAGGUCCUCGAAGCUCAGCCAACCCAUUGAAUAGAUCUCCAUGCUUUCUCCACAGGUCAUCCUUCUUGAGCCAUCUAUGAUGCCCCAUGUACAUGGUUUUCCCGGAUACGCCCUCUUUCGUUGACGUAAGCUGCUGAGAAGUUUUAUGAUCCAUGCACCUCCUGCAUCCGCAGUAUCCGUGGCACACCUGGCCUGGGGUGUACGCGUAAUCGAGAUAGUCUUGCACCGUCGUCAUCAGCGUGGCUCUCAUAUGGAAAUACUCUCCUUUGCUGGUGUCCCAUGUCCAUGCCGGUGAUUUCCAUAACGUGUCUAGCUCCUCUUGCAGAAGCCCCAUAUACAGGUUAAUACUAUUUCCCGGUUGUUUCGGCCCUUGAAUCAGCAUGCACAUGUGUCUGUACUUUUGUCCUCAUGCACUUCCAUGGGAGAGGUUGUACAUCCAUACAAACACGGGCCAUGUGCUAUGGUUGGUGCUCCAGUUUCCAAACCGAUUCAUGCCAUCGGUACUCGCACCAAGCACGAUGUUCCUUGGAUCUUUUGCAGCAAAUCCAUACAUGGCGUUGAAUGCUCUCCACUGGCUACCAUCUACGAGGUGUCUUAGCCUCGUAUCAUCUCCAUCGUUGGGCUUCUUUCUCUCCGCAUGCCAGUGCAUGAGUUUUGCUUCCUUAGGAUCUAUGAAAUACCCCUACAGACGCGGAGUGAUCGAAAGUACCAUACAACUUUCUGAGGAGCUUUCUUUCCUUCCUUCUUGUAUCGAGAAGCAUUGCACACUGGAUAGCUGGUUUUUCCGCGUGCUCCCCCAGAUCAAUGAUGUAAUCGAUGAUGCAUGCGUGGUACCUAAUGUGUGGCAAAUCAAAAGGGCAAAUGAUUUUCUUGGCCUCCUCGACACUAGUAGGACACAUGUUCCCAGUGGGAAGAACUUUAUUAUGUAGAUACUUCAAAUGCGCAUCGAGGCUUUUGUCUGUCCAUUUGAUUUUGGCCUUCGUCUUUAGAAGUACGAGCAUGAAACUCAAGCGGGUCACCUUGGGAUCGCAACCGUCAUACAGUGGAGUCCUCGAGUCUACUUAAAGUUGCACCAGCUUAGCCUCCUCUCUAUAAGCAUCUCUCUCGCUAGUCGAACUCUUGCGAAGGAGGUCUUAAACGUGAGGAUCCUGCACGACUGCACUCAGUAGCGUCGAAGACAGUGUGACCGCCACCUCUUCUCCGCCAUGUCCGGACUCUUCUUCACCGUGUCCAGAAUCUUCUCCGCUGCCGUCACUUCCGGACUCUUCCCCGCCGCCAUGUCCGGCGCCACCGUCUUCAUGUUGAUGGGUCAUCUCUUCGUCUAGCCCCAUGUCUUUAUUACCUACCAUGUGGACAUCCUCAUCAUCAUCAUCUUCUUCACUUAUCCACUGAGUAUAGCCAUCCAUGAAACCAUUCAUCAGCAGGUGCGCCUUCAAAGUGACACGAUCAAAAGGGUCCAAAAGGACUCCUUCCUUGCCCCUUGCAUCUUGCACGCAGACAUAUAAUCCUAGUCCAAUUAUUUGCGUACAUGUCCAUCACCGCGGAUUGCAUGUACCGCUCCACCUUCCGUCAACUCACCUUCAUGACCGACUGCACGGUAUAAAAAGCAACAGGGUUAUAAAAUAAAUAAUGCAUGCAUGCUUCAAAGUCAUAUAAAAUUUUGGCAUGACCUUGCCUAAAAAUAGGACAUAUUGGGUUUGCUCGAAAUUCACCGAAAGAGAAAUAAAUCGACAUUUUAGCAAAACAUAAGCAACUCGAUGGCACGUCACACUCGCACAAAUCUCUCCAUAUCAAACACAUUUGAACACAUUUGAAAACGGGAAAAUUGAGAGUUGUACAUGGAACAGAUUUGAAGUUCAUGAAAAAUGUCAUCUUGAUUUUUUUCUUUUGAGCAAUGGAAUUGAAUUUUUGAUGACUAACAUAAUUAGGUCAAAUAAUCAGCUAGAUUUAUACUCUUGGAACUUUGAGGAAAAGUAACUCGAAACAAUGGUAGAGAACACUUCGAAACACUGCCGCUGUGGUUCCUCCAUACUCUCUGUCUCUCCCUCCCUCUUUUUUAUCUCCUACUAUAGGACGUGCGGAGCGGAAAACUGAGUGGCACACAAAUAUUAAAACAUCAAUACAAUGUGUACUAGUCAAUUUGGCCCUUUGUAUGUAGUUGAUCAUAACAAUGACCCAAGAUUGGAUCAAAGUUUUUCUUCUGAAGUAAUAAUAGGCUUCUCUUAGAACUCAUGAUUUACAAGUUGCACCAUAUUUGAACUUCCUCCUGGCUUUCUACGGAUCAUCUUGAAGAAGUCCUUAUUAGCCUUUUUAUUUGGAAUACAAACAUCAUACAUGUCUAGAACACAAAAACUCUGGUUGCCUUUUUCCUACUACGAACAGAUACUACAAUCACAAAACUCCAUAGAAUUGUUGCAUUUGUUUCUCAUACCUUUCUCUUGGGCCAAUAAACAAAAUAUUUAUUUCAAGAGUUCAAUCUUGUCUUAGACCUGCAAGGUAAGAUGUCGGCACUGAAUACACACACUAUACAACACACAUUCAAAGUAAAGAUGCAAGUAAAAAAGAACAUAUAUAUCUUGAUGCCUAAAUAAUAAUAAUUAUGGGUAUGGCAACAUCUAGUAUAUUUUUUCAAACAAAACUAAUCAAUCUUAAUUUUGCUUAUACAGUGGGAAACUAUUUCAAAUAUAACUUGCAUAUUAUUUCAUAUCUUAUUUAGUCUCAGGCUCCAAAAGAUCAUGGGAUAAAUAACUCAUGAUUGUAUAAUUCAUGCAAAAAUCAGUAUAAAUAAGGUGAAGAAUUUGCACUACCCAAAUCUAAAAGGAGUACAUGUCAAUCUCUGGAGGCAUGAGAUGUAGAUGGUAUGUACAUAAAUAUAGACUAAACCAACAUGUGUCACAGGUGAUUAUGACGAAGAUCGAACAGCUGCCGCCGGGUAGAUACUAAAAAUAAAUGAUGGAACAGGAUGAUAGUCAAAGCUGGGUUCGAGAACUACAGGAUUAGGGAGACCUUGAGACGCUGGAUAUAGGAGCGUAUACAUGUAUACUCAGACAGGAAUUUCAAAACGAUGCAAGACUACAUCAACCUCUCAUCCAAACAAGAAAUUCUGCUAUGUGCAAAUCCCUUCUUCUCCUUCCACUCUUCUUCCUCCCACUCAUCUUCACUUGUUGUGCCUGACCAUAAUGAGGCCGAGCACCUGCAACGUCGGAGAGGUAGUUACUAAGAUUGCCGGGAUUCUGCUACACAUUCUGCAGUAUUUGCCAAGCAUGAAGUCGGGGUGCUCGCAGUAAGCACACGUGAUGGGGUGGAAGCGAUCUUACUCGAGCGGUCCGACCCACUAAUUUUAGUAGUUUUAUGAAAUUAUCUCAGUUAAAUUGAGAGUAUCCAAUGAAACUUGAGGGAGAAAAAUGAAGAUAUGUGACCUAGUGAUAGUCCGCUCGCCUAACCUCUUGGUGGAAUUUACUAUUGUGGUUAUAAAUAGUUGCAAAUUUGAUAACAAUAUAAUCUAGCAGUUGCUAUGAAAACUCUAUGAGGGCAAACUACCAACCAACACUACCAACCAACAUAUAAUCUAGCAUUCCAGCAUAGUACAGCUCCCAGAUCUCUUCGACCCUUCCGUAGAAUCUUUCAGAUGUGUCGUUGGCAUUGGUCACGCAUUGAAUUGUCACCCCGGAGUUCUGGUAAUAACUGUCCAUGUCUUUGGCCUCCGUGUAGAACGUGUACCCAUUGAUACCGUAGGACUGAUAGGUCGCGAGCUUGGGCGCGGGGCCAUGUGCUAAGGCGUGUAUGAGCAAUCCGUCCGAACUGCCCUCUUCCGGGGGAUUUUUAAGAACUUGCUCUUUGAACCAACGCAAGAAAGUGGCGUUGUGCUCUACAAUAACUUCGCCGUCUGUCUUGAGCAUCCCCUUAUCAUGGUACUUCUUUGCAAUGCUUUCUUUGUGCCGUGCCACAUAAUCAUCUACCACAUCUAGGUGUUGUAGCACUACUAAGUUAGCCCUGUCAAAGUCGUUUCAUCGAUCCGAGUAGUCCACGUGCAAUUCCCUCCGGUUCUUGAUAGGCAAACCAACAACAGGUUCUCCGACCCUUAUAUAAUUCUCGAAGAAGGAGACGCACUCAAGCGUCAGAUACCCCUGGACGAUGCUCCCUUUGAGAUGGGACUUGUUACAAAUGAAUCCUUUGAUGACCCCAUUCAUUCUCUUGAAAGACAUUAUGCUAUGAAGGAAUGUUGGCCCGAGGUCGACGAUGUUAAAGAACGCAGACAAACAGAUGCACCAUGACAUUAAAGAACGUGGGCGGGAAGUACAUCUCAAGCUCACAUAGUAUGACAACGAUCUCUUGUUGUAGCCUUCGGAGCUGCUUCACACUUAUGGACUUUCGAGAGAUAACGUCGAAGAAGUUGCAGUGACCAGUAAUCGUGUCACGGAUGUGCUUGUCUAUUAUCUCUCUAAUGGCAACCGGGAGUAUCUGCUUCAUCAUCACGUGACAGUCAUGAGACUUCAUCCCGCUGAACCUUUUCUUCUUGGGGUCUAGAAAUCUGCUUAUCUUCCCACAGUAACCGGAAUGGACUUUGAUUCCCAUAAGGCACUUGAUGAAUUGAUCGAUCUCCUUCGCACUUAAGGUGAAGCAAGAAGGGGGGCAAUAAUUCUCCUCCUUCUUGUUGACUUUUCUGCCCCUUUCCCCCUCCUCCGUCUCCAUCUUUGUCUCCUCCAUCAACUUUUUAUGGUGGAGAUCUUUCCUGAUCUUCAAAUCUUCCAAGUCUUCCUUGCCUUCGGCCCAUCCUUUGUCUUCUCCGGCAUGUUCAUCAGUGUGCCAAGCAAGCCCUCGAGGACAUUCUUCGUGAUAUGCAUUUGAUCAAGGCAAUGAGGCGUGUCGUGAUUGGGCCAGUACUCCAAGUCCAAGAAAACAGACCUCGUUUUCCAUACCUUCAGCAGCGGCUCCGACGCCUUUUUGAUCUUUCCCGGCGCGGGGCAUUCUUCCCAGUUUCUCAACAGCUCAUCGAUUUUGGCGCCGCUCCUCUUACGUGGAGGUCCUCGAAGCUAAGCCAACCCAUUGAAUAGAUCUCCACACUUUCUCCAUAGGUCAUCCUUCUUGAGCCAUCUAUGAUGCCCCGGAUACGCCAUCUUUUUUUGACAUAAGCUGCUGAGACAUUUUAUCAUCCAUGCACCUCGUGCAUCUACAGUAUUCGUGGAACACCUGGCCUGGGGUGUACCCGUAACUGAGAUAGUCGUGCACCAUCAUCAUCAGUGCGGCUCUCAUAUGGAAAUACUCUCCUUUGCUGGUGUCCCAUGUCCAUGCCGGUGAUUUCCAUAAUGUUUCUAGCUCCUCUUGCAGAAGCCCCAUAUACAGGUUAAUACUAUUUCUCGGUUGUUUUGGCCCUUGAAUCAGCGUGCACAUGUGUUUGUACUUUUGUCUUCAUGCACCUCCAUGGGGGAGGUUGUACAUCCAUACAAACACGGGCCAUUUGUUAUGGUUGGUGCUCUGGUUUCCAAACCGAUUCAUGCCAUCGGUACUCGCACCAAGCACGAUGUUCCAUGGAUCUUAUGCAGCAAAUCCAUACUUGCUGUUGAAUGUUCUCCACUGGCUACCAUCUACAAGGUGUCUCAGCCUCGGAUCAUCUCCAUCGUUGGUCUUCUUCCUCUCCGCGUGCCAGCGCAUGAGCUUUGCUUCCUUAGGAUCUACGAAAUACCGCUGCAGACGGGGAGUGAUCGAAAGGUACCAUACAAAUUUCUGAGGAGCUUUCUUUCCUUCCUUCUUGUAUCGAGAAGCAUUGGACACUGGACAGCUGGUUUUUCCACGUGCCCCCCAAAUAAAUGAUGUAAUCGUUGAUGCAUGCGUGGUACCUAAUGUGCGGCAAAUCAAAAUGGAAAAUGAAUUUCAUGGCCUCCUCGACACUAGUAGGACACAUGUUCGCCGUAGGAAGAACUUUAUUAUGUAGAUACUUGAAAUGCUCAUCAAGGCUUUUGUCUGUCUAUUUGUUUUUGGCCUUCGUCUUUAGAAGUUCGACCGUAAAACUCAAGCAGGUCACCUUGGGAUCGCAACCGUCAUACAAUGGAGUCCUCGAGUCUACUUAAAGUUGCGCCAGCUUGGCCUCCUCUCUAGAGGAAGCCCUCUCACUAGUCGUACUCUUGCGAAGGAGGUCUUAAACAUGAGGGUCCUGCACAACUGCACUUAGUAGCAUCGAAGACUGCGGUGUGACCGCCGCCUCUUCUCCGCCAUGUCCGGACUCUUCUUCGCCGUGUCCGGAAUCUUCUCCACCGCCAUCAUUUCCGGACUCUUCCCCGCCGCCAUGUCCGGUGCCAUCGUCUUCGUGUCGAUCGGUCAUCUCUUCGUCUAGCCCCAUGUCGUUAUUCCCUGCCAUCUGGACAUCCUCAUCAUCAUCAUCUUCUUCUUCACUUAUCCACUGAGUAUAGCCAUCCAUGAAACCAUUCAUCAGCAGGUGCGCCUUCAAAGUGCCACGAUCAAAAGGGUCCAAAAGGACUCCUUCCUUGCCCGUUGCAUCUUGCACACGGACAUCUAAUCCUAGUCCGAUUAUUUGCAUACAUGUCCAUCACCGUGGAUUGCAUGUACCGCUCCAGCUUCCAUCCACUCACCUUCAUGACCAAUUGCACGGUAUAACAGGCAAAAGGGUUAUAAAAUAAAUAAUGCAUGCAUGCUUCAAAGUCAUAUAAAAUUUUGGCAUGACCUUGCCUAAAAAUAGGAGAUAUUGGGUUUGCUCGAAAUUCACCGAAACGGAAAUAAAUCGAUAUUUCAGCAAAACAUAAGCAACUCGAGGGCAUGUCACACUCGCACAAAUAUCUCCAUGUAUAUAUGCCAAACACACGUAUUCUCAUUCACACACAUAUUCCCAUUCUUGAAAUGAACAACUUUUUUACUCACCUAUAUAUCUCCCGAGAGAGACCGAUCGAGAGAGCACGCGGUUAAUUAGAUGAUGAGAGAGACCGAUCGAGAGAGCAUGCGUGGAUGGCUAAUUAGCUAGCUAGAUCUAGUUGUUGGGGAGGAGAGGUGAAUCUAGCUAGUUAACUAAUGGAGAUGGAGUUAUGGUGGAGGGGCAUUAAUGGGGAGAGGAAGAGAGGUAGGAGAAACAAAGAUGUGAGAGAGGCCAUUAAUGAGGAGAGUUGAGAGGGACAUUAAUGAGGAGGGAAGAGAGGUACAAGGAAGAGAGAAGAAGAGCAACAAUGGUGGAGAGUAGAGGGGGAAAGGAGGGGGAGAGAGGGCAAAGUGGGGGAGAGGAGGGGGAGGGGUGAAAAGGUGGCACCAGCCGCAACUAGUAGUAGCGUUGCUUACCAAAAUGCGCUGCUGCUACCGUACUUAGUAGCAGUGCUUUCCUACAGAAGCGCUACUACUAAGUGGGACCCAUUAGCAGUAGCGGCGCAGUAAAAUACAACACUACUACUAAAAUGUUAGUAGUAGCGCUGGAUUCUGCACAGCGCUGGUACUACAGCUACCGUCGGUGGCCUCGUCUGGUCCACAUAGUAGUAGCGCGUUUUUGGUUUCCAACGCUACUGCUAUAGACAGAAUAGUAGCGCUUCCCUGGAUCGGCGCUACUGCUAACUAGUAGCAGCGUUCACUAUUUUCCAGCGCUACUGCUAACUAGUAGCUGCUAACUUGUAUAAGCAUUUCCCUAGUAGUGUUAAUUUGAUUGACAGAUUGCACUUCUGGUUUCUACAGCUAGUUCUAACUAAUGAUUGAAAAAUAUAUCUACCUUAACUCUAGACAACUACAACACAUUGUCACUGCCUAACAGUGAUGAACCCUAGUGAUUCAAAUAAAAAAAUUACAAUGGCAGUGACCUAUAGCAAAAGAGGGAGGGAUGAUAUGCGCACCUGGGUUGGAGCCGAGGGUUUCCUACAGUCUACUCUGUCGCCGUCAUCAUCUCCUGGUUUCGUCGCUGAAACCCUAGCAGAUGAGAGUGGGAGGCACAGAUGCAAAACACACCUCUAAUUAAAAAAAUUCCAAAUGGACCAGAUGAGAGUGGGAAGCUCAGAUGUGUACCUCCAGACUGGAGAACGACGACAAUCGCCGGAAUCAGCCAAAAUCAAAGCGGCACGACCAGCGGCGAGAGAAGGAGAGAAAAGGGAACGAAACAGAGCAGCGGGUCAUAUAGAGGGAGUAGGUUGAGGGGGUCGUUGCCCCCGUUGGUUUUGACCCCCAUGGCAUUCUAAUACUAUUUGGGCUUGCCCAAUAAGAAAAAAGAUCACCACCUAAAAAUUGUCAACUCAAAACUAUAUAUUUCUGGUCUUAAACUAAAAAGGAAAAAAAGUAAAUUUAACAAAAGUAACUAUAAUAUACUAUUAAAAAGAUCAUUAUUUCCAUUUAAAAUAAUAGAAAUGUCAUUAUUAAUAAAAUGUCAUUAUUAAUAAAAUGUACAUAUUAAUAAAAUGUCAUUAUUUCCAUUUAAAAUAAUAGAAAUUUCAUAAAAGUAAACUAUAAUAUACUAUAAAAAAGAUCACCACACAAAAAACUAAAAAGAAACAAAUUUUGAUGUGUCAAACUACAUAUUUGAAGGCUCAAUACUAUAUAUUUUAAGUCUUAAACUAAAAAGGAAAAAAUAUUAAAGUCUCAAAAUACAUAUUUAAAAACAUGUCAUUAUUUCCAUUUAAAAUGAUAAAAUUUUAAUAGAAGUAAACUAUAAUAUAAUAUAAAAAAGUUCACCACAAAAAAACCUAAAAAGAAAAAAUAAAUUGGAAGUGUGAAACUACAUAUUUGAAGGCUCAAAACUAUAUAUUUCAAGUACUAACUGAAAAGGAAAAACGUAAAUUUAAAAUCUUAAGUACAUAUUUUUAAAAAUGUCAUUAUUUCUAUUUAAAAUAAUUGAAAAUUAAUAAAAGUAAACUAUAAUAUACUAUAAAAAAGUAUAUACCAAAAAAUAGUAAUAUAAGAAUGUUCGCAUUGACAAAAUAACAAUACCGGCGUCGGUUAUAACAGCACGCCGCAACUAAAUAUAAUAGUGUUGGCAUUCCAUGAUAUUCCACGACAGCAAUAUAUUACGUCUGGUACAAAUUGUUGAUCUCAUGUAUUUCUGACACUGCCUUGUUUUGGAACGCCACCACUAUGCCCCUAUUAAUGUCGUACCAAAUCAGCCAACGCCAUCACUAUUUGAAAACAGAUAGUGGUGGCGUUGGUUGUAAUGGAGCGCCACUAACGAAAGUUGUGGCUAGCCCUUUUUCCACUAGUGAAGAUUGAGGGAGGCUGUUAGAUAAUGUUUAUGCAUAGCUUUCGUGUAGACACUUUAUAAUGGGAUAGCCACUCCCGUAUUGGGUGUCGUGCAGUUUCCCACAAACAUAACGUUUUACAAUCCUGAGAGGCCAUCCAAGGGAGUCCGUCGUAGGUUGAUGCCGUUUUUACCCUCUCUAACUAAACCUAAAGUGGCGAAGUUGCUAGCAUGUCGCCAUGUCCUUGCACUAGAGAAGGUAGUUGGGGUCUAGACGAUCGUCUUGGAGAUGGACUGAAAGAUGGUUGUGAGCAAGCUCAACUCUGAAGGGAAGGACGGCUCACCCCAUGGCCCGGCGGUUGAAGAUGUGAAGGGCAUGCUAGCUCCAAACUUUUAUUGAGUCCAAGAUCACUUGGGUUCAUGGAGUGAUGAAUUGUAUUGCCUACGUCUUAACUAAUGAACAUUGUCGGAAUGAGUUGUGAAAAACAUCGCUUAGUGUGCCUCCGAAUUGUACUAGCGCCAUUUGAACUCUGGCAUUGCCGAGAACUCUGAAUACAAUGGCAACCAUUCUAUCUAAAAAAUGAUUCCUUACAGGUAUCUUUUGCCUUAUCAAUAAAUCGAGUAUAAAAAAUUCAGUUUAAAUUAGAAGCAAGGUGAUUACCAACAUACUUAUUUUAUUCCUUAUCUAUAUCUUAAAGCAUGGCUAUAAUAAGAUGAUAUACUUUUCGUCAAAAAGUUGCUAGUAUUACUUUUAAUUGACUAGGGAACUAAAUCAUGACUACGACUACCUCUGUCCUGAUUUAUUAGGGCUCCUUGUAGUUUGGGUCAAACUUUGAAAUUUAAUUUAACUAUUAGAAGAAUAAGUUAUAUACUCUAAGAAUAGUAUCACUGAAAUCCUCUUUCGAAUAUGAAUCCAACAAUAUAUGUUUUGUCACAUACAACUUAUAAUUUGUUAGUCAAAUCUACAGUCAAAGUUGGACACAAAAUAUGAAAGGGACCAAUAAACCCGGACGGAUGUAAUAGUAGUAGUAGUACUCCCUCCGAAACAAAUAAAUGCACUACCAAAUGCUCCCUCCGUCCCGAAAUACUUGUCGGAGAAAUGGAUAUAUCUAGAUGUAUUUUAGUUCUAGAUACAUCAUUUUUUAUGCAUUUCUACGACAAGUAUUUCCGGAUGGAGGGAAUAGUAAGUGUAUAUUUGUUUCUAAAUAUGAAAAUAUUACUAUUAAAUACUACUAUACCAAAGAUAUAAGAAUAUUAAAUACUAGUAUACCAAAGAUACACAUAAAUAUAAGAAUAUUUAAUAGUAUUAUAUGGAAGAUAUUCUAUAGUUAAAUCUAUUUACUCUGUUCCAAAAUAUAAGAAUAUUACUAUAAAAUACUAUUAGCUGUUUUCAAAUAAUUAGUAAUAGAGAUAAUAUUCUUUAGUAGUGAUAUAUCUUUAUUCCUCAUUAAAUAUAAGAAUAUUACUAGUAUUAAAUACUAGAAUCCCAAAGAUAUAUCUAAUAGUAUACCAAAAGAUAUACAACAAUUAAAUAAUAUUACCUCUGUUCCAAAAUAUAAGAAUGUUACUACUACCUCCGUCUCGAAAUAGUUGUCACCAAAAUGAAUAAAGGAGGAUGUAUCUAGAUGUAUUUUAGUUCUAGAUACAUCUUUUUCUAUCUGUUUUGAUCACAACUAUUUUUGGAUGGAGGAAGUAUUAAAUACUGUCACAGCUAUUCUUAUAUUUAGUAACAGAGAUAAUAGUAUUUAAUAGUAGUAUAUCAUUGUUCCUAAAUACUCCCUCCGUUCCAAAAUUCUUGUCUUAUAUUUGUCUAGAUACGGAUGUAUCUGAUACUAAAAUGUAACUAGAUACAUCCGUAUUUAGACAAAUCAAAGACAAGAACUUUGGGACGGUGGGAGUAUAAGAAUAUUACUAUUAAAUACUAGUAUACAAAUAUAUAUUUAGUACUAUACCAAAAUAUAAGAAUAUUUAAUGGAAAUAUACCAAAGAUAUGCUACUAUUAAAUGCUGGUAUUAAAUAAAUAAAUUUGUAGUUCAACACGCGGUCCCCACCUUGGCCCGUGCCUUCCGUUUCAAUUCAUAAAGGGCAACACAUGCUUCGCCUCCCCUCUCACAUUCUUCUCAUCCCGCUCACCUCAACCAACUCCGCGCGUCUGUUCGACCGAUCCUCCGCGAUGUCUAGCUCCGGCGUCAGUGCCAUACCCGCAGCCAACCACGAGGAGCACAGCUUGGCAGCCCCCGCCCCGCCCCCCGCGGUUGCGGUCGCCCAGGGGAAAGGGAAGAUGCUUGCGCAACAGGCGCCUGCGCCGGUGGUUCGCAAGCGCAAGCCUGGGAGACCCCAGGAGAAAAGCCCACCCCCAGCGGCCACCAGAGAGGAGCUGGAAUCCAGGGAGUCCCGGGAAGGACCCUUGAACGUGCUUGCGCUCCCGGCGCCAGGGGCCCCGCCUGCUUAUGCUGUCUCAGACUACAAGAUGGUGAGUCGCACUCGCGCCCCCACACGGCGUGCAACCGCUGUAUCCGAAGACAAGAUGGUGAGCCGCGCUCGCUCCUCCCCCCUCUGCUACUAGUGAUUUGAAGUUAACUGGUGCCUAAUGAGCUGGAGUUAUUGACAAUCUUUAAUCUAGUCAUGUGAAUUAGUACUAGUGCUUAAUGAACUACCUGAUGUGUAUGUGCAAGAAUUACGUGCUGGGUAUAUGUCCUUGGACAUUCUAAUCGUUGCGAUCUCAUCUGGCAGAUGGACAGGAAUGAGAUGGCGCUGGUGGUUCGCAGGCGCAAGCCCGGGAGACCCCAGGAGAAAAGCCCGCCCCCAGCAGCCACCAGAGAGGAGCUGGAAUCCCGGGCUUGCGCUCCCGGCGCCAGGGGCCCCACGUACUCACGCUGUCUCGCACUCGCGCCCCCACCCGGCAUGCAAACGUUGUCUCCGACGACAAGAUGGUGAGCCGUGAUCGCGCCCCCACCCUGCAUGCAAACCGUGUCUCCGAUGACAAGAUGGUGAGCCGCAGUCGCUUCCCCCUCUCCUACUAGUGAUUUGAAGUUAACCGGUGCCUAAUGAUUUGAAAUUACUGACAAUCUUUAAUCCAGUCAUGUGAAUUGUACUAGUGCUUACUGAAUUACCUGAUGUGUAUGUGCAUGAACUACGUGGUGUGUACAUGUCCUUGGAUUUUCUAAUCGCUGCGGUCUCAUCUGGCAGAUGGACAAGAACGAGAUGGUGCCGGUCCAGGGGGUGCCGCGCAUGCGGGGGAGCAUCGCGUCGUCAAGUGCGGUUGGUAAGUAUACUUUAUGCUGCUUUUUUUUGUCAACAUCGUCUCCAUGCAGGCUACACUGGGAAAGAAGCUGCUUAACUCUUGUGCAUGCUGGUUUUUUUUCAUCACUAGUAUACUGGUAUUGGACUGGAGCUUGAUAGCUCUGUCCAUGCUGGGCCUUUUUGUCAUCAUUAGUAUUGUUAUAUAUUAGCUGAAGCUGCACAUGUUUUCUUUCCAUUGACGUUGGUGCGGGCGGUGCUACGCGUCAGUCGGCCGAUGGAUGGACGCCUUACUCACCUGAUUUUAAUCAAGUCCCACCUAGGUGUAAUUUGUUUUGUCACUAGCUGUGUAUACAUAGGCGAGCUCCAGCACUGCAUUGCAGCGUGGAAAACAUAUGAACUGUAAUAAGAAACAUGCAGUGGCUAGAAACAUCUCCACAUAUUUUUUCAACACGUUUUAGGUGUCAACGAAAUUAGUCGGAUCGCCAGCCAUCGAAUUGACACAUGGAGCAUUGGAUCACAAUACAUGGCAGCAGGGAGAAUGGAAACCGUGUUCCUCCAUAGCCUCCACAAUACAUAUGUAUCCACCACCCCUCCCACAUCGUCGCAACAGACAAUUACGUCGGCCCCUUCCAACACCUCGCUUUGGUACCCUAGAGAUCCCUGAUGUCGCAUGGAUAUCCUGCAAGUAUUAUUACAGUGCGCCAAUGAGGCGUCAUCCUUGCAACAUUGUCUUACAGACAAUGUAGUUGAUGCCACCACCACCAUCACCCAUUUACACAUGGGCCGUCGCAUGUGGCACUGUUCGUGGGAUAAAACACACCCCGCGAGAAUACGCGGUUGCACCACUGCGAUCUAUGCAACUUAGGAAUUGUUGUGACUGCCCCUGCAAAACUAGCGAUGAUACGGCCAUCGCCCUGCAACAUUGGCCAUAGUUGUAGCACAUCUGAGAAGACGGAUGCCGCACCUAACAACACAGUAUGUGUUUUUUGCACCAUAAGGAAGCACUGCCUUGCAACAUCGGCUAUCAGGGUGCUGCACUGACAAACACACUCACGACCUUGAGAUGUCGUAUGCCUUGGCCGAUGUAGCAUAGUGCUCCUCUUUCAGCAUAUAGCGAUGGCUUGUAGCAUUGAUGGUCGGAGAGUCGCAGCAUCGUUGAGUGGCAGUGCUAGCCCAUCUCAUUGUCAUAGAGAAGGGGGAAUAAAGGAUGGGUGUGCACGUGGUGGAAAUAAAGCGAAUGGAUAUGGUGAAGAGAGAGGAAGACUAACAAGGGGCAUCUGGCGCUAGAGCGAGCUGACUGAUUUCCCCCUGAAACCAGCCUGUUGAAUAUAAUUCAAUUUUCUUUUGAGAGACCUCAUAAAAACGUCGCAACAUGCGAGCAUGUCUAUACAAAAAAUUGUAGAUAUACAACACACACUCAUUAGCUGCAACAAAUCAGUGAAAAACACAAUGUAUAUAGGCCUGAACCGAUGGAUCAUCAGCAUGCAUCUGCCAGCUCUUCCUAGGUUACGCCCAACCGUGAGUCGUUCAAUUGGGUCACACAUCACUACCCAAUCAACCACCAACUUAGUUGUUCCUCUCGUCUCCUCUACCCACCCUUGGCAACAUACACCCAUGAUUCUCAGCAAUAGACCAACAUGGAGGCGACAAUGGUGGCCAUGAUAGGCUAGUGAAAAGCACACUGGUUGGUCAACCUUACAACACUAAACAGAAACAUUGCAACAUGAGGUAACCCCAACUUUGUAGCACUGGUGCACCAUUUUCAACCACCUUGUAGCAAUGAAAAGUUCACUGACCAAUAGAAUUGCUGCACCAAGUUACUGGCUUCCAGCACUGAACACCCGGGCUUGUAGCACCACGAUGAUCGAUGGUCGGCCUUUCAACAGUAUUAGUUAACAUUGCACACCUCGUCUCCAUUUUUAUGUACAUACACAUGAGUGACCUUGGAACAUCAGUAACGUGUCAACAUUAUCAAACUUGAAGACGAUAAAUUUGUUUCUCCAAGCAUCGACAUUACUGAAUAAGCGUGCAACUGCACAUCCACCACAUGAGCCAUAAUUUUUUAGCCCUGCGACAACAGCUUAUAGUUGCAAAAGAGCUGACGAUGAUGGUUUAGAAUGUAUAUGAUCAAAAUAGAUUAAAUGGAGGGGAGGGUGGACUACCUAUGUUGAAUCAGACUAGCCACAAGGUCACAAGUGCCUUGUCUAAAUAGCCAAAAAGACAAAAGGAGGCCUCCUGGAUUCUCCAUCCUGAAGCUAAGCAUAACUCCAACUCCAGACACGCUAGGGGGCUACUAAAGGUGCAAUACGGUAGGGGUGUCUUCUGGGUGGGAAGCCUGGUAGCAGGCCUGCCUUAGGACCCAAGAGGCCAAGUGGAGGAUCGGUGCAGUAGGGCAGCUCAGGAGCCCAGAUAAGGACUAUGAGAGCAUCUUGGCAGGCAAGCUAAGAUGGCAGUGGUAUGAGAUCUGAUGGAUUCCUUGUAAACCUAGCCCUUGCCACCUAUAUAAGGAGGGGCUCGGGGUUGUCAUUCACAUAUACUCUCAUAGACUAUACUCUCUGUAGCAUUAUACUUCAUCUCCACUCUAAACCCCUCGCACAAGGUGCUCCACCAUGAAUAAAAAUCAGAUACAGGAAGUUGGGCAUUACCUCUCACCGAGGGCCGGAACCAAGGUAAAAACCUUUGUGUGAACUCCCUUGUCAUGGAUCCCUACAAGUUCACCACCCUACUAUGGUACUCACGGUUUUACAUACUAUCACAUAGUUAAGUUCUGACACAUUUUCUCUGGGGAGUUGAAACAACUCAUGGUGUAAGUAGGUGUUGCUUGAAGCACUGAUUCUACUAGCACCUCCUUUCCCGCCUUCGAGAUACCUUGUCCUUCCUAUCCAACCACUUUGCCAUUUGAGCUUUCUUUAAGAUGUUUAAAAUUUCCCUCCUUUGACCUACCCACCACGGUUGGGAGCCCCAAAUAAUGCUCGCUCAAUGCCUUAGGAUCUGUGCAAAGAUAUUUACAACAACUUACUCCUCCUAUUUGCCUCACUUCCCAAAGAAUGUUGAGGCUUUUUGAAAAUUUCCCAUUUGUCCCGAGGCCCACUCGUAGUCAAUGAGGAUAUAUUUAAGGUUACAAAGUUGCCAUUUGACGGUUGAAGAAAUACUAUACUAUCAUCUGCAGAAAUAAGAUGGACUACAUGGGGGUUAGUGCUCCCAAAAGAUAUACCAUUGAUCUCUUUAUCUUUGAGCACUCAUGAGAAAGGCCAAAAAACUCGCAACAUAGAAAAUAAAAAAAAAAUAGGGAGACCAUGGGUCUCCUUGCCAAAGCCCUCUUCAUAGUAUAAAAAAAUACAAAACACACUCCUUUCAAUUUGAUAGAAAACCUGGCCGGGGUACCACACAUCAUAAUCAUCAAGAUCAACCUAUCUGAGAAACCAAGUGCCCUCAUCAUCAGAUCGAGGAAAAUCCAAACCACCCUCUUAUAGGCCUUCAUCCUGUAUAGUUUAAUUGCAAACAUUGGAUUUUUCUAUUUCUUGAAUGUACUUUGCUCCUGUGUGAUCAUUAUGGAUAGGACAACCUUCAAUCUCUUUGCUAGGCCUUUGAAGCAAUCUGACUGAGCGUGUUCAAUAAGUUGAUUGAUCCCAUUUGAGGAAGUAUCUCCAUUUAGGUAAUUUUGGGGAUUAGGACUAGAACCAUAUCACUAAAGUUUGGUGAAAUAACUCCAUUAAAAGAAUCAUUUAUUACUAUGCGUACAUCAUUUUUUAGAAAUAACUAGUGAAAUUGGUAAACAUAAGUGAGAGGUUGUCUUGCCCCUGUGCUCCAGUCAAAUUUAGAAUAGUGCAUUCUCAAUUUCUUCAUCCAUCACGUCUGUUUUCACCCUCUCCUCCAUAUCACUAGUCACACAGGGUCGGAUGUGAGCUAAGAUGUUGUCAGCAUCAGCAGAGGCUUCUGAAGAAAACAACUAAGCAUAGAAAUCGGCUGAAAUCUUCCCCAUCUCAUUGUCAGUAGUACAACUCGUGCCAUCCGCCCUCAUGUUUUGAUCGUCUUUCUUGAGAAAUUCCAGUAGGGAACAUUGCAUACACAUUAUUUGUUCCUGUGCACGAACCACAUGAAGCUAGGCUUCAAUCUCACUGGUCUUCAGCGAGGAUGUCUGGAUCCCAAUGAUCUACCCUUUCCAUCGAAGCUGGACCUUGUGCCUAGUUAUCUCACAACAUACCAGACAAAAUACAAAGCCACUUCAAUAUUUCAUAUCAUUGGUGACAUUGUUAUGCUUCCUGUAGAGCUCACUCUGGCCGGAAUUGUUAUCACAUGCACACUAUCAUGCCUCCAUCCAUGGGCAUCCACCUCUCCUCAAACGUUAAUGCCCUCUUCUUACUUUUGGUAAUGACUAGGUUUUCUAGCGCUCUAUUAACGAGCAAACCAUGGUCUCGUCCUCCAUGACAACAUGUUCAAUGGUUGUAUCCUACAAUGAAUGCACGACUUCAUCAUUGCAUGGACCCCUGUCCACAUGUACAUAAAGGAUCUCAUCCCGCUCCCUCUUAUUGUCCCAAGUGUACAGGUUGCUAGUAAAACAAAGUUUUGAAACACUAUUAUUGGCUACACUCUCCCUAAUGCGCUCCAUUUGUGUGAAACUCCUCAAGUAAUCUCCUAGUUGUUGUGAUUAAAAGAAUUCUUUGUUGAGCUAUCAUUGUAACAGAUAAAUGUAUUAUUAGGAUCCAGUCUCUCGGAGCCUCCCUUAGCUACACAAAUUUUCUUCAAUCUCUCUUCCUAUCAAUUAGCUUUAGGUUAUAAUCAUUGUGAUGCCUUUGGUAGUCACCAUCACCUUGCCUCAUCCUAUGAACAAAAGUGCCUCAUCUGCGUUGCUCUGAGGUAGAUGGUCAUCUUUCCCAAUGGCCUUGCACCCUUUCCCAUAUAGAUUUUUUUAUGUCUUGCUUCCUUUCAUGCUCCUUUCUCAUGUCCCACUUCCUUUUUAGAUUUAAAUCAUCCCUUAGUUCACAAUCAUGUCACAGAUCUUGCCUGCAUUGGUCCUCCCUGCACUUCAUCUUAGACAGUGACCCUCUACAAGACCAUCUCGAGGAUCCUCGUAGAGAGAGAGUCCACAGAGGGUGUAUAAUCAUUGUAUGACCUGCACGUAAAUGGACGGACAUGCAACGCUACAUGACCCAUCGCCCAUAGACGCCCUUGCUUGACCUAGUGCUCCCAAAACUAAAGUUCAUGCUUUCUUUCACCGGCCUCUACUUUGUUUUUGUCUGUGAGGAGCCAUGUCCAAGUUAUGCCCUCAACCAUUCACCCAACUAGGGUGAGGAAUCAUUUUGUGGUUCAAAUCAUCCGUCAACAUGUGCUAGUCUGUCGUAGUCAAUCCAAAAGAGAGGUAUCUUUACAAAUUGAAAAUCAAACAAGGUCCCCUCAUCUUUUGCUGAAGAGUGGAGAAAGAAGCCUCAGACUAGUGAAAGAAAUAUGAAAAUUCUAGCUCUAGGUCUGAGAUGGUUCCCCCAUAAAUCCAUCCUUCCUAACAUCACUCUUUACCACGCCACCAAGACAAUUCCCUAGAGCAUUCCCAAAAGUAUAUGAUCAUUUAUAUAGGGGAGGAUCUAUAAUUAUCACCCAUGGCUCCGUCAUACAAAACAUUAUCUUCGAUGACCUAGUUUCUUCAUCAUAAUCCUUCAAAAGUAUCGCAUUAAAACCAAAUUGCCACAUUCAAUUAUAUAGAGCGUGCUUUUAGACUCCUUUGUUAUGGAAUCUAAAGAACAAGAUAUUAUUUCUAAUGUGACUUAUUUGGGCUUCCUAGUAUAGUCCCAUGUAUGUUGCAUAGCCCUAGCAAACACGUUGAUGUUGAUUUGCUGGAGUGACCAUGCCUUUCCAACCACUGACCACCGAGUAGGCCUCGGUAGGUCUGGAAUCCUGAUCCUCAAACAUGAGAUCUAUUAGUUACUUUUGUUGUCAAGUUCAGGGCUCCUUGUUAAUUUGGUUGAGAGUUUAGCUGCCUCCCCUGAAGCAUUUCCAUCUGUCAGGGACUUUUGAAGGUUCUCAUCUUAACGAUCCUUGGUCACCAUGUUCACUUGAGCUGUCGAUUUACGCCACGCCUUCUCUCCCAUCAUCGCGCAAAGGAGUGGAAGCACCAAGACCAAUCAAUGUAGGAGUAUACAGUGUCAUCACCUCAUAGAUGAAUAAAAACCUAACCCUAGCACUACUUGUCGGUCGCCUAUAAUCGCCCUUAGUAUUUCUUUUCAUGUUGGGCCCGCCACUAGGUAUUUAUACCUGUGCUUCCAUUGGUACUUUUUUUGCGCUGGAGCCUUUCUGCUACAUUUGCCUUUCUACAAAGGCGGUCUUAUCCAAAUCAUAUAGUCUCCUCUAUCUAUAGGAAGCGAGGACAUUAGCUCUUCUUUUUUUCAAGGCAAAUACACUUGCUAGUGUUCAAGCGACAUCUAAAGAAGUCUUGUCACAUGUGAAGACGAGGCUAAGAGUGUGACACAUAUAGGUGCCAACUUGAAGAAUAAUGCAAAUUUCAGUAAAUAUGAAUAGCUCCAGGGGAACGAGCGCACAAAGGAAUCAGCCACCAUAUAUGGAUCAUUUCCAAAGAAACAAAGUCACAAAGAGAGAGACAAGACAUUAGCUUCUUUAUGGGGAACACAUACAUUUAAAUGUUGCCUUGCUCUCUGAUUAUUAACAAGAAAUAAUUUUUACUAAUAUAUUAUGUGUAAAUCUUGAUAGAUAUGGAAUGUAUUUUGGUCAGUAUGUUUUAAGGAAUCAUAUUAGUUUUUGGUAUGUUGAAAUUAGAAGAAGUUCAUGUGCCUUCAAGGCAUGUCAAGGUGUGUUGUUCCACCUCAAAAUUGGUACAUACUAAAUGGUUAUUCUCCCUACAUAUAGCCCCAAUUCUCAUGCUCUCUCUCUCUAUCUAUCUAUCUAUCUAUCUAUCUAUCUAUCUAUCUCUCUCUCUCUCUACAUUUUAUAUUCCAGACUACUCCAUAAAGCCUAAUUGGUGAAGGUCCAUAAACACCCAGCAAUGAUGGGUUCAACUCCCAUUAGUAGUAUAUACUUAGUGGAGGAGAAACAAGCCAAGCCCGCCAAUGGUGAAUAAAUCAGAAAAGAAAAUCAGGCCAUGCCCAAUCCAAAUCCGGCACCUGCCAACAAUGUGUAGUCUCCACUACUCGAACCUACUUUUCCUCAGUGUGUUACAUCAUGUGAUGUUUGGAGAAGCCAUAGAGUUGGGGAUCCAAAUAUAGAUAACAACAAUGGGGAGUGGCUUGAAGAAUAGGAGCCAAGAAGCCGGACGGACAAGGCCUCCACCAUGCUGUACCAUUGGCCGAUACUGACCCGUAUGGUGCAAGGACCGACGCAGAACUGAACACCGUCAUCAUCUAGGUUGCAAAGGAAGUUGGACCACUGUGUUUCUUCUCUCGGACAAACUCAAUGAUUUCAUGCAGUUGGCACCCACGCCACAUUCCACAGAGAUAACAACAUUGAGGAGGAGGAGGAGGGGCAACGCAAGGUUUCUUCCUCAUAGGAAUUACUUUCGAGGAAGUGAGGGGACGGUAUGGCAUGAUGAGUAGUUAACAAGGGAAGUUUGCAUGACUGCGGCGGACAAAUCAUGAAGACAAGUGUGCUAGUAGCUAGAUAAGGGAUGAAUGAUAGCAGGAAGGAAUAAUGAGCUUACUGGGUGAGGCUACUAUUUUUUAAGUUGCGACCUACUGAUCAUAACAACAAUUGAUCGUAACAACGUACCAUUGAUGAUAUAGGGUAUUGAUUUAGUAACUGUUACGAUGUGACUAGGGCUUGUAAGCGGUGGGUUGUAUAUUACUAACAAGUAGCAUGUUUAGCCUCGAUAUUGUCCUCUGUCACUCGUAACAACGUACCAUUGACGGACCCCGUCACUACUACCUUUUUCCAACAAAAAUAGAAUUUUAGUUAUAGUAAGAUUCACAACAAUCCCGCCGGCCAUCAGUGCUAAGUUGCCUGCUGACGGGUUUUUUGACCCACCACUUUUGAUCGAUAACUAGGCGAGAACUCUAGUCUGGUGCACAUUUGUUUUGUUCAGAAUUUUUAGUGUUUUUAUGUGUACAAAGACAUAUAUUUCAACCCUAACAGGUUCUCUUUAGGUGGGGUCGAGAGUGAAGGACUGGGGAGCUUGGAAGCAGGGGAAAUGGCACCUCGAGGGGUUCAGGUCUCUAUGAUCAAUAACCACAAUUUUGAUCUGAAUGAGCUGCCGACUGAGCAUGAGUAGCUCAGGAAGGAGUAGUCACCUCUGGAGCAAGAGUAGCCUCCUAUGGCACAACAUGAGGUUUAAUAUUCACAAUGGUUGGAGGCUACUCAAAUCCCUCUUGUGUGAGCAAAGUUAACUCUUGGACCAAAGUGUAGCCCUGUUAGAAAUUAUCGAAACAAUAUCAUUAUCCCAAGGACGAUUGUAAAGCUUAUGUGGAACUUUUGAAUUUCUCGCUUCCUAUUUUUUGUUGAUUUACUGACGCUAUUGCUGAACUUGAGGGAAGGACUUGGUAUACUGCUUCAUGAUCAACGUGUCAACUGGAAAUGGCUUUUCUAUUCAUUUCCCGUGAUGGUUUUGAUAUGUGGAUUGUUUGAACAAGCAGGUGUUCAUUCGGUAAAGCUUUGUGAAACAACAACGGUGGAGCUAGGUCUCUGGUCAUGUGAAAUGACAGUAGGUCAAGAAGUGUGUUGGAUCAUGAGAUAACAUAUUUUCUAAGUUGUUAAUCAUGUGUGUUAACACCAUGGGUAGUAUGAGAGAAGGUCAACAUGCAUGUUUGGGUCUGAAAUGACCUCAUGACCAAAAAAGGGAGAGAAACAUGGCUAAUAGGAAUACGAACGAUAUGGAAGUUAGUUGUUGCAUGGAUGUUAACUGUGGUUAUGAAGCCACACAAGAUGUCAGAGGACCCGCAUCCUUACAUAUCAAGGUUGACUUCACAUGCCAACUGGAUUUCGUCUAAAUUAUUGUAUAUGUAUGUAUGUUAUAUCUUGAAAUCUUACCAAACAAAAAACACCAAAAAAUACACUAUUUACUUCUCUUUGAUGCAUAUUCUAGUUGGAGGGUAAUCAAAACCUUAUGUGGAUAUUUGUCCACAAUAGAAUAUACAAUGGUCUAGUGAGGCAAGGUGUAAAUGGAUAGGACAAUAAUCGAACAUGAAAACAUCCAACAUUGUGUUAUAGUUGCAUCAAGUUGUCUAGUGAGUCAAUAUGGAAAUGGAGGAGGCUCAUAGGGCAACACGAGAACACCCAACAUGUAGCUCUACUUACUUCCUAUUGGUACGAAGAGACCAAGACUAGUGAACGGUUAACCAUAACACAUGGACAAGAUAUCUCAUACAAGAUGAAAAUGGAGUGUGUCUUGUAUGAAAAUGCUAACAAAGUAUGAGUGUGUAUGGCAUGCCAUCCCCUCCCUUUCUUGUUCGAGUUUACUUCACCAACCCCAUAGUACCCUGAUCAACACUAUUAUUUGGAUAUGCUUCUCAUCUGAGAAAGAAUAGUUAUUGAGAGACAUUUAUAUCAUUGUCUAGAUAGACUUGUUCAAGGGGCAAUAAUGGAGGUGUCUUAUCUAUUAUAGCCACAUUCCAGAGAAGAAUAAAAAAAGUAGACACAACCUGAUAAUUUAUUGAGAUUUGAAUUGAGGAUUCCACAUACAUCAACUAUCCUACAUGUGAAUCAAAUCCACAUCCUACAUGGGCAUUGGGCUUUAGUUGGACUACCACUUUAUGGACAAGCCAUGUGCUCCAUGUAGUCUUUAUUGCAAAGGCGGGAGAACAGGGAGCAAAUAGUUUUCGAUGGCUGGACAUUGAAGUUAUUUGUCAAGAAAUUUGUUUCCUGACAUGGUUUGUUUAUUUCAUUGUUUAGUAUUUGAUAUCGGUUCAAUGCUCUAGUAUGUAACCUUCUUCUCACAUUUUGGGUCUAGCUCUUGGUGUUCAUGAGUUCAUUACUUAUGUUAACUAUUAUUGUUGUGCCCACUUGUUCACAAGAGACUAUAAAGUUAACUAAGAUACUCCCGUAUUUAUAUUAAUAUAGUUGGCACUAAGGUAAUCAUCAACCUUGAAUAUUACUCAUAUUUGUCAAAUAGGAGGUCAAGCUGGAUCUGUCUGGCGCAUCAUCUAUGGUCACAUAUGGUGUAUUGUCUAUUCUAAACCCAAUGAGUAUUGCAGAAUGACAUGUGCCUGCGGGGAGGAAUGAGUCACUGUUUUGGGUCAAGGGGUGAUGCCAUGCCUCAUAAUUGACAAUAAAAAAUUAACCACCUACAUAAAAAGUCUAACCCAAGACAGGGAAUAUGCACCAUUGCAAUUUUACUGCACAAAGUCAUCGGUAUUUUGCAAUUGAAUGUUCCCCAUGUUGUGACUGAGAACACAAAACACAAAACACCCCACAAAACACUAUUCACUUCUCCUCGAUGCAUAUUCUAGUGGAAGGGUAGUCAUAACCAUAUGGGAAUAUUUUACCACAAUAGAAUCUAUAAUGGUCUAGUGAGGCAAGGUGUAAAUGGAGAGGAUAAUAGGCGAACAUGGAAACAACCAACAUUGUGUUGUACUUUCAUCUAGUUGUAUAGUGAGAUAAUAAGGAAACGGAGGAGGCUCAUAGGGCAACAUGAGAACGCCCAACAUGUUGCUCUACUUACUUCCUAUUGUUACCAAGGGACUGAGACUCGAGCAUGGUUAAUCAUAACACAUGGACAAGAUCUCUCAUACUAGUUGAUAAUAGAAUGAAUCUUGUAUGAUAAUGCUAACAAAGUAUGAGUGUGGAUAACAUGCCAUCUCCUCCCUUUCUUGUUGUAUUUUCCUUCACCAACCCCCAUAGUACCCUGAUCAACACUAUUAAUUCGAUAUGCUUCACAUCUGAGUUAGAAUUGUGAUUGGGAAUAGUUGUAUCAUUAUCUAAGUAGACUUAUUUAAGGGGAAAUAAUGGACAUGUCUUAUCUAUUAUAGCCACAUUCCGGAUAGGAAUAAAAAAAUUGACAUAACAAGAUAAUUUGUUGAGAUUUGAAUCGAAAAUUCAACAUACAUCAACUAUGCUACAUGUAAAUCAAAUCCUCAUCCUACAUCGGCAUUCGGCUUUAUUUGGACAACCACUUUAUGGACAAGCCGUGUGGUCCAUGUGGUCUACGUCACAAAGGCCAUAGGACAAGGAGAAAAUAGUUGUCGAUGAUUGGUGAUUGAAGUUAUUUGUCAAGAAAUUUUCCCCCCAACAUGGUUCAUUUAAUUCAUUAUUUAGUAUUUGAUAUCGGUUCUAUGCUCUAAUGUGUAACCUUCUUCUCACGAUUUGGGUCUAGCUGUCAGUGGUCAUGAGUUCAUUACUUAUGUUAACUACUAUUGUUGUGUCCACUUGUUCGCAAGAGACUAUAAAGUUAACUUAUAUCCUCCCGUAUUUAUAUUAAUAUAGUUGGUGGUUAGGUAAUCCUUGACCUUGAAUAUUACUCACAUUUUUCAAAUAGGAGGCCAAGCUGGAACUGUCUAGUGCAUCAUCUAUUGUCACAUAUGGUGUAUUGCCUAUUCUAAACCCAAUGAGUAUUACAUUAUGGCAUGUGCCUGCAAGGAGGAAUGAGUUACUCUUUUAUGUCAAGGGGAGACGGCAUGCCUAAUAAUUGUCAAUGAAAAAUUAAUAGUCUACAUCAAAAGUCUAACCCAAGAAAGUGAAUAUGUGCCAUUGUAAUUUUACAACACUAAGGGCCUGUUCUGAUCUUGUCCCGCUCCACGCUUCACAAAUUCCUGGAGCAGAUACGAGCCGAAUGAAAUAGCAGCGAGAAGCUAGCUCCAGGAAGCUAGGAUCGACCGCAAUGCAAAAUCAUGAAGCAGACUCGGCCCAGCUCCACCGAUCUGGAAAGCUGAAGUUAGCCCAUAUUACAAGUGAACUGCCACAGCCAAAUCAUACAAGCCGAACCGGUAUGCUCGAUCUGUUUGAUUGCUCCUCGUUCCCUCGCUCGUGCUCCCUCACUGCUCCUCUACAAGGCCGAUUUGGGUUGCCUCCAAUCAACCCAACUAGCUCGAUUAGGCCACAACCCUUCUAGCUGGGUUGCAGUGCCGCGAGAAGCUACAAACCGAGCGUAACAGAUUUUUCAUCGCUGCUUGGAGUGAGAAGCUACUCUGAAAAGUUGAAUUUCUUAAGUUUUGGGAAGCUAGAGGAGAUCAUAACAGGCCCUAAGUCAUCGGUAUUUCAUAAUUGAAUGUUCUCCAUGUCGUGACGUUUGAUGGUGUAAACCCAAAUAAUCGCCAUUGUGAAAUUAAAUUCCUCCCGUGAGUCGAACCCACAUCCAUAAAGAUGUGCCACUAAAAUCCACCUCUAGGCUAUCUUGGAGUCCUUAAUAUAAUCAAGUGCGCCCAAUAUGGUGACUUAAUAUGUACUUAUUGACCCUACGAAGCUAAUCACCUCCAUCAAGACCCCUUCCUGGUUCUCCUAUAACUAGAUUUCCCGAAACCACGAGAAUCCUUAGAAUGGGAUUACAACUUAGCACCUUUCGUUUUCACAUAGUAAGAAGAGUUGCUCCUUGGAUAGCAUGGUACGAUCAAAGGUGUAACCUGUGUUUCGGAGGGAGUUAUUGUCUCGAAACUUUGUUCUCAGCUAUUCCGAUUCCAGCAAACGGAGGCCAUUGGGUCAAAGCUGUACUGCACGCCCUGUAGUUUUCAAGUGGGGUGAGACAACUUUAGCUAGGAACCAAUUUUCAUUCUGACUAGCUCCCUGAAAACAAUGUUCGACUUCAUGUGUAGUCGGUGUAGAUGUGUCAUUGCAAUUCCACCACUAGGAUAUCAACAAGUCCUAUGUAUUACAUGACAACAUAUGCCACCAUAUGGUGACUUGAUAAAUUAAAUGGAUUUCACCAAGCUUUCGUGUUACAAUUAUAGUGAAGAUAGUGACUCACAUGUCAGCCUCCCUGACGGGAAGCAAAAUCACUCUGACUUUGGCAACCUAAUUUUUGGUGGAUUCAAGCAAACAUGUUGGAUUUGUAUUUUAUUUAUUUCAACAUAUAUAAUUCAUAUAAAUAAAUCAAUUCAUAAUAGGUGUCUUGGAGACACCCAUGUCAAUAAUGUGAAAUUAUGGGAAAUCUUAUUAUGUGCAUCAACAUAAGCCAAAACUCGUGGCUUAAGAGAUAUGUGUACAAUCUUCGAAUGGUUAUUCCCCCUACUAAAUUCAUGAUGUUAGCUAGUUCCCAGAAGUUGAGAAAGAAGUUUAGUCAUGGGAUCAAUGUCCAGGUGCAUCAUAUUUCCAGUCCCAAAAAAAUUUGUUAUGGAAGUUGAGAAAGAAGUUUGGGCAACAUAUUUCUAGACACCUGUCAUGUCUAGGAUCUUCUCAAGCCUAGGUAAGCUUAGUCAUGGGAUCAAUGCAGGCUAUUAGUACAUUGACCUGGUUCUUAAUUCAAGUCCUCCUUGCUUGAUACAAUAUUGAAUGGAAAGUACAUAAUCAAUUUACUUAAGUGGGUGAACAAUGUUGGCUAGUAUAUUUCAACACUCACCUCACAUGCAUCUUUUAGAGGCAUAUAAUGCAUCGUGAUGGAAACAUUUUUUCUAUAGACUAAAUUUCAAUGGAAAAUUUUAAUUAAUUUAAUUAGUAGCAAUCUCGUAUCGCAAGGAUAUAUGGCAAAUGAAAAUGAGGGCUCAAAUGCUACUUGUUGGCACACAAAAGUCAAGUUGUCUUUUUCCUCCCAUGUUGAUCCUCCGUGGUUCGACAUUGGGCAUUACAAAGAGAUCAAGUUAUGUUUACACACCGCUAGAGCUACCAGACCCUGGAUGUUCCACCAUGAAUGUCCAUAUGGUGCAAUGAGUGAUAGCGAGGUAUAUUAGAACAUAUAGUUUACACCGUUAAAGUAAUUAAAUCGGCUAUUUUUCCUACUAUGAAAAAUAGUAUUUUAAGAGAAAACUAUAUAAGAGUUUGUGAUCUUUGUAUGUAAAAGCAUUAUUUUCCUUUGCUUGGUGUUCACGCAGUUUGUUUUAUGGCAAAAAUGGAAAAUCAUGGGACAAUAAUUGUUGAUAUUUUUUGCCGGAAAGCGAGAUCUUUUCACUUUUCAGAUCACACAAAGUAUUGUUUUUCUUAUAGGGGUGAUAUACAGUGUUCUAAAUCUGCACUUGUGAUUCGUUGUCCAUUUAAAUCUGGUUUCUUCCACAGAUUAUGUUGGUUUGUUGUUGUAUUUAUCUCAGCACUAAAGUAUACUGAUGUUAGCUAAGUCCAAUCAAAGGCCCGUGUUUUUAUCAUGUUAUACAAAUUAGUAAGCUAAGAUCUUACCAAACUCAAGUUACAUAAGCCCAGACUACGUGAAAUACACAUCAUGCAGUACACAUGUUCAUCUUAGUGUUAUGUUAUACUUGGCUCCGAGAUAACAAAUGGUAUCAAUUAUUACUAUCUUUUGCAGCUUGUUUCUGCCUGUUCAUCGUAGAAUUAUCUUAUGUGGUCUCCCAAGGUUCAUACAACUUGGAUUUUUCAUACUUUGGUAGUAUUAGUGUUCACUAGGACUAGGUGCCACUCUGCAGAAGCUGAGGAUACAGAUGGAGAAAGUAGUCAUGGUUUUUUUUUUCAAAAAGUUUGUUCAUAUCUAUAAGAGGUUUAUGAAUUUUCAGUGUAUAGUGUUGUGAAACCUAGAGUGUUUUAUCUCAUUUAACAUUGAACUACGCUUUCAAGGAAAAACCUUCAUUUGACAUCGAACUAUGCAUGCAGGGCAAACACCCCGUGCUUCGGUGCCACCGCGCCGCGAACCCUGGGAGCUUGAACCUGGAUGGGUGUGAACUUCAGAUUGAUGUCAAGGUUAGGGGUCAGUCAUGGAUAGAGAAUAAAGGGGACUUUGCAAAACUGUUAUUAAUAAUAUGGAUGAAACAUUGCCUUGUGGAGAGAAUAAGAUAUUUCCAGAGAUAUUUAUAAAUGGAUGCAUACUUGAAAUAGCAGUACAAAAUAUGAUGCUAACAUUUUAUUUUCAUUGUUGUUCCCAUAAAACUUCUGGUGGUGGCUCCAUUAUUCACAGCCUCGCACAUGAAAAUGUUAUUUCGUUCGGGUAAAUGUUGCGUGUCGUUGCUCCUGUAGUUUUGCGGUUUGCAUCUCCUUGAAACUUGUGAGUUGGAUUUUGUGAAGUUGCAAUGCAAAUUUGCGAUGCAGGGAAGAUAAUAAACAAUGCUUUCUAAGAGCAUUGGAUAUUGGAUGCGACUCAGAAAGAACGCAUGCAAACGCAAGAUGCAAGACGUAGUAGGCACAUGUCCAGGUUUAUUAAGAGCAUCUACACCGGACGCCUCAUAUCUGUCACAGACACAAAAUUGCCGGUCAGCACUAGGACGCAAAAUUGCCACCCAACAGGAUCUGUCAAACCCGGCCCAAACGUCUAGACAUGACCGCACUCCCCAUAUCCAGCUCAUAUCUCGGACAGAUAUGUGGAAGCCCAGAGACGCCCGGACACACCCGCCAUGUAGGAUCCGGCCGAGUGUGGCCCACCCGACCCUACAUAAAUAGGACCCUAUCCGCACUCCGAGCGAAACCCAAGCGGCAUUCAACUCCACUCUACUCCUCGCCAGGCCACUCCCGUCCACCCACAAGCCCCAUUUGCGAAUCUCCCACCAUUUCGAGCCGUUGAACCGGAGAUCAUCCCACGCGGCCCCAAGGAGGAGAUGGUCGACUGCCUUGCGCUUCUCCACUACCGGAGGAGUCCGCCCAGCCGCGGUCGAAAUCCAUCUGGUGGGAAUCCAUUGCGUCUGCCACAAUGGAGCAUGGAUCCCGCCCGAGGGCAGUCUACGCUGCCUUAGCAGAGGCAGUGCACUCCAUCUGGCGUCCGAACGCCGUGGAGGAUACGCAACCACUUUGUUGGCGCACUGAGAAAGAUAUGCACACCCGCUUAACGUCUGAUAUUAAUAUGGUGUGUGGCGCAUCCACCGUGUUAGGCAAUGGGCACGGGAACCCGUGGCAGCCCCCGUGCCAGACGCCAGCGGGGCAGACUCGCACUCUUCGGUGCCUCGUAUCGUGCCCGGCAGCCCUUGGCGCCGAAAUCAUGUCGUGUUGGAUGCGGCCGGCUCCACCAUCAUGGAUCAAUCAUUGACCUCACAUCCACCGACGACGGGAGAGCACGGGCUCCGACGAGAAAGAGUAGGCCAUGGGAGAUGGCGCCGAAUCGAGUUUCUUUUGCCGGGUCGUGUCCCAUGUCCUACUCUACCUCACCAGAGACCGACCCUCCACUUUGACAGGCUCAGACAGCCAUCGGACAUGGACAGGUUAGGAACAACAAGGACAGUCGCUGGCACAAAUUUAGACUACAGCCGUCGACGCGAGGUAAGUGCGGCAUGAGUUAAUCGCUGAAGAGGUUGGGCCGUUGUCGCCGGUUUGUCGUACAGUUGCCGACGUAGUCGUCCAUGACCACCAGAUCGACGCCGCCGUCACUGCAAGUCUAGGCGUCUCUGUAGUGGCUGAAGUCAUUUUAGUGUAUUUUCUUUGUAUUGUGAUGAUUGCAUACUGUGUUGCGUAUUGUGGCGUAUUUUCUUUGUAUUGUGAUGAUUGUAUACAGUACAAUGUAUUGUGGAUUUUCAUACUUUGGUAGUAUUAGUGUUCACUAGGACUAGGUGCCACUCUGUAGAAGCUAAGGAUACAGAUGGAGAAAGUAGUCAUGGUUUUUUUUUCAAAAAGUUUGUUCAUAUCUAUAAGAGGUUUAUGAUUUUUCAGUGUAUACUGUUAUGAAACCUAGAGUGUUUUAUCUCAUUUAACAUUGAACUACGCUUUCAAGGAAAAACCUUCAUUUGACAUCGAACUAUGCAUGCAGGGCAAACACCCCGUGCUUCGUUGCCACCGCGCCGCGAACCCUGGGAGCUUGAACCUGGAUGGGUGUGAACUUAAGAUUGAUGUCAAUGUUAGGGGUCAGUCAUGGAUAUAGAAUAAAGGGGACUUUGCGAAACUGUUAUUAAUAAUAUGGAUGAAACAUUGCCUUGUGGAGAGAAUAAGAUAUUUCGAGAGAUAUUUAUAAAUGGAUGCAUACCUGCAAUAGCAGUACAAAAUAUGAUGCUAACAUUUUAUUUUCAUUGUUGUUCCCAUUAAACUUCUGGUGGUGGCUCCAUUAUUCACAGCCUCGCACAUGAAAAUGUUAUUUCGUUCGGGUAAAUGUUGCGUGUCGUUGCUCCUGUAGUUUUGCGGUUUGCAUGUCCUUGAAACUUGUGAAUUGGAUUUUGCGAAGUUGCAAUGCAAAUUUGGGAUGCAGGGAAGAUAAUAAACAAUGCUUUCUAAGGGCAUUGGAUAUUGGAUGCGACUCAGAAAGAACGCAUGCAAACGCAGGUUUAUUAAGAGCAUCUACACCGGACGCCUCAUAUCUGCCACAAACGCCAGGCCGAGCUUCCCGGUCAUUACUAGGACGCAAAAUUGCCACCCAACAGGAUCUGUCAAACCCGGCCCAAACGUCUAGACAUGACCGCAUUCCCCAUAUCCAGCCCAUAUCUCGGAUGGAUAUGCGGAAGCCCAGAGGCGCCCGGACACACCCGCCAGGUAGGAUCCGGCCGAGUGCGGCCCACCCGAUCCCACAUAAAUUGGACCCUAUCCACACUCCGAGCGAAACCCAAGUGGCAUUCAACUCCACUUUACUCCUUGCCAGGCCACUCCCGUCCACCCACAAGCCCCAUUUGCGGAUCUCCCACCAUUUCGAGCCGUUGAACCGGAGAUCGUCCAACGCGGUCCCAAGGAGGAGAUGGUCGAUUGCCUUGCACUUCUCCACUACCGGAGGAGUCCGCCUGGCCGCGGUCGAAAUCCAUCUGGCGGGAAUCCAUUGCGUCUGCCACAAUGGAGCAUGGAUCCUCCCCGAGGGCAGUCGCCGCUGCCUUAGCAGAGGCAGUGCAGUCCGUCUGGCGUCCGAACGCCAUGGAGGAUACGCAACCACUUUGUUGGCGCACUGAGAAAGAGAUGCACACCUGCUUAACGUCUGAUACAAAUAUGGUGUGGCACAUCCACCGUGUUAGGCAAUGGGCACAGGAGCCUGCGGCAGCCCUCGUGCCAGACGGCAGCGGGGCAGACUCACACUCUUCGAUGCCUCGUAUCGUGCCCGGCAGCCCUUGGCGCCGAAAUCAUGUCGUGUUGGACGCGGCCGGCUCCACCAUCAUGGAUCAACUAUCGACCUCACAUCCACCGAUGACAGGAGGGCAUGGGCUCCGACGAGAAAGAGUAGGCCAUGGGAGAUGGCGCCGACUCGAGUUUCUUUUGCCGGGUCGUGUCCCAUGUCCUACUCUACCUCACCGGAGACUGACCCUCCACUUCGACAGGCUCAGACAGCCAUCGGACAUGGACAGGUUCGGAACAACAAGGACAGUCGCUGGCGCAAAUUUAGACUACAGCCGUCGACGCGAGGUGAGCGCUCCACGAGUUAAUCGCUGAAGAGGUUGGACCGUUCUGUCGCCGGUGGUCAUACAGUUGCCGACGUAGUCGUCCAUGACCACCAGAUCAACGCCGCCGCCACUACAAGUCUAGGCAUCUCUAGUGGUUGAUGUCAUUUUAGUGUAUUUUCUUUGUAUUGUGAUGAUUGCAUAUUGUGGCGUAUUUUCUUUGUAUUGUGAUGAUUGUAUACUGUACAAUGUAUUGUGGCAUAUUUUUUGUGGUCUACUUUUAAAAAAGAAACUAUAAAUAGCUAAAAGUGGUGUGCAGAAUAAAUUUGUACCCGCCACUACAAAACAAAUGCCAGUACUGACAUAUAUUUUUGCCCACCUAAUAGUAAUGCCCGCCACUGCUACAAGAUCGAGGUCGAUGGCGGGCUGUUUGUAACGCCCGCCACUGUUAUAGUCAUUUGUGGCAGGUGGAGCGCCCACCACUAAUGCCAUGUCGCCAGUGGCAGGCGCCUCUGAGAGCCUUACCCGUCAUUGCUAGGCUUUUGAUGCCACCACUGCUACGCAUUCCUGCGAUAGUGUGCAAUUGCGUAUCUAGUAGAACAUAUAUAACUAUCGUCCCAACAAACAGUUUCGUCCUACCAUGAAGUUAUAGUCGUGUUGAAGACAUUCAUUUAUAAUCGGAAGUGACGUUGCAGUUGCAUAUCAAGUAGGAGAUAUUUAACUGCCCUAAUGACAAAACACUUUUGUUCCCUAAAUUACAGUCGCAUUGGAGACAUGCAUUAGCGAAACGACACCACCUGUAGUUGUGUGUUUGGAGUUAGACAUGUAACUAGCUCCACAAUAAUAAUCUGAAUUUUAAGUUUUAAUGAAUUUUAAAUUAAAGAAAAAAGAAAAGAUGAAGAUAUAAAUACAGAAAUAGAGAAAACAAACAAUAGGAAAAAUCCUAAAAAAGGCAAAAACAAAGAAAGGAAAAACCUGUUUGAAGUUUCUAGAAGCUUCAUAUAACCAGAAGAAAGAGUCCUACAUGGGGCGGCCCACUCACACAUGUAAAAAGAGGCGGGCGAGGCGUAUGUCGACUAGCUCAGACUUGGGGAAUCCUAUUCCGCGCAUAGGUCGCUACGUAGCGACCAAACGCAUACCCCUCGGGUUUGUGGUCCUCUUCGAGUCGGUCCAUUCCAGGUUCUUCCGCAUACUGGUGUUUAGGAAGGUUCUAGACCUUUUUUUCUAUUUUCUUUGUUUUCUUCUAGUUUUUUCUUUCUUUUAUAUUUUAGAUAUUACUUCUUAUUUUCUUUUAUUUUAAAUUUUCCUUUUUGGUAUUGCAAACAUAUUGUCAAAUUCGUAAAUGUUUAUUGAAAUCGAGAACAGUUUUUGAGUUGACAAACAUAUAUCUGAAAUAAUGAACAUUUUCUAAUUCGACAAUACAUUUUGAAAUCACAAAAUAACAAAAAAAUAACUUUUGAGGACAUUUUUAAAAAAUUCUGAACAUGUUCGUCAAUCGGCCGACAUAUUUUGAAUCGAUGAAAAUUUCUAUGAAUUGACAUGAUUUUUUUGAAUUGGCAAACAUUUUUUGAAUCGAUGACCAUUUUUUGAAUCAAUGAAUAUUUUUUACAUGAAUGAACAUUUUUUGAAAUUCACAAUAAUAAAUUUUGUGAACAUUUAAAAAACUUGUUGAAUAUUGCUUGUAUCUCAACUUCCGUCCUGAUUAAUUAAAUAAUGUGGUGAUACCCAUCAAAAGAAAAUAGCUACGGUUGGCACAAAAUUUACUGCAAAUUAAUCAUGUGAUGAAAGACUUAGACGUGACAUAGUUUUUAUGUACCCUGAUAAGUGCCACACGUCAGGGUCAUUCUCAUGACAACUUUGAACAUUUUUUAUGACAAGUUUAGUUGCACGAGGAUGGCAAAUUUAAUUGACAAGCAUGAAAACUUUCGUGCUUUAUUUUAUUUUAAUAGAAACUUGUCGUGUGUCAUUGAAAUUUGCCAUCCUUGGAUGACAAGAAUUGCCAUAAAAAAAGUCAGGCCCAAAGUGCAAAGCACCUGACGUGUAAGACCUAUCAUUUGGAUACUUUAUAUCUAAGAAUUACCAUAAAAAAAGUCAGUCCCAAAGUCUUCAUGGUUACCUACGUGGAGCACCUUUUGUUCUAGAUCGCGAACUUCUUCAUGUGCUUGCACCGAAAGGGGUAGGUGAAACGUUUCAUGGAGUGAGGUAGAUCCCAAGAAAUCUGUGACUGAAAUAUCCUCAUUUAUUGCAAAGGAGAAGGCCCACGCGUAUUAUUCUGCCAGUGUAGUGCCUAACCAUAUAUCCUUCCACAUAAGUACCGUGUCUCCAACGUGCACAUUUUCUUUAGAUAUCCCUCUGUAGAUUGGGGUGAGCUUUAGCACAUCCUUCCACCAAAACUAUCUGCACGGUUCCGACACGUGCGGGAUCUUGUGCAUGUAAUAUGUUGUCCAGAUCAAAUCCACCCAGGGCAGGUCAUGGUGGUUGUAAAAUUUAUGCAGAUAUUUGAGAAAGAGGGCCUCACUUUGGAUAUGGAGAUUGAUUAUGCCAAGUCCACCACUUUGUUUUGGUUGACAAACCAUGUCCCAAGCUGCCAAUGAGUUACAUUUAUCCGCUUGCUCAGUCUUUUUUGUCCAAAGGCACUUCCUUCUUAUGUUAUCAAGUAGCUCUAAUAUCUUUGGUGGGAAUUUGAGAGUGCAGAGAGCGAAGAUGGUGAGAGAUGUAAUCAUCGUGUUGAGGAGUGACAGUUUUGCAUCGUAUCACGUCAAGGCUAAAGUACUGGUCAUUCUUCGUUCCAUCGUGCAAACAAGAGGCAUGAGAUCUUGGACCGUAGGCUUGGUUAUUACGAGAGGCAGUCCCAAGUAAGUGAAGGGCAUAGAUCCUACCUUACAGCUAAAGAUAGAAGCGAUGUCGUUGUAACAAUCGGCAGCACAUAUAAUUGGGAUUGAUGUAGACUUGUGGAAGUUUAUCUUUAAUCCAAUAGAAGCAGCGUAGUCUAAGGGAAUAUCCUUGAUAGUCCUUGCUUGGUUGGGGCAAGCAAGGAGUAUAAUGAUAGUAUCGUCGGCAUAUUGGAUCACUGGAUAAUCAUGCUGGUUUUGUCUUUGGAACGGAAGCCGUUUUUUUUCUUUUCGGAAAGCGUCAUUAAUGGCACCUUGAAUAAGGUCAGCUGCGAGCACAAAAAUGAGGGGUGAUAAAGGAUCACCUUGACGAACACCACAUUUGCAGAUGAAUUGCCGGCCUGGUACACCAUUUAACAGGACCGAUGAUUUUCCCGAGGCGAAGAUGCAUUUGAUCCAAUCAAGCCACUUGGCAUCAAACCCCAUGUGUUCCAUAAUUGUAAUCAUUGCAUCAUGCUCGAUCAUGUCAAAGGCUUUUGCAAAAUUUAGUUUUAGCAGGACAAUAUUUUGUUUUGGGGUUUGACACUGAUGGAUGUACUCGAAAGCCCAGGCCAAACAGUCUUGUAUUGAUCUUCCUUUGAUGAAGCCAUAUUGAUUGCGAUGAACAAUUUUAAGUAUGAGCUUUUGGAGCCGGUUUGCGAGAAGUUUAGUGAUAACCUUGAGGCAGAAGUUGAGCAAAGUAAUUGGUUUGAAAUCAGAAAUUGUCUCAGGUGACCGAACUUUGGGUAUGAGUGUGAUAAAUCCCACAUUAAUGCUCUCAAGAUUAAGUCCACCCUCGUAGAAUUGAUUGCAUAGCUCAUAAAAAUCCUCUUUAAUUAUGUUUCAACAUUUUUCAGAAAUAAGCCAGUGAAUCCAUCCGGACCAGGUCCUCUGUCAGCUGGCAUUUCCUUGAUGACAACAUCGAUUUCAUCCUUGGUGAAAGGGACAGUCAAUUGAUCCACACCCUCAACUUUCUUGAUGAUGCUUUGCAGGUUGAAUUUCAUUUGAAACUCUCCAGAUUUUCCAAGUCUUUCUUUGAACGCUUGGUAUAUGAUCGCCUCUUUAUUAGCAUGAUCUUGUGCCACUGUGUCAUCAGGGAGUUUUAGUGUUGGAAUUGUGUUGCGUCUGUAUCUUUCUGAGGCCAUUGGCUUUAAAAAUUUAGGGUCUUCAUCACCCAAUUUCACCCAUCGAAUGGUGCAUCUCUUUUGCCAGUAUUGUCUUUGGUAGUUCAAGAGGCGUAAAAUGUGUUUAUUCAGAAUUUUCCUAAAAUUAUGUUCUGGAGUAGAAAGGAUUCUAAGAUUUUUUAGGGCAUCUAGAUUGGCCAGGGGAAGAUUAGAGUUUUCAAUUGCCACCUUAAGUUUAGAGAUACGUUUGCUCCACCUUUUCAACUCAUAUCUAAAUGCUUUGAACUUUCUGCACAGUAAAGUGGCGGCAUUUGUAUUGGCAUGUUUUAAUGGUCUUGUCCAACAGAUUGAACCAAAUCCAUAAAACCUGGGUGCUCCGUCCAAUAAGACUCAAAUCUAAAGAUAUUGCUGCGAGGGAUGGAGGUUCCAAUUUUGACAACACGCGGAAUAUGAUCAGAAACUGGUUUCCCUAGUGGCAUAACUAGAGUGUUAGGGUAACACGAAGUCCAGUUGUUAGACGUGAGAAACCAGUCUAAUUGCUCAAGGAGGGGGGUCUGUAUGCAUAUUGCUCCAAGUGUAAGCACGACGCUCAAUUGGCAGUUCAAUUAAUUCCUAAGAGCGGAUGAUGUCAUUAAAAGCAAUCACGUCAUUAGAAUUACCUCUAGGUUUAUUUCUGUUAUCAGGGCUAUGAAUAUAGUUAAAGUCUCCUAGCAACAACCAAUCUUCAUUGGAGGGGAUAUUUAGAGUAUGAAGCCAAUUAGUGUAAGUCACUCACGGGUCACCCUGACACAGGCCAUGUAUAUUCACCAGGGUCCACUCUUAGGCCGAUUGUGUGGAACGGAAUUUGAUGAAAGAACCAUGCCAUGAGAACUGUUCCUGUGAAAAUGGCAUUGUUCCAAAUGGCGGCAAUGCCUCCUGAAGCACCCUGGGAGGGGAUGUAUGAAAAUUUAUAAAAUCUUCUUGGGCAACAAGACUUUAGGAACAAGUUAUCAAUGACAGAUUUUUUUGUUUCUUGCAGACAGAUGACUGCACAACCACUGGAGGAGAUAGCAUUCGAGAACGCCAAAAGCUUAGGAUCAGAGUUUAAGCCUCUUACAUUCCAGCACAAAAUAUUCUAGCUCGAUAAAAGUGCCAUGAUAAAAUAGAGAAAAUUAAAAAACAACUGAAAUAAAGCGAGGAAAUAGCUUAAGCAUUGGAGGGGCCGUCCUCAGCUUCAGCCAUCAGAGCUUCAGAAGUAACUUCUUCUGGCGGAAUGGCGCACUUGAUGAUCCCAAUGUGUUGCAGCACUUGAACAGGAGUAGGUGGAGGGAUAUUGUCCUCGUUCAGUGAAUCAGGAACAACUUGACCUGCUUGGGCACCAGUACUAGGGACAAUUCUUGGCUUGACUUUGGAAGGUUUAGCCUUGCUGUCAGAAACUGAUGGUAUCUUGAAACCAUCAUACUUAUUAGAGCGGCUGCUACGACGAACCUCAACCACAGAUGCUGGUGCUUUAGCUUUGCCCCUCCUGAUUAUUGAUUUCCCUGAGCUCAUAGCGUCACUUGCAAUAAAGCCAGUGGAGUCACUUGCAUCAGAACCAGAAGAGGUGGUCAUUGCAUCCAAUGGAAGUGUUGUUGCACCUUGAACAGGUAAGUCCAUCUCAUCCAAGACUUCUGUGAUGACAACAUUGGAGUUGGAAGUCCUUGGUAUGACAGCGAGAUCAUUUGUUGGCUGAAGAGGGUUAUCCCCACAGGAUAGGGCCCAAGAACUACUGCCAGGGAUCAUCUCAGUGACAUAUACUGAAUCUGCAGUAUGUUGGAUGGUUCUGGUGGAAGACAGAAUAGAGAACUGUCCCUCUUUGUCAGCAAUGCUAACAUUAAAUUGCACUGAAAUGUCACAAAAUCCAAACCCCGAGCUCCACGGGCCAUAUGCAUCUAUAAUAGGCCUAAUAGAAGCUAGGAGGGAAGUGUUCAGCCUCAACAUUGGCACACAAUCAUUCAGAAGCAAAGAAGCAUUGGUGUUCUCAGGAGAAAGCAUAGAAAGCUGCAGACCAGCAUAUGAAAUAGACAGUGACAUUUCCAUGGGUGUUACCUCCUAGGCGGUCACAAGAUUGUACGUGAUAAAACUCAGCUCGGAUUCGAUGAUCCGGUGUCUUCCCUAUGAUUGUGGCCCAGCUAACAAUCUCGACAUCUUUGGUAGUGGCUGGCAUGCGAAGGCGUUGAUUGUCCCUUCUGUACUGCAUCAGGUGAUGCAUGAGGUAGAAUCCAUCAGUCCUACUGGUGUGCGGUUGCUGGAUGCGGCAGAAGUCGGUCUUAUGGCGAAAAACCAGCCCGUUCUUCAUGUGCCUUUUCACCUUGAUAUAUCCACCAGACAGGCUAAAGGUUAACAGGGCACUAUCAAGAACACUUUUUAUGUGCAUGUAAUCCUUUUUCUUGAGGUUCUUCGAUGAGUCCAAGUACAUAGCAUGGGAGUAUUCUGGGUACAGAACGAUGAGGACGGCGCCGCCCCCGCUGCGCGAAUUAAGUACACCUCAAAUUAGCCUCCAUGCUUGCAAACGAAUGAUUAACACGUACGAAAGGAUAUGCGCGGAUGACUUACUAGGGAUAAUAAGGCAGGAGAAUCGCUUCCUUGUCCUUAUUAGCGAUCAUGAAUUCACCGACGUACUUGCUCGCAUAGUCACGGUGCUCUUUGCAAACUGCCAAGAAGCUCUCUGCAUAUAGUAUGGGUCCACGACGCAGAUAUAUUUUAUGUUCUUGAUCUUGAUGAAGUAGUUGAGAUACAACACAUACACGCGGAUGAACUGGAAAUUCAGCUUGGUUGUGUGGAACAUGUCGUAGAUGUAGUCAAAUCGCAGGAUGAACUGAUUCGCGGGCCAGGUCUCGACGUACAACUUCCCACCCGGCAACUGAGCCAGGUAAAGCGGGUAUCCUGGUUCUUUCGCGAUCAGAAGGCUUUUCUCUCCAGCCAGCACAUCUUCAUGGAGUCUCUUUAGAUCAUUGUUCAGUAAGAGAUCUAGCGCUUUGGUAGGUAGGAUCGGCUCGCCGGCGACAUGGAAAUGUGUCUUACCUUCGACAGGUAUUCUGUCUACCACCCGGGGCUUCAGAUGCGGCUGGCCUCUUGAAGCACCUAUGGCGCCUUUAGGGCCUUUCCUGGGCGGUCUCUUCAUUUGCUUCUUGGCGGGUGGCGGUAGUGAGCCCACCAUACCUUCCCUAACCACCACCCCUAGUGUCGUCGGGCUAAUCAGUGGACGGGCCUCGGGGGGUUGCUAGGUAUAGGCGGCAUCUGGAGGCGUUUCCUGCGAGGAUGGCUUGAAGAGAGACUUUUUGCAUUCCGCCUUAGGAUGUUCCGGCUCCGGCAAAUCAGGCAGCAUCAAGUCAUCAUCUCCAUGCUCAUAGCCUGAGUCUUCAUCGUCCUGAGCCAUCAAUCCUCCAUCACCAUAGGCGGUAUUUAAAUACUUGUUUGUGUCAUCAUCAUCCUCCAUGUCAUCAUUAGCAUUUGCUUCUUUGACAGUGGGGGCGACAUGAUCUGGUACUAAUCGAGGCUCUCCCUCGCGUCAUACGCUACCAUCCGCUACGACAGGUGCAGGUAAUUUGGUAGGUGGGGUGGUGUUCAUACCUUCUUGAGAAGGUGGCGUUGGCGUGAUACUGGGUGCCUCAAGACGAAGAAGAGACUUCGGCCAAGGCAAGAACCAGCUCUUGCAUGCGCCAACCAUCUUAGGGUUCUCGUUGUCGUCAUCGACUGGUACCGGAGGAGGCAAAUCCUCGAAGCCCGCUAAGACACUGGCCACGUUAACCUUGAAGACUCCAUCGGGCAUCUCUCGGUUGUGGAACAUUCGGUACUUCGGCUUCACGAUCGUUGCCUUUCCCACAGCCACCUUCUGGCCCUUGAUGUUGUAGAGUAGGGUGCAUGGGGUAUCGUCGGCCUACGAAGGAGACAUGUCUGCGACGUCAAACAUCUGAAAGGCAACAGAAACGAAAGACUAUAGACAUGCUGGUGAAAAGGGUAUGACGCGUAAAUACCGUGAGGGCGUCGAGCUCAGCCAGCGAUGAAGGCCCGCCGAGCAUGCGAGAGACGGAGGUCGGGCUGCUAUGAACAGGAACGAGACCUUUAGCGGUUGCUUGGGCAGGUGUUGGUGCUGUGGUGUUUGCCGAAUUGCUGCCGACAAAGCUAGGAAGGGGAAAGUCCUCCGGCCGUGCAUUUGGAUUGCUCUUCGACCAAUCGAAAAUUGCCGGAAUCAAGCUGGCCACCACAUCAGUGACCAACCCACUGACCGCCCCCAGCAACUCUUCUUUGGUCUCAGCUUUGGUCUUAUUAACCGCAAUCACGACCUUCUCAUCGAUGCUCUGCUGAGUGACGACCAACCGUCUCAUCCUUCUUUCCUCUGGCUCCUCGGGGUAGCACAUCCUCCAUGAGGCGCCAUCUCUGAUAUCGUGUACACGUCCAUAGGACGGCGGCUUGUCCACCGGGACCUUUUUCAGUAUGUUUACGGCCCGGUUGAAUGGGGUGUCGCACUUGGGCCACGCCGACGACUGUGACGACUCAUCGCUUUCGGCCGCCUUUUUGGUGCUGCUCUUUCUGCAAAAGGAACGUGGAUGGUUUACUAAUGUGAAAAAAGUUCAAGUCGAAUUGAUUGGAAGCUAAUAUGAUAAUGUGGUAAUAUAACAAUUAGCAGAAGUCUCAUGAACUCCCUCGUAUUCGGGCCUGUGUAAGAGAUCUUUCUUACUUUGUCCCACCCACUUGUAUCAGGCCCUGAUCGAGUCAUGCUCCUGCGGGACUGUGAACUCCGCCAAGGGGUCUGGGAUUCCAAGACUUUCACGUUCGGCGUCCUCCUUGGCCCAUAUGUGCCUGUUCCCCUCGUAACCAUGGCUUCCGAGGCGGUGGGGAGGCGUGUUCCUGUCCUGGAGCGCCUUCACUUUCUCCGACUUUGCCUUGACUUCUUCUUUUCCGCAAUUCUCCUUGAAUUUUACAAAGUCCUCUGUCGUUAUUGUUGGAUUAUCAGCAUGAAUCUUGGGCCACGGUUCAUUCUUCGCAAUCUCUUUUUUCACCAGAACAUUCUAGGAGGACAAGUUGUUGGUGAACGUCACCAUCGCGUUGUCGCUUAUCUUUGUCAUGGUGACGUCGUCCCACAGCUCUUUAUAUUUGCCUUCCUCCCGGUCGGGGAACAGGAACCUAUUUUGCAACUUCUUUAGGAGCAUGUGCUCCAUAUGUGGUAUCUAACUUCAACCUCUCGUCGUUGAUGUUGGCGGUUUCCCUGAGGAUGCAUCCAUGUUGGCUGCCCUAGCACGAGCGCGCUUCCUCCAGCGCCGUUGGCUCUAACUUCUUGGGGUGCAUCUCUGUGACCAUAAUUUAUCUGAUGCCAAGCUCGUUUGGUCUUCGCGUCCUCUUCUUCUUUGGUGCUUUACCGGCUACGACAACAUCGUUGCCGGUCUCGGGUGUAGUGUCGGUGUCGGUGCCAGUGCGAGUGUCGGCAUCGGUGUCAGGGUUGGGGCCACUGCCGCCACCAUGCAACCCCAUCUGGUGUUCAUCCAGGUAAUCGAAAUAGUUAUGUGCUGCCUCAAUGGGGUCUGCGAGGUGAGCAGACCACCCAUGACUUCGGCAUCGGUGGACAUGUUUCCUAUUCAACAAUUGUAAAUAAAAGAUAUAAUGAAGAGAAAAAAGGGCCUAUAUUUGGUCGGUAUGUUCAUUCCCCUUCCGGCAAAUCCCGGGUACUCCAUAUGUCCUAGUUUCUAGCAUGAAAUUUUUGGCAUGACAUUUGCUAAGAACUGGACAUAUGGAACGCCUGAAAUUUGCCAGAACAGAAAUGAAUCAACAUUCCGGCAAAACAUAGGCCACUCGGAUAUUUUUUGGCAUUCAACCAACAUUGCAAAACCAACAUAUAACAUCAAUGACAUAUAUCAUUCAAGCAAAAGCAUGCUUGUACUUAAAUACACAAAAAUGACAAAAAUAGCUACAAACUUGCUCAAACUUGCUCCUAGGGUUCAUACAUAGCUAACUUGCCCAAAAUUUUGCUAAAUUUGCUACUGUUUUUUUUAUUUGGUACUGUUUUUAUACCUAAUUUUUUUGCUACUAUUUUUUUAAAUUACUAUUGUUUUUGUAAACUUGGCUACUGUUUUCUAAAUUCUUUUGCUAUUGUUUUUUAAAUUCUUUUGCUACUGUUUUUUAUACCUAAUUUUUUGCUAACUUUCUACAAAAAUUUGCUAACUAGCUAAUAUUUGCUACAAAAAUUUAGUAACUUGCUAAAAAAACAAAAAACAAAAAUUUGUUAAUUAGCUACUGCCCUAAUUUGCUACUUUGCUAACUUGCUAAAAAAUCCCUAACUUUGCUAACUUUACUAAAUUUGCCCUAAAAUUUGCUAUCUUUGCUACUGCAUUUGCUAACUUUGCUCAANNNNNNNNNNNNNNNNNNNNNNNNNNNNNNNNNNNNNNNNNNNNNNNNNNNNNNNNNNNNNNNNNNNNNNNNNNNNNNNNNNNNNNNNNNNNNNNNNNNNNNNNNNNNNNNNNNNNNNNNNNNNNNNNNNNNNNNNNNNNNNNNNNNNNNNNNNNNNNNNNNNNNNNNNNNNNNNNNNNNNNNNNNNNNNNNNNNNNNNNNNNNNNNNNNNNNNNNNNNNNNNNNNNNNNNNNNNNNNNNNNNNNNNNNNNNNNNNNNNNNNNNNNNNAGGAGGCCGGAGCGGACGAGGAGGAGGUCGGAGCGGCGGCGGCGCGGAAGAGCAGGAGGUCGGAGCGGCGCGGACGAGGACGAGAAGGAGGCCGGCGGCGAGGCCGAGGGCGGGCAGGAGCGACGGGUCGGCGUCAAGGUCCAGGUCGAGGGGGGACGGCCGGCGGGGCGGGCAGCGCGGGCGAUGACAGCAGAGGAGUGGGAGAGGUGGGAAGUAGGGCGAAUGGGGACUUUGCAAAAUUUUGAGUCCGUGCGGGCAAUGGUUAACUCAAAAUAGCAGUACCGCUGGUUUAAGAACCAACGCUAUAGCUAACUUAGCUAUAGCGUUGGUUCAGCGCUACUGCUAAGUUUUUCAAUUUUACUUUUUUUAUUUCUAAAAUACAAGUAUCAGUAGCGCUGGGUUAGAAACAGCGCUAUAGCUAACUUAGCUAUAGCGCUAGUUCCCUAAACCAGCACUACUGCUAAGUUUUCCAAUUUUAUUUUUUUAUUUCUAAAAUACAAGUAGCAGUAGCGCUGGGUUAGGAAAAAGCACUAUAGCUAACAUUUCUUUUCUUUUUAUUAUUUUAUGUUUACUUCUUUUUUUUCUUUUGUAUUGCUUUAUCCCUUUUCUUUUCUGUUUACUUUUCUUUUCUUUUGUAUUGCUUUAUCGCUUUUCUUUUCUGUUUACUUUUCUUUUCUUUUGUAUUGCUUUAUCCCUACGGCGUCUCCCUCCCACACUGCGCUAAUAUCACCGGAUGCAUGCAUGUAAUUGAAGGGAGAUGCGAUUACAUUAUUUGACCGAUAACGGUUACUUAAGUGCGUACACAAAAUAGAUAAAUAUAUAUAAAUGUAGGUUUCUGAUCAGCUGCGUCGACAAUGUUUCACAUUAAGCUUCUUCCCUUUCUUGUUCGUUGCCGAGUAAUUGAGCCCCUCCUUGUGCCUUUUCCGGAGCCAUGGAGUAUGAUCUUUCUUAGGUAAUCUAGUCUUGAUUCUUCGUUUCACGUAUGCUUCAUCAUCAUCGUCAUCUUCCCUCAUCGGGUUGCCAUAUUGGUCGUAGUCUUCUUCGUUGGCGACUCCAUCCAUUCCGAUGAUGCUCCUUUUCGAUCUCCUCACGACAACACGGCUGGGAUUGUCUGGGUCGGUUAUGAAGAAGCAUUGUGUCACGUGCUUAGCGUAUACCCAUGGCUCAUUUUUGGCGAUGACGUUAACGUUCACGGGAGUGCUCUUCGCGUCGGGUAUAGACAAGGUGGUGAAAUACAUGUUUUCUCUUACGAUUCCUUGGCCCAUCUGACACGGAACAUCGUCGCAUUCCAGCAUAGUACAGCUCCAAGAUCUCUUCGACCCAUACGUAGAAUCUUUCAGUUGUGUCGUUGGCGUCGGUCACGCAUUGAAUUGUCACCCUGGAGUUUUGGUAAUCACUGUCCAUGUCUUUGGCCUCCGUGUAGAACGUGUACCCAUUGAUAUCGUAGGACUGAUAGGUCGCGAGCUUGGGCGCGGGGCCAUGUGCUAAGGCGUGUAUGAGCAAUCUGUCCGAACUGCCCUCUUCCGGGGGAUUUUUAAGAACUUGCUCUUCGAACCAACACAAGAAAGUGGCGUUGUGCUCUACAAUAACUUCGUCGUCUGUCUUGAGCAUCCCCUUAUCACGGUACUUCUUUGCGAUGCUUUCUUUGUGCCGUGACACAUAAUCAUCUACCACAUCUAGGUGUUGUAGCACUACUAAGUUAGCCCUGUCAGAGUCGUUCCGUAGAUCCGAGUAGUCCACAUGCAAUUCCCUCGGGCCGUUGUUGUGACCAUCUCCUUCGAGCUUCCCAUUGUGCUUCUUGACAAGCAAACCAACAACAGGGUCUCCGACCCUUAUAUAAUUCUCAAAGAAGGAGAUGCACUCAUGCAUCAGAUACCCCUGGACAAUGCUCCCUUCGGGAUGGGACUUGUUACGAACGAAUCCUUUGAUGACCCCAUUCAUCCUCUUCAACGGUAUUAUGAUGUGAAGGAAUGUCGGCCCGAGGUCGACGAUGUCGUCCACGAUGUGGACACAGAGAUGCACCAUGACGUCAAAGAACGCGGGCGGGAAGUACAUCUCAAGCUCACAUAGUAUGACAACGAUCUCUUCCUGUAGCCUUUGGAGCUGCUUCACACUUAUGGACUUUCGAGAGAUAACGUCGAAGAAGUUGCAGUGACCAGUAAGCGUGUCACGGACGUGCUUGUCCAUUAUCUCUCUAAUGGCAACCGGGAGUAUCUGCGUCAUCAUCACGUGACAGUCAUGAGACUUCAUCCCGCUGAACCUUUUCUUCUUGGGGUCUAGAAAUCUGCUUAUCUUCCCACAGUAACCGGAACUGACUUUGAUUCCCAUAAGGCAUUUGAUGAAUUGAUCGAUCUCCUUCGCACUUAAGGUGAAGCAAGAAGGGGGGCAAUAAUUCUCCUCCUUCUUGUUAACUUUUCUGACCCUUUUCCCCUCCUCCGUCUCCGUCUUUGUCUCCUCCAUCAACUUUUUACGGUGGAGAUCUUUCCUGAUCUUCAAAUCUUCCAAGUCUUUCCUUGCCUUCGGGCCAUCUUUUGUCUUCUCCGGCAUCUUCAUCAGUGUGCCAAGCAAGCCCUCGAGGACAUUCUUCGUGAUAUGCAUUUGAUCAAGGCAAUGAGGCGUGUCGUGAUUGGGCCAGUACUCCAAGUCCCAGAAAACAGACCUCGUUUUCCAUACCUUCAGCAGCGGCUCUGACGCCUUUCUGAUCUUUCCUGGGGUGGGGCAUUCUUCACAGUUUCUCAAUAGCUCAUCGAUUUUGGCGCCGCUCCUCUUACGUGGAGGUCCUCGAAGCUCAGCCAACCCAUUGAAUAGAUCUCCACGCUUUCUCCACAGGUCAUCCUUCUUGAGCCAUCUACGAUGCCCCAUGUACAUGGUUUUCCCAGAUACGCCAUCUUUCAUUGACGUAAGCUGUUGAGAAGUUUUAUGAUCCAUGCACCUCGUGCAUCCGCAGUAUCCGUGGCACACCUGGCCUGGGGUGUACCUGUAACCGAGAUAGUCUUGCACCGUCGUCAUCAGCGCGGCUCUCAUAUGGAAAUACUCUCCUUUGCUGGCGUCCCAUGUCCAUGCCGGUGAUUUCCAUAACGUGUCUAGCUCCUCUUGCAGAAGCCCCAUAUACAGGUUAAUACUAUUUCCUGGUUGUUUCGGCCCUUGAAUCAGCAUGCACAUGUGUCUGUACUUUUGUCCUCAUGCACUUCCAUGGGGGAGGUUGUGCAUCCAUACAAACACGGGCCAUGUGCUAUGGUUGGUGCUCCGGUUUCCAAACCGAUUCAUGCCAUUGGUACUCGCACCAAGCACGAUGUUCCUUGGAUCUUUUGCAGCAAAUCCAUACAUGACGUUCAAUGCUCUCCACUGGCUACCAUCUACGAGGUGUCUCAGCCUCGGAUCAUCUCCAUCCUUGGGCUUCUUUCUCUCCGCAUGCCAGUGCAUGUGUUUUGCUUCCUUAGGAUCUACGAAAUACCCCUGCAGACGGGGAGUGAUCGAAAGUACCAUACAACUUUCUGAGGAGCUUUCUUUCCUUCCUUCUUGUAUCGAGAAGCAUUGCACACUGGACAGCUGGUUUUUCCGCGUGCUCCCCCAGAUAAAUGAUGUAAUCGUUGAUGCAUGCGUGGUACCUAAUGUGCGGCAAAUCAAAAGGGCAAAUGAUUUUCUUGGCCUCCUCGACACUAGUAGGACACAUGUUCCCAGUGGGAAGAACUUUAUUAUGUAGAUACUUCAAAUGCUCAUCGAGGCUUUUGUCUGUCCAUUUGUUUUUGGCCUUCGUCUUUAGAAGUUCGAGCGUGAAACUCAAGCGGGUCACCUUGGGAUUGCAACCGUCAUACAAUGGUGUCCUCGAGUCUACUUAAAGUUGCACCAGCUUAGCCUCCUCUCUAGAAGCAUCUCUCUCUCUAGUCGUACUCUUGCGAAGGAGGUCUUAAAGAUGAGGAUCCUGCACGACUGCACUCAGUAGCGUCGAAGAUUGCAGCGUGACCGCCACCUCUUCUCCGCCAUGUCCGGACUCUUCUUCACCGUGUCCAGAAUCUUCUCCGCUGCCGUCACUUCCGGACUCUUCCCCGCCGCCAUGUCCGGCGCCAUCGUCUUCAUGUUGAUGGGUCAUCUCUUCGUCUAGCCCCAUGUCGUUAUUACCUGCCAUGUGGACAUCCUCAUCAUCAUCAUCUUCUUCACUUAUCCACUGAGUAUAGUCAUCCAUGAAACCAUUCAUCAGCAGGUGCGCCUUCAAAGUGCCACGAUCAAAAGGGUCCAAAAGGACUCCUUCCUUGCCCCUUGCAUCUUGCACGCAGACAUAUAAUCCUAGUCCGAUUAUUUGCAUACAUGUCCAUCACCGCGGAUUGCAUGUACCGCUCCACCUUCCAUCCACUCACCUUCAUGACCGACUGCACGGUAUAACAAGCAACAGGGUUAUAAAAUAAAUAAUGCAUGCAUGCUUCAAAGUCAAAUAAAAUUUUGGCAUGACCUUGCCUAAAAAUAGGACAUAUUGGGUUUGCUCGAAAUUCACCGAAACAGAAAUAAAUCGACAUUUCAGCAAAACAUAAGCAACUCGAGGGCACGUCACACUCGCACAAAUCUCUCCAUAUCAAACACAUUUGAACACAUUUGAAAACGGGAAAAUUGAGAGUUGUACAUGGAACACAUUUGAAGUUCAUGAAAAAUGUCAUCUUGAUUUUUUCUUUUGAGCAAUGGAAUUGAAUUUUUGAUGAGUAACAUAAUUAGGUCAAAUAAUCAGCUAGAUUUAUACUCUUGGAACUUUGAGGAAAAGUAACUCGAAACAAUGGUAGAGAACACUUCGAAACACUGCCGCUGUGGUUCCUCCAUACUCUCUGUCUCUCCCUCCCUCUUUUUUAUCUCCUACUACAGGACGUGCGGAGCGGAAUACUGAGUGGCACCCAAAUAUUAAAACAUCAAUACAAUGUGUACUAGUCAAUUUGGCCCUUUGUAUGUAGUUGAUCAUAACAAUGACCCAAGAUUGGAUCAAAGUUUUUCUUCUGAAGUAAUAAUAGGCUUCUCUUAGAACUCAUGAUUUACAAGUUGCACCAUAUUUGAACUUCCUCCUGGCUUUCUACGGAUCAUCUUGAAGAAGUCCUUAUUAGCCUUUUUAUUUGGAAUACAAACAUCAUACAUGUCUAGAACACAAAAACUCUGGUUGCCUUUUUCCUACUACGAACAGAUACUACAAUCACAAAACUCCAUAGAAUUGUUGCAUUUGUUUCUCAUACCUUUCUCUUGGGCCAAUAAACAAAAUAUUUAUUUCAAGAGUUCAAUCUUGUCUUAGACCUGCAAGGUAAGAUGUCGGCACUGAAUACACACACUAUACAACACACAUUCAAAGUAAAGAUGCAAGUAAAAAAGAACAUAUAUAUCUCGAUGCCUAAAUAAUCUCUCCCUAAUAAUAAAGCACGGAUUGAGUCUCCGGGUUCACCGUCACAAUGCGCUUCUUCCUAUGAUUUUACGCUUUUAGUUUGAAUUUAAAACAUAUAUCCGAGGUGGUACUUUUUUUUUGAGGGAAGGCCAUCAUGGCUAGCUUUAUUUACUCAGAUCAAAAUUACAUCGUUCACGAGGCUAUUGACGAUACAUGCAGGUGGUUCGUCAGUCCAACUAUCUGACGUUUUAUUACAAAAACUAUACUUAGCUAGCUCAUGAGGUGCGGUAUUCGCCUCACGAAAACAAUGCUUGAAGGUGACCCUCCCAAUUGAUGUAACAGUAUCUAGACACUCCGUAAAGACUGCUGCCGAUGCAUCCCACCAUUGUGUUUGUCCUGUGCAGAACUGAAUGACUUCAAGGGAGUCUGAUUCAGCCUCAACCCGAUUAAAGCCUAAUGAAUUUGCAAAUUGAAGGCCAUCUCGCAUGGCCCUAGCCUCCAUAGCCGUAGCAUCUGAAGCACAAUCAUUGUAUUUGCAUUGAGCAGCUAGAAAUUGCCCCUUCUCAUCUCAUUAUAGCGGCCGUUGCUCCUGCACCUGCAUCUUGAUAAAAAGCAGCGUCAACAUUUACUUUAACAAACUUUGGGUCUGGCCUCUUCCAUCUAUGCUCCGUGUCCUCCCUAUUUUGGUUUGUUUCUGUUUGGUCAUCAAUCAAUCGUACGAUUCCACCUAUCGAUCGCUCCGCGUGGGCCUUCAUAAGUCAUGUGCAUGGUUUCCGCAGAUCAAUCGCUACGUAUGGGCCGGCCCAUUUAAUUAUGAGCCACGGCUGAUCGCACGACUAAGCCAGCGACGUCGUUCGUUUUGUAAUACACAAUCGCUUGCCUCUUUUUCCGCCGCCCCGCACGUCCCUGUUUCCAGAUCCGUUUUCAAGAUCGAAGCGUUCGACAUCCGAACUCUUGCCCUCAGGUACCUAUAUAUUAGGUCAGCCAGGGGAGAAAACCAACUAUACGCCCGAGAAUUCUGAGCAUAUGUCAGGCCUCGCCUGUGAUCCGCGUCCUCGCCUCCAUGACUAGCGUUGUCCCGGAUAACUCGUGUGCUCACGAUGCGAUCCGCCACCUCGGUACGAGCCCCAAUCACGAGUUCAUCUGCCCCUCUCGCGCCUUCCUCCAGUCGCACUUCGGGGAGAUGCCAUCCAAUCAGGAAGGAGGGGAUCGAUGAGAAGGUCGCGAGAGGUGGCAUGGUUGGAGGAGGAAUUAUGCUUCCAUUGAUCCCUUCUGCGGGAGUGGAAGAGAAAUAGGAAGCCAUCAACUCGCCAUCCAGGUCGGGUAGCUGGCUAGAGCAAGCAUGCCGAUGCAUUGCAUGACCUAUGAACAUACAUGUAUGCAUGCGUGCGACCUUGCCGGCCUAGCCGAGGCAAACUUCCAUAGCGGCACGGCCUCAUCCGUCACCACGGAAUCCGGCGAGCUGUCUCUUCCGCCGUCGCCACUGUCACCAUCACAAGGAUACAAUCGAGGCGAUUAUUCCCCCGGCAAGUACUCCUUCGACUCCCCCCGCUCGCCUCGCCAUCUAGCUAUCCGAGCUCGAGGAGGCUUCGGCGUCCUGCAUCGCCGUGUGCGAGAGAUCUCGGCUCUCUGUGGUAAAUAAGGUCGCCACCCUCGAGGCCACGUUGGGCACGAGGCAGCCCUUCCUCGCCAAACUGAUCGUGUAUGCCUCUAGGCCCUAACAGGAGCUGCACGAGCUGAUGCUGCAAGCCUCAACAUGUCAGUGGACGCAUGAUUACACAGCGCUGGUAAUCAACAAGCCGAGAGGAGGGAAUAGAACGAACGAAUUAUAACCCUUUCACAGGGGAAGAGGGAGCAGUCGGUGAAGAAAACAGAUGAAAACCUGCGAAAUAGCACAAUCGACGGACGACCCCUUGAUUAAACAGGCCGGCUACCGGUGAAGAAAACAGAGAAGGAAUAAGAAUAAAUAAGGAUUGAACGCAUAUUAGGGCGUAACUCCUAGAAUCCCGUGAGGAGGGAGCAAGAGCGCAGCGGGUCACGAGCGCGUCGUACUCAAUCCAAAUCGAGACCAGACCGGUGAGCUUUGAGUAGAUCAAGCAGAGAGAUAGCAGGGGAUUUAUUUUAGGCAGAAAGAAGACAAACAAAUUCACCGGGUCCAGUGGCAAGCCAUUGAAGAGGGGAAAAGAGCUGAUCCAAGCGGAUUAUAAGGAGGGGGAAUUAUUUUUAGAACCUGCAGCACCGAAGAGGGGGACACCAAAAACCAGGACACCCAUGAUGUACGAGCAGCGGGCAGAGAAGCUAGGUUGCAGACGCCUCCACGCCCCGGCGAGCGCCUCAUGCGCUAGGGUUGCGACCUACUAACUAGCAAGGGGGAGGGGGAGGGAGGGGGAGGAGCGAGAGGCCAGCGGAGGAAGAGAAAAGGAGGAAGCUUGGAGAGACAGGCGGAGAGUACGAGGAAGGAGGCCGGGGAAAAACACUACUCUGAGCACUCGGUUCACGCUGGCUCCUACCUCUGUUAUUUCUUCGUAUGUGGUUAUGCUGGCUUCUCGUGGGAUAUUAAGCCUGAAGUGUUCCACAAAUAUAUUUCGUUUGCCCACGGCCACGUACAAGUUUAUGUGGGCUAAAUUAGGGGGUGCAUAGUAAAGUUUUUUAGGUGUGUGUGCGUCUCUCCAAAGUACACAUGUUUUUUUAGAGAAAGAGCCUACAUUCUAUUUCUUUUAGGCAGCCUACAAUUCGUGAAAUACUUGUUUGGGGAGUGGAAAGUAAAGAGUGCAGCGAGCACGGGAGCUGGCAGCAGCCCUCGCGGCGGACAAUGGCGUGGUUGAGUCGCCCUGUCCGACACCGCGUAUGGUAUUUAUCCCACCAACAAAUUCCAUUUUUAUAAGGGAAAAGUAUAUUUUUCGUUCCUCAGUUCUGUCGAGAGUAUAGAAAUGGUCCCUUAACUUCAAAACCAUCAAAUCUUAGUCCCUUAACUUUUGAAACCAGAUAAGUUUAGUCCCUCGUCCCACUUGAGCUGGUUUCGUCAGACGUGGAAGCGGUUUUGACCAAAACUUGACACAUAGUCCAGGUUUGACUGAGAAGAUGACGUGUGGGCCCACUCAUCAAUCUACGGACAGAUGAAAUAAAAGUACAGGUUUGUGUUCAAACACCAGACCUCCAAUCAGGUCAGCUUGCAUGAAACUAGCUCGAGGCCUCGAGCCACACACAAAAAAAAGGCGGAGCAGGUGCUCGCUCGCCGGCGACCACCAUUGUUGCCAGCCGGCCGUGACAAGCGCCGCUCGUCCGCAGCCCGCGCACCAACACGUUCUACUACGUCGGGCUCGCCGGCAUCUCCGUUGGCGACGAGGCCCUUUUCGUCCCAACCUCCGCCUUCGCCAUGGAUGACGCGGCUGCCACCCGCCUCCAGUCCUCCUCAUGCUUGCCUCUGGGGUCUGGCUCCAAUGUGAUCGCCAGGACACUCCCGCGAUCUCCUCCUCCGGCAAGCUCCGGUUCUCCCUGUAGACUUCCUAAGCUCGCUUUGGUCCUACCUGAGCAGCCCCUAAUCCUCGACAUCACCCCGACGCCAGCCCGGCCGUGCUCCGCCUCCCACUGCCGUCGACGCAACCGUCGCUUCGGUGCUUCCUCGCCGCGUCCGAGCACGCGUAGAUGCUCUAGUGAUACGCUGGUUACUCUCUCCUCUCCCGAAGCUUCCUCCCCGUACCAUCUAGCUGCCCGCAUAGCGCCACUCCUCAGUCCUCACCUCCGCUGCUGGAAGCCAUCGCCGGCAAAGCUUCGGCCGUCCCGCGUGCCCAUGCUUGCUUUCCCAGCCAUGCGGACACCCAGCAUUUUCAAAUUGUUCUUGAUUUUCAAAGAUAAUUCGCAUUUUUAACAAGUUCAUGCUUUUAAAAAAUACUCAAAAUUUUGAAAAGAAUGUUCCGAUAUUUUUAAAUACAUUUAAGAUUGUUCACAAAAUUAUGAAUAAAAUCAUAAUUUUGUUUUAAGAAUCAUGUGUUUAAAAAGUGUUCAGCUUCAAAACAUGUUCCAAUUAUAAUAAAAUAAAUAAAAAAUUCAAAAAAUAUUCAAUUCAAUAGAAAGAAAAAAAAGGAACAGUUUGGUUUUCGAAAAAGCAAAAAAUAAAACCGAUUGACAGACUAUUCCAUGUACAUGCACCACUACUCUUCCAUCGGAUAAACGAUGUUAGGGUAGCUUCUUCACGUCGACAUUCAUGCACCGAAAAGUGAUAACAAUAUAUCCUUAUCUCCGAUGUUUAUCAGAACUAGAUAUGAGAAAUGGCGCGUAUGAAUCAAGUUUUGUGACUUUUUUGCCCGUUGCAACGCACGGGCAUUUGUACUAGUAAUAAUUAUGGGUAUAGCAACAUCUAGUAUAUUUUUGCAAACAAAACUAAUCUAUCUUAAUUUUGCUUAUACAGUGGGAAACUAUUUCAAAUAUAACUUGCAUAUUAUUUCAUAUCUUAUUUAAUCUCAGGCUCCAAAAGAUCACGGGAUAAAUAACUCAUGAUUGUAUAAUUCAUGCAAAAAUCAGUAUAAAUAAGGUGAAGAAUUUGCACUAGCCAAAUCUAAAAGCAGUACAUGUCAAUCUCUGGAGGCAUGAGAUGUAGAUGGUAUGUACAUAAAUAUAGACUAAACCAACAUGUGUCACAGGUGAUUAUGUCGAAGAUCGAACAGCUGCCGCCGGGUAGAUACUAAAAAUAAAUGAUGGAACAAGAUGAUAGUCAAAGCUGGGUUCGAGAACAACAGGAUUAGGGAGACCUUGAGACGCUGGAUAUAGGAGCGUAUACAUGUAUACUCAUACAGGAAUUUCAAAACGAUGCAAGACUACAUCAACCUCUCAUCCAAACAACAAAUUCUGCUAUGUGCAAAUCCCUUCUUCUCCUUCCACUCUUCUUCCUCCCACUCAUCUUCACUUGUUGUGCCUGACCAUAAUGAGGCCGAGCACCUGCAACGUCGGAGAGGUAGUUGCUAAGAUUGCCGGGAUUCUGCUACACAUUCUGCAGUAUUUGCCAAGCAUGAAGUCGGGGUGCUCGCAGUAAGCACACGUGAUGGGGUGGAAGCGAUCUUACUCGAGCGGUCCGACCCACUAAUUUUAGUAGUUUUAUGAAAUUAUCUCAGUUAAAUUGAGAGUAUCCAAUGAAACUUGAGGGAGAAAAAUGAAGAUAUGUGACCUAGUGAUAGUCCGCUCGCCUAACCUCUUGGUGGAAUUUACUAUUGUGGUUAUAAAUAGUUGCAAAUUUGAUAACAAUAUAAUCUAGCAGUUGCUAUGAAAACUCUAUGAGGGCAAACUACCAACCAACACAUUCAACUCUAGAAGAAAGCUGGAAAAAAUUUGGGACAAAACAAAAAAUGGUGUUGGCGGCAAUACUCCUAAAAUGGCAUAUAUUGUCGACUUUGUUUUGUACUGAAGAUUCAGACACUGAAACCUGAAAAGUAGUACAAUCCAGAAAAAGAAUAAUGAUGCUGAAAUUACAAUCUAGCUAAAGCAUACUGGUUGCAUGAGCAACAAUAAGAACAAGCCUGCCACCUUGAGGAUUCCCAUGUGUCAACAAUGAUACAUAUAAAUGGAGCACUUUCAUGUAAAAACUAAAGAAGAUAAAUUUUAUCUCACAUUCCUUGUGUCCAAACAUCAGGAAAGGAAGCUAAACAAUGGUGAGAUCGAAUAUACAAACUCAAUAUAGAAAGCAUCAUUAAUUUUAAUCAGAAAAUAUCCAACUGAUGAUAGGAAAUUUCUGCAAGUCCAUUUAUUUCUACCAAUUAGUGCGAUGUGCAAGAUAAAUCAGCUAAAACUCAGUCAGGGGCCUCCUUGACCAGCUUUCCAGCAAGCGCUGCAUAUUCCCAUCCUGCACGCACGGCUGGGCGGGGCAGUGCUCGGUCACAGGCACACAUAGGGCAGCGGCGCUCGCGCUGCACUGCCUAAUUUCCUCCAUGAACAAUGUCCAAAAAGAUUAAAUCUCCUCUCCUAUGAUCGCAGAAAAAUACCAGCAAGUUCAUCUUCAUAUAGGCGAGAGGAAGAUAAAAAUAUCUGUCGUAAAGUACAAUUGAAUGUGCAAUGUAGCUUACGACAGGACUUGUAUUGUUCUUAUGUUCAGUUUCAGCAUAUCCAGACCAUAUAUCCUAUAGCGUCUGACCAUGAUUGUGAGAAAUAAAAAAAACCUGAAUAAAGAGACCAUCUGGUCAAGCAUAACAAACUCCUUAAAAGUUGGAACUAUGAUAAAGCUCUUAAUUAGUAGGCCGUCCAAAUUGCCGUAAACAUAUGUACAACACACAACUCAUUGAAUACACUAUUGUGAUAGACAAUCUAAUAAAACCUAUUUCUCCCCUUGCUGCUGCCAUACUACCACCACCUACAUAGACAUGGCCAAGGUCCCAGUUGUCAGAGUUAAUGCAGUAUAGACGAGGCUAGGGAAAGAAAAAGUGAACCACCAUGGGGAAGGACACAUUCUACGGUACUAACUUUUUUUUCGUUCCAAAUAGUGUGUCAGUUCACAUGGAGUCAAGCUUAUAUGUGCUAACUUCCAAUCGAUAAACAAAACAAAUAUCCUUUUUUUUAACCGGGCAUAACCCCUUUCCAUUACUGCGACAUAAUGAAAAAAACAGGUAUCCUUAAACAGUUAAGUAAUCAUUAGUACAAAUGCCCGUGCGUUGUAACGGGCUAAAAAUUCGUAAAACAUGCUCUGUGUGACAGUAGCGCCAUUUCUUAGAUCCAGUUUUGAUAAACAUCAAUAUUAGUUUAUAAUGUUAUCUCUUUCCGGAGUAUGACGCAUGGACUUAAAUAAGUCAUCCUAACAUCUUUCAUCAAUGAAAGAAUAGUGGUGCAUGGAAUAGUCUAGUAAUCGGUUCUAUUUUUUAUUUCUCAAAAAACACAAUUAUUUCUUUAUUCUAAAAUAAGUAAAAAAAUUGAAAUUUUUAUCUUUUUAUUAGAACUGAAACAUCUUUUGAAGAUGAUUUUUUUGACCACAUAUUUUUUAACUAUGAAAUUUGAAAAUUUUGAGGCCGAUUUUAAAUGGUUUUGUUAAAAUAAUUGGAACAUUUUUGAGAGUUUUGUUCAUUUAAAAGAAACAUGAACAUAUUUAAAAGCAUGUUCUUUUAAAUAAGAAGAUUUUGGAACACUCUUUGUCUAAAGAAACACACACACUUGGUGUCCGCAAUUAAAAAAAAUUGUUGGUGUCCAGACCAUGUAGUGUAAAGAUGAGAAAGUCGUCGGGGUGUCCUUUGAUGGCCCCUCCUUCAACUUAGCACUAUCAUGGGGCAGAAGAACGUAAGUGUUUUUAGCAGGAUAUACAGACGUUGAAAUUGUUGUAUACUGUUCGAGAGUUUAAUAACUAAUCUAAAUGUUUUUCCUAGAAUUUUCAAAAGGUUUCAAUGCAAAUGAAUUUAUUUUGGAUGAAAGAGUAGUGGUGCAUUGAAGUGGGAUUGUUUGUAUAUACAUUUUUUUGUUAAUAUUUAAAAGCAAACUGGCUUUUACUAUGUUGAUUUUUUUAAGAAAAUGUUAGUUGCUUGGUUUGCAAAAUUAUAUUGUGUUCCUUUUCUUUUGUACUACUUGAACUUGGCCCAAAGACCGAACCGCACUCACUCCGCAUCAUCACCAUAAAAAGACAAACUUUUUUGAUAAAUUUCAUGUGAAGGCCAUGUACACUAUCGAUCACGUAUAAGCUUCUUCCACAUUUUAGCAAACAAACAACAGCAGAUAAUUAUCCCCACGGCCAGUCGCUGUCUACUCGAGGCGUUCCUACCCUAGCCGCCGCCACCACCAAGCGUCUAGGGAGAAGCGAUCUAUUUCCUUUGAUCUCCACUGGCCGGGGCACUGGCCCCCUCUCCCUUCGGUCGCUGCUCCGGCGGCAGGAGGGAGGGGGCCCGUUCCUCCGCUCUGUAGUUAGGAUUUGGAUUUAUAGAUCGUGGUGCGUCGUUGGGGUGGUGGGAGCGGCGCCUGGACGAAUAAAUCUGUCUCAACUCCACUCCCACACCGGCGGUGUCUUUCAUGCCGGCUUCUCAGAGUUGAUGGCAUCGUGUAUCUGUCGAUCCCUCAGAUCGGCAGCAUUAGGGUUCAUGGAUGGUGUUGGCAAGGCGGAGGCGGCGACUCCAUUAGGUGUGUCUCUCCUUCAGCUCUGUCCCUAUUGUUGCGUUGUUGCCUCCGACAUCAUGGUGGAGCAGGGAGAUUUUGUCGUUUAGGAGUAUGCGCAGGCAGUUGUCUACGCAAGUGACAUCUGGAAGAUGGAGUAUCUUGUGUUGGGUCUGUGGUUGACGGCUGACAGUUCUGGUUUCCUCCUCCGACUUCUUCGUCAUGCGGGGGUGUCAGUUCUGAAGUUCGAUGGCAUGUCCGAGGACAUGUUGCCUCGGUCUGGUUCUUUCAACAUCUAUGGUUUUGCUUCGAACAAACUACUUUGAAGAUCCGUAAAGCUGCUGAUUAGUGAUGGAGCCGCAUCGAGCUUGGGUGAAGAGGUGAUAUGUCAUUUUUUCCUUUGGUGGCCACUUCGGUGGUGUCGAAGGAAAGGGACAGGCGCUGGUAUUCUGCAUAGGAUUAUCCAAUCUUUUCAAUUAUGUAUGGUCGGCGCUUACGUGCCUUGUAACUGUUCUAUAUUAAUGAGACACGUAUUAUCAUGCAAAAAAAUAAUAAUUAUCCCCACAUAGAACACAUACCAAUAUCCCCACCGAGUUAUCCUCCUGUGUGGCCUUCUUUUAUCCAUGCAAUGCUGCUCCUCAUCAUCGAGUAGGCCAGCACCCAACAUCCCACCCAGCAGCGCUGCUCCUCCUCUGCCCGGCCGCAGGUUCCCACCCACGGUACCGUGUGUACUCCCCCUCUUUCUCUUCCCUCUUCCACAAUUAACCAAGAAAACAGGAUCGGGCACGCGCGCGGUCACACCUCCUCAGCGUCGACGGUGCACUCCUGGAGUGCGCAGCCUUGUCGUGUCCGCCUUUGGCCUGGGCCAGGAGAAGAUGCCGGUGCCGGUGGUAUGCAACCCCCUCCUCUCCAAUCGCGGGUCCGUCGAGUGAAGCACCGGGGUGGCGGCGGUGUCCGUCGGUGCCCCUCUCCUCUGACGCUCGGCCUUGUCAUCUCAAUUUUGCUUGGCCCUAGCUCACGAGGCUCUGCAGUGUGAUCACGCUGGCUUCGUUAUGUUCCAUUUUCUUCAUCCUUCUAAUUCCAUUCCGUUCCCUUUCCUGGGUUGAUUUCCCAGGCCGGCGGCGGUUGCCGAUUGUCCUUAUCUGAUUUUCCAUAUUUGGUUUGGGCCACACACGCAUGGAUGUUGGCUGCCCGAUUGUGCACUUAUCUGAUUCUUCCUUCAAACGUACUCGCUCUUCCCUCUCUUGCGGAUUAAUUCCUUCAUUCUUUUCCCCUCAGAGGCUAGUUGAUUUCUGAUGCGGCAAAGUUACUCGCGUAUAUAAAUGGAUUGAGUUGGUUGAAAAGGAGCGAGGUGGAACUAUUUAUGAGUUCUAAAGUUUUUUUCGCUGUGCCCUCGUCUUCGCUUCUUCGACUUUCAAGCAUGUUCAUCGGCAUUGUAAUGUUGUGGCUCAUGUUUUAGCCAAGUCUUGUAAAAACUCUAGUCUGUUUUCUUUUUGUCUGUCUGCGUGUAUCCCGGACACUUUGUAUGAUUACUUGAUUAAUAAAAUGCCGACGUUCUCUCAAAAAAAGUUUUUUUUGCUGCUCCUCUGCUCAUCUUUUUAGUAAAAUGUGGGCCAUGUCAGUUCGGCCAACGCGUGUGACGAUGAAACUUAUGGCUUGGUCCAGUCGAGCGACGGACGAGACUCGACCCACCGCCAUUUAAGCCAUUUAGUCUCCUUGUCGAGAGGUCAUGAAUGCCAUUCGGACACUAUUGAACUUUAGUCACAUCGGCAUUGUAAUUAUAUGGAUGAUGGGUACCAAGGUAACAAAAGGUACACCAUCAAAAAUUUUACCUUUUUACGUUAAUGAGUUGGGAUAAUGAGAUUCAAAAGAUGCACCCCGGCCGCAUCACAUCAGGACGUGCGAUUAGGGCUGGACUAACGAGCAGCUCGGCUCGUUAAGCUCGUGCUCGUUAAGGCUCGGCUCGUUAAGCUCGUUAAUAUUAAUGAGCAGAAAACCCUGCUCGGCUCGGCUCGUUUGAAGCUCGUUAAGCUCGUGAGCGCUCGCGAGCGCUCGUUAACAGAUUAUAAUGUGUUACGAUAUACAUGAUGAAUGUGUAGGUUUGGUUUUCAAGAUGAAAUAUGGUGACUACAAAAAUAAAUAAAGUAGUUUGUUGCCUCAUACGUCGAUUAGAUUAAAUAGAUGGGCUGAGGUGCUACAAAAAGUUUGUCACAUAAUAUGAAAAUAUGUGUUGUAUUAUUACUAACGAGCUUAACGAGCUACUCGUGAAACUCGUUAGCUCGCUCGUUAAGCUCGUUAAGCUUAACGAGCUAAAAUCAAUGAUUAGCUCUGUUCAUUAAGAAGCGAGCUACGAGCUUAACAAGCCGAACUAUCGAGCGCUUGUUAAGCUCGCGAGCUACGAGCUUUUGAUCCAACCCUACGUGCGAUAGGCAAGUACGGCCCCGUUGGGCGAUAAAGACAAAUGUAUGUGUCGUAGCCGAUGAAAUAGCUGGAGGCACAAUAAAAUUGUAGACCGAACACUCGUAUUUUUAAGCUAGCAAAGCUACCGAUUCAGGCGGUUGGAUGAUCACACGUUACACAUCCAUAUCCGUGUAGUAUAGCCAAAAAUAUGUCUAACUGGAUGAUCACAUGUUACACAUCCAUGUCCGUGUAGCAAAACAAUGAAUCUCAAUAAGUCCCGUCUCAUUAUGAACCAAAAGGGGCUGGUAUUUUUCCAAGAAAUCUCUAGCCAACUUCUCACAAGAGGUUUUUCUUAACACCAAUGAAUUCUAGAGGAAAACGAUAGCCAUUUCUCAGGAGAAACCCCUUCCUUCUCGUGCAAUUAGCAGCAUCGACUCCUUUCUUCUUUUAUAUUUUUCUCAUGCCCCUUUAUUUUCGUGUAUCGUGCAGCCACAACGCCAAUCCACAUCUCAUCCUUCAUUAGUUAAUCCUCCAGGCUCCUUGUUGAUUGUCAUACAACUCAUAGUCCUAUAUAAAUCGGUGGAAUUAAAUUGAAAAAGGCGAGGUGGGACUAAUUAGCUGGCAACAAAUAGGCCUGUUUGGUUGGCUGCGUCCUUGGAGUGGCCCAGCUCGGCCCAUGUGUUGGAGAGAUUAAACUAAGUUUCAGGUAAUUAACAUGAUAAGCAAGCUAGCUGAAUUGGCUAGGGGCGCUAGGAUCGAUCGACCCUGGUUCAAAUCUUGCCGGACGCAGUUUUCCGCAUUUUUUCCUUUUUCCGUUAAAGCGUAUUGUGACGAUGAACCCAGAAACUCAAUCCGUGUUUCAUUAUUACUAGUACAAAUGCCCGUGCGUUGCACCGGGCAAAAAAAGGGCACAAUCUGCUUCAUGUGCCAUUAUGCAUCAUUUUUAUGUCCAAUUUAAAUAAACAUCGAUAAUUAGGUUAAUUUUGGUAAUUUUCUUAUUUUUAAUAGAAGUUAAUUCAUAUUUUCGUAAAAAUUGGAACACUAUUUGUCUUGUCCCAAACAAACACUUGCAGCAUUAGUUUACAAAGAACAUCUGGAUCAUUAGUAUCAGAAGACUAACCUCAACAUAUACACAUGCUCUUCCUAUGCCAUCACUCUAGAGAAAUUGUACAACCAGAAGGGGAUAAACCAUGCUGCUAGCUGUUAUAGUUGGACAUACAAGUCAUUGUACUCUAGAAGCUAAAUAGCAGAGGUAAUGCUCCAUCAACAAAAUUCCAGUGUCACAGUCUCACAGAUGAUCAUUGAUGUGUUCUUGCACAUCCGGCUGCAGUGAGAUCUGGGACCAUCUUUUCUGGUCCUGCCAUUUCAGUUUCUCGUGUUGGUGAUCCAUUGAAAUCCCCCGGGCACUGGCUUUGACCCCGACCUGCUUAUCUGGGAUGCCAAGAACAUUUUCUGCAAACCCUUCUCUAUGGAGGACUUCAUUGCAGCUGGCUGGAAUAGUUGAAAGCAAAGGAAUGUGAGGGACGGCCACAUUAAAGAAUUCAUGUGAACAUAUCAGACAUGGUUGCUUGAUAGAACAUUCUUCUGAACGAAGCAAGUUGUACAAAGACUACAAACAAAGUACCCCAUCCGUUUCUAAAUAAAGUCUUAGAUGAUUUUUCAAUAUGGACUACAAACGGUGGAAAUUGGUGAAUCUCACUUUAAAAUCCAUCUAUAUACAUGCUUAUCCAUGUGAUAUUAUGCACUAUAGUUUAACAUUUGUAAUAAAGUUGCAUUAAUUAUUAUUUUCAGAGUCUAAAGUUUGCACGUUAAAAAGCCCUCUUAGCGUUCUUUAUCUGAUGGAAGAUUAGUUUGGAAUAGUUUGUGAAUCAAUUUUUAUUUUUUACUUUUUUCUGAAAAACAUGAAUAUUUCUUUGUUUUUAAAAGUGAAUGUUUUAUUAAAACUUGAUUUUUUUAGGGAGAACAUUAUUUGAAUGUUUUUUAAAUAUUGUGAAUACUUUUUAUUUUGGUUUUGAAGGAAAAUUUGACCAGUUUUUAGAAAGUGUGAAUAAAUAUAUAACUAUGUACAUUUUUUUAACUAUUUUUACUAUGUUGAUUUUUAUCAAUAGAGUUUGUUGCUUGGUUGGGAAGAUUCUUUUUAUUUUUUUCAUCAUUUAGGCUUAGCCAAUAAAAAGCACUUCACGUACACAGUUCACUUAUAGAUAUAAAAAAAGACACCCAAACUCAUCUCCCUUUCCCCGUUUUCCAUUCUCAAGAGUCCCCCUGCCAGAGACCAAUUCUCUAGAUUUCUUUCCGUAAUUGCUAUUAUAUUGGCACACCCUAUACUAAUAAGCACCCCCACCAAUUUACCUUGAAGCAAUUGUAGGUCCCCUGCAAUGUCUGCAGCUUGGAAGAUGGCAUGAACCACUGGAUCUCUGCUAGAAGCGUCGGAAACAUGUCAUGAGCCACCGGCGAAGGCUUCUUUAGCGUGGAGUUCGCUCCCGAUGAUCCUGAAACCCAAAAUUUCAACAAAUAAUAACAUGAGAUCCAGGCACAUCUCGGAACAAUUACAACACCAAUUCAGACGCAGCACUCACUAACCUUGCAUCUGAUGGAGGUUGGGACACUUGAAGCUGACGACGUACUCUGGGAGGAUCCUCAUGUUCAUGUCCUUGCACCAAACAACAUACCACUGUGGGUUCUGCAUGUUGUCGAUGGCACUGUCGUAAUUGUCACUGCUGGGGUGGAGCUUGGAGGACCCGGCCGGGAUGGCCUCUGGCCGGCCCAACAGAACACGGCACAGCAUGAUAUGCGCCUCGCCGUUCUCAUCUUCAUUUGCUAGCAUUGCGCUGCAUAAAAAUGAUUUCAUACUCGUAAGUUCCUUUAUGCACUGCUUCACAGAACAUUCAGAACAUAUUUCAUCACCCGGACUCUAGGUAGCAGAAAACAUGAUUUAGUUUUGCUCGUAUUCCUCCCUUCCACAAACCAUUACCCAAUCAAAUUACUGCAUUCAUAGAUAAACUAAUACUGUCGUUCAUGCAAACUUGUUUCCCCAUAAUUUUUGAGCUAGGAGUAUGAAUCAAGAUAUAGAAACCAAAGGCUAAAAUAACAUGGAAUCAAUUAUAUUAUGGGACGGAGGGAUAAUAUGAAUGCAAGGAACAGAUCCUGAAUUGGUAACUGUGUCUGAUAAAUUAUCCUACAGCUAUAUGCCUAUAUUCAUGCUUGCCAUCGAUCAAAACCACAAAUUCAGAACUCUGACCUGACCUGGCAUAAGGAGACCGAGGCGGCGAGAGGUGGACGUCGUCGCCGUGCGCGCGAUGGAAAAGGACCCGGUUGUUCAUCCUGCCGAACCAGUGCUCCACCGCCGCCGCGGCCACAUCCACCGAUGGAGCGCCAUACCACGCGAACUUGGCAUUGCCCCCGUCGGCGCCGCGCGCAGCGGCUAGGAGCUGGCCCUGCAUCUUGUCGCUGCUCUCGUUGGACCUCUCAUCCACCCCGGACGAGGCCCCGUACUCCAGCUCAGGCUCGCCUCUCUUCCUCUUCAUCCCGCUCUCUGGAACAGGGAAGAAGCAGAUUUUCAAAAAUGAAAUCUAUUGUUAUAGCCCUCAAAAAGCAAAAAUAAGCAAAUUAAUUUUUUGAGCACAAACACACCGAGAUAAGAUAAGCAUGCCUUAUUUUUCUGAAUACAAACACAAUGACAUAAGAGAAUCUAAAUGAGGCAUCAUAAAUUAAUUUUCUGAAUACAAACACCCUGACAUAAGAGAAUUCAAAUGAGGCAUCAUGCCAUCAGGAGCCGAGCGAUGGAAACUUUCUGGUUAGGAUUAGAAACAUGGUUGAUUCUGAGAAAAAAAUGUAGGAGAUGACACCUCCCUUUGAAGAGAAAAAAUGUGAGAGAUGAUGAUUCCUGAUCUCACUGAGUUUGUGCAAGCUGUACAAAAAAAUUUCACAUAAAACUUGUAAUCAAGUAGUUGCAACCUUCAAUGUUUGGCCGGCAGCUAGAAUUUUAAAUGAGAAGACAAUGAUCUUUUUUGAUUAUUUGUCACAGUACUGCAGCUAAUCACCCUAGAAGGUCUUUCUGUAGUAGGUUAAAGAAAAUUCAGGUUGACGCUGAAACAUCCACAAUAAGAACCUCGCUUUCAGAAUAUGCUUUUAGACAAAGAGCACAAGACCAGCUUGCCAAUGUUGAAUUUGUCAAUUUCCUAGCUUAUAGCAGCACGAACUUCAUCAGAUUAAAGUAAAACAGCUUCGGCUUCUACCUGUUUGAUCAAACAGAGUAAAUCAUGUCACUAUCCGGACCAGAUUUCAUGACUUCGCAUGAACCGCAAAUCACAUGGUAGAUCAGACAAUCACCUAGCAUGUUGUAGGCAUAAUAAGAAAAUAUGCUCAAGGGAUUAAAUCAAAUGAGAGAAUGGAAGAGGCAAAUCAGGAGAGAGAGGGGGAGAUAGCAGUACCGAAUGCAUGGAUGUAGCCUUGCCAUGGCAGCCUACACAUCAGGCCUGCUGCACGGGGAGUGCUUGAGAGUGGCAGGAGAUUAGGCUGGAUUGAGGACUCCACCAUGUAGCUGCUCUCGUCGGACCUCUCAUCCACCUCGGACGACGCCCCGUCCCCCAGCUCAUGCUCGCCCCUCUUCCUCUUCCUCCCGCUUUCUGGCACAGGGAAGAAGCAGGCCCCGCGGUCAAUCCAGCCCAUGGCGACCACCUCGGCGGUGCCAGCGUCGAUGCGCACCAUCCACAGGAAGUCGAACAGGAACUCCCUGCCGCCAUACGUGGCCUCUGCGACGACCCUCCCGUCCAGGAAAGCCCGGCGUAGAGGCACAGCCGCCUCGCCCUCGACAUCAGCCCACGUGCCGCCCUCGAAGCAGAGGAACCUGACCAGAGCGCCGCUCCGCCGUUCUGGCAGCCCCGGAGGAGCGGGGGCGGACCGGCGCCCCCGAUGCCGCCGAAAGCCACGGCGGGCCGCGGGCGUGAGAUGCGGCGGAUCCUGCCGGUCUCGUCCGGAUUCGACGGUGGAAAGAGGACAGGCACCGGGGAGAGGGGGACGGGGACGGGGACGGUGGAAAGAGGACGGGCACCUGGCUCUGAUACCAACUUGUAACACCCACGAUGCGGCUAUAUCUCUCACGUGUCGAAGCACGACUUAGAGGCAUAACCGCAUGGUGGUUUUGUCGCAAGAAGGGUCAUCUUCACACAAUCCCAUGUAAUGAAUAAGAAUGGGAUAAAGAGUUGGCUUACAAUCGCCACUUCACACAAUGAACAUAUAAUUCAUACAUCAUUCAGAGUACACACAUAAUCCGACUAUGGACGAAGCCAAAAGAAAAGAAGAUAACCCAACUGCUAGAUCCCCGAUCGUCCCAACUGGGCUCCACUACUGAUCAACAUGAAACGAAACAUAGCAACGACCAAGGUCUUCUUUGAGCUCCCAUCUGAGCUCGGUUGCAUCAUCUGCACUGGUUUCAUCGGCAUCUGCAACUGUUGUGAUAGUAUCUGGUGAGUCACGAAGACUCAGCAAUCCAAAACCCGCGAGAUCAAGACUAUUUAAGCUUAUGGGAAAGGAAGGGGUAAAGUGGUGAGGUUGCAGCAGCGACUAGCAUAUAUGGUGGCUAACAUACGCAAAUAAGAGCGAGAAGAGAAGCAAUGGAACGGUCGUGAACUAGCAAUGAUCAAGAAGUGAUGCUAAACUCCUACUUACGUCAAACAUAACCCAAAACCGUGUUCACUUCCCGGACUCCGCCGAGAAGAGACCAUCACGGCUACUCACGCUGUUGAUGCGUUUUGAUUCGUAUCUGGUGUCAAGUUAUCUACAACCGGACAUUAACAAAUUCCCAUCUACAUAUAACCGCAUGCACGGCUUUUGAAAGAUUAUACCCUGCAGGGGUGUCCCAACUUAGCCCAUGAUAAGCUCUCACGAUCAACGAAGGAAUAGACCUUCUCCCAGGAAGACCCGAUCAGACUCGGAAUCCCGGUUUACAAGACAUUUCGACAAUGGUAAAACAAGACCAGCAAAGCCUCCCACUGUGCCGACAAAUCCCGAUAGGAGCUGCACAUAUCUCGUUCUCAGGGCACACCGGAUUGUCCAAACUUCCGGUAGGCCNNNNNNNNNNNNNNNNNNNNNNNNNNNNNNNNNNNNNNNNNNNNNNNNNNNNNNNNNNNNNNNNNNNNNNNNNNNNNNNNNNNNNNNNNNNNNNNNNNNNNNNNNNNNNNNNNNNNNNNNNNNNNNNNNNNNNNNNNNNNNNNNNNNNNNNNNNNNNNNNNNNNNNNNNNNNNNNNNNNNNNNNNNNNNNNNNNNNNNNNNNNNNNNNNNNNNNNNNNNNNNNNNNNNNNNNNNNNNNNNNNNNNNNNNNNNNNNNNNNNNNNNNNNNNNNNNNNNNNNNNNNNNNNNNNNNNNNNNNNNNNNNNNNNNNNNNNNNNNNNNNNNNNNNNNNNNNNNNGGGGGGUAAAAUAAAGAUGACCCUUGAGUCUGCAGAACCCAAGGGAAAAAGGCUUAGGUAGGCAAAUGGUAAAACCAAGGUUGGGCCUUGCUGGAGGAGUUUUAUUCAAAGCAAACUGUCAAGGGGGUCCCAUAAAUCACCCAACCGCGUAAGGAACGCAAAAUCCGGGAACAUAACACCGGUAUGACGGAAACUAGGGCGGCAAGAGUGGAACAAAACACCAGGCAUAAGGCCGAAUCUUCCAUCCUUUACCAAGUAUAUAGAUGCAUUAAUUAAAUAAGAGAUAUUGUGAUAUCCCAACAUAAUCCUGUCCAUCAUGGAGCAAUCUUCAACUUCACCUGCAACUAGCAACGCUAUAAGAGGGCUGAGCAAAGCGGUAACAUAGACAAGAAAUGGUUUGCUAGGAAUGGUGAAAAGGUUAGAGGCUGACAUGGCAGGGAGGCAUGGUAAACAAGUGAUAGGUAGCGCAGCACAACGAUAGAACGAAGCAACUAGCAAGCAAAGAUAGAAGUGAUAUCAAGGGUAAUGGUCAUCUUGCCUGAAAUCCCGAUAGGAAGAAGAACGAGUCCAUGAAGAAGACAAACGAACGUAGUCGAACGAAUCCUCACAACUCCGGAACGAAACCGAAGCUAACGAAAGAAGCAAACCGGAAAGAAGCAAACAACAUGGUAAACACACACGCAUAAACAUGGCAUGAUGCACAAACAAGUAUGAUGCAUGUCCGGUUUAAUGAGGCAUGGCAUGGCAAAGUGCAACAAACAAUACUACAAGUUAAGUGGAGCUCAAUAUGCAACGAGUUGCAUAUUGACGAAACACCACAUCAAUUAUUUAGUUCUCUCUCGUUUAUGCUAACAAACAAUAUUUAAUGUUGUUAAACAUGGCAAGAGGUGAAACAUAAUUAAACUAACUAUUUAGGCAAGUUUAAAUGAGGCCGGAAACAACAAACAACAAUUCCGGUAAAUCCCCAUAUGUCAAUUAGCAAUUUUAAAGCAAACAACAAUUUUAACUAUUUUAAAUGUUGUUAUCAUGAUGCGGAUGACAUAUGCAAGUUUUCUGCAAUUUUAUGAAAAUGUUAACAUGAGCAUGUUAUGAAGCAUUUGGUCACCAUGGCGGAACGAAAAGGGUGCCACGGCAACGAUAACGAAAAUGGUGCCACGGCAACAUAUCCGAAAAUGAUGCCACGGCAACAUAUUGGUCCCGAUAACUCGAGUGAGAUACCGAUGCAAACGAGAAGUGUGACGUGAGCGAUUCAUGCAAGAUGGUGGGGUGAUCCCGGCUACCGGGUUCCCUCGGGUUAGUGGCAUGGCAAAGAGUGACAAUUCGGACGCGGUGCACACACAAGCAUCUCAUACAACACAUAUUCAUUCGGUCCACAGUUGAUCGUCCCGGGGCUUAUACCUUCGAAGCGUGUGUUUUCGGAGCGGUUCAAAAACGUCGAGGGAAGUAGUCGUUCACGGGUCGUAGGGGAAGUAGUCGUUCACGUUCGUCUCGGAGAGGUACUUGACGAAUCCAACAUCUUCGGGGCGACGGUAGUGGUUCACGGACGUCGUGGGAAGUAGUGGAAGUAGUUGUACACGGCGACGAUAGUUGUACACACGUUGUAGUCGAACUUGACGGUCUCGGUCCUGGCGAUCCAAAGGGCACUUGGCGGUCUUGAUCGAACCGUAGUGGUACUGGGCGAGAUACACAGCCACGGUAGUCUUCGGCCUUGAUUUUCCUGUACAUGACUCCACGGGUCCUGAGGGGACUCGGCGAUGGCCAUGGCAAAGAGGCGGCGAGGCGUUGGACGGACUAACAGGCAGAUGUGGUCGUGGUAGUACUAGCUCAUGGGGAUGGCGGUCUUGGGCGGAAAACCUGCCGUAUUGGUGCAGCAGCGGCUGCUGGAGAGGCCAUGGCUGCAAGGGUGGCGAGCUCGAGCAAAUCCAACGAGGACGGCCGGGAUGGCUGGUGUUGCGAGGGAGCAGAGGUCGGGCGGUCGUGGCAGACGGCGGAGAGCACCUCAGCCACGGGGAAGGUGGACGGCAGGCUUCGGAGCAAGGGGAGGCAGAUGCGGGCGAGCGGAGCACGGCGGGGACGCGUGGAUGAUAAUGGAGAUAGACUUUUUUAGUUCGCACUCGUGUUCGUGUUGGAGACGGACUGCUCCUUCGUGUGCGAGACGGACGACGACGUGUUUUUUUCCUCUUCCCGGUUGAUGAUGCCAAUAUGGAGUGCGGGUUGAUUUCAUAAAAGACGAGGGACUUGUUUGCAAAAACGCCGCGACGGUGAACCCGGAGACCCAAUCCGUGCUUUAUUAUUAGGGAGAGAUUAGGGAAAGAUAUAUAUAUAUAUAUAUUUCUAUCAUAGCUUACUAUGGAAAUAGCUAUCAGAACCGUCGGACUCUGCCUCAAGAUUCGAACCGAAGUGUUCCAGUUCCUUUUCUUGUUCUUUUGUUGAUUUUUGGAUGGUGUAACCCACAAAUAGAAACUCAAACGACAUCCACCCUGCUAGCCCAGGCUGCCGACCUGGAACCUAUCCCCUGAUCGAAGAAGCAGAAGAAGAACUCAUGCAAGCAAGCAUCGCUCUCGCAUCAUGAUCAUCGCAAAACCUGUACCUGCAACUGUUGUUGUAGUAAUCUGUGAGCCACGAGGACUCAGCAAUCCCAUUACAAUGGGUAUCAAGACUAGCAAAGCUUAAAGGGAAAGGAAGGGGUAAAGUGGUGAGGCUGCAGCAGCGACUAAGCAUAUAUGGUGGCUAACAUACGCAAAUAAGAGCGAGAAGAGAGCAAGCAGAACGGUCGUGAAGCUAGCAAUGAUCAAGAAGUGAUCCUGAACUCCUACUUACGUCAAACAUAACCCAGAAACCGUGUUCACUUCCCGGACUCCGCCGAGAAGAGACCAUCACGGCUACACAAGCGGUUGAUGCGUUUUAAUUCGGAUCUGGUGUCAAGUUAUCUACAACCGGACAUUAACAAAUUCCCAUCUGCCUAUAACCGCAGGCACGGCUUUCGAAAGAUUAUACCCUGCAGGGGUGUCCCAACUUAGCGCAUGACAAGCUCUCGCGAUCAACGAAGGAAUAGACCUUUUUCCAGGAAGACCCGAUCAGACUCGGAAUCCCGGUUUACAAGACAUUUCGACAAUGGUAAAACAAGACCAGCAAGACCGCCCGAUGCGCCGACAAUCCAGAUAGGAGCUGCACAUAUCUCGUUCUCAGGGCAACACCGGAUGAGCAAUCCGUACAACUAAAACCAGACCUCAAGUUUCCCUUAGGGGGCGCUGCAAAGGGCUCUAGUUCGGACCAACACUUAGACAAGCACUGGCCCCCCGGGGGGGGGGCUAAAAUAAAGAUGACCCUCGGGAUGCGCGACUCCCAAGGGAAAAAGGGGUAGGUGAGGCAAAUGGUAAAACCAAGGUUGGGCCUUGCUGGAGUAGUUUUAUUCAAAGCGAACUGUCAAGGGGGGUCCCAUAAAUCACCCGACCGCGUAAGGAACGCAAAAUCCGGGAACAUAACACCGGUAUGAAGGAAACUAGGGCGGCAAGAGUGGAACAAAACACCAGGCAAAAGGCCGAGACUUCCACCCUUUACCAAGUAUAUAGAUGCAUUAAUAAUAUAAGAGAUAUUGUGAUAUCCCAACCAAAAUCCUGUCCACCAUGGAGAAAUCUUCAACUUCACCUGCAACUAGCAAUGCUAUAAGAGGGGCUGAGCAAAAGCGGUAACUUAGCCAAACAACGGUUUGCAUAGGAAAGGUGUCAAAGUUUAGAGGUUCAUGGCAAUAAGGGAUGGCUGGAUAAACAGGUGAUAGGUAGCGCAGCAUAGCGAUAGAACGAAACAACUAGCAUAGCAAUGAUAGUAGUGAGAUCCAGGGUAGCGGUCAUCUUGCCUGAAAUCCUGCUAGGAAGAAUAACGAGUCCAUGAAGAAGACGAACGGAUGAAGCCGAACCAAGCGUAGACGAACGAAUCCUCACGAUCGCAACGAAAUAAGAACUAUCGAAAAGAAGCACACAACAUAGUAAACACACCACACAUGAACAUGACAUGAUGCACAACAAGCAUGAUGCAUGACAAAGCUACAUGAAGCUACGCAUGGCAAGAGAUGAUGCAAACAAGAACAACACAACAAGGCAAGUUUAAAUGAGGCCGGGAACAACAUAUAACAAUUCCGGUAAGUCCUCAUAUGCAUAUUUCGAAAUUGGUCCAGAUCUGAAUAAACCUUAUGUUCAAGUUGUUAAACAGCAAGUUAAGAUGCAACAAGAUGAUCUACAGGAGAUUCUAGUCAAGUUACAUAUAAAGUUCAUUUAGUUCGGAGCUACGGCCUAGGAGAUAUGAGCAAAACAAGUUAAACAUGGCAUUGAUGCAAAAUUAAUGCACCCAAACAUCAAGCAAACACACUAAAACAAGGAUGCAACAUGAUAAUAUGAAACUACAUGCAAAAUCAAGCAAGUUUCAUAUAGAGCACACUCAAAACGGAGCAACGGUUCAACACACUCACACUAAACAAGUCAUAGCAACAAUCUGUCCAAAACAGCAACUAGGCAUAUUGCAAGCAUCAAAACAACAUGCUACAGGACCUCAACAAGAAAACAAAAGGAAUGGGCAUGAUGUACAGGUAAAGCAUUACAAAACAUGAACACUGAGCUAUCUCCAGAAAUCACUAGAACAUGCUCAAACACACAUGUUAAGAUUGCAAAUUAUAACAAUUUCAGACUUUGCAGAAAAUAACAUCACGAUGCAAUGUUUAGAGCUAUCAAACAACAUGUUACAGGAACUUAUCAUGGCAAACAAAGGCAUGGCAUGAAUCUACUAAUUGCAUAGAUCAAAAGUCCCUUAGUGACCAUAAGCCAAAAAGGACCAGAAAAUAUAAUGGCACCCACGUAAAUAUGGCAAGUUAUUAUACAGAUUCAAACAUGGCAGAAACAGAAUUAUGAAGGCGUGUAGAUGAGCUUGUGCAACUCACUAUAGAUCAUUACAUGGCAUGGCAAGGCACCCAACAGUAAUAAGGCAUGUUUGUGAAGCUAAGCAUGGCAAUAGCAAGGUCAUAGGGUUCAUGGAACACUAGCAAAACACAUGGAAACAAGUGAACUUAAUGUUAACAGGCUGACAGCAACAUUAUGAAGCAACUUUGGAGCAAGAUAUGAACAAGCUACAGCAAGCUAUAAAUGCAACCAGGGCAUGGAUGGAUAUAGCAUGACAUGUAGAACAAAACACAUUUGUAGAAUAUCUCCAGAUUAUGCAUAGAAUGAUUUGUAGAAGCAUGUUUAUAUAGCAUCACGAAAUAACAGAUUCAGCCUAGCAAAACAGCAACAUCAUGUACCCUACUUAACAAGCUCGGUUCACUCACCACAAGUCAUUGCAUGACAAGAUAAGCAUAGCAUCAUCAAGAAGACAUGUUUGUGAAACAAACCAAGUCAAGAACAAGUCCAUAGCAUGCAAGGAUCAACUACACAACCUUGGCUAAAUUGAAUGACAAGUAAACAAUCUGCCAGGAAACAUUUUGAAGCAAAAGUAGAGCACUCAAAUGACAUGCUAGACUACUCCAUAAUUGCAACCAAGGGCAUGAAUGGAUAGACAAUAACCAUAUGUUCAAAACAUUCUUACUGAAGUAUCUCAAAAUAUGCAUGGAUCUCUCUGUAGCAUCAAGUUUACAUGGCAUCAAAAUAACAGCAGAACAGGGACUAAAAUCAGUAACAUCACGAUGCCUAGCUUGCAUGCUUGUGCUAGUCACCACAUUGAUCACAAAAGUACAUGGUAAGCACCUCUGUAAAGAAGACAUGGCAUAGAUCAAAACACAUGUAGACAUCAACCUCAUAGGACGCACACAUCAAUCAUGGCAAAAAUGACAAAAGAGCUCGUUCUGAUAACAGACAGCAGAAAACAUUAUGAAGCACUCUUACAACGAUGAUUCAGGCAUCAAGAUGACCUCAAAUGAAUAUGAUGCAAUGUAAUGAAAUGAUUUACUCAUCGAGACGAACAAUUUGACAUAUUACACGCACGAAAUGGAGCUACGGAUGCAGAGAUACACCAGGUCAAACAUGGCAUGAAAAUUACACAGAUUCGGGGACUUGGGCAAAAUUAUACCUCGCGAAAAGUCAACCCGGGACGAGGACAUUCUAGGACGAAGGGAUCCAGGACGGGGGCGCCGUUUGGUUGGUGGGCCUGGUGGAUCUCAUCCACUCGUGGCGGAUCUGGCCGGAGGAGAGCUCCGGCGAGCUCUCCGGCGAGGCACGGUCGACGAGGGGCGCGGGGCCGGCGAGGUGGGACGGCGGGGAUCCGCGGCGGAGGCGCGCAGGGGCUCGGGAUCCGGAGGGGCGAGGUCGGCGGGGGAGCUCGGGUCCCGGCGAGGCUCCGAGGCUCGCGGCGGCACGAGGCGCGCCGGUCGGAGGAGCUUCUCCGGCGACGGGCGAAGACGUCGGCCGGGCGGANNNNNNNNNNNNNNNNNNNNNNNNNNNNNNNNNNNNNNNNNNNNNNNNNNNNNNNNNNNNNNNNNNNNNNNNNNNNNNNNNNNNNNNNNNNNNNNNNNNNNNNNNNNNNNNNNNNNNNNNNNNNNNNNNNNNNNNNNNNNNNNNNNNNNNNNNNCGCGGUGGCUGGCGGCGGAGAGGCCACGUGGCGCCUCCUAAUUGGCUGCAAGCGGCGGCGGACGCGUCCGGCGACGAGAUGGACAUGUCCGGCGCGGCGCGGAGGGGAAAAACUAGGGUUAGGGUGGAUUUGAUCCGCGAAUUUCGGGGGGAGGGGCUUAUAUAGUUUCUGGGAGCUAGGAGAGUCCAAAUGAGGAGCGGUUGAAAUAAUUUACAAAAGACUGAAGAGGUUCCGCACGAAUGAGAUAGAUGGUCGAGAGAGAGUCAGACUCCGGGAAGAAAAGGGUGGGAGGGCAGGAAAACAAAGGCAACUUGGAAGGGGGAACGACGAAUAUCUUGAAGAGAAAACUCCGGUUGAAAUCAUUGCGGAAAGAAAGCAAAGACUUCGCACGAGUAGGAUGGAUACUCGAUUACGGACUCCGGCUUCGAGAAGAAAAGGGGAGGGCGGGUGGGAAAAGAAAACAACUGAGGAUUGAACUUGCAAAGAUGAAGAGGGUCAAGUCAACUUGACGAGAAAUGCACCGGAUGAAAAGAGCUGAGGAACAANNNNNNNNNNUGAGAUAGAUGGUCGAGAGAGGGAAACCAAACGGUGGGAGGGCAGGAAACCAAAGGCAACUUGGAAGGGGGAACGACGAAUAUCUUGAAGAGAAAACUCCGGUUGAAAUCAUUGCGGAAAGAAAGCAAAGACUUCGCACGAGUAGGAUGGAUAGUCGAUUACGGACUCCGGCUUCGAGAAGAAAAGGGGAGGGCGGGUGGGAAAAGAAAACAACUGAGGAUUGAACUUGCAAAGAUGAAGAGGGUCAAGUCAACUUGACGAGAAAUGCACUGGAUGAAAAGAGCUGAGGAACAACAAUCGGAAAACCAACUGUGUGAUCCUAAAGAAAAAUUUGAAGGGGAAGAGGAGUAAUUGAAAACACCUACGUCAAGAUUCCUCACCAGAGCGACGAAGGGGCUGAGGAGUAAAAAGAAUUCCUACUCUCUGAUAUAACUAGACUCCGAAAACAGUUUUAUUCUAGACUCAACAUCGGCCAAACUACACGAUCAAUCAAGGGGGCUCCUAGGGUCGGUCGAGGCUCUGAUACCAACUUGUCACGCCCAAUAUGCGACCCUAUCCAAAAGGAACUCGAAGGUCCCACCAAAGAUAGGCCCGCAUAUUGAAACGCUUUUGCAAGGUGGAUAUCAUUACAUCAACAUUACAUAAUAUAUGGGGAAACAGACAUAAGGCAUACAAUGCCACAUGAAUACAACAUCACAAUACAUCAAAGCAUCAUCCUACUACGGAUGAAACACAAACAGAAACUCAAACGACAUCCACCCAGCUAGCCCAGGCUGGCGACCUGGAACCUAUCCCUGAUCGAAGAAGAAGCAGAAGAAGAACUCCAAAACAAGCAACAUCGCUCUCGCGUCAUGAUCAUCGCACCACCUGUACCUGCAACUGUUGUUGUAGUAAUCUGUGAGCCACGAGGACUCAGCAAUCCCAUUACCAUGGGUAUCAAGACUAGCAAAGCUUAAAGGGAAAGGAAGGGGUAAAGUGGUGAGGCUGCAGCAGCGGCUAAGCAUGAUAUGGUGGCUAACAUACGCAAAUAAGAGCGAGAAGAGAGCAAGCAGAACGGUCGUGAAACUAGCAAUGAUCAAGAAGUGAUCCUGAACUCCUACUUACAUCAAACAUAACCCAAAAACCGUGUUCACUUCCCGGACUCCGCCGAGAAGAGACCAUCACGGCUACACACGCGGUUGAUGCGUUUUAAUUCGGAUCUGGUGUCAAGUUAUCUACAACCGGACAUUAACAAAUUCCCAUCUGCCUAUAACCGCAGGUACGGCUUUCGAAAGAUUAUACCCUGCAGGGGUGUCCCAACUUAGCCGAUGACAAGCUCUCGCGAUCAACGAAGGAAUAGACCUUCUCCCAGGAAGACCCGAUCAGACUCGGAAUCCCGGUUUACAAGACAUUUCGACGAUGGUAAAACAAGACCAGCAAGACCGCCCGAUGCGCCGACAAUCCCGAUAGGAGCUGCACAUAUCUCGUUCUCAGGGCACACCGGAUUGUCCAAACUUCCGGUAGGCCUGCCCAGAGUUGCCCCUGGUGGCCACCGGCGGUUGACAGGUUGGACCAACACUCACGACGAGCACUGGCCCGGGGGGGGGGGAUAUAAUAAAGAUGACCCUCGAGAGCGCGACUCCCAAGGGAAAAAGGGCUAGGUGAGGCAAAUGGUAAAACCAAGGUUGGGCCUUGCUGGAGGAGUUUUAUUCAAAGCGAACUGUCAAGGGGGUCCCAUAAAUCACCCGACCUCGCCGGCGAUCCUCGAAAUCCGUGCACGAGUUGACUUUCUCACCCUCGAGGUUGAAUUUUCUGCUAAGUCCCUAUAUUUUGUUAUUUUCAUGCCAUGUUCGUCAUGCUGUAUGUCCGCAUCCGUUGCUCCGUUUCGUGCGUGUAAUAUGUCAAAUUGUUCGUCUCAACGUGUACAUCAUUUCAUUCCAUUGCAUCAUAUUCAUUUGAGGUCAUCUUGAUGCCUGAAUCAUUGUUGUAAGAGUGCUUCAUGAUGUUUUCUGCUGUCUGUUAUCAGAACGAGCUCUUUUGUCAUUUUUGCCAUGAUUGAUGUGUGCAUCUUAUGAGGUUGAUGUCUACAUGUGUUUUGAACUAUGCCAUGUGUUCUUUAUAGAGGUGAUUACCAUGUAUUUUUGUGAUCAAUAUGGUGACUAGCACAAGCAUGCAAACUAGGCAUCGUGAUGUUACUGAUUUUGGUCCCUGUUCUGCUGUUAUUUUGAUGCCAUGUAAACUUGAUGCUACAGAAAGAUCCAUGCAUAUUUUGAGACACUUCAGUAAGGGUGUUUUGAACAUGUGGUUAUUGUCUAUCCAUUCAUGCCCUUGGUUGCAAUUAUGGAGUAGUCUAGCAUGUCAUUUUCGUGCUCUACUUUUGCUUCAAAAUGUUUCCUGGCAGAUUGUUUACAUGUUAUUCAAUUUGGCCAAGGUUGCUAUAGUUGAUUCUUGCAUGCUAUGGACUUGUUCUUGACUUGGUUUGUUUCACAAACAUGUCUUCUUGAUGAUGCUAUGCUUAUCUUGUCAUGCAAUGACUUGUGGUGAGUGAAUCGAGCUUGUUAAGUAGGGUACUUGAUGUUGCUGUUUUGCUAGGCUGAAUCUGUUAUUUCGUGAUGCUAUAUAAACCUGCUGCUACUAAUCAUUCCAUGCAUAAUCUGAAGAUGUUCUAUAAACAUGUUUUGAUCUACAUGUUAUCCUAUAUCCAUCCAUGCCCCUGGUUGCAUUUAUAGCUUGCUGUAGAUUGUUAAUAUCUUGCUCCAAAGUUGCUUCAUAAUGUUGUUGUCAGCCUGUUAACAUUAAGUUCAGUUGUUGACAUGAUUGUUGCUAGUGUUCCAUACAUCCUAUGACCUUGCUGUUGCCAUGCUUAGCUUCACAAACAUGUCUUCUUACUGUUGGUUGCCUUGCCAUGCCACGUUUUGCUCUGUAGUCAGUUACACAAGCUCAUCUACAUGCCUUCAUAAUUCUGUUUCUGCCAUGUUUCAAUCUGUAAUAUAACUUGCCAUGUUUACAUGGGUGCCAUCAUAUUUUCUGAUCCUUUUUGGCUUAUGGUCAGUAAAGAACUUUUGAUCUAUGCAAUUAGUAGAUUCAUUCCAUGCCUUUGUUUGCCAUGAUAAGUUCGUGUAACAUGUUGUUUGAUAGCUCUAAACAUUGCAUCGUGAUGUUAUUUUCUGCAAAGUCUGAAAUUGUUAUAACUUGCAAUCUUACCAUAUGUGUUUGAGCAUGUUCUAGUGAUUUCUGGAGAUAGCUCAGUGUUCAUGUUUUGUUGUGCUUUACCUGUAAAUCAUGCCCAUGCAUUUUGUUUUCAUAUUGUGGUGCUGUAGCAUAUUGUUUUGAUGCUUGCAAUAUGCCUAGUUGCUGUUUUGGAUAGAUUGUUGCUUUAACUUGUAUAUGGUGUGUGUGCUGAACCGUUGCUCCGUUUUGAGUGUGCUCUAUAUGAAACUUGCUUGUUUUUGCAUAUAGUUUCAUAUUAUCAUGUUGCAUCCAUGUUUUGAGGUGUUUGCUUGAUGUUUGAGUGCAUUUUGCAUCAAUGCCAUGUUUAACUUGUUUUGCUCAUAUCUUCUAGGCCGUAGCUCCGAACUAAAUGAACUUUAUAUGUAACUUGACUAGAAUCUCGUGUAGAUCAUCUUGGUGCAUUUUAACUUGCUGUUUAACAACUUGAACAUAAGGUUUAUUCAGAUCUGGACCAACUUCGAAAUAUGCAUAUGAGGACUUAUCAGAAUUGUUAUAUGUUGUUCCCGGCCUCAUUUAAACUUGCCUUGAUGUGUUGUUCUUGUUUGCAUCAUCUCUGGCCAUGAGUAGCCUCAUCUAGAUUUGUCAUGCAUCAUGCUUGUUAUGCAUCAUGUCAUGUUCAUGUGUGGUGUGUUUACUAUGUUGUGUGCUUCUUUUCGAUAGUUCCCGUUUCGUUGCGAUCGUGAGGAUUCGUUCGUCUACGUUUGGUUCUUCUUCGUGGCUUCAUCUUCUUCAUGGACUCGUUCUUCUUCCUUGCGGGAUUUCAGGCAAGAUGACCGCUACCCUAGAUCUCACUACUAUCAUUGCUAUGCUAGUUGCUUCGUUCUAUCGCUAUGCUGUGUUACCUAUCUUCUGCUCAUCAAGCCUCCCAUAUUGCCAUGAACCUCUAACCUUUGACACCUUUCCUAUGCAAACCGUUGUUUGGCUAUGUUACCGCUUUUACCCAGCCCCUCUUAUAGCGUUGCUAGUUGCAGGUGAAGUUGAAGAUUUCUCCAUGGUGGACAGGAUUUUGGUUGGAUAUCACAAUAUCUCUUAUAUUAUUAAUGCAUCUAUAUACUUGGUAAAGGAUGGAAGACUCGGCCUUAUGCCUGGUGUUUUGUUCCACUCUUGCCACCCUAGUUUCCGUCAUACCGGUGUUAUAUUCCCGAAUUUUGCGUUCCUUACGCGGUCGGGUGAUUUAUGGGACCCCCUAGACAGUUCGCUUUGAAUAAAACUCCUCCAGCAAGGCCCAACCUUGGUUUUACCAUUUGCCUCACCACCACCUAUUUUUUCCUUGGGAGUCGCUCUCUCGAGGGUCAUCUUUAUUAUAGCCCCCCCGGGCCAGUGCUUGUCUAAGUGUUGGUCCGAACUAGAGCACUUUGCAGCGGCCCCUCAAGGAAACUUAAGGUCUGGUUUUAGUUGUACGGAUUGCUCAUCCGGUGUUGCCCUGACAACGAGAUAUGUGCAGCUCCUAUCAGGAUUGUCGGCGCAUCGGGCGGUCUUGCUGGUCUUGUUUUACCAUUGUCGAAAUGUCUUGUAAACCGGGAUUUCGAGUCUGAUCGGGUCUUAGCUUACUAUGGAAAUAGCUAUCAGAACCGUCGGACUCUGCCUCAAGAUUCGAACCGAAGUGUGGUCCGGUUCCUUUUCUUGUUCUUUUGUUGAUUUUUGGAUGGUGUAACCCGGCCCACGUGCUGACAACUUUACAGAUGGAGUAAAGACAGGGCCUGCCCCAUGUGGUUCUGGCUCGUUCUUGGACUAACUCGUCGGUCACGGACGUGUGCAAUGGAGGUUCCACGCCGUCCAUUGAACAUUUUUUUUAGCAUCAGUAGGCGCCUCGUCGUCGACGGGAACGUCUCCUCCCACUGAAAGCGCAUCGCCGGAAAUUCUGAAAUAAAUCCAGAAAUAAUGCGAGCACCAGGAUUUGAACCCUGAUGGGUUGGGGAUAUCAUUGUCCACCUAACCAACUCAACCACAGGUUGAUUCGCUCACCGUCCAUUGAACUUGCAUACCGGUUCCUGCUGCUCGUGAGCCUCGUUACGGCCAGUUCCUUCGUCGCAUGACACCUUUUUUUUCCAGUUGCCACGUCGCGUUCCUUUUCCAUGUCUUUGGCGAAUUUUGUGCUGAUAAAAGCCUGUGUUGACUCAGUACAGCACAAGUUCGGAGGUUCCACGCCCUCAUAAAAUGAAUGUGUAGGUUCUGUCGUAUAUAAUACUACCAUAGUACAUGAUUUUCCCUACAUAUACGUAGCCGGUGUGCAGGAGUGUCAGAACCUUCAAUGCAUGCACUGUAUCAGUGUCAUACACAUGCAAUAGGACAAAUUUUUUUAGCACAAAAGGAUGGAUAGUUUAAUGCAACCCCUCAUAUGGACAUACAGGCAGCUUAAUUCGUGCCGUGCUCCUACAGGUAAAUAUACUACCUGUAAUCGCAAUUGAAUAUGAAAAAAAAACAGUCGAUUCAACGUUUCAUGAAGACUCGUUUGGCACCACUCUUGGAUUUGAUGAUACUUCGUGGCAACCAACUCCCUCCUGUCGGUUCUUUUGUGAAGACUCGUUCGACACCGCCCUUGAAUUUGACGGUUCUUCGGGGUGACCAACUCCCUCCUAUCAGUUCUUUUGUGAAGACUCGUUCGGCAUCAUCCUUGAAUUUGACAUUUCUUCGAGGCGACCAACUCGCUCCUAUCGGUUCUUUCGUGAGACUCGUUCGGUACCACCCUUGGGUUUGACGGUUCUUCGUGGCGACCAACUCCCUCUUAACUGUUCUUUUCUGAAGACUUGUUCGGCACCACCAUUGGGUUUGGCGGUUCUUUGUGGCGACCAACUCCCUCUUAUCGGUUCUUUUGUGAUGACUCGUUCGGUACCACCCUCUGAUUUGACGGUUCUCCAUGGUGACCAACUCUCUCCCAUCGGUUCUUUGGUGAAGACUCGUUCGGCACCACCCUUUGAUUUGACGGUUCUUCAUGGUGAAUAACUUCCUCCUACCGGUUCUUGAUGGCGAUGUCGGCUCUUCACAAAUUCGAUUCCAGUUCCAAGUAUAGUUUUGACGGCUCUACGGAGGUGGAACCCGGUUCUUUGCAAAUUGUAUUCUGGUUCCAAGUAUAAUUUUGAUGGUACUGUGGAGGUGAGACAUCGGCCCUAGCGUAUUACCUUCUCACAAAAAAAGAACUUGUAUUACCUAGCGUAGUGGACACAAGCUAGUACAUACAGUUGUUUUAUACCUGAUGAAUAAUUAACUUAGCCAACACUAAUCAACUGUCUUGACAAGAUUACCUAACACGGUAGUCCCCCGUACAAGCCACGGGUCACAGCUAGGGAAGCAGGGAACGGAGACAGUGACCUCGAGGUACGGCAGUGCAUAUAUCGAAGCAUUGGCGCAUGCACAAGUGCACGCAUCUGCAGCAGUAGGGACAUACUCAUAUUAUAAUUUUCUGUGCAGCUCUAGCACCUAGUGCCCCAGCUCUGCACCAAGUCCUGAGGCCUGGAGUGUCAAUAGCUGCUUAGCCAAAAGAUCUCCUAAUGGAACGCAAAGUACAUUUCUGAUUUGUGCCAGCAUAUCCUUGCUUAGAAAAAAUCAUGCACCAAAAGCAGCCAGAAAAUCACACGGCAAGUAAACAAAUCAAGAGCCCUAGGGACACAAGUAAAUACAGGAACAAAAAUCAAGAGCAGAGUUAGAGAUCCACAAGUAAAUACUGGAAGAGAUUUUUUUAGUAACUCACUUAAAGUUAUUUUAAGAUUGUGGUGCGAACUAGGGUCCCAUUUUGAUUAAAAGGCCCUGUGCUUGUCACGUGGUUCAUUCCCAACGCUCGUCGGAAUGGCACUGCCUCUACGUGUUUGCGACCUCUGUUCUCCGUUUCAGUCUAAAAGGUUCCAUCAGUCUCAAAGUGUUGGUCAUAUGCGUCUCUGGUCCAUUCUCCAACCUAAACUCAUCAGAUGGACCACUGGUGGCCGUAGCCCGGGCGCAGCUUUUUCCUGUCAAACAGGCCACUAAAACUCCGAGAACUCCCUCCACAAUUUCUCCCCCUCCCGUGCUGCACGAAUCACAAAGUUUGGGGCAAUGACUUAGAUAGCUAUGUCUGGAGCAACCUAUGGUAGACAUAAUUUUGCACAUAUNNNNNNNNNNNNNNNNNNNNNNNNNNNNNNNNNNNNNNNNNNNNNNUGGAGAUGGAGUUAUGGUGGAGGGGGCAUUAAUGGGGAGAGGACGAGAGGUAGGAGAAAGAGAGAUGUGAGAGAGGCCAUUUAUGGAGAAGAGUUAUGGUGGAGGGGGACAUUAAUGAGGAGAGAAGAGAGGUAGUAGGAAGAGAGAAGAAGAGCAACAAUGGUGGAGAGUGGAGAGGGGAAAGGAGGGGGAGAGAGGGCAAAGUGGGGGAGAGGAGGGGGAGGGGGUGAAAAGGUGGCACCAGCCGCAACUAGCAGUAGCGCUGCUUACCAAAACGCGAUGCUGCUACCGUACUUAGUAGCAGUGCUUUCUUGGAGAAGCGCUACUACUAAGUGGGGCCCAUUAGCAGUAGCGGCGCAGUAAAAUAAAGCGCUACUACUAAACUGUUAGUAGUAGUGUUGGAUUCUGCACGACGCUGGUACUACAUCUAUCGUCGGUGGCCUCGUCUGGUCCCACGUAGUAGUACCGUGUUUUUGGUUUCCAGCGCUACUGCUAUAGACAGAAUAGUAGCACUUUCCUGGAUCAGCGCUACUGCUAACUAGUAGCAGCGUUGACUAUUUUCCAGCGCUACUGCUAACUAGUAGCUGCUAACUUGUAUAAGCAUUUCCCUAGUAGUGUUAAUUUUAUUGACAGAUUGCACUUCUAGUUUCUACAGCUAGUGCUAACCGAUGAUUGAAAAAUAUAUCUACCUUAACUCUAGACAACUACAUCACAUUGUCACUGCCUAGCAGUGAUGAACCCUAGCGAUACAAAUAAAAAAAUUACAAUGGCAGUGACCUACAGCAAAAGAGGGAGGGAUGAUAUGCUCACCUGGGUUGGAGCCGAGGGUUGCCUACAGUCUACUCUGUCGCCGUCAUCGUCUCCUGUGGUAGAUGGGAGUGGGAGGCUCAGAUGCAAAACACACCUCUAAAUUAAAAAAAAUUCCAAAUGGACUAGAUGAGAGUGGGAGCACAGAUGUGUACCACAAGACCGGAGAACGACGACAAUCGUUGGAAUCGGCCAAAAUCAAAGCGGCACGACCAGCGGCGAGAGAGGGAGAGAAAAGGGAACGAAACAGAGCAGUGGGUCACAGAGUGAGAGUGGGUUGAGGGGGUCGUUGCCCCCAUUGGUUUUGACCCCCACGGCAUUCUAAUACUAUUUGUGCUUGCCCAAUAAGAAAAAAGAUGACCACCUAGAAAUUGUCAUCUCAAAACUAUAUAUUUCAAGUCUUAAACUAAAAAGGAAAAAAAGUAAAUUUAACAAAAGUAAACUAUAAUAUACUGUUAAAAAGAUCACAGAAUAAAAAACUAAAAAAAUUUGGAAGUGUCAAAAUACAUAUUUGACGGCUCAAAACUAUAUAUUUCAAGUCUUAAACUAAAAAGGAAAAAAAAUUAAAGCCUCAAAGUACAUAUUAAAAAAAUGUCAUUAUUUCCAUUUAAAAUAAUAUAAAUUUAAUAAAAGUAAACUAUAAUAUACUAUAAAAAAUAUCACCACACAAAAAACUAAAAAGAAACAAAUUUUGAAGUGUCAAACUACAUAUUUGAAGGCUCAAUACUAUAUAUUUUAAGUCUUAAACUAAAAAGGAAACAAUAUUAAAGUCUCAAAAUACACAUUUUAAAAAAUGUCAUUAUGUCGAUUUAAAAUAAUAAAAUUUUAGUACAAGUAAACUAUAAUAGAAUAUAAAAAAGUUCACCACAAAAACCUAAAAAGGAAAAAAAUGGAACUGUGAAACUACAUAUUGGAAGGCUCAAAACUAUAUAUUUCNNNNNNNNNNNNNNNNNNNNNNNNNNNNNNNNNNNNNNNNNNNNNNNNNNNNNNNNNNNNNNNNNNNNNNNNNNNNNNNNNNNNNNNNNNNNNNNNNNNNNNNNNNNNNNNNNNNNNNNNNNNNNNNNNNNNNNNNNNNNNNNNNNNNNNNNNNNNNNNNNNNNNNNNNNNNNNNNNNNNNNNNNNNNNNNNNNNNNNNNNNNNNNNNNNNNNNNNNNNNNNNNNNNNNNNNNNNNNNNNNNNNNNNNNNNNNNNNNNNNNNNNNNNNNNNNNNNNNNNNNNNNNNNNNNNNNNNNNNNNNNNNNNNNNNNNNNNNNNNNNNNNNNNNNNNNNNNNNNNNNNNNNNNNNNNNNNNNNNNNNNNNNNNNNNNNNNNNNNNNNNNNNNNNNNNNNNNNNNNNNNNNNNNNNNNNNNNNAUAUCACCACAUAAAAAACUAAAAACUAAAAAUUUUUGAAGUGUGAAACUACAUAUUUGAAGGCUCAAAACUAUAUAUUUCAAGUACUAACUAAAAAGGAAAAAAGUAAACUUAAAAUCUUAAGUACAUAUUUUUAAAAAUGUCAAUAUUUCUAUUUAAAAUAAUUGAAAAUUAAUAAAAGUAAACAAUAAUAUACUAUAAAAAAAUAUACCAAAAAAAAUAGUAAUGUAAGAAUGUUGGCAUUGACAAAAUAACAAUACCGGCGUCGGUUAUAACAGCACGCCACAACUAAAUAUAAUAGUGUUGGCGUUCCAUGCUAUUCCACGACAGCAAUAUAUUACGCCUGGUACAAAUUGUUGAUCUCAUAUAUUUCUCACACUGCCUUGUUUUCGAACGCCACUACUAUUCGUACCAAAUCAGCCAACGCCAUCACUAUUUGAAAAAAAAUAGUGAUGGCGUUGGUUGUAAAUGGAGCGCCACCAACGAAAGUUGUGGCUAACCCUUUAUCCACUAGUGAAGAUUGAGGGAGGUUGUUAGAUAAUGUUUAUACGUAGCUUUCGUGUAGACACUUUAUAAUGAGAUAGCCACACCCGUAUUGGGUGUCGUUCAGUUUCCCACGAACAUAACGUUUUACAAUCCUGAGAGGCCAUCCAAGGGAGUCUGUUGUAGGCUGAUGCCGUUUUUACCCUCUCUAACUAAACCUAAAGUGGCGAAGUUACUAGCAUGUCGCCAUGUCCUUGCACUAGAGAAGGAAGUUGGGGUCUAGACGAUCGUCUUGGAGAUGGACUGAAAGAUGGUUGUGAGCAAGCUCAACUCUGAAGGGAAGGACGGAGGGAAUAGUAAGUGUAUAUUUGUUUCUAAAUAUGAAAAUAUUACUAUUAAAUACUAAUAUACCAAAGAUAUAAGAAUAUUAAAUACUAGUAUACCAAAGAUAUACCUAAAUAUAAGAAUAUUUAAUAGUAGUAUACCGAAGAUAUUCUACAGUUAAAUUCUAAUAACUCUGUUCCAAAAUAUAAGAAUAUUACUAUAAAAUACUAUUAGCUGUUUUCAAAUAAUUAGUAAUAGAGAUAAUAUUCUUUUGUNNNNNNNNNNNNNNNNNNNNNNNNNNNNNNNNNNNNNNNNNNNNNNNNNNNNNNNNNNNNNNNNNNNNNNNNNNNNNNNNNNNNNNNNNNNNNNNNNNNNNNNNNNNNNNNNNNNNNNNNNNNNNNNNNNNNNNNNNNNNNNNNNNNNNNNNNNNNNNNNNNNNNNNNNNNNNNNNNNNNNNNNNNNNNNNNNNNNNNNNNNNNNNNNNNNNNNNNNNNNNNNNNNNNNNNNNNNNNNNNNNNNNNNNNNNNNNNNNNNNNNNNNNNNNNNNNNNNNNNNNNNNNNNNNNNNNNNNNNNNNNNNNNNNNNNNNNNNNNNNNNNNNNNNNNNNNNNNNNNNNNNNNNNNNNNNNNNNNNNNNNNNNNNNNNNNNNNNNNNNNNNNNNNNNNNNNNNNNNNNNNNNNNNNNNNNNNNNNNNNNNNNNNNNNNNNNNNNNNNNNNNNNNNNNNNNNNNNNNNNNNNNNNNNNNNNNNNNNNNNNNNNNNNNNNNNNNNNNNNNNNNNNNNNNNNNNNNNNNNNNNNNNNNNNNNNNNNNNNNNNNNNNNNNNNNNNNNNNNNNNNNNNNNNNNNNNNNNNNNNNNNNNNNNNNNNNNNNNNNNNNNNNNNNNNNNNNNNNNNNNNNNNNNNNNNNNNNNNNNNNNNNNNNNNNNNNNNNNUCUAGAUGUAUUUUAGUUAUAGAUACAUCCCUUUCUAUUUGUUUUGAUCACAAGUAUUUUCGGAUGGAGGGAGUAUUAAAUACUGUCACAACUAUUCUUAUAUUUAGUAACAGAGAUAAUAGUAUUUAAUAGUAGUAUAUCAUUUUUCCUAAAUACUCCCUCCGUCCCAAAAUUCUUGUCUUAUAUUUAUCUAGAUACGGAUGUAUCUGACACUAAAAUGUAACUAGAUACAUCCGUAUUUAGACAAAUCAAAGACAAAAAUUUUGGGAUGGUGGGAGUAUAAGAAUAUUACUAUUAAAUACUAGUAUACAAAUAUAUAUUUAAUAGUAUACCAAAAUAUAAGAAUAUUUAAUAGAAAUAUACCAAAGAUAUGCUACUAUUAAUUGCUGGUAUUAAAUAAAUAAAUCUGUAGAUUAACACGCGGUCCCCACCUUGGCCUGUGCCUUCCGUUUCAGUUCAUAAAAGGCAACACAUGCUUCUCCUCCUCGCUCACAUUCUUCUCAUGCCGCUCUCCUCAACCAACUCCGCGCGUCUGCUCGACCGAUCCACCGCGAUGUCUAGCUCCGACGUCAGUGCCAUGCCCGCAGCCAACCACGAGGGGCACAGCCUGGCGGGCCCCGCCCCGCCCCCUGCGCCGGUGGUUCACAAGCGCAAGCCCGGGAGACCCCAGGAGAAAAGCCCGCCCCCAGCGGCCACCAGAGAGGAGCUGGAAUCCAAGGAGUCCCGGGAAGGUCCCUUGAAGGUGCUUGCGCUCCCGGCGCCAGGGGCCCGGCGUGCUUAUGUUGUCUCAGAUGACAAGAUGGUGAGCCGCGCUCGCGCCCCCACACGGCGUGCAAGCGCGGUAUCCGACGACAAGAUGGUGAGCCGCGCUCGCUCCCCCCCCCUCUGCUACUAGUGAUUUGAAGUUAACCGGUGCCUAAUGAGCUGGAGUUAUUGACAAUCUUUAAUCUAGUCAUGUGAAUUAGUGCUAGUGCUUAAUGAACUACCUGAUGUGUAUGUGCAAGAAUUACGUGCUGGGUAUAUGUCCUUGGACUUUCUAAUCGCUGCGAUCUCAUCUGGCAGAUGGACAGGAACGAGAUAACGCCGGUGGUUCGCAGGCGCAAGCCCGGGAGACCCCAGGAGAAAAGCCCGCCCCCAGCGGCCACCAGAGAGGAGCUGGAAUCCCGGGAGUCCCGGGAAGGCCCCUUGAAGGUGCUUUCACUCCCGGCGCCAGGGGCCCCGCGUACUCACGCUGUCUCCGGCGACAAGAUGAUGAGACGCGCUCGCGCCCCCACCCGGCAUGCAAACACUGUCUCCGACGACAAGAUGGUGAGCCGCGCUCGCGCCCCCACCCUGCAUGCAAACCAUGUCUCCGAUGACAAGAUGGUGAGCCGCACUCGCUUCCCCCUCUCCUACUAGUGAUUUGAAGUUAACCGGUGCCUAAUGAUUUGAAGUUACUGACAAUCUUUAAUCUAGUCAUGUGAAUUGUACUGUAGCUUACUGAAUUACCUGACGUGUAUGUGCAUGAACUACGUGGUGUGUAUAUGUCCUUGGAUUUUCUAAUCGCUGCGGUCUCGUCUGGCAGAUGGACAAGAACGAGAUGGCGCCGGUCCAGGGGGUGCCGCGCAUGCGAGGGAGCAUCGCGUCGUCAAGUGCGGUUGGUAAGUAUACUUUAUGCUGCUUUUUUUGUCAACAUCGUCUCCGUGCAGGCUACACUGGCAAACAAGCUGCUUAACUCUUGUGCAUGCUGGUUUUUCGUCAUCACUAGUAUACUGGUAUUGGACUGAAGCUUGUUAGCUCUGUCCAUGCUGGGUCUUUUUUUUUCAUGAUUAGUAUUGUUAUAUAUUAGCAGAAGCUGCACAUGUUUUCUUUCCAUUGACGUUGGUGCGGGCGGUGCUACGCGUCAGUCGGCCGAGGGAUGGACGCCUUACUCACCUGAUUUUAAUCAAGUCCCACCUAGGUGUAGUUCGUUUUGUCACUAGCUGUGUAUACAUAGGCGAGCUCCAGCACUAUGUUGCAGCGUGGAAAACAUAUGAACUGUAAUAAGAAACAUGCAAUGGCUAGAAAUAUCUCCACAUAUUUUUUCAGCAUGUUUUAGGUGUCAACGAAAUUAGUCGGAUCGCCAGCCAUCGAAUUGACAUAUGGAGCAUUGGAUCACACUACACGGCAGCAGAGAGAAUGGAAACCGUGUUCCUCCAUAGCCUCCACAAUACAUGUGUAUCCACCACCCCUCCCACAUCGUCGCAACAGACAAUUACGUCGGCCCCUUGCAACACCUGGCUUUGGUACCCUAGAGAUCCUUGAUAUCGCUUGGAUAUCCUGCAAGUAUUAUUACAGUGCGCCUACGAGGCGUCGUCCUUGCAACAUUGUCUUACAGACAAUGUAGUUGAUGCCACCACCACCAUCACCCAUUUACACAUGGGCCGUGGCAUGUGGCACUGUUCGUGGGAUAAAACACACCCCGCGAGAAUAUGCGGUUGCACCACUAUGAUCUGUGCAUCUUAGGAAUUGUUGUGACUGCCCCUGCAAAACUAGCGAUGAUACGACCAUCGCCCUGCAACAUCGGCCAUAGUUGUAGCACAUAUGAGAAGACGGAUGCCGCACCUAACAACACAUUAUGUGUUUUUUGCACCAUAUGAAAGCACUGCCUUGCAACAUCGGCUAUCAGGGUGCUGCACCGACAAACACACUCACGACCUUGAGAUGUCGUAUGCCUUGGCCGAUGUAGCAUAGUGCUCCUCUUUCAGCAUAUAGCGAUGGCUUGUAGAAUUGAUGGUCGGAGAGUCGCAACAUCAUUGAGUGGCAGUGCUAGCCCAACUCAUUGUCAUAGAGAAAGGGGAAUAAAGGAUGGGUGUGCACGUGGUGGAAAUAAAGUGAAUGGAUAUGGUGAAGAGAGAGGAAGACUAACAGGGGCAUCUGGCGCUAGAGCGAUCUGACUGAUUUACCCCUGAAACCAGCCUGUUGAAUAUAAUUCAAUUUUCUUUUGAGAGACCUCAUAUAAAAACGUCGCAACAUGCGAGCAUGUCUAUACAAAAAAUUGUAGAUAUACAACGCAUACUCAUUAGCUUCAACAAAUAAGUGAAAAAACACAAUGUAUAUAGGCCUGAACCGAUGGAUCAUCAGCAUGCAUCUACCAGAUCUUCCUAGGUUACGCCCAACCGUGAGUCGUUCAAUUGGGUCACACAUCACUACCCAAUCAACCACCAACUUAGUUGUUCCUCUCGUCUCCUCUACCCACCCUUCGCAACAUACACCCAUGAUUCUCAGCAAUAGACCAACAUGGAGGCGACAAUGGUGUCCAUGAUAGGCUAGUCAAAAGCACACUGGUGAUCAACCUUACAACACUAAACAGAACAUUGCAACAUGAGGUAACCCCAACUUUGUAGCACUGGUGCACCAUUUUCAACCACCUUGUAGCAAUGAAAAGUUCACUUACCAAUAGCAUUGUUAUACCAAGUUACCGGCUUCCAGCACUGAACACACGGGCUUGCAGCACCGCGAUGAUCAAUGGUCGGCCUUUCAACAAUAUUAGUUAACAUUGCACACCUCGUCUCCAUUUUUAUGUACAUACACAUGAGUGAGAUUGGAACAUCAGUAACGUAUCAACAUUACCAAACAUGAAGACAAUAAAUUUGUUUCUCCAAGCAUAGACGUUACUGAAUAAGCGUGCAACUGCACAUCCACCACAUGAGCCAUAAUUUUUUAGCUCUGUGACAACAGCUUAUAGUUGCAAAAGAGCUGAAGAUGAUGGUUUAGAAUGUAUAUGAUCAAAAUAGAUUAAAUGGAGGGGAGGAUGGACUACAUAUGUUGAAUCGGACUAGCCGCAAGGUCACAAGUGCCUUGUCUAAAUAGCCAAAAAGACAAAAGGAGGCCUCCUGGAUUCUCCAUCCUGAAGCUAAGCAUAACUCCAACUCCAGACACGCUAGGGGGCUACUAAAGGUGCAAUACACUAGGGAUGUCUUCUGGGUGGGAAGCCCGGUAGCAGGCUUGCCUUAGGGCCCAAGAGGCCAACUGGAGGAUCGGUGCAGUAGGGCAGCUCAGGAGCCUAGAUAAGGACUGUGGGAGCAUCUUGGCAGGCAAGCUAAGAUGGCAGUGGUAUGAGAUCUGAUGGAUUCCUUGUAAACCUAGCCCGCGCCACCUAUAUAAGGAGGGGCUCGGGGUUGUCAUUCACAUAUACUCUCAUAGACUAUACUCUCUGUAGCAUUAUACUUCAUCUCCACUCUAAACCCCUCGCACAAGGUGCUCCAACAUGAAUAAAAAUCAGAUACAGGAUGUUGGGCAUUACCUCUCACCGAGGGCCCGAACCUAGGUAAAAACCUUUGUGCAGACUACCUUGUCGUGUAUCCCUACAAGUUCACCACCCUACUAUGGGUACUCACAGUUUUCCAUACUAUCACAUAGUUAAGUUCUAACACAUUUUCUCUGGGGAGUUGAAGCAACUCAUGGUGUAAGUAGGUGUUGCUUGAAGCACUGAUUCUACUAGCACCUCCUUUCCCUCCUUUGAGAUACCUUGUCCUUCCAAUCCAACCACUUUGCCAUUUGAGCUUUCUUUAAUAUGUUUAAAAUUUCCUUCCUUUGACCUACCCACCACGGUUGGGAGCCCCAAAUAAUGCUCGCUCAAUGCCUUAGGAUCUGUGCAAAGAUAUUAACAACAACUUACUCCUCCUAUUUGCCUCACUUCCCAAAGAAUGUUGAAGCUUUUAGAAAAUUUCCCAUUUGUCCCGAGGCCCACUAGUAGUCAAAUAGGAUAUAUUUAAGGUUACAAAGUUGCCAUUUGACGGUUGAAGAAAUACUAUACUAUCAUCUGCAGAAAUAAGAUGGGCUACAUGGGGGUUAGUGCUCCCAAAAGAUAUACCAUUGAUCUCUUUAUCUUUGAGCACUCAUGAGAAAGGCCAAAAAACUCGCAACAUAGAAAAUAAGAAAAUAGGGAGACCAUCGGUCUCCUUGCCAGAGCCCUCUUCAUAGUAUAAAAAAUACAUAACACACUCCUUUCAAUUUGAUAGAAAACCUGGCCGGGGUACCACACAUCAUAAUCAUCAAGAUCAACCUAUCUGAGAAACCAAGUGCCCUCAUCAUCAGAUCGAGGAAAAUCCAAACCACCCUCUUAUAGGCCUUCAUCAUGUAUAGUUUAAUUGCGAACAUUGGAUUUUUCUAUUUCUUGAACGAACAUACUUUGCUCCUGCGUGAUCAUUAUGGAUAUGACAACCUUCAAUCUCUUUGCUAGGCCUUUGAAGCAAUCUGACUGAGCGUGUUCAAUAAGUUGAUUGAUCCCAUUUGAGGAAGUAUCUCCAUUGAGGUAAUUUUGGGGAUUAGGACUAGAACCAUAUCACUAAAGUUUGGUCAAAUAACUCCAUUAAAAGAAUCACCUAUUACUAUGCGUACAUCAUUUUUUAGAAAUAACUAGUGAAAUUGGUAAACAUAAGUGAGAGGUUGUCUAGCCCCUGCGCUCUUGCCAGUCAAAUUUAGAAUAGUGCAUUCUCAAUUUCUUCAUCCAUCACGUCCGUGUUCACCCUCUCCUCCAUAUCACUAGUCAGACAGGGUCGGAUGUGAGCUAAGAUGUUGUCAGCAUCAACAGAGGCUUCUGAAGAAAACAACUAAGCAUAGAAAUCGGCCGAAAUCUUCCCCAUCUCAUUGUCAAUAGUACAACUCGUGCCAUCUGCCCUCAUGUUUUGAUCGUCUUCCUUGAGAAAUUCCAGUUGGGAACAUUGCAUACACAUUAUUUGUUCCUGUGGACGAACCACAUGAAGCUAUGCUUCAAUCUCGCUGGUCUUCAGCAAGGAUGUCUGGAUCCCAAUGCGCUACCCUUUCCAUCGAAGCUGGACCUUGUGCCUAGUAAUCUCACAACAUACAAGACAAAAUACAGAGCCACUUCAAUGUUUCAUAUCAUUGGUGACAUUGUUACGCUUCCUGUAGAGCUCACUCUGGCCGAAAUUGUUAUCACAUGCACACUAUCAUGCCUACAUGGGCAUCCACCUCUCCUCAAACUUAAUGCCCUCUUCUUACUUUUGGUAAUGACUAGGUUUUCUAGCGAUCUAUUAACGAGAAAACCAUGGUCUGGUCCUCCAUGACAACAUGUUCAAUGGGUGUAUCCUACAAUGAAUGCACGAAUUCAUCAUUGCAUGGACCCCUGUCCACAUGUACAUAAACGAUCUCAUCCCGCUCCCUCUUAUUGUCCCAAGUGUACAUGUUGCUACUAAAACAAAGUUUUGAAACACUAUUAUUGGCUACACUCUCCCUAAUGCGCUCCAUUUGUGUGAAACUCCUCAAGUAAUCUCCUAGUUGUUGUGAUUAAAAGAAUUCUUUGUUGAGGUAUCAUUGUAACAGAUAAAUGUAUUAUUAGGAUCCAAUCUCUCGGAGCCUCCCUUAGCUACACAAAUUUUCAUCAAUCUCUCUUCCUAUCCAGUAGCUUUAGGUGAUAAUCAUUGUGACGCCUUUGGUGGUCACCAUCACGUUGCCUUGUCUUAUGAACAAAAGUGCCUCGUCUGCGUUGCUCUGAGGUAGAUGGGUCAUCUUUCCCAAUGGCCUUGCACCCUUUCCCAUAUAGAUUUUUUUAUGUCUUGCUUACUUUCAUGCUCCUUCCUCAGGUCCCACUUCCUUUUUAGAUUUAAAUCAUCCCUUAGUUCACAAUCAUGUCACAUUUCUUGCCUGCAUUGGUCCUCCCUACACUUCAUCUUAGGCAGUUACCCUGUACAAGACCAUCUCGAGGAUCCUCGCUAGAGAGAGAGUCCACAGAGGGUGUAUAAUCAGUGUAUGACCUGCACGUAAAUGGACGGGCAUGCAACGCUACAUGACCCCUGCGCCCAUAGACGCCCUUGCUUGACCUAGUGCUCCCAAAACUAAAGUUCCUGCUUUCUUUCACCGGCCUCUACUUAGUUUUUGUCUAUGAGGAGCCAUGUCCAAGUGAUGCCCUCAACCAUUCACCCAACUGGGGUCAGGAAUCAUUUUGUGGUUCAAAUCAUCUGUCAACAUGUGCUAGUCUGUCGUAGUCAAUCCAAAAGAGAGGUAUCUUCUCAAAUUGAAAAUCAAACAAGGUCCCCUCAUCUUUUGCUGAAGAGUGGAGAAAGAAGCCUUAGACUAGUGAAAGAAAUAUGAAAAAUCUAUCUCUAAAUCUGAGAUGGUUCCCCCAUAAAUCCAUCCUUCUUAACAUCACUCUUUACCACGCCACCAAGACAAUUCCCAAGAGCAUUCCCAAAAGUAUAUGAUCAUUUAUAUAGGGGAGGAUCUGUAAUUAUCACCCAUGGCUCCGUCAUACAAAACAUUAUCUUCGAUGACCUAGUUUUUUCAUCAUAAUCCUUCAAAACUAUCACAUUAAAACCAAAUUGCCACAUUCAAUUAUAUAGAGCGUGCUUCUAAACUCCUUUGUUAUGGAAUCUAAAGAAGAAGAUACUAUUUCUAAUGUGACUUACUUGGAUUUCCUAAUAGUGUCACAUGUAUGUUGCGUAGCCCUAGCAAACACGUUGAUCUUGAUUUGCUGGAGUGAGCAUGCCUUUCCAACCACUGACCACCGAGUAGGCCUCGGUCGGUCUGGAAUCCUGAUUCUCAAGCAUGAGAUCUAUUAGUUCCUUUUGUUGUUAACUUCAGGGCUCCUUGUUAAUUUGGUUGAGAGAUUAGUUGCCUCCCCUGAAGCAUUUCCAUCUGUCAGGGACUUUGAAGGUUCUCAUCUUAAUGAUCCUUGGUCGCCCUGUUCACUUGAGCUGUCGAUUUACGCCACGCCUUCUCUCCCAUCGUCGCGCAAAGGAGUGGAAGCACCAAGACCAAUCAAUGUAGGAGUAUAGAGUGUCAUCACCUCAUAGAUGAAUAGAAACCUAACCCUAGCACUACUUGUCGGUCGCCUAUAAUCGCCCUUAGCAUUUCUUUUCAUGUUGGGCCCGCCAUAAGGUAUUUAUACGUUCGCUUCCAUUGGUACUUUUUUUGCACUGGAGCCUUUCUGCUACAUUUGCCUUUCUACGAAGGAUGUCUUAUCCAAAUCAUAUAGUCUCCUCUAUCUAUAGGAAGCGAGGACAUUAGCUCUUCUUUUUUUCAAGGCAAAUACACUUGCUAGUGUUCAAGCGACAUCGAAAGAAGUCUUGUCACAUGUGAAGACGACGCUAAGAGUGUGACAAAUAUAGGUGCCAACUUGAAGAAUAAUGCAAAUUUCAGUAAAUAUGAAUAGCUCCUGGGGGAACGAGUGCAUAAAGGAAUCAGCCACCAUAAAUGGAUCAUCCAAAGAAACAAAGUCACAAAGAGAGAGACAAGACAUUAGCUUCUUUAUGGGGAACACAUAUAUUUAAAUGUUGCCUUGCUCUCUGAUUAUUAACAAGAAAUAAUUUUUACUAAUAUAUUAUGUGUAAAUCUUGAUAGAUAUGGAAUGUAUUUUGGUCAGUAUGUUUUAAGGAAUCAUAUUAGUUUUUGGUAUGUAGAAAUUAAAAGAAGUUCAUGUGCCUUCAAGGCAUGUCAAGGUGUGUUGUUCCACCUCAAAAUUGGUUCAUACUAAAUGGUUAUUCUCCCUACAUAUAGCCCCAAUUCUCAUGCUCUCUCUAUCUCUCUCUCUCUAUUUUAUAUUCCAGACUACUCCAUAAAGCCUAACUAGUGAAGGUCCAGAAACACCCAGCAGUGACGGGUUCAACUCCCAUUAGUAGUCUAUACUUAGUGGAGGAGAAACAAGCCACUUACAGGCACGAGCCCGCCAAUGGUGAAUAAAUCAGAAAAGAAAAUCAGGCCAUGGCCAGUCCAAAUCCAGCACCUGCCAACAAUGUGUAGUCUCCACUACGCGAACCUACUUUUCCUCAGUGCGUGACAUCAUGUGAUGUUUGGAGAAUCCAUAGAGUUGGGGAUCCGAAUAUAAAAAACAACAAUGGGGAGUGUCUUGAAGAAUAGGUGCCAAGAAGCCGGACGGAGAAGGCCUCCACCAUGCUGCACCAUUGGCCGAUACUGACCCGUAUGGUGCAAGGACAAAGGCAGAACUGAACACCGUCAUCAUCUAGGUUGCAAAGGAAGUUGGACCACUGUGUUGCUUCUCUCGGACAAACUCAAUGAUUUCAUGCAGUUGGCACCCGUGCCACAUUCCAUAGAGAUAACAACAUUGAGGAGGAGGAGGGACAACGCAAGGUUUCUUCCUCAUAGGAAUUAGUUUCGAGGAAGUGGGGGGACGAUAUGGCAUGAUGAGCAGUUAACAAGGGAAGUUUGCAUGACUGUGGAGGACAAAGCAUUAAGACAAGUGUGCUAGUAGCUAGAUAAGGGAUGAAUGAUAGUAGGAAGGAAUAAUGAGCUUACUGGGUGAGGCUACUAUUUUUUAAGUUGCGACCUACUGAUCAUAACAACAAUUGAUCGUAACAACGUACCAUUGAUGAUUUAGGGUAUUGAUUUAGUAACUGUCAGGAUGUGACUACAGCUUGUAAGUGGUGGGUUGUAUAUUACUAACAAGUAGCAUGUUUAGCCUCAAUAUUGUCCUCUGUCACUCGUAACAACGUGCCAUUGACGGACCACAUAUUGGGCCCGUCACUACUACCUUUUUCAAACAAAAAUAUAAUUUUAGUUAUAGUCAGAUUCACAACAAUCCCACCGGCCAUUAGUGUUAAGUAGCAUUGCUGACCGGUUUUUUGAACCACCACUUUUGAUCGAUAACUAGGCGAGAACUCUAGUGUAGUGCACAUUUGUUUGAUUGAGAAUUUUUAGUGUUUUUAUGUGCACAAAGACAUAUCGUUCAACCCUAACAUGUUCUCUUUAGGUGGGGUCGAGAGUGAAGGACUGGGGAGCUUGGAAGCAGGGGAAAUGGCACCUCGAGGGGUUCAGGUCUCCAUGAUCAAUAACCACAAUUUUGAUCUGAUGAGCUGCCGACUGAGCAUGAGUAGCUCAAGAAGGAGUAGUCACCCGUGGAGCAAGAGUAGCCGCCUAUGGCACAACAUGAGCUUUAAUAUUCACAAUGGUUGGAGGCUACUCAAAUCCCGCUUGUGUGAGCAAAAAUAACUCUUGGCCCAAAGUAUAGCCCUGUCAGAAAUUAUCGAAACAAUAUCCUUAUCCCAAGGACGAUUGUAAAGCUUAUGUGGAACUUUUCAAUUUCUUGCUUCCUAUUUUUUGGUGAUUGACUGACGCUAUUGCUAAACUUGAGGGAAGGACUUGGUAUACUGCCUCAUGAUCAACGUGUCACCUGGAAUGGCUUUUCUAUUCAUUUCCCAUGAUGGUUUUGAUAUGUAGAUUGUUUGAACAAGCAUUUAUUCAUUCGGUAAAGCUUUGUGAAACAUCAACGGUGGAGCUAGGUCUCUCGUCAUGUGAAAUGACAGUAGGUCAAGAAGUGUGUUGGAUCAUGAGAUAACAUAUUUUCUAAGUUGUUAAUCAUGUGUGUUAACACCAUGGGUAGUAUGAGAGAAGGUCAACAUGCAUGUUUGGGUCUAAAAUGACCUCAUGACCAAAAAGGGAGAGAAACAUGGCUAAUAGGAAUACGAACAAUAUGGAAGUUACUUGUUGCAUGGAUGUUAACUGUGGUUAUGAAACCACACAAGAUGUCAGAGGACCCGCAUCCUUACAUAUCAAGGUUGACUUCACAUGCCAACUAGAUUUCGACUAAAUUAUUGUAUAUGUAUGUAUGUUAUAUCUUGACAUCUUAACAAACAAAAAACACCAAAAAAUACACUAUUUACUUCUCUUUGAUGCAUAUUCUAGUUGGAGGGUAAUCAUAACCUUAUGUGGAUAUUUUUCCAUAAUAGAAUAUAUAAUGGUCUAGUGAGGCAAGGUGUAAAUGGAGAGGACAAUAGUCGAACAUGAAAACAUCCAACAUUGUGUUAUAGUUGCAUCAAGUUGUCUAGUGACUCAAUAUGGAAAUGGAGGAGGCUCAUAGGGCAACACGAGAACACCCAACAUGUUGCUCUACUUACUUCCUAUUGGUACGAAGAGACCGAGAGUAGUGAAAGGUUAAUCAUAACACAUGGACAAGAUAUCUCAUACAAGAUGAAAAUGGAGUGAGUCUUGUAUGAAAAUGCUAACAAAGUAUGAGUGUGCAUAGCAUGCCAUCCCCUCCCUUUCUUGUUCGAGUUUCCUUCACCAACCCCAUAGUACCCUGAUCAACACUAUUAUUUGGAUAUGCUUCUCAUCCGAGAAAGAAUCGUUAUUGAGAGACAUUUAUAUCAUUGUCUAGAUAGACUUGUUCAAGGGCCAAUAAUGGAGGUUUCUUAUCUAUUAUAGCCACAUUCCGGAGAAGAAUAAAAAAAGUAGACACAACCUGAUAAUUUAUUGAGAUUUGAAUUGAGGAUCCACAUACAUCAACUAUCCUACAUGUGAAUCAAAUCCACAUCCUACAUGGGCAUUGGGCUUUAGUUAGACUACCACUUUAUGGACAAGCCAUGUGCUCCAUGUAGUCUAUGUUGCAAAGGCGGGAGGACAAGGAGUAAAUAGUUUUCGAUGGCUGGACAUUGAAGUUAUUUGUCAAGAAAUUUGUUUCCUGACAUGGUUUGUUUAUUUCAUUAUUUAGUAUUUGAUAUCGGUUCAGUGCUCUAGUAUGUAACAUUCUUCUCACAUUUUGGGUCUAGCUCUUGGUGUUCAUGAGUUCAUUGCUUAUGUUAACUAUUAUUGUUGUGCCCACUUGUUCGACAAGAGACUAUAAAGUUAACUAAGAUACUGUCAUAUUUAUAUUAAUAUAGUUGGCAUUGAGGUAAUCAUAAAUCUUGAAUACUACUCAUAUUUGUCAAAUAGGAGGUCAAGCUGGAUCUGUCUGGCGCAUCAUCUAUGGUCACAUGGUGUAUUGUCUAUUCUAAACCCAAUGAGUAUUGCAGAAUGACAUGUUCCUGCGAGGAGGAAUGAGUCACUCUUUUGUGUCAAGGGGUGAUGCCAUGCCUCAUAAUUGACAAUAAAAAAUUAACCACCUACAUGAAAAGUCUAACCCAAGACAGGGAAUAUGCGCCAUUGCAAUUUUACCGCACAAAGUCAUCGGUAUUUUGCAAUUGAAUGUUCCCCAUGUUGUGAAUGAGAACACAAAACACAAAACACCCCACAAAACACUAUUCACUUCUCUUCGAUGCAUAUUCUAGUGGAAGGGUAGUCAUAACCAUAUGGGAAUAUUUUACCACAAUAGAAUCUAUAAUGGUCUAGUGAGGCAAGGUUUAAAUGGAGAGGAUAAUAGGCGAACAUGGAAACAACCAACAUUGUGUUUUACUUGCAUCUAGUUGUAUAGUGAGAUAAUAUUGAAACGGAGGAGGCUUAUAGGGCAACAUGAGAACACCCAAUAUGUUGCUCUACUUACUUCCUAUUGUUACCAAGGGACUGAGGCUCGAGCAUGGUUAAUCAUAACACAUGGAGAAGAUGUCUCAUACUAGUUGAUAAUAGAGUGAAUCUUGUAUGAAAAUGCUAACAAAGUAUGAGUGUGCAUAACAUGCCAUCUCCUCCCUUUCUUGUUGUAUUUUCCUUCACCAACCCCCAUAGUACCCUGAUCAGCACUAUUAAUUUGAUAUGCUUCACAUCUGAGUUAGAAUUGUGAUUGGGAAUAGUUGUAUCAUUAUCUAAGUAGACUUCUUCAAGGGGAAAUAAUGGAUGUGUCUUAUCUAUUAUAGCCACAUUCCGGAUAGGAAUGAAAAAGUAGACAUAACAAGAUAAUUUGUUGAGAUUUGAAUCGAAAAUUCAACAUACAUCAACUAUUCUACAUGUAAAUCAAAUCCUCAUCCUACAUCGGCAUUCGGCUUUAUGGACAAGCCGUGUGGUCCAUGUGGUCUACGUCACAAAUGCCAGAGGACAAGGAGAAAAUAGUUGUCGAUGAUUGAUCAUUGAAGUUAUUUGUCAAGAAAUUUUUCCCCGACAUGGUUCAUUUAAUUCAUUAUUUAGUAUUUGAUAUCGGUUCUAUGCUCUAAUGUGUAACCUUCUUCUCAUGAUUUGGGUCUAGCUAUCAGUGGUCAUGAGUUCAUUACUUAUGUUAACUACUAUUGUUGUGUCCACUUGUUCGCCAAGAGACUAUAAAGUUAACUUAUAUCCUCCCAUAUUUAUAUUAAUAUAGUUUGUGGUUAGGUAAUCCUUGACCUUGAAUAUUACUCACAUUUGUCAAAUAGGAGGCCAAGCUGGAACUGUCUAGUGCAUCAUCUGUGGUCACAUAUGGUGUAUUGCCUAUUCUAAACCCAAUGAGUAUUACAUUAUGGCAUGUGCCUGCGAGGAGGAACUGAGUUACUCUUUUAUGUCUAGGGGAGACGGCAUGCCUAAUGAUUCUCAAUGAAAUAUUAUAGCCUACAUCAAAAGUCUAACCCAAGAAAGUGAAUAUGUGCCAUUGUAAUUUUACAACACUAAGGGCGUGUUCUGAUCUUGUCCCGCUCCAUGCUUCACAAAUUCCUGGAGCAGAUACGAGCCGAACGAAAUAGCAGCGAGAAGCUAACUCCAGGAAGCUAGAAUCGACCGCAGCGCAAAAUCAUGAAGCAGACUCGGCCCAGCUCCACCAAUCCGAAAAGCUGAAGUUGGCCGAUAUUACAAGUAAACUGCCACAGCCAAGUCAUACGAGUCGAACCGGUACGCUCGAUCUGUUUGAUCGCUCCUCGUUCCGUCGCUCGUGCUCCCUCGUUGCUCCUCUACAAGGCCGAUUUGGGUUGCCUCCAGUCAGCCCAACUAGCUCGAACAGGCCACAACCCUUCUAGCUAGGUUGCAGUGCCGCGAGAAGCUGCAAACCGAGCCAAACAGAUUUUUCAUCGCUGCUUGGAGUGAGAAGCUACUCUGAAAAGAUGAAUUUCUGAAGUUUUGGGAAGCUAGAGGAGAUCAGAAAAGGCCCUAAGUCAUCGGUAUUUCAUAAUUGAAUGUUCUCCAUGUCAUGACUUCUGAUGGUGUAAAUCCAAAUAAUUGCCAUUGUGAAAUUAAAUUCCUUUCCUGAGUCAGAACCCACAUCCGUAAAGAUGUGCCACUACAAUCCACCUCAUGGCUAUCUUGGAGUCCUUAAUAUAAUCAAGUGUGCCCAAUAUGGUGACUUAAUAUGUACUUAUUGACCCUACGAAGCUAAUCGCCUCCAUCAAGACCCCUUCCUGGUUCUCCUAUAACUAGAUUCCUCGAAACCACGAGAAUCCUUACAAUGGGAUUACAACUUAGCACCUUUCGUUUUCACAUAGUAAGAAGAGUUGCUCCUUGGAUAGCACGGUACGAUCAAAGGUGUAACCUGUGUUUCGGAGCGAGUUAUUGUCUCGAAACUUUGUUCUCAACUAUUCCGAUUCCAGCAAACGGAGGCCAUUGGGUCAAAGCUGUAGCGCACGCCCUGUAGUUUUGAAGUGGGGCGAGACAACUUAGCUAGGAACCUAUUUUCAUUCUGACCAGCUCCCUGAAAACAAUGUUCGACUUCAUGUGUAGUCGGUGUAGAUGUGUCAUUGCAAUUCCACCACUAGGAUAUCACCAAGUCCUAUGUAUUACAUGUCAACAUAUGCCACCAUAUGGUUACUUGACAAAUUAAAUGGAUUUCACCAAGAUUUCAUGUUACAAUUAUAGUGAAGAUAGUGACUCACAUGUCAGCCUCCCUGACGGGAAGCAAAAUCACUCUGACUUUGGCAACCUAAUUCUUGGCGGGUUCAAGCAGACAUGUCGGAUUUGUAUUUUAUGUAUUUCAACAUAUAUAAUUCAUAUAAAUAAAUCAAUUCAUAAUAGGAGUCUUGGAGACACCGAUGUCAAUAAUGUGAAAUUAUGGGAAAUCUUAUUAUGUGCAUCAACAUAAGCCAGAACUCGUGGCUUAAGAGAUAUGUUUACAAUCUUCCAAUGGUUAUUCCCCCUACUAAAUUCAUGAUGUUAACUAGUUCCCAUAAGUUGAGAAAGAAGUUUAGUCAUGGGAUCAAUGUCCAGUGCAUCAUAUUUCCAGUUCCCAAAAAAAUUUAUUAUGGAAGUUGAGAAAGAAGUUUGGGCAACAUAUUUCCAGACAACUGUCAUGUCUAGGAUCUUCUCAAGCCUAGGUAAGCUUAGUCACGGGAUCAAUGCAGGCUAUUAGUACAUUGACCCGGUUCUUAAUUCAAGUCCUCCUUGCUUGAUACAAUAUUGAAUGGAAAGUACAUAAUCAAUUUAUUUAAGUGGGUGAACAAUGUUGGCUAGUAUAUUUCAACACUCACCUCACAUGCAUCUUUUAGAGGCAUAUAAUGCAUCGUGAUGGAAACAUUUUUUCUAUAGACUAAAUUCCAAUGGAAAAUUUUAAUUAAUUUAAUUAGUAGCAAUCUCGUAUGGUAAGGAUAUAUGGAAAAUGAAAAUGAGGGCUCAAAUGCUACUUGUUGGCACACAAAAGUCAUGUUGUCUUUUUCCUCCCAUGUUGAUCCUCCGUGGUUCGACAUUGGGCAUUACAAAGAGAACAAGUUAUCUUUACACACCUCUAGAGCUACCAGACCCUGGAUGCUCCACCAUGAAUGUCCAUAUGGUGCAAUGAGUGAUAGCGAGCUAUAUUAGAACAUAUAGUUUACACCGUUAAAGUAAUUAAAUGGGCUAUUUUGGCUACUAUGAAAAAUAGUAUUUUAAGAGAAAACUAUGUAAGAGUUUGUGAUCUUUGUAUGUAAAAGCAUUAUUUGCCUUUGCUUGGUGUUCACGCAGUUUGAUUUAUGGCAAAAAUGUAAAAUCAUGGGACAAUAAUUGUUGAUAUUCUUUGCGGGGAAAGCGAGAUCUUUCCACUUUUCAGAUCACACAAAGUAUUGUUUUUCUUAUAGGGGUGAUAUACAGUGUUCUAAAUCUGCACUUGUGAUUCGUUGUCCAUUUAAAUUUAAAUGGUUUCUUCCACAGAUUAUGUUGGUUUGUUGUUGUAUUUAUCUCAGCUCUAAAGUAUACUGAUGUUAGCUAAGUCCAAUCAAAGGCCCAAGUUACAUAAGCCCAGACUACGUGAAAUACACAUCAUGCAGUACACAUGUUCAUCUUAGUGUUAUGUUAUACUUGGCUCCGAGAUAACAAAUGAUAUCAAUUAUUACUAUCUUUUGCAGCUUGUUUCUGCCUGUUCAUCGUAGAAUUAUCUUAUGUGGUCUCCCAAGGUUCAUGCAACUUGGAUUUUCAUACUUUGGUAGUAUUAGUGUUCACUAGGACUAGGUGCCACUCUGUAGAAGCUAAGGAUACAGAUGGAGAAAGUAGUCAUGGUUUUUUUUUCAAAAAGUUUGUUCAUAUCUAUAAGAGGUUUAUGAUUUUUCAGUGUAUACUGUUGUGAAACCUAGAGUGUUUUAUCUCAUUUGACAUUGAACUACGCUUUGAAGGAAAAACCUUCAUUUGACAUCGAACUAUGCAUGCAGGGCAAACACCCCGUGCUUCGGUGCCACCGCGCCGCGAACCCUGGGAGCUUGAACCUGGAUGGGUGUGAACUUAAGAUUGAUGUCAAUGUUAGGGGUCAGUCAUGGAUAGAGAAUAAAGGGGACUUUGCGAAACUGUUAUUAAUAAUAUGGAUGAAACAUUGCCUUGUGGAGAGAAUAAGAUAUUUCGAGAGAUAUUUAUAAAUGGAUGCAUACUUGCAAUAGCAGUACAAAAUAUGAUGCUAACAUUUUAUUUUCAUAGUUGUUCCCAUUAAACUUCUGGUGGUGGCUCCAUUAUUCACAGUCUCGCACAUGAAAUGUUAUUUCGUUCGGGUAAAUGUUGCGUGUCGUUGCUCCUGUAGUUUUGCGGUUUGCAUGUCCUUGAAACUUGUGAAUUGGAUUUUACGAAGUUGCAAUGCAAAUUUGGGAUGCAGGGAAGAUAAUAAACAAUGCUUUCUAAGAGCAUUGGACAUUGGAUGCGACUCAGAAAGAACGCAUGCAAACGCAAGAUGCAAGACGUAGUAGGCACAUGUCCAGGUUUAUUAAGAGCACCUACACCGGACGCCUCAUAUCUGUCACAGACGCAAAAUUGCCGGUCAGCACUAGGACGCAAAAUUGCCACCCAACAGGAUCUGUCAAACCCGGCCCAAACGUCUAGACAUGACCGCACUUCCUAUAUCCAGCCCAUAUCUCGGACGGAUAUGUGGAAGCCCAGAGACGCCCGGACACACCCGCCAUGUAGGAUCCGGCCGAGUGCGGCCCACCCGACCCCACAUAAAUUGGACCCUAUCCGCACUCCGAGCGAAACCCAAGCGGCAUUCAACUCCACUCUACUCCUUGCCAGGCCACUCCCGUCCACCCACAAGCCCCAUUUGCAAAUCUCCCACCAUUUCGAGCCGUUGAACCGGAGAUCGUCCCACGCGGCCCCAAGGAGGAGAUGGUCGACUGCCUUGCGCUUCUCCACUACCGGAGGAGUCCGCCCAGCAGCGGUCGAAAUCCAUCUGGUGGGAAUCCAUUGCGUCUGCCAGAAUGGAGCAUGGAUCCCGCCCGAGGGCAGUCUACGCUGCCUUAGCAGAGGCAGUGCACUCCGUCUGGCGUCCGAACGCCGUGGAGGAUACACAACCACUUUGUUGGCGCACUGAGAAAGAUAAGCACACCCACUUAAUGUCUGAUAUUAAUAUGGUGUGUGGCGCAUCCACCGUGUUAGGCAAUGGGCACGGGAACCCGCGGCAGCCCUCGUGCCAGACGCCAGCGGGGCAGACUCGCACUCUUCGGUGCCUCGUAUCGUGCCCGGCAGCCCUUGGCGCCGAAAUCAUGUCGCGUUGGAUGCGGCCGGCUCCACCAUCAUGGAUCAAUCAUCGACCUCACAUCCACCGACGACAGGAGAGCACGGGCUCCGACGAGAAAGAGUAGGCCAUGGGAGAUGGCGCCGAAUCGAGUUUCUUUUGCCGGGUCGUGUCCCAUGUCCUACUCUACCUCACCAGAGACCGACCCUCCACUUCGACAGGCUCAGACAGCCAUCGGACAUGGACAGGUUAGGAACAACAAGGACAGUCGCUGGCACAAAUUUAGACUACAGCCAUCGACGCAAGGUGAGCGCGGCAUGAGUUAAUCGCUGAAGAGGUUGGGCCGUUGUCGCCGGUUUGUCGUACAGUUGCCGACGUAGUCGUCCAUGACCACCAGAUCGACGCCGCUGUCACUGCAAGUCUAGGCGUCUCUGUAGUGGCUGAAGUCAUUUUAGUGUAUUUUCUUUGUAUUGUGAUGAUUGCAUACUGUGUUGCGUAUUGUGGCGUAUUUUCUUUGUAUUGUGAUGAUUGUAUACAGUACAAUGUAUUGUGGCAUAUUUUUUGUGGUCUAUUUUUAAAAAGAAAACUAUAAAUAGCUAAAAGUGGUGUGCAGAAUAAAUUUAUACCCGCCACUACAAAACAAAUGCCAGUACUGACACAUAUUUUUGCCCACCAUCAAUAGUAAUGACCGCCACUGCUACAAGAUCGAGGUCGAUGGCGGGCUGUUUGUAACGCCCGCCACUGUUAUAGUCAUUGGCAGGUGGAGCGCCCGCCACUAAUGCCAUGUUGCCAGUGGCAGGCGCCUCUGAGAGCCUUACCCGUCAUUACUAGGCUUUUGAUGCCGCCACUGCUACGCACUCCUGCAAUAGUGUGCAAUUGCAUAUCUAGUAGAACAUAUACAACUAUCCUCCCAACAAACAGUUUCGUUCUACCAUGAAGUUAUAGUCGGGGUGAAGACAUUCAUUUAUAAUUGGAAGUGACGUUGCAGUUGCAUAUCAAGUAGGAGAUAUUUAACUGCCCUAAUGACAAAACACUUUUGUUCCCUGAGUUACAGUCGCAUUGGAGACAUGCAUUAGCGAAAUGACACCACCUGUAGUUGCGUGUUUGGAGUUAGACAUGCAACUAGCUCCACAAUAAUAAUCUGAAUUUUAAGUUUUAAUGAAUUUUAAAUUAAAGAAAAAAGAAAAGAUGCGAAUAUAAAAACAGAAAUAGAGAAAACAAACAAUAGGAAAAAUCCUAAAAAAGGCAAAAACAAAGAAAGGAAAAACUUGUUUGAAGUUUCUAGAAGCUUCAUAAAACCAGUAGAAAGAGUCCUACAUGGGGCGGCCCACUCACACAUGUAAAAAGAGGCGGGCGAGGUGUAUGUCGACUAGCUCAGAGUUGGGGAAUCCUAUUCCGCGCAUAGGUCGCUACGUAGCGACCUAGCGCGUACCCCUCGGGUUUGUGGUCCUGUUCGGGUCGGUCCAUUCCAGGUUCUUCCCCAUACCGGUUUUUAGGAAAGUUCUAGAGCUUUUUUUCUAUUUUCUUUGUUUUCUUCUAGUUUUUUAUUUCUUUUAUAUUUUAUAUAUCACUUCUUAUUUUCUUUUACUUUAAAUUUUCUUUUUUGGUGUUGCAAACAUAUUUUCAAAUUCGUAAACGUUUAUUGAAUUCAAGAACAGUUUUUGAGUUGACAAACAUAUAUCUGAAAUAAUGAACAUUUUCUAAUUCAACAGUACAUUUUAAAAUCACAAAAUAACAAAAAAAUAACUUUUGAGGACAUUUUUAAAAAAUUCUGAACAUGUUUGUCAAUCGGCCGACAUUUUUUGAAUCGAUGAACAUUUCUAUGAAUUGGCAUGAUUUUUUUGAAUUGGUAAACAUUUUUUGAAUCGAUGACCAUUUUUUGAAUCAAUGAAUAUUUUUUACAUGAAUGAACAUUUUUGGAAAUUCACAAUAUUUUUUUUAAACAUUUUAAAAACUUGUUGAACAUUGCUUGUAUCUCAACUUCCGUCCUGAUUAAUUAAAUAAAGUGGUGAUACCCAUCAAAAGAAAAUAGCUACGGUUGGCACAAAAUUCGCGAUCAACGAAGGAAUAGACUGUUGAGGAACGUUGCAGAAAAUUAAAAUUUUUCCUACGGUUUCACCAAGAUCCAUCUAUGAGUUCAUCUAAGCAACGAGUCAAGGGGAAGAGUUUGCAUCUACAUACCACUUGUAGAUCACGAGCGGAAGCUUGUCAAGGGGAUGGUGAUGAUGGAGUCAUACUCGAACGUGAUUCGGAUCACCGAUGUCCAAGUGCUGAACGGACAGCACCCCCGCGUUCAACACACGUACGGGACGGGAGACGUCUCCUCCGUCUUGAUCCAGCAAGGAGGAAGGAGAGGUUGAGGAAGGCAGCUCCAACGGCAGCACGACGGCGUGGUGUAGUUGGUGCAGCAGUACUUCGACCGAGCUUCGCCAAGCACGUACGGAGGAGGAGAGGUGUUGGGGAGGGGAGGGGCUGCGCCUUGAGUUGUGGUGUAUUGCAGCCCUCCCCUCACCCCUCUAUAUAUAGGGGAAGGGGCAAGGGGGGCCGGCCCUCUAGGGAAAACCCUAGGGGGGGGGGGCGGCGGCCAAGGGGUGGGGGGCUUGCCCCCCAAGCAAGGGGGGUGCGCCCCCUUUAGGGUUUCCCCCCCAACCCUAGGCGCAUGGGCCCAAAGGGGGGGGGCGCGCCAAGCCCACCAGGGGCUGGCUGCUAUCCCAAUGCAGCCCAAGUGGCCACCCGGGAGGGGUGGUCCCUCCCGGUGGACCCCCGGAACCUUUCCGGUGGUCCCGGUACAAUACCGGUAUGACCCCGAAACUUUCCGGUACCCGUUUAACAACUUCCCAUAUAUAAAACUUUACCUCCGGACCAUUCCGGAACUCCUCAUGACGUCCGGGAUCUCAUCCGGGACUCCGAACAACAUUCGGUAAUCACAUACUUGUCUUCCUGAUAACCCUAGCGUCACCGAACCUUAAGUGUGUAGACCCUACGGGUUCGGGAGACAUGCAGACAUGACCGAGACUCUCCGGUCAAUAACCAACAGCGGGAUCUGGAUACCCAUGCUGGCUCCCACAUGCUCCUCGAUGAAGUCAUCGGAUGAACCACGAUGUCAAGGAUUCGAUCAAACCCCGUAUACAAUUCCCUUUGUCAAUCGGUACGUUACUUGCCCGAGACUCGAUCGUCGGUAUCCCAAUACCUUGUUUAGUCUCGUUACUGGCAAGUCACUUUACUCGUACCGUAAUGCAUGAUCCCGUGGCCAACACCUUGGUCACCUUGAGCUCAUUAUGAUGAUGCAUUACCGAGUGGGCCCAGAGAUACCUCUCCGUCAUACGGAGUGACAACUCCCAGUCUCGAUCCGUGUCAACCCAAUAGACACUUUCGGAGAUACCUGUAGUGCACCUUUAUAGUCACCCAGUUACGUUGUGAUGUUUGAUACACCCAAAGCAUUCCUACGGUAUCCAGGAGUUACACGAUCUCAUGGUCGAAGGAAGAGAUACUUGACAUUGGAAAAGCUCUAGCAAACGAACUAACCGACCUUUGUGCUAUGCUUAGGAUUGGGUCUUGUCCAUCACAUCAUUCUCCUAAUGAUGGGAUCCCGUUAUCAACGACAUCCAAUGUCCAUAGCCAGGAAACCAUGACUAUCUGUUGAUCACAACGAGCUAGUUAACUAGAGGCUUACUAGGGACAUAUUGUGGUCUAUGUAUUCACACGUGUAUUACGAUUUCCGGAUAAUACAGUUAUAGCAUGAAUAAAAGACUAUUAUCAUGAACAAAGAAAUAUAAUAAUAACACUUUUAUUAUUGCCUCUAGGGCAUAUUUCCAACAGUCUCCCACUUGCACUAGAGUCACUAAUCUAGUUACAUUGUGAUGAAUUGAACACCCAUAGAGUUCUGGUGUUGAUCAUGUUUUGCUCGCGAGAGAGGUUUAGUCAACGGAUCUGCGACAUUCAGAUCUGUAUGUACUUUGCAAAUUUCUAUGUCUCCAUCUUGAACAUUUUCACGGAUGGAGUUGAAACGACGCUUGAUGUGCCUGGUCUUCUUGUGAAACCUGGGCUCCUUGGCAAGGGCAAUAGCUCCAGUGUUGUCACAGAAAAGUUUGAUUGGCCCCGACGCAUUGGGUAUGACUCCUAGGUCGGUGAUGAACUCCUUCACCCAAAUAGCUUCAUGCGCUGCCUCCGAGGCUGCCAUGUACUCCGCUUCACAUGUAGAUCCCGCCACGACGCUCUGCUUGCAGCUGCACCAGCUUACUGCUCCACCAUUCAACAUAUACACGUAUCCGGUUUGUGACUUAGAGUCAUCCAGAUCUGUGUUGAAGCUAGCGUCGACGUAACCCUUUACGACGAGUUCUUCGUCACCUCCAUAAAUGAGAAACAUGUCCUUUGUCCUUUUCAGGUACUUCAGGAUAUUCUUGACCGCUGUCCAGUGUUCCUUGCCGGGAUUACUCUGGUAUCUUGCUACCAAACUUACGGCAAGGUUUACAUCAGGUCUGGUACACAGCAUGGCAUACAUAAUAGAUCCUAUGGCUGAAGCAUAGGGGAUGACACUCAUCUCUUCUUUAUCUUUUGCCGUGGUCGGUGACUGAGCUGAGCUCAAUCUCACACCUUGUAACAUAGGCAAGAACCCUUUCUUGGACUCAUCCAUUUUGAACUUUUUCAAAAUCUUAUCAAGGUAUGUGCUUUGUGAAAGACCUAUGAGGCGUCUCGAUCUAUCUCUAUAGAUCUUGAUGCCUAAUAUAUAAGCAGCUUCUCCAAGGUCCUUCAUUGAAAAACAUUUGUUCAAGUAGGCCUUAAUGCUGUCCAGAAAUUCUAUAUUAUUACCCAUCAAGAGUAUGUCAUCCACAUAUAAUAUGAGAAAUGCUACAGAGCUCCCACUCACUUUCUUGUAAACGCAGGCUUCUCCAUAAGUCUGCAUAAACCCAAACGCUUUGAUCAUCUCAUCAAAGCGAAUAUUCCAACUCCGAGAUGCUUGCACCAGCCCAUAAAUGGAUCGCUGGAGCUUGCAUACUUUGUUAGCGUUCUUAGGAUCGACAAAACCUUCCGGCUGCAUCAUAUACAACUCUUCCUUAAGAUGCCCGUUAAGGAAUGCCGUUUUGACGUCCAUCUGCCAUAUCUCAUAAUCAUAGUAUGCGGCAAUUGCUAACAUGAUUCGGACGGACUUAAGCUUCGCUACGGGAGAGAAUGUCUCGUCGUAGUCAAUCCCUUGAACUUGUCGAUAACCCUUAGCGACAAGUCGAGCUUUAUAGAUGGUGACAUUACCAUCCGCGUCCGUCUUCUUCUUAAAGAUCCAUUUGUUUUCUAUCGCUCGCCGAUCAUCGGGCAAGUCAGUCAAAGUCCAUACUUUGUUUUCAUACAUGGAUUCUAUCUCGUAUUUCAUGGCUUCUAGCCAUUUGUUGGAAUCUGGGCCCGCCAUCGCUUCUUCAUAGUUCGAAGGUUCACCGUUGUCUAACAACAUGAUUUCCAGGACAGGGUUGUCGUACCACUCUGGUGCGGAACGUGUCCUUGUGGACCUACGAAGUUCAGUAGCAACUUGAUCCGAAGUACCUUGAUCAUCAUCAUUGGUUUCCUCUUCAGUUGGUGUGGGCAUCACAGGAACAUUUUCCUGAGCUGCAUCACUUUCCCGUUCGAGAGGUAGUACUUCAUCAAGUUCUACUUUCCUCCCACUUACUUCUUUCGAGAGAAACUCUUUUUCCAGAAAGCAUCCGUUCUUGGCAACAAAGAUCUUGCCCUCGGAUCUUAAGUAGAAGGUAUACCCUACAGUUUCCUUAGGGUAUCCUAUGAAGACGCAUUUGUCCGACUUGGGUUCGAGCUUUUCAGGUUGAAGUUUCUUGACAUAAGCAUCGCGUCGCCAAACUUUUAGAAACGACAGCUUAGGUUUCUUCCCAAACCAUAAUUCAUACGGUGUCGUCUCAACGGAUUUAGACGGUGCCCUAUUUAAAGUGAAUGUAGCUGUCUCUAGAGCGUAUCCCCAAAAUGAUAGCGGUAAAUCGGUAAGAGACAUCAUAGACCGCACCAUAUUCAAUAGAGUGCGAUUACGACGUUCGGACACACCAUUUCGCUGAGGUGUUCCAGGCGGCGUGAGUUGUGAAAUGAUUCCACAUUUCCUUAAGUGUGUGCCAAAUUCGUGACUUAAAUAUUCUCCUUCACGAUCUGAUCGUAGGAACUUUAUCUUUCGGUCACGUUGAUUCUCCACCUCAUUCUGAAAUUCGUUGAACUUUUCAAAGGUCUCAGACUUGUGUUUCAUUAAGUAGACAUACCCAUAUCUGCUUAAGUCAUCAGUGAGAGUGAGAACAUAACGAUAUCCUCUGCGAGCCUCAACGCUCAUUGGACCGCACACAUCGGUAUGUAUGAUUUCCAACAAGUUGGUUGCUCACUCCAUUGUUCCGGAGAACGGAGUCUUGGUCAUUUUUCCCAUGAGGCAUGGUUCGCAUGUGUGAUUCAUAAUCAAGAGACUCUAAAAGUCCAUCGGCAUGGAGCUUCUUCAUGCGCUUCACACCAAUGUGACCAAGUUGGCAGUGCCACAAGUAUGUGGGACUAUCGUUAUCAACUUUACAUCUUUUGGCAUCUACACUAUGAACAUGUGUAAUAUUACGCUCGAGAUUCAUUAAUAAUAAACCAUUGACCAUCGGAGCAUGACCAUAAUACAUAUCUCUCAUAUAAAUCGAACAACCAUUAUUCUCAGACUUAAAUGAGUAGCCAUCUCGUAUUAAACGAGAUCCAGAUACAAUAUUCAUGCUCAAACUUGGCACUAAAUAACAAUUAUUAAGGUUCAAAACUAAUCCCGUAGGUAAAUGUAGAAGCAGCGUGCCGACGGCGAUCACAUCGACUCUGGAACCAUUCCCGACGCGCAUCGUCACCUCGUCCUUCGCCAGUCUCCGUUUAUUCCGCAGCUCCUGCUGUGAGUUACAAAUAUGAGCAACGGCACCGGUAUCAAAUACCCAGGAGUUACUACGAGUACUGGUAAGGUACACAUCAAUUACAUGUAUAUCAAAUAUACCUUUGGUGUUGCCGGCCUUCUUAUCCGCUAAGUAUUUGGGGCAGUUCCGCUUCCAGUGACCCUUCCCCUUGCAAUAAAAGCACUCAGUCUCAGGCUUGGGUCCAUUCUUUGACUUCUUCCCGGCAACUGGCUUACCGGGCGCGGCAACCUCUUUGCUGUCCUUCUUGAAGUUCUUUUUACCCUUGCCCUUCUUGAACUUAGUGGUCUUAUUGACCAUCAGCACUUGAUGUUCUUUCUUGAUUUCAACCUCUGCUGACUUCAGCAUAGAAAAUACUUCAGGAGUGGUCUUUACCAUCCCCUGCAUAUUGUAGUUCAUCACAAAGCUCUUGUAGCUUGGUGGGAGCGACUGAAGGAUUCGGUCAACGACUGCCUCAUCAGGGAGGUUAAUAUUCAGCUGGGUCAUACGGUUGUGCAACCCAGACAUCUUGAGUAUUUGCUCACUGACAGAACUAUUUUCCUCCAUCUUACAACUAUAGAACUUGUCGGAGAUGUCAUAUCUCUCGACCCGGGCGUGAGCUUGAAAUACUAGUUUCAGCUCUUCGAACAUCUCAUAUGCUCCGUGAUGCUCAAAACGUUUUGGAGCCCCGGUUCUAAGCUGUAAAGCAUGCCGCACUGAACGAGGGAGUAAUCAUCAGCACGAGACUGCCAAGCAUUCAUAAUGUCUUGGUUCUCUAGGACGGGAGCGUCACCUAGCGGUCCUUCUAGGACAUAUUGUUUCCUGACAGCUAUGAGGAUGAUCCUCAGGUUCCGGACCCAGUCCAUAUAGUUGCUGCCAUCAUCUUUCAGCUUGGUUUUCUCUAGGAACGCGUUGAAGUUCAUGUUGACAUGAGCGUUGGCCAUUUGAUCUACAAGACAUAUUUGCAAAGGUUUUAGACUAAGUUCAUGAUAAUUAAGUUCUAAUCAAAUUAUGAACUCCCACUUAGAUUAGACAUCCCUCUAGUCAUCUAAGUGUUACACGAUCCGAGUCGACUAGCCCGUGUCCGAUCAUCACGUGAGACGGACUAGUCAUCGUCGGUGAACAUCUUCAUGUUGAUCGUAUCUUCCAUACGACUCGUGUUCGACCUUUCGGUCUCCGUGUUCCGAGGCCAUGUCUGCACAUGCUAGGCUCGUCAAGUUAACCCUAAGUGUUUUCACUGUGUAAAACUGUCUUACACCCGUUGUAUGUGAACGUAAGAAUCCAUCACACCCGAUCAUCACAUGGUGCUUAGAAGUGACGAACUGUAGCAACGGUGCACAGUUAGGGGAGAACACUUCUUGAAAUUUUGUAAGGGAUCAUCUUAUUUACUACCGUCGUCCUAAGUAAACAAGAUGCAUAAAACAUAAUAAACAUCACAUGCAAUUAUAUAAAGUAGUGACAUGAUAUGGCCAAUAUCAUAUAGCUCCUUUGAUCUCCAUCUUCGGGGCUCCAUGAUCAUCUUGUCACCGGCAUGACACCAUGAUCUCCAUCAUCGUGUCUUCAUGAAGUUGUCACGCCAACGACUACUUCUACAUCUAUGACUAACGCGUUUAGCAAUAAAGUAAAGUAAGUUACAUGGCGUUCUUCAAUGACACGCAGGUCAUACAAAAAUAAAGACAACUCCUAUGGCUCCUGCCGGUUGUCAUACCCAUCGACAUGCAAGUCGUGAAUCCUAUUACAAGAACAUGAUCUCAUACAUCACAAUUCAUCAUUCAUCACAACUUCUGGCCAUAUCACAUCACAUGAUCAAUCGCUGCAAAAACAAGUUAGACGUCCUCUAAUUGUUGUUGCAUCUUUUACGUGGCUGCAAUUGGGUUCUAGCAAGAACGUUUUCUUACCUACGAAUAACCACAACGUGAUUUUGACAACUUCUAUUUACCCUUCAUAAGGGCCCUUUUCAUCGAAUCCGCUCCAACUAAAGUGGGAGAGACAGACACCCGCCAGCCACCUUAUGCAACUAGUGCAUGUUAAUCGGUGGAACCGGUCUCACGUAAGCGUACGUGUAAGGUUGGUCCGGGCCGCUUCAUCCCACAAUACCGCUGAAGCAAGAAAAUACUAGUAGAGGCAAGCAAGUUGACAAGAUCCACGCCCACAACAAAAUUGUGUUCUACUCGUGCAAAGAGAACUACGCAUAGACCUAGCUCAUGAUGCCACUGUUGGGGAACGUUGCAGAAAAUUAAAAUUUUUCCUACGGUUUCACCAAGAUCCAUCUAUGAGUUCAUCUAAGCAACGAGUCCAGGGGAAGAGUUUGCAUCUACAUACCACUUGUAGAUCACGAGCGGAAGCUUGUCAAGGGGAUGGUGAUGAUGGAGUCGUACUCGAACGUGAUUCGGAUCACCGAUGUCCAAGUGCUGAACGGACAGCACCUCCGUGUUCAACACACGUACGGGACGGGAGACGUCUCCUCCGUCUUGAUCCAGCAAGGAGGAAGGAGAGGUUGAGGAAGGCAGCUCCAACGGCAGCACGACGGCGUGGUGUAGUUGGUGCAGCAGUACUCCGAUAGAGCUUCGCCAAGCACAUACGGAGGAGGAGAGGUGUUGGGGAGGGGAGGGGCUGCGCCUUGAGUUGUGGUGUAUUGCAGCCCUCCCCUCACCCCUCUAUAUAUAAGGGAAGGGGCAAGGGGGGCCGGCCCUCUAGGGAAAACCCUAGGGGGGGCGGCGGCCAAGGGGUGGGGGGCUUGCCCCCCAAGCAAGGGGGAUGCGCCCCCUUUAGGGUUUCCCCCCCAACCCUAGGCGCAUGGGCCCAAAGGGGGGGGGGCGCCAAGCCCACCAGGGGCUGGCUGCUAUCCCUACGCAGCCCAAGUGGCCCCCCGGGAGGGGUGGUCCCUCCCGGUGGACCCUCGGAACCUUUCCGGUGGUCCCGGUACAAUACCGGUAUGACCCCGAAACUUUCCGGUGCUCGUUUAACAACUUCCCAUAUAUAAAACUUUACCUCCGGACCAUUUCGGAACUCCUCGUGACGUCCGGGAUCUCAUCCGGGACUCCGAACAACAUUCGGUAAUCACAUACUUGUCUUCCUGAUAACCCUAGCGUCACCGAACCUUAAGUGUGUAGACCCUACGGGUUCGGGAGACAUGCAGACAUGACCGAGACUAUCAGGUCAAUAACCAACAGCGGGAUCUGGAUACCCAUGUUGGCUCCCACAUGCUCCUCGAUGAAGUCAUCGGAUGAACCACGAUGUCGAGGAUUCGAUCAAACCCCGUAUACAAUUCCCUUUGUCAAUCGGUACGUUACUUGCCUGAGACUCGAUCAUCGGUAUCCCAAUACCUUGUUCAGUCUCGUUACUGGCAAGUCACUUUACUCGUACCGUAAUGCAUGAUCCCGUGGCCAACACCUUGGUCACCUUGAGCUCAUUAUGAUGAUGCAUUACCGAGUGGGCCCAGAGAUACCUCUCCGUCAUACGGAGUGACAAAUCCCAGUCUCUAUCCGUGUCAACCCAAUAGACUCUUUCGGAGAUACCUGUAGUGCACCUUUAUAGUCACCCAGUUACGUUGCGACGUUUGAUACACCCAAAGCAUUCCUACGGUAUCCAGGAGUUACACGAUCUCAUGGUCGAAGGAAGAGAUACUUGACAUUGGAAAAGCUCUAGCAAACGAACUAACCGACCUUUGUGCUAUGCUUAGGAUUGGGUCUUGUCCAUCACAUCAUUCUCCUAAUGAUGUGAUCCCGUUAUCGUCGACAUCCAAUGUCCAUAGCCAGGAAACCAUGACUAUCUGUUGAUCACAACGAGCUAGUCAACUAGAGGCUUACUAGGGACAUAUUGUGGUCUAUGUAUUCACACGUGUAUUACGAUUUCUGGAUAAUACAGUUAUAGCAUGAAUAAAAGACUAUUAUCAUGAACAAAGAAAUAUAAUAAUAAAACUUUUAUGAUUGCCUCUAGGGCAUAUUUCCAACAUAGACCUUCUCCCAGGAAGACCCGAUCAGACUCGGAAUCCCGGUUUACAAGACAUUUCGACAAUGGUAAAACAAGACCAGCAAAGCCUCCCGCUGUGCUGACAAAUCCCGAUAGGAGCUGCACAUAUCUCGUUCUCAGGGAACACCGGAUUGUCCAAACUUCCGGUAGGCUAGCCCAGAGUUGCCCCUGGUGGCCACCGGCGGCUGACAGGUUGGACCAACACUCACGACGAGCACUGGCCCGGGGGGGGGGGUAAAAUAAAGAUGACCCUUGAGUCUGCAGAACCCAAGGGAAAAAGGCUUAGGUAGGCAAAUGGUAAAACCAAGGUUGGGCCUUGCUGGAGGAGUUUUAGUCAAAGCGAACUGUCAAGGGGGUCCCAUAAAUCACCCAACCGCGUAAGGAACGCAAAAUCCGGGAACAUAACACUGGUAUGACGGAAACUAGGGCGGCAAGAGUGGAACAAAACACCAGGCAUAAGGCCGACUCUUCCAUCCUUUACCAAGUAUAUAGAUGCAUUAAUUAAAUAAGAGAUAUUGUGACAUCCCAACAUAAUCCUGUCCAUCAUGGAGCAAUCUUCAACUUCACCUGCAACUAGCAACGCUAUAAGAGGGCUGAGCAAAGCCGUAACAUAGCCAAGCAAUGGUUUGCUAGGAAUGGUGAAAAGGUUAGAGGCUGACAUGGCAAUAUGGGAGGCAUGGUAAACAAGUGAUAGGUAGCGCAGCACAGCGAUAGAACGAAGCAACUAGCAAGCAAAGAUAGAAGUGAUAUCAAGGGUAAUGGUCAUCUUGCCUGAAAUCCCGAUAGGAAGAACGAGUCCAUGAAGAAGACAAACGAACAUAGUCGAACGAAUCCUCACAACUCCGGAACGAAACCGAAGCUAACGAAAGAAGCAAACCGGAAAGAAGCAAACAACAUCGUAAACACACACGCAUAAACAUGGCAUGAUGCACAAACAAGUAUCAUGCAUGUCCGGUUUAAUGAGGCAUGGCAUGGCAAAGUGCAACAAACAAUACUACAAGUUAAGUGGAGCUCAAUAUGCAACGAGGUGCAUAUUGACGAAACACCACAUCAAUUAUUUAGUUCUCUCUCGUUUAGGCUAACAAACAAUAUUUAAUGUUGUUAAACAUGUCAAGAGGUGAAACAUAAUUAAACUAACUAUUUAGGCAAGUUUAAAUGAGGCCGGAAACAACAAACAACAAUUCCGGUAAAUCCCCAUAUGUCAAUUAGCAAUUUUAAAGCAAACAACAAUUUUAACCAUUUUAAAUGUUGUUAUCAUGAUGCGGAUGACAUAUGCAAGUUUUAUGCAAUUUUAUGAAAAUGUUGACAUGAGCAUGUUAUGAAGCAUUUGGUCACCAUGGCGGAACGAAAAGGGUGCCACGGCAACGAUAACCAAAAUGGUGCCACUGCAACAUAUCCGAAAAUGAUGCCACGGCAACAUAUCGGUCCCGAUAACUCAAGUGAGAUACCGAUGCAAACGAGAAGUGUGACGUGAGCGAGUCAUGCAAUAUGGUGGGGUGAUCCCGGCUACCGGGUUCCCAUGGGUUAGUGGCAUGGCAAAGAGCGACAAUUCGGACGCGGUGCACACACAAGCAUCUCAUACAACACAUAUUCAUUCGGUCCACGGUUGAUCGUCUCGGGGCUUAUACCUUCGAAGCGUGCGUUUUCGGAGCGGUUCAAAAACGUCGAGGGAAGUAGUCGUUCACGGGUCGUAGGGGAAGUAGUGGUUCACGUUCGUCUCGGAGAGGUACUUGACGAAACCAACAUCUUCGGGGCGACGGUAGUGGUUCACGGACGUCGUGGGAAGUAGUGGAAGUAGUUGUACACGGCGACGGUAGUUGUACACACGUUGUAGUCGAACUUGACGGUCUCGGUCCUGGCGAUCCAAAGGGCACUUGGCGGUUUUAAUCGAACCGUAGUGGUACUGGGCGAGAUACACAUCCACGGUAGUCUUCGGCCUUGAUUUUCCUGUACAUGGCUCCACAGGUCCUGAGGGGACUCGGCGAUGGCCAUGGCAAAGAGGCGGCGAGGCGUUGGACGGACUAACAGGCAGAGGUGGUCGUGGUAGUACUAGCUCAUGGGGAUGGCGGUCUUGGGCGGCAACAACCUGCCGUGUUGGUGCAGCAGCGGCUGCUGGAGAGGCCAUGGCUACAAGGGUGGCGAGCUCGAGCAAAUCCGACGAGGACGGCCGGGAUGGCUGGGGUUGCGAGGGAGCAGAGGUCGGCCGGUCGUGGCAGACGGCGGAGAGCACCUCAGCCACGGGGAAGGUGGACGGCGGGCUUCGGAGCAAGGGGAGGCAGAUGCGGGCGAGCGGAGCACGGCGGGGACGCGGGGAUGCUGAUGGCACGCGACAGAUAGACUUUUUUAGUUCGCACUCGUGUUCGUGUUGGAGACGGACUGCUCCUUCGUAUGCGAGACGGACGACGACGUGUUUUUUUCCUCUUCCCGGUUGAUGAUGCCCAUAUGGAGUGCGGGUUGAUUUCAUAAAAGAUGAGGGACUUGUUUGCAAAAACGCCGCAACGGUGAACCGAGAGACCCAAUCCGUGCUUUAUUAUUAGGGAGAGNNNNNNNNNNNNNNNNNNNNNNNNNNNNNNNNNNNNNNNNNNNNNNNNNNNNNNNNNNNNNNNNNNNNNNNNNNNNNNNNNNNNNNNNNNNNNNNNNNNNNNNNNNNNNNNNNNNNNNNNNNNNNNNNNNNNNNNNNNNNNNNNNNNNNNNNNNNNNNNNNNNNNNNNNNNNNNNNNNNNNNNNNNNNNNNNNNNNNNNNNNNNNNNNNNNNNNNNNNNNNNNNNNNNNNNNNNNNNNNNNNNNNNNNNNNNNNNNNNNNNNNNNNNNNNNNNNNNNNNNNNNNNNNNNNNNNNNNNNNNNNNNNNNNNNNNNNNNNNNNNNNNNNNNNNNNNNNNNNNNNNNNNNNNNNNNNNNNNNNNNNNNNNNNNNNNNNNNNNNNNNNNNNNNNNNNNNNNNNNNNNNNNNNNNNNNNNNNNNNNNNNNNNNNNNNNNNNNNNNNNNNNNNNNNNNNNNNNNNNNNNNNNNNNNNNNNNNNNNNNNNNNNNNNNNNNNNNNNNNNNNNNNNNNNAUAUAUAUAUAUAUAUAUAUAUAUAUAUAUAUAUUUCUAUCAUAGCUUACUAUGGAAAUAGCUAUCAGAACCGUCGGACUCUACCUCAAGAUUCGAACCGAAGUGUGGUCCGGUUCCUUUUCUUGUUCUUUUGUUGAUUUUUGGAUGGUGUAACCCACAAACAGAAACUCAAACGACAUCCACCCUGCUAGCCCAGGCUGCCGACCUGGAACCUAUCCCCUGAUCAAAGAAGCAGAAGAAGAACUCACGCAAGCAAGCAUCGCUCUCGCGUCAUGAUCAUCGCAAAACAUGUACCUGCAACUGUUGUUGUAGUAAUCUGUGACCCACGAGGACUCAGCAAUCCCAUUGCCAUGGGUAUCAAGACUAGCAAAGCUUAAAGGUAAAGGAAGGGGUAAAGUGGUGAGGCUGCAGCAGCGACUAAGCAUAUAUGGUGGCUAACAUACACAAAUAAGAGCGAGAAGAGAGCAAGCAGAACGGUCGUGAAGCUAGCAAUGAUCAAGAAGUGAUCCUGAACUCCUACUUACGUCAAACAUAACCCAGAAACCGUGUUCACUUCCCGGACUCCGCCGAGAAGAGACCAUCACGGCUACGCACACGGUUGAUGCAUUUUAAUUCUGAUCUGGUGUCAAGUUAUCUACAACCGGACAUUAAUAACUUCCCAUCUGCCUAUAACCGCAGGCACGGCUUUCGAAAGAUUAUACCCUGCAGGGGUGUCCCAACUUAGCGCAUGACAAGCUCUCGCGAUCAACGAAGGAAUAGACCUUCUCCCAGGAAUACCCGAUCAGACUCGGAAUCCUGGUUUACAAGACAUUUCGACAAUGGUAAAACAAGACCAGCAAGACCGCCAGAUGCGCCGACAAUCCCGAUAGGAGCUGCACAUAUCUCGUUCUCAGGGCAACACCGGAUGAGCAAUCCGUACAACUAAAACCAGACCUCAAGUUUCCCUGAGGGGGUGCUGCAAAUGGCUCUAGUUCGGACCAACACUUAGACAAGCACUGGCCCGAGGGGGGGGGGGGCUAAAAUAAAGAUGACCCUCGAGAGCGCGACUCCCAUGGGAAAAAGGGCUAUGUGAGGCAAAUGGUAAAACCAAGGUUGGGCCUUGCUGGAGGAGUUUUAUUCAAAGCGAACUGUCAAGGGGGUCCCAUAAAUCACCCGACCUCCCCGGCGAUCCUCGAAAUCCGUGCACGAGUUGACUUUCUCACCCUCGAGGUUGAAUUUUCUGAUGUCCCUAUAUUUUGUUAUUUUCACGCCAUGUUCGUCAUGUUGUAUCUCUGCAUCCGUAGCUCCGUUUCAUGCGUGUAAUAUGUCAAAUUGUUCGUCUCAAUGAGUACAUCAUUUCAUUCCAUUGCAUCAUAUUCAUUUAAGGUAAUCUUGAUGCCUGAAUCAUCAUUGUAAGAGUGCUUCAUGAUGUUUUCUGCUGUCUGUUAUCAGAACGAGCUCUUUUGUCAUUUUUGCCAUGAUUGAUGUGUGCAUCCUAUGAGGUUGAUGUCUACAUGUGUUUUGAACUAUGCCAUGUCUUCUUUACAGAGGUGCUUACCAUGUAUUUUUGUGAUCAAUGUGGUGACUAGCACAAGCAUGCAAACUAGGCAUCGUGAUGUUACUGAUUUUAGUCCCUGUUCUGCUGUUAUUUUGAUGCCAUGUAAACUUGAUGCUACAGAAAGAUCCAUGCAUAUUUUGAGAUACUUCAGUAAGGGUGUUUUGAACAUGUGGUUAUUGUCUAUCCAUUCAUGCCCUUGGUUGCAAUUAUGGAGUAGCCUAGAAUGUCAUUUUCGUGCUCUACUUUUGCUUCAAAAUGUUUCCUGGCAGAUUGUUUACAUGUUAUUCAAUUUGGCCAAGGUUGAUAUAGUUGAUCCUUGCAUGCUAUGGACUUGUUCUUGACUUGGUUUGUUUCACAAACAUGUAUUCUUGAUGAUGCUAUGCUUAUCUUGUCAUGCAAAGACUUGUGGUGAGUGAAUCGAGCUUGCUAAGUAGGGUACUUGAUGUUGUUGUUUUGCUAGGCUGAAUAUAUUAUUUCGUGAUGCUAUAUAAACCUACUGCUACUAAUCAUUCUAUGCAUAAUCUGGAGAUGUUCUAUAAACAUGUUUUGAUCUACAUGUCAUCCUAUAUCCAUCCAUGCCCCUGGUUGCAUUUAUAGCUUGUUGUAGAUUGUUCAUAUCUUGCUCCAAACUUGCUUCAUAAUGUUGUUGUCAGUCUGUUAACAUUAAGUUCAGUUGUUGACAUGAUUGUUGCUAGUGUUCCAUACAUCCUAUGACCUUGCUAUUGCCAUGCUUAGCUUCACAAACAUGCCUUCUUACUGUUGGUUGCCUUGCCAUGCCAUGUUUUGCUCUGUAGUGAGUUCACAAGCUCAUCUACAUGCCUUCAUAAUUCUGUUUCUGCCAUGUUUGAAUCUGUAAUAUAACUUGCCAUAUUUACAUGGGUGCCAUCAUAUUUUCUGAUCCUUUUUGGCUUAUGGUCAGUAAAGUACUUUUGAUCUAUGAAAUUAGUAGAUUCAUGCCAUGCCUUUGUUUGCCAUGAUAAGUUCCUGUAACAUGUUGUUUGAUAGCUCUAAACAUUGCAUCGUGAUGUUAUUUUCUGCAAAGUCUGAAAUUGUUAUAACUUGCAAUCUUACCAUGUGUGUUUGAGCAUGUUCUAAUGAUUUCUGGAGAUAGCUCAGUGUUCAUGUUUUGUUGUGCUUUACCUGUACAUCAUGCUCAUGCAUUUUAUUUUCAUAUUGUGGUGCUGUAGCAUAUUGUUUUGAUGCUUGCAAUAUACCUAGUUGCUGUUUUGGACAGAUUGUUGCUUUCACUUGUAUAUGGUGUGUGUGCUGAACCGUUGCUCUGUUUUGAGUGUGCUCUAUAUGAAACUUGCUUGUUUUUGCAUGUAGUUUCAUAUUAUCAUGUUGCAUCCAUGUUUUGAGGUGUUUGCUUGAUGUUUGAGUGCAUUUUACAUCAAUGCCAUGUUUAACUUGUUUUGCUCAUAUCUUCUAGGCCGUAGCUCCGAACUAAAUGAACUUUAUAUGUAACUUGACUAGAAUCUUGUGUAGAUCAUCUUUGUGCAUCUUAACUUGCUGUUUAACAACUUGAACAUAAGGUUUAUUCAGAUCUGGACCAACUUCGAAAUAUGCAUAUGAGGACUUAUCAGAAUUGUUAUAUGUUGUUCCCGGCCUCAUUUAAACUUGCCUUGAUGUGUUGUUCUUGUUUGCAUUAUCUCUGGCCAAGAGUAGCCUCAUCUAGAUUUGUCAUGCAUCAUGCUUGUUGUGCAUCAUGUCAUGUUCAUGUGUGGUGUGUUUACUAUGUUGUGUGCUUCUUUUCGAUAGUUCCCGUUUUGUUGCGAUCGUGAGGAUUCGUUCGUCUACGCUUGGUUCUUCUUCGUGGCUUCAUCUUCUUCAUGGACUCGUUCUUCUUCCUUGCGGGAUUUCAGGAAAGAUGACCGCUACCCUGGAUCUCACUACUAUCAUUGCUAUGCUAGUUGCUUCGUUCUAUCGCUAUGCUGCGUUACCUAUCUCUGCUCAUCAAGCCUUCCAUAUUGCCAUGAACCUCUAACCUUUGACACCUUUCCUAUGCAAACCGUUGUUUUGCUAUGUUACCGCUUUUGCUCAGCCCGUCUUAUAGCGUUGCUAGUUGCAGGUGAAGUUGAAGAUUUCUCCAUGGUGGACAGGAUUUUUAUUGGGAUAUCAUAAUAUCUCGUAUAUUAUUAAUGCAUCUAUAUACUUGGUAAAGGGUGGAAGACUCGGCCUUAUGCCUGGUGUUUUGUUCCACUCUUGCCGCCCUAGUUUCCGUCAUACCGGUGUUAUGUUCCCGGAUUUUGCGUUCCUUACGCGGUCGGGUGAUUUAUGGGACCCCCUUGACAGUUCGCUUUGAAUAAAACUCCUCCAGCAAGACCCAACCUUGGUUUUACCAUUUGCCUCAUAUUUCUAUCAUAGCUUACUAUGGAAAUAGCUAUCAGAACCGUCAGACUCUGCCUCAAGAUUCGAACCGAAGUGUGGUCCGGUUCCUUUUCUUGUUCUUUUGUUGAUUUUUGGAUGGUGUAACCCGGCCCACAUGCUGACAACUUUACAGAUGGAGUAAAGACAGGGCCUGCCCCAUGUGGUUCUGACUCGUUCUUGGACCAACUCGUCGGUCACGGACGUGUGCAAUGGAGGUUCCACGCCGUCCAUUGAACUUUUUUUAGCAUCAGUAGGCGCCUCGUCGUCGAUGGGAACGUCUUCUCCCACUGAAAGUGCAUCGCCAGAAAUUCUGAAAUAAAUCCAGAAAUAAUGCAAGCACCAGGAUUUGAACCCGGAUGGGUUAGGGAUAUCACUGUCCACCUAACCAACUCAACCACAGGUUGAUUCGCUCACCGUCCAUUGAACUUGCAUACCGGUUCCUGCUGCUCGUGAGCCUCGUUACGGCCAGUUCCUUCGUCGCAUGACACCUUUUUUUUCCAGUUGCCACGUCGCGUUCCUUUUCCAUCUCUUUGGCGAAUUUUGUGCUGAUAAAAGCCUGUGUUGAGUCAGUACAGCACAAGUUCGGAGGUUCCACGCCCUCAUAAAAUGAACGUGUAGGUUCUGUCGUAUAUAAUACUACCAUAGUACAUGAUUUUCCCUACAUAUACGUAGCCGGCGUGCAGGAGUGUCAGAACCUUCAAUGCAUGCACUGUAUCAGUGUCAUACACAUGCAAUAGGACAAAUUUUUUAAGCACAAAAGGAUGGAUAGUUUAAUGCAACCCCUCAUAUGGACAUACAGGCAGCUUAAUUCGUGCCGUGCUCCUACAGGUAAAUAUACUACCUGUAAUCGCAAUUGAAUAUGAAAAAAAAACAGUCGAUUCAACGUUUCAUGAAGACUCGUUUGGCACCACUCUUGGAUUUGAUGAUACUUCGUGGCAACCAACUCCCUCCUGUCGGUUCUUUUAUGAAGACUCGUUCGACACCGCCCUUGAAUUUGACGGUUCUUCGGGGUGACCAACUCCCUCCUAUCGGUUCUUUUGUGAAGACUCGUUCGGCAUCAUCCUUGAAUUUGACAUUUCUUCGGGGCGACCAACUCGCUCCUAUCGGUUCUUUCGUGAGACUCGUUCGGCACCACCCUUGGGUUUGACGGUUCUUCGUGGCGACCAACUCCCUCUUAACUGUUCUUUUUUGAAGACUUGUUCGGCACCACCAUUGGGUUUGGCGGUUCUUUGUGGCGACCAACUCCCUCUUAUCGGUUCUUUUGUGAUGACUCGUUCGGUACUACCCUCUGAUUUGACGGUUCUCCAUGGUGACCAACUCUCUCCCAUCGGUUCUUUGGUGAAGACUCGUUCGGCACCACCCUUUGAUUUGACGGUUCUUCAUGAUGAAUAACUUCCUCCUACCAGUUCUUGAUGGCGAUGUCGGUUCUUCACAAAUUCGAUUCCAGUUGCAAGUAUAGUUUUGACGGCUCUACGGAGGUGGAAUCCGGUUCUUUGCAAAUUGUAUUCUGGUUCCAAGUAUAAUUUUGAUGGUACUGUGGAGGUGAGACAUCGGCCCUAGCGUAUUACCUUCUCACAAAAAAAGAACUUGUAUUACCUAGCGUAGUGGACACAAGCUAGUACAUACAGUUGUUUUAUACCUGAUGAAUAAUUAACUUAGCCAACACUAAUCAACUGUCUUGACAAGAUUACCUAACACAGUAGUCCCCCGUACAAGCCACGGGUCACAGCUAGGGAAGCAGGGAACGGAGACAGUGACCUCGAGGUACGGCAGUGCAUAUAUCGAAGCAUUGGCGCAUGCACAAGUGCACGCAUCUGCAGCAGUAGGGACAUACUCAUAUUAUAAUUUUCUGUGAAGCUCUAGCACCUAGUGCCCCAGCUCUGCACCAAGUCCUGAGGCCUGGAGUGUCAAUAGCUGCUUAGCCAAAAGAUCUNNNNNNNNNNNNNNNNNNNNNNNNNNNNNNNNNNNNNNNNNNNNNNNNNNNNNNNNNNNNNNNNNNNNNNNNNNNNNNNNNNNNNNNNNNNNNNNNNNNNNNNNNNNNNNNNNNNNNNNNNNNNNNNNNNNNNNNNNNNNNNNNNNNNNNNNNNNNNNNNNNNNNNNNNNNNNNNNNNNNNNNNNNNNNNNNNNNNNNNNNNNNNNNNNNNNNNNNNNNNNNNNNNNNNNNNNNNNNNNNNNNNNNNNNNNNNNNNNNNNNNNNNNNNNNNNNNNNNNNNNNNNNNNNNNNNNNNNNNNNNNNNNNNNNNNNNNNNNNNNNNNNNNNNNNNNNNNNNNNNNNNNNNNNNNNNNNNNNNNNNNNNNNNNNNNNNNNNNNNNNNNNNNNNNNNNNNNNNNNNNNNNNNNNNNNNNNNNNNNNNNNNNNNNNNNNNNNNNNNNNNNNNNNNNNNNNNNNNNNNNNNNNNNNNNNNNNNNNNNNNNNNNNNNNNNNNNNNNNNNNNNNNNNNNNNNNNNNNNNNNNNNNNNNNNNNNNNNNNNNNNNNNNNNNNNNNNNNNNNNNNNNNNNNNNNNNNNNNNNNNNNNNNNNNNNNNNNNNNNNNNNNNNNNNNNNNNNNNNNNNNNNNNNNNNNNNNNNNNNNNNNNNNNNNNNNNNNNNNNNNNNNNNNNNNNNNNNNNNNNNNNNNNNNNNNNNNNNNNNNNNNNNNNNNNNNNNNNNNNNNNNNNNNNNNNNNNNNNNNNNNNNNNNNNNNNNNNNNNNNNNNNNNNNNNNNNNNNNNNNNNNNNNNNNNNNNNNNNNNNNNNNNNNNNNNNNNNNNNNNNNNNNNNNNNNNNNNNNNNNNNNNNNNNNNNNNNNNNNNNNNNNNNNNNNNNNNNNNNNNNNNNNNNNNNNNNNNNNNNNNNNNNNNNNNNNNNNNNNNNNNNNNNNNNNNNNNNNNNNNNNNNNNNNNNNNNNNNNNNNNNNNNNNNNNNNNNNNNNUGGAGAUGGAGUUAUGGUGGAGGGGGCAUUAAUGGGGAGAGGACGAGAGGUAGGAGAAAGAGAGAUGUGAGAGAGGCCAUUUAUGGAGAAGAGUUAUGGUGGAGGGGGACAUUAAUGAGGAGAGAAGAGAGGUAGUAGGAAGAGAGAAGAAGAGCAACAAUGGUGGAGAGUGGAGAGGGGAAAGGAGGGGGAGAGAGGGCAAAGUGGGGGAGAGGAGGGGGAGGGGGUGAAAAGGUGGCACCAGCCGCAACUAGCAGUAGCGCUGCUUACCAAAACGCGAUGCUGCUACCGUACUUAGUAGCAGUGCUUUCCUGGAGAAGCGCUACUACUAAGUGGGGCCCAUUAGCAGUAGCGGCGCAGUAAAAUAAAGCGCUACUACUAAACUGUUAGUAGUAGUGUUGGAUUCUGCACAGCGCUGGUACUACAUCUAUCGUCGGUGGCCUCGUCUGGUCCCACGUAGUAGUAUCGUGUUUUUGGUUUCCAGCGCUACUGCUAUAGACAGAAUAGUAGCACUUUCCUGGAUUGGCGCUACUGCUAACUAGUAGCAGCAUUGACUAUUUUCUAGCGCUACUGCUAACUAGUAGCUGCUAACUUGUAUAAGCAUUUCCCUAGUAGUGUUAAUUUUAUUGACAGAUUGCACUUCUAGUUUCUACAGCUAGUGCUAACCGAUGAUUGAAAAAUAUAUCUACCUUAACUCUAGACAACUACAUCACAUUGUCACUGCCUAGCAGUGAUGAACCCUAGCGAUACAAAUAAAAAAAUUACAAUGGCAGUGACCUACAGCAAAAGAGGGAGGGAUGAUAUGCUCACCUGGGUUGGAGCCGAGGGUUGCCUACAGUCUACUCUGUCGCCGUCAUCGUCACCUGUGGUAGAUGAGAGUGGGAGGCUCAGAUGCAAAACACACCUCUAAAUUAAAAAAAAUUUCCAAAUGGACUAGAUGAGAGUGGGAGGCUCAGAUGUGUACCUCAAGACCGGAGAACGACGACAAUCGUCGAAAUCGGCCAAAAUCGAAGUGGCACGACCAGCGGCGAGAGAGGGAGAGAAAAGGGAACGAAACAGAGCAGCGGGUCACAGAGUGAGAGUGGGUUGAGGGGGUCGUUGCCCCCAUUGGUUUUGACCCCCACGGCAUUCUAAUACUAUUUGUGCUUGCCCAAUAAGAAAAAAGAUCACCACCUAGAAAUUGUCAUCUCAAAACUAUAUAUUUCAAGUCUUAAACUAAAAAGGAAAAAAAGUAAAUUUAACAAAAGUAAACUAUAAUAUACUAUUAAAAAGAUCACAGAAUAAAAAACUAAAAAAAUUUGGAAGUGUCAAAAUACAUAUUUGAAGGCUCAAAACUAUAUAUUUCAAGUCUUAAACUAAAAAGGAAAAAAAUUAAAGUCUCAAAGUACAUAUUAAAAAAAUGUCAUUAUUUCCAUUUAAAAUAAUAUAAAUUUAAUAAAAGUAAACUAUAAUAUACUAUAAAAAAGAUNNNNNNNNNNNNNNNNNNNNNNNNNNNNNNNNNNNNNNNNNNNNNNNNNNNNNNNNNNNNNNNNNNNNNNNNNNNNNNNNNNNNNNNNNNNNNNNNNNNNNNNNNNNNNNNNNNNNNNNNNNNNNNNNNNNNNNNNNNNNNNNNNNNNNNNNNNNNNNNNNNNNNNNNNNNNNNNNNNNNNNNNNNNNNNNNNNNNNNNNNNNNNNNNNNNNNNNNNNNNNNNNNNNNNNNNNNNNNNNNNNNNNNNNNNNNNNNNNNNNNNNNNNNNNNNNNNNNNNNNNNNNNNNNNNNNNNNNNNNNNNNNNNNNNNNNNNNNNNNNNNNNNNNNNNNNNNNNNNNNNNNNNNNNNNNNNNNNNNNNNNNNNNNNNNNNNNNNNNNNNNNNNNNNNNNNNNNNNNNNNNNNNNNNNNNNNNNNNNNNNNNNNNNNNNNNNNNNNNNNNNNNNNNNNNNNNNNNNNNNNNNNNNNNNNNNNNNNNNNNNNNNNNNNNNNNNNNNNNNNNNNNNNNNNNNNNNNNNNNNNNNNNNNNNNNNNNNNNNNNNNNNNNNNNNNNNNNNNNNNNNNNNNNNNNNNNNNNNNNNNNNNNNNNNNNNNNNNNNNNNNNNNNNNNNNNNNNNNNNNNNNNNNNNNNNNNNNNNNNNNNNNNNNNNNNNNNNNNNNNNNNNNNNNNNNNNNNNNNNNNNNNNNNNNNNNNNNNNNNNNNNNNNNNNNNNNNNNNNNNNNNNNNNNNNNNNNNNNNNNNNNNNNNNNNNNNNNNNNNNNNNNNNNNNNNNNNNNNNNNNNNNNNNNNNNNNNNNNNNNNNNNNNNNNNNNNNNNNNNNNNNNNNNNNNNNNNNNNNNNNNNNNNNNNNNNNNNNNNNNNNNNNNNNNNNNNNNNNNNNNNNNNNNNNNNNNNNNNNNNNNNNNNNNNNNNNNNNNNNNNNNNNNNNNNNNNNNNNNNNNNNNNNNNCCCUCUCUAACUAAACCUAAAGUGGCGAAGUUACUAGCAUGUCGCCAUGUCCUUGCACUAGAGAAGGAAGUUGGGGUCUAGACGAUCGUCUUGGAGAUGGACUGAAAGAUGGUUGUGAGCAAGCUCAACUCUGAAGGGAAGGACGGAGGGAAUAGUAAGUGUAUAUUUGUUUCUAAAUAUGAAAAUAUUACUAUUAAAUACUAAUAUACCAAAGAUAUAAGAAUAUUAAAUACUAGUAUACCAAAGAUAUACCUACAUAUAAGAAUAUUUAAUAGUAGUAUACCGAAGAUAUUCUACAGUUAAAUUCUAAUAACUCUGUUCCAAAAUAUAAGAAUAUUACUAUAAAAUACUAUUAGCUGUUUUCAAAUAAUUAGUAAUAGAGAUAAUAUUCUUUUGUAGUGAUAUAUCUUUAUUCCUCAUUAAAUAUAAGAAUAUUACUAGUAUUAAAUACUAGAAUCCCAAAGAUAUAUCUAAUAGUAUACCAAAGAUAUACAACAAUUAAAUAAUAUUACAUAUGUUCCAAAAUAUAAGAAUGUUACUACUACCUCCGUCUGAAAAUAGUUGUCAUCAAAAUGAAUAAAGGAGGCUGUAUUUUAGUUCUAGAUACAUCCCUUUCUAUUUGUUUUGAUCACAAGUAUUUUCGGAUGGAGGGAGUAUUAAAUACUGUCACAACUAUUCUUAUAUUUAGUAACAGAGAUAAUAGUAUUUAAUAGUAGUAUAUCAUUUUUCAUAAAUACUCCCUCCGUACCAAAAUUCUUGUCUUAUAUUUGUCUAGAUACGGAUGUAUCUGACACUAAAAUGUAACUAGAUACAUCCGUAUUUAGACAAAUCAAACACAAAAAUUUUGGGAUGGUGGGAGUAUAAGAAUAUUACUAUUAAAUACUAGUAUAAAAAUAUAUAUUUAAUAGUAUACCAAAAUAUAAGAAUAUUUAAUAGAAAUAUACCAAAGAUAUGCUACUAUUUAUUGCCGGUAUUAAAUAAAUAAAUCUGUAGAUUAACACGCGGUCCCCACCUUGGCCUGUGGCUUCCGUUUCAGUUCAUAAAAGGCAACACAUGCUUCUCCUCCUCGCUCACAUUCUUCUCAUCCCGCUCUCCACAACCAACUCCGCGCGUCUGCUCGACCGAUCCACCGCGAUGUCUAGCUCCGACGUCAGUGCCAUGCCCGCAGCCAACCACGAGGGGCACAGCCUAGCGGGCCCCGCCCCGCCCCCUGCGCCGGUGGUUCACAAGCGCAAGCCCGGGAGACCCCAGGAGAAAAGCCCGCCCCCAGCGGCCACCAGAGAGGAGCUGGAAUCCAGGGAGUCCUGGGAAGGACCCUUGAAGGUGCUUGCGCUCCCGGCGCCAGGGGCCCGGCGUGCUUAUGUUGUCUCAGAUGACAAGAUGGUGAGCCGCGCUCGCGCCCCCACACGGCGUGCAAGCGCGGUAUCCNNNNNNNNNNNNNNNNNNNNNNNNNNNNNNNNNNNNNNNNNNNNNNNNNNNNNNNNNNNNNNNNNNNNNNNNNNNNNNNNNNNNNNNNNNNNNNNNNNNNNNNNNNNNNNNNNNNNNNNNNNNNNNNNNNNNNNNNNNNNNNNNNNNNNNNNNNNNNNNNNNNNNNNNNNNNNNNNNNNNNNNNNNNNNNUUUUUUUGUCAACAUCGUCUCCGUGCAGGCUACACUGGCAAACAAGCUGCUUAACUCUUGUGCAUGCUGGUUUUUCGUCAUCACUAGUAUACUGGUAUUGGACUGAAGCUUGUUAGCUCUGUCCAUGCUGGGUCUUUUUUUUUCAUUAUUAGUAUUGUUAUAUAUUAGCUGAAGCUGCACAUGUUUUCUUUCCAUUGACGUUGGUGCGGGCGGUGCUACGCGUCAGUCGGCCGAGGGAUGGACGCCUUACUCACCUGAUUUUAAUCAAGUCCCACCUAGGUGUAGUUUGUUUUGUCACUAGCUGUGUAUACAUAGGCGAGCUCCAGCACUAUGUUGCAGCGUGGAAAACAUAUGAACUGUAAUAAGAAACAUGCAAUGGCUAGAAAUAUCUCCACAUAUUUUUUCAGCACGUUUUAGGUGUCAACGAAAUUAGUCGGAUCGCCAGCCAUCGAAUUGACAUGUGGAGCAUUGGAUCACACUACACGGCAGCAGAGAGAAUGGAAACCGUGUUCCUCCAUAGCCUCCACAAUACAUGUGUAUCCACCACCCCUCCCACAUCGUCGCAACAGACAAUUACGUCGGCCCCUUGCAACACCUGGCUUUGGUACCCUAGAGAUCCCUGAUAUCGCUUGGAUAUCCUGCAAGUAUUAUUACAAUGCGCCAACGAGGCGUCGUCCUUGCAACAUUGUCUUACAGACAAUGUAGUUGAUGCCACCACCACCAUCACCCAUUUACACAUGGGCCGUGGCAUGUGGCACUGUUCGUGGGAUAAAACACACCCCGCGAGAAUAUGCGGUUGCACCACUAUGAUCUGUGCAUCUUAGGAAUUGUUGUGACUGCCCCUGCAAAAGUAGCGAUGAUACGACCAUCGCCCUGCAACAUCGGCCAUAGUUGUAGCACAUAUGAGAAGACGGAUGCCGCACCUAACAACACAUUAUGUGUUUUUUGCACCAUAUGAAAGCACUGCCUUGCAACAUCGGCUAUCAGGGUGCUGCACCGACAAACACACUCACGACCUUGAGAUGUCGUAUGCCUUGGCCGAUGUAGCAUAGUGCUCCUCUUUCAGCAUAUAGCGAUGGCUUGUAGCAUUGAUGGUCGGAGAGUCGCAACAUCAUUGAGUGGCAGUGCUAGCCCAACUCAUUGUCAUAGAGAAAGGGGAAUAAAGGAUGGGUGUGCACGUGGUGGAAAUAAAGUGAAUGGAUAUGGUGAAGAGAGAGGAAGACUAACAGGGGCAUCCGGCGCUAGAGCGAUCUGACUGAUUUACCCCUGAAACCAGCCUGUUGAAUAUAAUUCAAUUUUCUUUUGAGAGACCUCAUAAAAACGUCGCAACAUGCGAGCAUGUCUAUACAAAAAAUUGUAGAUAUACAAAUCAUUAGCUUCAACAAAUAAGUGAAAAAACACAAUGUAUAUAGGCCUGAACCGAUGGAUCAUCAGCAUGCAUCUACCAGAUCUUCCUAGGUUACGCCCAACCGUGAGUCGUUCAAUUGGGUCACACAUCACUACCCAAUCAACCACCAACUUAGUUGUUCCUCUCGUCUCCUCUACCCACCCUUCGCAACAUACACCCAUGAUUCUCAGCAAUAGACCAACAUGGAGGCGACAAUGGUGUCCAUGAUAGGCUAGUCAAAAGCACACCGGUGAUCAACCUUACAACACUAAACAGAACAUUGCAACAUGAGGUAACCCCAACUUUGUAGCACUGGUGCACCAUUUUCAACCACCUUGUAGCAAUGAAAAGUUCACUGACCAAUAGCAUUGCUGCACCAAGUUACUGGCUUCCAGCACUGAACACACGGGCUUGCAGCACCGCGAUGAUCGAUGGUCGGCCUUUCAACAAUAUUAGUUAACAUUGCACACCUCGUCUCCAUUUUUAUGUACAUACACAUGAGUGAGAUUGGAACAUCAGUAACGUAUCAACAUUACCAAACAUGAAGACAAUAAAUUUGUUUCUCCAAGCAUAGACGUUACUGAAUAAGCGUGCAACUGCACAUCCACCACAUGAGCCAUAAUUUUUUAGCUCUGUGACAACAGCUUAUAGUUGCAAAAGAGCUGACGAUGAUGGUUUAGAAUGUAUAUGAUCAAAAUAGAUUAAAUGGAGGGGAGGAUGGACUACCUAUGUUGAAUCGGACUAGCCGCAAGGUCACAAGUGCCUUGUCUAAAUAGCCAAAAAGACAAAAGGAGGCCUCCUGGAUUCUCCAUCCUGAAGCUAAGCAUAACUCCAACUCCAGACACGCUAGGGGGCUACUAAAGGUGCAAUACGCUAGGGAUGUCUUCUGGGUGGGAAGCCCGGUAGCAGGCUUGCCUUAGGGCCCAAGAGGCCAACUGGAGGAUCGGUGCAGUAGGGCAGCUCAGGAGCCUAGAUAAGGACUGUGGGAGCAUCUUGGCAGGCAAGCUAAGAUGGCAGUGGUAUGAGAUCUGAUGGAUUCCUUGUAAACCUAGCCCGCGCCACCUAUAUAAGGAGGGGCUCGGGGUUGUCAUUCACAUAUACUCUCAUAGACUAUACUCUCUGUAGCAUUAUACUUCAUCUCCACUCUAAACCCCUCGCACAAGGUGCUCCACCAUGAAUAAAAAUCAGAUACAGGAUGUUGGGCAUUACCUCUCACCGAGGGCCCGAACCUAGGUAAAAACCUUUGUGCGGACUACCUUGUCGUGUAUCCCCACAAGUUCACCACCCUACUAUGGGUACUCACGGUUUUCCAUACUAUCACAUAGUUAAGUUCUAACACAUUUUCUUUGGGGAGUUGAAGCAACUCAUGGUGUAAGUAGGUGUUGCUUGAAGCACUGAUUCUACUAGCACCUCCUUUCCCUCCUUUGAGAUACCUUGUCCUUCCAAUCCAACCACUUUGCCAUUUGAGCUUUCUUUAAUAUGUUUAAAAUUUCCUUCCUUUGACCUACCCACCACGGUUGGGACCCCAAAUAAUGCUCGCUCAAUGCCUUAGGAUCUGUGCAAAGAUAUUAACAACAACUUAGUCCUCCUAUUUGCCUCACUUCCCAAAGAAUGUUGAAGCUUUUAGAAAAUUUCCCAUUUGUCCCGAGGCCCACUCGUAGUCAAAUAGGAUAUAUUUAAGGUUACAAAGUUGCCAUUUGACGGUUGAAGAAAUACUAUACUAUCAUCUGCAGAAAUAAGAUGGGAUACAUGGGGGUUAGUGCUCCCAAAAGAUAUACCAUUGAUCUCUUUAUCUUUGAGCACCCAUGAGAAAGGCCAAAAAACUCGCAACAUAGAAAAUAAGAAAAUAGGGAGACCAUCGGUCUCCUUGCCAGAGCCCUCUUCAUAGUAUAAAAAAUACAUAACACACUCCUUUCAAUUUGAUAGAAAACCUGGCCGGGGUACCACACAUCAUAAUCAUCAAGAUCAACCUAUCUGAGAAACCAAGUGCCCUCAUCAUCAGAUCGAGGAAAAUCCAAACCACCCUCUUAUAGGCCUUCAUCAUGUAUAGUUUAAUUGCGAACAUUGGAUUUUUCUAUUUCUUGAACGAACAUACUUUGCUCCUGCGUGAUCAUUAUGGAUAUGACAACCUUCAAUCUCUUUGCUAGGCCUUUGAAGCAAUCUGACUGAGCGUGUUCAAUAAGUUGAUUGAUCCCAUUUGAGGAAGUAUCUCCAUUGAGGUAAUUUUGGGGAUUAGGACUAGAACCAUAUCACUAAAGUUUGGUCAAAUAACUCCAUUAAAAGAAUCACCUAUUACUAUGCGUACAUCAUUUUUUAGAAAUAACUAGUGAAAUUGGUAAACAUAAGUGAGAGGUUGUCUAGCCCCUGCGCUCUUGCCAGUCAAAUUUAGAAUAGUGCAUUCUCAAUUUCUUCAUCCAUCACGUCCGUGUUCACCCUCUCCUCCAUAUCACUAGUCACACAGGGUCGGAUGUGAGCUAAGAUGUUGUCAGCAUCAACAGAGGCUUCUGAAGAAAACAACUAAGCAUAGAAAUCGGCCGAAAUCUUCCCCAUCUCAUUGUCAAUAGUACAACUCGUGCCAUCCGCCCUCAUGUUUUGAUCGUCUUCCUUGAGAAAUUCCAGUUGGGAACAUUGCAUACACAUUAUUUGUUCCUGUGCACGAACCACAUGAAGCUACGCUUCAAUCUCGCUGGUCUUCAGCAAGGAUGUCUGGAUCCCAAUGCGCUACCCUUUCCAUCGAAGCUGGACCUUGUGCCUAGUAAUCUCACAACAUACAAGACAAAAUAUAGAGCCACUUCAAUGUUUCAUAUCAUUGGUGACAUUGUUACGCUUCCUGUAGAGCUCACUCUGGCCGAAAUUGUUAUCACAUGCACACUAUCAUGCCUACAUGGGCAUCCACCUCUCCUCAAACGUUAAUGCCCUCUUCUUACUUUUGGUAAUGACUAGGUUUUCUAGCGAUCUAUUAACGAGCAAACCAUUGUCUGGUCCUCCAUGACAACAUGUUCAAUGGGUGUAUCCUACAAUGAAUGCACGAAUUCAUCAUUGCAUGGACCCCUGUCCACAUGUACAUAAACGAUCUCAUCCCGCUCCCUCUUAUUGUCCCAAGUGUACAUGUUGCUACUAAAACAAAGUUUUGAAACACUAUUAUUGGCUACACUCUCCCUAAUGCGCUCCAUUUGUGUGAAACUCCUCAAGUAAUCUCCUAGUUGUUGUGAUUAAAAGAAUUCUUUGUUGAGGUAUCAUUGUAACAGAUAAAUGUAUUAUUAGGAUCCAAUCUCUCGGAGCCUCCCUUAGCUACACAAAUUUUCAUCAAUCUCUCUUCCUAUCCAGUAGCUUUAGGUGAUAAUCAUUGUGACGCCUUUGGUGGUCACCUUCACGUUGCCUUGUCUUAUGAACAAAAGUGCCUCGUCUGCGUUGCUCUGAGGUAGAUGGGUCAUCUUUCCCAAUGGCCUUGCACCCUUUCCCAUAUAGAUUUUUUUAUGUCUUGCUUACUUUCAUGCUCCUUCCUCAGGUCCCACUUACUUUUUAGAUUUAAAUCAUCCCUUAGUUCACAAUCAUGUCACAUUUCUUGCCUGAAUUGGUCCUCCCUACACUUCAUCUUAGGCAGUUACCAUGUACAAGACCAUCUCGAGGAUCCUCGCUAGAGAGAGAGUCCACAGAGGGUGUAUAAUCAGUGUAUGACCUGCACGUAAAUGGACGGGCAUGCAACGCUACAUGACCCCUGCGCCAUAGACGCCCUUGCUUGACCUAGUGCUCCCAAAACUAAAGUUCCUGCUUUCUUUCACCGGCCUCUACUUAGUUUUUGUCUAUGAGGAGCCAUGUCCAAGUGAUGCCCUUAACCAUUCACCCAACUGGGGUGAGGAAUCAUUUUGUGGUUCAAAUCAUCUGUCAACAUGUGCUAGUCUGUCGUAGUCAAUCCAAAAGAGAGGUAUCUUCUCAAAUUGAAAAUCAAACAAGGUCCCCUCAUCUUUUGCUGAAGAGUGGAGAAAGAAGCCUUAGACUAGUGAAAGAAAUCUAUCUCUAAAUCUGAGAUGGUUCCCCCAUAAAUCCAUCGUUCUUAACAUCACUCUUUACCACGCCACCAAGACAAUUCCCAAGAGCAUUCCCAAAAGUAUAUGAUCAUUUAUAUAGGGGAGGAUCUGUAAUUAUCACCCAUGGCUCCGUCAUACAAAACAUUAUCUUCGAUGACCUGGUUUUUUCAUCAUAAUCCUUCAAAACUAUCACAUUAAAACCAAAUUGCCACAUUCAAUUAUAUAGAGCGUGCUUCUAGACUCCUUUGUUAUGGAAUCUAAAGAAGAAGAUACUAUUUCUAAUGUGACUUACUUGGACUUCCUAAUAGUGUCACAUGUAUGUUGCGUAGCCCUAGCAAACACGUUGAUGUUGAUUUGCUGGAGUGAGCAUGCCUUUCCAACCACUGACCACCGAGUAGGCCUCGGUCGGUCUGGAAUCCUGAUUCUCAAGCAUGAGAUCUAUUAGUUCCUUUUGUUGUUAACUUCAGGGCUCCUUGUUAAUUUGGUUGAGAGAUUAGCUGCCUCCCCUGAAGCAUUUCCAUCUGUCAGGGACUUUGAAGGUUCUCAUCUUAAUGAUCCUUGGUCGCCCUGUUCACUUGAGCUGUCGAUUUACGCCACGCCUUCUCUCCCAUAGUCGCGCAAAGGAGUGGAAGCACCAAGACCAAUCAAUGUAGGAGUAUAGAGUGUCAUCACCUCAUAGAUGAAUAGAAACCUAACCCUAGCACUACUUGUCGGUCGCCUAUAAUUGCCCUUAGCAUUUCUUUUCAUGUUGGGCCCGCCAUAAGGUAUUUAUACGUUCGCUUCCAUUGGUACUUUUUUUUGCACUGGAGCCUUUCUGCUACAUUUGCCUUUCUACGAAGGAUGUCUUAUCCAAAUCAUAUAGUCUCCUCUAUCUAUAGGAAGCGAGGACAUUAGCUCUUCUUUUUUUCAAGGCAAAUACACUUGCUAGUGUUCAAGCGACAUCGAAAGAAGUCUUGUCACAUGUGAAGACGACGCUAAGAGUGUGACACAUAUAGGUGCCAACUUGAAGAAUAAUGCAAAUUUCAGUAAAUAUGAAUAGCUCCUGGGGGAACGAGCGCAUAAAGGAAUCAGCCACCAUAAAUGGAUCAUUUCCAAAGAAACAAAGUCACAAAGAGAGAGACAAGACAUUAGCUUCUUUAUGGGGAACACAUAUAUUUAAAUGUUGCCUUGCUCUCUGAUUAUUAACAAGAAAUAAUUUUUACUAAUAUAUUAUGUGUAAAUCUUGAUAGAUAUGGAAUGUAUUUUGGUCAGUAUGUUUUAAGGAAUCAUAUUAGUUUUUGGUAUGUAGAAAUUAAAAGAAGUUCAUGUGCCUUCAAGGCAUGUCAAGGUGUGUUGUUCCACCUCAAAAUUGGUUCAGACUAAAUGGUUAUUCUCCCUACAUAUAGCCCCAAUUCUCAUGCUCUCUCUCUCUCUCUAUUUUAUAUUCCAGACUACUCCAUAAAGCCUAACUGGUGAAGGUCCAGAAACACCCAGCAGUGACGGGUUCAACUCCCAUUAGUAGUCGAUACUUAGUGGAGGAGAAACAAGCCACUUACAGGCACGAGCCCGCCAAUGGUGAAUAAAUCAGAAAAGAAAAUCAGGCCAUGGCCAGUCCAAAUCCAGCAUCUGCCAACAAUGUGUAGUCUCCACUACUCGAACCUACUUUUCCUCAGUGCGUGACAUCAUGUGAUGUUUGGAGAAUCCAUAGAGUUGGGGAUCCGAAUAUAAAAAACAACAAUGGGGAGUGUCUUGAAGAAUAGGAGCCAAGAAGCCGGACGGAGAAGGCCUCCACCAUACUGCACCAUUGGCCAAUACUGACCCGUAUGGUGCAAGGACAAAGGCAGAACUGAACACCGUCAUCAUCUAGGUUGCAAAGGAAGUUGGACCACUGUGUUGCUUCUCUCGAACAAACUCAAUGAUUUCAUGCAGUUGGCACCCAUGCCACAUUCCAUAGAGAUAACAACAUUGAGGAGGAGGAGGGACAACGCAAGGUUUCUUCCUCAUAGGAAUUAGUUUCGAGGAAGUGGGGGGACGAUAUGGCAUGAUGAGCAGUUAACAAGGGAAGUUUGCAUGACUGUGGAGGACAAAGCAUUAAGACAAGUGUGCUAGUAGCUAGAUAAGGGAUGAAUGAUAGCAGGAAGGAAUAAUGAGCUUACUGGGUGAGGCUACUAUUUUUUAAGUUGCGACCUACUGAUCAUAACAACAAUUGAUCGUAACAACAUACCAUUGAUGAUUUAGGGUAUUGAUUUAGUAACUGUUAGGAUGUGACUACGGCUUGUAAGUGGUGGGUUGUAUAUUACUAACAAGUAGCAUGUUUAGCCUCAAUAUUGUCCUCUGUCACUCGUAACAACGUGCCAUUGACGGACCACAUAUUGGGCCCGUCACUACUACCUUUUUCAAACAAAAAUAGAAUUUUAGUUAUAGUCAGAUUCACAACAAUCCCGCCGGUCAUUAGUGUUAAGUAGCAUUGCUGACCGGUUUUUUGAACCACCACUUUUGAUCGAUAACUAGGCGAGAACUCUAGUGUAGUGCACAUUUGUUUGGUUCAGAAUUUUUAGUGUUUUUAUGUGCACAAAGACAUAUCGUUCAACCCUAACAUGUUCUCUUUAGGUGGGGUCGAGAGUGAAGGACUGGGGAGCUUGGAAGCAGGGGAAAUGGCACCUCGAGGGGUUCAGGUCUCCAUGAUCAAUAACCACAAUUUUGAUCUGAAUGAGCUGCCGACUGAGCAUGAGUAGCUCAAGAAGGAGUAGUCACCCGUGGAGCAAGAGUAGCCCCCUAUGGCACAACAUGAGCUUUAAUAUUCACAAUGGUUGGAGGCUACUCAAAUCCCGCUUGUGUGAGCAAAAAUAACUCUUGGCCCAAAGUAUAGCCCUGUCAGAAAUUAUCGAAACAAUAUCCUUAUCCCAAGGACGAUUGUAAAGCUUAUGUGGAACUUUUCAAUUUCUUGCUUCCUAUUUUUUGGUGAUUGACUGACGCUAUUGCUAAACUUGAGGGAAGGACUUGGUAUACUGCCUCAUGAUCAACGUGUCACCUGGAAUGGCUUUUCUAUUCAUUUCCCAUGAUGGUUUUGAUAUGUAGAUUGUUUGAACAAGCAUUUAUUCAUUCGGUAAAGCUUUGUGAAACAUCAACGGUGGAGCUAGGUCUCUCGUCAUGUGAAAUGAUAGUAGGUCAAGAAGUGUGUUGGAUCAUGAGAUAACAUAUUUUCUAAGUUGUUAAUCAUGUGUGUUAACACCAUGGGUAGUAUGAGAGAAGGUCAACAUGCAUGUUUGGGUCUGAAAUGACCUCAUGACCAAAAAGGGAGAGAAACAUGGCUAAUAGGAAUACGAACAAUAUGGAAGUUACUUGUUGCAUGGAUGUUAACUGUGGUUAUGAAACCACACAAGAUGUCAGAGGACCCGCAUCCUUACAUAUCAAGGUUGACUUCACAUGCCAACUGGAUUUCGACUAAAUUAUUGUAUAUGUAUGUAUGUUAUAUCUUGACAUCUUACCAAACAAAAAACACCAAAAAAUACACUAUUUACUUCUCUUUGAUGCAUAUUCUAGUUGGAGGGUAAUCAUAACCUUAUGUGGAUAUUUUUCCAUAAUAGAAUAUAUAAUGGUCUAGUGAGGCAAGGUGUAAAUGGAGAGGACAAUAGUCGAACAUGAAAACAUCCAACAUUGUGUUAUAGUUGCAUCAAGUUGUCUAGUGAGUCAAUAUGGAAAUGGAGGAGGCUCAUAGGGCAACACGAGAACACCCAACAUGUUGCUCUACUUACUUCCUAUUGGUACGAAGAGACCGAGAGUAGUGAAAGGUUAAUCAUAACACAUGGACAAGAUAUCUCAUACAAGAUGAAAAUGGAGUGAGUCUUGUAUGAAAAUGCUAACAAAGUAUGAGUGUGCAUAGCAUGCCAUCCCCUCCCUUUCUUGUUCGAGUUUCCUUCACCAACCCCAUAGUACCCUGAUCAACACUAUUAUUUGGAUAUGCUUCUCAUCUGAGAAAGAAUAGUUAUUGAGAGACAUUUAUAUCAUUGUCUAGAUAGACUUGUUCAAGGGCCAAUAAUGGAGGUGUCUUAUCUAUUAUAGCCACAUUCCGGAGAAGAAUAAAAAAAGUAGACACAACCUGAUAAUUUAUUGAGAUUUGAAUUGAGGAUCCACAUACAUCAACUAUCCUACAUGUGAAUCAAAUCCACAUCCUACAUGGGCAUUGGGCUUUAGUUGGACUACCACUUUAUGGACAAGCCAUGUGCUCCAUGUAGUCUAUGUUGCAAAGGCGGGAGGACAAGGAGCAAAUAGUUUUUGAUGGCUGGACAUUGAAGUUAUUUGUCAAGAAAUUUGUUUCCUGACAUGGUUUGUUUAUUUCAUUAUUUAGUAUUUGAUAUCGGUUCAAUGCUCUAGUAUGUAACAUUCUUCUCACAUUUUGGGUCUAGCUCUUGGUGUUCAUGAGUUCAUUACUUAUGUUAACUAUUAUUGUUGUGCCCACUUGUUCGACAAGAGACUAUAAAGUUAACUAAGAUACUCUCGUAUUUAUAUUAAUAUAGUUGGCACUGAGCUAAUAAUAAACCUUGAAUACUACUCAUAUUUGUCAAAUAGGAGGUCAAGCUGGAUCUGUCUGGCGCAUCAUCUAUGGUCACAUGGUGUAUUGUCUAUUCUAAACCCAAUGAGUAUUGCAGAAUGACAUGUUCCUGCGAGGAGGAAUGAGUCACUCUUUUGUGUCAAGGGGUGAUGCCAUGCCUCAUAAUUGACAAUAAAAAAUUAACCACCUACAUCAAAAGUCUAACCCAAGUCAGGGAAUAGGCGCCAUUGCAAUUUUACCGCACAAAGUCAUCGGUAUUUUGCAAUUGAAUGUUCCCCAUGUUGUGACUGAGAACACAAAACACAAAACACCCCACAAAACACUAUUCACUUCUCUUCGAUGCAUAUUAUAGUGGAAGGGUAGUCAUAACCAUAUGGGAAUAUUUUACCACAAUAGAAUCUAUAAUGGUCUAGUGAGGCAAGGUUUAAAUGGAGAGGAUAAUAGGCGAACAUGGAAACAACCAACACUGUGUUUUACUUGCAUCUAGUUGUAUAGUGAGAUAAUAUUGAAACGGAGGAGGCUUAUAGGGCAACAUGAGAACACCCAAUAUGUUGCUCUACUUACUUCCUAUUGUUACCAAGGGACUGAGGCUCGGGCAUGGUUAAUCAUAACACAUGGAGAAGAUCUCUCAUACUAGUUGAUAAUAGAAUGAAUCUUGUAUGAAAAUGCUAACAAAGUAUGAGUGUGCAUAACAUGCCAUCUCCUCCCUUUCUUGUUGUAUUUUCCUUCACCAACCCCCAUAGUACCCUGAUCAACACUAUUAAUUUGAUAUGCUUCACAUCUGAGUUAGAAUUGUGAUUGGGAAUAGUUGUAUCAUUAUCUAAGUAGACUUCUUCAAGGGGAAAUAAUGGACGUGUCUUAUCUAUUAUAGCCACAUUCCGGAUAGGAAUAAAAAAGUAGACAUAACAAGAUAAUUUGUUGAGAUUUGAAUCGAAAAUACAACAUACAUCAACUAUUCUACAUGUAAAUCAAAUCCUCAUCCUACAUCGGCAUUCGGCUUUAGUUCGACUACCACUUUAUGGACAAGCCGUGUGGUCCAUGUGGUCUACGUCACAAAGGCCAGACGACAAGGAGAAAAUAGUUGUCGAUGAUUGAUCACCGAACGAAAUAGCAGCGAGAAGCUAACUCCAGGAAGCUAGGAUCGACCGCAGCACAAAAUCAUGAAGCAGACUCGGCCCAGCUCCACCAAUCCGAAAAGCUGAAGUUGGCCGAUAUUACAAGUAAACUGCCACAGCCAAUUCAUACGAGUCGAACCGGUACGCUCGAUCUGUUUGAUCUCUCCUCGUUCCCUCGCUCGUGCUCCCUCGCUGCUCCUCUAUAAGGCCGAUUUGGGUUGCCUCCAGUCAGCCCAACUAGCUCGAACAGGCCACAACCCUUCUAGCUAGGUUGCAGUGCCGCGAGAAGCUGCAAACCGAGCCAAACGGAUUUUUCAUCGCUGCUUGGAGUGAGAAGCUACUCUGAAAAGGUGAAUUUCUGAAGUUUUGGGAAGCUAGAGGAGAUCAGAAAAGGCCCUAAGUCAUCGGUAUUUCAUAAUUGAAUGUUCUCCAUGUCGUGACUUCUGAUGGUGUAAACCCAAAUAAUUGCCAUUGUGAAAUUAAGUUCCUUUCGUGAGUCAGAACCCACAUCCGUAAAGAUGUGCCACUACAAUCCACCUCAUGGCUAUCUUGGAGUCCUUAAUAUAAUCAAGUGUGCCCAAUAUGGUGACUUAAUAUGUACUUAUUGACCCUACGAAGCUAAUCGCCUCCAUCAAGACCCCUUCCUGGUUCUCCUUUAACUAGAUUCCUCGAAACCACAAGAAUCCUUACAAUGGGAUUACAACUUAGCACCUUUCGUUUUCACAUAGUAAGAAGAGUUGCUCCUUGGAUAGCACGGUACGAUCAAAGGUGUAACCUGUGUUUUGGAGCGAGUUAUUGUCUCGAAACUUUGUUCUCAACUAUUCCGAUUCCAGCAAACGGAGGCCAUUGGGUCAAAGCUGUAGCGCACGCCCUGUAGUUUUCAAGUGGGGCGAGACAACUUAGCUAGGAACCUAUUUUCAUUCUGACCAGCUCCCUGAAAACAAUGUUCGACUUCAUGUGUAGUCGGUGUAGAUGUGUCAUUGCAAUUCCACCACUAGGAUAUCACCAAGUCCUAUGUAUUACAUGUCAACAUAUGCCACCAUAUGGUUACUUGACAAAUUAAAUGGAUUUCACCAAGAUUUCAUGUUACAAUUAUAGUGAAGAUAGUGACUCACAUGUCAGCCUCCCUGACGGGAAGCAAAAUCACUCUGACUUUGGCAACCUAAUUCUUGGCGGGUUCAAGCAAACAUGUUGGAUUUGUAUUUUAUUUAUUUCAACAUAUAUAAUUCAUAUAAAUAAAUCAAUUCAUAAUAGGAGUCUUGGAGACACCCAUGUCAAUAAUGUGAAAUUAUGGGAAAUCUUAUUAUGUGCAUCAACAUAAGCCAAAACUCGUGGCUUAAGAGAUAUGUUUACAAUCUUCCAAUGGUUAUUCCCCCUACUGAAUUCAUGAUGUUAACUAGUUCCCAUAAGUUGAGAAAGAAGUUUAGUCAUGGGAUCAAUGUCCAGUGCAUCAUAUUUCCAGUUCCCAAAAAAAUUUAUUAUGGAAGUUGAGAAAGAGGUUUGGGCAACAUAUUUCCAGACACCUGUCAUGUCUAGGAUCUUCUCAAGCCUAGGUAAGCUUAGUCACGGGAUCAAUGCAGGCUAUUAGUACAUUGACCCGGUUCUUAAUUCAAGUCCUCCUUGCUUGAUACAAUAUUGAAUGGAAAGUACAUAAUCAAUUUAUUUAAGUGGGUGAACAAUGUUGGCUAGUAUAUUUCAACACUCACCUCACAUGCAUCUUUUAGAGGCAUAUAAUGCAUCAUGAUGGAAACAUUUUUUCUAUAGACUAAAUUCCAAUGAAAAAUUUAAUUAAUUUAAUUAGUAGCAAUCUCGUAAUGUAAGGAUAUAUGGCAAAUGAAAAUGAGGGCUCAAAUGCUACUUGUUGGCACACAAAAGUCAUGUUGUCUUUUUCCUCCCAUGUUGAUCCUUCGUGGUUUGACAUUGGGCAUUACAAAGAGAACAAGUUAUCUUUACACACCUCUAGAGCUACCAGACCCUGGAUGUUCCACCAUGAAUGUCCAUAUGGUGCAAUGAGUGAUAGCGAGCUAUAUUAGAACAUAUAGUUUACACCGUUAAAGUAAUUAAAUGGGCUAUUUUGGCUACUAUGAAAAAUAGUAUUUUAAGAGAAAACUAUGUAAGAGUUUGUGAUCUUUGUAUGUAAAAGCAUUAUUUGCCUUUGCUUGGUGUUCACGCAGUUUGAUUUAUGGUAAAAAUGUAAAAUCAUGGGACAAUAAUUGUUGAUAUUCUUUGCGGAGAAAGCGAGAUCUUUCCACUUUUCAGAUCACACAAAGUACUGUUUUUCUUAUAGGGGUGAUAUACAGUGUUCUAAAUCUGCACUUGUGAUUCGUUGUCCAUUUAAAUUUAAAUGGUUUCUUCCACAGAUUAUGUUGGUUUGUUGUUGUAUUUAUCUCAGCACUAAAGUAUACUGAUGUUAGCUAAGUCCAAUCAAAGGCCCAUGUUUUUAUCAUGUUAUACAAAUUAGUAAGCUAAGAUCUUACCAAACUCAAGUUACAUAAGCCCAGACUACGUGAAAUACACAUCAUGCAGUACACAUGUUCAUCUUAGUGUUAUGUUAUACUUGGCUCCGAGAUAACAAAUGGUAUCAAUUAUUACUAUCUUUUGCAGCUUGUUUCUGCCUGUUCAUCGUAGAAUUAUCUUAUGUGGUCUCCCAAGGUUCAUGCAACUUGGAUUUUCAUACUUUGGUAGUAUUAGUGUUCACUAGGACUAGGUGCCACUCUGUAGAAGCUAAGGAUACAGAUGGAGAAAGUAGUCAUGGUUUUUUUUUCAAAAAGUUUGUUCAUAUCUAUAAGAGGUUUAUGAUUUUUCAGUGUAUACUGUUGUGAAACCUAGAGUGUUUUAUCUCAUUUGACAUUGAACUACGCUUUGAAGGAAAAACCUUCAUUUGACAUCGAACUAUGCAUGCAGGGCAAACACCCCGUGCUUCGGUGCCACCGCGCCGCGAACCCUGGGAGCUUGAACCUGGAUGGGUGUGAACUUAAGAUUGAUGUCAAUGUUAGGGGUCAGUCAUGGAUAGAGAAUAAAGGGGACUUUGCGAAACUGUUAUUAAUAAUAUCGAUGAAACAUUGCCUUGUGGAGAGAAUAAGAUAUUUCGAGAGAUAUUUAUAAAUGGAUGCAUACUUGCAAUAGCAGUACAAAAUAUGAUGCUAACAUUUUAUUUUCAUUGUUGUUCCCAUUAAACUUCUGGUGGUGGCUCCAUUAUUCACAGCCUCACACAUGAAAAUGUUAUUUCGUUCGGGUAAAUGUUGCAUGUCGUUGCUCCUGUAGUUUUGCGGUUUGCAUGUCCUUGAAACUUGUGAAUUGGAUUUUGCGAAGUUGCAAUGCAAAUUUGGGAUGCAGGGAAGAUAAUAAACAAUGCUUUCUAAGAGCAUUGGAUAUUGGAUGCGACUCAGAAAGAACGCAUGCAAACGCAAGAUGCAAGACGUAGUAGGCACAUGUCCAGGUUUAUUAAGAGCAUCUACACCGGACGCCUCAUAUCUGUCACAGACGCAAAAUUGCCGGUCAGCACUAGGACGCAAAAUUGCCACCCAACAGGAUCUGUCAAACCCGGCCCAAACGUCUAGACAUGACCGCACUCCCCAUAUCCAGCCCAUAUCUCGGACGGAUAUGUGGAAGCCCAGAGACGCCCGGACACACCCGCCAUGUAGGAUCCGGCCGAGUGCGGCCCACCCGACCCUACAUAAAUUGGACCCUAUCCGCACUCCGAGCGAAACCCAAGCGGCAUUCAACUCCACUCUACUCCUCGCCAGGCCACUCCCGUCCACCCACAAGCCCCAUUUGCGAAUCUCCCACCAUUUCGAGUCGUUGAACUGGAGAUCGUCCCACGCGGCCCCAAGGAGGAGAUGGUCGACUGCCUUGCGCUUCUCCACUACCGGCGGAGUCCGCCCAGCAGCGGUCGAAAUCCAUCUAGUGGGAAUCCAUUGCGUUUGCCACAAUGGAGCAUGGAUCCCGCCCGAGGGCAGUCUACGCUGCCUUAGCACAGGCAGUGCACUCCGUCUGGCGUCCGAACGCCGUGGAGGAUACGCAACCACUUUGUUGGCGCACUGAGAAAGAUAUGCACACCUGCUUAACGUCUGAUAUUAAUAUGGUGUGUGGCGCAUCCACCGUGUUAGGAAAUGGGCACGGGAACCCGCGGCAGCCCUCGUGCCAGACGCCAGCGGGGCAGACUCGCACUCUUCGGUGCCUCGUAUCGUGCCCGGCAGCCCUUGGCGCCGAAAUCAUGUUGUGUUGGAUGCGGCCGGCUCCACCAUCAUGGAUCAAUCAUCGACCUCACAUCCACCGACGACGGGAGAGCACGGGCUCCGACGUGAAAGAGUAGGCCAUGGGAGAUGGCGCCGAAUCGAGUUUCUUUUGCCGGGUCGUGUCCCAUGUCCUACUCUACCUCACCAGAGACCGACCCUCCACUUUGACAGGCUCAGACAGCCAUCGGACAUGGACAGGUUAGGAACAACAAGGACAGUCACUGGCACAAAUUUAGACUACAGCCGUCGACGCGAGGUAAGUGCGGCAUGAGUUAAUCGCUGAAGAGGUUGGGCCGUUGUCGCCGGUUUGUCGUACAGUUGCCGACGUAGUCGUCCAUGACCACCAGAUCGACGCCGCCGUCACUGCAAGUCUAGGCGUCUCUGUAGUGGCUGAAGUCAUUUUAGUGUAUUUUCUUUGUAUUGUGAUGAUUGCAUACUGUGUUGCGUAUUGUGGCGUAUUUUCUUUGUAUUGUGAUGAUUGUAUACAGUACAAUGUAUUGUGGCAUAUUUUUUGUGGUCUAUUUUUAAAAAGAAAACUAUAAAUAGCUAAAAGUGGUGUGCAGAAUAAAUUUAUACCCGCCACUACAAAACAAAUGCCAGUACUGACACAUAUUUUUGCCCACCAUUAAUAGUAAUGACCCCCACUGCUACAAGUUCGAGGUCGAUGGCGGGCUGUUUGUAACGCCCGCCACUGUUAUAGUCAUUGGCAGGUGGAGCGCCCGCCACUAAUGCCAUGUUGCCAGUGGCAGGCGCCUCUGAGAGCCUUACCCGUCAUUACUAGGCUUUUGAUGCCGCCACUGCUACGCAUUCCUGCGAUAGUGUGCAAUUGCAUAUCUAGUAGAACAUAUACAACUAUCCUCCCAACAAACAGUUUCGUUCUACCAUGAAGUUAUAGUCGGGGUGAAGACAUUCAUUUAUAAUUGGAAGUGACGUUGCAGUUGCAUAUCAAGUAGGAGAUAUUUAACUGCCCUAAUGACAAAACACUUUUGUUCCCUGAGUUACAGUCGCAUUGGAGACAUGCAUUAGCGAAAUGGCACCACCUGUAGUUGCGUGUUUGGAGUUAGACAUGCAACUAGCUCCACAAUAAUAAUCUGAAUUUUAAGUUUUAAUGAAUUUUAAAUUAAAGAAAAAAGAAAAGAUGAGGAUAUAAAAACAGAAAUAGAGAAAACAAACAAUAGGAAAAAUCCUAAAAAAAGCAAAAACAAAGAAAGGAAAAACCUGUUUGAAGUUUGUAGAAGCUUCAUAAAACCAGUAGAAAGAGUCCUACAUGGGGCGGCCCACUCACACAUGUAAAAAGAGGCGGGCGAGGUGUAUGUCGACUAGCUCAGAGUUGGGGAAUCCUAUUCCGCGUAUAGGUCGCUACGUAGCGACCUAGCGCGUACCCCUCGGGUUUGUGGUCCUAUUCGGGUUGGUCCAUUCCAGGUUCUUCCCCAUACCGGUUUUUAGGAAAGUUCUAGAGCUUUUUUUCUAUUUUCUUUGUUUUCUUCUAGUUUUUUCUUUCUUUUAUAUUUUUUAUAUUACUUCUUAUUUUCUUUUACUUUAAAUUUUCUUUUUUGGUGUUGCAAACAUAUUUUCAAAUUCGUAAACGUUUAUUGAAUUCAAGAACAGUUUUUGAGUUGACAAACAUAUAUCUGAAAUAAUGAACAUUUUCUAAUUCGACAAUACAUUUUAAAAUCACAAAAUAACAAAAAAAUAACUUUUGAGGACAUUUUUUAAAAAUUCUGAACAUGUUUGUCAAUCGGCCGGCAUUUUUUGAAUCGAUGAACAUUUCUAUGAAUUGACAUGAUUUUUUUGAAUUGGUAAACAUUUUUUGAAUCGAUGACCAUUUUUUGAAUCAAUGAAUAUUUUUUACAUGAAUGAACAUUUUUGGAAAUUCACAAUAUUUUUUUUGAACAUUUUAAAAACUUGUUGAAUAUUGCUUGUAUCUCAACUUCCGUCCUGAUUAAUUAAAUAAAGUGGUGAUACCCAUCAAAAAAAAUAGCUACGGUUGGCACAAAAUUCGCGAUCAACGAAGGAAUAGACCUUCUUCCAGGAAGACCCGAUCAGACUCAGAAUCCCGGUUUACAAGACAUUUCGAUAAUGGUAAAACAAGACUAGCAAAGCCUCCCGCUGUGCCGACAAAUCCCGAUAGGAGCUGCACAUAUCUCGUUCUCAGGGCACACCGGAUUAUCCAAACUUCCGGUAGGCCAGCCCAGAGUUGCCCCUGGUGGCCACCGGCGGCUGGCAGGUUGGACCAACACUCACGACGAGCACUGGCCCGGGGGGGGGGGGGGGAAAAUAAAGAUGACCCUUGAGUCUGCAGAACCCAAGGGAAAAAGGCUUAGGUAGGCAAAUGGUAAAACCAAGGUUGGGCCUUGCUGGAGGAGUUUUAUUCAAAGCGAACUGUCAAGGGGGUCCCAUAAAUCACCCAACCGCGUAAGGAACGCAAAAUCCGGGAACGUAACACCGGUAUGACGGAAACUAGGGCGGCAAGAGUGGAACAAAACACCAGGCAUAAGGCCGAGUCUUCCAUCCUUUACCAAGUAUAUAGAUGCAUUAAUUAAAUAAGAGAUAUUGUGAUAUCCCAACAUAAUCAUGUCCAUCAUGGAGCAAUCUUCAACUUCACCUGCAACUAGCAACGCUAUAAGAGGGCUGAGCAAAGCGGUAACAUAGCCAAGCAAUGAUUUGCUAGGAAUGGUGAAAAGGUUAGAGGCUGACAUGGCAAUAUGGGAGGCAUGGUAAACAAGUGAUAGGUAGCGCAGCACAGCGAUAGAACGAAGCACCUAGCAAGCAAAGAUAGAAGUGAUAUCAAGGGUAAUGGUCAUCUUGCCUGAAAUCCCGAUAGGAAGAAGAACGAGUCCAUGAAGAAGAGAAACGAACGUAGUCGAACGAAUCCUCACAACUCCGGAACGAAACCGAAGCUAACGAAAGAAGCAAACCGGAAAGAAGCAAACAACAUGGUAAACACACACACAUAAACAUGGCAUGAUGCACAAACAAGUAUGAUGCAUGUCCGGUUUAAUGAGGCAUGGCAUGGCAAAGUGCGACAAACAAUACUACAAGUUAAGUGGAGCUCAAUAUGCAACGAGUUUCAUAUUGACGAAACACCACAUCAACUAUUUAGUUCUCUCUCGUUUAGGCUAACAAACAAUAUUUAAUGUUGUUAAACAUGUCAAGAGGUGAAAUAUAAUUAAACUAACUAUUUAGGCAAGUUUAAAUGAGGCCGGAAACAACAAACAACAAUUCCGGUAAAUCCCCAUAUGUCAAUUAGCAAUUUUAAAGCAAACAACAAUUUUAACCAUUUUAAUUGUUGUUAUCAUGAUGCGGAUGACAUAUGCAAGUUUUAUGCAAUUUUAUGAAAAUGUUGACAUGAGCAUGUUAUGAAGCAUUUGGUCACCAUGGCGGAACGAAAAGGGUGCCACGGCAACGAUAACGAAAAUGGUGCCACGGCAACAGAUCCGAAAAUGAUGCCACGGCAACAUAUCGGUCCCGAUAACUCGAGUGAGAUACCGAUGCAAACGAGAAGUGUGACGUGAGCGAGUCAUGCAAGAUGGUGGGGUGAUCCCGGCUACCGGGUUCCCACGGGUUAGUGGCAUGGCAAAGAGCGACAAUUCGGACGCGGUGCACACACAAGCAUCUCAUACAACACAUAUUCAUUCGGUCCACGCUUGAUCGUCUCGGGGCUUAUACCUUCGAAGCGUGCGUUUUCGGAGCGGUUCAAAAACGUCGAGGGAAGUAGUCGUUCACGGGUCGUAGGGGAAGUAGUCGUUCACGUUCGUCUCGGAGAGGUACUUGACGAAUCCAACAUCUUCGGGGCGACGAUAGUGGUUCACGGACGUCGUGGGAAGUAGUGGAAGUAGUUGUACACGGCGACGGUAGUUGUACACACGUUGUAGUCGAACUUGACGGUCUCGGUCCUGGCGAUCCAAAGGGCACUUGGCGGUUUUGAUCGAACCGUAGUGGUACUGGGCGAGAUACACAGCCACGGCAGUCUUCGGCCUUGAUUUUCCUGUACAUGACUCCACAGGUCCUGAGGGGACUCGGCGAUGGCCAUGGCAAAGAGGCGGCUAGGCGUUGGACGGACUAACAGGCAGAGGUGGUCGUGGUAGUACUAGCUCAUGGGGAUGGCGGUCUUGGGCGGCAACAACCUGCCGUGUUGGUGCAGCAGCGGCUGCUGGAGAGGCCAUGGCUACAAGGGUGGCGAGCUCGAGCAAAUCCGACGAGGACGUCCGGGAUGGCUGGGGUUGCGAGGGAGCAGAGGUCGGCCGGUCGUGGCAGACGGCGGAGAACACCUCAGCCACGGGGAAGGUGGACGGCGGGCUUCGGAGCAAGGGGAGACAGAUGCGGGCGAGCGGAGCACGGCGGGGACGCGGGGAUGCUGAUGGCCUGCGACAGAUAGACUUUUUUAGUUCGCACUCGUGUUCGUGUUGGAGACGGACUGCUCCUUCGUGUGCGAGAUGGACGACGACGUGUUUUUUUCCUCUUCCCGGUUGAUGAUGCCCAUAUGGAGUGCGGGUUGAUUUCAUAAAAGAUGAGGGACUUGUUUGCAAAAAUGCNNNNNNNNNNNNNNNNNNNNNNNNNNNNNNNNNNNNNNNNNNNNNNNNNNNNNNNNNNNNNNNNNNNNNNNNNNNNNNNNNNNNNNNNNNNNNNNNNNNNNNNNNNNNNNNNNNNNNNNNNNNNNNNNNNNNNNNNNNNNNNNNNNNNNNNNNNNNNNNNNNNNNNNNNNNNNNNNNNNNNNNNNNNNNNNNNNNNNNNNNNNNNNNNNNNNNNNNNNNNNNNNNNNNNNNNNNNNNNNNNNNNNNNNNNNNNNNNNNNNNNNNNNNNNNNNNNNNNNNNNNNNNNNNNNNNNNNNNNNNNNNNNNNNNNNNNNNNNNNAUAUAUAUAUAUAUAUAUAUAUAUAUAUAUAUAUAUAUAUAUAUAUAUAUAUAUAUAUAUAUAUUUCUAUCAUAGCUUACUAUGGAAAUAGCUAUCAGAACCGUCGGACUCUACCUCAAGAUUCGAACCGAAGUGUGGUCCGGUUCCUUUUCUUGUUCUUUUCUUGAUUUUUGGAUGGUGUAACCCACAAACAGAAACUCAAACGACAUCCACCCUGCUAGCCCAGGCUGCCGACCUGGAACCUAUCCCCUGAUCAAAGAAGCAGAAGAAGAACUCACGCAAGCAAGCAUCGCUCUCGCGUCAUGAUCAUCGCAAAACCUAUACCUGCAACUGUUGUUGUAGUAAUCUGUGAGCCACGAGGACUCAGCAAUCCCAUUGCCAUGGGUAUCAAGACUAGCAAAGCUUAAAGGGAAAGGAAGGGGUAAAGUGGUGAGGCUGCAGCAGCGACUAAGCAUAUAUGGUGGCUAACAUACGCAAAUAAGAGCGAGAAGAGAGCAAGCAGAACGGUCGUGAAGCUAGCAAUGAUCAAGAAGUGAUCCUGAACUCCUACUUACGUCAAACAUAACCCAGAAACCGUGUUCACUUCCCGGACUCCGCCGAGAAGAGACCAUCACGGCUACACACGCGGUUGAUGCGUUUUAAUUCGGAUCUGGUGUCAAGUUAUCUACAACCGGACAUUAACAAAUUCCCAUCUGCCUAUAACCGCAGGCACGGCGUUCGAAAGAUUAUACCCUGCAGGGGUGUCCCAACUUAGCGCAUGACAAGCUCUCGCGAUCAACGAAGGAAUAGACCUUCUCCCAGGAAGACUCGAUCAGACUCGGAAUCCCGGUUUAUAAGACAUUUCGACAAUGGUAAAACAAGACAAGCAAGACCGCCAGAUGUGCGGACAAUCCCGAUAGGAGCUGCACAUAUCUCGUUCUCAGGGCAACACCGGAUGAGCAAUCCGUACAACUAAAACCAGACCUCAAGUUUCCCUGAGGGGGUGCUGCAAAGGGCUCUAGUUCGGACCAACACUUAGACAAGCACUGGCCCGGGGGCGCUAAAAUAAAGAUGACCGUUGGGAUGCGCCACUCCCAAGGGAAAAAGGGGUAGGUGAUGCAAAUGGUAAAACCAAGGUUGGGCCUUGCUGGAGGAGUUUUAUUCAAAGCGAACUGUCAAGGGGGUCCCAUAAAUCACCCGACCGCGUAAGGAACGCAAAAUCCGGGAACAUAACACCGGUAUGACGGAAACUAGGGCGGCAAGAGUGGAAUAAAACACCAGGCAAAAGGCCGAGUCUUCCACCCUUUACCAAGUAUAUAGAUGCAUUAAUAAUAUAAGAGAUAUUGUGAUAUCCCAACCAAAAUCCUGUCCACCAUGGAGAAAUCUUCAACUUCACCUGCAACUAGCAACGCUAUAAGAGGGGCUGAGCAAAAGCGGUAACAUAGCCAAACAACGGUUUGCAUAGGAAAGGUGCCAAAGGUUAGAGGUUCAUGGCAAUAAGGGAUGGCUGGAUAAAUAGGUGAUAGGUAACGCAUCAUAGCAAUAGAACGAAACAACUAGCAUAGCAAUGAUAGUAGUGAGAUCCAGGGUAACAGUCAUCUUGCCUGAAAUCCCGCUAGGAAGAAGAAACGAGUCCAUGAAGAAGACGAACGGAUGAAGCCAAACCAAGCGUAGACGAACGAAUCCUCACGAUCGCAACGAAACAGGAACUAUCGAAAAGAAGCACACAACAUAGUAAACACACCACACAUGAACAUGACAUGAUGCACAACAAGCAUGAUGCAUGACAAAGCUACAUGAAGCUACUCAUGGCAAGAGAUGAUGCAAACAAGAACAACACAACAAGGCAAGUUUAAAUGAGGCCGGGAACAACAUAUAACAAUUGCGGUAAGUCCUCAUAUGCAUAUUUCGAAAUUGGUCCAGAUCUGAAUAAACCUUAUGUUCAAGUUGUUAAACAGCAAGUUAAGAUGCAACAAGAUGAUCUACACGAGAUUCUAGUCAAGUUACUUAUAAAGUUCAUUUAGUUCGGAGCUACGGCCUAAGAGAUAUGAGGAAAACAAGUUAAACAUGGCAUUGAUGCAAAAUGCACCCAAACAUCAAGCAAACACACCAAAACAAGGAUGCAACAUGAUAAUAUGAAACUACAUGCAAAAUCAAGCAAGUUUCAUAUAGAGCACACUCAAAAGGGAGCAACGGUUCAACACACUCACACUAAACAAGUCAUAGCAACAAUCUGUCCAAAACAGCAACCUGGCAUAUUGCAAGCAUCAAAAGAACGUGCUACAGGACCUCAACAAGAAAACAGAAGGCAUGGGCAUGAUGUACAGGUAAAUCAUUACAAAACAUGAACACUGAGCUAUCUCCAGAAAUCACUAGAAAAUGCUCAAACACACAUGGUAAGAUUGCAAGUUAUAACAAUUUCAGACUUUGCAGAAAAUAACAUCACGAUGCAAUGUUUAGAGCUAUCACACAAUAUGUUACAGGAACUUAUCAUGGCAAACAAAGGCAUGGCAUGAAUCUACUAAUUGCAUAGAUCAAAAGUCCCUUAGUGACCAUAAGCCAAAAAGGACCAGAAAAUAUGAUGGCACCCACGUAAAUAUGGCAAGUUAUUAUACAGAUUCAAACAUGGCAGAAACAGAAUUAUGAAGGCGUGUAGAUGAGCUUGUGCAACUCACUACAGAUCAUUACAUGGCAUUGCAAGGCACCCAACAGUAAGAAGGCAUGUUUGUGAAGCUAAGCAUGGCAAUAGCAAGGUCAUAGGGUUCAUGGAACACUAGCAAAACACAUGGAAACAAGUGAACUUAAUGUUAACAGGCUGACAGCAACAUUAUGAAGCAACUUUGGAGCAAGCUAUGAACAAGCUACAGCAAGCUAUAAAUGCAACCAGGGCAUGGAUGGAUAUAGCAUGACAUGUAGAACAAAACACAUUUAUAGAACAUCUCCAUAUUAUGCAUAGAAUGAUUUGUAGAAGCAUGUUUAUAUAGCAUCACGAAAUAACAGAUUCAGCCUAGCAAAACAACAUCAUGUACCCUACUUAACAAGCUCGAUUCACUCACCACAAGUCAUUGCAUGACAAGAUAAGAAUAGCAUCAUCAAGAAGACAUGUUUGUGAAACAAACCAAGUCAAGAACAAGUCCAUAGCAUGCAAGGAUCAACUACACAACCUUGGCUAAAUUGAAUGACAAGUAAACAAUCUGCCAGGAAACAUUUUGAAGCAAAAGUAGAGCACUCAAAUGACAUGCUAGACUACUCCAUAAUUGCAACCAAGGGCAUGAAUGGAUAGACAAUAACCAUAUGUUCAAAACAUCCUUACUGAAGGAUCUCAAAAUAUGCAUGGAUCUCUCUGUAGCAUCAAGUAUACAUGGCAUCAAAAUAACAGCAGAACAGGGACUAAAAUCAGUAACAUCACGAUGCCUAGUUUGCAUGCUUGUGCUAGUCACCACAUUGAUCACAAAAAUACAUGGUAAGCACCUCUGUAAAGAAGACAUGGCAUAGAUCAAAACACAUGUAGACAUCAACCUCAUAGGAUGCACACAUCAAUCAUGGCAAAAAAUGACAAAAGAGCUCGUUUUGGUAACAGACAGCAGAAAACAUUAUGAAGCACUCUUACAAUGAUGCUUCAGGCAUCAAGAUGACCUCAAAUGAAUAUGAUGCAAUGGAAUGAAAUGAUGUAAUCAUCGAGACGAACAAUUUGACAUAUUACACGCACGAAACGGAGCUACGGAUGCAGAGAUACAGCAGGUCAAACAUGGCAUGAAAAUUACACAGAUUCAGGGACUUAGGCAAAAUUAUACCUCGCGAAAAGUCAACCCGGGACGAGGACGUUCCGGGACGGAGGGAUCCAGGACGGGGGCGCCGUUUGGUUGGUGGGCCUGGUGGAUCUCAUCCACUCGUGGCGGAUCUGGCCGGAGGAGAGCUCCGGCGAGCUCUCCGGCGAGGCACGGUCGACGAGGGGCGAGGUGGGACGGCGGGGAUCCGCGGCAGAGGCGCGCAGGGGCUCGGGAUCCGGAGGGGNNNNNNNNNNNNNNNNNNNNNNNNNNNNNNNNNNNNNNNNNNNNNNNNNNNNNNNNNNNNNNNNNNNNNNNNNNNNNNNNNNNNNNNNNNNNNNNNNNNNNNNNNNNNNNNNNNNNNNNNNNNNNNNNNNNNNNNNNNNNNNNNNNNNNNNNNNNNNNNNNNNNNNNNNNNNNNNNNNNNNNNNNNNNNNNNNNNNNNNNNNNNNNNNNNNNNNNNNNNNNNNNNNNNNNNNNNNNNNNNNNNNNNNNNNNNNNNNNNNNNNNNNNNNNNNNNNNNNNNNNNNNNNNNNNNNNNNNNNNNNNNNNNNNNNNNNNNNNNNNNNNNNNNNNNNNNNNNNNNNNNNNNNNNNNNNNNNNNNNNNNNNNNNNNNNNNNNNNNNNNNNNNNNNNNNNNNNNNNNNNNNNNNNNNNNNNNNNNNNNNNNNNNNNNNNNNNNNNNNNNNNNNNNNNNNNNNNNNNNNNNNNNNNNNNNNNNNNNNNNNNNNNNNNNCAGACUCCGGGAAGAAAAGGGUGGGAGGGCGGGAAAACAAAGGCAACUUGGAAGGGGGAACGACGAAUAUCUUGAAGAGAAAACUCCGGUUGAAAUCAUUGCGGAAAGAAAGCAAAGACUUCGCACGAGUAGGAUGGAUACUCGAUUACGGACUCCGGCUUCGAGAAGAAAAGGGGAGGGCGGGUGGGAAAAGAAAACAACUGAGGAUUGAACUUGCAAAGAUGAAGAGGGUCAAGUCAACUUGACGAGAAAUGCACCGGAUGAAAAGAGCUGAGGAACAACGAUCGAAAAACCAACCGCGUGAUCCUAAAGAAAAAUUUGAAGGGGAAGAGGAGUAAUUCAAAUCACCUACAUCAAGAUUUCUCACCAGAGCGACGAAGGGGCUGAGGAGUAAAAAGACUUCCUACUCUCAGAUAUAACUAGACUCCGAAAACAGUUUUAUUCUAGACUCAACAUCGGCCAAACUACACGAUCAAUCAAGGGGGCUCCUAGGGUCGGUCGAGGCUCUGAUACCAACUUGUCACGCCCAAUAUGCGACCCUAUCCAAAAGGAACUCGAAGGUCCCACCAAGAAUAGGCCCGCAUAUUGAAACGCUUUUGCAAGGUGGAUAUCAUUACAUUAACAUUACAUAAUAUAUGGGGAAACAGACAUAAGGCAUACAAUGCACACGAAUACAACAUCACAAUACAUCAAAGCAUCAUCCAACUAUGGAUGAAACACAAACAGAAACUCAAACGACAUCCACUCUGCUAGCCCAGGCUGCCGACCUGGAACCUAUCCCUGAUCGAAGAAGAAGCAGAAGAAGAACUCCAAAACAAGCAACAUCGCUCUCGCGUCAUGAUCAUCGCACCACCUGUACCUGUAACUGUUGUUGUAGUAAUCUGUGAGCCACGAGGACUCAGCAAUCCCAUUACUAUGGGUAUCAAGACUAGCAAAGCUUAAAAGGAAAGGAAGGGGUAAAGUGGUGAGGCUGCAGGAGCGGCUAAGCAUGAUAUGGUGGCUAACAUACGCAAAUAAGAGCGAGAAGAGAGCAAGCAGAACGGUCGUGAAAUUAGCAAUGAUCAAGAAGUGAUCCUGAACUCCUACUUACGUCAAACAUAACCAAGAAACCGUGUUCACUUUCCGGACUCCGCCGAGAAGAGACCAUCACGGCUACACACGCGGUUGAUGCGUUUUAAUUCGGAUCUGGUGUCAAGUUAUCUACAACCGGACAUUAACAAAUUCCCAUCUGCCUAUAACUGCAGGCACGGCUUUCGAAAGAUUAUACCCUGCAGGGGUGUCCCAACUUAGCCCAUGACAAGCUCUCGCGAUCAAAGAAGGAAUAGACCUUCUCCCAGGAAGACCCGAUCAGACUCGGAAUCCCGGUUUACAAGACAUUUCAACGAUGGUAAAACAAGACCAGCAAGACCGCCCGAUGCGCCGUCAAUCCCGAUAGGAGCUGCACAUAUCUCGUUCUCAGGGCACACCGGAUUGUCCAAACUUCCGGUAGGCCAGCCCAGAGUUGCCCCUGGUGGCCACCGGCGGUUGACAGGUUGGACCAACACUCACGACGAGCAUUGGCCCGGAGGGGAUAAAAUAAAGAUGACCCUCGAGAGCGCGACUCCCAUGGGAAAAAGGGCUAUGUGAGGCAAAUGGUAAAACCAAGGUUGGGCCUUGCUGGAGGAGUUUUAUUCAAAGCGAACUGUCAAGGGGGUCCCAUAAAUCACCCGACCUCCCCGGCGAUCCUCGAAAUCCGUGCACGAGUUGACUUUCUCACCCUCGAGGUUGAAUUUUCUGCUAAGUCCCUAUAUUUUGUUAUUUUCAUGCCAUGUCCGUCAUGCUGUAUCUCUGCAUCCGUAGCUCCGUUUCAUGCGUGUAAUAUGUCAAAUUGUUCGUCUUAACGAGUACAUCAUUUCAUUCCAUUGCAUCAUAUUCAUUUAAGGUAAUCUUGAUGCCUGAAUCAUCAUUGUAAGAGUGCUUCAUGAUGUUUUCUGCUGUCUGUUAUCAGAACGAGCUCUUUUGUCAUUUUUGCCAUGAUUGAUGUGUGCAUCCUAUGAGGUUGAUGUCUACAUGUGUUUUGAACUAUGCCAUGUCUUCUUUACAGAGGUGCUUACCAUGUAUUUUUGUGAUCAAUGUGGUGACUAGCACAAGCAUGCAAACUAGGCAUCAUGAUGUUACUGAUUUUAGUCCCUGUUCUGCUGUUAUUUUGAUGCCAUGUAAACUUGAUGCUACAGAAAGAUCCAUGCAUAUUUUGAGACACUUCAGUAAGGGUGUUUUGAACAUGUGGUUAUUGUCUAUCCAUUCGUGCCCUUGGUUGCAAUUAUGGAGUAGCCUAGAAUGUCAUUUUCGUGCUCUACUUUUGCUUCAAAAUGUUUCCUGGCAGAUUGUUUACAUGUUAUUCAAUUUGGCCAAGGUUGAUAUAGUUGAUCCUUGCAUGCUAUGGACUUGUUCUUGACUUGGUUUGUUUCACAAACAUGUAUUCUUGAUGAUGCUAUGCUUAUCUUGUCAUGCAAUGACUUGUGGUGAGUGAAUCGAGCUUGUUAAGUAGGGUACUUGAUGUUGUUGUUUUGCUAGGCUGAAUCUAUUAUUUCGUGAUGCUAUAUAAACCUACUGCUACUAAUCAUUCUAUGCAUAAUCUGGAGAUGUUCUAUAAACAUGUUCUGAUCUACAUGUCAUCCUAUAUCCAUCCAUGCCCCUGGUGCAUUUAUAGCUUGUUGUAGAUUGUUCAUAUCUUGCUCCAAACUUGCUUCAUAAUGUUGCUGUCAGUCUGUUAACAUUAAGUUCAGUUGUUGACAUGAUUGUUGCUAGUGUUCCAUACAUCCUAUGACGUUGCUAUUGCCAUGCUUAGCUUCACAAACAUGCCUUCUUACUGUUGGUUGCCUUGCCAUGCCAUGUUUUGCUCUGUAGUGAGUUGCACAAGCUCAUCUACAUGCCUUCAUAAUUCUGUUUCUGCCAUGUUUGAAUCUGUAAUAUAACUUGCCAUGUUUACAUGGGUGCCAUCAUAUUUUCUGAUCGUUUUUGGCUUAUGGUCAGUAAAGGAAUUUUUGAUCUAUGAAAUUAGUAGAUUCAUGCCAUGCCUUUGUUUGCCAUGAUAAGUUCCUGUAACAUGUUGUUUGAUAGCUCUAAAUAUUGCAUCGUGAUGUUAUUUUCUGCAAAGUCUGAAAUUGUUAUAACUUGCAAUCUUACCAUGUGUGUUUGAGCAUGUUCUAAUGAUUUCUGGAGAUAGCUCAGUGUUCAUGUUUUGUUGUGCUUUACCUGUACAUCAUGCUCAUGCAUUUUAUUUCCAUAUUGUGGUGCUGUAGCAUAUUGUUUUGAUGCUUGCAAUAUACCUAGUUGCUGUUUUGGACAGAUUGUUGCUUUCACUUGUAUAUGGUGUGUGUGCUGAACCGUUGCUCCGUUUUGAGUGUGCUAUAUAUGAAACUUGCUUGUUUUUGCAUGUAGUUUCAUAUUAUCAUGUUGCAUCCAUGUUUUGAGGUGUUUGCUUGAUGUUUGAGUGCAUUUUACAUCAAUGCCAUGUUUAACUUGUUUUGCUCAUAUCUUCUAGGUCGUAGCUCCGAACUAAAUGAACUUUAUAUGUAACUUGACUAGAAUCUCGUGUAGAUCAUCUUUGUGCAUCUUAACUUGCUGUUUAACAACUUGAACAUAAGGUUUAUUCAGAUCUGGACCAACUUCGAAAUAUGCAUAUGAGGACUUAUCAGAAUUGUUAUAUGUUGUUCCCGGCCUCAUUUAAACUUGCCUUGAUGUGUUAUUCUUGUUUGCAUCAUCUCUGGCCAUGAGUAGCCUCAUCUAGAUUUGUCAUGCAUCAUGCUUGUUGUGCAUCAUGUCAUGUUCAUGUGUGGUGGGUUUACUAUGUUGUGUGCUUCUUUUCGAUAGUUCCCGUUUCGUUGCGGUCGUGAGGAUUCGUUCGUCUACGCUUGGUUCUUCGUGGCUUCAUCUUCUUCAUGGACUUGUUCUUCUUCCUUGCGGAAUUUUUGGAAAGAUGACCGCUACCUUGGAUCUCACUACUAUCAUUGCUAUGCUAGUUGCUUCGUUCUAUCGCUAUGCUGCGUUACCUAUCUCUGCUCAUCAAGCCUCCCAUAUUGCCAUGAACCUUUAACCUUUGACACCUUUCCUAUGCAAACCGUUGUUUGGCUAUGUUACCGCUUUUGCUCAGCCCCUCUUAUAGCGUUGCUAGUUGCAGGUGAAGUUGAAGAUUUCUCCAUGGUGGACAGGAUUUUUGUUGGGAUAUCACAAUAUCUCUUAUAUUAUUAAUGCAUCUAUAUACUUGGUAAAGGGUGGAAGACUCGGCCUUAUGCCUGGUGUUUUGUUCCACUCUUGCCGCCCUAGUUUCCGUCAUACCGGUGUUAUGUUCCCGGAUUUUGCGUUCCUUACGCGGUCGGGUGAUUUAUGGGACCCCCUUGACAGUUCGCUUUGAAUAAAACUCCUCCAGCAAGGCCCAACCUUGGUUUUACCAUUUGCCUCAUAUUUCUAUCAUAGCUUACUAUGGAAAUAGGUAUCAGAACCGUCGGACUCUGCCUCAAGAUUCGAACCGAAGUGUGGUCCGGUUACUUUUCUUGUUCUUUUGUUGAUUUUUGGAUGGUGUAACCCGACCCACGUGCUGACAACUUUACAGAUGGAGUAAAGACAGGGCCUGCCCCAUGUGGUUCUGACUCGUUCUUGGACCAACUCGUCGGUCACGGACGUGUGCAAUGGAGGUUCCACGCCGUCCAUUGAACUUUUUUUAGCAUCAGUAGGCGCCUCGUCGUCGAUGGGAACGUCUUCUCCCACUGAAAGCGCAUCGCCGGAAAUUCUGAAAUAAAUCCAGAAAUAAUGCGAGCACCAGGAUUUGAACCCUGAUGGGUUAGGGAUAUCACUGUCCACCUAACCAACUCAACCGCAGGUUGAUUCGCUCACCGUCCAUUGAACUUGCAUACCGGUUCCUGCUGCUCGUGAGCCUCGUUACGGCCAGUUCCUUCGUCGCAUGACACCUUUUUUUUCCAGUUGCCACGUCGCGUUCCUUUUCCAUCUCUUUGGCGAAUUUUGUGCUGAUAAAAGCCUGUGUUGAGUCAGUACAGCACAAGUUCGGAGGUUCCGCGCCCUCAUAAAAUGAACGUGUAGGUUCUGUCGUAUAUGAUACUACCAUAGUACAUGAUUUUCCCUACAUAUACGUAGCCGGCGUGCAGGAGUGUCAGAACCUUCAAUGCAUGCACUGUAUCAGUGUCAUACACAUGCAAUGGGACAAAUUUUUUAAGCACAAAAGGAUGGAUAGUUUAAUGCAACCCCUCAUAUGGACAUACAGGCAGCUUAAUUCGUGCCGUGCUCCUACAGGUAAAUAUACUACCUGUAAUCGCAAUUGAAUAUGAAAAAAAAACAGUCGAUUCAACGUUUCAUGAAGACUCGUUUGGCACCACUCUUGGAUUUGAUGAUACUUCGUGGCAACCAACUCCCUCCUGUCGGUUCUUUUAUGAAGACUCGUUCGACACCGCCCUUGAAUUUGACGGUUCUUCGGGGUGACCAACUCCCUCCUAUCGGUUCUUUUGUGAAGACUCGUUAGGCAUCAUCCUUGAAUUUGACAUUUCUCCGGGGCGACCAACUCGCUCCUAUCGGUUCUUUCGUGAGACUCGUUCGGCACCACCCUUGGGUUUGACGGUUCUUCGUGGCGACCAACUCCCUCUUAACUGUUCUUUUUUGAAGACUUGUUCGGCACCACCAUUGGGUUUGGCGGUUCUUUGUGGCGACCAACUCCCUCUUAUCGGUUCUUUUGUGAUGACUCGUUCGGUACUACCCUCUGAUUUGACGGUUCUCCAUGGUGACCAACUCUCUCCCAUCGGUUCUUUGGUGAAGACUCGUUCGGCACCACCCUUUGAUUUGACGGUUCUUCAUGAUGAAUAACUUCCUCCUACCAGUUCUUGAUGGCGAUGUCGGCUCUUCACAAAUUCGAUUCCAGUUGCAAGUAUAGUUUUGACGGCUCUACGGAGGUGGAAUCCGGUUCUUUGCAAAUUGUAUUCUGGUUCCAAGUAUAAUUUUGAUGGUACUGUGGAGGUGAGACAUCGGCCCUAGCGUAUUACCUUCUCACAAAAAAAGAACUUGUAUUACCUAGCGUAGUGGACACAAGCUAGUACAUACAGUUGUUUUAUACCUGAUGAAUAAUUAACUUAGCCAACACUAAUCAACUGUCUUGACAAGAUUACCUAACACAGUAGUCCCCCGUACAAGCCACGGGUCACAGCUAGGGAAGCAGGGAACGGAGACAGUGACCUCGAGGUACGGCAGUGCAUAUAUCGAAGCAUUGGCGCAUGCACAAGUGCACGCAUCUGCAGCAGUAGGGACAUACUCAUAUUAUAAUUUUCUGUGAAGCUCUAGCACCUAGUGCCCCAGCUCUGCACCAAGUCCUGAGGCCUGGAGUGUCAAUAGCUGCUUAGCCAAAAGAUCUGCUAAUGGAACGCAAAGUACAUUUCUGAUUUGUGCCAGCAUAUCCUUGCUUAGAAAAAAUCAUGCACCAAAAGCAGCCAGAAAAUCACACGGCAAGUAAACAAAUCAAGAGCCCUAGGGACACAAGUAAAUACAGGAACAAAAAUCAAGAGCAGAGUUAGAGAUCCACAAGUAAAUACUGGAACAGAUUUUUUUAGUAACUCACUUAAAGUUAUUUUAAGAUUGUGGUGCGAACUAGGGUCCCAUUUUGAUUAAAAGGCCCUGUGCUUGUCACGUGGUUCAUUCCCAACGCUCGUCGGAAUGGCACUGCUUCUACGUGUUUGCGACCUCUGUUCUCCGUUUCAGUCUAAAAGGUUCCAUCAGUCUCAAAGUGUUGGUCAUAUGCGUCUCUGGUCCAUUUCUCCAACCUGAACUCAUCAGAUGGACCACUGGUGGCCGCAGCCCGGGCGCAGCUUAUUCCUGUCAAACAGGCCACUAAAACUCCGAGAACUCCCUCCACAAUUUCUCCCCCUCCCGUGCUGCACGAAUCACAAAGUUUGGGGCAAUGACUUAGAUAGCUAUGUCUGGAGCAAGCUAUGGUAGACAUAAUUUUGCACACACACACACACACACACACACACACACACACACACACACACACACACACAUAUAUAUAUAUAUAUAUAUAUAUAUAUAUAUAUAUAUAUAUAUAUAUAUAUAUAUAUAUAUCCACAUGUAUUCUCAUUCACACACAUAUUCUCAUUCUUGAAAUGAACAACUUUUUUACUCACCUAUAUAUAUCUCCCGAGAGAGACCGAUCGAGAGAGCACGCGGUUAAUUAGAUGAUGAGAGAGACCGAUCGAGAGAGCAUGCAUGGAUGGCUAAAUAGCUAGCUAGAUCUAGUUGUUGGGGAGGAGNNNNNNNNNNNNNNNNNNNNNNNNNNNNNNNNNNNNNNNNNNNNNNNNNNNNNNNNNNNNNNNNNNNNNNNNNNNNNNNNNNNNNNNNNNNNNUGGAGAUGGAGUUAUGGUGGAGGGGGCAUUAAUGGGGAGAGGACGAGAGGUAGGAGAAAGAGAGAUGUGAGAGAGGCCAUUUAUGGAGAAGAGUUAUGGUGGAGGGGGACAUUAAUGAGGAGAGAAGAGAGGUAGUAGGAAGAGAGAAGAAGAGCAACAAUGGUGGAGAGUGGAGAGGGGAAAGGAGGGGGAGAGAGGGCAAAGUGGGGGAGAGGAGGGGGAGGGGGUGAAAAGGUGGCACCAGCCGCAACUAGCAGUAGCGCUGCUUACCAAAACGCGAUGCUGCUACCGUACUUAGUAGCAGUGCUUUCCUGGAGAAGCGCUACUACUAAGUGGGGCCCAUUAGCAGUAGCGGCGCAGUAAAAUAAAGCGCUACUACUAAACUGUUAGUAGUAGUGUUGGAUUCUGCACAGCGCUGGUACUACAUCUAUCGUCGGUGGCCUCGUCUGGUCCCACGUAGUAGUAUCGUGUUUUUGGUUUCCAGCGCUACUGCUAUAGACAGAAUAGUAGCACUUUCCUGGAUCGGCGCUACUGCUAACUAGUAGCAGCAUUGACUAUUUUCCAGCGCUACUGCUAACUAGUAGCUGCUAACUUGUAUAAGCAUUUCCCUAGUAGUGUUAAUUUUAUUGACAGAUUGCACUUCUAGUUUCUACAGCUAGUGCUAACCGAUGAUUGAAAAAUAUAUCUACCUUAACUCUAGACAACUACAUCACAUUGUCACUGCCUAGCAGUGAUGAACCCUAGCGAUACAAAUAAAAAAAUUACAAUGGCAGUGACCUACAGCAAAAGAGGGAGGGAUGAUAUGCUCACCGGGGUUGGAGCCGAGGGUUGCCUACAGCCUACUCUGUCGCCGUCAUCGUCACCUGUGGUAGAUGAGAGUGGGAGGCUCAGAUGCAAAACACACCUCUAAAUUAAAAAAAAUUCCAAAUGGACUAGAUGAGAGUGGGAGGCUCAGAUGUGUACCUCAAGACCGGAGAACGACGACAAUCGUCGGAAUCGGCCAAAAUCAAAGUGGCACGACCAGCGGCGAGAGAGGGAGAGAAAAGGGAACGAAACAGAGCAGCGGGUCACAGAGUGAGAGUGGGUUGAGGGGGUCGUUGCCCCCAUUGGUUUUGACCCCCACGGCAUUCUAAUACUAUUUGUGCUUGCCCAAUAAGAAAAAAGAUCACCACCUAGAAAUUGUCAUCUCAAAACUAUAUAUUUCAAGUCUUAAACUAAAAAGGAAAAAAAGUAAAUUUAACAAAAGUAAACUAUAAUAUACUAUUAAAAAGAUCACAGAAUAAAAAACUAAAAAAAUUUGGAAGUGUCAAAAUACAUAUUUGAAGGCUCAAAACUAUAUAUUUCAAGUCUUAAACUAAAAAGGAAAAAAAAUUAAAGUCUCAAAGUACAUAUUAAAAAAAUGUCAUUAUUUCCAUUUAAAAUAAUAUAAAUUUAAUAAAAGUAAACUAUAAUAUACUAUAAAAAAGAUCACCACACAAAAACCUAAAAAGAAAAAAAAUGGAAGUGUGAAACUACAUAUUGGAAGGCUCAAAACUAUAUAUUUCAAGUCUCGAACUAAAAAGGAAAAAACAGUGAAUUUUAAGUCUCAAACUACAUAUUUUAAAAANNNNNNNNNNCAUCAAAAUGAAUAAAGGAGGCUGUAUCUAGAUGUAUUUUAGUUCUAGAUACAUCCCUUUCUAUUUGUUUUGAUCACAAGUAUUUUCGGAUGGAGGGAGUAUUAAAUACUGUCACAACUAUUCUUAUAUUUAGUAACAGAGAUAAUAGUAUUUAAUAGUAGUAUAUCAUUUUUCCUAAAUACUCCCUCCGUACCAAAAUUCAUGUCUUAUAUUUGUCUAGAUACGGAUGUAUCUGACACUAAAAUGUAACUAGAUACAUCCGUAUUUAGACAAAUCAAAGACAAAAAUUUUGGGAUGGUGGGAGUAUAAGAAUAUUACUAUUAAAUACUAGUAUACAAAUAUAUAUUUAAUAGUAUACCAAAAUAUAAGAAUAUUUAAUAGAAAUAUACCAAAGAUAUGCUACUAUUAAUUGCUGGUAUUAAAUAAAUAAAUCUGUAGAUUAACACGCGAUCCCCACCUUGGCCUGUGCCUUCCGUUUCAGUUCAUAAAAGGCAACACAUGCUUCUCCUCCUCGCUCACAUUCUUCUCAUCCCGCUCUCCUCAACCAACUCCGCGCGUCUGCUCGACCGAUCCACCGCGAUGUCUAGCUCCGACGUCAGUGCCAUGCCCGCAGCCAACCACGAGGGGCACAGCCUAGCGGGCCCCGCCCCGCCCCCUGCGCCGGUGGUUCACAAGCGCAAGCCCGGGAGACCCCAGGAGAAAAGCCCGCCCCCAGCGGCCACCAGAGAGGAGCUGGAAUCCAGGGAGUCCCGGGAAGGACCCUUGAAGGUGCUUGCGCUCCCGGCGCCAGGGGCCCGGCGUGCUUAUGUUGUCUCGGAUGACAAGAUGGUGAGCCGCGCUCGCGCCCCCACACGGCGUGUAAGCGCGGUAUCCGACGNNNNNNNNNNNNNNNNNNNNNNNNNNNNNNNNNNNNNNNNNNNNNNNNNNNNNNNNNNNNNNNNNNNNNNNNNNNNNNNNNNNNNNNNNNNNNNNNNNNNNNNNNNNNNNNNNNNNNNNNNNNNNNNNNNNNNNNNNNNNNNNNNNNNNNNNNNNNNNNNNNNNNNNNNNNNNNNNNNNNNNNNNNNNNNNNNNNNNNNNNNNNNNNNNNNNNNNNNNNNNNNNNNNNNNNNNNNNNNNNNNNNNNNNNNNNNNNNNNNNNNNNNNNNNNNNNNNNNNNNNNNNNNNNNNNNNNNNNNNNNNNNNNNNNNNNNNNNNNNNNNNNNNNNNNNNNNNNNNNNNNNNNNNNNNNNNNNNNNNNNNNNNNNNNNNNNNNNNNNNNNNNNNNNNNNNNNNNNNNNNNNNNNNNNNNNNNNNNNNNNNNNNNNNNNNNNNNNNNNNNNNNNNNNNNNNNNNNNNNNNNNNNNNNUGCUACUAGUGAUUUGAAGUUAACCGGUGCCUAAUGAGCUGGAGUUAUUGACAAUCUUUAAUCUAGUCAUGUGAAUUAGUGCUAGUGCUUAAUGAACUACCUGAUGUGUAUGUGCAAGAAUUACGUGCUGGGCAUAUGUCCUUGGACUUUCUAAUCGCUGCGAUCUCAUCUGGCAGAUGGACAGGAACGAGAUAACGCCGGUGGUUCGCAGGCGCAAGCCCGGGAGACCCCAGGAGAAAAGCCCGCCCCCAGCGGCCACCAGAGAGGAGCUGGAAUCCCGGGAGUCCCGGGAAGGCCCCUUGAAGGUGCUUGCACUCCCGGCGCCAGGGGCCCCGCGUACUCACGCUGUCUCCGGCGACAAGAUGAUGAGACGCGCUCGCGCCCCCACCCGGCAUGCAAACACUGUCUCCGACGACAAGAUGGUGAGCCGCGCUCGCGCCCCCACCCUGCAUGCAAACCAUGUCUCCGAUGACAAGAUGGUGAGCCGCACUCGCUUCCCCCUCUCCUACUAGUGAUUUGAAGUUAACCGGUGCCUAAUGAUUUGAAGUUACUGCAUGUGAAUUGUACUGUAGCUUACUGAAUUACCUGAUGUGUAUGUGCAUGAACUACGUGGUGUGUAUAUGUCCUUGGAUUUUCUAAUCGCUGCGGUCUCGUCUGGCAGAUGGACAAGAACGAGAUGGCGCCGGUCCAGGGGGUGCCGCGCAUGCGAGGGAGCAUCGCGUCGUCAAGUGCGGUUGGUAAGUAUACUUUAUGCUGCUUUUUUUGUCAACAUCGUCUCCGUGCAGGCUACACUGGCAAACAAGCUGCUUAACUCUUGUGCAUGCUGGUUUUUCGUCAUCACUAGUAUACUGGUAUUGGACUGAAGCUUGUUAGCUCUGUCCAUGCUGGGUCUUUUUUUUCAUUAUUAGUAUUGUUAUAUAUUAGCUGAAGCUGCACAUGUUUUCUUUCCAUUGACGUUGGUGCGGGCGGUGCUACGCGUCAGUCGGCCGAGGGAUGGACGCCUUACUCACCUGAUUUUAAUCAAGUCCCACCUAGGUGUAGUUUGUUUUGUCACUAGCUGUGUAUACAUAGGCGAGCUCCAGCACUAUGUUGCAGCGUGGAAAACAUAUGAACUGUAAUAAGAAACAUGCAAUGGCUAGAAAUAUCUCCACAUAUUUUUUCAGCACGUUUUAGGUGUCAACGAAUUUAGUCGGAUCGCCAGCCAUCGAAUUGACAUAUGGAGCAUUGGAUCACACUACACGGCAGCAGAGAGAAUGGAAACCGUGUUCCUCCAUAGCCUCCACAAUACAUGUGUAUCCACCACCCCUCCCACAUCGUCGCAACAGACAAUUACGUCGGCCCCUUGCAACACCUGGCUUUGGUACCCUAGAGAUCCCUGAUAUCGCUUGGAUAUCCUUCAAGUAUUAUUACAAUGCGCCAACGAGGCGUCGUCCUUGCAACAUUGUCUUACAGACAAUGUAGUUGAUGCCACCACCACCAUCACCCAUUUACACAUGGGCCGUGGCAUGUGGCACUGUUCGUGGGAUAAAACACACCCCGCGAGAAUAUGCGGUUGCACCACUAUGAUCUGUGCAUCUUAGGAAUUGUUGUGACUGCCCCUGCAAAACUAGCGAUGAUACGACCAUCGCCCUGCAACAUCGGCCAUAGUUGUAGCACAUAUGAGAAGACGGAUGCCGCACCUAACAACACAUUAUGUGUUUUUUGCACCAUAUGAAAGCACUGCCUUGCAACAUCGGCUAUCAGGGUGCUGCACCGACAAACACACUCAUGACCUUGAGAUGUCGUAUGCCUUGGCCGAUGUAGCAUAGUGCUCCUCUUUCAGCAUAUAGCGAUGGCUUGUAGCAUUGAUGGUCGGAGAGUCGCAACAUCACUGAGUGGCAGUGCUAGCCCAACUCAUUGUCAUAGAGAAAGGGGCAUAAAGGAUGGGUGUGCACGUGGUGGAAAUAAAGUGAAUGGAUAUGGUGAAGAGAGAGGAAGACUAACAGGGGCAUCCGGCGCUAGAGCGAUCUGACUGAUUUACCCCUGAAACCAGCCUGUUGAAUAUAAUUCAAUUUUCUUUUCAGAGACCUCGUAAAAACGUCGCAACAUGCGAGCAUGUCUAUACAAAAAAUUGUAGAUAUACAACGCAUACUCAUUAGCUUCAACAAAUAAGUGAAAAAACACAAUGUAUAUAGGCCUGAACCGAUGGAUCAUCAGCAUGCAUCUACCAGAUCUUCCUAGGUUACGCCCAACCGUGAGUCGUUCAAUUGGGUCACACAUCACUACCCAAUCAACCACCAACUUAGUUGUUCCUCUCGUCUCCUCUACCCACCCUUCGCAACAUACACCCAUGAUUCUCAGCAAUAGACCAACAUGGAGGCGACAAUGGUGUCCAUGAUAGGCUAGUCAAAAGCACACCGGUGAUCAACCUUACAACACUAAACAGAACAUUGCAACAUGAGGUAACCCCAACUUUGUAGCACUGGUGCACCAUUUUCAACCACCUUGUAGCAAUGAAAAGUUCACUGACCAAUAGCAUUGCUGCACCAAGUUACUGGCUUCCAGCACUGAACACACGGGCUUGCAGCACCGCGAUGAUCGAUGGUCGGCCUUUCAACAAUAUUAGUUAACAUUGCACACCUCGUCUCCAUUUUUAUGUACAUACACAUGAGUGAGAUUGGAACAUCAGUAACGUAUCAACAUUACCAAACAUGAAGACAAUAAAUUUGUUUCUCCAAGCAUAGACGUUACUGAAUAAGCGUGCAACUGCACAUCCACCACAUGAGCCAUAAUUUUUUAGCUCUGUGACAACAGCUUAUAGUUGCAAAAGAGCUGACGAUGAUGGUUUAGAAUGUAUAUGAUCAAAAUAGAUUAAAUGGAGGGGAGGAUGGACUACCUAUGUUGAAUCGGACUAGCCGCAAGGUCACAAGUGCCUUGUCUAAAUAGCCAAAAAGACAAAAGGAGGCCUCCUGGAUUCUCCAUCCUGAAGCUAAGCAUAACUCCAACUCCAGACACGCUAGGGGGCUACUAAAGGUGCAAUACGCUAGGGAUGUCUUCUGGGUGGGAAGCCCGGUAGCAGGCUUGCCUUAGGGCCCAAGAGGCCAACUGGAGGAUCGGUGCAGUAGGGCAGCUCAGGAGCCUAGAUAAGGACUGUGGGAGCAUCUUGGCAGGCAAGCUAAGAUGGCAGUGGUAUGAGAUCUGAUGGAUUCCUUGUAAACCUAGCCCGCGCCACCUAUAUAAGGAGGGGCUCGGGGUUGUCAUUCACAUAUACUCUCAUAGACUAUACUCUCUGUAGCAUUAUACUUCAUCUCCACUCUAAACCCCUCGCACAAGGUGCUCCACCAUGAAUAAAAAUCAAAUACAGGAUGUUGGGCAUUACCUCUCACCGAGGGUCCGAACCUAGGUAAAAACCUUUGUGCGGACUACCUUGUCGUGUAUCCCCACAAGUUCACCACCCUACUAUGGGUACUCACGGUUUUCCAUACUAUCACAUAGUUAAGUUCUAAAACAUUUUCUUUGGGGAGUUGAAGCAACUCAUGGUGUAAGUAGGUGUUGCUUGAAGCACUGAUUCUACUAGCACCUCCUUUCCCUCCUUUGAGAUACCUUGUCCUUCCAAUCCAACCACUUUGCCAUUUGAGCUUUCUUUAAUAUGUUUAAAAUUUCCUUCCUUUGACCUACCCACCACGGUUGGGACCCCAAAUAAUGCUCGCUCAAUGCCUUAGGAUCUGUGCAAAGAUAUUAACAACAACUUAGUCCUCCUAUUUGCCUCACUUCCCAAAGAAUGUUGAAGCUUUUAGAAAAUUUCCCAUUUGUCCCGAGGCCCACUCGUAGUCAAAUAGGAUAUAUUUAAGGUUACAAAGUUGCCAUUUGACGGUUGAAGAAAUACUAUACUAUCAUCUGCAGAAAUAAGAUGGGCUACAUGGGGGUUAGUGCUCCCAAAAGAUAUACCAUUGAUCUCUUUAUCUUUGAGCACUCAUGAGAAAGGCCAAAAAACUCGCAACAUAGAAAUAAGAAAAUAGGGAGACCAUCGGUCUCCUUGCCAGAGCCCUCUUCAUAGUAUAAAAAAUACAUAACACACUCCUUUCAAUUUGAUAGAAAACCUGGCCGGGGUACCACACAUCAUAAUCAUCAAGAUCAACCUAUCUGAGAAACCAAGUGCCCUCAUCAUCAGAUCGAGGAAAAUCCAAACCACCCUCUUAUAGGCCUUCAUCAUGUAUAGUUUAAUUGCGAACAUUGGAUUUUUCUAUUUCUUGAACGAACAUACUUUGCUCCUGCGUGAUCAUUAUGGAUAUGACAACCUUCAAUCUCUUUGCUAGGCCUUUGAAGCAAUCUGACUGAGCGUGUUCAAUAAGUUGAUUGAUCCCAUUUGAGGAAGUAUCUCCAUUGAGGUAAUUUUGGGGAUUAGGACUAGAACCAUAUCACUAAAGUUUGGUCAAAUAACUCCAUUAAAAGAAUCACCUAUUACUAUGCGUACAUCAUUUUUUAGAAAUAACUAGUGAAAUUGGUAAACAUAAGUGAGAGGUUGUCUAGCCCCUGCGCUCUUGCCAGUCAAAUUUAGAAUAGUGCAUUCUCAAUUUCUUCAUCCAUCACGUCCGUGUUCACCCUCUCCUCCAUAUCACUAGUCACACAGGGUCGGAUGUGAGCUAAGAUGUUGUCAGCAUCAACAGAGGCUUCUGAAGAAAACAACUAAGCAUAGAAAUCGGCCGAAAUCUUCCCCAUCUCAUUGUCAAUAGUACAACUCGUGCCAUCCGCCCUCAUGUUUUGAUCGUCUUCCUUGAGAAAUUCCAGUUGGGAACAUUGCAUACACAUUAUUUGUUCCUGUGCACGAACCACAUGAAGCUACGCUUCAAUCUCGCUGGUCUUCAGCAAGGAUGUCUGGAUCCCAAUGCGCUACCCUUUCCAUCGAAGCUGGACCUUGUGCCUAGUAAUCUGACAACAUACAAGACAAAAUAUAGAGCCACUUCAAUGUUUCAUAUCAUUGGUGACAUUGUUACGCUUCCUGUAGAGCUCACUCUGGCCGAAAUUGUUAUCACAUGCACACUAUCAUGUCUACAUGGGCAUCCACCUCUCCUCAAACGUUAAUGCCCUCUUCUUACUUUUGGUAAUGACUAGGUUUUCUAGCGAUCUAUUAACGAGCAAACCAUGGUAUGGUCCUCCAUGACAACAUGUUCAAUGGGUGUAUCCUACAAUGAAUGCACGAAUUCAUCAUUGCAUGGACCCCUGUCCACAUGUACAUAAACGAUCUCAUCCCGCUCCCUCUUAUUGUCCCAAGUGUACAUGUUGCUACUAAAACAAAGUUUUGAAACACUAUUAUUGGCUACACUCUCCCUAAUGCGCUCCAUUUGUGUGAAACUCCUCAAGUAAUCUCCUAGUUGUUGUGAUUAAAAGAAUUCUUUGUUGAGGUAUCAUUGUAACAGAUAAAUGUAUUAUUAGGAUCCAAUCUCUCGGAGCCUCCCUUAGCUACACAAAUUUUCAUCAAUCUCUCUUCCUAUCCAGUAGCUUUAGGUGAUAAUCAUUGUGACGCCUUUGGUGGUCACCAUCACGUUGCCUUGUCUUAUGAACAAAAGUGCCUCGUCUGCGUUGCUCUGAGGUAGAUGGGUCAUCUUUCCCAAUGGCCUUGCACCCUUUCCCAUAUAGAUUUUUUUAUGUCUUGCUUACUUUCAUGCUCCUUCCUCAGGUCCCACUUGCUUUUUAGAUUUAAAUCAUCCCUUAGUUCACAAUCAUGUCACAUUUCUUGCCUGAAUUGGUCCUCCCUACACUUCAUCUUAGGCAGUUACCCUGUACAAGACCAUCUCGAGGAUCCUCGCUAGAGAGAGAGUCCACAGAGGGUGUAUAAUCAGUGUAUGACCUGCACGUAAAUGGACGGGCAUGCAACGCUACAUGACCCCUGCGCCCAUAGACGCCCUUGCUUGACCUAGUGCUCCCAAAACUAAAGUUCCUGCUUUCUUUCACCGGCCUCUACUUAGUUUUUGUCUAUGAGGAGCCAUGUCCAAGUGAUGCCCUCAACCAUUCACCCAACUGGGGUGAGGAAUCAUUUUGUGGUUCAAAUCAUCUGUCAACAUGUGCUAGUCUGUCGUAGUCAAUCCAAAAGAGAGGUAUCUUCUCAAAUUGAAAAUCAAACAAGGUCCCCUCAUCUUUUGCUGAAGAGUGGAGAAAGAAGCCUUAGACUAGUGAAAGAAAUCUAUCUCUAAAUCUGAGAUGGUUCCCCCAUAAAUCCAUCGUUCUUAACAUCACUCUUUACCACGCCACCAAGACAAUUCCCAAGAGCAUUCCUAAAAGUAUAUGAUCAUUUAUAUAGGGGAGGAUCUGUAAUUAUCACCCAUGGCUCCGUCAUACAAAACAUUAUCUUCGAUGACCUAGUUUUUUCAUCAUAAUCCUUCAAAACUAUCACAUUAAAACCAAAUUGCCACAUUCAAUUAUAUAGAGCGUGCUUCUAGACUCCUUUGUUAUGGAAUCUAAAGAAGAAGAUACUAUUUCUAAUGUGACUUACUUGGACUUCCUAAUAGUGUCACAUGUAUGUUGCGUAGCCCUAGCAAACACGUUGAUGUUGAUUUGCUGGAGUGAGCAUGCCUUUCCAACCACUGACCACCGAUAGGCCUCGGUCGGUCUGGAAUCCUGAUUCUCAAGCAUGAGAUCUAUUAGUUCCUUUUGUUGUUAACUUCAGGGCUCCUUGUUAAUUUGGUUGAGAGAUUAGCUGCCUCCCCUGAAGCAUUUCCAUCUGUCAGGGACUUUGAAGGUUCUCAUCUUAAUGAUCCUUGGUCGCCCUGUUCACUUGAGCUGUCGAUUUACGCCACGCCUUCUCUCCCAUAGUCGCGCAAAGGAGUGGAAGCACCAAGACCAAUCAAUGUAGGAGUAUAGAGUGUCAUCACCUCAUAGAUGAAUAGAAACCUAACCCUAGCACUACUUGUCGGUCGCCUAUAAUCGCCCUUAGCAUUUCUUUUCAUGUUGGGCCCGCCAUAAGGUAUUUAUACGUUCGCUUCCAUUGGUACUUUUUUUUGCACUGGAGCCUUUCUGCUACAUUUGCCUUUCUACGAAGGAUGUCUUAUCCAAAUCAUAUAGUCUCCUCUAUCUAUAGGAAGCGAGGACAUUAGCUCUUCUUUUUUUUCAAGGCAAAUACACUUGCUAGUGUUCAAGCGACAUCGAAAGAAGUCUUGUCACAUGUGAAGACGACGCUAAGAGUGUGACACAUAUAGGUGCCAACUUGAAGAAUAAUGCAAAUUUCAGUAAAUAUGAAUAGCUCCUGGGGGAACGAGCGCAUAAAGGAAUCAGCCACCAUAAAUGGAUCAUUUCCAAAGAAACAAAGUCACAAAGAGAGAGACAAGACAUUAGCUUCUUUAUGGGGAACACAUAUAUUUAAAUGUUGCCUUGCUCUCUGAUUAUUAACAAGAAAUAUUUUGUACUAAUAUAUUAUGUGUAAAUCUUGAUAGAUAUGGAAUGUAUUUUGGUCAGUAUGUUUUAAGGAAUCAUAUUAGUUUUUGGUAUGUAGAAAUUAAAAGAAGUUCAUGUGCCUUCAAGGCAUGUCAAGGUGUGUUGUUCCACCUCAAAAUUGGUUCAUACUAAAUGGUUAUUCUCCCUACAUAUAGCCCCAAUUCUCAUGCUCUCUCACUCUCUCUCUCUAUUUUAUAUUCCAGACUACUAUAUAAAGCCUAACUGGUGAAGGUCCAGAAACACCCAGCAGUGACGGGUUCAACUCCCAUUAGUAGUCUAUACUUAGUGGAGGAGAAACAAGCCACUUACAGGCACGAGCCCGCCAAUGGUGAAUAAAUCAGAAAAGAAAAUCAGGCCAUGGCCAGUCCAAAUCCAGCACCUGCCAACAAUGUGUAGUCUCCACUACUCGAACCUACUUUUCCUCAGUGCGUGACAUCAUGUGAUGUUUGGAGAAUCCAUAGAGUUGGGGAUCCGAAUAUAAAAAACAACAAUGGGGAGUGGCUUGAAGAAUAGGAGCCAAGAAGCCGGACGGAGAAGGCCUCCACCAUACUGCACCAUUGGCCGAUACUGACCUGUAUGGUGCAAGGACCAAGGCAGAACUGAACACCGUCAUCAUCUAGGUUGCAAAGGAAGUUGGACCACUGUGUUGCUUCUCUCGGACAAACUCAAUGAUUUCAUGCAGUUGGCACCCAUGCCACAUUCCAUAGAGAUAACAACAUUGAGGAGGAGGAGGGACAACGCAAGGUUUCUUCCUCAUAGGAAUUAGUUUCGAGGAAGUGGGGGGACGAUAUGGCAUGAUGAGCAGUUAACAAGGGAAGUUUGCAUGACUGUGGAGGACAAAGCAUUAAGACAAGUGUGCUAGUAGCUAGAUAAGGGAUGAAUGAUAGCAGGAAGGAAUAAUGAGCUUACUGGGUGAGGCUACUAUUUUUUAAGUUGCGACCUACUGAUCAUAACAACAAUUGAUCGUAACAACGUACCAUUGAUGAUUUAGGGUAUUGAUUUAGUAACUGUUAGGAUGUGACUACGGCUUGUAAGUGGUGGGUUGUAUAUUACUAACAAGUAGCAUGUUUAGCCUCAAUAUUGUCCUCUGUCACUCGUAACAACGUGCCAUUGACGGACCACAUAUUGGGCCCGUCACUACUACCUUUUUCAAACAAAAAUAGAAUUUUAGUUAUAGUCAGAUUCACAACAAUCCCGCCGGCCAUUAGUGUUAAGUAGCAUUGCUGACCGGUUUUUUGAACCACCACUUUUGAUCGAUAACUAGGCGAGAACUCUAGUGUAGUGCACAUUUGUUUGGUUGAGAAUUUUUAGUGUUUUUAUGUGCACAAAGACAUAUCGUUCAACCCUAACAUGUUCUCUUUAGGUGGGGUCGAGAGUGAAGGACUGGCGAGCUUGGAAGCAGGGGAAAUGGCACCUCGAGGGGUUCAGGUCUCCAUGAUCAAUAACCACAAUUUUGAUCUGAAUGAGCUGCCGACUGAGCAUGAGUAGCUCAAGAAGGAGUAGUCACCCGUGGAGCAAGAGUAGCCCCCUAUGGCACAACAUGAGCUUUAAUAUUCACAAUGGUUGGAGGCUACUCAAAUCCCACUUGUGUGAGCAAAAAUAACUCUUGGCCCAAAGUAUAGCCCUGUUAGAAAUUAUCGAAACAAUAUCCUUAUCCCAAGGACGAUUGUAAAGCUUAUGUGGAACUUUUCAAUUUCUUGCUUCCUAUUUUUUGGUGAUUGACUGACGCUAUUACUAAACUUGAGGGAAGGACUUGGUAUACUGCCUCAUGAUCAACGUGUCACCUGGAAUGGCUUUUCUAUUCAUUUCCCAUGAUGGUUUUGAUAUGUAGAUUGUUUGAACAAGCAUUUAUUCAUUCGGUAAAGCUUUGUGAAACAUCAACGGUGGAGCUAGGUCUCUCGUCAUGUGAAAUGAUAGUAGGUCAAGAAGUGUGUUGGAUCAUGAGAUAACAUAUUUUCUAAGUUGUUAAUCAUGUGUGUUAACACCAUGGGUAGUAUGAGAGAAGGUCAACAUGCAUGUUUGGGUCUGAAAUGACCUCAUGACCAAAAAGGGAGAGAAACAUGGCUAAUAGGAAUACGAACAAUAUGGAAGUUACUUGUUGCAUGGAUGUUAACUGUGGUUAUGAAACCACACAAGAUGUCAGAGGACCCGCAUCCUUACAUAUCAAGGUUGACUUCACAUGCCAACUGGAUUUCGACUAAAUUAUUGUAUAUGUAUGUAUGUUAUAUCUUGACAUCUUACCAAACAAAAAACACCAAAAAAUACACUAUUUACUUCUCUUUGAUGCAUAUUCUAGUUGGAGGGUAAUCAUAACCUUAUGUGGAUAUUUUUCCAUAAUAGAAUAUAUAAUGGUCUAGUGAGGCAAGGUGUAAAUGGAGAGGACAAUAGUCGAACAUGAAAACAUCCAACAUUGUGUUAUAGUUGCAUCAAGUUGUCUAGUGAGUCAAUAUGGAAAUGGAGGAGGCUCAUAGGGCAACACGAGAACACCCAACAUGUUGCUCUACUUACUUCCUAUUGGUACGAAGAGACCGAGAGUAGUGAAAGGUUAAUCAUAACACAUGGACAAGAUAUCUCAUACAAGAUGAAAAUGGAGUGAGUCUUGUAUGAAAAUGCUAACAAAGUAUGAGUGUGCAUAGCAUGCCAUCCCCUCCCUUUCUUGUUCGAGUUUCCUUCACCAACCCCAUAGUACCCUGAUCAACACUAUUAUUUGGAUAUGCUUCUCAUCUGAGAAAGAAUAGUUAUUGAGAGACAUUUAUAUCAUUGUCUAGAUAGACUUGUUCAAGGGCCAAUAAUGGAGGUGUCUUAUCUAUUAUAGCCACAUUCCGGAGAAGAAUAAAAAAAGUAGACACAACCUGAUAAUUUAUUGAGAUUUGAAUUGAGGAUCCACAUACAUCAACUAUCCCACAUGUGAAUCAAAUCCACAUCCUACAUGGGCAUUGGGCUUUAGUUGGACUACCACUUUAUGGACAAGCCAUGUGCUCCAUGUAGUCUAUGUUGCAAAGGCGGGAGGACAAGGAGCAAAUAGUUUUUGAUGGCUGGACAUUGAAGUUAUUUGCCAAGAAAUUUGUUUCCUGACAUGGUUUGUUUAUUUCAUUAUUUAGUAUUUGAUAUCGGUUCAAUGCUCUAGUAUGUAACAUUCUUCUCACAUUUUGGGUCUAGCUCUUGGUGUUCAUGAGUUCAUUACUCAUGUUAACUAUUAUUGUUGUGCCCACUUGUUCGACAAGAGACUAUAAAGUUAAAUAAGAUACUCUCGUAUUUAUAUUAAUAUAGUUGGCAUUGAGGUAAUAAUAAACCUUGAAUACUACUCAUAUUUGUCAAAUAGGAGGUCAAGCUGGAUCUGUCUGGCGCAUCAUCUAUGGUCACAUGGUGUAUUGUCUAUUCUAAACCCAAUGAGUAUUGCAGAAUGACAUGUUCCUGCGAGGAGGAAUGAGUCACUCUUUUGUGUCAAGGGGUGAUGCCAUGCCUCAUAAUUGACAAUAAAAAAUUAACCGCCUACAUCAAAAGUCUAACCCAAGACAGGGAAUAGGCGCCAUUGCAAUUUUACCGCACAAAGUCAUCGGUAUUUUGCAAUUGAAUGUUCCCCAUGUUGUGACUGAGAACACAAAACACAAAACACCCCACAAAACACUAUUCACUUCUCUUCGGUGCAUAUUCUAGUGGAAGGGUAGUCAUAACCAUAUGGGAAUAUUUUACCACAAUAGAAUCUAUAAUGGUCUAGUGAGGCAAGGUUUAAAUGGAGAGGAUAAUAGGCGAACAUGGAAACAACCAACAUUGUGUUUUACUUGCAUCUAGUUGUAUAGUGAGAUAAUAUUGAAACGGAGGAGGCUUAUAGGGCAACAUGAGAACACCCAAUAUGUUGCUCUACUUACUUCCUAUUGUUACCAAGGGACUGAGGCUCGAGCAUGGUUAAUCAUAACACAUGGAGAAGAUCUCUCAUACUAGUUGAUAAUAGAAUGAAUCUUGUAUGAAAAUGCUAACAAAGUAUGAGUGUGCAUAACAUGCCACCUCCUCCCUUUCUUGUUGUAUUUUCCUUCACCAACCCCCAUAGUACCCUGAUCAGCACUAUUAAUUUGAUAUGCUUCACAUCUGAGUUAGAAUUGUGAUUGGGAAUAGUUGUAUCAUUAUCUAAGUAGACUUCUUCAAGGGGAAAUAAUGGAUGUGUCUUAUCUAUUAUAGCCACAUUCCGGAUAGGAAUAAAAAAGUAGACAUAACAAGAUAAUUUGUUGAGAUUUGAAUCGAAAAUACAACAUACAUCAACUAUUCUACAUGUAAAUCAAAUCCUCAUCCUACAUCGGCAUUCGGCUUUAGUUAGACUACCACUUUAUGGACAAGCCGUGUGGUCCAUGUGGUCUACGUCACAAAGGCCAGACGACAAGGAGAAAAUAGUUGUCAAUGAUUGAUCAUUGAAGUUAUUUGUCAAGAAAUUUUUCCCCGACAUGGUUCAUUUAAUUCAUUAUUUAGUAUUUGAUAUCGGUUCUAUGCUCUAAUGUGUAACCUUCUUCUCACGAUUUGGGUCUAGCUAUCAGUGGUCAUGAGUUCAUUACUUAUGUUAACUACUAUUGUUGUGUCCACUUGUUCGCCAAGAGACUAUAAAGUUAACUUAUAUCCUCCCGUAUUUAUAUUAAUAUAGUUUGUGGUUAGGUAAUCCUUGACCUUGAAUAUUACUCACAUUUGUCAAAUAGGAGGCCAAGCUGGAACUCUCUAGUGCAUCAUCUGUGGUCACAUAUGGUGUAUUGCCUAUUCUAAACCCAAUGAGUAUUACAUUAUGGCAUGUGCUUGCGAGGAGGAACUGAGUUACUCUUUUAUGUCUAGGGGAGACGGAAUGCCUAAUAAUUCUCAAUGAAAAAUUAUAGCCUACAUCAAAAGUCUAACCCAAGAAAGUGAAUAUGUGCCAUUGUAGUUUUACAACACUAAGGGCGUGUUCUGAUCUUGUCGUGCUCCACGCUUCACAAAUUCCUGGAGCAGAUACGAGCCGAACGAAAUAGCAGCGAGAAGCUAACUCCAGGAAGCUAGGAUCGACCGCAGCGCAAAAUCAUGAAGCAGACUCGGCCCAGCUCCACCAAUCCGAAAAGCUGAAGUUGGCCGAUAUUACAAGUAAACUGCCACAGCCAAGUCAUACGAGUCGAACCGGUACGCUCGAUCUGUUUGAUCGCUCCUCGUUCCCUCACUCGUGCUCCCUCGCUGCUCCUCUACAAGGCCGAUUUGGGUUGCCUCCAGUCAGCCCAACUAGCUCGAAUAGGCCACAACCCUUCUAGCUAGGUUGCAGUGCCGCGAGAAGCUGCAAACCGAGCCAAACGGAUUUUUCAUCACUGCUUGGAGUGAGAAGCUACUCUGAAAAGGUGAAUUUCUGAAGUUUUGGGAAGCUAGAGGAGAUCAGAAAAGGCCCUAAGUCAUCGGUAUUUCAUAAUUGAAUGUUCUCCAUGUCGUGACUUCUGAUGGUGUAAACCCAAAUAAUUGCCAUUGUGAAAUUAAGUUCCUUUCGUGAGUCAGAACCCACAUCCGUAAAGAUGUGCCACUACAAUCCACCUCAUGGCUAUCUUGGAGUCCUUAAUAUAAUCAAGUGUGCCCAAUAUGGUGACUUAAUAUGUACUUAUUGACCCUACGAAGCUAAUCGCCUCCAUCAAGACCCCUUCCUGGUUCUCCUAUAACUAGAUUCCUCGAAACCACGAGAAUCCUUACAAUGGGAUUACAACUUAGCACCUUUCGUUUUCACAUAGUAAGAAGAGUUGCUCCUUGGAUAGCACGGUACGAUCAAAGGUGUAACCUGUGUUUUGGAGCGAGUUAUUGUCUCGAAACUUUGUUCUCAACUAUUCCGAUUCCAGCAAACGGAGGCCAUUGGGUCAAAGCUGUAGCGCACGCCCUGUAGUUUUCAAGUGGGGUGAGACAACUUAGCUAGGAACCUAUUUUCAUUCUGACCAGCUCCCUGAAAACAAUGUUCGACUUCAUGUGUAGUCGGUGUAGAUGUGUCAUUGCAAUUCCACCACUAGGAUAUCACCAAGUCCUAUGUAUUACAUGUCAACAUAUACCACCAUAUGGUUACUUGACAAAUUAAAUGGAUUUCACCAAGAUUUCAUGUUACAAUUAUAGUGAAGAUAGUGACUCACAUGUCAGCCUCCCUGACGGGAAGCAAAAUCACUCUGACUUUGGCAACCUAAUUCUUGGCGGGUUCAAGCAAACAUGUUGGAUUUGUAUUUUAUUUAUUUCAACAUAUAUAAUUCAUAUAAAUAAAUCAAUUCAUAAUAGGAGUCUUGGAGACACCCAUGUCAAUAAUGUGAAAUUAUGGGAAAUCUUAUUAUGUGCAUCAACAUAAGCCAAAACUCGUGGCUUAAGAGAUAUGUUUACAAUCUUCCAAUGGUUAUUCCCCCUACUAAAUUCAUGAUGUUAACUAGUUCCCAUAAGUUGAGAAAGAAGUUUAGUCAUGGGAUCAAUGUCCAGUGCAUCAUAUUUCCAGUUCCCAAAAAAAAUUAUUAUGGAAGUUGAGAAAGAAGUUUGGGCAACAUAUUUCCAGACACCUGUCAUGUCUAGGAUCUUCUCAAGCCUAGGUAAGCUUAGUCACGGGAUCAAUGCAGGCUAUUAGUACAUUGACCCGGUUCUUAAUUCAAGUCCUCCUUGCUAGAUACAAUAUUGAAUGGAAAGUACAUAAUCAAUUUAUUUAAGUGGGUGAACAAUGUUGGCUAGUAUAUUUCAACACUCACCUCACAUGCAUCUUUUAGAGGCAUAUAAUGCAUCGUGAUGGAAACAUUUUUUCUAUAGACUAAAUUCCAAUGGAAAAUUUUAAUUAAUUUAAUUAGUAGCAAUCUCGUGUGGUAAGGAUAUAUGGCAAAUGAAAAUGAGGGCUCAAAUGCUACUUGUUGGCACACAAAAGUCAUGUUGUCUUUUUCCUCCCAUGUUGAUCCUUCGUGGUUUGACAUUGGGCAUUACAAAGAGAACAAGUUAUCUUUACACACCUCUAGAGCUACCAGACCCUGGAUGUUUCACCAUGAAUGUCCAUAUGGUGCAAUGAGUGAUAGCGAGCUAUAUUAGAACAUAUAGUUUACACCGUUAAAGUAAUUAAAUGGGCUAUUUUGGCUACUAUGAAAAAUAGUAUUUUAAGAGAAAACUAUGUAAGAGUUUGUGAUCUUUGUAUGUAAAAGCAUUAUUUGCCUUUGCUUGGUGUUCAUGCAGUUUGAUUUAUGGCAAAAAUGUAAAAUCAUGGGACAAUAAUUGUUGAUAUUCUUUGCGGAGAAAGCGAGAUCUUUCCACUUUUCACAUCACACAAAGUAUUGUUUUUCUUAUAGGGGUGAUAUACAGUGUUCUAAAUCUGCACUUGUGAUUCGUUGUCCAUUUAAAUUUAAAUGGUUUCUUCCACAGAUUAUGUUGGUUUGUUGUUGUAUUUAUCUCAGCACUAAAGUAUACUGAUGUUAGCUAAGUCCAAUCAAAGGCCCAUGUUUUUAUCAUGUUAUACAAAUUAGUAAGCUAAGAUCUUACCAAACUCAAGUUACAUAAGCCCAGACUACGUGAAAUACACAUCAUGCAGUACACAUGUUCAUCUUAGUGUUAUGUUAUACUUGGCUCCGAGAUAACAAAUGGUAUCAAUUAUUACUAUCUUUUGCAGCUUGUUUCUGCCUGUUCAUCGUAGAAUUAUCUUAUGUGGUCUCCCAAGGUUCAUGCAACUUGGAUUUUCAUACUUUGGUAGUAUUAGUGUUCACUAGGACUAGGUGCCACUCUGUAGAAGCUAAGGAUACAGAUGGAGAAAGUAGUCAUGGUUUUUUUUUUAAAAGUUUGUUCAUAUCUAUAAGAGGUUUAUGAUUUUUCAGUGUAUACUGUUGUGAAACCUAGAGUGUUUUAUCUCAUUUAACAUUGAACUACGCUUUCAAGGAAAAACCUUCAUUUGACAUCGAACUAUGCAUGCAGGGCAAACACCCCGUGCUUCGGUGCCACCGCGCCGCGAACCCUGGGAGCUUGAACCUGGAUGGGUGUGAACUUAAGAUUGAUGUCAAUGUUAGGGGUCAGUCAUGGAUAGAGAAUAAAGGGGACUUUGCGAAACUGUUAUUAAUAAUAUGGAUGAAACAUUGCCUUGUGGAGAGAAUAAGAUAUUUCGAGAGAUAUUUAUAAAUGGAUGCAUACUUGCAAUAGCAAUACAAAAUAUGAUGCUAACAUUUUAUUUUCAUUGUUGUUCCCAUUAAACUUCUGGUGGUGGCUCCAUUAUUCACAGCCUCACACAUGAAAAUGUUAUU